This 422269-nucleotide long non-coding RNA is filed under the name Coffea arabica (coffee). RNAcentral describes it as "long non-coding RNA (CARA_LNC005655)". Lineage: Eukaryota; Viridiplantae; Streptophyta; Magnoliopsida; Gentianales; Rubiaceae. The record is from RNAcentral.
CGCUACUCAUAGCAUAAGCACUACUCUUUUAUUUACAAGUCUGUUCUUCAGGGGACUCAGCCCCGCAGCUCAUUUCCGUGCAGGUCGGACGCUUGACCAGCUCGAUCCCCGAUCACGAGGCCAGUUCGGACCUUCACCUCGGCAGUCGCAUCAGGUAGUUUUCCUAAUCGAUAGGCUUCAUUUUCCAUCAUGAAAACUCUAGACACACACUGCGCCACUGGACCUGGACGAGUAGUGACCAAACACCAGCUUCCAUUGGUUGGAUUGAGCCCCUUCAAGGUGUUGAAAAAGUCCUCCCACAAUGCUUGAUCAUCAUUCCACACAUCAUCAAGGACUAGGAGAUAUCUUUUUCCCCCUGGGUUGUUCCCAAUUUUUUCAACGAUGACGUCCCUAAGAUCCACUUCAACCUUUUCUUUCGUCAAAUGCACUAAUAUGAGUUUGAAAAGCUCCUCUAUUGGAACUUUUUUCGAUACACAAACCCAAAUCUUUAUGUCAAAGUGUUCAUCAAUUUGCUUGUUGUUGUAUAUGGAUUUAGCCAAAGUUGUUUUGCCUAAACCUCCCAUACCAACUUUGGGAAGAACAGAAACAACCUUCUCAGACAGGCUCAACAAAAUCUUCACUAUCUCUGAUUCAUCAUCGGCUCUUCCAACCAUUGGAGCAACAACAGAGUCGGUCUGCCGACCUCUCGUGCCUCCAACAGCAGGAGCAGCAGGGAGGGCAGCAGGCACGACUGACUUACUUCCAGUCCAAAAUCACGGGCUUGUUGAUUUAUCUCCUUCAACUUCAGUUUGACGUCCCUGACCUUAGAAGCCAUUCUCCAACGAAAAGCAAUAUUAAUGUUAGAGAAGGAGAAGAAGCAGCAUACCUUGAGCUUGUGUCGGUUUCGGGACUCCACCUGGUGACGAAGAGAUUCAUAGUGGAGCUCAUCCAACACAUUCUGAGCAUCAUAAGCCACCUCCUCGAGACACUUCAACCAUUCAUGCACUACCCGGUCCUGGUUUUGUUGCUUUUCCUCAGCAUCAGACAAGCGAGCAUUGAUAAACCGAAGAGAUCGAGUCAUGCUGGCCAGAUCCUUCUUGAACCCAACUAACAUACCAAUCCUAUCAGAGGCAAGAGACAGUGCCGUUUCCAAUGUGACCUGAAUUGUGGCACCGAUAACAGGGUCGGCCAUUGGUGUUGCCUUGGAUUCAGUGUUGAGAACAAGAUGUUUUUUUUUUUUUAUGGAAAGUUUUUUGCAGCGAGGAACUGGUAAUCUUACCUAGGCUACUAUAAUUGGUUAUAAAGAACGGAGCGUUAAUAAUUAUUGCGCGUAGACCUGGAGUUCUUCUCUGGCAAAUUUGUAAGCUUUUGCAUGGGCGUGUUUACAGAGUAACUUUCUCAAUUAUUGUAGUUGUUGGGGCACAUGUUUUCUGAUUAAAUGCCGGGGCCUUCAGAAUUUUUGGUUGUGGACCAUAUUUGUUUUUGUCCACGAUCAAAUCGUAAAAAGGAGAGUGAGAUUCUGCUUUGGUUACAUGCAUGUCAUUGUUAUUUGUUAAUCCUUGGAAAAUGAAUUUAUGACAUAAUUUGGUCUGAAUGUUGUUCGGUUUUGGGAAGCAAUAAUAAUAAUGUUCUCUGUUUUCGCACUAGCUAUGAUGCAUUUUGCUUCUUGGCUUAGCAAUCAGGCUUGAGAUUUUAAAUUACCUUUUGUACUUCAGCGUUUCAAGUAUAUAACAUGAUCGGUAUGAAACCCUAGCCUUCUACUCCUCUCUUUAAAAUCUGAUAGUCUUUAAUUCAAAUCGAUAUUAAUCCUUUUUGUUAUAUUAUUUCUUAUUACUUUCCUUUUCUAGUUGAUUUUGGAUCCUUUUUUUUAUUACUUUUCUAAAUUUUUCUCCUCAAACUGGAUGUCUCUCAAUCUCUCUUGUGGGAAUUCAACAUACUUUAAGAUGAAUUUCAUUUUGUCAUUAUCAAGUUUGCACUUGAAGAAUUAAAGUUCAUAUGGGGCUAAGUCAUACUAAUUUCAUAUCUUUGACAUUUAUUUAUCACAAACCUCAAUUCUUCUUUCCUCUAGUGUUUCUUUUCUAUAUCAACUCUCCUUAAUCCCAUUAUUGUCUCACAGCAUAAUCCAGAAAGUGUCAGUAUAUAAGAAUUCUUUUGAAGUAAUUAUUACUAAUAUAUAGUUUCCGUUUCUUGUGGAAUGUUCUGAAUCUUUCCUAAAGCACCAUUUUCCAAUUUGAGUUCCAGAAUUGUUGCAAACUUUUUUGAUUUGCGCAUCACUUUGCAUGUAAGAAUUCAAAAUUUCACCACCAAUUAAAUAUAUAGUUUUCCUCGCAACUUGUCCCGUUUGGAUUGCUAUUUUUAGGAAUUUUUAGCUGUUGCUUGGCAUUUUCAAUUCACCUUUCUUUGUAGUGUAGUAGUUGCCGGGAUUCUUCAGCUGCCGUUGAUCCACAUGCCACAUGCUUGGGGGGCCAUCGGAUGUGGAAAUUUCCACCCAAGAAGGAAAAGAAACCGUGUUGAAUGAUGAAGAAAAGAAAAUGGCAAUCAUCAUUGACACUCUAAUAAUUGCCAUGGAGAAGUUUGCCUGGCAAUUUCACUUGGCUUUAUUGAUCAAUGCUUAGCUGGGUAUUUCAUCUUUUUCUGAUUGAAAGCUGGCUGGGGCCUUUGGCUGUGGAAAAUAUCUCAAUAGUUUGUCGGAGCUGUGGUUUGACCCAAGACUGACCCCCGCCACAAAAAAAAAAAAAAAAAAAAAAGCCUAUGUUCAACGAUCAAAAUGUAAAGGAGAAAGAGGAAAUGACAACCAUAGCUGGUGACUUUGCAACAUUAAUUGCCUCAGUCAUUAAUCCUUGGGAAAUAGACUAAAAACGUUAUUUUGUGGGGGAAAAACUUAAAAAAUAAUCCGUGGUUCACUUGUCAAAAACAUGAAGUGGAGUUAGCAAUCAGGUUUGGCAUGUAGCGACAUAAUUGGCCAAUGGUUGGGUGCUUUCUUAGCUUUUUACACUUGUGAAAUUGCCAAAACAGUCGCUCGUAAUUCCACAAGCUUUCUAGCACUUUAAAAAUUCAAACAUUUUGUUUCAAAAUGUCUUGUUUAUGUACAGCAUACAAAAUUUAAGUGGUGAAAGUUUAAGGCGUUUCUUUAUUACUAUAUUUUUUUGAAGUACAAUAUACAAUCAACUGGAGUUAGAAGUAAAAUAGACCUUUAGCUCACACUAUGAUUAUAAACUUUGACUGAAUUGGAUGUUUUGGGAAGAGGGAAAUGAGCGUGUUCUUGCAGAUUUCAAUUUUUACAAUUGAAUUAUUUGCCUAUGAUAUGAUCACAAGUUUAACUUAAAUGGAGUUGCGAUAAUAGAAGAUUCUCGAAAGAAGACUUCAAAAGGUGGAAAUUGAAAAUGAGUGGAAAUUAAUGAGGAAUUAACCAAUUAUUUGGAUUCCCAUUUUUGUAUCCGACUCUUUUAUAAUUAGUUUUUCUUAUAGUUUUUCUCGCUCCUAACAAAUUUAUCUAAAAAGAUAAAUUUGAAUUAUUUGUUCUUAUGGUUCCUCUCUCUUCUAACAAUAUGAUAAAUUUGUAUAAAUUUGUUUAUCCAUAUGGAUUAACUUAGUGUUAAAAAAUUUUUAACUGUUAGCUGAUAGAUUUAUCAAUAUUGCUGGAAAUUAAAUAUUUUUUGAUGUAGAAAACAAAUCGCAAAAUCUUUUGUACUUAGUUAGGUAGGAAAAUGUAACUAGGUUUAUGGUUAUUAUAAAAAUUGUAAUUAUCUAAAAAAUAUCCGUACACAAAAAGGUAGAAUAUCUAUUGAUUUUUUAAUAUGUGUUAUCAUAUUUGAUGAAUAUUAUUAUAUUAUAGUAAAACUAUGUAAAGAAGUUUUUAAAAAUUAGUAUGAUAGUUAAGUAUAAUUAUUCCAUUAAUUUUCUAAAAUUAAUAUGAAUGAACUUGUAAGAUCAUCAUUAAUUUUUUAUUUAAAUUAUUCAUGCUUGCACGAAUUCAGAAGAAAAUAAAAAAAUAAACCAUGCCAAGGCAAAUGCAAGAUGCUCGUUCAAAUUAAUGUUGUACACGUAUAGGAGUCACAAAACGGUUUGGUGCACUAGCAGACGAAAGGGGACAUCUAAAGUAUUAGGACAAGUUUUACAUUAAAGUGGGAGAUUUGUAACGCAAUUGAGCGAAAACAAAUGAGGUUGAGGAAAACUUUAUAUCAGUUGCAAUACAUUCAUAAAAGCUAUGGCACAUUCGUUAAAAUAAGAAAUAUUUAUUAAUUUGGUGCAGUGUAAUAGCAAACCAAGGAAAAAAAAUAUGAAUGAUCCGUGAGAGGGAAAGAUGUCAUUUGACUUAAAAUAAAAGUGUGAUUGGAUAGAGGUUUAGAUGAACAAAAAAAUUAGAUUAAUAUUGUAACACUUUUUGUGGCUUGAUAUAAUAUAUAUGAGAUAGAAUGAUGACUGGUAAAAUAAAAAAAAUGAUUCAGGUAAAUAUAAAUAAUUUUUUUCAUAUAUUUGCGUAAUGAUGAUAAUGACAGGGUGAAAACAAUGCAUGCAAAGACGAAGGUUGAUAAUAAUAAUGAUAACUAUGGUGAGAUAGAUAGCAAUUGCAAGUUGCACACCAUGCAAUUAGUGUUUUAGAUUAGGUAAAUUUGCACACCACUAUUGCAAAUAAUUCAGUCAAUAAGAGAUAGGAAAACAUAAUGCACGAAAUCCAACUUUUAGAAUUGUGUUAUAGUUUAAUGAUGACUAUGUGGUGUUUUUGUAGACAAAUAAACAGAAAAACAAAUAAAUAUACAAAUUUGAUAAAGAAAGGUGCACUUCUACAGGACCGAAACUAAUUGCUCUUAGGUCCCAUUUUGCUAUUUUUUAAAGUUUUUAUAGAGACUUUUUCGUUUGGAUUGCUAUUUUUUGAAAUUUUUAUAGAAAAAUGUAUUGUAGAAAUUUAAUAUCUAUGAGAUAAAAAAGUAAUUAAAAUAUGUGUUUAUGAAAAACAUUAAAAAUAUUCCGUAGUAGACUGCAAUCCUAGCAUGGCUUGCGAUUUGAUCAAUAUGAAAUAAAAAAGUAAUUAAGAAAUGUGUUCACAAAAAAUGUAAAAAAUUUGCCUUAGAAAACUACAAUCCAAACAAGUAGUCUUCUCCCCGUUCAAGAAACGCAAUGAAAAUAUUUGUUGAAUAAUUAAACUUAUCCUUUCAUAAGCCACUUAUACCGGGGGAGGUAUGGAGGGAGGCAAUGAAUAAAAAGUCUUGGGUUCGAUUCCUCCCACUUACACAAAGAAAAAAGUAUAAAAUAAAAUAAAAAAAAAAACCACUUAUACUAGCUAAGAGUAUUUUCUGGUCACGUCUCGUGUUAUAUAUUAUUAAUCCUAUCAUAUUAUCCAAAAGCAUUUGUUGGAAAUUGCAUUCUUAAUUUAGAUUAAAAAAAACAAUAAUGAAAUAUUUGUUGGAAACGAAGGAAAAGUGACGCAACCUUUCCAAUUUGUAAAUUCAAUUAGGCUUACAUGUAAAACUAUUAAAGUGUAUCAGCAUGAGAGAAUUUAGUGCUUCAUCUGACGCUUGUAAAAUAGACAAAUGAAGUUUUGAAAUUCUAGCACUUUUGGACCAAUACCUUUUUUUUAAGGCAAAACCAAUACCUUAGGUAACCACAAGAUCUCAUCUUGAUUUGCUGUUUUUCUUAUUAAAUGUUGAAUCUAGAAAAUCAUGUCUCAGAAAUAACUACAUAUACCUGGAAAAAAAAUUUAGUGCUAGGAUAAAUAUACUGCUAAGUUAUGGAAAUUCUCUUUUCCAUUUUAGCAAUUUGAUUCUUUGGACGCAUGAUUCUAUCUGUUAUAUUUGGCUUCAAAAUAUGUUACUUUAGAAUGGUGUUUGGAUGUGGAUACAUAAUCUGUAAUUAUUCUCACCUAUAUUUAUUUUCUAAAGGUCUGUCCACUUUAUUCGGAUUUCUUACCUAUUUCACUCACAAAUGCAGAGGUAGCCAUUGGCGUUUUACGGUGAAGAGAAGCCAAAAAAACUACCAACCCCUUUAUUGCUCUCUUUCAUCUUAUUUCUCCAUCUUUCAUCCUUCUUUUUCGUUGUGACCUACAAUUAGGACUGCAAACCACUCAAGCGCUAGCGAGCCAACUCAGUCAAAAGUUAAAUCGAGUUCAGGUAAUACUGAAUCCGAGUUGAGCUCAAUCCAACCAAGUUGAGCUACCGAAUUCAAGUCGAACAUAAAGAAAUUCAAUUCAUUAAUUGACGAGUUAGCUCGAAUAUAUAUAUAUUUAUAUAUAUUAUUUUAAUAUUGAUAUUACACAUAUAUCUGCCUAAUAUUUUUAUUAUUUACUAAGCAAAAAAUGAAUAUUUUAUUCUUUUUUAAAAGAAACAAAAUAAUUAUUUUUUAUUUUUUAAGGUCGAGCAAGCUCAAGCUUGAGUAUUCGAGUUUGAUUAGACUCGAAUUUGAAGUCGAGAAUGAACUCGAAUUUUACAUUGAAAACUCGUCGAGUUCGAAUUUGGUAAAACUGAGUCGAGCUUGACUUUAUUAAGCUAAAAGUGGACUCAACUAGUUCAUUUGUAACCCUACUUACAAUGCUUUGAUCACCAUUUUAGAAAGUUUAGUUGUGGGCCUUGGUGAACUGUUAACGGGGAUGCAAUUUGUUGACAUGCAAUUGGCUAAUCAUCCAAGUAUUGCUACUGCUCUAUACAGUUUUAACAAAGUGGCCGAAAUUGAUAAAAGGAAAAACUGUUACAGCAUUAGUGAUUUAUUGGUUGUAAACACUUGCCACAAGAAAAUGCAUUUGCUUAUCCGAACACUAUCCAUGAACCGUUCAGUAGGUGCUUGUCUUCAAUAAUUUCUGAAAGAUUAUAUAAUGUGUGAAUGUUUCAAAAAGACAAUACAAUAUGCAAAAACUAUUCACUGAUAGUUUCCAAAAGGAGUUUAAUUAAGCUUUACUUGUCGGUUUAUUGUUUGAGACUCUGACUUAGCAUCUAUAAAUGAAUGCAAUAACUGGUAGGGAAAAAAUCAUUCGAUUGUGAUGUAUUUUUUGAUUUUCUUGAAAUAAAAAAUGCAUAGGGAAAAAAAUAUUAGAGAUUUAUCCUUUGCAUGGAGUUCAUAUCGUUACUACUUUUGCUACGUGGAAUACCUUGUCUGAUGGAUGUCUGCUUGAAAUAUGCGUUAACCUUUAUGGCUUCCACAUAUUGUAUGUUUAUCCUAAUAAAUCAUCUUGUAUGGUGCUAAUAUUUCAAACAAGUUUUGGAAUUUUGCUGCAAGUUUAUCUUCUCAAAAGAUAAGUCAAUCGAUUUGAUUUGCGUCCAAAAAUGUGGGUGGAGUUUUGUUUCUAAAUAAAUACUCAGAUAAAACCAAUCCAAACAAACAUAUAUAUGCUUUGCUGAGGCCGACAGCUGUUUCUGAUUGACAAAUUUUAAAUGCUGGGGCAUUCAGUUGUGGAAAAAAACUCUCUGACCCAAGAGCACAAGAAACUGUUGUCUUUAAGGAUAAAAAUGUACCAAAAAAAUAAUAAUAAAUAAAAGGAAAAUGACAAUCUACUUUGGCUACAUUGUUCAGCCAAUUUCCAGUUCUUGAGAAAUAAAAUAGACGUUCAACGCCCAUUUUCUAAUUCGAUUCAGUUCUGUGACCCCUUUUUUUAAUUUUCUAUAAUUUGAGGUAUAUAUAUAUAUAUAUAUAUAUAUAUAUGUAUAUGCCAAUCAUAUCCCAAUGCCAUUUGGUAGCUUUGCUUGGUCACUAUUCAACGCUUCCCUAUAUUUGUUCUAUUGUUCCCGUCAUUCAGAAACAAGGGGACAAAUCCUUAUACUACUGUAUAAGAAUAAAUUGUGGUCAAAUAUGAUUUGAAUUUCAGCCAUAUGGAUAGGGACUUUUUGAAAAUAUGAAAUAUUGUGUAAUUUUUUAAAAUCUUUUGAUACAAUUGAGGGCAGCAUGUAUUUAGAUAUAUUUACCGAAAUACAGUCAUUUUGGUACAUUUAAAACUUUGAUUUAUGGGGACAUUUAGGUAUUUUUGGAAUAUAAAAUUAUUUUGCAACCAUUUUUGCAUCGAGUACAACUCAUAUAAACUUAUGUGUUGAUAUAAUUACUGAAAUGAUAUUAUUGACAUAUUUAAUUAAAGUGUGAUUUUUGUUGUACAAUUAACACAAAGAUAUAUUAACACAUUGUGCAAUUAAAACAUUGCUAUAAUUAGCCAUUAAAGGAUAUUUCUUUGUUUGAAAUAAUUUAUAUCUGCUCUUGGGCAAUUUUCAAUUAACAUCUAUAGGGGCUUUUUAAGAAUGAUAAAAUUGUAAAAGUAUUGAUAAAGUAAAAUGUACAAGUGUGUGCUGCAAUUAGAAUGUACUAUUAUUAGUUUUGUCAUAUUUGAUGACUAUUUCUUUUCGGAAUAUAUAAUUAUUUAUCCAAUAAAAAAUUCUCUCUAAUCACAAGCACCAAACAUCAGCACGAUGCACUGGCACUCCCUAGUAAUCACAACAAAGAGAGGAAGGCAACCGAAUUGAUCAAGAAAGUGGAGCGAUCGAUUACAAAUGAAUAAUGUCAUAUUGCCGCAUAUUACUACUGCCUUAUUACCAUUAGAUAGGCAAAAUAUUUGUACUUUUCAAUUUUCUAUUUGGAGGUAAGGUCUAAUAUCCCCUUCCUUUCUUUGUAACUUUUUCGAUGAUUUUAUUAAUAAAAUGGGUAUAUAACCCCACCCGCCAAAUAUAAUUGGCGGUUUUUUUUUUUGGUUAAAAAACUGUCAUACUGCAAUUAGUUGUUCCAAUCAUUGGGUGCAAUACUCUGCGUAGGGAUGUACGCGAACCGAGCUACUCGCGAGCUACAAUGACUUGGCUUGAUCGAGUUCAAGCCGAGUCUCGAAUUACCCGAAUAUACAUUCAAAUCGAAUUCGAGUCACGAUUUUGCAGCUCGUGACUUGACGAGCUACUCGUCAAGUAGUAUAAUUUAAAUAAUAUAUAUGUAUUAUAAUUAUAAAAUGACCGUUAUGAUUAUAAUUUAUACUGAAUUUACAAGCAGGGUACCGAGUCAAAAAGCUCAAUUACUCGACUCGAUAAGGUUUGACUCAAUCGUCGAACCUUAUCAAGUCGAGUCUCGAGCUUUUAAGGAUCUUCUUGAGUCAAGCUCGAGUUGAAAUUCUCCGACUCGAUCAAGUUCAAGCCGAGCUCGAGCAUAGUUAUUAUAGGCUGAAUCGAACUCGAGUGUAGCAGUACUCAACCUCAACUUGGCUCGAGUACAACCCUAGCUCCAUAUGAAGAAAUGGGUGUGUUACUAGAAGAAAGAAAAGAGACCUCAUGGAGUAGAGUUCACAUGGAGGUGCGACGUGUUAAAUUUAUUCACAGACAAAGGACCGCACGUGUCCCUAUUUUUAAAAUUCCUUUUUCAAUAAAUGAGCCUCAUGUAUUACGUUACGGGCAAAUGCAAACCCCAUAUUUUGCAAAAGAGCAGAGGGGCUCUUUUUUUUUCUUUUUUUGGUGCGUCACAGAGGUGCUCUUUUGCAAAAUAGAGAGCUGCAUUUGGUUUUCAAUUUUUUUAAAAAAAUUAACAUUUCCAAAACAAAUUUAAAAUUACCAAAAAAGGGUUUGGAUGCCGCAUGUAUGCAUGGUGCCAAUUGUGCCAAAAUCGACAUCCCUAAAUAAAGAAAAUUACCACUUUUUUCUCAUUUUGAUGAUUUUUUUUUUAGUUUUUUAACAGUAUUAUAAGAACUUACUCCAUAAUUUGCAGAUGUCACUGCAAUAUCUAAAUUAGAGAGGAAGUCCUUGCAAGUUCACACGUUUUCGGUGAAAACUCUGUGGUCCAUCAAGUCCGUACAUUUCAUUUAUAGGAGCCUGAAUUCCUUGGCGCGGGAUACAGAUGAACCUUCCCGUGUAAUAUUUUUUCAAUAUUUUAUAAUUCUAGGUGAACUAUUUAUACAUCCUUAUAAUAGAUGUGUGACGUUCUGUUAAUGUUCACGUGAGAUUCUAUGUAUAAUAAUUACGUUUCUAUCGUAAAAUUUUAUAAAUAAUUCACAUAGAGUUAUAUUCCGUUCAAAAAAUGUUACACCAUUUAUAACAUUUGUCAUACUCAUACCCCUAAUCUGAAUUCCGCAUGACACACUUAAUUUAGUUAGAAGUUAGAGCUUGAGGUGUUAAACAUUUCGCGACUUUGAUGAACAAGGUAUGCCAGCCCCACUCGACGGUAUGGGUAUCAAAAACUCUCACCGAACCGUGGACGAAAGGCCUUCUUUAUUCGGUAGCAAUAUGGUGGUUAUCUUAGAAUUUGGUGCAUUUCGAGCCCUUUUGAAUUGCUAUUUUCUGACAUUUUCGUAGAAAAAUAUAUUAUAGUAAUUUAAUAUACGUGAAGUAAAAAAGUGAUUAAAAAAAUGUAUUCAUAAAAAAUGUAAAAUUUUUUUGAAAAAAAAAUGGCAAUCCAAAUAAGGCUAAAUUUCUUCUUCUUUUUUUUUUUUUUUGCCCUUAACUAGAAUUCUCAGCCAACGUAUUUUAGGUGAUUUUCGAUAAAAGGUUUAUCCAGUUUAUGUAAGGACAGCAUCAUCCUCACCAGCACCAAUAAACAAAGAAAAGAAAGAACACAUACAUCUAUUGAAUUGUUGACGAAAUAAUAAACAGAAGGCGAGGUGCCCUAUGAGGCAAGGGAAAAUGAAGACGUGGACUACUCCAGUAGCAUUGAGCAGAGACAAAGUCGUAAGAAACGAAAAGGGAUAUAAUUUUUUCUUUUUUCUUUAUAAAUUUUUCAUUAAAUUUUCUUUAUUUCAUGGACUAUUAGAAAAUUGUGAGGAGGGUUUGGUGAAGCAGAGAAAUAAUUAGAAAGUGUUGGCUGGUCCAUGCACGCUAUUAGUCUUAGCAGUAGGGUCGUGGGCCGUUGGAAGAAGGGGGAGAAUGACAGGACAGCACACCGUGAGCUAGCUACUAGAUUGGACAGACUUUUUUUUUUCUUCUUUUUGUUUUUCGGGUAGUGGAGAGUGGCACAAGAAUUUUCUAAAAGAAUUUAAGAAGAUAUAUUCUAAAAGAAUUUUAACAGACACAAGAAAAUUUUCCAGAGAUACGGAUGCCCAAUUAUUUUAGUGGAGAUCUUUUCAUGAAAAUAUUUGUCUGACGAUCUUUUUUUUUAUUUAUCGCAAUAAUAAAAUUUUUAUAAUCUAAUUUAAUCUAAUCAAGAAGAAAGGAGAGGGAGAUUCGAUAUGAGUAGAGACUCCAUAAAAAAUGAUCAAUUAAAGUCAUCACACAUAAUAAUAAAUUGAUGGAAGGUAAAGAUUGAACUCUUUCACCUCCCACACUAUCAAGACUUAAGUCUUGUGUGGUGACCACCGGGCCGCCAAAGGCGCAGUGUUAUCACCUUGAGUCUUGUUCGGUUACAUUUCAUUUAUUUUCAUGGACCCGCCAGUGGGCAUGACAGUUGCCAUGAAACUUGGAUGCUAUUCUAUUAAUUGCCAUGGAAGUUGCUUGGGAUUUUGACUUGACCUUUCUUAAUUCGUGUUUUGCUGAUUGUUGGGGCCUUCAGUUGUGGAAAAAAUCACAGAAGGUUGUUGGAAUAGUGAUCUGACCCAAGAGGCACAAGAAACUGUUGUCCUUAAGGAUAAAAAUGUACCCAAAAUAAUAAUAAUAAAAAAAUAAAAGGAAAAUGACAAUCUACUUUGGCUACAUUGUUCAGCCCAUUUUCUAGUUGUUGAGAAAUGAAAUGAGAACAUUUAUUAUAUUUGGAAGUUUUCAAGCACAUCAAACUUAAAGGAAUUUAACAAGUCGUAACAAAACUAUACGGUUACUUCAAAUCCGUUUCUAAUGUUAUUGAGGAUAUUUGCGUAACAUCAAUGUUUCGGAUUUAUAUUAAAUAUAGAAUCUUACUGUAUUGAAUUUUCUUAUGAAACAGAGAUUUGGAUUAGGAAGACGGUACAUAAAUAUUAAUUUGUAAAGCACUGUCGAUCGAUUUGAUUCUGGUCCAAUACUUGGUUGACCAAGAAAAAUACAUAGCAGUUGGAUGCUCGGAUUCAACAUCUGCUUUUGAUACACACGCUUGCGGGGCCCUUGGAUGCAGAAAUUCCACCCAAGAAGGACAAGAAAUUGUGUGUUGAAUGAUGAAGAAAAGAAAAUGGCAAUCAUCAUUGAUCAUUGAAACUAAUAAAUCUCUUUUGACAAGAAUUUUCAUAAACAACACCUAAGUUAAACCCACAAGAUACAACUAAAAAGCUGACUUUUGGUUACACCCAUAAAACUUAAGUACUACUCACGCACACUCUUAACAAACAAUGUGGGAUGCAGAGAUAGGAACAGGGAGAGUCUCUACUAAGCACUAAGGAGCACUCAUUCACUCCGAUUUUUUACCUCUUCAACAGGUCUUUUUUUCUUUUGACAAGAAUUUUCAUAAACAACACCCAAGUUAACUCCACAAGAUACAACCAAAAGGCUGAUUUUUAGUUGCACCCAUAAAACUUAAGUACUACUCACACACAUACUCUCAACAAACGAUGUGGGACGCAGGAAUAGGAAUAGGGGAGCCUCUACUAAGCACUAAGGAGCACUCACUCACUCCGAUUUUUUACCUCUCCGAUUGAGACUAAUAAAUCUCACUCCUUAAUUCUUUGGACAUGAUCGUACAAUUAAUCAUGUCAUCUAAAUUGCUUAUAUUUAUUUGAAACAUUAUUUAAGUACUCCUUAUUUUGUUUGCUUUCUGCAGAGCAUUAUGCUAUGAAAUAAUUAUUGUAAUAUUUUUUAUAAUAUAAUAUAUAUGAAAUAAAAAAUAAUAAAAAAUAUAAAAAAUAAGUUAGAAAAAAUAUAUAUAAUACAAAUAAAAUAUUAUUUAAAAUAAUUGGGUAUUGAAACACCCCCGGAGUUCUCUAUUUCCAUGCUAGCUAUAUAUUUUCCCUUUUUGUCCAGUUCGGAAUAGCUAGAAAUUUACAGUGGGUGCUUUUGUUUGCUCUUCAACAACCGGAAAAAAUGCUGCGGUAGUGCAUCUUUGACAAACUUGCAUGCCAUUAUUGACUUGGCCUUUAUUGAUCAAUGGUUAGCUAGGUAUUUCAUCUUUUUCUGAUUGAAAGCUGGCUGGGGCCUUUGGUUGUGGAAAAUAUCUCAAUUGUUUGUCGGAGUUUUGGUUUGAUCCAAAUCCCCCCCACCCCCCGCGGCAGCCCAAAAAAAAAAAGCACGCCAGAAAAGAAAUGUUCAACGCUCAAAGUGUAAAAGAGAAAAGGAAAUAACAACCAUGGCUGGUGACUUUGCAGCAUUAAUUACCUCCGUCAUUAAUCCUAAUAGACUAAAAACGUUAUUUUGCAGGGGAAAAACUGAAAAAAUAACCGCUGGUUCACUUAUCAAAAACAUGGAGUGGAAUUAAUAAUCAGGUUUGGCAUGUAGCAACAUUAUUGGACAAGGAUUGAGUGCUUUCUUAGCAUUUAUGCUUGUGAAAUUGCCAAUAUAGUCACUUGCAGUUCCACAAGUUUUCUAGCACUUAAAAACUUUAGACAUUUUGUUAAUGCGCAAAUUAGGCAGUUUAUUUGUUAAUAUUUCCCCCUUUAUUUUGACCAAAUGUUGUGAUAAUUUGCUAGAUUCUACUUAUAUUUGAAUUUUUGUGUGAUUUCUAGGAACUUCAAGUCAAUUGAGGCAGAAAAGGAGAAAUUGAAGCCUAAUUGAGGAAAUUCCAUUAAGAAAAUCUUGAUACAAGUUUCUUAGUUGAUACUUGAAAACCGCUACAUCAGGGAUGAUGGGGUGUGGAAACCACCCAGGAGUAUUCAUCUACAAUGCCCUGUUCGGUUGAUGAUUGUUACUGCAUCAAGUUAGCAAGCAUUUUGGGCUUUUGCUUUUGGUUAGUUUACGGCAAAGAACAGUACAAUUGAUGCAGCAGAACGUCCGCAUCCCAUUGAGCUUCAAUUGCACACGAGGCCCAUUUUUGGAAAAAAAAGAAGAAAGAAACGCUAAAGAAGCCCUGGGGGGACGCGAGGUAAAACAGGACCUCUGGUUCAACUGAAGAGGAUAAAAGAGGAGAAAACGGAAGGGCAAAAAAAGGGGAGGACUUUGAAAAUCAACGCAGGCCAUUCUGUUCCGUCCCGUUUUUCCUUCCUUUUCCCAAUUUAUUUUCCUUUUUCAAUUAAGAACUCGAGUAGUACUUUUGGCUGCAAUUCAACUAUGAGGAGUGGCUAAUUUCUUCAUCUAGUCAGAGGUUAAAUCGAAGCUUGGGUUCGACAAAACUAUGAGAUCGAAUUGAUUUGCCUAUGUUCUUUAAUUUGCAAGUAUUUAUAUAUUUCCUGUUCACUUAUGCAUAUGAUUAUUUCUUGCAAUUAAAUACUUGAUCACUGUUUAAUUGUGUGAGUAAUUAACAGCCAUCUAAGAGUGCUCAAUCCGUAAUUGUUGGAUAAUUUUAGUGCAUGUGGCAAUUGACAUGAUUCAAUUGUAGUAGAAACUUUUGAGUUGUUGUUGCGGAAAUAUAUGAUAUAGCCUAAAUAAAUCGAGCGUGUGUGUUUGUUGGUUAUAAUUGGUGGCCAGUCUAAUGAUUAAUGCUGUCAAUAGGUUAAAUCCUAAGAGCGUGUUUAGGACUGCUUAAUUGGCUAGGGCAAUAACCACAGAGCUUGUUAUGGUUAUCGAAUCAGGAAGGUUAGGCAGGUUGUCAGAACUUGUUGACAACCAUAACCAGUUUAUUUGUAAGUGAAAGAUUUUAUCUCUGCAUCUGUGAUCAAUGAUUCGAACCAUUAGUGGAGAUUAUACCUUUGAUUAGAGAUUUUCCUUCCGUUAAUUUACUUUAUAUUUAUUGUUAUUUAUUUUAUCUGCGAUUGUCUUAUUUUUAAUUUGAGCAAUUAAAUUAGACAGUUCCAUAUCAAUUCCCCCCAGUUUUAUUUAAUGUUACAUUCAUUCAAAAUAAAUUCCCAAGUCCCUGUGGAUUCGACCCUGCUCACUGCUAUAUUCGAAUUUUAUCUUUCACGUAAUUAAGAUACUUUGGUAUAUCGGAUCAAGCAAACUCUGGCACCAGGGUGAAGUUAGUAACCCAUUGCACAGCCUAAGUCCCUGCUCCAAUACCAUAGUGGACUUAAUUCGUGACUUAAGAGUAGGAAUUUUAUUUUUGCUGGUUUGACACCCACCACAUUUUGUGUCAAAAUGCUUGUUUUUGUGCAAUAUACAAAAUUUAAGUGGUGAAAGUUUGAGGAUUUUCUUUAUUAUUAUUCUUUUUCUUUUGGAGUACAAUAUAUAAUCAACCGUAGUUAGAAGUGAAAUCGACUGUUAACUCACACUAUAAUUGUAAACUUUGACUAAAUUUGGAUGUUUUGGGAAGGGGUUAAAUGGCGUGUUCCUGUGGGUUUCAUUUUUUACAAUUGAAUUAUUUGCCUAUGACAUGAUCACAAGUUUAACUUAAAUGAAGCUGCAAUAAUAGAAGAUUCCCGAAAGAAGACUUCAAAAGGUGGAAAUUGAAAAUGAGUGGAAAUUGAUGGUGAAUUAAUCGGUUAUUUGGAUACUUGAGUUUCACCUAUUUUUGUAUCGGAUUCUUUUAUAAUUAGCUUUUCUUAUAGUUUUUCUCGUCCUAACAAGUUUAUCUUUUAAGAUAAAUUUGAAUUAUUUGUUCUUAUGUUUCUUCUCUCUUCUAACAAUAUGAUAAAUUUGUAUAAUUUUUUUUAUCUAUAUGUGAUAGGACACAAUUUGUUGUUAAUUUUAUGGUUAAUUUUCCUCUUUGUCCUUGCCAAAUAUUGUUUUAAUUGUUGAAAUGUACUUAUAUUUGGUAUUUGGCCCUAAUUACAGGAAGUGGAGCAAGCAAGUGGUAAAAAGGAGACUUUAUUGAGAAAAACACUCCACACAUGGGAAGUUCUAAAAGGAAAUACAAGCCGGGCUCCACAGGAUGCUACAAAAAGGGAUUUCCUAUCUUUAUGCUGAAAAUGAUGGACUUAUACUAGGAGUCUUACAGGUAAGAGGAAACUAAAAACAAGGACUUUGGCAGAGCUCCAAUUCUUUGGCCCUUGGACUCUCAAUUCAGUGGAGACCACCGAGGGAAGUUAGGCAAUUGUUUAGAUUAGGAACAAUGGGUGAUUACCUUAUUCUUUUUCUCUUCUUAUUCGGUUAGGAGACUAAUCACGUAGGUUUAUAUAUUGGAGGCUAAUGAGCCGCAGGGAAGGGGGGGCUUGGACAGUAUCACGUUGGAAAUUUUCUCAACAAAUGAAGAACUAAAUUCUUAUUUUCUAGUCGAAGGUCAAUUUGAGGACUCGGUUCCGAACAUCUGUGAGAUCUAAUUAUUUUACUUAUUUCUUCUAUUUAUUGGUAUUUGUACGUUUCCUGAUUUAAUUGCUUAUGAUUGUUUUGUCAUUUGAAUGUCAAGGGUCCGAUAUUCGAAUUAACCUAAUAAUCUGCUGUCAUAUUAAUUGAUUGAAUCCGUAAUUGUUCAAUUGAUUAAUUUCAGUGGCGACUAGCGUGAUUGGUUUCAUGUUAGGGAAACAUAUGAUCUAACUUAAACAAACCCUCGUAGCGUGUUUGUUGGUUAGGGUUGGACUUUUCUAAUUAUUAAUGUAAUCGAGUAAUUAAAUCCUACGGUCGUACCUAAGAUUAUUUCUUGGUUAGAGAAAUAGUUAACGGUCAUACCUUAACUAUCGAGAAAUUAAGAAAAUGCUGGUUGUUCAUCGCGUGUAUGACAACUAUAACUAAUCUAGUAAUGAAUAAUUGAGUUAUCUUUGCAUCGAUGAUCAGUUGAAUGAACCAUGUCUGAAAAAUUGUACCUUUUACUAGAGUCAUAUUGGAUAUUGAUUAUUUCCUAUUUAUUUCUUUUAGUUGUUUCAUUAGUUAGUUAAUUAGUAAUUUUAUAAAAAUCCCCCAUGUACUGAACUUUAGAAGAAAUGAAUUAUCCCCAGUCCCUGUGGAUUCGACCCUACUCACCGCUAUAUACAUAAUCUGUAUUUUUCUCGAGUAGGUAAUUAUUAUUGUACAGGCUCGACACCCUGUCAAUUUUUGGCGCCGUUGUCGGGGACUGGUGCCAGAUUAAUUUGUUUCUUUUUGAGUUCAUCUUGUUUUUAUUUUUUAUUUAUUUUUUUCUUAUUUUUUUUAUAUAGUUUAUGGCUUCCAACAUUCCGUAUUUUGGUGAUAGACUGGAUUUUGUUUCCAGGGUAGGCAAUGAGGCUUGUUUUUUUUCUGAGUUUGCAUAUUCGGAGGCACUAAACUCUCUUAGAGAAAGAAUGGCUGCUGCAACCUAUGAAAUUUGUUAUGCCAGGGAUCAUUCAACCGAUAUGUGCCCCGAAUAUCAAGACUACCUGAGUGAGUAUCUCAAAAAAAAAAUUUGGAGAUUCUUCACCUCAAUCUCAAAUGUGGUAUGACCCUUAUUCAAACGGGUAUGAUCAAGGAUGGUGGGAUAACUCCAACGUUAAUUAUGAAAAGGGGCCAAUGAGUUUUCAACAGCAAGAGUCUCAACAAUCGUCAUUCAUGUCAGAAUUGCCCUCACAAACCAUCAAUGACUCUAAGGAAGGUGAGAGUGCAAUUAUCAUGACAAGUGAUAUGGAACUGCAAUGAGUCUCAAGAAGGAGGAUCCAAAGAUGCAGUUGAAAAGGAAGUUGAAGGGGAAAACAUGAGACUCCAACAUCAAAUUACCCUAGUGAACGAAUCUAGUGAGUAAAUGCGAUGACACCCCCUCCAUCCCUUAAUCUAUAUUCCCCUGACUCUUACUCUAUAACUUCUGUUAAUGAGAUUGAUUUUGUUAUAUCGGAAGUUUUUGAGUCUCAUUGCAGAAAUGAGUUAAGAGUAGCUAUGGUCAAAUAUCUUGAACCGUUGAGUGCUCUUGAUGGAGGAGUGAGUGGAGAAUUCAGAUCAUUGUUGACUUAUUUGGCGCCAUCUACUAGUCCAUGGAAGACCGUAACUCGUGUGCUCAAAUAUUACUCUAUUUACGAGGGCUAUCAGGAGUAUAUAGAGGAUGAAACAUUAAAACGAGCCACAAGAUUUUAUCCUCCAUGAACAAAAUAUGAUAAUGUCUAGCCAAAGACAUUAAAGAAAGACGCUUUUUGGGAGGCAACCCAAUUGUUGAUUUUGUUAUUUUUGUGUUCAAUUUUUUUUUAAUAUGUCGUUUCUCACUUGGAUACUAGUCACUCUUGAUGUUUUCUCACUAUGACCAGGAUAGGUAAUCUUGGCGUGCCCAUGCGAGGAGGGCACGCGUUAAGCAUCUAAGUUCAAGACUCAUGGGCAGUUGACGUUUGUAAAACAUGGCGCGCCCACGCCGUGUUGGUAAAUUCUCAACUUCUCGCGACGGCGGCAGAAAAUGGAAUCUUGGCAUGCCCACACGAGGAGGGCACGUGUUAAAGUGCGAAAAGUGACUCAAGGGCAGUGGACGUUUUACAAUCUUGGCGUGCCCACGCGAUGUUUGACGACCCAAAAAUGAAUUUAAAAAUUUUUUUUUUCAAAAUUCACAUUGAAAAAAAAAAUUCAAAAAUUCAAAAAAAAAAAAUUUUUCUUUUUCUUUUUCUUCAAAGAUUCAAAUUUUGAAAAUUUAAAUUCGGGAAAAAAUUUGGAAAAACCAUUGAAAAAAAAAACCCAAAAACUAUUUUUUUCUCUUUUCUUUUUCUUUCUUUCUCUUUUCUUCCUUUUCUUCCCCGCUUCCCCUUUUCCCCUUUUCCUUUCUUCUUCGCCCGCCUCCCUAGCGAACGCCGCCGCCCCUGCUCCCUCUGCUCUCUCCCUGCCGCAACCUCGCACAACCGCACGCCCAAGCGCGACCAUCGCGCCGCUACUCUCUCAGACACUGCGCCUUCCUCCAAUUCGUUCCCACCUCUGCAGCAGCCUCAGCUCCACCGCCGCCUCCAAGCUCCAAGCUCCACCUCACGGACCACCACCAACUCUCCUUCGCACGCUGGUCGCCGGCUAGCUCUUCCUGCCGCGACCACGCUCGUCCCUCCUCCUCACUCUCUUUCUCCUUGCGCGACCAUCGUGCAGCUGCUCCACCUCGCGCGACCCGCUGCUACUGUCCGUCACCACCCAAGCCGAAUGCCACCAGCAGCUCCCAGCUCUUCCUCUAUUGCCGCACGUCCAGCUCCGCCGCCGCUGCUGCUGUCCGCCAUCUCCUUGCUGCGCAUCACCACCUGUCAAAACUUGACAGGUGGAGGUAUUGAAAUUUCUACCUCGAUCAGUAUUUUUCGGGUUCUUCUAUUGCUGGAAUUUGAGCUUUUGUGUUUGGGUUUCUUGAUGGAUAAAAGAAGGUGUUGAUUUGGGCAUUUUCUAGGGUAAAUUUGGACAGAUUUGGGUUUAAUUGCUGCCAUAUGUGGGGAUAUUUUCUAAUUUUUGUUGAAUUGUUGGUCGUUUGAUUUAAUUCCUCCCUGUGUAUACACCAGUGGUACUGGUUGCGGUGUUGCUUACAAUUCUUAAAUUUUCUCGAAUUAUAAUCGGUGGUUGCUGGAAUUGCCUGUUUGCUGGGAUUCUUAAAAUUCUUAAGGUUUGGUCGCUUGAAGUGGGUAAUUGAAUGUCCAAUUGGUGACAUUUGUUGAGUUUCCCUUGCUCCAAUUGGUUGAAUUCAUUGCUCUGUUGAGGUCCCUGUUAGUAUCGCUUGAGUUCUGCUUUGUUAGUUUCUGUAUUGUGCCCCUUGAUCUUAUUUUGACUAAAUUAGAGACCCAGUGCAUAUUCAUUCAAUUUGCUGUGUUGUUAGGAUACUUUUCUAGCCUUUGGGGUGCCUCAGUUGUGCAUUUUAUUAAUUGGAUUGGCCAUGUGGUUCACUUCUUUCCUGUGCAUGCACCAGUGGUAUUGGUUGUGCUAAUUUGCUUACAAUUUCUUAUUUCGAUAUGGUUGAGCAUCUGUGACUGAGUAUCCUUCGAUUUGCUGCUUUGUUGGGAUUUUUUUUUUUUUGGUGUCAAUUGAGUAUCAUUUGGUACUUUCUGCCUGGAGUCUAUUGAGCUGCCUUUGGUUGGGGUUUAUUGCAUUUAAUUGGUGCAUUGGACAGCUCCUGUGCCAUUUCCGUUGCUUAUUGAAGUAGGUUGCCUCUAUUUGCCUUGUGUGGGAGUAUUUUGUCCUUUUCAUUUCAAUUGCUAAAUUCAUUGGAGCACUUGUUGUGGUUUUGGGAUGCAUUGUUAUUGCAUUUGGCUAAGCAGGGGACCACCCAGGGGCUAAUGACUGGGUCCAACUCCGAAUGCAAGUUGAGAGACUGGAGACUCGAGUGACCCACAUUGACGCCGACUUGCAUAACAUGGCGCAAAAUUUGGCAGCACUCCGCCCGACCCACCCCCUGUUUUGACAACUUCAGGGAAGUACCGUUGCCCUUCUCUUUCCUUUUGCUGUUAGUUUAUCACAUUGAGGGCAAUGUGUGAAUUAGGUGUGGGGGGGGAUCAGUUUGGAUGCUAGUAUUUUCAGUUUUCGAUUUUUAGGUGUUUUUUCUUUGUUUUUAGUUUGAUAUUUAUCUUCUUUUCGUUUAUUUCUUUUAUUCGUGAUCAGGUCUUAUUUGAAUACCAAAUUUUAAUGCUGGAUCAUUGUCUUUAAUGCUGCUUUUGCCAAGUUUUAGUAAAAAAGGGUGAUGCGGAUACGGGGUAUCAAGUUAAUGCGGUUGAGUUCAGAAAUAUCUCUUUGAUGAAUAUUAGUAAUUGCUUGACUUUUCUAAUUUUUGGUUAACUUCUCUAGGCAUAGGGAAUGAUUGUUGGCAUUUUUCAUGUGAAUUGGUCCAAUUAUUAAUUUUAGUCUCCAUGCUUGAGAAUUUGAGGCUGGCUGCUGCUACUCCUGUGUUAUUUUUAGUUAUAUUGUGUUGUUUGGCUAUGAAUAAAAUCGACUGUGCUCCGCUAGUCAUUACUACUGAGUAACCGGGGAUCUUCACCAAAAGUGUCGAUUCUCGCAUUAAAAAGUAGUAAUUGCCAUGAGUGCGUGGUUGUAUAGUGAUAGGAGCUGAGUAAUCGGGCUCUUUCAUCGGACAAAUGUUGGAGUUCGCGUCAAAAGGCUCCGAUGGCUAAAGACUAAGUCUUGGGUUACCAUUAUCAUUCAAUAAAAAAAAAGAGAAAACAGAAAAAUAUGAGAAAAAAAAGAAAAAUAAGUCAACUUGCCUAUUUGUGAUUUUAAUGUGAGAUUUUGAUUAAUAUUUGGACCAUUUGCUGGUAAAUGUGAGCAACCAUUCCUUUUUCUUAGAUUAGUUGCUUUAAAUUGGAGGAGUUGGUGGUUAAGGGGCUAACCGAAGUGAUUUUUCUUUAAUCUCGACCUGUGAUGCUUGAUAUUGGUUUUUCUUGGGUAUCUUGGCAAUACGUUAGUUGGAGCAAUAGCCAUUGUCGAAUUUUUGGUGUUUCAUUGCUGUUCUCAUGCUUGAGGGCAAGUAUGAUUUAGGUGUGGGGGGAAUUGAUAAGGCACAAUUUGUUGUUAAUUUUAUGGUUAAUUUCCCUCUUUGUCCUUACCAAAUAUUGUUUUAAUUGUUGAAAUGUACUUAUAUUUGGUAUUUGGCCCUAAUUACAGGAAGUGGAGCAAACAAGUGGUAAAAAGGAGACUUUAUUGAGAAAAACACUCCACACAUGGGAAGUUCUAAAAGGAAAUACAAGCCGGGCUCCAGAGGAUGCUACAAAAAGGGAUUUCCUAUCUUUAUGCUGAAAAGGGUGGACUUAUACUAGGAGUCUUACGGGUAAGAGGAAACUAAAAACAAGGACUUUGGCAGAGCUCCAAUUCUUUGGCCCUUGGACUCUCAAUUCAGUGGGGACCACCGAGGGAAGUUAGGCAAUUGUUUAGAUUAGGAACAGUGGGUGAUUGCCUUAUUCUUUUUCUCUUCUUAUUCGGUUAGGAGACUAAUCACGUAGGUUUAUAUAUUGGAGGCUAAUGAGCCGCAGGGAAGGGGGGCUUGGACAUUAUCACGUUGGGAAUUUUCUCAACAAAUGAAGAACUAAAUUCUUAUUUUCUAGUCGAAGGUCAAUUUGAGGACUCGGUUCCGAACAUCUGUGAGAUCUAAUUAUUUGACAGGUUGUCGAAGCCUGUGCAAUAAUAAAACCUGCUCAAACUAAAAGUUAAUUUCUGUAGAUAGCAGUAAGCAGGGUCGUAUCCUCAGAGAUUAGGUAUAUUCGCUUCUUAAGAAAUUCAAAGUAACACAGGGGGGUGAUUUUUGUAGGAGCAACAGCAAUUAAAUAACUUCAAAUAAGAAAAUAAAAAUGAAUAACUAACUAGCAAUUAAACCACAAUUCACUGAACUUAGAGCAACAAUAAUUAAAGGCCUAAAUCACUUAGAACAAGGAAACAAUUAAAAAUAAAAUGAAGUAGGCAACUAAAAAGUCAAAUGGCAAUUUACUAAAAUCAAGGUAAUAUUAAUUAAAGAUCUAGCCAAGAAAUAACUUCAGCAAUGGUUCACCUAAUUGAUCAUUGAAGUAAGGGCAAUUCCAAUUAUUUAUCAAUAAAUAGGUUAUAACUACCAAACAAGCGAUGACAGUCAGCUCCUCCUUACUGUGUCGGUGAUCAAGGUACGCCCGUUAAUCACUGCUCUAAUUGAGAAAUAAUCCUAAGUACGCCCGUAGAAUUUAAUUCCCCAAUUGCCUUACGUAUUAGAGGAGCUCUAUUCUAACCAAAUAACACACUACCAGGGUUAUUUUAGGUUAGCCCGCGUAUUCUCCUGACACAAACCCAAUCAUGCCAGUUAUCACUAUUUUUAGACAAUUAAACAAUUACGGAUUUAACGUCCCAAUUGAUAAUAGAUUAUCAAAUCAAUUAAUUAUCCGGAUCCAAGACAAUCAAUUAAUUAAAUAACCAUAAGCAUAGCAAUCAAGAAAUAUGCGAAUACCAAUAAAUAAAAGGAAAAGAUUAAAUUAAAUCGAUCUCACAAUUUUAGGCGAUUCAAAGCAUCCGUUGUUCCUUGACUAGAGUGAGAAAAUUAGCUCAUGUUCGAUGCGAGAAACCCACAAGAAAUUGUAAAGAGAGCUGCGGCCAUUGUCCCUUGAAAUUGGGGAAAUUCAAUUCGGUUCCAAUGUUUGUAAAGAUAGAAAAGCUACAGCAAUUGAUUCUAUGGUUUCUACUUGUCCAAUCAUACGAGAAGGAAAAGGAAAAGCUACUUGAGCCCACAAGGAAAAGUCAAAAGACUAAGCUAAAAGAGACACAAUCCAAAGCUAAGCUCCUAAGCAAUCCUCCAUACGUAAUAAGGAAUUAGCUAAAAGACAACGGGGCCAUCCACAAAAAUGCUCAGCUCUCUACUUGCGGCCGCUCUUGAAAUUGGGGAAAUUCAAUUCGGUUCCAAUAUUUGUAAAGAUAGAAAAGCUACAGCAAUUGAUUCUAUGGUUUCUACUUGUCCAAUCAUACGAGAAGGAAAAGGAAAAGCUACUUGAGCCCACAAGGAAAAGUCAAAAGACUAAGCUAAAAGAGACACAAUCCAAAGCUAAGCUCCUAAGCAAUCCUCCAUACGUAAUAAGGAAUUAGCUAAAAGACAACGGGGCCAUCCACAAAAAUGCUCAGCUCUCUACUUGCGGCCGCUCUUGAAAUUGGGGAAAUUCAAUUCGGUUCCAAUAUUUGUAAAGAUAGAAAAGCUACAGCAAUUGAUUCUAUGGUUUCUACUUGUCCAAUCAUACGAGAAGGAAAAGGAAAAGCUACUUGAGCCCACAAGGAAAAGUCAAAAGACUAAGCUAAAAGAGACACAAUCCAAAGCUAAGCUCCUAAGCAAUCCUCCAUACGUAAUAAGGAAUUAGCUAAAAGACAACGGGGCCAUCCACAAAAAUGCUCAGCUCUCUACUUGCGGCCGCUCCUCUGUGGUAAAAUGAGAAGUUUCCAGGCCGUGCUUUUCUUCCCCAGCAAUUACCGAAAUGGGCCCAAGUGUUUUUUUCUCUUGCCAACAAUGCCCUUAGGGUAAGUUUUAUCAUCUGAACUUCUUUUCUGUCGAAUUAGCACCUGUUAGUAUAUUUUCGUUCUAUUCCCUGAAAUAAAUACAAAAUACUAAAAAUGAGUAGAAUCCAGUAAUUAAUCCGCAUCAUGUCAGGUAAUAGGGAAAAUUAAUAAUAAAAUAAAUGAGAAAAUUACACCCUAUCAAUAUUUUACUUCUUUCUUUUAUUUAUUAGUAUUUGUACGUUUCCUGAUUUAAUUGCUUAUGAUUGUUUUGUCAUUUGAAUGUCAAGGGCCCGAUAUUCGAAUUAACCUAAUAAUCUGCUGUCAUAUUAAUUGAUUGAAUCCGUAAUUGUUCAAUUGAUUAAUUCCAGUGGCGACUAGCGUGAUUGGUUUCAUGUUAGGGAAACAUAUGAUUUAACUUAAACAAACCCUCGAAACGUGUUUGUUGGUUAGGGUUGAAUUUUUCUAAUUAUUAAUGCAAUCGAGUAAUUAAAUCCUACGGUCGUACCUAAGAUUAUUUCUUGGUUAGAGAAAUAGUUAACGGUCGUACCUUAACUAUCGAGAAAUUAAGGAAAGGCUGGUUGUUCAUCGCGUGUAUGACAACUAUAACUAAUCUAGUAAUGAGUAAUUGAGUUAUCUUUGCAUCGAUGAUCAGUUGAAUGGACCGUGUCUGAAAAAUUGUACCUUUGACUAGAGUCAUAUUGGAUAUUGAUUAUUUCCUAUUUAUUUCUUUUAGUUGUUUCAUUAGUUAGUUAAUUAGUAAUUUUAUAAAAAUCCCCCAUGCACUGAACUUUAGAAGAAACGAAUUAUCCCCAAUCCCUGUGGAUUCGACCCUACUCACCGCUAUAUACAUAAUCUGUAUUUUUCUCGAGUAGGUAAUUAUUAUUGUACAGGCUCGACACCCUGUCAAUAUGGAUUAACUUAGUGUUAAAAAAGUUUAACUAUUAACUGAUAGAUUUAUCAAUAUUGCUGGAAAUUGAACAUUUGUUGAUGCAUAAAUAAAUUGCUAAAUUUUUUGUACUUAAUUAAGUACGAAUAUGUAACUAGGUUUAUGGUUAUUAUAAAAAUUGAAAUCAUCUAAAAAUUAUCCAUACACAAAAGGGUAGAAUAUCUAUUGAUUUUUUUAUAUGUGUUAUAAUAUUUGAUGAAUAUUAUUAUAUUAUAAUAAAAGUAUAUAAAGAAUUUUUUAAAAAUUAGGAUGGUAGUUAAGUGUAAUUAUUACAUUAAUUUUCUAAAAUUAAUAUGAAUGAACUUGUAAGAUCAUCAUUAAUUUUUUAUUUAAAUUAUCCAUGCUUGCACGAAUUCAUAAUAAUUUUUUUAAAAAAUAAACCAUGCCAUUAUUUGAAUGAGUAUCAUUAUUUUUAAAUUUCACUAUUUUACUAUUUCACAUUAUCAAAAUUUUCUUCUUUUCUACUGUUUGCCUUUUCAUUUUUAUAUUGCACAAUAAUUUUAUAUUUAUAAAAUUAUAGUUUACAUUAAAAAUUACUUUAUACUUUACUACCCACUAUUAUAUUUAUUUUUACCUUUAUUCUUAUAACAACCCACUGCCAAAUAAUAAUUUAUUUGUAUAUUUAUUCAGGUAAAUAUCAAUUUUCUAUAUAUUUUAUAAAAAAUAUAUAACCAAAUCUUAUACAUAAUAAUUUCAAUGAUUAUUUUUCAAAGAUUUGGGAAAUGCAUCUUCUUGUAAAUUGAAUGAGUUUUUUUUUUAUUUAAAAACUUUUUUUAGGGUUUAACAUAAAAUAAAAAUAAUUGAUUUAGCAAAUUUAUCUGGACCAUUUUCUUAUGUUUGAACUUAAAAAAAAUUAACCACAAAGGUAGCAUAAGUUUUUAAUUUAAAAAAAAAGUAAGCUGCAGGCCGCCGCGCUGAGCCUGCAAGUUUUUUCUUUUUUAAGAGAAAGUUAUGUUCGUUGACCGCCUGCGGCUUUUCUUAACAAAUUUUCAUGGCUAUAUAUAUAUAUAUAUAUAUAUAUAUAUAUAUAAAGAAUUCUCUUGUCUACCGACCCGGUAGGCAUAGUAUUAUACUACAAUGUUGUCAGAACAACAUUGUUCCGACUUUUUAUUUUUUCGGCAAUAACCAGAGUAAUUAGCAAACUAGAGAAAAAGUAACGCCAAAAGCUUCCACGGAAUCCUAGAAUUUACUGCGCCUUCGCCUGAGUCUUUCUACAAUGCUGCUACCCUACAUGCAUUUGUCUUUUCUGAGUCUUUCUAUAAUGCUGUAAUAAUUUUCUCAGCUACCAUAUUAGUAGAUUUUCUCAGCUACGCUAGUCUUUCUAUAAUGCUGUAGUAAUUUUGUCAGCUACCAUACAUGCGUUUAUAUUUUAUUAGGUCUUCGCUGGACUCUAUAUAAUGUAGUAGUAAUUUUCUGUGCUACUAUACAUGCAUUUGUCUUUUCUUAGGUCUUUGAUAGAUUCCUAUUCGCUAGACCAUACAUGCAUUUGCUAGAAAUUGAACAAAAUUUCUUGCUCAAAGAAUUAAGGGCAUGUUCCAGGAUAGUUACACGUGAAGUAACUAUAAUUAAACAUGUCACAAAUGCGUAAGAGUUAAGAAAAUAGUAUGGUCUAAGGAUAGCAGUCCAAAAAUUGAAAUUGCUUAAAAUUGUGGAGGCAGAAGUGGCUGAACUAGCCUUAAUCUUGAUGAUUGUAAUUGCUUCUAGAUAUUGUACUGAUUGAUCCUAUGCACCAAUGGUACUCGCGGGAGACAUGAUUUGGAGGAUUUUGCAGUUUCAAAAUAUCCUUUAUUUCCAGUGCAUUCAGUUUCAAAAGACAAAGAACAAAACUCAAUGAAAUUUUCUCUAUGGUCACAGACAUUAGGAUCUCUUUAUUGUCAGCCAAAAGCAGAAGAAAAAUAAAAAUAAAAAUUUUCAGAGAAACCUGGCUUUGGUCCUGGCCAAACUCGUUCAAUGAUAAUUGCUUCAGGUGCAAAAGAUUAUAGCAAUAAUCAUGUUCAUAAGGACUAACUACACUUUACACCUCUAAAUUUGCACUACUUUUUUGUAUUAUAAAUUUUAAUUUUGGAUGCUUUGUGUUUUAAAUUCUUAAUUUUGGACACUUUGAAUCUCAAAUUUUAAAACUGAGGAGGAUAGGUGCUGGACUAAGGGUCUGUUUGUUUUGGCGGAAAAUAUUUUUCACAUUUUCCGUUGUUUGGUUAUCAAUUAAUUUGGGGAAUUAAUGAUUUCCGAUGGAAAAGAACUUAUACCGAGAAAAGGAAAAUAACUUUCUUGUCUAUCAUUCUGAAGUUAUUUUCCUUUCACACAGUUUUCACCGAAAGAUGGAAAAUCACAGCCUCACUCCACCUCCCAUUAAGACAAUUGAAGACCCACUCCACCACCCAGCUUUCCCCCUCCCCCCCUGCCCUUCUCUCUCUCUCUCUCUCUAGGAUAUCAAAACACCUAUAUUAUCUUUUCUUGGCCCCUAGCAAUGCCAAACUUGAACAAUAGUUUGAAGAGUUAAGAACUCUGGUUUCCCAAUAUCAAGAAAAUAGAGUAGUAUUACUUUGAGUUCGGUCAACUUUGAUUAGUUUUCAUGAGGUACUAACUACACAGUGGCUGCGACUUCUGGUAUCAGGUACCUUUAAUUUACUACCUUUAGUUGCCAUAGUUCACUUAAUUAAUGAUUAUAUGCAUGCAAUCAAUUAAUAAUUAUAUUAAAUUUUCAUAGUCAUCAAUUAAACUUUCAAAUUUUCAUAAAAGAGACUCUUCUCCCCUUAAGGAUUUUUUUAAAAGGAAGAUAAAAAGUCAAUUAAUUAGUAUCAUUAAUAAUUGCAUUUAAGAAUUCAUGGUGUAAUAUGAAUAAAUAUUUUAUAAAAAUGAUAAUAUGAUUAUAAUGGAUAGAAACUAAAAAUAACUUGUAAUAAAAUGAAUGUUUUGAAAGUAGAAAACAUUUGCAACAUAUCAAAAAAUAUUUUACUGACAAACCAAACACCGAAAAAUGAUGAAAAAAGGAAUUUGGAAAAUAUUUUCACUAAAUAACCAAACACUGGAAAAUUAUGGGGAAGGAAAUGAUUUUUCAGGAAAAUGACUUCUUUCCCUAGGAAAAUAUUUUCAGUCCAACCAAACGGACCCUAAAUCACAAAUAAACUGGAUUAAGGUAAACACAGAUGCAGCUCUGAGUAGUAAGAGCAACAAGGCAGGCUGGGGCAUUGUGGCUAGGAAUUGGCAGGGGACGCCGAUUGGUACCUGGGCAAUCCCAACUAGAAGCUGCUCAAGUGCUCAACUGGAGGAAGCAAUGGCAAUUAGAAGGUCAAAAAUGGUGAAAUGCACUGUUUGAAUCUGACCGUAAACAAGUGGUGGACAAGUUAAAUACAAAUGAAGAGGAGGCUGGCAUUGCUACCAUUCUAUUGGACAUUCGAAAACUAAAAGAGGAUUUUGACGAAUGUUGCUUUUCCUUCACAAAGAGGAGAAACAACUCUGUAACUCAUCACGUAGCAAAAUUUGCUAUUAGUCUGAUUGAUAUAGCUCAAUGGAAGUACGACUUCCCAAUUUGGCUGCUGGAAUUAGUCCAAGCAGAUUCAGUCGAGCAGUUGCUCUAAGUGUGUACUUUAUAUGGGGUUAAUAAUAUGUUAUCAUUUUGGAAAAAAAAAAUCUCAAAUUUUCAAGUUUAUCCUAUUUAAAUCCUAUCAGUGACAAUGAGAACAUAGAAACUAGAGAAAAUAUCAGGCCAAAAGGAUCCAACAAAUCCUGCAAUUGACUCAAGUCUUUGCUAAAUUCGUUUCAUAAUGCUGCAGUUAUUUCCUAUGCUACCAAACAUGAAUUUGGCUUUUCUCAUUUAAAUCCCCGCUGUCAAACAUAAUUUAUUAAAUCAGGUUUUGCAAAUAUAAACUAAAGGAAAGUCAUGCACGAGCCUGGACUUCUCUACUAUAAGCUUAUUACUACAAACAAAAAAUUUGCAUCUCCACAUUAAUACGAAAAUUGCUAAUAAAGGACAAAUUAUUCCUUAUUAAAACUCAAAUACUUGACUGUUUACUUCAUUGCUUGAUGCUUAAAACUAAACUGCAUAUGUGUGAACACACAAAAACAUUUGUUUCUGAUAGUUACAGCCUUAGCCAGGCCUUAUCAACAUCUCAUUCAACCUGCCUUAGAAAAUAGAAAGAAAAUCACAUUCAAUUCUCAAUUCUUUAUUUUGCACUAUUUUGUUGGGUGAGCAAUUAACAGGCACGUGAAAUAGUGGCUCAAUGGGGGAAGAAAAAACGAGGGCUAUUCCUUUUUUGUUUUUGGAUUGCGUGAUCAAUUAACAGGAAACGAUAUAAGCAAAACAAUUCUUCAUGUUCAGGCCCUUGAUUUUCCUUUGUGAAUAAUGAACUGAAAAAAGAAACUUAAAAAUACUGGUUCAAUUGAAUCUUAAAAUUAAUGCAAAACAUGGACAUGAAUGCUGUAGUGUCUGAAGUACAAUCUCGAUUUAGUACAAGACCUCUGAAACUUGAAUACAUAAUGUUCCAGUUCCCCAAUUUUAAAACCUCUCAAGCCUGGCCAGAUUCUUCAAUUCUCGAUUCUCAAUUAAUGGCUUCAUGUAUUUUCCGUUAUGAAAUUGACAAAGUCUCCAUUCUGGAGCUCAUUUCCAGUUGUCUCGGAUUUGGUAUCACUUGAAACUGGUCUGUAUCAGGGCCGUCAACAAAAACCAGAGGAAAUUUGCAGCGCUCAGACCGGCAAGCACCCAAUAAUAGUAAUUCAAGUGACUCUCAUUCAAGUCAUGCUGAAACCAACUCUUUUUCCCUCCUUUCUCGCUAAUCUUGCCCACCAAAUGAACUGAUAAAACACUUCCCAUGAUUCCCAGACCGGAUAAUCCAGGAUUGAGGUAGACAAGGUACUUUUUCAUCGAUGGGGGACUUUGAUCAUUCAAGAAUUCUGCAACACUGUUCUCAUAAAAUGAGUCUAGCCCACCAAGAAGAAAGAAUUGCGGAACAAGCAAAAAGACAGUCAUGGGGAUUUUCUCGUUAGGCUUGUCAAUUAAACCAUCACUUCUUAUCACAUGUAUCCCGUGAGUUUCUGCAAUGGCCGCAAAUAUGCAACAUAAUGCUGAGCAUAUUGUAGCUAAUGCAAUUCCAGUUGCUGGUGCAUACCUUCUUCCGCCUGCCACUUUCAUACAGUUGUAUACCCUUUUAAAACCCAACUUCGCUGCUUCAUAUAGCAACAGAAGGGUUGAAUCAGGAAAUUUCAAUUUCCCAACCUUGUAAUUCAGGUGGCUUGCUUGCUCUACGAAGUAUGUGUUUCCCACGGAAGUAACUACAGAACAAAUUAUGCAGGUGAUCCAAACUGGAAGCAUACAGAUUAUGACCCGUCUUUCUUGACUUUGAGUCCUGAAUCUGAUAAUAUCCCUGUCAGAGAACCUAAGCAAAGGAAGAGAACAGCAAAAAAAUUCCUAUGGUCAGAAGUUUCAUUAUCUCUUACUUGAGAACAAAGAAAUAGAUCUGUAUUUGAUUUAUGGAACACCCGACACUCUAUUCCUUUUCAAGUGAAAGUUGAAAAACAGGGAAGAAGGGCAAAAAUUAAGACUAUGAUCAGGAAGAGGAAGAUGGAAAAGGAAGGAUGUGUGGGGUGAACCCAAGUCUGCUGCCCUGGUAUUCGCAUGAACCCUGAAUGAAAAGAAGUGUUGCCGCCAGUGUGAAAAUUGCUGGAAUUCCAAACCGAAGUUUCCAUGGGUGUAUGUAUGGAAGUGCAAUUAGUGCAAUAACCGCGACAAUGAGCACAAAGAUAACGCCUAAUGAUCUUAGGCCCGAUAUGCUGCUUCCGUUUCUUUGGUUCUGUCUCUUAACAAGCUCCAUCAUUGCUUCUACUGGUUGAAACUGAAGUUUUGAUAUAUCCUCUUCAGGUUGAGGGCUUUGUUGCCUGUUGCUUGUUUUAUCAACAACUUGGCUCCUUUCAAGCUGAUCCAAUGCAAAUGCAGCUAAUGAAACAUUGUGCCCACUCACUCCAACAGCUGUCAACGCCAGACCUGUGUAAAAGAUAGCCUUCUGUGUGUGACCAAUGCAAUUAGGCUGGUAAUUAGCACAGAUGUGCAUUAACUUGUGCAGUGCUGGUGGCGUAGACAUUGACAGAAAACCCAAGCCCUGCUCAUAAUUUUGGAUAAUCAGUUCAAGAAAGUCCAGUAAAACUGGAAGCUAUACUUCUAUCAAGUUAGGCCGUGAAAUUGAUGACUAAAUGGAAGGAGGGGAGGAAGAACUGUGAAUGAAUUUGCCGACAGGAGAACUUACAGAGGAAAAGGCUAUACUUGAGAGAAGCAGUAUCCAGUAGUUAUCCACUCCAAAGUCCCCAAAUAAGAAAAGAAUAAAAGGGACCAAUUUAGUUAGGCCAGUGUAUACAUUCAUUAUUCCUGCAGCAUGAGUAAACCCAACUUUCCAAACAUCUGUUAAGUACUUCUGCAUUAUCCACGUCACGUAAGUCGCCAACAAAUCAGCCCAUAUCAGAACUGUUAACAAGCAGAGGAAGUUAAAGAAUGACAAGGCCUUUGAUGACUCUGAGAUGAAUUAAAAGUACCCAUUAUUCUGACAAAUGCCAUUGCUUUUUCGAACUUCUCGUUGAAAUCCUGAGUGUGAGAAAAAUACUAUCAGAACAAAGGAAAUUAAGCUGACGAAUAGAGCAGUUUCAGAACCAUAUGGUGGCCAUAGCAAGCUGAAAGAAACCAGAAUUAAUAGUUUGGAUUGAGGUUUUUCUUUAAUUACCUCCAGCAGCUAUGUGUUCUGCUGGUCUGCGAGGGAAAAAGAGAGACGGAGAAACUUCUCUGCAAGAAGUCGUUGUUAGGAAACUAGUUUAAUUUCUUUUAAACAGAUUCCUUAUUUUGUGUGAAAGUAACUAGAUUUCUAAUUGAUUUUAGUUACUUAAAUAGUAGUCAAGGAAUUUCCUAUGUGUACGAGUUUAGGAAAAGGAGUUAUUUCCUAUUCUAAAUCAGGGCAGGAAUUAGGAAUGAUUUCCUAUUAUUAUUUGGGUUUUGUCCAAAUAAUGUUCCUUAUAAAUAGGUGGGUUAGCAUACUACAUACAAGGGCACACAAGGGGCGACAUGUAGCCUUAUACAUGGAUGGUGAAAGAGGGUUCUUGGGAGAUGAGAGAUGAUAUGAAAGGAUUGGAUUUGGAUUCAAAUUGUAUUCUUGUAUAGAGUUUUUCUCUCAUAAUGAAGAACGAGUUUCUCUCCGGGGAUGUAGGUUUAAUGGUAGAGUCGAACCAUGUUAAAUAUUGUGUGUCGUUUAUCUUUUAUGCUUAUGGUUUGUUUAUCAUUAAAUUAUUAUAUACUUGAUAUUUCAAUAGUUGUUUGUUCCGCGCUUUAAUCCUAACAAGUGAUAUCAGAGCUUGGUUGUGAGAUUGAGCGGCUCACAAGUACUUGAAUCCCAACAAACUGAAUGGUUGAAUUAAGAGUUUAUUUGUUCAAGGUUGGAUCCUGGUUAAUUAUUGAGAUCAAGUGCGUUGGUGGCUGUUACCAAUUGAACAAUUUAAUGGGUGUUAUUCUUAUUUCAAAAGUUUGGUAAGAAACAUUAAAAGUGAAGAAUGGAAAGUUGAAAAACAUGAAGAUACUUGACAGUGAAUCUAUACCGGUGAUUUAAGAGUCAAGAAAAAGAUGGAGUCUAAUGUCGAUUUUUGAACAUAAAUCGUUGGGUUGAUAUCUGCUUCGGAAGCUGCCUGUCCUUCAACUGUAUAUCUAUUAGUCUCCACAGUCUUAUUGCACCUUUGCUCUUGACUAUCUUAACUCUGUGGCCUCAUCUACAGCUGCACUUCCGCACCUUCUUUCCUUCAAAACCCAUCCUUCUAUUGUUUCAAAUGAGGCAACAUCGUAGCUUUGGAUAAUUUUAUAUGUGCUCACAGUUCACAAUUUGAUACAUUGAAAUUAUCUUCUCCAUAAUUUCGAGACCACCAACUGUGUGGCUCCAAAUUCGAACUUUUAUUGGCCUGGUCCAGUUUGCUUAGUAAACCGAGAGUUCGCCUCUCACGAUUUACAAUCCAUCUAUUUGUCUAUUAGCAGCUAGGAAAAAUGACUUGUUUCGUCUUUUACAUUUUGAUGAAAAAUUAAUUUUAUUAUUUACUUUUAAUAUAAAGUAAAUUAGUCCCUCAUAUUUUAAAGUGAACCAAGUUAGUCUCAAAAUAACCUGAUAUAGUCAUAUGGAUCUUACACUUAAUCAACAUAAAAAGAAAAUAAAUUUAAAAUUAUAACAUAAAUUACAAUCCAUUUUCUCUAAAAAAAAUUAAAAUUUUUUUAAAAAAUGACAUUAAGCUAACGUAGGAAGGGAAAAAUUAAAAUUCAUAUCAUAAAAGAAACCCCCAAGUUACAAAGUUUUACAACUAAAAAAUGUUUAACUUUUUAUAGAGAAUGGUUUGUUUUAGAUGUUAUAAUUUUUAAUUUUUCUCUUUUUUAGAGAGAAUAGUUUGUUUUAGAUGUUAUAAUUUUAAUUUCUUAAGAGAUAAUUGUUUAUUUUUGAUGUUACAAUUUUUAAUUUUUCCCUUUUUAUGUUGACUUAAUAAAAUUUCCUAAUGAAUUUUUAAUUUUAAAUUUUUUAAAAGAAAAGGGUUUUUUGUCAUAAUUUUUAAUUUAUUUCAUUUUUAUAUUGACUUAAUCACAUGUGCAUAUCAAGUAUAGUUAGAUUUGGAAGAAAUUAAAGUGACUGUUUCUAUUUCACCCCUAAAAUCUAUAUCAGGUUGUCAUUUUGGGACUAACUUGCUUCAUUUUUAAAUAUGAGAAACUAAUUUGAUUCAUUUUUAAAAGGGAAAUUUGCCAAAUUGGUCCCUAACAUUUACCAAAAACACUUUUUUAGUUUCUAACAUAUAAAAUCAGCCAAAAUUGUCCUUCACAUUUAAAUUGUGAUCCAAUUUGGUCCUAAUGCUCAUUUUUGCUCCUUUCUCCGGCUAAAAAUAGCACGCCUCUCUCACGUGGCCAUAUUUUCAAGGGCAAAAUUGGAAAACACAAAUCCCAGAUCCACUGGGGACGAUCCCUGACCUCACGAUCUUUAUCUUGUUUCGAUUCUCUAAGGACAGGUUCACCACAACGGUGACUGAGUUCACCUGAACAGAAGCAUAUUUGGAGGUGAUCAAAAGAGGGAGUGAAGUAAGGUGAGGUGAGGUAUGCGACGCGCGCCAGUGGCGUCGAGCAGCGGCGGCGGCUGCUUCUCGUGGAUGCGGGCUGCAGCGUCGGGGCAGGCAGAGGAUGAAAGAGAGCCGCGCAGUGGCGACGCGCUGAGCAGCGGGCGGCGUGCGCUGGGGUCGCGGGUGAGCUGGUGGAAGGAUGCGGUCGACUAAAGAGAGAGACGAGGGCAGUGCGCAGGGCAGCGGAGCAGAGAUCGCGCGACAGUAGAGAGAGGCGGCGGACAAGCGAGGUUGGAGGGGCGGAGGAUGCGGCGGCGGUGAUGAGGGCUCUCGGUCGCGAUGGAGAAGAAGAAACAGGGGACAAGAAGAAAGAAGAAAGCUUUUGUUUUCCAAUUUUGCCCAUGAAAAUAUGACCACGUGAGAGGGGCGUGCUAUUUUUAGCCGGAGAAAUGAGUAAAAACGAGCAUUAGGACCAAAUUGGAUCACAAUUUAAAUGUGAAGGACAAUUUUGGCUGAUUUUAUAUGUUAGGGACUAAAAAAGUGUUUUUGGUAAAUGUUAAGGACCAAUUUGGCAAAUUUCCCUUUUUAAAAUGUAGGACAAAAAACAUUUUUUCCAAGAUGUGAUGAUUGAAAUUCAUCAGACCAUCAUAUUGACUUAGAAGAAAAUAAGAUGAAGGCAAAAGGUUAAUUGAUGAUUGAAGUUCACUAUAUUAUUGACUGAAGACGGAAAAAAAAAAAGAAGAAAAAGUGGUUACGGAAAUGAAGACAAAGCUGAAAACAGAAAAGAGCCCCAAUAUGCUCUGGAAUAUGAGGUGCGAUUUGGGGAGAAGGGGUUUUUGUCAAUGGUGUAGACAAUAUGCGUUUCCUUUUUUACCCACAAAUAAAGAGCAAGAUUAUACCACUCUUUCCACCCAAAAUAACAAAAAAAAAAAAAAGAAAAAAGAAACCACAUACACAAACACUCAAUUUUAUUUUAUUUUUACAGUCCUAAUGAAACUUUUAAUAACUGCCAAUAGCUUACUAUCUUCGAAAAAGCUUAGUAUCUUCUGAAAAAAAGGAAAAAAAACUCUCAUUAUAGGCCUAAUAAAACCCUCCAAUACUUGCCAUUGCUUUUUUUUUUUUUUUGUGUUAAAGGUUUUCUUCCCACUACAGCAAGUGGUUCUUGGAUGAACCCAAAUUUUGUAGGAGGCAAAAGGCUGGGCCAAGAUAGGACUCGUAUAAGGACUUAAUGGGCAACACUUCUGUGGGUGAUUGGAGUAACGGCUAAUAGAAUGACAAUCGCCAAGCAAUCAUUGCUGUGUGAAAAAUGUCCUUUCCGCUUUAGUAUUAUAGUAGUCUGCGGGCCCGCGCCACGCGCAGGGUAGGCAUAUGUAACCCCUGUUAAUAAUUUGUGUUUGUCUAGUAAUAUUUUGUAAAGUUUGUUUUGUAAAUAUUGAUGUAGGAAAUAAUUUUAUAAUAUGUAAAAUAAUUGUGAGCUAGUUAUUUUUGAUUAAAUGAGGAUUAUUGGAAGGAUUGUUGGUAGGUUAUUGUAUAAAAUGUAGUUUAAUGUUGAAUAAAAAUAUAGCAUAUAUGUGCUGAAAUAGUAGAAUAUGAGAAUAGUAUUGAACGGUGAAAGUGUAAUCUUUAUAGUUAUUAUUUUAUAUUGCAGGAACUUCUACAAGUUUGACAUCCAAUAUCUACAUUUGAUAUUUGUUCAUAAUUAUGAGAAUAUAGUCUGGACUAAUAAUAUGGUAUUGUAGCAUUUUUUUCGAACUUUGAUGUUCCAACAUCUGUGUUGGUAAGAAAAGAUGAAUAUGCUAUUUUUGUUUGGCAAUAUAUGAGCAACAUCGUCGUGUUAGAGUUCUUGCAAAAUAAAAUAGAUGAUUACAGUAAACAUGUAUGAUUUUUUCUUUUUUUUUUAAUGUCACCAUCCAAACAAAACUUCUGUUGUUUGAAAGGAUAAUCAGCAUUUAAUGCUAGAGAAAAAGUAACACUAUCAAUGGGAAAUAAAAAAAACGCAAACUCAAAGUGAGAAUUUUCCAAUGAAGAAGGCUGCAUUCAAUAUCACAUGAGGAGCUACCAGGGCACCGACGCAAAUGGACCGCAAUAGCCCAAAAAUAUCAAUCCAUACCGAAAUAACCAACGGACACCCUUUUUCUGUUCAUUCAGUCAACUCUCACUUUUAUAUAGUUAGAUUAGAUUAGAUUUGGAGAAUUGUUAACGGCACUCUAUUUUUUUUUGCUAGUGACAUUUCCAUUAUUAUUUUUAACAUAUGAUAUUUAUUUAUUAGACUAUAUGAUAAAGUAAAAGAUGGGAAUGCGAUUAACAAAUAGUGAAGUGUGUUAAUAUUUCCAUUGUAUUUAACGGAUAACUAGAGUUUUAUGUAUUAAACUUUGUCGUGCUUUAUGAGUAGUCACCUUUAAAUGUCGAAAAAAAUGUAUUGUUCUUUAGUACACUUAGUGAUGAUUAGAAAGAUAAAAACAUAGUGCUAAUAUGUAUUUUUAGUGAUAUUGUACAUAAAAGCGUGUUACGGCAAAUUCUUACUAUGGUUAAUUAAAAUUUUAGUUUCAUGGACACAUACCCACAUUACUCUACUUCAAUCAAAAUUACAUAAUCAUCAAUCAUCACGAUCAACGUACUUUCAAAUACAAUUUGCAAGAGAAAUUUUUUCCUCAUAAAUUUCUUAAUAAACUGUGUCAAGGGCAAAAUUUUUGAAUUUAAUGGAAGAUAUUUCUUUCUUGUUAUAUGAGAUAAAUGUACUUGAUAAAUUUCUUUUUUUAUAUUAUUGAAAGGAUUUGUCACAUUUGAGAUCAAGUGAAGGUGUGUAUUUUAUAUGUGUUUAACUUAGCCAAAGAGUCUCUUUCUUGAGUAAUUUAGUACAGUCAAUUUGUUCAAAACGACAUCAUAUUUAUAUUAUGGAGUUAUAUAUAACAUGUUGCGAAAAGAAAAGAAAAAGUUGGCUAUUAACAUCUUGAAAACAUAGAAUGUAAAAGAAAAGGCCAUAAAUAAAAUACUUUGUUUUGUUGUGAAACUAUAUCUUAUCUCUGUUAGCAUUCAUCAACUUUAGAAUAACGUAGCUUGGAAUUUAAAAUGGUACUAUUAAAAUCAUGUUAACACUUUGAAUAAAUUAUAAAUGAGCUCCCCUAUUGUUUAAUGCUCGUUUGUAUAAUCCUUUACUAGUUACAAAAUCAAUAAAUGAGCUCCACUACUUGGGCUGCUGGAAGUCAUCCACUGUAAAGAAGUCACUGAAAAUGUCAAGGCUACCCCAUUAAAAGGCGCCACAGUUACUGCCCAAAAAUUCUGAAGUUCUCUAUUUUCUUCCAUUGGCUUCUUAGUUUCUACUUUCUAUUACAAAGGUAUUAAGGAGGACAACUUCCAAUAGUUUGAUACUUUCAAAGGGCUACGUGUAACUUUUGAAACAUAAGAGAUCGUGUGAUAAACUUUAAAUUGCAGUGAUUUAAAAAGGAUAGGUUCAUUAGUUUGAUACUUUCAAGGGGGUUGCAUGUAAUUUUUGAAAUAUAAGAAAAUCAUGUGAAAAAACACUAAAUUAUAGAUCAUUAAAAAAAAUUUACCCCUGAUUCUUUCUAAUAUGGUAAAUACACAUUAAAUCAUACCAUAAGCUCUUACACAUGCACUGAAAGAAUAAGGGGGCAAGGUGGAGAGGAAAUUUAAUGACACAAAACCCCCUAGUGUUUUGCGGUAUUAACACAUUCCUACCCAUGACAGAGAUUCUAUGCUCUGCUAUUAUAACUUUUGAAACACACACAACAACUGCUGAUUAUGUCAACUGGUUAGUUUUACAUCGUCUCUUGAAUGAAAACAAAGAAGAUGCUUGAGAUUAGGACAAAUGGGAAGAACCCCAGCUUAUGUAAUGUUAAGCAGACUGUACAAAUUGACCAUUUCAUUUGCGCCUCACAACAUCUGUUUCUGAUUGUUGGGGCCUUCAGUUGUGGAAAAAAUCUAGGAGGGUUGUCGGAAUAGUGGUCUGACCCAAGAGGCAUGAGAAACUAGGGCUGUCGAUCGAGUCUAAUGAGUCGGAUUUUCAUGAGCUUGAGUCCAGUUCAUUUAAUUUAUUAUAUUUUUGGUCUUCGAGCUUAAGUUUCGAAUUAAUAAAUGUGAAAUUCAUAUUCAAUUCACAUAAUAUUCGGAUUGUGAGCUUUAUUUAGGCUUAGCCCAAGCUCACUUAUUACCUUAAUUUUCUAUCUUAAUAUAAUUACUGUGACGCCCCCACUUCUCCCUAAGGCUAAUCAAAGGGUAUCCGCGGGACGCCUGCCUAGCUCUCGCCAGGACUCAAGCAAUUCCAUUCAAACUUAUUAUCGGACCACACAAUACGGUCAAUAACUUAGAUACAAUAAAUGCGGAAGCGUUCAAGUUUAAUAAAAGUCAUCCGUUAUCCAACCCGCACAUCGGGUGUUCAACAACCAUCAUAAAUUCCAAAUAUACAUCAUGCCCCAAAAGUUACAUUCGGAUUCCAAAAAUACAACCCAAAAGCCAAAAUAUAGUCAAAAGUAAUAGAAACCCUAAACAAAAGCGUAUCAGGAAGGUUUCUUCGAUACCUCGCCAAGUUCAAUCCUGUUAAGGAAAACAAAUCUACAGGGUGAGCAAAAACGCCCGUGAGGCCAAGAACACAAAUGCAGGCACAUAACUCAGGUAACAAGUCCCAAGUAACAAUUCAAGUAAUAAUUUGCAAGUAAUUAAUAAUGCCAACAAAAUAUAACCAAAAACAAUUCAAGGAUAUGGUAGCUCUCAGGAGUUAAGUUCCACAUUUUGCCGAUGUCAUUCGUAUACCUCCCCGCGAUGACUCUCCGUCAACCGGGUUGAUAUUUCAUAUCCGUAGUUCACCACUUACUUCUCAUCCGUCCACCCCACACCGCUUCAGGCCCGCACGACAUUUAGAAGGCUAUACUCCACGAGUAUGCCAAGCGAGAUCUCUCAAAUAGAUCAAGCUUAUCAUGUAAUUCUCAUGGCUCACCAAGGUUCCCGACCAGGCCCAUGCCGGCUCGAGUUCCAAGGUCGGCCUAUGAGUUUGGGCAUCGCCCAUGUAUCAUGUAAGUGUCGAGGAGAUUCACUCCAAUGACGUAUGCAGCCAUAACAUACCAUGUCAUGUAUUCAAGCAUUUGAUAGAUCUAAGCAGGUAUUUCAAGUCAUGUAAACCAGGUAAAUCAUGUUAUGUAUGAGUCAUUUGUUUUCAAAUGAGAACGAGUGCGAUAAAGUACACACUCGACUCCAUUUUUAAAAAAAAUCAAGUAGGCUAAGCAUGUAAUCAAAUCCAUAGAGUUUAAGUAGUCAAACACUUGACACUCACCAAGUUACGCAAGCAAGCAGGUUGGAUUGAGUGUUCAAACUUCCACGGUAGGGUCCUCUUGGAGGUCCUCGUGCGUGCCUGAACAUCGAAUAGAAGACCAUUACUAUAGGUCCCUAAGAGACGAGGAGAUCGAACACAAAUGUGGUCUGGAAAAAUUUUGGAAAUUUCGUUUGAGUUCGUCUUUGAAGUUGGAUUCGCAAAAAGGUACGAGACUCGAGUAAUAUCGGAUUAUUAUUCUUGAAAUCAUUGGAUGGAAACGAGUACGUGCGAAUAAAUCUCAAAACGAACGACCAAAGUUGAAAGUGGACUGGCCACAUCACAAUCCGGCCGGAAUCUGGCCGGAUUCAAGGCCGGAUUCUAGAAAAAUGCUUCCCACGCGGAUUUCUUUUGAAAUUCCAGAAUUCUCGAUUUUUGGUAAAAUCUUUGAAAAAUCAUAACUUCUUUUUUACUAGUCAAAAAUUGAUAAACUCGGUACCGUUGGAAUCUUCUUUGAAAGUACUAAAAGUUUUUAGAAGACACUGUUCCAUGAAUCUAAAUGGAAGGUAUUAAAAAAUGAGCUUAAAGUUGCUGUUCCAGAUCACCCAGAAUUGAGCCGGGGUUGGUUUUUUGCUAACUUUGGAAAUUCGGCAGAAUUCACUCGUUGCAAACCAGCCCUUGAAAUUUAUAGCUCAAUUAUAGGUGCAAGUACGGUUUAGGACAGAACAAGCGGAUUGAGAAUCGGAGUUUUGAUCACCAAGAUAUGGUAGCUCAAAGUUGGGAAAAAUUCAAGACUGGAGAAGAAUUUCCAGAUUUGAACUUCCAACAUUGGAAGUUUAGUUAGGUAUUGAAACGAACUUGGAUUGGUACCAAAAUUGGCAGUAUUUUACUCUUAUAUGAAGGGUAUCUCUCUAUCAAGUUUCAUAGAAAAAUACCUUCGGGAAGGCAGUCAACGAACCAACUGAAGUUUGGAAAAAUUCUUAAGGCAAUCUGCCUUUAAUCCAUUUCUUUCCAAAUCCAAUCGUUUGGCUAAGAAAAUCCUCCAAUCAUGAUUCAUAUGUGAAUGGAAAGUCUAAGGGACAUUCAUGGUACAUUUGGUAGGUGUUUAACACCAAGAAUUUCAUUUAGUAAGACCACAACAAGUCUCAUCUCAAAUCUGUCCAAAACUAAGUUUUUCCAAAACAGAGCAGUGUUCUUGUUUUGAUCACAACUCAGUCGAAUUAACUCGGAAUUGAGAAUGGUUUAUGGCGUUGGAAAAUAAAUUCAUAGGGCUAAAAAUUCUCAGAAGAAAACGUUUUGAAAUUUGGCAAACAACCAGCUCGAAAUUGAGCCUCAAGUUGCUGCCUCUACAAAUCAUUCCAACAGAAUGGAGAAACAGGACAGCUAUCUUAAAACGAAUGGUUCGACUCCUACAUAUGGAAUCAGAAGGUGCAUUUUAUACCGUUGGAAAGGUAUGGAUGUCUAGUUUCAAAUGCCACCAACGGAACUCGAUUUUGACAUCGGAGAACAAAGUUAUGGUCGAAAUACUACCGCUGGACAGGGUUAUCCGAAAACAGUUUUCCAGCUUGACUAGUUCACAAAUAAAUUCAUUUGCCCAACCAAACGUUAAUGUUUUCCAAUGAAAAUUUUUACACAUCUACUACAACAUAUAAACAUCAGGUUCAAGCCAUUAGAUCAUCAAAAAUUGGCCUUAUCAUGGCCGAAAAAAACAGGGGCAGUUUCAGAAAUUUUUGUCAUGGCCUCAACUUUUGAGUUUCCAACAAUAAUACUCCAUAAAUCUAUCAUUUUAACCACUAAACUACCACUAUAAACAGCAUCAAUCACCAUAACAGCCAUCAAGACAGAGGUGGGAGUUCAUAGAGCCCACCUUCCAUUUUUUUCAACAACAACAACAACCCAUAAGAAAUUAAGAGCUAAAAGAUAUACUAGAACUUCCAAAAAUUGAAGUUAGAAGGCUUGAUCAUGACUUACUCUAGUUGAUGUUCAAGUCAGAAAUUCAGUCCCUCCUUGCUCCUAAGUGAGCCGUGAAAAGCCUCCCCUUUUUAGCUAGAUAUGAACUCCAAGGCUUAGGCUAAGUAGUGCUAAAAUUUGAGAAGAUUUGGUGGUGAUUUGAGUGAGUUUUGUAGAGGAAAUGUUGGAAAGUUUCGGUUGUUCCUUUGCUGUCUGCUAGCCGGCCAUGGAAGCUUGGAGAAAUGAAAUGUUUGGUCUGAUUCUAUUGUGUACAAAGAAAGCUUAACGUCUAAUAGUUUAAGUGCGCAAAAGUCAUCCGCCAAUAGUGCGCAUACGCGUGCGUUUUGUGCUUGAUUUCUCUUAAGUUUGUUGCACUAGUGCACUAAACCUCUAGGGCACUUACAUUCAUAUAAAUAUUAUUCAUUCUUAAUUGUCCCAAAAUAAUGGUCCAAAGUCCCUCAAUUAAGCGCGCACGUGAAAACACGUAUUUCCAAUUUAGGCGCAAUAAAGUAAAAUUUUCGAGAAAUUCUUAUAACGAUCGUACCACUAACUAUCAUAUGAGUAUUUAAACCUAAAUUUACCUAUUUUAGGACCAUUGUAUAUGUCUCAAAUUUUUGAGCUUAUUGAACUCCCAAUUGGCUAAAGUUUUCAGACACGUUUUCACUUUUCCACUAAUCAAGCUUUUAAGAAAAUAAUUUUUGAAACGAGACACUUUAAAAAUAUAACGAAACGAUAAAACUAUGUACUUAGGUCUAAUAAGGUUAGAAAAUAUUAUUCGUGGCAAAAAUCCAAAUAAAUAAUUAAUUAAGCUAAAAUUAGAGAUUUUAAAUAAUAAAAUUUUCGAGUCCUCACAAUUACUAUAACUAUUAAGUUGUAAAACUAAUUUAACAUUUACAAGACUAUAAUAUUAAAACUAAGCACGAACAAAUAAUAAUUCUUCAAAAGUACAGAAACCAAAAAAUUUUCAACAAUAUUUAUAUUUAAUUCUUUCAAAAUACAUGAAAAAUAGUAAUAAAACAUGUGGUCAUAAGCCAAUACAUCUUUAAAAGUUGAAACUUUUUUAUAACCUUGUGAUUUGAAUCCAAACAUGCUUGAUGAUUUGUGUUUCUAGAACAAAAAGAAAUCAACUAAUAUUAUACCAAUACAAAAAUGUACUCAACCAAUAAGAAAGGUAGAGAUUCAGUUAUGCAUUAUUAAUAUUGUCUCUCAAGAAAGCUCAUAAAAGAGUCUUCGGGUGUAUUUUUGUAUUUUGUAAUUUAUAUAUAUUUAGUAUUUAGUAAAAUAUAUAUUUGGAUAUAUAAUUAUACAUAAUAUCAAAAUAUAAACAUUAUAUAUAUAGGUAACUAAAGGAUCGGACAUAUAUUGGGCUUGAGCCUAAUAAGGCCUAAAUUCGACUCAUAUUUAAUUCGAGCCUAAUUUUUAAGUUCAAUCUCAGACCGGCUCACUUAAAAAUCGGUCUUAUUGGACUUUUUGUCAAGCCGAACAAGCUGUGCACGGGCUGGCCCAACUCCAUUGACAGUCCUACAAGAAAUUGUUGUCCUUAAGGAUAAAAAUGUACCCAAAUAAUAAUAAUAAUAAAUAAAAGGAAAAUGACAAUCUACUUUGGCUACUUUGUUCUGCCCAUUUUCUAGUUCUUGAGAAAUAAAACGAGAACAUAUUUAUAUUUGGAAGUUUUCAAGCACAUCAAACUUAAAGGAAUUUAACAACUCAUAUGAAGGCUGUACUUAGGGGUGGCAAUUUUCGACACAAUCUGAAAACACGACACGAACCUAACACGAAAUUAAUGGGUUUAGGUUGAGGUUUUGGGAAUUCGGGUCAGAAUCGGGUUGGACCCGAUGAACCCGAAAAGAAAACAGGUCGAUUUCGGGUCAACCCGUGGUGACCUGAUAUGACCCGUUUACGAAUUAAAAAUAAUUUAAUAAACAUAAAAAUAAUUUUAUCUAACUAAACUAAGUUAUUCUUUUUUUCAAAGGCAUUAAUUACUUAAUCCUAAAUGAAUUUAUUUAAUUUGUGUGAAGUUGAAAUUAUUAUAUUUGGACAAAUAAUAUAUUAUAUUAUUUUUUAUUUUUAUACUGUUUUAAUUUAUUUUAUAUUUUGUUUGGGAUAAAACACUUUUACGGUGUUUAAUUUAUUUUAGAUUUGGUUUGGAAUUAUUUAUUUAAAUUUUUAUUACUUGAUUAUGUAAUUAGUUUUGUGAGAAAUUGAUUUUAUUAGAAAUUACAGUGAUAAAUUAAUAAAUUAAAAUUAAGUUUCGGGUCAUUUCGGGUCGACCCGCCAACCCGCCAACCUGAAAUUUUCGGGUUCGGGUCAGCAUACCUGACCCGUCACGGGUUGGCGGGUCGGGUUCGGGUCAACAGAUUUUCUGACGGGUUGACCCGAACCCGACCUGCCAACCUGAUUUGGACCCGAAUUGCCACCCCUAGCUGUACUAUUACUUCAAAUCCUUUUCUAAUGUUAUUUGUGUGACAUCAAUGUUUCUGUUUGAUAUUAAAUAGAGAAACUUAUUGUAUUGAAUUUUCUUAUGAAACAGAAUUGGAUUAGGAAGACACUGCAUAAAUGUUAAUUUGUAAAAGAGAAAAGUAUACUAAACAAGAAAUCUCAAAAACAAGAAAGCUGGUUUUAUCUCAAAAAAGAAAUGCAAACAAAUUUGUGUUAGGAAAUAUUCAUGAUUCUAAACUUCUAUGAACCUAACUAUAAUGAUGCGAGAAUGGAUCAAACAUCUAUUAAGUUGUUUGCCACUAUUACUCUGUCACAUAGAACUCUAAGAAGAAGAAGAGCUUUGCACCAUCUUCACCAUAUUUAGAAGAACCCAGCCCCUGCUCUGCAAAAUGCUCAUCGUUUCCUUUAAGUUGGCUGGAACUGUUUCAUCGGUAAAGUACUCAUCUCUGGCCACCUCUGCUGAGCAAAAUCUCAAAGCAUAUGAUUUCAACAUGGGCUUGGCCAGCUGCCAAAUCGGCUGAAAUAUGAAAGGAGCAUCAAUGAAGAGGACUUCGUUUAGCCUCCUUGGAUAGUAGUAGUAGAAUACAUCAAACAAAAAUGUAAGAGACCUGAGAUCUGCAUUUUCUGUACCAAAACCUCGAAGAUCAAUUAUUACAAGUAUCUGUUCCUUCCCAGCUGGAAGCUUACUAAGUGCUUUCUCAACUAAGAAAACACAUAAUUUUUCAUCUUCAUGGAAAUCAUGCUUCCCAGGGAAAUGCUUGGAUGCUUCUACUAUUAUUACCGGUCGGCUGUUGACAUCAAGAUAGUCAUGCACAUAGGCUUUCCCACUUUCAGCUGCUGAUCUUACUGAUUCUUCUCAAAGUUCUGAUACGCCAAAUUUAUGAUACCAUCUUAUGGCUUUUCUCAAUUUGGACACUGCCUCUUCAACAGAAAAUCUUCUGUCCUUCAAAAACCAAAAAAUCAGCUCUUCAUCAUCUUUUCCAUUUUUUCCAGCUGGAAGACUGCUACAUUCUUUUUCAAGCUUUUCUUUAACUUCCACAACUAACUUUUGGGCAUCUUUUGGGGCCAGAGCACAGUGGCGCCGAGAAGCUUACGAAUUCAAAUGGGUUUACUUGAAAAGAAUGAGGAAUUGAGAUUCUUGAAAUGGUUACCCAAUGGAGGCCGGAGUCCCAGUUGGAAUGCCAUUUGAUGUAUGAUUGGAGGCCGGAGUCCCGGUUAUUCAUGCUUAAGUGAUUGGGAGAUGGAUAAUCUUCUUAUUGAAACUAAGAUUUACAUUUUUUUUGGGGGGGUCAUUUCUGGUGAGGGCUGCAGAAGACUACCCUGUUGAGGAUAUUGUUUGUUGAAUAUUUUUUGGUUUAAUUGGGUUUCCUUGGUUUGGUAUAGUUUGGUUUGGUAUAGUAUAGUCAGUUAGCUAGGAAGCUCCAAGUUCAUAUAUUUGCAUAGGAAAGCUCAGGCGAAGCUAAAAUUAAUAAUUUAAGAUUCUCCAAUUGCAUUCUCAAGUACAUGCAAGUCCAAGUUCCAAAUUCAAACUUUCCUUUGCUUCUCCAAUAGAACCAAUUUCGAAUUCCAAUCUCACAAUAUUCGCCCUUUAUCAUAUCAUGAUACCGCAUUUUUUCUUAUGCAAUUCAAAGUAUUUUUUUUUAGCUUUACUCUUCACAGAAUCUUGAUUUAUGCCCUUUUAUGGAGCAUGAAUGGCUCAAUUAAUAAUUAACACCGCCAAUUUAUUGCCCCAUUUUCUGAUUUCAAUAAUGGUCGCCCGAGGAGUUGUAGGAAUGGUAAACCGGUGAUGAAAUGGAAAGUAAAGAAGAAAUCAAAUGGAUCGUUUUAGAUUGGAGCAUUAUAUCAUAUUGAUUGUUACCAUAACUCCAAGUGGGGAUUUUUUUUUUUUUGUGUGACCAUAUAUCUAUUGCUUUCCCAAGUUGUAUGCCUAUUUAAGCAAACAGCCUUCAUGACACGUGAAGAAUAAGAACUUUUCCAUAUACAAGAUUUAAGUGGUGCAAAUUCGAGGAGUUUUUUAAAGUAACAAAAUGAGCCUAAUUUUCACCACUGAAUAUUUUGCUUGUAAAAUGAGCACGAGUUUAAAUGGUGCCAUGAUCAUAGUCUUCAAAUCAUUGUCUAAACCCCAAUGAAGACUUCAGAAUGCGGACAUUGAAUUAAUUCAUACGAUUAUUGAAGGUUUUUCAAAAGAAAUUCUGAAUUUUAAAGUAUGGAUUAUUGAAAGCCUUAAGAAAAAGGUGUGGUCUUUCCAUAACGAUACAAGUCUCAGGCAUUUCUUCUUCCUCGACCAAAGUCUUCAAAUCAAGCUUUUUUUUUUUUUUUUUAAAUUAAGGAAGGUUUUUUGCAGUCAGGAACUGGUAUAAGUAGAUAAUUCAUACUACUAUAAAUAGAUGUUGGCUUCUUGUUCUCAUCUUAAUACAUUUUUUUGCUCUAACACGUUAAAUUAAAAGGCAGUGACAAAUAGUAACCAUUCACUUGGGUAUUCUUAAAACUACAAGAACGGUUUUUUUAUCGAUGUCUUUCAAAUCAAGAGGAAAACAAAUUACAUAAACAAUGUAUAUUACUUGGUCUAGAAUGUUGUUACAACAAAUAUUCAUGCAUGCAGGAAUUUCUGCUAGGCGCAUAUCUCAAAUAGUUCAAGCUCAUAUGGUUUGAAUUAGCAUAUACUAAUACUACUACAUUUUCUAUUACUCCUGUAAAUAUUAAAUUCUUUAUCGAAUGAUAUGAUGUUGUCGUUUUCUGUAGGUGAAUAAAUAGUAAUACAAAAAUAAAUACAAAAAAAUCGCAUUGCUAAAGAGGGAAAGGGAAUUUCCAUAAGUCAACCAUAUAUUUAUCCUAUCGUUGAAUUUUUUCCCCCCGGGUAUAAUAAGCGCAAAAUUUGAAACUAAAUAGAUAAUAAUGUCUUCUUUAACUUUACUACAAUACUUCCUUCGAAGCAAAAGAAAAACCAUUAUUAGCGGUACUUUGCAAUUGAAAAAUGACGAGUUUGUGGGAGAAAGAGUUAAAAUUUAUACUUAGAAAAUGUGGCUAUCCUAUAAUAGUUGGAUUUUUAAUGGUAUCCAAAAGCUAUCCUUUCUUGUCUACAGAUAUGUUCUCCAUCCGUUACUCUAAUUCCUCAUUUUAGUUGCAAGAGAAAAUGUAAAAGUCUUGAGCUGUGCUUCUUUGACAAAUUUGGAUGCGUUUCCAUUGGCGUUUUCACUUUAACUUUCUCAACCAUUGUUGUUACAGGGGUUCAUGUUUUCUGAUUGAAUGGUGGGGCGUUCAACCUUUUUGAUUGUGAACAAUAUCUCAAUGGUUGUUGCAUCCGCAAAGGACACUAUUAAUUUUCAAGAUGAAAUUGUAAAAAGCAAAACGAGAACUAUAAUUGUUCCUUGGAAACGUUGAUUUCAUUGGUUUAUCCUUGGAAAAUGUACUUGAAAUAUAAUUUGGUCUUAAUUAUUGAUCCUCGAGAAUUAGAAUUAAAAUGGACAUCUUAUUUUCUUUGAUUUUUUCAAGAAAUGGGGGCAAAAAACCUUAUUUGAAUUGUAUAUAUGAAAUUAAUUGACUCGACAAUUUUAUUUUGAGUAUUUUCAUUAGCCAAAAAUUAAGUUUUGUUUUAUUUCUUGGCUCAAUAAUCAGGCUUGCGAUUUCAAAUUACUUUAAACUUAGUGUUUAAUCAAAAUGAAAUCAUUUGGCCUUCUAAAUGAUUAUAAUGGCGUGGAUUUGAGGCGGGGAAGCCCUCUCCAUCCCUCACCCCGUUUUCCAGAAAGCUCCUCUGCCCCUGCCCCGAAUCCGCCCCAACUUCUACGAUUUCUUGACACACGAGCAGAUUUGUCAAAGAAGCCCAACUGCCAAUUCAGGCCGACUGACAAGAAAAACGUUCUAUAAAUUUGAUUCUGGCCCAAGCCCCAGUAAACCAAGAAAAGUAGAUAGCCAUUGGUGUUCACCCAGUGAAAUGCAAAAUUGGAUCCUGGACAAUCUGAAAGAAGAAGAAAUGAUUCCAUUGCUUAAACCUGGAAGCGAUUUCCUGUGCUCAGACAUACAUAGGUAUAACAGCUUCAUUUCUUUUAUAUAAACUCAUUACUUUCCUUUGUUAGCAAAUCAGCAAUAAAACUAAGCUCUCCCUCCAAGAUGCCUUUACACAUUGGCAAUUUUACACUUCCAAAGCAAUAAAGCAUUCAAUUCCAGCUAUACAUAUGGCGGCUGGUCCUGAAGAAGUUGAAUAAUAAAGAUUGAAUGCCAAGAGUUGCUCAUCCGAAUACGCAUGAAAGAUGAAUUAGAUGGCAAUUUCCAAAUUCAUUCCAAGUUCCUCCAUCAUCAUUUGGUUGUUGACAUCUGCUUGGAGCAAACCUUCUGCCAUCCAAAGUUCGAUUAGCAUAUCUCCUUUCAUCAUAGUAUCCUAAGGAAAUAUAGAACAAUAUGCAAAACAUUUCUUAAUGGAUGGAGAUGGUAAACAAUCAAAACUCAAUUUAAGUAUUUCCAUGACACCAUCUUCAUCUCCACUGAAAUUUGAAAGCUUAUUCUUCAAAACCAAUUGCCACUCGUCUUUUCUCUUCAUGCGCAAUAAACCUCCCAUUACACUUGCAGCCAGUGGUAGACCACCACAUUUUUUUAUAAUUUCCUUUUUCAUGACAUGCAAUUGUUUGGGAAUUUCUCCACCUGCAAUGGCUUUCUUUGUUAGGCUAGACCAACAAUCGUCAUCAUCAGAUAGCUUUCCUAGCACAUAAGGAUCAUGUGUGGCCACAAUGGAUGCAGUUUGUUGUUUACGAGUAGUCACAACACACCAAUUUCCAUUAGUUGCAUUUAGCCCCAGUAAUGAACCAAAAAAAUCAUCCCACAAGGUAAGAUUUUCGGUCCAGACAUCAUCAAGAACAAGAAAAAAAUUUUUUCCCACAAGUUGUUCUCGAAUUUCCUGGACGAUGACAUCCCUACUGGUCAUUUUAACAUUUCUUCUUGUGAGUGCUUCUAAAAUCAUUUUCAAAAGCCUGGUCACGUCAAAAUUGUCGGACACACAAACCCAAAUUUUUUUCUCAAAAUGGCUAUGAACGUGACUAUUUUUGUAUACAGAUUGAGCUAAAGUUGUCUUUCCCAAUCCGCCCAUCCCAAGGAUGGGAAUUACAGAAACGGCUUUUUCUGACAAGCUUAGCAAGGUCUCCACCAGCCUUGUUUCAUCCUUAGCUCUUCCUACAAUAUAAUGGCCAGCAAUAGAAUCCGUCUCUCUAUUUAGUGUGACUUUAGCAGUAGUAGAAGGGGGGAAACUUGCCCUUUGGAAUCUGAUCAGUCCAAAAUCAUUGGCUUCUUUAUUGAUCUUAUUCAACUUCUUGUUGAUGUCCCUAAUCCUAGAGGCCAUUCUCCGUCGGAAAACAAUAUUAAUGUCAGAGGACAGGAUGAAGGAGCGCACCUUGCCCACGAGAUGGCGACGAAGAGCUUCAUAAUUCAGCUCGUCAAACAAAUUCUCGGCAUCAAACGCCACGGCUUCUAGCCUCUGGAGCCACAGUCGCACGGCCUGGUCAUGCGUUUGCUUUUCCUCUGCAUCAGCCAAGACAGCUUGGAUCAUAGCAACAGAUCCUUUGAGGGUCUCCAAAUCCUCCUUGAAUUGGAAUAACUUGCCAAUCCUUUCAUUGGCAAGGGAAAGUGUCUUCUUCAAAGCUACCUCUAUUGUGGAAGCUAUAAGUACAUCAGCCAUUCUUCUUGUUCCUUGGGUACAGUCUUCAGAUAAGAAUACUCUUUUGCAGUGGAAGGUUUUAGCUGUAGUUAGAAGCAGCAAGGAACUGCUUUGACUCAAACGGAAGUGACAAGAGUUAUGAGGAUUUUUUGGUGCAGCGCUUCUUUGACAAACUGGGUGGGAUGCUUUUGCAACGGAAAUUGCUUGGCAUUUUCAGUUGAAAAUAAAACAUAGUCAUUGCAGGGAUUCUACAUCUGCUUUUGAUCCACAUUCCACAUGCCUGGGGCCCCUGAUCGUGGAAAAUUCCACUCAAGAAGGAUGAGAAACUGUGCUGAACAAUGAAAGGUCCAAAAUAAUUGUUUAGAUAAUACAAAUUAAGCAGUUUCUUCUAAUUCAAAUUAAUGUUGCGCAUGUAUAGGAGUCACAAAAUGGUUUGGUGCACUAGCAAACAGAAGGGUACAUCUAAGGUUACUACGACAAGUUUUACGUUAAAGUGGGAGAUUUGUAAACCAAUUCAGGGUAAACAAAUGAUAUGUUGAGGAAAAAAUAUGUUAGUUGCAAUGCAAUCAUAAAAGCUAUGAUACAUUUGUGAAAAGAAGAAACAUUUAUUAAUUUAGUGCAGUCUAAUUGGAAACCUAGAAAAAAAAAUAUACAUGAAUGAUCCGAAAGCGGGAACGGUAUCAUUUUACUCAAAUAAAAGUGUGAUCGAAUCGAGGAUUAGUUAAAUAAAAAAAUUAGAUUAAUAAUAUAAUACUUUUUUGUAUUUUUAUAUAAUGUAUAUGAGACAGAAUGGUGGCUGGUAAAAUUAAAAAAAAAAGUGAUGGAAUAAGUAUAAAUUGUUUUUUUCAUAUAUUUAUCUAAUGAUAAUAGUGACAGGGUAAAAAAACAAAGGUGAUAACAAUGAUAAGUGUGGUGAGUACUUCUUGCAAUUGAUUGCAAUCUAUAUUUUACAUUAGGUAAAUUUGAAUGAAACUUUCAAUGAAUGAAACAUGUAUUGUGCUUUUGUGUUAAUUUUGCAUUAGGUUAAUUUUGUCUGCAUUUAAUAUCUCAGUGUAUACACGUCUAUUGUGUCAGCACCUAAAUUGCAUGGCAUGUAUGGCACUAAAUUUCCAGUUCACCUUUCCUACUUAAUGCCUUGCCGAGGCCUCUACUCUGAUUGAGAAACCUUAAAACUGCUGGGGCCUUCUAUUGUGCAAAAAAUCUCAACAAAAUAGUGGUCUGACCCAAGAAGCACAAGAAAGUAUUGUCCUUAACAAUUAGAAUGUUAAAGAAAAAAAAAAAGGGAAAUUGACAAUGAUGCUGUGAUUUUGGCUACAUUAUUCAUCUCAUUUUUCUAGUUCCGGAGAAACAAAAUAAAAAGAUUUCACUAAGUUUGCUUUUUGUAAUGUACCGCGCUGGGCUUUGUCAAAUGCCCCAUUUUUUGCUAGAAUUACUUAUUUUGCUUCUCAUUUGGUUCUAUUAUACUGUACAGAAUUAUAUGUAUAUAACGUGGAUUGUCAUCUUAAGAAUCAAGAUUGCCAAUCUGAUCACGUAAAUUGGCCAGAAAUUGGUUGCAAUUGGCUGCAUGUAAUGCCUUGAAUCGAAAAUGGCUACCAUUUCAAUCCAUAGAAAUAUGUUGAAGGAAACUGGACUGCAACAUGUACUAAUAAGAAUCAGAUAUGACGAUUCUUGAUUGCUUAAGAAAAUCCUUGUAUAUUUGGUUAUUUGACACAGGAAGUCAAUAUGCUUCAAAUGAAACAGUGAAUCCAACAAAUAAGGCAUGGCAAGCUGUGAUUAAUGCCAUACAAACCUGAGUUUCAUUAAAUUAACAGAGAGGAUAGUGAAGAGCAGAGCCAUUCCUAAAUGCCAAAGAGACAGAGAGAUUAUAAAGAUGAUCAACUAACUAAUCAUACCCUUCAACACGAAUAGCCAAAUAUCUGAGGUUUGAGAAAUGACAGCAAUUGUUGCAGUCAAGCAAUAGAAAUGAUAGGGGGGACUACACAUCCAAAAGAAGGCACAGCAAUAUGAUCAGUGUGGAACAAAAUUUGCAUUAUAAACUAAUUCAGAGCCAGCUACAACGUCACAGAAUAACAGGCAAUAGACCUGAAACUUCCAAUACUGGGAUAACAACACUUUUUCUGUGCCCUACUUGGUCCGACCAGGGACAAAAGGACAUCUGGCCAAAUUAAAACAGAGAGGGACUUAUCCGAGAACUAAGUAGAAACUGCUGAAACUAGUCACAUUGCUCGAAAAUUCAAAAAGAACCAAAAAAAAAAAAUGAGAAAGAAGAAGGGAAAAAGGAACUGCUUAGAAUCAGAGAGAGAAGAGGGACUUCUGAGAGCAGCACUAAUCGGCGGGGACAACUCUGACAAGUGGAUGGCAAAGACAGCACUAAUUGGCGGGGACAACACCAAUCCCUUCCCUUUUGUGUAGAAAUAAGUUCAUCUGAAAGUUUUUAUUAUUUUUAGGUAACUAAUUAUGAUUAUUACUGCUACUACUACUUUCUGUACUGAUACAGACAUGAGAUGAUUUACUUAUAUUGGCCGUCAAAGUCUUAGAGGCAUAGAAAAGUAGAAAUGCUUUAAUUGUCACAUAGGAUUUGAGCUAGCAAUGAAUAGGAUUUGAAGCCAAGAUGUGUAAGAUCCAUGUCACAUUAUUGCUUCAUUGAACAAUAUUGACGUACAAGGAGACAAGUCCACAUAGAAGUAAUUUUGCAAUUAGAUGCUAUGCAAAAUGUCAGUUUGAUGAACUAAGGUUGAGCUUGUAUGUUCCUAUAUAAUCCUGUUCAAUUGAUUUCCAUAAUUUCAUCUCUCCAACGUUCCCAUCCACCAAGUGGAUCCUUCUUGAAUAGAAAUUGGUGCCUUAGCAAUUCAGUUUUCUCUCAAAUUAACAUAAAUAGAAGGGCUCAAUCUGACUGAUUCUUUGUUGUCUGAGUCCUGUCUGAGCUUUACAGAUACAAGGAGCAAUGGAAAAGUUCCAUCCGACACAACCUGUAGUCAACUGCAGAACACUUGAGAAAAAAUAUGUUGCCUGUUAUAGAGCUAAGAUACAACUUCAAGAAGGAUGCAAGCAGCUAUCAGGGUUCAGCUAAUCCACAUCUUUCUGCUGCAAAAUACUGGCUACUUUGAACUACAAGCACCACAGAAGAUAUGGCAAAUUGAGUUCCAAAAGAAGUAAAAGAACACCUCAUUAACAUGUCUACAAAUUGCUGAAUGGUUGGACAGUUUAAAAUCACGAGCCAACAAGGAAGAUCUCAGGCUUUAGCCAUCCAAGGCAGAGAGCAAAAGAGAAUUCCAUCCUGGAUGUUUUCAUCUGAUCUGAUUGAAACAGGAUCCGGUUCAGUAAGGGAUCAUAGGACUUUUAAUAAUGUACCAAGGAUAAUAAGUAAGAGCUAUGAAGGUUUUGAGCGUAAAAUCACUGCAUAACACAAAAACUCAAGAAACUUGAGACAACAUGUAGUCAAGAAUAAAGCCAACACAUAGUUGCAUGACGUUUUUGUUGUAUUUGAAACACUAAAAUAAGAACUUACCAUGAAGAGAGGAGCAACCAACAAGUAUAGAAGGUGGGAUGAGCUUAAUAGCCUUCAUCACAGCGGAUGAAACAAUUGCAGCAAGUAGCAGCAGGCAGCAAGUAUGUUUGACAGUCUUGACUAACUACGGCGAUAUGCUUCAAAAGUUGCAGCUUAGACUUGAUUUGUUAGAAGAUACUCCAACAAGUCCGUGCAGCUUUAUUGCAUGAACAGACAUCUUCUGUGGCUGCUCCAAAAAACAUCCAAAUUAGGAGAAGAUUUCUCAAGUUUUAGUUGUAAUGUAAUCAGAAUCAAAGUAUUUAAAAGUCAAAAUUGAGUAGUAAAAGAAGAGUAGUAUAUGUUACCUUACUGGACUCUGAGAACCAAAAACCAGUUUAACAGCCAACAGCUUUGGAAACUCCUGAAGUCUUUAUGGCUAGAAAAUCACAACCAAGGAAAAGUGAGACAGAAACCCAUCAUCUACGAGACUAUCGAACAAAUCACUAAUCAAAUGGUUCAAGAAGCUUGAUAAAUGCUCCUUCAAGAGGUGAUUAAACUUUGGAGCAACUAUUUACUCCCCUAGCAACAUAAGUUAGGGAGCUGAUAACUUUAGCAAUCACAUCUUACAUCCACAAAAGCAGAUAUAUAAAAUCAACAAAACAAAACUCCUAGUGCUUAUUUCAUAUUGAUGAGUAACUUGGCCCUAACAAGGAAUAUUAACCACAAAGCAGCAAUGAUGAUGUGAAAAAGUUGCAACUUCAUUACUGUAAUCUAAAUUUUACUCCCUCAUGACAUGCAGGUCCCUUGAUAGGGACUGAGCCACGGUGCCAGCGGUCUUUCCACUCCAAUCUACCUCAAAUCAGUAGCCUAAAAGUAAACUGCAUAUAGCAGCUGAUUUUCCAGGUAAUUCAAGAGAAGCCCCCCAAGCAAGCAGCAACUGCUUGGAAAUUGGAACUGUCUUCGUUCAUACCUUGAAUAUCAUAUGUUGUUGUUUACUAGGAAUACAUUUCUGUGCCCACUAUUGACAUCAUCUCAUAGUUUCAGAUUUCCAAGUACACCAAUUUUCCUACUCCAAUUCCUUUCCUGAGUUCUAGUUUCCAACUAUGGAUAAACUGAGAAACGUUUUGCCAUUCUACCAAGAAGCAUCUCUUACUACAUUAAUCUCAAUCUCCAGCACCAAACCAACAAGAGGUGAAUAACAUUCCUCUUCUCAUUUCCCUUUCAAUUCAAAUUAAUGUCAUCCCUUCACCUCGAGAACCACAGCCAUUACUUUCUCCUAAAAGGCUUCAAGAUAAACACCAGAAAAGUAUUUAUCUGAGAAUUGCUAGGAAUACCUCUUAUAUUAGAUCUCCAACUUUUACCAGCAGCUGAACUAUUUUUCUGGAGACAAUAUUCAAUUAUUCUGUCAUCCAAGAACCGCAAUCAAAAUUUGUAUAGUAAACUGAAGCAACUUAAUACAAAAUUUGGCUUCUGUGAACAAGCUCAGACAGUAUAAACAGAAAUGGAAAACCAAAAAUUAAUUAAUACCAGCUAUAAAAAUCUAAUCUAAGUUCAUCUAGGGGAGAGACCACAAAAAUCUGCUUGCUAAGUGCAGGAGAAAGACGUGCAGCAGAGAAUUGCUGGUUUAAAGUCUUGUAGAAAAGGUUUCUAGAAUUGGUGCAUGAGAUAUCGAAUCUAAAACGUCCAAUGCAUUUUCAACAGGUGAAAUCACGAGUUUAAAGAGAGUGUGCUGAUGUUAGCAAACACAACGUACAAAGGACAGCAACUGACAUACACGAUAAACAAAACUAAAUGCUCAAUUCCGCCCCACAUUAGUGCAUUUGUUUCAGUGUUAGUUCAUCCAAAACAUGAUUCAGUUAACCCAAGAACAUCUCAUUCAUUUGCCAUGUUUGAUCUAGUACAGAAACAUGGUAUUGAAUUAAGCCUCCAUUUGCCAUGUUUGAUCUUUGCGUCAGCAAAUAAUAUGUGAUAGAACGUGAGCAAUACCAAUUUAACAUUAGAAAUUAACCAAAAAGAUUGUUUAGUACCGUUAAUUGAUAUGAAGCGGUGCAUGGCUUAUUAGCGGUAAAGGUUAAAGAACCUACUCUGUUGUUGCUUCAAUUAUCCGUUGAUAUACUUUGAAGGAAAGAGAGGAUUUUCAAAAGUGAAGGCGGUACUUUAGUUCCCCGACUGAGCUUUAAGCCUACAGUCACUGCAAAACAGAAAACUCAGGUUCAGGACUUCACAUUGCAUGACAUUUUUGUUUAGUCAAUUAUUCAGAAAGCCAAAUCAAUAUUUGUUUCUGUUGUGCUUUUCUAACCUAAAUCAGUAAGACGAUAUCAAAAUUUUCUGCUCAGUCUACAAGUACCAGAAGUGCCAUAGAAACUAUGUUAGUUUUGGUUCAAAACACUGAAAAAAGAGAAGUUCUAUAACAAUAAUGAUAAUGAGUAGAACCCACAAGCGUGAAAGGCAGAGAGCUCCAGAAUUGCCAUGAAGGCAACUCUUUGAGACAGCAAGAUACAACGAGUAGAGUUAAUUAUAACUCUUUGACUCUUAAAAUCUCAAAUCAUGGCAUUUGGACUUAAAGUCUACCAAGUCUCUGAUGCUUGAAAACGGUCUUAAACAUGACAAUUUUUUAAAGGAUUUAAUUAAUUCAUUGGAUAUUAAACUUCUUAAAACCCAAUAUUAAGCAGUGGAAGAAGAUUAUUGGUAUUAUAAAUUAUGUGACAGUAAGUAAGACAGUAAGUAAGAGUCAUUGAUGAGGUUCCCUGUUGAGUUUUGGGCCUAAAAUCACUGCAAAGCACAAAAAUUCAAACUCAAGCCGGCGAAUAGCAUAGAAUAAAGCUAAUGGAAAUUUUCAGAUAAUUGCAGGUUUUCUGUCAUUGUGACUAAAGCCCCAAGAGGAGAAACUUACCAUAAAAAAAGAAGCAAACAACAAUCAUAAAAGCAGAGAGAGCUUAAAAGCCUCUAUCAAGGUGGACUCAUCAAGAUCAGCAAGUCACAGCAGGUAGAUUUGACUAACUACCAGAAUGCUUCAAAACAUUGCGCUUAGAGUUGAAUGUUGGAAGAUACUCCGCCAAGUUUUGUGCAACUUCAUUGCUCAAACAGUACACCCCUUCCUUGGCUACCUCAAAAAUAUCUUCGUGACGGCAAGAUUUCUUUUGUUUCAUACGUAAUAUAUUAGUUAUUAAAGUGGUUAGAAGUCAAAAUUGAGUAGUGAAAGAAGAGAAGCAUAUCUAAAAUUACCAGAAUUUUUGAACCAAAACAUGAAAGUGAUGACCAACAGCUGCGAAAACUCCUCAAUUGACCAUUGUCUUCAUGGAUAAAAAGCCAAAAUCAAGGAAAAGUGAGCCAGAAAACCAUCAUAUAUGACUCCGAUGGAGCAAUUACUAGUCAAAUAGUUCAGAUAAGUAUGCAAGUUCAUUAUCAAGAGACGAGGUAAAAGUUCAGUCCCCUUAGAAUCACAAUUUUAAACAGAGUGAGAUGACUUUAGCAAUAAUGACUUAAAAUCCACAGAAACAGAGCAUGUAAAAUAAACAAAACUAGACUGCUAGUUGUUCUAAACGUUGAUAAGCAAUUUGUAGGAAACGCAGGCCAAAAGUUAUUGAGGUCUAGCCAUAUAGAUGGUGCUGAAGAAGAUUCAAAUUUUGACCUCUGUUCGUGAAGCUAUUCUUCUAUCGAUCCUACAAAAACAAAGCAUAGAACAGAAUAUGAACAGAGAUACAGUAAAACAUCAAAGCACGAAACAGAACAGGUGCUUGGGGUCAUUCUAAUUGAUAGUUACAAGAGUAUUACUAUUAUGUUGUAAGGAGUAAAUGAAGAGUACCAAUAUUUUGGACCCGAUAAGAAAUGCUAAUGCUGCAGCUUUGAAAGAUAAUAAAUAAGACGAACAAAAGGGAGAACAGAAAAUUGUGAAAAUAACCAUGUGGACUUUUUAGGUUUUCUCGCGAGAAGGUUAAUCAGAGGGGGAGGUGAAGAGAAGGGGAGAUUGAUUGUAAAGCAAAUUAAGAAAGUAGGUAGGAGGCAAUCUUACAUGAUUGAAUUUGAUCUGAGAUGAGUGGUUAAUCAUCGGUUAUGUGUAGGUAUUGAAUGUGAGAAACUUUGGACCACUGGGAGUCGGGGCUGCUGCUCUCAGGAGUGCAUCUUUCUUUUAACACAGGAGAACCAUAAACGUGCAGACAUUUUAGUUUGGUGAGACUUCUCAUGGCAUCCUCAGAGGGUAGAUGUCCAAGCUCUUUGAAAUCAUAUAAAUAUAGUUCUUCAAGAGCAGCGAAGUUUCCGAACCAAUCUGGCAGAGCUUUUAUACCUCCAAAGUAACCUAGCGCGAGUGACGUGAGAGCGGUCAAGUAUUGGAUCUGAGGUGGCAGGGACUCCAUGUGUGGCAACCCAUAUAAGUAUAAUUCACGGAGUGCGGAUGAUGAAGAGGAGGAGGAGGAGGAUAUCAAUCCAGACCAAUCAAACUCAUUGUAAAUUGAAGAAUUUUCAUGAUCAUCACCAUCAUCUAAGAAGGGACCAAUUGUAAGCUCCCUUAAGCUGGUUAGGAAACCAAAUCCUUUGGGCAUCAUGCUUGUUUUCAGUUUGCGACACCACAAUAAUUUCAGCUUCUAGAGAGAAGGCGUUUGUUGCAAAUCAAGCGGAAAGGAGAUAAGAUUGUCGCAACAAACCACCCGAAGCUUUUGGAGAGAGGCACAAGAGUGUAGCAUGUCACCUGGCAGAUUCGUCAACUCAUCGCACUCAUCAAUCACCAGCUCUUUAAGAGACGUAAAGUUUUGCAGGGGAAGGAGUUCUCUGCAUCUGUGGCAGCAAUUAAAUUCCAAACACGCUAACUUGGGGAGUGUUGUUGGCAAAUCCAUUAACCAUCGAGGAAAUUGAUCGCCCAUAAAACGCCAAAUUACCAACUCCUCCAAAUUUGGGUGGGGUUGAAGGCCAUCCAACACAUCUUUGUCGUUGUAGUUGUCGCCUUGUUUUUCGCGGAGCAAGGCCCACUCAAAUCGCAAACUAAAUAGAUUAGCCUUUUCAAAUAGUUUUGCUUCCUCAGCUCCUUCCUUAUCCUUUACUAGUUCCAGAUUGCGUAUCUCCAAUUUGCCUUUGAGGUUCUUCAAGCUUCUAAGCUCUCCAAUUUGUCGACCCUUCACUCGACCCACUUUAAAGAACUCUAGUGUCUGAAGGCAUUUGAAAUUCUUCAGCAAGGGUGUAAAAGUGGAGAUGUCUCAAGCUAAUCAAAUCGCACAUCCCCUUCAGAAGAACCUUAAGAGCGGAUCUGUUUAGCCUCAGUGUUUGCAAAUUAUAAAGUUUGCAAACAGAUCCCGGCAAAGUUUCAAUUGCAGAACCCUCAAAGUUGAUGUACCUCAAGUGUAUCAGUUUGCCAAUUGAGAUUGGCAGAUUCAGAUUUUUUACACGAGACAAAUUCAGAACGUACAAAUUCCUCAACUUCGUUAGUAUAUCAUCAGAUAAGCCACUCCGAUUUAGAAACAAUGUAUGAAGCAAAUUUGAACGACUCUCGAAAAGAUUUAUUGUGCCUUCUCCAAAUGAGUCUAUUACAAGACAACGAACCUGAUUACCAUUGUCUUCUGAACCAGUUUCCGAAUUAAUGACUUUAGUAGACUUUGACAUUAUUGAUUUUGCGACGUCGUGCACCAUAUCAUGCAUUUUAUAAUACCUUCUUCUCCCACCGUAAUUUAUUUCUUCCAGCAAAGAACUCUGCAAUAAAAUUUCCAAGUAAUAUUCUCCAAUUUCCUCCAUUGUUUUGUUCUCCAUUGUUUUGUUCUCCAUUGUUUUGUUCUUGAGAUCUACUUGAAGGAAGCCUUCUGCCAUCCAAAGUUCGAUCAGCAUAUCCUCUUCCAUCUCAGUAUCCUGGGGAAAAAUAGAACAAUAUGCAAAACAUUUCUUGAUGGCUGGCGAUGGUAGAUUAUCAAAACUCAACCGAAGUAUUUGCAUGGCUUCAUUCAAAUUCAAAAGUCUAUCCUGACAGGUGUCAAGCCUGUGCAAUAAUAAAUACCUGCUUAAAUAAAAUAUAAUUUCUGUAGAUAGUGAUAAGUAGGGUCGAAUCCACAGGGACUGGGGAUAAUUUAAUUUCUUCUCAAGUUCCAGAUAUGGGGGGUUUUUGAAAAUGAGAGUAACUAAAUUUAUUGGAAUAAAUUAAAAUAAAAUAAAAUAACUACAACUCAAAUAACUAAUUAUCACAAUAAAAAUAAUAAUAGACGAACUCUAGCCAAGAGACAACUUUGGAGAUGGUUUACUUAAUUCGAUCACAGAUGCAAGGAUUAUUCCAGUUAUUAUCUGAUAAAUUAGUUAUAGUUGUCAUACACGCGAUAAACAACUAACUCUUCCUCAAUUUGUCGAUAGCCAAGGUACGACCGUUGACUAUUUCUCUAAUCAGGAAACAACCCUAGGUACGACCAUAGAAGUUCAAUUCCCUAAUUGCAUGAAUAAUUAGAAGAACCUAAUUCUAACCAAUCAACACGCUACGAGGGUCUCUUUAAGUUAGCCUGUCUAUCUCCCUGACACAAACCCAAUCAUGUCAGUUGCCACCAGUUUAGAAUAAUUAAACAAUUACGGAUUUAACUACCAUAAUUGGCUUCAGGUUAUUGAAUUAAUCUAGAAUCCGGGCCCUGGAUAAUCGAAUAAUAAAAUAACUAUAUGAACAUAAAGCAGAAGAUAGACGAAUACCAGAAAGUAAUAGGAAAGCUAAAAUCGAUUAGAUCUCACAAUUUAAGUCGAACCAAAUCCUCCGUUGUUCUUGACUAGAAAAACUUAGCCACGUCUCAUGAGAAAAUCUCCACGUAAUUUAAUUGAGGUCCAGGCCAUCAAAGGAAUCAAGAAAGAAUAGAAAACUAAAACUAUAGCUAUCCUAAAACUAUUGAUAAAAACUCUCUGUACGUCCCUUUUCUCUUUUAAAGCCAAAGAUACAAAUGCUAUCUAGUCCUGUGGUCCCCGCACGAAUUGAGAGUCCAAUUCCAUUUCACAAGCCUCUGUACGUUUCUUUCCAAGAGCCCAAAUGACUCAUGCUUCUUAUCUCCGUGGUCCCCACGCAAUUGAGAAAAGAGUCCAUCCCCUGUAAUCCUUGUUUUUAGCUUCCUCUUACCUGUAAGACUCCUAGUACAAGUCCACCCUUUUCAGCAUAAAGAUAGGAAAUCCCCUUUUUGUAGCAUCCUGUGGAGCCAGGCUUGUAUUUCUUUUUAGAACUUCCCAUGUGUGGAGUGUUUUUAUCAAUAAAGUCUCCUUUUUAGCACUUGUUUACUCUACUUCCUGUAAUUAGGGCCAAAUACCAAAUAUAAGUACAUUUCAACAAUUAAAACAAUAUUUGGCAAGGACAAAGAGGGAAAUUAACCAUAAAAUUAACAACAAAUUGUGCUCUAUCAAUUCCCCCCACACCUGAAUCAUGCUUGCCCUCAAGCAUGAGAACAGCAAUUGAACACCAAAAAUUCGACAACGGCUAUUGCUCUAACUAUCAUAUUGCCAAGAUAUCCAGAAAAACAUAUAUCAAGCAUCACAGUUAAGAUCCAAGAAAGACCACUCCGGUUAGCUCCCCAACCACCAACUCCUCCAAUUUAAAGCAAACUAAUCUAAGAAAAAGGAAUGGUUGCUCACAUUUAUCAGCAAAUGGUCCAGCUAUUAACCAAAAUCUCGACAUUAAGAUCACAAACCGGCAAGCUGACUUAUUCACAUACUAACACAAUCUUUACUUCACUUCUUUUCCCCUUUUUUUUUGUUCUUUCUUUUUUCUUUUUGUUCUCUUUUUUUUUUCUUUUUUUUUUUUUUGAAUAACAAAAGACUUAGUCUAUAGCCCUUAGAGCCUUUUGACGCGAACUCCAACAUUUGCUAGAUGGAGGAGCCCGGUUACUCAGCUCCAAUUGCUACGGGACCACGUACUCAUAGCAACUACUACCUUUUGACACGAGAAUCGACACUUUAGGUGAAGAUCCCCGGUUACUCGGUAGUAGCAACUAGCGGAGCACAGUCAAUUCUUAUUUAUAACCAUAUAACACAAUAACUAAAAACAACACAAAAAUAGCAGCAGUCAGCCCCAAAUUUCCAAACAUGGAGAACUAAAAUUAAUAAUUGGACCAAUUCACAUGAAAAAUGCCAACAAUCAUUCCCUAUGCCUAGAAAAGUUAACUAAAAAUUGGAAAAGUUAAGUAAUUAUUGAUAUUCACCAAAGAGAUGUUCCUGAACUCAACCACAUCAACUUGAUACAUUUUUAUUAAUAAACUUGGCAAUAACAGAAUUAGAGACAACAAUCCAGUAUCAAACUUGGUAUUCAAAUAAGAGCUGACCACUAAUAAAAGAAAAUAAAAUAAAAUAAAUAAACGAAAAAUAGAACAAAUAACAAAAAUAAAGGAAAACAUGUAAAAACUAAAAAUUAGAAAUACUAGCUGUACCACAGCUGUCCCCCCCACACCUAAAUGACACAUUGCCCUCAAUGUGAUAAUGUAAAAGCAGAAGGAAUGAGAGGGGCAACGGUACUUCCCUGAAGUUGUCAAAACAGGGGUGGGUCGGGCGGGGUACUGCCCAAUUCUGCACCAUGUUAUGAAGAUUGACGGUAAUGUGGGGCAUCCGAGUCUAUAGUCUCUUAACUCGCAUCUGGAGCUCGUGCCAUUCGUGGCCUCACCGUGGACUCUAGAUAUCACUCUAAGUAACAAGAGACUGCAAUUGCCAACAAAGAAUGGAAGCCGGGAAUUCAAAGCAAUAACAAUUUUAAAGCCAACCCAAUGAAUAAAAUGCACAAUUCAACCACCCAGAGGACAUACAAAUACCCCAACACUUAUAGCAAUGGCAAUCAAUAAGCACUUGCGGUCCCAAUGUAGUCAAUUUCAGAAUCAAUGCAGUCCAAAAGUGCACGAAUGCUCCUAAGAUGUAGGACUUGAAUUUAAGAGGCAGAAUACACCAAGCAAGUCAAUUAGGCACAAUCGAUUAGCAAUAAGCAAAGGAAGGGACACAGCAGCCUUCCAAUUCAACAAACAGACGCAGAAGGUACCCCACAAUACCAGAACACAGCUCCCAACAAUGCAACAAAACAACAACUCGAACAACUAAGAGCGGUGCUAGUGGCUAAUCAAAAUAACAAAUUCAGCAAUUGGACACAAUUCCACCCAAAAUCUCAACAGCUGUCUCCAAUUGGACAGUCAAUUACCCAGUUCAACCUACUAAAAAUAGCAAAUGACCCCAGAGAGGAGGAAUUCCAGCAACCGAAGUGCAGAAUCCUGGCAACACUUUAAGCACAAGAGGCCAGUAGUCAAUUAGGCAGUCAAGCACUUAAGAUUAAGAAAUUUGAGGCAAACUACUGCCACCAGUACCACUGGUAAAUGCUCAAGGAAAAAGUAAAUCAAAUGGCCAACCAAAGCCACUAAGAAAUACAAACAAUUUCAGACAGUACUCCGAGAGCCUAAACAAACGACAGUUAUAUCAAACCAGGCGAAUCAGCUGCAGGACAUAACUUAACCCACUGGCUCCAGUAACACAGAUGCAACCCAAACAAAAUUACUCAAUGAAAUCGCAAUCAUCAAAAUCCCAUCAACAUCAAAAAAUUGGAAUUGGGGACCAGAAAAUUAAUAAAGAAAAACCUGGCACCAGGGAGGUUGGGCUGUUGGCGUGCGGCGGUGGUCGAAAGGGUGGCAAGCUGGUGGUGCUCGCGUGGUGGUGGCAGGCGAGGGAGGAGCGACGCGGCGUGUUGGUUGUGGGCUCGUGGGCUUCGGCUGGAGAAAGAGUUCGGCGAGGAGGCGGAGCGUGGGCAGGCGGCUGGUGGCAUCGUAUGGAGAGAGGCGCGGCGAGCCUUGGCCGCGAGAUGGUGGUGGAGCGAGUGGGUAGGAGGAGCUGCGCGCAGGUGAAGAUUCGGCCGUGGGCUGUGGGUGAAGUGGAGAGAGAGCAGAGGGAGCUUGGUGGCAACCUUGGUCUCUGUCGGCAGCUGUGGCGGCUAGGAGUUGCGGCAGGGAGGAAUAAUUAGGGAGGCGGCCGUCGACGGAAGUCUGUCAGCUUGGGCUUCGUCGACGAGCUGUGGCGGCGCGCGAAGAGCUGGUGGCACACGAGGUGAAGCUGGAGCUGGAGGGAGGCGCGGCUGAGGUCGCGCGGCUCAGAGGUGGAGAAAGGCGGAGAUCUAGCGGCUGGCGGUGGGCCUGUUACGCGGCGCGCGAUGGUGGCUUGGAGGCAGAGGCGUGCGAGUAAAAGGAAGAAUUGGGGAAACAGAGGCAGCGGGGAAGAAGGAAGAAAGAAAAGAAAGAAAGAAAGAAAGAAGAAAAGAAAGAAGGGAAAAAAAAUAGUUUUUUUUUUUUGGGAGAUUUUUUUUUUUUUAUUGCACACUCAAAUUUCAAAACUCGAAUUGUGAGAACCAAAACUGAAGGUGUAAAACGGAAAAUGUUUUUUUUUUGAAUUUUUGAAUUUUUUUUUGUUUUUAGGUCGUCAAACACCGCGUGGGCACGCCAAGAUUGUAAAACGUCCACUGACCAUGAGACUUGAAUUUAGACGCUUAACGCGUGCCCUCCUCGCGUGGGCACGCCAAGAUUACCUAUUCUGGUCAUAGUAAGAAAACAUCAAGAGUGAUUAGUACCCAAGUGAGAAACGACAUAUUUAAGAAAUUGAACACAAAAAUAACAAAAUCAACAUUUGGGUUGCCUCCCAAAAAGCGCCUUUUUUUAAUGUCUUUGGCUAGACAUGCUAUGCUUGUUCACGGAGGAUAAAAUCUUGUAGCUCGUUUCAAUGCUUCAUCUUCAAUGUGAUCCUGGUAACCCUCAUAGAUGGAGUAAUCUUUGAGCACACGAGCUACGGUCUUCCAUGGACUAGUUGAUGGCGCCAAAUAAUCAAGCAUUGAUCGCAAUUCUUCAUCCACUCCUCCAUCAAGAGCAUUCGACGGUUCAAGAUAUUUGACCAUAGCUACUCUUAAUUCAUUCCUGCCAUGAGACUCAAGAACUUCUGGUAUAACAAAAUCAAUCUCAUUAACAGAAAUCAUAGAGUAAGAGUUAAGAAAAUGCAGGUUAGGGAAUGGAGGUGGUGUCACCACAUUUGCUGAUUCUUCACUGGAUUCUUUCACUUGAAUGGGUUGCAGUUGGGGUUCCAUUUCUUCCUUUUCGAUUUCUUUUUCAACUGCAUCUGUACAUCUCUCUUCUUGAAAAUCUUGCAGCUCCUCAUCACUAGUCAGGCAAAUUGCACUCUCAUUUUCUUCAAAAUCAACAAUGGUUUUCGAGGGCAAUUCUUCAAAUUGAGAAGCCAAUCGAUUUAUUCUGGAUGUCAAUAGACACAUUUGAUCUUCCAGAUUACUCAUUGCCUCCUUCAUCAUCUCAUUUCUCCUUUGUGUCUCCUGUUGGAAUUGAUAUGUAUUAAUAGCUAUUGAUUCAACUAUUUCUUCAAGAGACAUACCUGACACAAAUGAUGAUUCUUGAGACUCAUACUGCUGAAAAUUCAUUGGCCCUGUUAUAUAAUUAUAACUGGAGUUAUCCCACCAUCCUUGAUCAUACCCGUUUGGAUUAGGGUUAUACCACGUUUGAGACCAGGGUGAAAAAUCUCCAUAAUUAUUGAGUGGGACACUCAAAUUAUCUUGAUAUUCGGGGCACAUACCAGUUGAAUGAUCCCUGGCAUAACAAAUUUUACAGGUUGCAACAGCCAUUCUUUCUCUAAUAGAGUUUCGUGCCUCUGAAUAUGCAAACUUAGCAAAAAAACUAGCCUCAUUGCCUUCCCUGGAAACAAAAUCCAGUCUAUCACCAAAAUACGGAGUGUUAGAAGCCAUAAACUAUAUAAAAAAAAAGAGAAAAAUAAAUAAAAAAAAUAAAAACAAGAUGAACUCAAAAAGAAACAAAUUAAUCUGGCACCAGUCCCCGGCAACGGCGCCAAAAAUUGACAGGUGUCGAGCCUGUGCAAAAAUAAAUACCUGCUUAAAUAAAAUAUAAUUUCUGUAGAUAGUGAUAAGUAGGGUCGAAUCCACAGGAACUGGGGAUAAUUUAAUUUCUUCUCAAGUUCCAGAUAUGGGGGGUUUUUGAAAAUGAGAGUAACUAAAUUUAUUGGAAUAAAUUAAAAUAAAAUAAAAUAACUACAACUCAAAUAACUAAUUAUCACAAUAAAAAUAAUAAUAGACGAACUCUAGCCAAGAGACAACUUUGGAGAUGGUUUACUUAAUUCGAUCACAGAUGCAAGGAUUAUUCCAGUUAUUAUCUGAUAAAUUAGUUAUAGUUGUCAUACACGCGAUAAACAACUAACUCUUCCUCAAUUUGUCGAUAGCCAAGGUACGACCGUUGACUAUUUCUCUAAUCAGGAAACAACCCUAGGUACGACCAUAGAAGUUCAAUUCCCUAAUUGCAUGAAUAAUUAGAAGAACCUAAUUCUAACCAAUCAACACGCUACGAGGGUCUCUUUAAGUUAGCCUGUCUAUCUCCCUGACACAAACCCAAUCAUGCCAGUUGCCACCAGUUUAGAAUAAUUAAACAAUUACGGAUUUAACUACCAUAAUUGGCUUCAGGUUAUUGAAUUAAUCUAGAAUCCGGGCCCUGGAUAAUCGAAUAAUAAAACAACUAUAUGAACAUAAAGCAGAAGAUAGACGAAUACCAGAAAAUAAUAGGAAAGCUAAAAUCGAUUAGAUCUCACAAUUUAAGUCGAACCAAAUCCUCCGUUGUUCUUGACUAGAAAAACUUAGCCACGUCUCAUGAGAAAAUCUCCACGUAAUUUAAUUGAGGUCCAGGCCAUCAAAGGAAUCAAGAAAGAAUAGAAAACUAAAACUAUAGCUAUCCUAAAACUAUUGAUAAAAACUCUCUGUACGUCCCUUUUCUCUUUUAAAGCCAAAGAUACAAAUGCUAUCUAGUCCCGUGGUCCCCGCACGAAUUGAGAGUCCAAUUCCAUUUCACAAGCCUCUGUACGUUUCUUUCCAAGAGCCCAAAUGACUCAUGCUUCUUAUCUCCGUGGUCCCCACGCAAUUGAGAAAAGAGUCCAUCCCCUGUAAUCCUUGUUUUUAGCUUCCUCUUACCCGUAAGACUCCUAGUACAAGUCCACCCUUUUCAGCAUAAAGAUAGGAAAUCCCCUUUUUGUAGCAUCCUGUGGAGCCAGGCUUGUAUUUCUUUUUAGAACUUCCCAUGUGUGGAGUGUUUUUAUCAAUAAAGUCUCCUUUUUAGCACUUGUUUGCUCUACUUCCUGUAAUUAGGGCCAAAUACCAAAUAUAAGUACAUUUCAACAAUUAAAACAAUAUUUGGCAAGGACAAAGAGGGAAAUUAACCAUAAAAUUAACAACAAAUUGUGCCCUAUCAAUCCUCCAAAAUUGAUCGCCAUUUGUCUUUCCUCAAGCGCAGCAAACCACCAAGUACACUUGCCACUAGUGGUAAUCCAUUACAUAUUUGUAUAGCUCUGUCUUUAAUUGCAUCCAAUUCAUUAGGUACUUCUUCGCCGUCAACUACUUUUCCUUUUAGGAUAGACCAACAAUGAUCACCAGGGAGUCUUCCUAAGGGAUAGCCUUCAUCUGCCACUACACGCGAACGAGUAGUGAUUAGACACCAGCUUCCUUUGGGUGGAUUGAUUGGAUUGAGUCCCUUCAAGGUGGCGAAGAAGUCAUCCCACAUUGCCUGAUUAUCAUCCCACACAUCAUCAAGAACUAGGAAAUAUCUUUUUCCCCCCAGUUGAUUCCGAAUAUUUCCAACGAUGAUAUUCCUAUCAUCCACUUCAAAAUUUUCUCCCGUCAAUUGCAAUAAAAUGAGUUUGAAAAGCUCCACUAUUGGAACUUUUUCGAUACACAAACCCACAACUUUUUGUUAAAGUGCUCAUCAAUUUGCUGUUUGUUGUAUAUCGAUUUAGCCAAAGUUGUUUUGCCUAGACCUCCCAUACCAUUUAUGGGAAGAACAGAAACAACCUUCUCAGUUGGUCUCAACAACAUCUCUAGUAUAUCUGAUUCAUCAUCGGCUCUUCCAAUCAUUGGAGCGACACUAGAGUCGGUCUGCCGAUUUGUUAUAUCUCCAGCAGCAGGGAGGGCAACUGCCACGUCUGACCUACUGACCAGUCCCAAAUUCCGGGCUUGUUGAUUGAUAUCAACCAGCAUAAGUUUGAUGUCCCUGACCUUAGAAGCCAUUCUCCAACGAAAAGCAAGAUUAAUGUUAGAGAAUGAGAAGAAGCAGCAUACCUUGAGCUUGUGUCGGUUUCGGGACUCCACCUUGUGGCGGAGAGAUUCAUAUUUGAGCUCAUCCAACACAUUUGUAGCAUCAUAAGCAACCUCCUCGAGACACUCCAACCAUGCUUGCACCGCUCCGUCCUGGUUUUGCUUUGCUUCAGCAUCGGCCAAGACAGCAUUGAUCAGCCGGAGAGAACGUGUCAUACUGGCCACAUCCUUCUUGAACCCAACUAACAUACCAAUCCUAUCAGAGGCAAGAGACAGUGCCCUUUCCAGGGUGACCUUAACUGUGGAACUGAUAAGAGCGUCAGCCAUUUCUUCUUCCGUGGAUAUGCAACUUUGAGAUCAAGAUGGUUUUUUUUAUGGAAGGCUUUUUGUUGCCGGAAACUGGUAAUCUAUCUAGUCUAGCAGUAAUAGAAAUGGUUAUGAAGAAAUGAGCAUUGAUAGUAGUACCAGUGUACGUAAUUUUUUUUUUUUUUUUUGUGUGUGAACAAAAUAUCUCCCAUGGUUGUUCCAACCAAGAAAGGACAAUUAUAACUGCUGUCUUGGCAACAUGUAUCACAUUGCAGUAAAUAAUCCUUAGCCUUCUAAAUACAUUUUUUUAAAUCUGAUCGAUAUUUUUCUUUUUUGAAGCAAAAAUCUGAUAUUGUUGACGAUUGAGCUUUACAUAAUUUAGGAUUGGAGCGCCGUAAAUGAGGGUCCACUUUACAUUCUUAAUUUUUGCUAACAAUACUUUUUGUGAACUGGAAAAUAAGCGUGUUUGUUAUAAAUUAUAUAUUUUUAAUUUCAAACUAAAAUUCAAAAACAAAAAAGUGAAUACGUGUUCAAUUACACUACAACGUGCUCCGCUGGUUAUAAAUUUAAUCGUUUUGGGUAUAAUUUUUUCUUAUUACUUUCUUGUUUUAGUUGAUUUUGGAUAGUUUCAACUAUUUUCCUAGUUUUUCUUUUAUCUUCUUGGUUAACUUGCUCAUGUGAGUGAAUGCAUAGACUGGUUUUCCCAUCAAACUGGUGUAUCUGACUCUCUUGUGGGAACGGGGAACCCAUGCAUAAAUUUCAUUUUACACAUUCAUUGAAUUUUGCACUUUUGUACAUAUACGGGAAUAAGUCAUAUCAUACCAUAUAUAUACAUAAUAUAAAAUAGGAUUUUUUUAACGGAUGUCCUGUCUUGUUAACACAUCUAACAUUUAUCUGACAAAUACAUAUAGAGUAAUUUUUCCGCGUAGGCGAGGAGUUCUUCUCUGACAAAUUUGUAAGAUUUUGCAUUGGCAUGUUUACAGAGUAACUUUCUCAAUUAUUGUAGUUGUUGGGGCAUCAUGUUUUCUGAUUAAAUGCUGGGGCCUUCAGAAUUUUUGGUUGAGGACCAAUAUUUUGUUUUUGUCCACGAUCAAAUCGUAAAAAGGAGAGUGAGAUUCUGCUUUGGUUACAUGCAUGCCAUUAUGGUUAAUCCUUGGAAAAUGAAUUUAUGACAUACAAUAAUUUGGUCUGAAUUUUGUUCGGUUUUGGGAAGCGACCACACUGGGAAGCAAUAAUAAUAAUGUUCUCUGUUUUCGCACUAGCUAUGAUGCAUUUUGCUUCUUGGCUUAGUAAUCAGGCUUGAGAUUUUAAAUUACCUUUUGUACUUUAGCGUUUCAAGUAUAUAACAUGAUCGGUAUGAAAUCCCUAGCCUUCUACUCCUCUCUUUAAAAUCUGAUAGUCUUUAAUUCAGAUCGGUAUUAAUCCUUUUUGUUAUAUUAUUUCUUAUUACUUUCUUUUUCUAGUUGAUUUUGGAUCCUUUUUUAAUUACUUUUCUAACUUUUUUCUUUAGCUUUUGCGGACGCGGACAUGUAUACUGGUUUCUCCUCAAACUGGAUGUCUCUCAAUCUCUCUUUUGUGGGAAUUCAACGUACUUUUAAGAUGAAUUUCAUUUUGCCAUUAUCAAGUUUGCACUUAAAGAAUUAAAGUUCAUAUGGGGUUAAGUCAUACUAAUUUCAUAUCUUUGACAUUUAUUUAUCACAAACCUCAAUUCUUCUUUCGUCUAGUGUUUCAUUCCUAUAUCAACUCUCCUUAAUUCCAUGUUGCGCAUCGCUUUGCACGUAAGAAUUCAAAAUUUAACCACCAAUUAAAUCACUUGGGAUUCUCGGUGACAUGUUUUCUAUGCCAACUCAAUGCUACCUAUAGUAUUGCGCCAAGUGUCCUGUUAUUAUUUACACUUGUGUUAAACCAAACCAAGUUAAAUUAUUAGAAAAUUAAAAUAUAAAUAAUAACAGGACACUUGGCGUAAUAUUAUAGGUGGCAUUGGGUUGGCAUAGAAAACAUGUCACCGAGGAUCCCAAGUGCCAAUUAAAUAGUUUUCCUCGCAACUUGUCCCGUUUGGAUUGCUAUUUUUAGGAAUUUUUUGUAGAAAAAUAUACUGUAGAGAUUUGAUGUAUGUGAGGUAAAAAGGUGAUUGAGAAAUGUAUUUAUGGAAAAAAUGUUAGUUUCCUUUUCUCUUCUAUUUCGAAUUUCUCCCAACUUAUGUUUCCUUGUUGCAAAUCUUGCCAAACUUUAUAAGAUAUGUCUUAUCAAUUUCUUUGAUACCUGAAACACAAGAAAUUUCUCAUUCCUUAUGUGUAUUCUUGUUUAAUUAUUUAAUUUGGUUCCUGAAACACAAGAAAUUAGUAAAGAAUUUAGAUCCAAUUUGGUGCAACGCUUCUUUGACAAACUGAAUCGGAUGCUUCUGCAAUGGAAGUGUUUUUUUUUUUUAUAACAACAAUAACUUUUCCUACAACCUAAUUUAUUCUAUUCUGCAGGGAGGAGGAACCUAAUCUAUUCUAUUCUAUAUGGAGGGAAGCCUAAAAAGAUUAUACUAUACGGACCUGACUCGAUCAAAGAGUUAAUUUGACAACUCCAUUAAAUUUUUUUCAUUAUAUAUAGAAUUUGAACUCCAGAUUUACAAUCUAAAAAAAAAUUAAUCUCUUUUUGGUUUCCACAUAGCCAAAGCUCAGUUGGCCCAGUGGUUGCAACUUGCAACGGCAGUUGCUUGGCAUUUUCAAUUCACCUUUCUUUGUAGUGUAGUAGUUGUCGGGAUUCUUCAUCUGCCUUUGAUCCACAUUCCACAUGCUUGGGGGGGGCAUCGGAUGUGGAAAAUUCCACCCAAGAAGGAAAAGAAACCGUAUUGAAUGAUGAAGAAAAGAAAAUGGCAAUCAUCAUUGAGACUCUAAUAAUUGCCAUGGAGAAGUUUGCCUGGCAAUUUCACUUGGCUUUAUUGAUCAAUGCUUAGCUGGGUAUUUCAUCUUUUUCUGAUUGAAAGCUGGCUGGGCCUUUGGUUGUGAAAAAUAUCUCAAUGGUUCGUCGGAGUUGUGGUUUGAUCCAAGACUGACCCCCGCAAAAAAAAAGAAGAAGAAGAAAGACUAUGUUCAAUGAUAAAAAUGUAAAGGAGAAAGAAGAAAUGACAACCAUAGCUGGUGACUUUGCAACAUUAAUUGCCUCAGCCAUUAAUCCUUGGGAAAUGCCCGACCAGGGUAGCUCACCUGGUGGUGUAGUCUCUAGUUAGAGCAUCCACCACGGUUCGAGUCCCUGUAACAAAAUGGGAAAAGACCCAACAACCCAAAUAAGGGUUGGGGCCUGAAGUUGGGCCAGGCCCUUUUUUUUGACAAAAAAAAAAAUUAAUCCUUGGGAAAUAGACUAAAAACGUUAUUUUGUGGGGGAAAACUUAAGAAAUAAUCCGUAUCAGGUUUGGCAUGUAGCGACAUAAUUGGCCAAUGGUUGGGUGCUUCUUAGCUUUUACACUUGUGAAAUUGCCAAAUCAGUCACUCGUAAUUCCACAAGCUUUCUGGCACUUUAAAAAUUCAAACAUUUUGUUUCAAAAUGUCUUGUUUAUGUACAGCAUACAAAAUUUAAGUGGUGAAAGUUUAAGGAGUUUCUUUAUUACUAUUUUUUUUAGAGUACAAUAUACAAUCAACUGAAGUUAGAAGUGAAAUAGACCUUUAGCUCACACUAUGAUUAUAAACUUUGACUAAAUUGGAUGUUUUGGAAAGGGGGAAAUGAGCGUGUUCUUGUGGAUUUCAAUUUUUACAAUUGAAUUAUUUGCCUAUGAUAUGAUCACAAGUUUAACUUAAAUGGAGUUGCGAUGAUAGAAGAUUCUCGAAAGAAGACUUCAAAAGGUGGAAAUUGAAAAUGAGUGGAAAUUAAUGGGGAAUUAACCAAUUAUUUGGAUACCUAUUUUUGAAUCUGACUCUUUUAUAAUUAGUUUCUCUUAUAGUUUUUCUCGCUCCUAACAAAUUUAUCUCAAAAGAUAAAUUUGAAUUAUUUGUUCUUAUGGUUCCUCUCUCUUCUAACAAUAUGAUUAAUUUGUAUAAAUUUUUUUAUCCAUAUGGAUUAACUUAGUGUUAAAAAAAUUUUAACUGUUAGCUGAUAGAUUUAUCAAUAUUGCUGGAAAUUAAAUAUUUGUUGAUGUAGAAAACAAAUCACAAAAUCUAUUGUACUUAGUUAAGUAGGAACAUUGUCGCGCCCCACUUUUUGAAUGAGAUGAUGUGUGUGUGAAGUGAACGUGUGCAAAAUGAAAAGUAAAAAGGCCAUGGGACUUUGGAAAGCGACGAUUUGGCCAAAUGAAAUUUUAAAAAGGGUUUUUUUAAAUAUGAAAACGGAGUCGCCACUUGGUAUAGAUUUGGGGUGUACCAAGUCACCCAAAAAAGUGUUUUUUAAAGACAAAGUAGUAAAACCCUUUUUAAAACGACUCCUAGUCCACGUAAGCCAAAGAAAAAGGUUCGGGGGUCACGUUUGACAAAGGGGAAGGCAAGGAUAGAAUCCAAGGCACCCCUUUGACCUAGCCAAGGCUAGUUGCGCGACUCAAACCAAUUUUUCCUAAUUUUUUCUACCCAAGGUAUGUAUCGCGUAUUGGAUAUGUCUAUAUGAAUGCAAAAACCUAGACCUAGGGGGACAUGGGGGAAAUUUCUCUUCAAAGGUUGAGUGGUGCCAAUCACAUUAAUUGUGAAGCCCAAUAAUGAUCCUUUGGAGAGGUCACGUGUAAUCCUAAAUGACGUAAAAAUGAGUGGAAUGCAUGCCAUGUGAAAGUGUGAGUUUGUGUGAAGUGAAAAAAAAUGAUAAAAAUACGAUAUAAGUGGAGGUGUGCAAAUGUCUUUGAAUGCAAAUAUAUACUCCAAGUGCAAGUGGGCAAAAAUGCAUGUAUGCAAUUUAAAGAAAAGUGCGAAAGUGUCGGUGUGCAAAUGAAGAUGAAAGUACUCGUGUGCGAGUGAAGAUAAAAGUGUUCGUGUGCAGGUGAAGAUAAAAAGUGUUCGUGUACAAGUGAAAAAAGUGUUCGUGUGCAAGUGAAAGUGAUAAAAAGGUGCAUGUGUGCAAGUGAAAGUGAUAAGAAGGUGCAUGUGUGCAAACGAGACAAAAGUGAAAGUGUAAUGAUAGAGUGGAUUGAGAAUGCAUGAGUCUAGGGAAUUCAUGCAUAUUGGGUACGGGGAGACCUAAAUCGUGACUUGAUUUUCCCUUUGAUUAGAAGGCGAAACUAGCGUGCUAAGGCUAUCGAGUAGCCACACUCGCUCGUUUCCCUUAUCGGAAGGGGACUCUCAUGCAAAUGUACCCUAUAACUAGUAUGAAAUGCAAAAAUCCUAAAAUGAGGGGAAAAGGGGCUCGAGGAGCAUGCCAGAUGAUAAAACUAAGGAAAAAUGCAUGAUAUGUAGUGAACAAGCAAAUGAUAUGCUAAUGAGGGGAAAUCCCUAAGGGUCUAGCGUUGGACUAGCCCAUUCUAUGAAUUCCGACUAGCGUUGGACUAGCGGAAACGUACAUUCAUCCAUUCCAUUCAUUCAUGGCUAUGAAAGCAAGUAGACAUGCCAAAAUACUCGUAAACACAUAGCACAUAGCAUUUAGCAUGCUCGACUAGAUGCAAGAGCCUAAUAAAGCAAUUAAACAUGUAGCAACAAAAACAAGCAACCAAGGGGAAGGGGAAAUGGACCAGGUGCUCUCCGAGCGCUAUCUAUUACAAGCCAAGAGGUGUACACAUACCCCAUAAAAGCAUAAAGGGGAAGGGGAAAUGGACCAGAUGCUCUCUGAGCCCUAUCUAUUACAAGCCAAGAGGUGUACACAUACCCCAUAAAACUUAAAUAAAAGUAAAAGCAAGUAAACGCAUGCAAGGAGGUAAGGAAAGCGAAGUAGACAGGCAUAUUCACAUAACACAUAGGAGCACGUAGGGUCAAAUGAAGUGCAAAUGAGGGAUAGAGUGUACCUCCCUUGAAGCGACGCCCUAACGUAGUAAAAUUACUAACUUACCCUCCAAAAUAAUAAAAAGGUCAAGGUACCACUUAAAUUAUCAAAUAAAUCAGAGAAAAUGGAAAUAAAUGCCAAAUUGAAUUACUUGAGGCAUUCCAAAGAAAGUAAACUACUCGUACUUAACCAAUUAAGACAAGCAACGACCCAAUUGAGAAAUUAAAGAGGUUUAAAGAGCCAAUUUAUUAUUAUUAUAAACACUAAGGGACUUGAAAAAACAUAAAAUAAAAUUAAGAAUCUAAGGUGAAACAAUACCAAAUCAAACGAGAAAUUUCACAAAAAGGUAAAUGAGAAGCAAUUUACUAGUAUCUAAGUAACAAAAUGCCAAAGAAUCCAAGAAAAAUCAAAUUAACUACAAAUCUAGGAAAAAGAUAUUACUAGACCCUUUAAAUCCACUCUACAACCCCUUAAGUAUCCACUCAAAACAAAUCAAGAAGUAUUAAAGAGGAAACGGCAUGUUAGGAGGACAAAAUUAAUUAAGUUUUCCAAUUAAUUGGGCUAUGGAAGCAUUAGAUGGAAGCCAAGGGGUUGGAGUGCAAUUUGUGGAAGUUGUUUUCAUGCAAAGCAUGCAUACGAAGAGGAUUUUCUGCAAUGAAAACCAUUCAACAACUUUGAAACUUUCUUCAAUUUUUCCAUUUAGCCUUGGAAAACAAACCAAUGAACUUGACAACUCAAUAUUGAAUGCAACAACUUGGAACUAGGGGAAGAAGAAAGGCACGGAAAAAAAACUGCAAUGGAAUGCUGUGAUCAUUUGCCUAAAACAGGUUUCCAAGAGGAUAAAAAUCUGGCAGCUACCUAUCUGUAAUGCAAUGAACACACGCAUGUUUUGUCAAUGGAAACAGCCACCAAGACUUCACUUGUUAAUACGUCCCUAAAAUCUUUCAAACAACUAUUGAACAAGCUCCAUGAUUACACAGAAAUGCAAGGAAGACAGCUACUGGAAUGAAUAUAAAAAAAGAAAAAAAAAAGUCGCAAGCAUUGGAACCAUUCCUGCAUUUUCCUGUUGCAGCUCUUGCCGCAAACUCCUCUGGGGUUUUCUUUGUGUUUUAAACAAUUCAUGCACCAGUCAUUCGACACAGGAUUGAUCAUGCAAACAGAGGAAUGAAAUCCAAUUUGUGAGCUGCUGUGGGAGUCAAAACAUGAAAGCUAACGCAGCUUCAUGCAAAAUAUCAUGAGAAGAGUUUCUGCAAUUUCCUUUGCUGCAUUACUUUACUUUAGCCGAAUUGUGUUCGUGUGCCAAAAGCUCCUACAGACUUCCACUAAUUUGACUGCCAGAACCCAACUACAUGGACUUCAGCAAAAACAGCAAUUUUUACCCACUGAAUGCAGCUAAAAUGCAGCAAAUUGCAGCAAAAGACACCACUUCCGUCUUGCUGCAAUUCACCCACGAAACAUGCUCAUACAUCAACUUAAACCCAACCUACCAAGUGUAAUGCGCAAAAUGCAGUAAGGAAGCGUGAACUAGCUACCAGAAAUUCCAACCAUGAUAUCCAGCAAUUCCAAUCAUGAAGCAUGCAAAAUGGAAACCAGAAAUUCCAACCCAUUCCCAAACCAAAGAAGACCAUGAUAUUCAAGCCUUUCAUUGCAAAAAAAAACAUAAAGGAAACGGUACUCAAGGAAGCACUUAAAACUUAGACAUGACAACAAUCCUGAAACUUUUUGCAACUUUCUGGUCUUGUUCAUUCAAACACCACUCAUGGCCUCAAUCAAUGAAACAUGAAUCAGAAUUACAACGUGGCUGCGCAUUUUCCAGAUUCGAUUUUUACCCUUGUUGCGUUUAUUCAAUGUAAUUUUCCAUCCAAACACUUCUAAAACUUCAACCAAACAUCAAACUUCGAUCUUAAGCCAGAAAAAAACAACCUUCAACGUCCAAACAAGCCAAAAUCAGCCCCAAAAUGCAAUCUUUUCUCAAUCAUUUUCUUCUUCAGUUCAUGGGAUAAUAUAAUCACUUUCUGGGCUCAUUACCAAACGUAAGAUCAUACGAAUCUAUUUCCAAGCUAACGAAAAUCAUGCUAUUUACACCGCUUAUCUCUAAAACCCAACAAUCAGAAUUGCACCAACCCAAAAAAGAAAACAACGGCAACCAGGGAAGCAACAAGUCAGCGAAAUAUGAUAAAAAACACAGAGCCCAGCUAACCACAAAAUGUCACAGGAUCAUGCCUUUUGGACUUUGGAUUCUCAUGGAUAUAGCAUUAAAGCAAGAAAAGGAGAAACAAAAACGAUCACCUGAAUUGCUAGGGCCGAAAGCAAGAGUUUCUGCUGAGUUUUCGUUUGAAGCUAAAACUGGAACGGUGGAGGCCGAACAGCUUCUUCCUCCGGAUCAAAGCUCCCUCUUUUCUCUUGUUUUUUAGGUUUCCUCUGCCCAGCCGAUAAUCAGCCCAAAACUUCCUUCUUUUCUUUCUGUUUCUCCUCGGCCCCGACACCCCCUUGGCUCAGCUUUUCUCUCCUCCAGUUCGUCCAACUAGAUUUCAGCCCCACUCCCAAAACCUCCAGCCGCUAUCUCAUCCUAUUCUCAAACCUUCUUGACCCUAGUCGUUCCUCUACUCUCAUCUGGUUUCUCUCAAUCCUCCCCCUUUUCAGCUGCAAACCCUCAUUCUCUCUUCGUAGCCCCUGCCCAGUUUUCAGUUCUCUCUUACCUUCAGCUCUCGGUUUUUCCUUUCCGUCAACCCUCUCUUGGCUCCUGUGUUUUUCUUUUGCCGUUCUUUUUAGAACUCUCCCCCGUAUCCUCCCUAAAACUCCCUUGCGGCUGUCCAUCCUUUUGCUAUUUAUAUGGGAACUUCCAACCCUAAACCUUCAGUCAGCUCUUCUAUAUUUACAGCCCAAGGGGCUGCCCGAAGUCCUCCCUUGCAAGCUGCAAAACGCAGCUUGCAAGUCGCGUUUCUUUUUUUUUUUUUUUAACUUUCAACUUAAUAAAUACAGAAAUGAUAAAAUAUAAAUAAUAAUAAUAAAAAAUUGACAAAAACCAAGUAAUAAUAAUGAAAAUAAUAAUAAUGAAAAUAAUUUAAAAAACUAAACAACUAAAAACAACAAAAAUGGCCAUUUUUCCAUCUUUUUUUUUGUUUCAUUUUUCAUUUUUUCCAUUUUUUUCAAGAAAGCAUUGAAUUUAAAUUACAAACGACUAAAUCAUAUUUUUUUGAAUGCUUUUUCUUUUCCUUUUUUUCUUUUUCAACAAAUUCUAUGAUAAAACUUAAAAAUAAAAAUAAAACUGGAAACUAAAAACUAAAAAUGAACACGACAAAUAAAAAAAACUAAAAAAUGAAAUUACACCAAAAAUUUGGUGUCUACAAACAUGUAACUAGGUUUAUGGUUAUUAUAAAAAUUGUAAUUAUCUAAAAAAAUAUCCGUACACAAAAGGUAGAAUAUCUAUUGAUUUUUUUAUAUGUGUUAUAAUAUUUGAUGAAUAUUAUGAUAUUAUAGUAAAAGUAUGUAAAGAAGUUUUUAAAAAUUAGUAUGAUAGUUAAGUAUAACUAUUACAUUAAUUUUCUAAAAUUAAUAUACAUGAAUUUGUAAGAUCAUCAUUAAUUUUUUAUUUAAAUUAUUCAUGCUUGCACGAAUUCAAAGUAAAAUAAAAAAAUAAACCAUGCCAAGGCACAUGCAAGAUGCUCGUUCAAAUUAAUGUUGUACACGUAUAGGAGUCACAAAACGGUUUGGUGCAUCUAAAGUAUUAGGACAAGUUUUACAUUAAAGCGGGAGAUUUGUAAAGCAAUUGAGCGAAAACAAAUGAGGGUGAGGAAAACUUUAUAUCAGUUGCAAUGCAUUCAUAAAAGCUAUGACACAUUCGUUAAAAUAAGAAAUAUUUAUUAAUUUGGUGCAGUGUAAUAGCAAACCAAGGAAAAAAAAUAUGAAUGAUCCGUAAGAGGGAAAGAUGUCAUUUGACUUAAAAUAAAAGUGUGAUUGGAUAGAGGUUUAGUUGAACAAAAAGAUUAGAUUAAUAUCGUAACAAUUUUUGUGGCUUGAUAUAAUGUAUAUGAGAUACAAUGAUGGCUGGUAAAAUAAAAAAAUGAUUCAGGUAAAUAUAAAUAAUUUUUUUCAUAUAUUUGCGUAAUGAUGAUAAUGACAGGGGUGAAAACAAUGCAUGCAAAGACGAAGGUUGAUAAUAAUAAUGAUAACUAUGGUAAGAUAGAUAGCAAUUGCAAGUUGCACACCAUGCAAUUAGUAAAUGUUUUAGAUUAGGUAAAUUUGCACACCACUAUUGCAAAUAAUUCAGUCAAUAAGAGAGAGGAAAACACAAUGCACGAAAUCCAACUUUUAGAAUUGUGUUAUAGUUUAACGAUGACUAUGUGGUGUUUUUGUAGACAAAUAAACAGAAAAACAAAUAAAUAUACAAAUUUGAUAAAGAAAGGUGCACUUCUAUGGGACCGAAACUAAUUGCUCUUAGGUCCCAUUUUGCUAUUUCUUAAAGUUUUUAUAGGGACUUUUUCGUUUGGAUUGCUAUUUUUUGAAGUUUUUAUAGAAAGAUAUGUUGUAGGAAUUUAAUAUAUAUAAGAUAAAAAAUAAUUAAAAAAUAUAUUUAUGAAAAAUGUUAAAAAUUUUUUGUAGUAAACUGCAAUCGUAGCAUGGCUUGCGAUUUGAUCAAUAUGAAAUAAAAAAGUAACUGAGAAAUGUAUUCACAAAAAAAUGUAAAAAUUUUGCCUUAGAAAACUACAAUCCAAACAAGUAGUCUUCUCCCCAUUUAAGAAACGCAAUGAAAAUAUUUGUUGAAUAAUUAAACUUAUCCCUUCAUAAACCACUUAUACCGGGGGAAGAAUCGAUUUUAUGGUAAGGAGGGAGGCAGUGAAUGAAAAGUCUUGGGUUCGAUUCCUCCCACUUACACAAAAAAAAAAGUAAAAAAAAAAAUCCACUUAUACUAGCUAAGAGUAUUUUCUGGUCACGUCUCAUGUUAUAUAUUAUUAAUCCUAUCCUAUUAUCCAAAAGCAUUUGUUGGAAAUUGCAUGCUUAAUUUAGAUUAAAAAAACAAUAAUGAAAUAUUUGUUGGAAAGAAGGAAAAGUGACGCAACCUUUCCAAUUUGUAAAUUCAAUUAGGCUAACAUGUAAAACUAUUAAAGUGUAUCAGCAUGAGAGAAUUUAGUGCUUCAUCUGACGCUUGUAAAAUAGACAAAUGAAGUUUUGAAAUUCUAGCACUUUUGGACCAAUACUUUUUUUUAAGGCAAAACCAAUGCCUUAGGUAAUUACAAGAUCUCAUCUUGAUUUGCUGUUUUUCUUAUUAAAUGUUGAAUCUAGAAAAUCAUGUCUAAGAAAUAACUACAUAUACCCGGAAAAAAAAUUUAGUGCUAGGAUAAAUAUACGGUUAAGUUAUGGAAAUUCUCUUUUCCAUUUUAGCAAUUUGAUUCUUUGGAUGCAUGAUUUUAUCUGUUAUAUUUGACUUCAAAAUAAGUUACUUUAGAAUGGUGUUUGGAUGUGAAAACAUAAUCUGUAAUUAUUCUCACCUACUAUUUAUUUUCUAAAGGUCUGUCCACUUUAUUCGGAUUUCUUAUGUCACGGCCCCACCUCCCCCUAAGGCGAACCAGAGGGUUCGGCGGGCCGCCUGCCCAGCUCUCGCCGGGACUCAGUCGCUCACUACAGUCCUCAACCCAAUUACAAUAUAAAUCUCAAAAUUUCAUCAAAUUCUCCAAUGAUUACAUAUUACAAAUGCAGCGGAAACUGAUUCCAAUCGUAGAACGUAUACUUACAUCCAUAUCAAUUUCAAAUAUUUAUACAAGACCAACUCGUACAUAAAAUAGAUCCAAACUUAAACUGUACACGAUAUAAGCCAUCCAGUCACGUGAAUAAGUACUCCAAGCUUUUCUUCGCCUUGAGCCCUGUGGGGGGGGGGAAAUAAAACAUUUUUGGGGUGAGCUAGAAGCUCAGCGAGUAACCAUUAAAAUCAGUAAUCAAAUCGGUUUCACAAUAUUUCUUUUCAAUGAUGUCAUAAAUCAAAUGAUAAGUCCAGAAACGAUUACAGCAUUUACAAAACAUUAAAUAUGGAGUGUCAAUAAUUCAAGAAACAUGUACAAUGGAAAGCGAUAGUAACAUUCAUGAAAGGAUACAUUCAUUCUCCUGACAUUUCCUCGCUCAUUUGAUCAUUUAUUUCAUUUCAUUCACCCCGUCCCUGGCUUUUGGCCAGGCUCCACCAACCUACAUAGGUAAUACUCGAGUAUACCAAAUGUUCACCCAAGUUCCUAAUCGCCUGACCGAGUCCGCUUCUGGCUCAAGACGACCGGUAACAAGGGGCAAUGGCCAGUUCAGCCCAAAAGGCUUACAUUCAUGCGCAAGUAACAUUUCAAUCAAAAAUUUCACAUUUAUCGAGGUCGAGUGCGAUAAAGUACACACUCGCCUCGAAAACUCGUUUUGGAAAUCAUUAUAAGCGCUUAACACGUUAUCAACCAAAAUACAAGUCAUGAAGUCAAAGAAUAUAGCAAACAAGGCACACUCACAUGCCAGCACGCAUGAUAUGCAAGAAAACAUUUCAAAAGUAACUUUGGAAACAGUUCAAAAGUAAAUAAUGUAAGAAACGGAUCAUAAAUAACUUUAGAAGUAGUUUGAGGUCACUCACCUCCACGGCUCUGAAACCAUCCAUCAUAUAGCAUUGCCUUGCUCAAAUCCAAGCCUUAGAUCACAAACGCAAAGCAACCAAGUCCUUUAAAAGUUCGGACAGCACUUCCCCUGAAUUUGCUAACUUUUCCAGCCAUCAUGGCUUCAUUAUAUCCUCAGCCAGUCCCAAAGGUACACACACAACAACGAGUUCAUCCAAUAGCCAUUCAGCAAGCUCCAAGUGGUACUAGUACAAGUCAAGCUAGGGAAAAGGUCCGGAAAUGAAGGUUUAGCUCAAACCAGAAAAACAGUUUUGGACGUCACUUUACGGUAAUGGCACAACUUGCACUACGAUUAUCGGAUUAGGGUGUAAGACCCACCAUUUCGAAGCUAUGAAACAGGGAUACAACAAUGUAGAAGGCCUCUCAGUCCAAAUCCUAGCACAACUAGGUCAAAAAUGCAGAAAACUAACCCAGAACCGUAAUUGCAGGUUCUCAAAUCCCACAAAACUGUAAUCAGUCCAAUUCAGUCUAUACAGGUCCAAAUGCAUUGAUUCAAAAGGCAUAUGAAAGCUAAGACAUCAAGCUACAUUUCAUCAGAAGACACCAACAACAAAAUCCAAAUCAAUUCCAGUCAAAACAGACAAUUUGUUAUCGCAGUUCGCACAUUCUGUUCACCAAAAACAGCAACAGUAAAAACGGCAUAACUCACUCUACACUACUCCAAAUACCCUGAAAUUUUGCAGGCACUUCAUACUCACCAAUAUAUACAACUUUUAUGUUUUGAGCAAAGUCCAAUUCGGCCGCUAGCUAUGACCUAAAAUUUCGGACAGAAUAGGGGUUCAUGAACCCUAACUUUUCACAAUUCACUUCAAAUCCAAAAUUGAUUGCAUUAUUCUUAUCCAAUCCACCACGCGAGCACCGCCAGCUCUCAAGCUCGCCGUGGCCUCCUCUCUCCACCACCAGCUUGCAACCCUCUGCUUCAACCCGCCGCCACUCUCUUCGCCACUGUCUCCACGCAGCCCGCCGCCACCUCACCUCGCUCACCACCAGCCUCAAAGGCCUUCCCCCCAUCGCGAGCCAUCUGCCCAACGCGCACGCUGCCACUCUCCCCUCCCGACUGCCCCAGCGCGCCUCCUCCUUAGCUCAGCCCGCCGCCUGGUGCUGACCACCACGCCGCGCGCCGCCAGCGCUGGAGCCGCCUGCGCGCUACCACUUCACCUACUGCGCGCCUCCACCUCAGCUUGUCCGCCAAUGUCGCGCGGCUGUCACCACCUGUCCUAUUUAGACAGGUGGAGGUAUUGUGAAUUCUGCCCCAAUUAGUUUCACUCUCUGAAAUUUGUGGUUGGAUUUCUUGAUUGAUAAAAGAAGGUGAUAAUUUGGGCAUUUUCUAGGGUCAAUUUUGGACAGAAUUGGGUUUAAUUGCUGCCAUAGUGGGGGUAUCUUCUGCUAUUUAUUGAAUUGUUGGCCUUUUGAUUACUCUUUCCCUGCGACUCACCAGGUACUGGUUGAGAUCUUUUGCCUAUCGUUGUGGCUUAUAUUUGAAGAUACUUGCUUAUUUUGCCGUUUCAGUUCUUGUGGUUGAGUUGCUGCCGUUGAAUUUAAUUCUUUCCUGUUUGUGCACCAGUGGUACUGGUUGCGGUGUUGCUUACAAUUCUUAAAUUUUCUCGAAUUCUAAUCGGUAGUUGCUGGAAUUGCUUGUUUGCUGGAUUCUUAAAAUUCUUAAGGCUUGGUAUCUUGAAGUGGGUACUUGAAUGUCCACUUGGUGACAUUUGUUGAGUUUCACUUGCUCCAAUUGGUUGAAUUCAUUGCUCUGUUGGGGUCCCUACUGGUAUCACUUGACUUCUGCUUUGUUAGUUUCUGUAUCGUGCCCCUUGAUCUUAUUUUGACUGAAUUGGAAACCCAGUGCAUAUUCAUUCAAUUUGCUGUAUUGUUAGGGUACUUUUCUAGCCUUUGGGGUGCCUCAGUUGUGCUUUUUAUUAAUUGGGUUGGCCAUGUGGUUCCCUCCUUUCCUGUGUAUACACCAGUGGUACUGGUUGUGCUAAUUUGCUUACAAUUUCUUAUUUCGAUAUGAUUGAGCAUCUGUGACUGAGUAUCCUUCGAUCUUGUUGCUUUGUUGGGAUCGUUUUUGGUGUCAAUUGAGUAUCAUUUGGUACUUUCUGCCUGGAGUCUAUUGAGCUGCCUUUGGUUGGGGUGUAUUGCAUUUAAUUGGUGCAUUGGACGGCUCCUGUGCCAUUUCCGUUGCUUAUUGAAGUAGGUUGCCUCUAUUUGCCUUGUGUGGGAGUAUUUUGUCCUUUUCAUUUCAAUUGCUAAAUUCAUUGGAGCACUUGUUGCGGUUUUGGGAUGCAUUGUUAUUGCAUUUGGCUAAGCAGGGGACCACCCAGGGCUAACGACUGGGUCCAACUCCGAAUGCAAGUUGCAUAACAUGGCGCAGAAUUUGGCAGCACUCCGCCCGACCCACUCCUGUUUUGACAACUUCAGGGAAGUACCGUUACCCUUCCCCUUCCUUUUGCUGUUAGUUUAUCACAUUGAGGGCAAUGUGAGAAAUUAGGUGUGGGGGGGACUCACAUGCCAGCACGCAUGAUAUGCAAGAAAACAUUUCAAAAGUAACUUUGGAAACAGUUCAAAAGUAAAUAAUGUAAGAAACGAAUCAUAAAUAACUUUAGAAGUAGUUUGAGGUCACUCACCUCCACGGCUCUGAAACCAUCCAUCAUAUAGCAUUGCCUUGCUCAAAUCCAAGUCUUAGAUCACAACCUCAAUGCAAACAAGUCCUUUCAAAGUUCGGACAGCACUUCCCCUAAAUCUUCUUACUUUCCCAGCCAUCAAGGCUUCAUGAUUUCCUCAUUCCAACCCAAAGGUACACCCACAACAACAAGUUCAUCCAAUAACCAUUCAGCAAGCUCCAAGUGGUACUAGUACAAGUCAAGCUAGGGAAAAGGUCCGGAAAUGAAGGUUUAGCUCAAACCAGAAAAACAGUUUUGGACGUCACUUUGCGGUAAUGGCACAACUUGCACUACGAUUAUCGGAUUAGGGUGUAAGACCCACCAUUUCGAAGCUAUGAAACAGGGAUACAACAAUGUAGAAGGCCUCUCAGUCCAACUCCUAGCACAACUAGGUCAAAAAUGCAGAAAACUAACCCAGAACCGUAAUUGCAGGUUCCCAAAUCCCACAAAACUGUAAUCAGUCCAAUUCAGUCUAUACAGGUCCAAAUGCAUUGAUUCCAAAGGCAUAUAAAAGCUAAGACAUCAAGCUACAUUUCAUCAGAAGACACCAACAACAAAAUCCAAAUCAAUUCCAGUCAAAACAGACAAUUUGUUAUCGCCGUUCGCACAUUCUGUUCACCAAAAACAGCAACAGUAAAAACGGCAUAACUCACUCUACACUACUCCAAAUGCCCUGAAAUUUUGCAGGCACUUCAUACUCACCAAUAUCUACAACUUUCAUGUUUUCAGAAAAGUCCAAUUCGGCCGUUAGCUAUGACCUAAAAUUUCGGACAGAAUAGGGGUUCAUGAACCCUAACUUUUCACAAUUCACUUCAAAUCCAAAAUUGAUUGCAUUUUCUUAUCCAAUACACCUCAUAGAGUCAUUAUCAGCCAUUACCAUUCAUCAUACAAGGCCACAACAUCCCCUUCAUAUUAAACCAGAAAAAUUCCCAAUAAAAUAAAAACUUCACCAAAACUCUUCAAAUCAAGAAAUAAAUCAUAUAUUCCUUCACUCAUGCCACCAUUAAGCAUCAUAUAACCAUCAUUAGGUGUAGUAGAGGGUUCAAGCAUCACUUACCAAGUAACAAGAGGUGUAGAGAGGUUGGCCACCUUAGAGCUUCAAAACAACUUCACUAGUACACUUAUUAUCACUAAAAGGAAAGGUUUUAUGGAUUAAAAAUGGAUGUAAACAAAUGUUUUGGGUGAUUUGCACCAAGUAGAAGCUUGAAAGUUGAAGAGUUUCUUCUUUCUUCUUGCUUAAAGAGGGCCGGCCAUAAGGAGGAGAAAAAUGGUGAAUUUUGUGCAAUUUUUGGAUAUUUAAUCCUUUGGUCAAAAAAGUCAAGAAUGUGAAUAGUAUUUCUUAAGGUCCAACCAAUAGGAAAGUGACACUUGUCACCUCCAUUAAAUGCAUUCUUAUCUUUCUUUUCUCUCUCACAUCAAUCACUUCACACACACUACUUAUCUCUUAACACCCGAUAAAUUUUAACCAGUAUCCGGAAUGUAACCUAAUUGGCCGAAUUUUUCCGAACUUUUCGCACUAGUGGGUCCCACGUCCGUUAUAAACUCUUAAUUUCUCAAAAACUCUCCAAUACUAGAAAAAUCAUUUGAAAACGAUAUUUGCUCAUAAACUUUAUCUGGGGAAUUUUUCUAAUCAAGAAAAUGUAGAAAAGCGGGCGUUAAACAAAUAAACCCUAGAAAAGUAGAAAAUUUCCGGGUUCUCAAACUCAUUUUUUUUCGGGGCGUCACAAUCUCCCCUCCUUAAAAGAAUGUCGUCCUCGACAUUCCCUCUUGUACCAAUCAAGUCGAAACAUCCCGCAAAAAUCUCUCAAGAGUCAAAUCAAACCCACAGUCCGGCAUCCUAAACUUCAAGCCUAGGAUACACUACAGAGAUCUGAAGCCUAAGCUCUGAUACCAAUUGUCACGGCCCCACCUCCCCCGAGGCGAACCAGAGGGUUCGGCGGGCCGCCUGCCCAGCUCUCGCCGGGACUCAGUCGCUCACUACAGUCCUCAACCCAAUUACAAUAUAAAUCUCAAAAUUUCAUCAAAUUCUCCAAUGAUUACAUAUUACAAAUGCAGCGGAAACUGAUUCCAAUCGUAGAACGUAUACUUACAUCCAUAUCAAUUUCAAAUAUUUAUACAAGACCAACUCGUACAUAAAAUAUAUCCAAACUUAAACUGUACACAAUAUAAGCCAUCCAGUCACGUGAAUAAGCACUCCAAGCUUUUCUUCGCCUUGAGCCCUGUGGGGGGGGAAAUAAAACAUUUUUGGGGUGAGCUAGAAGCUCAGCGAGUAACCAUUAAAAUCAGUAAUCAAAUCGGUUUCACAAUAUUUCUUUUCAAUGAUGUCAUAAAUCAAUGAUGUCAUAAAUCAAAUGAUAAGUCCAGAAACGAUUACAGCAUUUACAAAACAUUAAAUAUGGAGUAUCAAUAAUUGAAGAAACAUGUACAAUGGAAAGCGAUAGUAACAUUCAUGAAAGGAUACAUUCAUUCUCCUGACAUUUCCUCGCUCAUUUGAUCAUUUAUUUCAUUUCAUUCACCCCGUCCCUGGCUUUUGGCCAGGCUCCACCAACCUACAUAGGUAAUACUCGAGUAUACCAAACGUUCACCCAAGUUCCUAAUCGCCUGACCGAGUCCGCUUCUGGCUCAAGAUGACCGGUAACAAGGGGCAAUGGCCAGUUUAGCCCAAAAGGCUUACAUUCAUGCGCAAGUAACAUUUCAAUCGAAAAUUUCACAUUUAUCGAGGUCGAGUGCGAUAAAGUACACACUCGCCUCGAAAACUCGUUUUGGAAAUCAUUAUAAGCGCUUAACACGUUAUCAACCAAAAUACAAGUCAUGAAGUCAAGAAAUAUAGCAAACAAGGCACACUCACAUGCCAGCACGCAUGAUAUGCAAGAAAACAUUUCAAAAGUAACUUUGGAAACAGUUCAAAAGUAAAUAAUGUAAGAAACGAAUCAUAAAUAACUUUAGAAGUAGUUUGAGGUCACUCACCUCCACGGCUCUGAAACCAUCCAUCAUAUAGCAUUGCCUUGCUCAAAUCCAAGUCUUAGAUCACAACCUCAAUGCAAACAAGUCCUUUCAAAGUUCGGACAGCACUUCCCCUAAAUCUUCUUACUUUCCCAGCCAUCAAGGCUUCAUGAUUUCCUCAUUCCAACCCAAAGGUACACCCACAACAACAAGUUCAUCCAAUAACCAUUCAGCAAGCUCCAAGUGGUACUAGUACAAGUCAAGCUAGGGAAAAGGUCCGGAAAUGAAGGUUUAGCUCAAACCAGAAAAACAGUUUUGGACGUCACUUUGCGGUAAUGGCACAACUUGCACUACGAUUAUCGGAUUAGGGUGUAAGACCCACCAUUUCGAAGCUAUGAAACAGGGCUACAACAAUGUAGAAGGCCUCUCAGUCCAACUCCUAGCACAACUAGGUCAAAAAUGCAGAAAACUAACCCAGAACCGUAAUUGCAGGUUCCCAAAUCCCACAAAACUGUAAUCAGUCCAAUUCAGUCUAUACAGGUCCAAAUGCAUUGAUUCCAAAGGCAUAUGAAAGCUAAGACAUCAAGCUACAUUUCAUCAGAAGACACCAACAACAAAAUCCAAAUCAAUUCCAGUCAAAACAGACAAUUUGUUAUCGCAGUUCGCACAUUCUGUUCACCAAAAACAGCAACAGUAAAAACGGCAUAACGCACUCUACACUACUCCAAAUGCCCUGAAAUUUUGCAGGCACUUCAUACUCACCAAUAUCUACAACUUUCAUGUUUUGAGAAAAGUCCAAUUCGGCCGCUAGCUAUGACCUAAAAUUUCGGACAAAAUAGGGGUUCAUGAACCCUAACUUUUCACAAUUCACUUCAAAUCCAAAAUUGAUUGCAUUUUCUUAUCCAAUACACCUCAUAGAGUCAUUAUCAGCCAUUACCAUUCAUCAUACAAGGCCACAACAUCCCCUUCAUAUUAAACCAGAAAAAUUCCCAAUAAAAUAAAAACUUCACCAAAACUCUUCAAAUCAAGAAAUAAAUCAUAUAUUCCUUCACUCAUGCCACCAUUAAGCAUCAUAUAACCAUCAUUAGGUGUAGUAGAGGGUUCAAGCAUCACUUACCAAGUAACAAGAGGUGUAGAGAGGUUGGCCACCUUAGAGCUUCAAAACAACUUCACUAGUACACUUAUUAUCACUAAAAGGAAAGGUUUUAUGGAUUAAAAAUGGAUGUAAACAAAUGUUUUGGGUGAUUUGCACCAAGUAGAAGCUUGAAAGUUGAAGAGUUUCUUCUUUCUUCUUGCUUAAAGAGGGCCGGCCAUAAGGAGGAGAAAAAUGGUGAAUUUUGUGCAAUUUUUGGAUAUUUAAUCCUUUGGUCAAAAAAGUCAAGAAUGUGAAUAGUAUUUCUUAAGGUCCAACCAAUAGGAAAGUGACACUUGUCACCUCCAUUAAAUGCAUUCUUAUCUUUCUUUUCUCUCUCACAUCAAUCACUUCACACACACUACUUAUCUCUUAACACCCGAUAAAUUUUAACCAGUAUCCGGAAUGUAACCUAAUUGGCCGAAUUUUUCCGAACAUUUCGCACUAGUGGGUCCCACGUCCGUUAUAAACUCUUAAUUUCUCAAAAACUCUCCAAUACUAGAAAAUCAUUUAAAAACCAUUUUUGCUCAUAAACUUUAUCUGAAAAAUUUUCUAAUCAAGAAAAUGUAGAAAAGCGGGCGUUAAACAAAUAAACCCUAGAAAAGUAGAAAAUUUCCGGGUUCUCAAACUCUUUUUUUUCGGGGCGUCACAUCUUACCUAUUUCUAAAGGCCUGUCCACUUUUGACCGGUUUUCUGGCAAAGUCAACAAUGACAUUGAAUCGGACCGGUGCCAUGGCCAGUUCGCGGUUCAACCUGUCGAACCGGUCCGGUUUUCAGAACAUUGCUUAAAACAUAUUAUUUGGAUGUUUUGAAAUGGCUGUGGUUGUUUGACAAUUUUGGAUGCUUUUGUAUUGGCAUAUUUACUUUAACUUUCUCAACUAUUUUGAUUGUGGACAAUAUCUCAAUGGUUGUUUCAUUUAUGAAGGAUAAAAUUGAACUCGAGAUCCCUUACUUAUAACACCUCCUACCUUAUCACUCACAUCCAACCCUCCCAACUUGAAUCAUAAUUUGGUCUUAAUUACUAAUCCUCAAGAAUUAGAAUUAGAACAUGCAUCUUAUUUUGUUUGGUUCCCUCAAGUGCUAGAGCAAGAAUUUUUAUCGGAUCAAUUAAUGGUCAGUUUUUGACUAAUGAAAAUAUUCUAAAUAAGAUUGUGAAAUCAAUUAAUUUCAUAUACAAUCCAAAUAAGAUUAUGAACUCCUUGUUUGUUUAAUUAAUUGCAUGUGCUAAUGAUUGUACUUGCCAAAUAUCGGACCAUUGUUUUUGUCCACGAUCAAAUCGUAAAAAGGAGAGUGAGAUUCUGUUUUGGUUACAUGCAUGUCAUUAUUGUUAAUCCUUGGAAAAUGAAUUUAUGACAUACAGUAAUUUGGUCUGAAUUUUGUUCGGUUUUGGGAAGCGACCACACUGGGAAGCAAUAAUAAAAUGUUCUCUGCUUUCGCACUAGCUAUGAUGCAUUUUGCUUCUUGGCUUAGUAAUCAGGCUUGAGAUUUUAAAUUACCUUUUGUACUUUAACGUUUCAAGUAUAUAACAUGAUCGGUAUGAAAUCCCUAGCCUUCUACUCCUCUCUUUAAAAUCUGAUAGUCUUUAAUUCAGAUCGGUAUUAAUCCUUUUUGUUAUUUUAUUUCUUAUUACUUUCUUUUUCUAGUUGAUUUUGGAUCCUUUUUUUUAUUACUUUUCUAACUUUUCUUUAGCUUUUGCUGACGCGUAUAUUGGUUUCUCCUCAAACUGGAUGUCUCUCAAUCUCUCUUGUGGGAAUUCAACAUACUUUAAGAUGAAUUUCAUUUUGCCAUUAUCAAGUCUCUCAAUCUUCUUUCCUCCAGUGUUUCUUUUCUAUAUCAACUCUCCAUGAUUCCAUUAUUGUCUCACAGCAUAAUCCAGAAACUGUCAGUAUAUAAGAAUUCUUUUGAAGUAAUUAUUACUAAUAUAGUUUCCGCUUCUUGUGGAAUGUUCUGAAUCUUUCCUAAAGCAACAUUUUCCAAUUUGAGUUCCAGAAUUGUUGCAAACUUUUUUGGUUUGCGCAUCACUUUGCAUGUAAGAAUUCAAAAUUUCACCACCAAUUAAAUAGUUUUCCUCGCAACUUGUCCCGUUUGGAUUGCUAUUUUUAGGAUUUUUUUUGUAGAAAAAUAUACCUUAGAGAUUUGAUGUAUGCGAGAUAAAAAGGUGAUUAAGAAAUGUAUUUACGAAAAAAAAUGUUAGUUUCCUUUUCUCUUCUAUUUCGAACUUCUCCCAACUUAUGUUUCCUUGUUGCUAAUCUUGCCAAACUUUAUAAGAUAUGUCUUACCAAUUUCUUUGAUACUUGAAACACAAGAAAUUUGUCAUUCCUUAUGUGUAUUCUUGUUUAAUUAUUUAAUUUGGCUCCUGAAACACAAGAAAUUAGUAAAGAAUUUAGAUCCAAUUUGGUGCAACGCUUCUUUGACAAACUGAAUCGGAUGCUUCUGCAACGGAAGUGUUUUUUUUUUUUUAUAGCAACAAUAACUUUUCCUACAACCUAAUCUAUUCUAUUCUAUAGAGAGGGGAAGCCUAAUCUAUUCUAUUCUACUGGGAGGGGAGCCUAAAAAGACUAUAUAAGGAAAUUGGUAUACAGAUCUAAUUAGACUGUAUUUUGACGCUUUCUUUAAAUUUUUUUCAUUACGUAGAGUUCGAACUCCACAUUUACAAUCCAAAAAAAAUUAAUCUCUUUUUUGUUACCGCUGAGCCAAGUCUCCUUUGUUUGUAGCAUAGUAGUUGCCGGGAUUCUUCAGCUGCCUUUGAUCCACAUUCCACAUGCUGGGGGCGGGGGGGGGCGGGAAAUCGGAUGUGGAAAAUUCCACCCAAGAAGGAAAAGAAACCGUGUUGAAUGAUGAAGAAAAGAAAAUGGCAAUCAUCAUUGAGACUCUAAUAAAUCUCACUCCUCAGUUCCUGGGAUGUGAACGUACGAUUAAUAAUUCCAUCUAAAUUGCUGAUCCUAAGUGGAUCAGAUUUGAAACAUAUUUUAUCCAUUGGAGACUCCUUAGUUUGUUUGCUUUCUGCAGGGGAUUAUUGUCACGGCCCCACCUCCCCCUGAGGCGAACCAGAGGGUUCGGCGGGCCGCCUGCCCAGCUCUCGCCGGGACUCAGUCGUUCACUACAAUCCUCAAAUGAAUUACAAGAAUAAACCUCAAAUAUUACAAUAAAUUCUCCAAUAAUUACAUGUCAUAAGCGAAGCGGAAACAAUUCUCAACUAUACAUAAAAUGAUUUCCAAUCCAAACUGUACAAGAUAUAGGCCAUCCAGACACGCGCACAAGUACUACAAGCCUUCCUUCGCCUUGAGCCCUGUGGAGGGGAAUAAAAUAUUUUUGGGGUGAGCUAGAAGCUCAGCGAGUAACCAGGAAAUCAGUAAUCAAAUCGGUUUAACAAUAUUUAUUUUCAAUGAUGUCAUAAAUCAAAUGAUAAGUCCAAAAACAAUUACAACAUUUACAAAACAUUAAAUAUGGAGUAUCAAUAAUUCAAGAAACAUGUACAAUGGAAAGCGAUAGUAACAUUCAUGAAAAGAUACGUUCGUUCUCCUGUCAUUUCCUUUUUUUUCAUUUGAAAUUGCAUCAUUUUCCACCAACCUCCACCAACCUACAAAGGUAAUACUCGAGUAUACCAAACGUUCACCCAGGUCCCUAAUCGCCCGACCGAGUCCGUUUCUGGCUCGAGACGACCGGUAACAAGGGCAAUGGCCAGUUCAGCCCAAAAGACUUACAUUCAUGCGCAAGUAGCAUUUAAUCAUUUAUCAUGAAAAUUUUACAUUGAUUUAGGUCGAGUGCGAUAAAAUACACACUCGCCUAGAAAGCUCGUUUUGGAAAUCAUUCAAUGCACGUAACACGGUAUCAAUCAAUAAUACAAGUCAUGAAGUCAAGGAAAUAUAUCAAACAAGGAACACUUUCAUAUAAACACGCAUGAUAUGCAAGAAAACAGUUCAAAAGUAGCUUUGGAAACAGUUCAAAAGUAAAUAAUGUAAGAAACAUUUCACUAGUACUUUGGAAAUAGUUUAGGGUCACUCACCUCCAUGGCUCAGAAAUCAUCCAGCAUAUAACAUUGCCUUGCUCAAAUCCAAGUCUUAGAUCACAAACUCAAUGCAAACAAAUCCCUUCAAAGUUCGGACAGCACUUCCCCUGAAUUUCUUUACUUUUCCAGCCAUCAUGGCUUCAUUAUUUCCUUAGCCAGUCCCAAAGGUACACACACAACAACAAGUUCAUCCAAUAGCCAUUCAGCAAGCUCCAAGUAGUACUAGUACAAGUUAAGCUAGGGAAAAGUCCGAAAAUGAAAGUUAAGCUCAAAACCAGAAAAACAGUUUUGACGUCAUUUUGCGGUAAUGGUACCAAAGGCGGUACGAUUGUCGGAUGAAGGUGAAAGACCCAUCGUUUCGAAGCUAAGAGACAGGGCUACAAUAUUUCAGAAGGUCACUCAGUCCAAAUCCCAGCACAACUAAGUCAAAUAUGCCAAAUAACAAACCAGAACCGUAAUUGCAGGUUCACAAAUCACACUAUGCUGUAAUUAGUCCAACUCAGUCUACACAAGUCCAAAUGCAGAAAUUCCAAAGGCAUAUGGUAGCUAGGACAUCAAGAUACAUUUCAUCAGAAGACCUCAACACCCAAAUCCAAAACAAUUCCAGUCAAAACAACCCAUUUCAGACGCAGUUCUAACAUCCUGAUGAACCCAGAACAGCAAUAGUAAUUUCGGCUUAUCUCAUUCUACACUACUCCAAUUGACCUGAAAUUUUUCAGACACCUUUAAAACAUCAAUACCUACAACUUUCAUGUUUAGAGCCAAGGCCAAUUCGGCCUCUAUCUAGGACCAAAAAUUUCGGACAGAAUGAAAAACCAAGAACCCUAAUUUUCCAGAUUUCUUCCAAAACAGAAUUUACUUGCAAUCUUCCACUUUUUCCACCUUCUAGAAUCAUUAAACAUCAUUUCCAAUCAUCAUACAUAACCACAUAAUCAUACUCAUAUUAAAACAGAAAAAUCCCCAAAAAAUAAUAAAAGUUGAUCCAUCCAACCACAACUCAAAAUAUAAUCCAUCAAACCAUCUCUUUAGCCAUCACAAGUCACUAAUUUAGUAUAAUCAAGAACAAAGAAAGGAUUGCUAGACAUGAACCUUGAAAUAUCAAGAAAGUUGAUGGCUUAGUCCUUUGCCUUCUCUAAUCACUCCACCACUACCUUCAAUCUUCCUAAACAAGUGACUUUUGUGGAGAAAUUCGAAAGUUUAACGGUUGAUUCACAAGAUUGAGCAAGAAAUGGAGUUGGAGUUGAAGGCUUUCUUCUUGUAUUUUUGCUCCAAGAGGUUCGGCCAAGUUUGCAGAAAUUUAGGUGAUUUUUGGGUCAAAAUUGAGUAUUAAUAAAGGUAAGAAAUAAUGGUCAAAGUCAAGGUUGAAUAGGAAGAUGACACUUGUCACCCUUUUGGUUCAAAACUUAUCUUUUUGUCUCUCCAAUACAAAUAUCUUAACACUUUGUAAAAUAAUAUCACUUAAUACAAAAUUCCUACAAGUUGUCAAAAAUAUAUUGCGUUUACCGCACUAGCGGGUCCCACGUCCAAAAUACGCUUUUAAUUUCUCAAAAACUAACCGAUACUAGAAAAAUCAUUUGAAAACUAUAUUUGCUCACAAACUUUAUCUGGGGAAUUUUUCUAAUCAAGAAAAUGUAGAAAAGGCGGGCGUUUAAAAAAAUAAACCCUAGAAAAUUAGAAAAUUUCCGGGUUCUCAAACUCAUUUUUUUUUCGGGGCGUCACAAUCUCCCCUCCUUAAAAGAAUGCCGUCCUCGAUUAUUCUCCAAUUUCUUUAAAAUCCACAGACCCCCAAAGUUCUCCAUUUCCAUGCUAGCUAUAUAUUUUCCUUUCUGGCUAGUUCAGAAUAGCUAGAAAUUUACAGUGGAUGCUUUUGUCAGCUCUUUAACCACUGGUAGAAAGAAGUGCUGCAGUAGUACAUCUUUAUUACUAUUUUUUUUUUUUGAAAUACAAUAUACAAUCAACUGGAGUUAAAAGUGAAAUAGGCCUUUAGCUCACACUGUGAUUAUAAACUUUGACUGAAUUGGAUGUUUUGGGAAGGGGGGGAAAUGAGCGUGUUCUUGCAGAUUUCAAUUUUUACAAUUGAAUUAUUUACCUAUGAUAUGAUCACAAGUUUAACUUAAAUGGAGUUGUGAUAAUAGAAGAUUCUCGAAAGAAGACUUCAAAAGGUGGAAAUUGAAAAUGAGUGGAAAUUAAUGGGGAAUUAACCAGUUAUUUGGAUACCUAUUUUUGUAUCCGACUCUUUUAUAAUUAGUUUUUCUUAUAAUUUUUCUCGCUCCUAACAAAUUUAUCUUUUCAGAUAAAUUUGAAUUAUUUGCUCUUUUGGUUCCUCUCUCUUCUAACAAUAUGAUUAAUUUGUAUAAAUUUUUUUUAUUCAUAUGGAUUAACUUAGUGUUAAAAAUUUUAACUGUUAGUUGAUAGAUUUAUCAAUAUUGCUGGAAAUUAAAUAUUUGUUGAUGUAGAAAACAAAUCGCAAAAUCUUUUGUACUUAGUUAAGUAGGAAAAUGUAACUAGUUUUAUGGUUAUUAUAAAAAUUGUAAUUAUCUAAAAAAUAUCCGUACACAAAAAGGUAGAAUAUCUAUUGAUUUUUUUAUAUGUGUUAUAAUAUUUGAUGAAUAUUAUUAUAUUAUAGUAAAAGUAUGUAAAGAAAUUUUUAAAAAUUAGUAUGAUAGUUAAGUAUAAUUAUUACAAUAAUUUUCUAAAAUUAAUAUAAAUGAACUUGUAUGAUCAUCAUUAAUUUUUUAUUUAAAUUAUUCAUGCUUGCACGAAUUCAUAAUAAAAUAAAAAAAAAUAAACCAUGCCAAGGCACAUGCAAGAUGCUAGUUCAAAUUAAUGUUGUACAUGUAUAGGAGUCACAAAACGGUUUGGUGCACAAGCAGACGAAAGGGGACAUCUAAAGUAUUAGGACAAGUUUUACAUCUAGCAGACGAAUUCAAUCGAUUGUGAUGUAUUUGCUGAUUUUCUUGAAAUAAAAAAUGCAUAGGAAAAAAAAUAUUAGAGAGUUAUCCUUUGCAUGGAGUUCAUAUCGUUACUACUUUUGCUGCGUGGAAUACCUUGUCUGAUGGAUGUCUGCUUGAAAUAUGCGUUCCACAUAUUUUGUAUGUUUAUCCUAAUAAAUCAUCUUAUAUUGUGCUAAUAUUUCAAACAGGUUUUGGAAUUUUGCUGCAAGUUUAUCUUCUCAAAAGAUAAGUCAUUUGAUUUGAUUUGCGUCAAAAAAUGCUUUGCUGAGGCCUUCAGUUGUGGAAAAAAACUCUCUGACCCAAGACGCACAAGAAACUAUUUUCCAGUUCUUUAGAAAUAAAAUAGACGUUCAACGCCCAUUUUCUAAUUCGAUUCAGUUCUGUGACCCCUUUUUUUAAUUCUCUAUUUUCUAUAAUUCUCAAUUCUUUAUUUUGCACUAUUUUGUUGGGUGAGCAAUUAACAGGCACGUGAAAUAGUGGCUCAAUGGGGGAAGAAAAAACAAGGGCUAUUCCUUUUUUUUUUUUUGGAUUGCGUGAUCAAUUAACAAGAAACGACAUAAGCAAAACAAAUUCUUCAUGUUCAGGCCCUUGAUUUUCCUUUGUGAAUAAUGAACUGAAAAAGAAACUUAAAAAUACUAGUUCAAUUGAAUCUUAAAAUUAAUGCAAAACAUGGACAAGAAUGCUGUAGUGUCUGAAGUACAAUCUCGAUUUAGUACAAGACCUCUGAAACUUGAAUACAUAAUGUUCCAGUUCCCCAAUUUUAAAACCUCUCAAGCCAGGCCAGAUUCUUCAAUGCUCGAUUCUCAAUUAAUGGCUUCAUGUAUUUUCCGUUAUGAAUGUGACAAAGUCUCCAUUCUGGAGCUCAUUUCCAGUUGUCUCGGAUUUGGUAUCACUUGAAACUGGUUCUGUAUCAGGGAAUGGGAAACAUAUGGCCGUCAACAAAAACCAGAGGAAAUUUGCAGCGCUCAGACCGGCAAGCACCCAAUAAUAGUAAUUCAAGUGACUCUCAUUCAAGUCAUGCUGAAACCAACUCUUUUUCCCUCAUUUCUCGCUAAUCUUGCCCACCAAAUGAACUGAUAAAACACUUCCCAUGAUUCCCAGACCGGAUAAUCCAGGAUUGAGGUAGACAAGGUACUUUUUCAUCGAUGGGGGACUUUGAUCAUUCAAGAAUUCUGCAACACUGUUCUCAUAAAAUGAGUCUAGCCCACCAAGAAGAAAGAAUUGCGGAACAAGCAAAAAGACAGUCAUGGGGAUUUUCUCGUUAGGCUUGUCAAUUAAACCAUUGUUAGGGUGGUUAUCUAAAUCUAACCACUGGUGAAAAUCAUCACCUUUAAACCCAAGAUCUGUAUGGCGAUUAUUAAGAAAUAAAUUAACUGUAAAAUAGCGGAAGCGUACCUGAAUCCAUAUUAAUAAACUUGAUACUUGAAUCCCUUAGAUAUUUGGGGUGGCCUUCCAAAUCAACAUGUAUUCACCAAUCCUUUGAGAGAGGUCUUUAGUUUCUCUCUGGUAUCUUUCCUGACGAUGGGAUAUCAGGGAAGGGCUGUUUUGUGGUAUUAGAAAAUACGACAACUAAAACGAUACCUGUGACCUGGGGACCAUAACCCUAUUUAUAGGCAACAUUCCUGUUACCUUUUGGAACCCUAUUUCAGCCCAUCAUUGAAAUAGGAGCCCAUAAGUUUCUACACAUUAAAGGGCCAACAUCCUAUUAAAUACAUUAAACCCAAACUAUAUUUGAUCACUUUAAUUGGGUUUAACCUUAAUUGACAGUUUGCAAUACAUAAUUAUUCACAUAUAAGUCCAAUGUUGAAUUAAGGAUCCAACAAUCUCCCACUUGGACUAUAUGUGUAACCUUAUAAUUAUGUUUUGCAAUUAACCGUAUGAGCUCAACUUUACUGUCAUUAUCACAAUGUAUCUGUAACUAAUUCGGUCCAUCAAUUACACAAAUAUAGGAUCAAAGCGGCCUUUGUUACAAUUUCGUAACUCGACCCAUCAAUGGUCACAUAUAUUAAUGCAAUUGAAUGACAUGAAUCAUGAUGUGGAUGUGUAGCAUGAAAAUUUCAUGUAAUGUGAUCAAAACAUGCCUAUUUCCAACUGGUCCACCUUAAAUUUUAUGAGAUCAAACCAUACCAAAGUUAGAGUGUAAAUAAAUUUAGACUUUAUUUAUGUAUAAAAUAUUCUUAAAUCCUUAAUAACUGAAAAAUAUCAUAAGAGCAUUCAAAAUAACAAACUCCCACUAAAACUGUACAUCAUUUAAUAACACGACACCCAUAUGAGCAGUAUGCUCAUGAAAUAAUUUGGGUGACAAUCCCUUAGUAAGCGGAUCCGCAACCAUGGAGUUUGUCCCGAUGUACUCUAUCGAUAACUGUCCAUUUUGCACUCUUUCUUUAACAGCCAGGAACUUGAUAACUAUAUGUUUAGAUUUGGUUGAGCUCCUGUUGUUAUUGGAAUAUAAGACUGCUGACUUAUUGUCACAGAAUAAUUUAAGUGGUCUUUCAAUGCUAUCCACUACACGUAAUCCUGUGACGAAAUUUCGCAGCCAAAUUCCUUGGUUGGAUGCCUCAUAACAAGCUAUAAAUUCUGCAGUCAUAGUGGAAGAUACUAUGAGGGACUGUUUAGCACUCUUCCAGGAUAUGACACCUCCAGCCAACAAGUAGAUAUAGUCUGACGUUGACUUCAUAGUAUCUUUGCAUCCAGCAUAAUCGGAAUCAGUAUACCCAAUGAUCUCUAACUCAUCUGACUUCCGAUACGUGAGCAUGUAGUCUUUUGUUUUCUGCAGAUACCGUAAGACCCGUUUGGUUGCUUUCCAAUGAUCUAAUCAAGGAUUACUCAAAUAUCUAUCCAACAUCCCAGUAAUGUACGCAAUAUUCGGACGCGUACAUACUUGAGCAUACAUUAAACUCCCUACUGCUGAUGCAUAAGGAAUCUUUUGCAUCUCUUUUUCCUCAAAAGCAUUCUUGGGACACUGCUCAAGACUAAAUUUGUCUCCUUUAGCCACAGGGGUGUCACCUGGUUUACAAUUUUGCAUGCCAUAUCUUUUAAGAACCUUUUCGAUAUAGCCCUUUUGUGAUAGUCCUAAAAUACCCCGAGAGCGAUCACGGUGUAUCUGUAUGCCUAACACAAAAGAUGCAUCACCAAGAUCUUUCAUCUCAAAAUUUUUAGUUAGAAAUUUCUUGAUUUCAUGCAAUAGACCAAUAUCAUUGCUGGCAAGCAAAAUGUCAUCAACAUACAAUACCAGAAAAAUAUAUUUGCUCCCACAGAACUUAUGGUAUAUGCAAUCAUCUACUAGAUUCAUCUCAAAACCAAAUGAGAUAAUCACUUGAUGAAAUUUGAAAUACCAUUGUCGAGACGCUUGUUUGAAUCCAUAGAUGGAUUUUUUUAAGUUUACAAACCAUAUUCUUUGGAUCUCCUGAUACAAAGUUUUCUAAUUGCACCAUAUAAAUCGUCUCAUCAAUGUUACCAUUGAGAAACGCUGUCUUUACGUCCAUCUGAUGUAACUCAAGACCAAAAUGUGCCACUAAUGCUAUGAUAAUUAUAAAGGAGUCCUUUGAAGAGACUGGAGAGAAGGUUUCUUUAUAAUCGAUACCUUCCUUUUGUGUAAAUCCCUUAGCGACAAGACGAGCUUUGUAUCUUUUCACAUUGCCUUUUGAAUUUCUCUUGAUUUUAAAUAUCCAUUUACAACCAAUGGGUUUCACUCCUUCUGGCAAUGGGACAAGAUCCCAAACGUCAUUGUCCUUCAUGGAUUUAAUUUUCUCAUUCAUGGCAUCGAUCCACUUUUGAGAAUUUGAACUUUCCAUAGCUUGACGGAAGUUGAUUGGAUCAUCUUCCAUCAAUCCAGAGUCAUUCUCAUGUUCUUGGAGAAAAACAAUGUAAUCAUCUGGCACUGCACUUUUUCUUUCUCUAGUGGAUCUUCUUAAUGGCACUGGUUCUUGAAAAGGAAGAGUUUGUUCUUCUAUAACAGUUUGCUCUUCGACAUUGUCUUGAUUUGUCAUGUCAUGAUCAAGUUCAGGAAUAGGGUCCUGAGCAAGAGUAAUGACACCCGUGGGAAUAUAUUCCUCUUUAAAGACAAUGACCCUUACUGUAUUUUCUCCCCCAAACUCGACAUCCUCAAAGAACCGAGCAUUUCCUGUCUCAAAAAUUGAUUUGGCUGUGGGAUCAUAAAACUUGUAACCCCUGGAUCUUUCAGAGUAUCCAAUAAAAUAACAACUAAUCGUUCUUGAGUCCAGUUUCUUUUUAUUAGGCCUAUAAGGCCUUACCUCAGCUGGACAUCUCCAAAUGUGUAGAUGUUUUAAACUGGGCUUUUUUCCCUGUCCAAAGUUCAUAAGGGGUUUUAAUAGUUGCUUUAGUUGGAACUCUGUUAAGAAUAUAUGCUGCAGUCUUAAGUGCUUCUCCCCAGAGUGACUCUGGUAAGGUGGAAUGACAUAUCAUACUCCUUACCAUGUUUUUAAGUGUUCUAUUUCGUCUUUCAGCUACACCAUUUAUAGUGGGUGAACCUGACAUAGUGUACUGUGGGACGAUACCGCACUCCUCUAGGUAUUUAACAAAUGGUCCUGGACGUUGUUCACCUGAACCGUCAUAUCUAUCAUAGUACUCACCACCACGGUCAGAUCUGACGCUUUUAAUUCUUUUGUUGAGUUGAUUCUCAAUUUCAGCUUUAAAAGUUUUGAACACGUCUAGUGACUGUGACUUUUCAGAAAUGAGAUAUAUAUAGUCAUAUCUUGAAAAAUCGUCUAUGAACGUUAUAAAAUAUUGUUGACCAUUCCAAGCAGAUGUAGGAAAUGGUCCACAAAUAUCAGUAUGUAUAAGUUCUAAGACGUCUGAGGACCUAUUGGCUUCAAAUCUCCUUUGAUUGGCUUGUUUCCCCUUUAUACAGUUAAUGUAAUCAUCAAAAUCUGUAAAAUUCAAAAGGUCGAGAAUUUCAUUUGACACAAGCCUUUCCAUUCUCCGUUUGGAGAUAUGUCCCAAUCUCUUGUGCCAUAAUGCAGCUGAAUUCUUAUUGGCUAAUUUUCUUUUAACUCCUCUAGUACUCAAAUGCAGAGAUUCAUUAAAUGAGACAAUUGUAUCAAUUAAAUAUAGAUUAUCGUAGUGCAUUAAAGAACCAGAACCAACCAAUUUUGAAUCAUGCAACAAUUCAAAUUUUUCAUUUCCAAAUGAACAAAAAUAACCAAAUUUGUCCAAAGCAAAAAUAGAAAUUAAAUUCCGUCUAAAAGACGGUACAACAAAUGUCUCAUUGAGAUCCAAAUAAAAUCCGCUCUUUAAUAAUAAUCUAAAAACUUCAAUUGCUUCAACUUGAACUGUUUUGUCAUCGCCCACGUAGAUAUAUCUUUCACUAUCAUUAGGCUUUCGGCAAUUCAGACAACCCUGCAUAGACACACUGAUGUGAGUUGUUGCACCAGAAUCCAGCCACCAUGUGUGUCUAGGUACCGAAGUUAAAUUAACCUCAAAACAAACCAAAUUAAGAAGCAUACCUUUCUUAGCACGCCAAGCGUGAUAGUUGGUGCAAUGCUUCUUUUGAUGCCCUUCAACUCCACAGAAGAAACAACUACUCUUUCCCUGAUCAUUUGAUUUCUUUUGUUGUUUCUUUUGUGGCGCUGUACCUGCAGCUCCUUUUUCUUUCUUUCUCUUAAGUCCCUUGCCUUUAUUAUUAGUGGUUGACACCAGAUGAGCACUUUCUGUCUGCUCCUGCUUCAACCUUUCCUCUUCCUCUACACAGUGUGAGAUGAGUUCAUUUAGAGACCAAGUCUCCUUUUGACAGUUGUAACUCACCUUAAAUUGGUUAAACUGUGUAGGAAGAGAUAUUAGAAUCAAAUGCACUAGUAACUCUUCAGAGAGUUUCAACUUAAGUGCAUUUAAUUUCGAAGCAAGAUGAGACAUCUCCAUGAUGUACUCUCUGAUAUUGCCUUUACCACUAUAUUUCAUUGAAACUAGGCGUGUCAAGAGCGUACUAAUUUCAGUCUUUUCAUUCUUUUUUUUUUUUUUUUUUUUUAAGGUGUGUCCCGCAGGGAGUGGACCCCGCAGACUAUUCACCACCCUCAACAACUUGCUGGCAGCAAGGUUCGAACCAGGGACCUGAAGCCCCAUCUUCAGCAACCUCAACCACCAGACCAAGCCCCUGAGGGCAGUCUUUUCAUUCUUGACAAACCUUUUUUCAAUGUCCUGAAGGAACUUUUUAGCGGUUACAGUCGUUUCUGACAUUGUUCCCCUGAAUGCUUUUGAAACGGCCUUUUUAAUGAUCAUCAGACACAAGCGAUUUGAUCUCUCCCACCUCUCAUUAUUUCUCUUUUCAUCAGAGGUACUCUGAUCUGUAAGAGGUGAGGGAGAAUCGUCCCUUAACGCAAGGUCGAGAUCCAUUACUCCAAGUACUAUCAAGAGAUUUUCUUUCCAGGACUUGAAGUUUGUGCCAUUCAGCAUAGGAAUGUUAUUGAUGUUGGCAGUAAUAUUUGUAAGAUCAUUUGCAACUAAACAGAAAACAUAAUAUAAUUAAAACAAUGCUCACAUAAACCAAAAUAAUAAUAAAUUUAAAUAAUGGUAACCCCAUCUCAAGAUAUCGAUAUUCCAUUAAUAUUUUAUCUUUGGACAAAAUAUUAACUUCUAAGUGAUAUCUUGGCGCAGUAAUAAACACUGACAAUAAUAACAUGUCAAAAAAUAAAUUUUCCUUUGGACCAAUUUAUAAUUCACAUGUAAAAGCCGAAUAAUUAUCACAUGUUUAUUACCACAAGUGCACAUGUAAUUUCAUUAAAUAUUGACCUUCUUUUGGGCCGAUCAAUAUUCAUAAAAUUACUAGUACCCAACCAGUUAUAUUUUAAAAUAAAUUAAUUUUCAUAAUAGAGGUCACUUUGGUGGCAUAUUAUUUCCACUAAUUUAUUCCAAAAUAUAUAUAAUCAUACCAAUAUUCAAAUUUAAAAUUAUCCAAAAUAAAUGAAAAUUUUAAUCAAAGUCAACUUUGGUCAACUUUGGUCAAAACGUGGUCAAACAUGGUGAAAUCAAUUAAAUUGAAUCAUGACUUAUUAGACCAAAGGUCCAUAUCCAUAAUUUGACCCAAAAUUAUCAUUCAAGCCCAAAAUUUCUUGAAAUCCAUAAGUACUUUAUAAAAUUAUAUAUAUAAUGGGCCACAUAUAUGGAUUUUAUAGGGCUUAAAUGUCCUAUUUAACUUUAUUAGGGUUCAAUUAAAUUAAAGAACCUCUAAUUUUCUUAACAUAAAUAUAUUGAAAAACGGUGAAUUGGCCAAGCAAAAGUGCAAAACAUCGAAGCCAAUAACCAUGAUUUGACCAUCAUGGAACCUUGGUCCACAUUUGUUCACAAAUUCACACAACAAUCAUCAAAAGUAAAAGGCACGUGAAUGACAUAAGCAAACAAGAAGUCUGGAUUCAUUGGCCAUGCAUCAGAACAAAAGUGAUUGCAAAUCUAACAAUCCGUGAACUAAAAAUUGUUAACAUGAAAUAAAAUUAACUUGUCCAUAAUGGUGGAGGAAAGGACAAAACACUUCCCGUGGCCAGAGGACAAAUUAGAUUACAUCAUCACUUGAUUCAUGUUUUAAGUAAACAUAAGGUGAAAAUCGUAUGAAGACUUAUGUCUCAAAAGCAUUGAGAUUGUUGGAAGAAUUUGACCGAAGGCCAAAAGUAUCACAGUUCUGACCAUGAAUUUGACCGAAGACAAAAAACACAUAAAUUGCAUCAAACUAGCAGUUCAUGCCUAUUAACUUACGCAAGCACUCAUGAACAUAAAAAAUCGUAUGAAGACUCAUCCAACAUGGGACCAGAACCCACAGUUUUUUUUUUUUUUAAUGAAUCAGAGGCCGAAAAACCAAAAGGCAUGCGUGGGUUCUCAAUCAGCUGUCAGCAAUUAUAAAAGGGAUGCAAUUAUCAAACCAUCAGCAACCAAAGCUUGCAAAUCACUAAAUCAGCCGUACAAAUUUACUACAAAUUACUAAAUCCAAAUUAUUUCCUAAUAAUCAACCAUAUGGGCUCUGAUACCACUUGUUAGGGUGGUUAUCUAAAUCCAACCACUGGUGAAAACCAUCACCUUUAAACCCAAGAUCUGUAUGGCGAUUAUUAAGAAAUAAAUUAACUGUAAAAUAGCGGAAGCGUACCUGAAUCCAUAUUGAUAAACUUGAUACUUGAAUCCCUUAGAUAUUUGGGGUAGCCUUCCAGGUCAACAGGUAUUCACCAAUCCUUUGAGAGAGGCCUUUAGUUUCUCUCUGGUAUCUUUCCUGACGAUGGGAUAUCAGGGAAGGGCUGUUUUGUGGUAUUAGAAAAUACGACAACUAAAACGAUACCUGUGACCUGGGGACUAUAACCCUAUUUAUAGGCAACAUUCCUGUUAUCUUUUGGAACCCUAUUUCAGCCCAUCAUUGAAAUAGGAGCCCAUAAGUUUCUACACAUUAAAGGGCCCACAUCCUAUUAAAUACAUUAAACCCAAACUAUAUUUGAUCACUUUAAUUGGGUUUAACCUUAAUUGACAGUUUGCAAUACAUAAUUAUUCACAUAUAAGUCCAAUGUUGGAUUAAGGAUCCAACAACCAUCACUUCUUAUCACAUGUAUCCUGUGAGUUUCUACAAUGGCCGUAAAUAUGCAACAUAAUGCUGAGCAUAUUGUAGCUAAUGCAAUUCCAGUUGCUGAUGCAUACCUUCUUCCGACUGCCACUUUCAUACAAUUGUACACACUUUUAAAACCCAUCUUCGCUGCUUCAUAUAGCAACAUAAGGGUUGAAUCAGGAAACUUCAAUUUCCCAACCUUGUAAUUCAGGUGGCUUGCUUGCUCUACGAAGUAUGUGUUUCCUACGGAAGUAACUACAGAACAAAUUAUGCAGGUGAUCCAAACUGGAAGCAUACAGAUUCUGAUCCGUCUUUCUUGACUUUGAGUCCUGAAUCUGAUAAUAUCCCUGUCAGAGAACCUAAGCAAAGCAAGAGAACAGCAAAAAAUUCCUAUGGUCAGAAGUUUCAUUAUCUCUUACUUGAGAACAAAGAAAUAGAUCUGUAUUUGAUUUAUGGAACACCCGACACUCUAUUCCUUUUCAAGUGAAAGUUGAAAAACAGGGAAGAAGGGCAAAAAUUAAGACUAUGAUCAGGAAGAGGAAGAUGAAAAAGGAAGGAUGUGUGGGAUGAACCCAAGUCUGCUGCCCUGGUAUUCGCAUGAACCCUGAAUGAAAAGAAGUGUUGCCGCCAGUGUGAAAAUUGCUGGAAUUCCAAACCGAAGUUUCCAUGGCUGUAUGUAUGGGAGUGCAAUUAGUGCAAUAACUGCGACAAUGUGCACAAAGAUAACGCCUAAUGAUCUUAGGCCAGAUAUGCCGCUUCCGUUUCUUUGGUUCUGUCUCUUAACAAGCUCCAUCAUUGCUUCUACUGGUUUAAACUGAAGUUUUGAUAUAUCCUCUUCAGGUUGAGGGCUUUGUUGCCUGUUGCUUGUUUUAUCAACAACUUGACUCCCUUCAAGCUGAUCCAAUGCAAAUGCAGCUAAUGAGACAAUGUGCCCACCCACUCCAACAGCUGUCAACGCCAGACCUGUGUAAAAGAUAGCCUUCUGUGUGUGACCAAUGCAAUUAGGCUGGUAAUUAGCACAGGUGUGCGUUAACUUGUGCAGUGCUGGUGGCGUAGACAUUGAUAGAAAACCCAAGCCCUGCUCAUAAUUUUGGAUAAUCAGUUCAAGAAAGUCCGGUAAAACUGGAAGCUAUACUUCUAUCAAGUUAGGCCGUGAAAUUGAUGACUAAAUGGAAGGAGGGGAGGAAGAACUGUGAAUGAAUUUGCCGACAGGAGAACUUACAGAGGAAAAGGCUAUACUCGAGAGAAGCAGUAUCCAGUAGUUAUCCACUCCAAAGUCCCCAAAUAAGAAAAGAAUAAAAGGGACCAAUUUAGUUAGGCCAGUAUAUACAUUCAUUAUUCCUGCAGCAUGAGUAAACCCAACUUUCCAAACAUCUGUUAAGUACUUCUGCAUUAUCCACGUCACGUAAGUCUCCAACAAAUCAGCCCAUAUUAGAACUGUUAAGACAACAAAAAAAGGAGUUAGCAUUAAGUAGACAAGAAUGAUUGUUCAAGCAGAGGAAGUUAAAGAAUGACAAGGCCUUUGAUGACUCUGAGAUGAAUUAAAAGUACCCAUUAUUCUGACGAAUGCCAUUGAUUUUUCGAACUUCUCGUUGAAAUCCUGAGUGUGAGAAAAAUACUAUCAGAACAAGGGAAGCUGACGAUUAGAGCAGUUUCAGAACCAUAUGGUGGCCAUAGCAAGCUGAAAGAAACCAGAGUUAAUAGUUUGGAUUGAGGUUUUCUUUAAUUACCUCCAACUGCUAUGUGUGCUGCUGGUCUGCGAGGGAAAAAGAGAGACGGAGAAACUUCUCUGCAAUAAGUCGUUGUUAGAAAAUUGGUUUAAUUUCUUUUAAACAGAUUCCUAAUUCCUUGUUUUGUGUGAAAGUAACUAGAUUCCUAAUUGAUUUUAGUUACUUAAAGUAGUAGUUAAGGAAUUUCCUAUGUGUAUGAGUUUAGGAAAAGAAGUUAUUUCCUAUUCUAAAUCAGUGUAGGAAUUAGCAUUGAUUUCCUAUUGUUAUUUGGAUUUUGUCCAAAUAAUGUUCCUUAUAAAUAGGUGAGUUAGCAUACUACAUACAAGGGCACACAAGGGGCGACAUGUAGCCUUAUACAUGGGUGGUGAAAGAGGGUUCUUGGGAGAUGAGAGAUGAUAUGCAAGAAUUGGGUUUGGGUUCAAGUUGUAUUAUUGUAUAGAGUUUUUCUCUCAUAAUAAAGAACGAAUUUCUCUUCGUAGAUGUAAGUUUAAUGGUGGAGUCAAAUUAUGUUAAAUAUUAUGUGUCGUUUAUCUUUCAUACUUAUGGCAUUUUAUCAUUAAAUUGUUGUAUACUUGAUAUUCCAAUGGUUGUUUAUUCCGCACUUGAAUCCUAACAAGUGGUAUCAGAGCUUGAUUGUGAGACUGGGUUGCUCACAAGCACUUGAAUCCCAACCAACUAAAUGGUUGGAUCAAGAGUUUGGUUGUUCAAGGUUGGAUCCUGGUUAACUAUUGAGAUCAAGUAGAUUGGUGGUUGUUACCAAUUGAACAAUUUAAUGGGUGGUAUUCUUAUUUCAAGAGUUUGGUAAGAAACAUUGAAAGUGAAGAAUAGAAAGUCGAAAAGCAUGGAGAUACUUGAUAGUGAAUCUAUGCAGGUGAUUUAAGAGUCAAGAAAAAGAUGGAAUCCAAUGUCGAUUUUUUAACAUAAAUCGUUGGGUUGAUAUCUGCUUCGUAUGCUGUCUGUCCUUCAACUGUAUAUCUAUUAGUCUCCACUAGGGGUGAGCAAACGGUACAAAUUCGGUAAUUCGGUUAGCUGAAUUCGGUGAAUUCGGUUAUUUGACUUAUAGAAAUCAAAAAUACUUUCAAUUUUGAAUUGGUUAUAACCAAAUUCAUUUCGCAACGAUUUCGAAUUCGGAAAUGGUAAUGAAUUCGAUCUAACCGAAUUCAUUUAUAAAAAAAAAAAAACUGAUGAGAUAACUCUGUUAUGGUCCUGAAGGAAGUGAUUGUGUAAUUUUUAAUUUACAAAUUGGGGUUCCUAAAUUAUAAUACAUUCAUUAUGCUCCUCAAUGAUUUAAAACUUAUUACUGAUUUGAUCCUCGAAUUUAUUCAUAAUUUAACACAUUACUUAUGUUCUAAUCAUUUUGUGGUUUAAUUGGCAUUUAUUUGAUCACUUAUACCUAGAAUCCUUAGUCUAUGAUUUGAGGAACACAUAAAAAGUGAUUAAUUUAAACUAGAUUAAACCUUAGACUGUACAAUGAUUAAUGAUAAUUUAUGAAUUUAUAAUUUGCAAUGAUUAAUAAUAAGUAAUAUUAGUUACAAACUUACAAAUUACAAUGAUUAGUGAUAAGUUAUAUUAGUUACAAACUUAUAAUUUAUUUUAAAUCAAAAUAAAACUUAUUUACUUACAUAUGUUAUUGUGAAAGUCAAUACACUAAUACAUUGAUUUACAAUUCAUAUGCAUUCACUUACAUUACUUAGUUGUCUUGUCUAUACUUAAAACCUUAAGAUUAGUGAGUAGAGAAUAUGAAUUUUUAUGUUAAAUAUGUAAUGUAAAUUUAGAGCAUACUAAUACUUGCAAGUUACAGGUUACGCAUUCAAAUAUUCAAUAAUUCAAACAUGAAUGAUGUAUCAAAUUACCAAUAUCUAAAUUUCCAAUUACUAAUUAUGUUUAUUGUUUAAUAUUUAGUAUUAUACAUAUAUGUAUUAAUUAUUAUCUAAUUCUAGUCAUGUUACUCAUGUAUAAAAUAAUAAGUAUUAUAGUUAUGGUAUAUUGUUAUGUAUUACUAUAUAUUUGUAUUAUUAUAGUCAUAUAACAAUUAACAAAUACUAAAAUAUAUUGUACAUUAUUAUAAGUACAUGAUAAUACCAUGUACUAACUAUUAUUAAUAGCAUUUACCUAUAUAAUAUAAUAUUUUUUUUAGGGGUGUCCCGCAGGGAGUGGACCCGCAAGACUAUUCCCCACCCUCAACAACUUGCUGGCAGUAAGGUUCGAACCAGGGACCUAAGUCUCCAUCUUCAGCAACCUCAACCACCAGACCAAGCCCCUGAGGGCACCUAUAUAAUAUAAUAAUAUAUUAGUACUAUAUACUAAUACUAAAUAGCAUUUAUCUAUAUAUUAUAUAAUUUUAUAAAUUAAUUUGGUAUUCGAAUGUGGUAAUGCAUUUCAUUUUACCGAAUUUGAAUGCGAAAUCGGUUAUUACCAAAUUCAUAAUCUCAUUACCUAUUUCAUAUCAUAUUAGAAUUCGGUGAAUUCGGUACCGAAUUUGUAUCAAAUUACCUAAUACCCGAUUUCAAAUUACCAAAUUGCAUUUGAAUUCGGUAUGUACCGAAUUUGCUCACCCCACUCUCCACUGUCUUAUUGCAGCUUUGCUCAUGACUAUCUUGACUCUGUGGCCUCAUCUACAGCUGCACUUCCUUUCCUUCAAAGCCCAUCCUUCUAUUGUUUCAAAUGACACAACAUCGUAGCGUUGGAUAAUUUUAUAUGCGCUCAUAGUUCACAAAUUUGAUACAUUGAAAUUUGAGACCACCAACUGUGUGGCUCCAAAUUUGAACUUUUAUUGGGCUGGUCCAGUUUGCUUAGUAAACAGAAAGUUCGCCUCUCGCGAUUUACAAUCCAUCUAUUUGUCUAUUAUCAGCUAGGAAAAAUGACUUGUCUCGUCCUUUAUAUUUUGGUGAAAAAUUAAUUUUAUUGUUUACUUUUAAUAUAAAGUAAAUUAGUCCCUCAUAUUUUAAAGUGAACCAAGUUAGUCUCAAAAUAACCUGAUAUAGUCAUAUGGAUCUUACACUUAAUCAACAUAAAAAGAAAAUAAAUUUAAAAUUAUAACAUAAAUUACAAUCCAUUUUUUCUAAAAAAAAUUAAAAAUUUUAAGAAAAUGACAUUAAGCUAACGUAGAAAGGAAAAAAAAUUAAAAUUCAUAUCAUAAAAGAAACCCCCAAGUUACAAAGUUUUAUAACUAAAAAAUUUUUAACUUUUUUUUAUAGAGAAUGGUUUGUUUUAGAUGUUAUAAUUUUUAAGUUUUCUCUUUUUUAGAGAGAAUAGUUUGUUUCAGGUGUUAUAAUUUUAGUUUCUUAAGAGAUAAUUGUUUAUUUUUUAUGUUACAAUUUUUAAUUUUUCCCUUUUUAUGUUGACUUAAUAAAAUUUCCUAAUGAAGUUUUAAUUUUUAAUUUUUUAAAAGAAAAGGGUUUUUUUGUUAUAAUUUUUAAUUUAUUUCAUUUUUUAUAUUGACUUAAUCACAUGUGCAUAUCAAACAUAGUUAGAUUUGGAAGAAAUUAAAGUGACUGUUUCAAUUUCACCCGUAAAAUCUAUAUCAGGUUGUCAUUUUGGGACUAACUUGCUUCAUUUUUAAAUAUGAGAAACUAAUUUGAUUCAUUUUAAAAAUGUAGAACAAAAAACAUUUUUUCCAAGAUGUGAUGAUUGAAAUUCAUCAGACCAUCAUAUUGACUUAGAAGAAAAUAAGAUGAAGGCAAAAGGUUAAUUGAUGAUUGAAGUUCACUAUAUUAUUGAAUGAAGACGGAAAAAAAAAGAAGAAAAAGUGGUUACGGAAAUGAAGGCAAAGCUGAAAACAGAAAAGAGCCCCAAUAUGCUCUGGAAUAUGAGGUGCGAUUUGGGGAGAAGGGGUUUUUGUCGAUGGUGUAGACAAUAUGCGUUUCCUUUUUUACCCACAAAUAAAGAGCAAGAUUAUACCACUCUUUCCACCCAAAAAAAAAAAAAAAAAGAAAAGAGAAACCACAUACACAGACACUCAAUUUUAUUUUAUUUUUACAGUCCUAAUGAAACUUUUAAUAACUGCCAAUAGCUUACUAUCUUCGAAAAAGCUUAGUAUCUUCUGAAAAAAAGGAAAAAAAACUCUCAUUUAUAGGCCUCAUAAAACCCUCCAAUACUUGCCAAUUGCCAUUGCUUUUUUUUUUUUUUUGUGUUAAAGGUUUUCUUCCCACUACAGCAAGUGGUUCUUGGAUGAACCCAAAUUUUGUAGGAGGCAAGAGGCUUGGGCCAAGAUAGGACUCGUAUAAGGACUUAAUGGGCAACACUUCUGUAGGUGAUUGGAGUGAUGGCUAAUAGAAUGACAAUCGCCAACUAAUCAUUGCUGUGUGAAAAAUGUCCUUUCCGCUUUAGUAUUAUACUAGUCUGGGGGCUGCGCCAUCCGCAGGGUAGGCAAAUGUAACCCCUGUUAAUAAUUUGUGUUUGUCUAGUAAUAUUUUGUAAAGUUUGUUUUGUAAAUAUUGAUGUAGGAAAUAAUUUUAUAAUAUGUAAAAUAAUUGUGAGCUAGUUAUUUUUGAAAAUUUAGAGAACAAUGCAACCAAGUAAAUAUAACAUACAUGUUGAAUGAAGGGAAAGAUAAAUGGCAUAACUGGAAAAUAAGGCACAACUAAGGCUAAACUAAUACACAUGAACAGCUAAGGUGUCCCAUCUCUGCGGCAACAAUGAUGCAAAAUAAAGAGGAACAAAGAACAAAUAAAAUUACAAAGGAAUCAACCAACUAUAGCAUGCAUCUUCUAGCGUCCUGAGUAAGGGAGAAACAGCAAAUGGCAUUACCAAAAAAUAAGGAACUAACUAAGGCUAAUGCUAAUCACAUGAGGAACUAUCAGGGAACCGAUGCAAAUGGACCGCAAUAGCCCAAAAAUAUCAAUCAAUACCGAAAUAACCAACGGAUACACUUUUACUGUUCAUUCAGCCAACUCUCACUUUUAUAUAGUUAGAUAGAUUAGAUUAGAUUUAGAGAAUUGUUAACGGCACUCUAUCUUUUUUGCUAGUGACAUUUCCAUUAUUAUUUUUAACAUAUGAUAUUUAUUUAUUAGACUAUAUGAUAAGUAAAAGAUGGGAAUGCGAUUAACAAAUAGUGAAGUGUGUUAAUAUUUCCCUUGUAUUUAACGGAUAACUAGAGUUUAAUACAUUAAACUUUGUCGUGCUUUAUGAGUAGUGACCUUUAAAUGUAGAAAAAAAUGUAUUGUUCUUUAGUACACUUAGUGAUGAUUAGAAAGAUAAAAACUUAGUGCUAAUAUGUAUUUUUAGUGAUAUUGUACAUAAAAGCGUGUUAAGGCAAAUUCUUAAAUUUUAGUUUCAUGGACAUAUACCCACAUUACUUUACUUCAAUCAAAAUUACAUAAUCAUCAAUCAUCACAAUCAACGCACUUUCAAAUACAAUUUGCAAGAGAAAUUUUUUUCCCCAUAAAUUUCUUAAUAAACUGUGUCAAGGGCAAAAUUUUUGAAUUUAACGGAAGAUAUUUCUUUCUUGUUAUAUGAGAUAAAUGUACUUGAUAAAUUUCUUUUUUUAUAUUAUUGAAAGGAUCUAUCACAUUUGAGAUCAAGUGAAGGUGUGUAUUUUAUUUUAUAUGUGUUUAACUUAGCCAAAGAGUCUCUUUCUUGAGUAAUUUAGUACAGUCAAUUUGUUCAAAAUGACAUCAUAUUUAUAUUAUGGAGUUAUAUAUGACUGUAGACAAUGGAAUUUUAAUUAAAUUCUAAAAAUUACCAUUGGUCUAUAAAAUAUUUUUAUCCAAUCGGAUAUUGCCAUAUGGCAUGUACACUUGGAAAGUUUGGUUAUUAAAUAGCCAAUUAUAUUCCUCCACGUGUCAAGUUGAGGUGUUCCAAACCAAUUCAAAUCGCAGGGGUAUCUUCACCAACCAAAUCAUAUCAUAUCACAUACCUAUUGGAUAAAUAUCUAAGUAUUUAUUUCUUAUUAAAGGGAUAAUAUUUAGAGUUAUUUAAUCCAAGUAUAUCUCUUAUAUACUGCAAUGGCCUGGCCAGUAAAAUAGCGCCACGUCACGUGUCCCCGCAAGUCUAGCCAAUCGAGAAAUUACUUAUCUCUUUAUUAAUGAAGAGAUAAUAUUUAACUAGCACAGUCCUAAUAUGACUGUACGUCUUGCUAGGCAAGUAGAGUGGUGUACAUGAUUUCAACCUCCACCUCUUGCUACAACUAUAAAUAGAGGUCUCUCAACCAAGUUAAGGGGACACAGAGAUAUCAAGAAGCAUCUCAUACACUCAAGUAUUGAAGCUUCAAGCUACGAAGGUCUGGGUCUCAAAGCUCCUCAAGUCUUCCGCAUAUCAAGGCUUGAGCCUUCAAGUAUUUUCAAAUCCUUCAAAUCUUCCAUAUCAAGAUUUGAAGGAGUCGGUGGUUGAUCCAAGAACAAGCUGCGAAGCCCUUGGAUUGGUGUUCGAGGAGAAGAAUCGAAGGAAGCUCUCCAUAAGUUCGAGAAAACCCCAGAGAUUGUACCUACAUAUUUUUCUAAAUUUAUAUAUCAUACAUUUGUCGUGUAUUUUUCGUGUCGUUUUGCAGACUUGAAAUUUUUAUCGCGUACAAUGACAUGUUGCGAAAAGAAAAGAAAAAGUUGGCUAGUAACAUCUUGAAAACAUAGAAUGUAAAAGAAAAGGCCAUAAAUAAAAUACUUUGUUUUGUUGUGAAACUAUAUCUAAUCUCUGUUAGCAUUCAUCAACUUUAGAAUAACGUAGCUUGGAAUUUAAAAUGGUGCUAUUAAAAUCAUGUUAACACUUUGAAUAAAUUAUAAAUGAGCUCCCCUAUUGUUUAAUGCUCGUUUGUAUAAUCCUUUACUAGUUACAAAAUCAAUAAAUGACCUCCACUACUUGAGCUGCUGGAAGUCAUCCCCUGCAAAGAAGUCACUGAAAAUGUCAAGGCUACCCCAUUAAAAGGCGCCACAAAAAUUCUGAAGGUCUCUAUUUUCUUCCAUUGGCUUCUUAGUUUCUACUUUCUAUUACAAAGGUAUUAGGGAGGACAACUUCCAAUAGUUUGAUACUUUCGAAGGGUCUACGUGUAACUUUUGAAACAUAAGAGAUCGUGUGAUAAACUUUAAAUUGCAGUGAUUUAAAAAGGUAGGUUCCAUUAGUUUGAUACUUUCAAGGGGGUUGCACGUAAUUUUUUGAAAUAUAAGAAAAUCAUGUGAAAAAACACUAAAUUAUAGAUCAUUAAAAAAAUUUACCCCUAAUUCUUUCUAAUAUGGUAAAUACACAUUGAAUCAUUCCAUAAGCUCUUACACAUGCACUGAAAGAAAAAGGGGGCAAGGUGGAGAGGAAAUUUAAUGACACAAAACCCCCUAAUGUUUUGCGGUAUUAACACUUUCCUACCCAUGACAAAGAGAUUCUAUGCUCUGCUAUUAUAACUUUUGAAACACACACAACAAUUGCUGAUUAUGUCAACUGGUUAGUUUUACAUAUUAUCGUCUCUUGAAUGAAAACAAAGAAGAUGCUUGAGAUUAGGACAAAUGGGAAGAACUCCAGCUUAUGUAAUGUUAAGCAGACUGUAAAUUGACCAUUUCAUUUGCGCCUCACAACAUCUGUUUCUGAUUGUUGGGACUUCAGUUGUGGAAAAAAUCUAAGAGGGUUGUCGGAAUAGUGGUCUGACCCAAGAGGCACGAGAAACUAGGGCUAUCGAUCGAGCCUAAUGAGUCGGAUUUUCAUGAGCUUGAGUUCAACUCAUUUAAUUUAUAAUAUUUUUGGUCUUCGAGCUAUAAGUUUCGGGUUAAUAUAUGUGAAAUUCAUAUUUAACUCACAUAAUAUUCGGACUAUAAGCCUUAUUUAGGUUUAACCCAAGCUCACUUAUUACCUUAAUUUUCUAUCUUAAUAUAAUUACUAUAACUAUUAAGUUGUAAAACUAAUUUAACAUUUACAAGACUAUAAUAUUAAAACUAAGCACGAACAAAUAAUAAUUCUUCAAAAGUACAUAAACCAAAAAAUUUUCAACAAUAUUUAUAUUUAAUUCAUUCAAAAUACAUGAAAAAUAGUAAUAAAACAUGCGGUCAUAAGCCAAUACAUCUUUGAAAGUUGAAACUUUUUUAUAAUCUUGUGAUUUGAAUCCAAACAUGCUUGAUGAUUUGUGUUUCUAGAACAUAAAGAAAUCAACUAAUAUUAUACCAAUACAAAAAUUUACUAAACCAAUAAGAAAGGUAGAGAUUCAGUUAUGCAUUAUUAAUAUUGGCUCUGAAGAAAGCUCAUAGAAGAGUCUUCAGAUGUAUUUUUGUAAUUUGUAAUUUAUAUAUAUUUAGUAUUUAGUAAAAUUAUAUUUGGAUAUAUAAUUAUACAUAAUAUCAAAAUAUAAAUAUUAUAUAUAUAGGUAAGUAAAGGGUCGGGCCUAUAUCGGGUUUGAGCCUAUUGAGACCUAAAUUCGACUCAUAUUUAAUUCGAGCCUAAUUUUUAGGCUCAAUCUCAUACCGGCUCACUAAAAGGUCGGGCUAAUUGGACUUUUUGUCAAGCCGAACAAGCCGCGCACGGGCUGGCCCAGCCCCAUUGACAGUCCUACAAGAAACCAUUGUCCUUAAGGAUAAAAAUGUACCCAAAUAAUAAUAAUAAUAAUAAAUAAAAGGAAAAUGACAAUCUACUUUGACUACUUUGUUCUGCCCAUUUUCUAGUUCUUGAGAAAUAAAACGAGGACAUAUUUAUAUUUGGAAGUUUUCAAGCACAUCAAACUUAAAGGAAUUUAACAACUCAUAUAAAGGCUGUACUAUUACUUCAAAUCCUUUUCUAAUGUUAUUGAGGAUAUUUGUGUGACAUCAAUGUUUCGGUUUUAUAUUAAACAGAGAAACUUAUUGUAUUGAAUUUUCUUAUGAAACAGACUUGGAUUAGGAAGACGCUACAUAAAUGUUAAUUUGUAAAAGAGAAAAGUAAACUGAACAAGAAAUCUCAAAAACAAGAAAGCUGGUUUUAUCUCAAAAAAGAAAUGCAAAAGAAAUUUGUGUUAGGAAAUAUUCAUGAUUCUAAACUUCUAUGAACCCAACUAUAAUGAUGCGAGAAUGGAUCAAACAUCUAUUAAGUUGUAUGACAGCAUUAUGGGAAGACUUUUAAAGCAAAAUUGAAGGAAAAUUUCUUGAAUGGGUUUAUACAGGAAUGGGAGGCAGUUUUGAGGAUAAUAUUAGUUAUUUAGUCUAACUAAGUUCGACUCAAGAAAGAAAUGUGUUGUCAUUAUUAUGGCUGCCAGUGAGAUUCAAUAACAUAAUUGUGAUUGGUAACCUCUGUUUUGAAACUCGGACCGGACCGGCCGGUCGAACCGGGAACCGAUCAAGUGUCCGGUCCGAGUCAUGGUAGAAAACCGGAAAUUUAAAGCCCGGUCAAAGACGGUCAAAAAUCGGGUUUGACCGGGAAAAAACCGAUUUUUCCGGUUCAAUGGUUUCAUGUGGCCGAGACUAGUUAGUCAGCAGUCAGCACCUCGAUAAUCUAUAAAGGUGAGCGUUUAAGGUGGGACCUACGUGUCCUCGUCUCGCAGGCACCAGCUAAUUGUUAGACAAACCUGUUGUCACUUGUCAUCAGCUCAGUUUUUCUCAAUUGGCGCUAACACUACCACUGUUCGGUAGGAAUAGCAACGGGCAAAAAAAACUCAAUUUUUUCAAUAUUAUGUUUUGACCCCCUAAAUUGUUAAAACUUAUUAAUAUAUCUCAAAUAUUUCAUACUUUAUAAAUAUUGUCCUAAAAUUUGAUGUUAUUUUUCAAUUAAACUCAUAAUUUUAAUUCUAAACUUGUUAAUAUUUAUUAAAUAACAUAAAUUGCUACUUGAUUGUUCUAAUUUUUUUGUAUUUUCUUGUUAAAUAUAUUUGAAACAUCAAAUAUAUAUGAAUAUACCUUUAUUAAUAUUAAUAUAUUAUUAGAUAUUUUAUAUAUAAUAUUUUAAUUUUUAAAUAAUUUUUAUUUAUGACGUCAUCCGGUUCGACCCCUAUCGACCCCCGGUCGAACCCAUUGACCCCUGACCCCUGAUCUCGGCCGAGUCGAUAUCCGGUCCGGUUCUGAAAACAUAGUUGGUAACUCCAUUUGUAUCUCACUCCAUUCUUUCCUUUUGUUCUGACAUUGGUCAAAGGCACUAAGAAUUUUACACUUCAAUAAUAGUGCAAAUGUAUUCAUGCUUAAGUGAUUGGGAGAUGGAUAAUCUUCCUAUGGAAACUAAGAUUUACUUCUUUUUUUUUGGGGUCAUUUCUGGUGAGGGCUUCAGAAGACUACCCUGUUGAGGAUAUUGUUUGUUGAAUAUUGUUUUUGGUUUAAUUGGGUUUCCUUGGUUUGGCAUAGUAUAGUCAGUUAGAUAGGAAGCUCCAAAUUCAUAUAUUUGCAUAGGAAAACUCAGGCGAAGCUAAAAUUAAUAAUUUGAGAUUCUCCAAUUGCGUUCUCAAGUACAUGCAAGUCGAAGUUCCAAAUUCAAACUUUCCUUUGCUUCUCCAGUAGAACCAAUUUCGAAUUCCAAUCUCACAAUAUUCGCCCUUUAUCAUGAUCAUGAUACGGCCUUUUUUCUUAUGCAAUUCAAAGUUUUUUUUUUUAGCUUUACUCUUCACAGAAUCUUGAUUUAUGCCCUUUUAACACCACCAAUUUAUUGCCCCAUUUUCUCAUUUCAAUAAUGGUCGCCCGAGAAGUUGUAGGAAUGGUAAACCGGUGAUGAAAUGGAAAGUAAUGAAGAAAUCAUUUUUCCAUAUACAAGAUUUAAGUGGUUCAAAUUCGAGGAGUUUUUUUAAAGUAGCAACAGACAAUCUACUGACUCUAAAGAGAAACAGGCCUUUGUUUUGCUUAAUUUGUUGGUUGUCUUGGACCUUUCCCUUGAAAGGAACGAUCCUAAUUUUCACCACUAAAUAUUUUGCUUGUAAUAUGAGCACGAGUUUAAAUGGCGUCAUGAUCACAGGAGAUUGUCUAAGCCCGAAUGAAGACUUCAGAAUGUGGAGAUUGAAUUAAUUCAUACGAUUACUGAAGGUUUUUCAGAAGAAAUGCUGGUUUUUAAAGUAUGGAUUAUUGAAGUUCCUAACAAGAAAAGCGUGGUUUUUCCACAAUAAUACAAGUCUCAGCCAUUUCUCCUUCCUCGACCAGAGUCAUCAAAUCAAGAUUUUUAUUAUUUUUUUUAAAUAAAGGAAGGUUUUUUGCAGUCGGGAACUGGUAAACUUAUCUAGACUAGAAUAAGUGGUUAUGAAGAAAAGAGCAUUGAUAAUUAGUCUGCAUAGAAAUGGAACGCUUCCUCGACAAACUUUAGAUGCCUUUGCAUUUGCAUUUUCACUUCUCAAUUAUUGUAACUUUAGAUGCUUUUCAAUCAUUGUUUUUGCUUGGGCCUUCAUCAUUUUUUUUUUUUUUGGUUGUUGGAAAAUAUAUGAAUGGUUGUUCCACCUAAGAUAUGUCCACAACAAUGAAAUUAUAACAAAAAAAACGAGAAUUACGUGAAAUUGUUGUUUUGGCAACUUUUAUCUAAUUGGUAAGUCAUAUUAACUUAAUAUUUUUGACAUUUAUAUGUCACAAACCUUACAAAUUUGGAUGCUUUUGCAUUGGCAUUUUCACUUUAACUUUCUCAACCAUCGUUGUUUUCUGAUUGAAUGCUGGGGCCUUCAACUUUUUUGAUUGUGGACAAUAUCUCAAUGAUUGUUGCAUUCGCGAAGGACAAUUAUUAAUUUCCAAGUUAAAAUUGUUAAAAGCAAAAUAAGAACUAUAAUUGCUCUUUGGAAACAUUAAUUUCAUUAGUUUAUCCUUGGAAAAUGAACUUGAAAUAUACUUUGGUCUUAAUUAUUGGUCCUCAAGAACUCGAAUUAAAAUAGACAUCUUAUUUUCUUUGGUUUUCUCAAGAGUUGGGGGCGACAAACCUUAUUUGGAUUGUAUAUAUGAAAUUAAUUGACUCGACAAUUUUACAUUGAGUAUUUUCAUUAGCCAAAAACUAAGUUAUGUUUUGCAAACAUAUAUGUUAUGUUUUGCUUUUUGGCUCAAUAAUCAGGCUUGUUAUUUUAAAUUAACAAAUAAUUAUUAGGCCUUCUAAAUGAUUAUAAUGGGGCGGAUUUGUCCAAAAAGCUCCCCUGCCCCCGCCCCGAUACCUCGCCACCCUUACUCGCGCCCCAAACCCACUCCAACUUCUAUGAUUUCUUGGCCGAAGGACACAUAUCAUGUUUGUCAAAGAAGUCCAACUGCCAAUUCAGGCCGACUGGCAAGAAAAACGCUCUAUCAAUUUGAUUCUAGCCCAAGCCCCAGUAAACCAAGAAAAGUAGAUAGCCAUUGGUGUUCACCCAGUGAAAUGCAAAAUCGGAUCCUGGAAAAUCUGAAAGAAGAAGAAACAAUGAUUCCAUUGCUUAAACCUCAAAGCGAUUUUCUGUGCUCAGACAUACUAUGGUAUAAAGCUUCAUUUCUUUUACAUAAAAGUCAUUAUUUUCCUUUGUUAGCAAAUCAGCAAUAAAACUGAACUCUCCCUCCAAGAUGCCUUUACACAUUGGCAAUUCCAGCUAUACAUAUGGCGGCUGGUCCUGAAGAAGUCGAAUAAUACAAAUUGAAUGCCACGAAUUGCUGAUCCCAAUACGCAUGAAAGAUGAAUUAGAUGGCAAUCUGAGGCAAAUGAAUACGCUACCAGCUACAUGUAAGGCGGUGAAAUUGGAUAGAAAUUUCAACCCAUAGAACCAACUAGCACAAGUAGCAGAAAUAUGAUGAAGGAAGCUGGACUGCGACACACACUUAAUAAGCAUCACAUAAUCUAAUUCUUAAAAACUCUUGCAAAAUGGCAAACCCAAGAAAAUCUUGUGCAAAAUAAGGCGUGACAGUCUGAUUGAUGCGAUACCAAAGUGAGUUUAUCAUUGCGAUUCAACCAGGAACUUGACAUUAGUUUCAUUAAGUUAGCAGAGAAGAUAAUGAAGACUGAAGAGCAGAGCCAAUCGAAACUCUUAAAAUUGAGAACUAUAGGUCAAGGCUUCAUUAAACAGGUGAUUGGAAAUGGACAGAAAACCAACUUUUGGUGUGAUCGAUGGCACCCUCUGAGAACUUGCUUUUCUGCACUUCUCUGAGAACUUGCUUGCUGGCUUCAAUCCAUCGAAGUCUGAUCCUGCAGCAAAAUGUUUCUGUGACGGUGCUUGGAAAUGGCCUAGUGGGAGGAAGUCUAAUGUGGAAGUUAGAAGGCUUCGACAGCUCACUUCUUGUCAACCAGCUCUUAAUCCAAAGGAGAGAGAUGUCGCUGUGUGGGCACCCUGCAACUCAGGCGUGUAUAAUGUCAAGUCUGCUUUACAAAUUCUUAGGCUUGCAUCACCUGAAGUCCCCAGGUACAUGCUGGUAUUGGGACAAGGGAUAAAUCCCUAAGUUCUCUUUUAUUCCAUGGGUGCUGUGUAGAAAAAGGCUGAACACUAAAGACAGAAUGAGGAAAUGUGGUUCUUUUGCAUGCUCUGUAUCAGCAGCGGUGUGGAGUAAAGUUCUGUCCAUGUGCCUGUCCCCUAGGAGGCCCCAACUGUGGUCUUCAGAACUGUCCUGGAUAUGUGAACAUUGGAAAUCCCCUUCGCUCAUUGACAGGUUUCGCAGAACAGCCUUGGCUGUCUCAACAUACUACAUCUGCAAAGCAAGAAAUCUGGUGAUCUUCCAAUAGGAAACAGUAACCUCCACGGGUAUAGUUGCCGAAAUUAUAGAUACUUCUAGACACUAGUAAUAGUUCACGUGCUUUGCACGUUAUUGUAAUAUCUUAAAAUGUAUUAUUCUUUAGAUACUAAAACUUUUUUAUGAAAUUUUGAUCACCAACAUCAUAAUAAUAAUAUUUUUAUAUUAUUUAUUUUUUUAAGCUAGUUACUUUUAAAAUUUUUAUUAAAUGAAAAGAGACAGAAAACAUUCCAAUGUAGUUGACAUAUCGUUUAGGAUUAAAUUUGAAAUUAUGACCCAAACACUUUUUAAUUUAUAACUUGAACUCUAACAUAUCAAAUAUUGAUAAUAUCAUGUUUUACCAAAAUUAUUGUAUAUUCAUGAUUCUAUUGCAUAUAAACUACAAUCAUCACAAUUGUUUAUAAAUGAAGAAUAUAAUUAAGUUAGAAAAUUAAACAUACAUGUAAUUUGAAUUCUUUGUAUUAUAUUAAUUUAGAGGUGGCAAUUUGUCCCAAGUCCCAAUGGGUUACCCAUGCCCAUGGGGACUUUGGGCGGGAUGGGUACUGAAAUUUGAUAUUGGGUUUAAAAUGGGACAAAUCCCAAUUGUACCCAUUAAUUGAUGGGAAAUCUUGGGAACUACUUGGGUACCCAUUGGGCUCAAAAAGCAAGGGCUCCGUUUGGAUUAGUUAUUUUUGGGGGGUGUUUUUGAAAUAUUUUAUUGUAGUAGUGUAUAUGAAAAAUUUUUACUAUAAAUUUUUUUUUUGAAAUAUUUGAUAUACUAAUAUAGAUGGGAUAUUUUUUGAAUUAUUGUAUAUUACUGUAAUAUUGUAUUUGAAAAACUUAUUUUUUGAAAAAAUAGCCAAUCCAAACGGAGUCUUAGAUUCAAAAAUUAUCUUUAACAAUUUUUAUAGUCAUACUAACGAAUAUAAUCUAGUAGUCUUCCUAGUCAAUAUCCACAAGAAUUUCCAGCAUUUCAGUCAAUUUAGACCUGUCAUCCUUGGACAAUGAUGAGAAUAAAUAUUCAACACCCUGAGUACCUUGACCAUCUUGAUAUAUGUUGGAAUAUGGUUGUAUAUCUAUUUUUUCCUUUAUUUGUUAAUCCAAUUUUUGGCGGGAAUCUUGAGUAUAAAGUACUUGCAUGUUUAUUUAAUAAAACUAAAAGAAAUUUAAUAAAUAAAAAAUAUUAAAUUUAUAUAAAAAAUAAAAAAUGAAUUAAAGGAAAAAAAAUAGGUAGAAAAUAGAUUUGGGUAUUGGGCGGGAUCAAUCUAAACCCAUCCCAAAGUGAUCCCGCCCAAGUUAGUCCCAAAACACGUAUGGGUAAGGUUGGGCCCAAACCCAUAUGACUCGAUUCCAUCUCAAACCCAAUCAAAUCCCGCCCAUCCCGCCCAUUUUGCCACCUCUAUAUUAAUUCUAUUUUUGUCAAUAAUGGAGUCAAAAUGAUCCACCACGUAAAGUUUUUUUGGUUUGUACAUUCUAACAAUUGAAAUUUUAUAGAUAGAGAUAGUUGAAGUUUUUUCUAUUUUGCUUUUCUUUUAUUCAUGUUUUUAGCACAAUCCAAUGCGAAACAAAAGCAACAAGUCUACUUUUUUCAUAUAAGCACAAUAUUUUUGGUUUUAGUAUUAGUUUUUUCUAUGAUCAUGGAAUUGGAAUGAGAAUUGUGACCAAUUAAUAAUUUUAAUAUUAAUUUUUUGGUGUUUUAUUUUUUAAUUGCCAACUUUUAAUCCAUAACCGCUAUCAUUAUUAUCAAUUAUUGGAAUGCACUAAAUAUGUCUAAUUACAAUUGUCACCAUAAAUGAAAUUUACUUAAUUUUAAAGCUUUUCAUUUCAUAACCGCUUCCAUUAUUCACUAAUAUUGCAAUACAAUAAAUAUAUGUAAUCAUUAGAAAAAUAAGGGUAGUUUGAACAUCACCAAAAACAAUUUGGAUAUCAUUUCCAUUUUAUCAUUCUUCAUUUUAAAUUUACCCUUAUUAUAAUUCUUAUUUUAUCAUUAGGGAUGACUUCUGACUUGAUGGAUGGACUUGGUUUGCUCAAACCAAUAUUGUUUGUCUUCCCCGAGAUCAGAGUCAUUUUGAUGUUGUCUUUGGUAUUAUUUGAAUUGUAUUCUAGUUUUUUAAUUCAUUUGCUAUUUACUUUAUGUCAUUUUAUAAAUAGUUUACAAUUUUUUUUCAAUUUUUUUUGAUCGGUUGCUAUUAAUGAUGAUAGUGGUUUGUAUGGUUCUAUUUUAGAUUUUUUUCCAGUUUAAUACUACUAUUUUAGUUAUAAAGGAGUCAUCAAUUUUUGUAUAUUGAAAUUCCAUUGGGUGCAACAUAAAAAAUUCUUCAUAUUGGUAAAAAGAGCAUAAUUGUAAAAUUUACUCGUGAUAUAUGUAUGAAGACAUACAGAUGAAUAAGGGUUCACUUGUCCUUAUAUGUUUCUCCAUUUUCUAGAGAGUAUCUAUUUUUUGAGAUUGAUUUUUCUUCUUACAAUGACAACUAAUGACUCAUGAGAAAUUUUUCAUGCUUCAAUUAAGAAAUUUUGAUAUGUAUAAUAAUUGGGAAUGGAGUCCAAGAGUAGAUAAAUAGUUUUUAAUGAGCAAUUUUUAAUUCUAAUUACCAAUACUAUUAAAAUGUAAUUAAUUGGAGUGUUUUAUUUCUUGUAAUUAGUGCCAUAUUAAAAUACAAUAAUUCUAAUUAAAAGACAUGAGGGUAAUUUAGGGAUAACAAAAACUAAGAUAAAACCGUGCUUACACUUGCACUCCCUAAAACCAACAUUCAUACUUUUUAUAUAGUAAUGACAAUUAUUCUAAUUACCAAUACUAUUGAAAUGUAAUCAAUUGGAGUGUUUUAUUUUUUUUAAUUAGUGCCAUAUUAAAAUGCAAUAAUUCUAAUUAAAAGACAUGAGGGUAAUUUAGGGAUAACAAAAACUAAGAUAAAAAAGUGCUUACACUUGCACUUCCUAAAACCAACAUUCAUACUUUUUAUAUAGUGAUGAUAUUGGUGUUUCAUGGAGAUGGGUGCCACAGACUCACAACAACUGAUUAUUGAGUGGGGAAUCUCGGAUAAAUGCUUUGAGUAUAUAGCUGAUGUAAAGGUGGACUUUGCCACUGUGUAAGUACUGAUCCUUUCUAUCAAUAAAAAUGAACAAGUUUUGCUCCAAAAAAAAAAAAAGAAAACAAAAGAGCCAAUCCAUACAACCAAAGAGAUGCAGAGACUAUGAAGGUGCUCAAUUAGAAAGUAGGAGGAAAACUAAUAGUUGUUGUUGUAAUUGCAACUUUACAUAUCAUCUGAACAUCAGAUUAUGUCUAGAAAAGGGAAGCACGAAAAAUGUAGAUAUCUCUGGUCAAUAGUUAAAGAUACUACAACAGUUUUUGGCAACUAAGUAGAAGCUAAUUUCAGAAACGAUGAGUCUGAGACAGAAUAGCAAAUUCACUACAAUAAUCAGUGAAUUAUUAGUACUGCCACAAAUCAUGACUAAAACUGCUAUAGCUGAUUGACAGUUUGAAGGCACCAUAUUUGCAACAAGAAAUCAAGAAGCUUUGGCCAGCAGAGACAAAGGAAGUGAAAAAGGCAGUGCCAUGAUGAAAUUCAAGAAAGGAUUAUCCAAAGAAAAGGCGGUAAUUAGGAGCCGUCAAAAUGUCUGUCUGAGCUUUAAGCCUACUGUCACUGCAAAACAGAAAUACUAGAAUCGGGACACCACAUAGCAAAUCAUAAGGCUUAACUGGAAAUUGCAUGACAUUAAUGUUUAGCAAUUAUUCAGAAAGCUAAUUCAGUAUUUUUUUUUUCGCUGUUCUUUUCUAACCUAAAUUAGUAAGCAGAUAUCAAAUCUUCCUGCUCAGUCUACAAGUACCAGUAGUGCCAUAGACAUUACACCCGUUUGUGUUUGAAACACUGAGAAAAGUGUUGUUCUAUAACAAUAUAGUUAUAAUAUGCGGCACCAACAAGAAUGAAAGGCAGAGACAGGUCCAGACAGAGUUGCCAUGAAUGCGAACUCUUUCAGACCUGCAAGAUACAAACGUCUUAAACAUGACAAUUUUUUAAGGUUUUAGUUAACUCAUUGCAUAUUGAAGUGGUUAAAACCCAACUAUUAAGUAGUGGAAGAAGAUUAUCGGUACUGUAAAUUAUCAAACCACUAAUUUCACAACCAAGGGCAGUGAGAGUUCCCUCAAUUGUCCGUUCCGAUUUAUACCGAGGAGAAUCAGUAGAAUCCCAUCAUUCAAGAGACACGAUAGAGAAUGCCAAUAACCGGGUAAUUUGGAGCAAGAUGACAAUUACAUAUUCAAGAGGUGAAAGUUUAGAGCAAGCAUUUCCACUUGCUCCCUUCAGCAAUCAUAGCGUACAACUGGAAGCAGCAGACAUCUGGUAAAAGUAAACUGCUAGUUUUUAUUUAAAACAAAGAAUUUUGUACCGUAGACGUAAAUACAAAAAAGUUCUCAGCUUUGACAUUGUGCUUGAUUCUCCACAUCAAAAAAUCUGCUCUUGAAUAUCUGUAUUCCAUAAUUGAAUUUUAUAUGUGGUUAGUGACAGUGUUUUCUUCCCUGAACAAAGCAUUCAACAAACUAAAGUUUAACAGUUGCAUAAUUUCCCAAAUUGCCAAUUUACUUCCAUAAUUCACAGCUUAUAAGAUAGCACAAUUAACGAUUGAGAUCUAUGUGGUGGAACUCAGAAAAUGAGCCAUUAAGUCACAGCAAAAUCCGCAUAUAACUGCAACCAAAACACCAGCUAGUUCUAAUUUCUAACGACGAGCAGUAUGCCAGAGAUAGCUAAUUCAGUUACAAGUAAAUCAGCCCCUCAUUAUUGUGACUACAAAUUGCUGAAUCAUUUGGACAGUUCAAGGUGGAUUCACUAAGAGCAGCAAGUUGCAACAAGUAGACUUGACUAGCUUUUGAAAGGCUUCAAAACAUCCUGCUUAAACUUGACCAUGUUGGAAGAUACUCCACCAAGUACCAAGUUUUGUGCAACUUCAUUGCAUGAACAGUACAUCGUCCUCGGCUACCUCGGCAAUAUCUUCACAAUGACAAGAUUUCUUUUGUUUUACAUGUAGCAUAUUAAAAAUCAAAGCGAUUAAAAGUCAAAAUUGAGUAGUGAAAAAAGAGAAGCGUAUCUUAAAUUACCAGAAAUUUGAACCAAAACACCAAAGCGAUGAUGCGAAAACCCCUUGAUUGACCAUUGUCUUCAUGGCUAGAAAAUCAUAACCGAGAAAAAGUGAGUCAAAAAAACCAUUAUUUUGAGACCCAGAGCUAUUACUAAUCAAAUGGUUCAGAGAAGUAUCUAAAUGCAUUUUUGAGAGGUAAAAGUUACAGAGAAACCAUUUCAUCCCCUUAGAAUCACAAGUUUAAAGAGAGUGGGCUGACUUUAGCAAUAAUAUCUUACAAUCCACAGAACCAAAUAUGGAAAAUCAACAAAACUAGACCGCUCGUUGUUAUUAUAUGUCGAUGGGCUAUUUGUAGGACGUGCAGGCAAAAAAUUAUUGAGUUCCGGCAAUAUAUACGGUGCUGAAGAAGCUUCACAAUUCUAACGUAUGUUCAUCUAAGCAAGAGACCACAAAAAUCAUCUUGGGAAGCAUUGAAGAAAGGAGUGCGGCAAGAAUUGCUGGUCUAAAGGUGCACAAUGGAAUCCUCUCAAAUUCCAGCUAUUGCACUGCUAGACAACAUCCUUGGAAGCAGAUCCUCCUAAACUUUGCAACAUAAUCAUUUUAGUUACCAUCUAUAUCACCUCACAAAAGGUAACAAAUAGAAAUCUUCAUAAAAGUUUCAUUAGAGUAAGUUCUCCUAUAGAAACAAAAGAAGCUAUAAAUUAAGAAGUCUAAAAUCUUUGUCUGCGGUUGCUAGUUCACAAUUUUUUUUGCUUUGACAUACAUUCAUUUGAGGAUUUACUCCAUGAAUAUAACGCAUUAUCUUUUUCCUUUUUUUAAACAAAUCAAUAAGAAAAUAAAAUUUUCACAGUAAAUGGUGGUGUGUAUGCCUAAGUUUGAUGAAAGCCCUCGAGAAAGCUUGUUCCUGCAUUAUAACUAUGAAAGAACAGGAAGUUCUAUUACAUUUUCUUGUGAUGGAAUCUUACAAAAGUGAGUUUCUUUUGCCACUUUUACCCUAAAGAUAAUGAGCAGGUACUAGGACUCGAUACAAUGUAUGUAUAUUUUUUUGACUUAGAUAUGCUAACCUUGCGAUAACACUCGAAAGUUUGCAAAACCUCUUAAUGGUCAAUCUAUUUCUCUAGUAAUGGUCAUCAAACUGCCAAUAAAGAUCAUCAAAAAGUCCUGGUAAUGAUGGCUCUUCAAAAACAUCUGAUAAGCUGGGGCAAGAAAUUUUUUCCCAGUAGAUUGUACAGGCCAGCUGACAGUCAUUGAGCAAUCAAAACACAGACAGAAAACUUUCUGCAAUUGAGGUACAACUAGUUUCAAAGACAAAAAGCCAGGGAAAAAAUUAAGCAAAUUUAUAGUAAUAUAGCAGGUAAAUUCUUACUGCUGGACCUCGUGACUGAAAAGGCAGAUAGACAAUGUGCAAGCUCCGACAACAAGGAUAUCAAGUGCUGGCUUUAUAAGGCACCGAUACGAAAGAAAAAUUGCCAUCAUAAAUAUUUUUGUCCAAGCUACUGGCCUUGCAAUUCAAUGAGUAAUUAAUGGCCAAUGGAGAUAUCCACUUAAACCUUGAGCCUAAGAUCACUGCAAAAUAGAAAAUUCAAGCUCAGACAUUAUGUAGUAAACAAGAGAUCUAACAAAACAAUUUAGAUAAUUUCGUGAAGCUAUUGUUCUGUCAAUCCUACAAAAACAAAGUGUGGAACAGAAUAUUAACAGAGUUAUAGUAAUACAUCAAAGCACAGAACAGGAUAGGUGAUUGGUUUCAUGUUAAUCGACGGUUACAAGAGUAUUAUGUUGUUAGGAGUAAAUGAGAAGCACGGUAUUUUGAACUUGGCAAGAAAUGCUAAUGCCGCAGCUUUGAAAGAUAAUAAAUAGGACGAGAAAAAGGAAGAAGAGAAAAUUGUGAAGAAUAACCACGGUAACUUUUUAGUUUUUUUCAUAUAAUUCCUCCACACUUAAAUCAUUGCUUGUCCUCGAGCAAUAAAAAAUACAAACCAGCAAUAAUUUAAGAAGUGAAAUGAAUCAAGUGAACUUGAAACUCAAUCUCUCUUAACUUUGGCAAGCUUUGAUUAUGCAAUUUUUUCCUAUUAACCGUAAUACUCAUCAUAUCAUGUAAAAGAGAGAUAAUUACACUCAAAAUUCAACCAAACAAAUUUAAUCUCUCUAUCUUACCUAAUUUCACAAAUAACUAACAUAUAUAGUUACCUUGGAGAUUUUCUUCCUUCUAAAUGAGAUGUUUAGCUUCACAAACCUUAAGAGGGAACUAUUCACUUUCUUUUUUCUUUUAUUUACUCUUAAAAUUGUGAAAAUGCCUUUUGACGAAGAUUGAUAUUUUUAGAUGAAGAUUUCCGGUUACUCAAAACUUCACUUAUUACUCCCAAUUCCAAUACCUUUUGACGCGAAAGUCGAUAUUUGUAGAUAAAACUCUCGGUUACUCAGUAUAAAAAUUUAUUGAAUAUUUUUACCAUAAAAUCCCUCAAUAAGGUCACAUUUGGAAGAAAAAUAUUCUAGCAACUAUAUAAAUCAAUUACUUGUAAAAAUAAGUAAGAUGAGAGAUUUCAUUUACUAUGCAAAAUGUAGGCAUAAUUUUCUUUAUUUUACAAUAUAUACUUUCUUACAUGCAAUAAUUCUAGUCAUAUUAUAAUUGUUUCCAAGUCAAGUGAGAAUUGAAUUGUUCAAUUACUAAAAUCAUCUCACUUGUAUAGGAGAAUUUUAAAACAAAAGGGACAUGAACUUCUUGCACUUGUGGAUUUAAAUGAACAAUUUGUGAAAGACUUGGGGCAAAUUUUGAAAUUUGGACAAGAUUUUGAAAAAAUUUUGACAGAGUUUCUCUUUAAAAUUGGAUGAAACUUCCUGCCGGCAAACCCAAAAGCCAACAAUUUUAAGCACAAGACAAAUUUCUAAUAUCAUAUCCAAGCAUUUACCAUAUAAGCACCAAAGUGACUCCUACUUAACAGCAUUUCCUCCCCCACACUUAACAUACACAUUUUCCUCAAUGUGUAGGGAAAGCGAAGAAGAAAAAGUAAAAACAAGUUACUCCCCAAUUCAAUGGCUGAGAUCCAGCUCAAUCUUGAAUCACGAGCCAUCGACGAAUCUACAACCAUCUAUGAAAACUGCCACAAGUCCCAAAUGCAAGAUGAGAAGUUCAAGUUAAACUUGUACAAUAAAAAGAGUUAAAAUAAAAAACUACAAGGAAAUAUGAAAGCAAAAAAAAAAUGCAGCAAGAGGUCGGCGAGUCUUCUCCUUGCACAUCACAUCACUGUGGAAAAGUGCUAAAUGAUUCUUUCAUAUAUAGUGCUAAAUGCACAUCACAUUUUCUCCUUGCAGUGAUUCUUGUCCCUCCUCUUCUCUUCUUUCUCUCUUUAGUGAUUCUUAAAUAUAUAGUGUUCAAGAGAGUCAAAAAGUGCUAAAUAAGAUGACAUAAAAUUUCUUUUGCACUUUUCUAGAGUUUCUUGAGCAUGUGUAGCCUAAAUUCUGUGCAAGAAUUGAGCAGAAAAGAAGUGUGAAAAUAGGGCAAGUUGCAAAACAAGUUACAAAAAAAUAGGAGAGAAUAAGCAGGCUUGGAAUACGUGACCUCAACUCGUGUAUUCAGAGCCUGUGUUUUCUCUUUUGUUACGUUUUCUUGUGUCUUUCUAUCCAAUGCACUAAGAUCAUAAGCAAGAUGCCCCAAUGUUUGUUCAUGCAAUGAAACAAUAAUACUUGCAUUUGAUGCUCUUCUAAUUCCAAAUCAUCAUUGAAUCAGCCACUAAUGAAUUCAAAUGAAUUCGCCUCGAUCCAAUAUUGAUAAUUCUCCUCAAAUCCUACCAAUAUAACCACAUUUGUACGUUCAACUUCCUAAAUGAAUCUUGCAAAAGUUAAAGACUUAGAGAGCAAGUUACACCGUAAAAACCCUAAAUUAUACCAAAAAAUACGCACAUAAUACUACUUAAAAGAAUGUAUAAUACACUUAUCGAGAAGGUUGAUUAGAGUGGGAAGUGAAGAGAAGGCAAAGAUGUCUUAUGCGUAGGUAGCAAGCAAUCUUACAUGAUUGAAUUUGAUCUGAAGAUGAACUGUUAAUCGCUUAUUAAUAGGAGUUGAAUAUGAGAAAUUUUGGACCACUGGGAGUCGAGGCCGCUGCUCUCAGGAGUGCACUUUUCUUUUAACAGAGGAGAACCAUAAACCAGUAGAACUUUUAGUUUGGUGAGACUUCUCAUGGCAUCCUCAGAGGGUAAAUGUCGAAGCUCUUUGAAACCAAAUAAACAUAGGUAUUCAAGAGCAGCAAAGUUUCCGAACCAAUCUGGCAGAGCUUUUAUACCUCCAAAGUCAUGUAGCCGAAGUGACGUGAGAGUGGUCAAGUAUUGGAUCUGAUGUGGUAGGAACUCCAUGUGUGGCAACCCAAAUAAUUCUAGGUCACAUAGUAUGGAUGACAAAGAGGAGAAGGAUAUCAAUCCAGACCAAUCAAAUUCAUUGUAAAUUGAAGAAUUUUCAUGGUCAUCAUCAUCUGAGAAGGGACCAAUUUCAAGGCGAUUUAAGCUGGGUAGGAAACCAAAUCCUUUGGGCAUCAUACUUGUUUUCAGUUUGGGACACGCGUAUAAUUCCAACUCCAAAAGAGAAGGCGUUUGUUGCAAAUCAAGCGGAAAGGAGAUAAGCUUGUCGCAAUAAGCCACCUGAAGCUUUUGGAGAGAGAUACAAGACUGUAGCAUGUCACUGGGUAGACUCGUUAACCCACGGCAAAACCAAAUCACCAGCUCUUUAAGAAACGUAAAGUUUUGCAAGGGAAGGAGUUCUCUGCAUCUGUGGCAAUAAUAAAACUCCAAACGCGCUAACUUGGGAAGUGUUAUUGGCAAAUCCAUUGACCAUCGAGGAAAUUGAUCACCCAUAAAACGCUGAAUUACCAACUCCUCCAAAUUUGGAUGAGGCUUAAGGCCAUCUAACACAUCUUUGUCGUAGUUGUAGUUGUCACCUUCUCGAUCCCAAGCCAAGGCCCACACAAGUAUCAGCCUAAAUAGAUUUGCCUUUCCAAAUAGAUUUGCUUCCUCAGCCGCUUUCCUAUCCUUUACUAGUUGAAGAUUGCGUAUACUUAAACUGCCUUUGAGGUUUUUCAAGCAUCCAAGCUCUUCAAUUUGUCGACCCUUUUCUCGACCCACAUUAAAGAACUCUAGUGUCUGAAGGCAAGAUAGUCGUCUCAUCUCUAGCGGCAUUUGAAAUUUUUCAUCAAAGGUGUAAAAGUAGAGAUGUCUCAAGCUAAUCAAAUUGCACAUCCCCUUCGGAAGAUCUUUGACAUACAUGCUAUCUAGUGCCAAUGUCUGCAAAUUAUAAAGCUUGCAAAGGGAGUCUGGCAAAAUACAGAUUCUAGAACUCGAAAGGUUAACAUAUCGCAAAUGUGUCAAUUUGCCAAUAGUGAUCGGUAGCUCUUGAGUUGUUGCAUGAGACAAAUUCAAAACAUACAAGUUCUUCAACUUCAUUAACAUAUCACCAGAUAGGUCACCCUUUACAAACAAUGUACGAAGCGAAGUUGAUAGACUUUCCAAAAGUUUUUCUUUUUCUUCUCUGCCACCAGAUAAAUCUACCGCAAGGUAACGAAUAUUGUUAAUAACUUUAGUAGACUUUGACAUUGACUCUGCGAGGUCGUGCACUAGAUCAUGCAUCUUAUAAUAACGUGUUUCCUGAUAACUUUUGGUUUCUGCAAACAACGAACUCUGUAAUAAAAUUCUCAGACAAUUCAUUCCAAUUUCCUCCAUCAUCAUUUGGUUGUUGACAUCUGCUUGGAGCAAACCUUCUGCCAUCCAAAGUUCGAUUAGUAUAUCUCCUUUCAUCAUAGUAUCCUUAGGAAAUAUAGAACAAUAUGCAAAACAUUUCUUAAUGGAUGGAGAUGGUAAACAAUCAAAACUCAAUUUAAGUAUUUCCAUGACACCAUCUUCAUCUCCACUGAAAUUUGAAAGCUUAUUCUUCAAAACCAAUUGCCACUCCUCUUUUCUCUUCAUGCGCAAUAAACCUCCCAUUACACUUGCAGCCAGUGGUAGACCACCACAUUUUUUUAUAAUUUCCUUUUUCAUGACAUGCAAUUGUUUGAGAAUUUCUCCACCUGCAAUGGCUUUCUUUGUUAGGAUAGACCAACAAUCAUCAUCAGAUAGCUUUCCUAGCACAUAAGGAUCAUGUGUGGCCACAAUGGAUGCAGUUUGUUGUUUACGAGUAGUCACAACACACCAAUUUCCAUUAGUUGCAUUUAGCCCCAGUAAUGAACCAAAAAAAUCAUCCCACAAGGUAAGAUUUUCGGUCCAGACAUCAUCAAGAACAAGAAAAUUUUUUUUCCCACAAGUUAUUCUCGAAUUUCCUGGACGAUGACAUCCCUACUGGUCAUUUCAACAUUUCUUCUUGUGAGUGCUUCUAAAAUCAUUUUCAAAAGCCUGGUCACGUCAAAAUUGUCGGACACACAAACCCAAAUUUUUUUCUCAAAAUGGCUAUGAACUUGACUAUUUUUGUAUAUAGAUUGAGCUAAAGUUGUCUUUCCCAAUCCGCCCAUCCCAAGGAUGGGAAUUACAGAAACGGUUUUUCUUGACAAGCUUAGCAGGAUCUCCACCAGCCUUGUUUCAUCCUUAGCUCUUCCUACAACAUAGUGGCCAGCAAUAGAAUCCGUCUCUCUAUUUAGUGUGACUUUAGCAGUAGUAGAAGGGGGGAAACUUGCCCUUUGGAAUCUGAUCAGUCCAAAAUCAUUGGCUUCUUUAUUGAUCUUAUACAACUUCUUGUUGAUGUCCCUGAUCUUAGAGGCCAUUCUCCGUCGGAAAACAAUAUUAAUGUCAGAGGACAGGAUGAAGGAGCGUACCUUGUCCACGAGAUGGCGACGAAGAGCUUCAUAAUUCAGCUCGUCCAACAAAUUCUCGGCAUCAAACGCCACGGCUUCUAGCCUCUGGAGCCACAGUUGCACGGCCUUGUCAUGCAUUUGCUUUUCCUCAGCAUCAGCCAAGACAGCUUGGAUCAUGGCAACAGAUCCUUUCAGGGUCUCCAAAUCCUCCUUGAAUUGGAAUAACUUGCCAAUCCUUUCAUUGGCAAGGGAAAGUGUCUUCUCCAACGCUACCUCUAUUGUGGAAGCUAUAAUUGCAUCAGCCAUUCUUCUUGUUCCUUGGGUACAGUCUUCAGAUAAGAAUACUCUUUUGCAGUGGAAGGUUUUAGCUGUAGUUAGAAGCAGCAAGGAACUGCUUUGACUCAAACGGAAGUGACAAGAGUUAUGAGGAUUUUUUGGUGCAGCGCUUCUUUGACAAUCUGGGUCGGAUGCUUUUGCAACGGAAGUUGCUUGGCAUUUUCAGUUGAAAAUAAAAUAUAGUCAUUGCCGGGAUUCUACAUCUGCUUUUGAUCCACAUUCCACAUGCCUGGGGCCCCUAGUCGUGGAAAAUUCCACCCAAGAAGGAUAAGAAAUUGUGCUGAACAAUGAAAGGUCCAAAAUAAUUGUUUAGAUAAUUCAAAUUAAGCAAUUUCUUCUAAUUCAAAUUAAUGUUGUGCAUGUAUAGGAGGCACAAAAUGGUUUGGUGCACUAGCAAACAGAAGGGUACAUCUAAGGUUACUACAAGUUUUACGUUAAAGUGGGAGAUUUGUAAACCAAUUCAGAGUAAACAAAUGAUGUUGAGGAAAAAAUAUGUUAGUUGCAAUGCAAUCAUAAAAGCUAUGAUACAUUUGUGAAAAGAAGAAACAUUUAUUAAUUUAGUGCAGUCUAAUUACAAACCUAGAAAAAAAAAUAUACAUGAAUGAUCCGAAAGCGGGAACGGUGUCAUUUUACUCAAAUAAAAGUGUGAUCGAAUCAAGGAUUAUUUAAAUAAAAAAAUUAGAUUAAUAAUAUAAUACUUUUUGUAUUUUUAUAUAAUGCAUGUGAGACAGAAUGGUGGCUGGUAAAAUUAAAAAAAAGGUGAUGGAAUAAGUAUAAAUUGUUUUUUUCAUAUAUUUAUCUAAUGAUAAUAGUGACAGGGUAAAAAAACAAAGGUGAUAACAAUGAUAAGUGUGGUGAGUACUUCUUGCAAUUGAUUGCACCAUGCAAUCUAUAUUUUACAUUAGGUAAAUUUGAAAUUGGAUGAAUAGAAUUGAUUAGCACGCAAAACUUUCAAUGAAUGAAACAUGUAUUGUGCUUUUGUGUUAAUUUUGCAUUAGGUUAAUUUUGUCUGCAUUUAAUAUGUCAGUGUAUACACGUCUAUUGUGUCAGAACCUAAAUUGCAUGGCGUGUAUGGCACUAAAUUUCCAGUUCACCUUUCCUACUUAAUGCCUUGCUGAGGCCUCUACUCUGAUUGAGAAACCUUAUAACUGCUGGGGCCUUCUAUUGUGCAAAAAAUCUCAACAAAAUAAUGGUCUGACCCAAGAAGCACAAGAAAGUAUUGUCCUUAACAAUUAGAAUGUCAAAGAAAAAAAAGAGGGAAAUUGAUAGGUUGCAAUUUUAUCAUUUAUUUUAUUAUUAAUUUUCCCUAUUACCUGACCUGAUGUGAAUUAAUUAUUAGAUUCUACUCACUUUUCGUAAUUUACAUUUAUUUCAGGGAGUAGAACAAAAAUAUCACAAUCAAGACCAAUUUGACAGUUAUCGGAAAAGAGUUCAAAUAGCAGACAAUCAAGAGCAUUCUUGAAACAAAGAGAUGCGACCCUUUCUGGUAAUUUGUGAAAGACAGCAUAAAAGGAGAAGGAGGAACACAGGACUAGGCGUUCUUUCCCUUGGGGGGCUAGAGCCGCCGCACAGAGCCAGGCAUUAGAAUAGGACUUUUGAUAGAGGGAGGAGUAGAGGAUUUUUCCUCCUGAAGCUUAGUUUUCCUUUGACUUUUCCAUCGUAGCUUUUGAGGGGUAUCUUCCCACGCAUGUCAGAGAGCAAAAUUGGGGAGAACUUUAACUUUUCUACUUUUGAACUUUGAGUAGUCUUUUGUUCCUUCUUGUAUGUCGGACGAAUUGAAUUUCCCCAAUUUCAAAGCACGAUUGCCGCGACUUUUGCUACAAUUUUGUGUGGGUUUUUCAUACCAAAUAUGAAUUAAUCUCUUCGCUCUAAUCAAGGAGUAACGGAGGCUCUGGGUCGCCUAAAAAUUGUGAGAUCGUUUUAAUUUAAUCUUUUCCUUUUAUUUAUUGGUAUUUGCAUAUUCCCUGGUUGCAGUGCUUAUGGUUGUUUAAUUAAUUGAUUGUCUUGGAUCCGGAUAAUUAGUUAAUUUAAUAAUCUAUUGUCAAUUGAGGUGUUAAAUCCGUAAUUGUUUAAUUACCUCAAAAUAGUGACAACUGGCAUGAUUAGAUUUGUGUCAGGGGGAUGCGCGGGCUAAUCUGAAAUAACCCUGGUAGUGCGUUAUUUGGUUAGAAUAGGGCUCCUCUAAUUUGUAAGGCAAUUGGGGAAUUAAAUCUUAUGGGCGUACCUAAGAUUAUUUCUCAAUUAGGGCAGUGAUUAACGGGCGUACCUUAAUCACCGACACAGUAAGGAGGGGUUGACUGUCAUCGCUUGUUUGGUAGUUAUAACCUAUUUAUUGAUAAAUAAUUGGGAUUGCCUUUGCGUCGAUGAUCAAUUAGAUGAACCAUUGCUGAAGUUAUUCCUUGGCUAGAUCCUUAAUUAUCACUCAUUUGAUUUUAGUAAUUUGUUACUUAAUUUUUAGUAGUUUUUUUUAGAUUUUAUUUGAAUUUCUUCGAUUGUCACCUUCUGCACAAAAACACCCCCCUUGUCACUGUGAAUUUGAAAAGAAACAAUUACUCCCAAUCCCUGUGGAUUCGACCCUGCUUACCGCUAUCUACAGAAAUUUAUUUUAGUUUGAGCAGGUUUUAUUAUUGCGCAGGCUUCGACACCCUGUCAAUUUUUGGCGCCGUUGCCGCAGACUGGUGCCAAAUUAAUUUGUUUCUUUUUGAGUUCAUCUUGUUUUUAUUUUUUUUUAUUUAUUUUUUUUUCUCUUAUUUUUUUUUUAUAUAGUUUAUGGCUUCUAACACUUCGUACUUUGGUGAUAUACUGGAUUUUCUUUCCGGGAAAGGCGAUGAGACUAGUUUUUUCGCUAAAUCUGCAUACUCAGAGGCACUAAACUCUAUUAGAGAAAGAAUGGCUGCUGUAACCUGUAAAAUUUGUUAUGCCAGGGAUCAUUCAACCGGUAUGUGCCCCGAAUAUCAAGAUACUCUGAGUGUCCCAUUCAAUAAUUAUGGAGAUUUUUCACCCUGGUCUCAAACGUGGUAUAACCCUAAUCCAAACGGGUAUGAUCAAGGAUGGUGGGAUAACUCCAAUUAUAAUUAUUCAACGGGGCCAAUGAAUUUUCAGCAGUAUGAGUCUCAAGAAUCGUCAUCUAUGUCAGGUAUAUCUCUUGAAGAAAUAGUUGAACCAAUAGCUACUAAUACAUACCAAUUCAAACAGGAGACACAAAUGAGGAAUGAGAUGAUGAAGGAUACAAUGAGUUAUCUGGCAGAUCAACUAUGUCUAUUGACAUCCAGAAUAAAUCGAUUGGCUUCUCAAAUGGAAGAAUUGCCCUCGGAAACCAUUGUUGAUCUAGAAGAAAAUGAGAGUGCAAUUUGCUUGACUGGUGAUGAGGAGAUGCAAGAGUGUCAAAAUGAGAAAUCUACAGAUGCAGUUGAAAAAGAAGCCGAAAAGGAAGAAAUGGAACCCCAACCGCAACCCAUUCAAGUGAACGAAUCCAGUGAACAAUCUCCAAAUGCGGUGACAUCUUCUCCAUUCCUUAAUCAAUAUUUUCCUGACUCCUAUUCUUCAAUUCCUGUUACUGAAAUUGAUUUUAUUAUACCAGAAAAUUUGAAAUUUCAUGACAGGAAUAAGUUAAGAGUGGCAAUGAAAAAAUAUCUUGAACCGAUGAAUGCGUGUGGUGGAGGAGUGAAUGGAGAAUACAAAUUAUCGUUGACUUGUUUGGCGCCAUUUACUAGUCUAUGGAAGCUCGUAACUCGUAUGUCCAAGGAUUACUCUAUUUACGAGAGCUAUCAGGACUAUAUAGAGGAUGAAGCAUUAAGACGAGCCACACGAUUUUAUCCUCCAUGAACAAAACAUGAUAAUGUCUAGCCAAAGACAUUAAAGAGAGGCGCUCAUUGGGAGGCAACCCAAUUGUUUCUUUUAAUUAUUUGUUUGAUUUCGUGUGAUAGUUUAAAUAUGUUUUCCUUGAGUUUAAUUGGUUUUGGGUCUGAAAUUUUUGUUUUUGGUGAGUUGUAGGUGUCUAUCUGACUCGGCAUGCCCGCGUCAUGUUGCAGGAAAAGCUCACGGUCAGAGAGCUCUCUUGCCCUCAUGACGUGCCCGCGUCACGUUCGCGGGAAAGGUAAGGAUUCUAAAAAAAAAAAAAAAAAAAAAAAUCUUAUCACCGUAGCUUUAGUUUCCAAAAUUCAAAAAAAAAAAUUAAAAAAAUUGAUUUCCAUAGAAAAAAAAGAGAAAAAAAACCAAAAAAAAAAAAAGAAAAGAAACAAAAAUAUUUCUCACGAUAGCUCAAAUGGAACCUAAAAAAAAAAAAAAAUCUUUUUUUUCUUUUUCUUUUUCCUUCUUUUCUUUCUUUCUUUUCUUUCUUUUUCUUUCUUCUUCUUCUUUCUUUCUUUUUUCUUCUUCUCCGCUACGUCUUCUUUCCCAUUUUGGCCGCCUCUUCAAUCGCGCGCCGCCCACUUGCCCGCGUGACCGCUGCUGCCUUCCACAACCACCUCGCACGUCCUCUCUCCUCUUCGCGAGCCACCGCCACCAAAUUUUUGGUGUAAUUUCAUUUUUUAGUUUUUAUUUGUCGUGUUCAUUUUUAGUUUUUAGUUUCCAGUUUUAUUUUUAUUUUUAAGUUUUAUCAUAGAAUUUGUUGAAAAAGAAAAAAGAGAAAAAGAAAAGCAUUCAAAAAAAUAUGUUUUAGUCAUUUUGUUUUUAUUCAAUGCUUUCUUGAAAGAAAAAUGAAAAUGAAAAUAAAAAAAAAAGGGAAAAAGGAAAUUUGUUCACAAAAAUAUAUUUAUUUCUUUAAAUGCAACCUUUUUGCACUUUAGUUAUUUUUAUUAAGUUAUUUUGAGAAAAAGAAAAUGAUGAAAAAUGAAAAAUGAAACAAAAAGAUGGAAAAGUGGCCAUUUUUGUUGUUUUUAGUUGUUUAGUUUUUAAAUUAUUUUCAUUAUUAUUAUUAUUAUUAUUACCUGGUUUUGGCAAUUUGUUAUUAUUAUUAUUAUUUAUAUCAUUUCUGUAUUUAUUAAGUUAUUAAGUUCAAAAAAAAAAAAAAAUGAUACGCGGCAGCAAGCUGCGUUUUACGCAGCUUGCAAAGGAAAUCUGGGACGGCUCCUAAAGCUGCAAAUACAGGAAAAGGACUAGAGGUUUUUAGGGUUUGGGGGUCUGAUAUAUAGCAAAAAGAAAGGUAGCCGCAACAGAGGUUUUAAGGGGAACCAACGGGGGAUAGAAACACAAGCAAAAAGGAAAAGAAAGAAAAAGAGCCGAGAGUGAAAAGAGAGGAAAGAUUGAUGGUGACGGCAGGAAGUGAGCCAGAAGCUUUGUGAAGUAAGAGGGAAAAGAAGCAAAGGAAGGACUGAGUAGAGUUGAUGGCUGUGAGGGUUUAGAAACGGAGAGUUGAACGGGAAAGGGAAAAAGAGAAAAUAGCAAAGGGAAGCUAGCUGGUGGCUGGGCAAGAGGAAAAAACGCAGAAAAGAAAACAGAGGGGGGGGGGAGGUUUCGGUUUCAAUGAUCGGCGAGGAGAAAAACUUGCAACCACCACAGCAGCCAUCUCAACUCCAUCCGUUGCCUGCCCAGACUCCUUUUCAUGCUAUCAGCCCAAGCCACCACAAACCUCCAUAACCACCGCCUACAAAUGACCACCUCCAAGUUCUGUCAUCGCCACCACCGCACGCAACUUCCAUCGAGGUCACCAGACAGCAGCCACCUUUUCUUCUCUAGCGUGACCAACGAGCGGUCAACUGCCUCCCAAGAGGUCCUCCAAGGACCACCACAUCAAGGAGGAAGAAAAGCCACCACCAGUCCGCUACCAUCACUAGAACUUCCCACCACUGCCUGAAAAUAAUUUCACGAAGCAGGCGCAGGUAAGCUGUCCUUUUCUUUUAAAAAUUCUCGGUUCUGUUUAAGCUCUCAGAGCAUGUCUGCCGUGGGUUUUGAGGGGAUAGCAUCUGGGUUUGGUUAAGGACAUCAAUAGGGCUCGCUUGAUUUGUUUCAUAUAGAUGUCCUGGUUGAAUGAUGAAGUUUGAAGAAAGAACUAAAAAUUGCAGAAUGUUGAUUCCCUGUAAUUGCAUGAACUUCUGGUAUCUAAACCUAAAUUUGUAUGGUGAAAAAUGGAAAACAUGCUUGUGAACUUGUUACUUUGCUCCUAGUUGUUGUUAGUUGAGCUGUUAGUAGUGUUUGGAUAGCAAAGAAUUGCAGCAAAAGGAAACUCAAAUGCUGCAGACAUUUUUUUGUUAACUGUCGGCUCACAUUCUCGUUUGUUCCCUUGCUUGUUUUCUUCUUGUAAUGAUUUAAAUCUGUCCCUUGUGCCUUGAAGUCUCCUCCCUUGUUGCCCAAGACCGUGAAUUCCUAUGUUAGCUGGAGAGUUUUUUUAUUUAUUUGCUGUGCUACAGUUUUGCUGCUCAUGAAGUUGUCAGCUCUGCUUCUAAAGCUGUUACAUAACAACCCAUUGGCAUGAUAGCUGCCGUUAGUUUUGCAUUCGGUGUGUGAUUUUGUAUGCGUGAGGGAGUAUUUGGAAUUACAAUUUGGGUAGGAAUUUGAGGUUGGUUUUAAGUUUGAAACGUUUAUCGACAUCUCGAGUGCAUGAAAGUUUGCUGCAACAGGUCUUAAGUUCUGUUUUAUUGCAGCAAUGUUGGCAGAGUUGUUUUUUUGCUGAUGACUAAAGUUUUGUUAGCUAAAUUUGUCUUCAAAUCUGUGGGUUGUUGGAAAGUGAUGCCACUGUGUGCGUUUGCUGCAUUUUGUUGCAGCAAAACAUGGCAUAAUAACAGGCCAUAGCACCAACUUUGCUAAGUAUUCACUGCUUCAAGUUUUUACUGAUUCUAUGUUCAGUUUUCCUUGUUGUUUUCAGUAAAGUAAACAUUGGUUUUUGGUUGUUUAGUUUAGGAUUUUGAUUUCUGGUAAAGAUGUCUAGAUUGGAGCCAUGCUUUCGGACCAUAAAUAUGCAUUUGUAAAUGGAGAGGCAUCAAACUUUCGCCGGCAGAAAGCUUCUUCAUGCAUUCUUGCUUGAAGUUUUUUUCUAUGUUUGCAUGAUUUCCUCCUAUGAUUUUGCUAGUUCGGAUGUCAAGUUCAUGUUUUGUGUUGUUUGGUUCAAAAUUUGAUGUUGAAUCAAGAAAGCCUUGGGUUAAGGUAUGAGAUCAAAUCCGGGUUUAGUGUUUGAAAGUGGAACAAAGGUGCAGCAAUUUCGUUUGCUUUGUUGAAGAAUGUUCUUUCACGAUGGUUUGCAUGCAUUUGCAUGAAUAAUCUCCAGAUUUUACACUUUGGCCCCCAAGUCUCUCCUUGUUCCACUAGGACCCAAUCAAUUAAAGAAUUUCAUCAAAUUGGUCCUUGAUAAUUUUAAUUUUUGCAACUUCAUUGCUUGUUUGCUUCAAUUAACUACCAUGCUUUGUUUCAAUUGCAUUUAAUUCAUGACUUUAGGGGCUUUAUGACCAAGUGAGCUUGUGUUUGCCUAUUUUCUUUAAUUUUCUCAAAUAAAUUGGUACCUUGACCAUUUCUUUUAUUUUGGAGGAUAAAUAAGUGAUUUCACUUCAUUGGGGCCCAAUUGCAAGGGAGGUAACCUCUAUCUCCUUGAAUUUCAUUUCUCCUAUGUGAUCCUACGUGUUAUGUGAAUAUGCAUGUCUACUCCGCUUUCCUUACCUCCUUGCGUGCAUUUACUUGCUUUCACUUUUAUUUAAGUUUUAUGGGGUAUGUGUACACCUCUUGGCUUGUAAUAGAUAGGGCUCGGAGAGCAUCUGGUCCAUUUCCCCUUUCCCUUUAUGUUUUUAUGGGGUAUGUGUACACCUCUUGGCUUGUAAUAGAUAGGGCUCGUAGAGCAUCUGGUCCAUUUCCCCUUCCCCUUGGUUGCUUGUUUUUGUUGCUACAUGUUUAAUUGCUUUAAUAGGCUCUUGCAUCUAGUCGAGCAUGCUAAGUGCUACGUGCUACGUGUUUACGAGCGUUUUGGCAUGUCUACUUGCUUUCAUAACCAUGAAUGAAUGGAAUGGAUGAAUGUACGUCACCACGCUAGUUCAAUGCUAGUUGUGGCUCAUUAUUUCAUUAGGAAUUCAUAGAAAGGGCUAGUCCAACGCUAGACCCAAUAGGAUUUUUCCUUUGUUUUUCAUUAAUGCAUUGUUUGCCUGUUCACUACAUAUCAUGCAUUUUUCCUUAGUUUUAUCAUCUGGCAUGCUCCUCGAUUCCCCUUGCCCCUCACUUUAGGUCUUGCAUCUCAUGCUAGUUAGGGUACAUUUGCCUGAAGAGUCCCCUUCUGAUAAGGGAAACGAGCGAGUGUGGCUACUCGAUAGCCUUAGCACGCUAGUUCCCCCUUCUAUCAAAGGAAAAAUCAAGUCACAAAGUUAGGACUCCCCGUUCCCGUUUUGAUGCAUUCCUAUAGAAUGUGAGCCGACAGUUAACAAAAAAAUGUCUGCAGCAUUUGAGUUUCCUUUUGCUGCAAUUCUUUGCUAUCCAAACACUACUAACAGCUCAACUAACAACAACUAGGAGCAAAGUAACAAGUUCACAAGCAUGUUUUCCAUUUUUCACCAUACAAAUUUAGGUUUAGAUACCAGAAGUUCAUGCAAUUACAGGGAAUCAACAUUCUGCAAUUUUUAGUUCUUUCUUCAAACUUCAUCAUUCAACCAGGACAUCUAUAUGAAACAAAUCAAGCGAGCCCUAUUGAUGUCCUUAACCAAACCCAGAUGCUAUCCCCUCAAAACCCACGGCAGACAUGCUCUGAGAGCUUAAACAGAACCGAGAAUUUUUAAAAGAAAAGGACAGCUUACCUGCGCCUGCUUCGUGAAAUUAUUUUCAGGCAGUGGUGGGAAGUUCUAGUGAUUGUAGCGGACUGGUGGUGGCUUUUCUUCCUCCUUGAUGUGGUGGUCCUUGGAGGACCUCUUGGGAGGCAGUUGACCGCUCGUUGGUCACGCUAGAGAAGAAAAGGUGGCUGCUGUCUGGUGACCUCGAUGGAAGUUGCGUGCGGUGGUGGCGAUGACAGAACUUGGAGGUGGUCAUUUGUAGGCGGUGGUUAUGGAGGUUUGUGGUGGCUUGGGCUGAUAGCAUGAAAAGGAGUCUGGGCAGGCAACGGAUGGAGUUGAGAUGGCUGCUGUGGUGGUUGCAAGUUUUUCUCCUCGCCGAUCAUUGAAACCGAAACCUCCCCCCCCCCUCUGUUUUCUUUUCUGCGUUUUUUCCUCUUGCCCAGCCACCAGCUAGCUUCCCUUUGCUAUUUUCUCUUUUUCCCUUUCCCGUUCAACUCUCCGUUUCUAAACCCUCACAGCCAUCAACUCUACUCAGUCCUUCCUUUGCUUCUUUUCCCUCUUACUUCACAAAGCUUCUGGCUCACUUCCUGCCGUCACCAUCAAUCUUUCCUCUCUUUUCACUCUCGGCUCUUUUUCUUUCUUUUCCUUUUUGCUUGUGUUUCUAUCCCCCGUUGGUUCCCCUUAAAACCUCUGUUGCGGCUACCUUUCUUUUUGCUAUAUAUCAGACCCCCAAACCCUAAAAACCUCUAGUCCUUUUCCUGUAUUUGCAGCUUUGGGAGCCGUCCCAGAUUUCCUUUGCAAGCUGCGUAAAACGCAGCUUGCUGCCGCGUAUCAUUUUUUUUUUUUUUUUUUGAACUUAAUAACUUAAUAAAUACAGAAAUGAUAUAAAUAAUAAUAAUAAUAACAAAUUGCCAAAACCAGGUAAUAAUAAUAAUAAUAAUAAUGAAAAUAAUUUAAAAACUAAACAACUAAAAACAACAAAAAUGGCCACUUUUCCAUCUUUUUGUUUCAUUUUUCAUUUUUCAUCAUUUUCUUUUUCUCAAAAUAACUUAAUAAAAAUAACUAAAGUGCAAAAAGGUUGCAUUUAAAGAAAUAAAUAUAUUUUUGUGAACAAAUUUCCUUUUUCCCUUUUUUUUAUUUUCAUUUUCAUUUUUCUUUCAAGAAAGCAUUGAAUAAAAACAAAAUGACUAAAACAUAUUUUUUUGAAUGCUUUUCUUUUUCUCUUUUUUCUUUUUCAACAAAUUCUAUGAUAAAACUUAAAAAUAAAAAUAAAACUGGAAACUAAAAACUAAAAAUGAACACGACAAAUAAAAACUAAAAAAUGAAAUUACACCAAAAAUUUGGUGUCUACAGUUUGCCCCUCUUUGUCUGAGUUUUGAAAAAAUUUGAGACAAAGAAGUAGACACCAAAUACUUACCAGUGUUAUUCGGUUGCAAAAAUGAUCUGAACGGACAGGAAUUCUAAAAUGGGACUGACCCGAACAUGAAUUUAAAAUUGGGGAUAGACCCACGGGAUAGACCCGGACAGAAAUGUAAAAUUGGGAUAGACCCACGGGAUUAAAAAUGGGAUAGACCCACGGGAUAGACCCGGACAGAAAUUUAAAAUUGGGAUAGACCCACGGGAUAGACCCGGAUAGACAGAAAUUUAAAAUUGGGAUAGACCCACGGGAUAGACCCGGACAGAAAUGUAAAAUUGGGAUAGACCCGGACAGAAAUGUAAAAUUGGAUUUGAUCUGUCAAGAUAUAAGAAAUUAAAUUUUGAUUUUCCAAGAAACAAAAAUUUGAACUUGAUUUUCGAUUUUUGACUUUUGAAUUUUUCUGAUUUUUCGAGAGAAUCUUUUUCCAAAAAUAAUUUGCCCCAGUGUAGGGCCCUUUUCCCUUCUUUCUUCUCUUUCUUCGGCAUCGGCUUUCUACAUCGCCAGAUGCUUUUCGUCGACUUCAACUGUGAAUACCUGCACAGGGCUUACGUGCACUCAAAUGAGCGUGACUGAUUUGAAAAAUGCAUUAUUUUGAUUCUUGGACGAAAUCCUCAAUUGGCCUACAAAAAUAUUUGCCCCUGUGUGGGCUUAUUUUGCAAAAUUUUGCAAAUAAAAAUUUUGCCCCAGUUUGGGCCCAUUUGAUUGCAAAAAUUGGUUUAGAUGAUUUCCCAUUUACUUGAACAAAGAAAAACCGCACUUUCUAAAAUUUAGAAAAGAGUGCACAUACAACAAUGUGAAGAAACUUUAAUCGUCAAGUUUGAACUCAUGCAGAAAUUUCAUGAUGAAUUCCUCAAAAUAAUGCCAAAUUACAAGAUAUUUCUUCCUUACCUUAGCAUCGAAGCUUUGGGUAAUGGGCGUUAUUUCUGACUUGGAAAUGGGAGGCCAAGAUUUGUCUUAUUUUGUGCUCAUUCGAUAUCACGUCUUCAUGAAAGCAAAGAGUUUAUCACCUUAUUUUUAAGAAAACGUAGUCACAUACAGCUUUAUAGGCUUGCAAUAAACGGAUGGAAACGAUAGCUAAAACAUGAAAAAACUGGUUGUUCCCUUAUGAUCACAAAUGAUUGAUGGAUUUCUUACGAGCAUAGUCGUCACUUUGGAUUGUCAUGAAGGAAUAAGUCAACGAUGGACUUUAUGAGCUUGUAAUGUGGCUUGAAAACGAUAGCUAAAGAAUAAAACUUUCAAGGACAUUACACCACAUAUCGUAUUUUUCAACAUUGCCUUCAUCUGGACUCCAGAUUCUUGGAUUUUGUUUGACUUUUUAUCAUCACCCAACAGGGUCUUUCAACAUCAAAUCUUUUUGCAUCUUUCUUUUGCAUUCAUUUCGCUCGUUUUUCUUUUCUUUCUCCCCCCCUUCUCGGGGUUUCAUAUGAAAGCAGUGUCAACCUCACGCCAAAUCAAUUCAGAAUACAGCAAAAUUUUCGACAUCAGAAAUUUUCUUAACAGGGCCAUUGCAAAGAAUAGAAGUCAGGGCUUUCGGCUUUUGUAAUGGGGUCAGGUGGGGUGCUUAGAAAAGUUAAGGCUUGAAAGCGGAUUUCAAAGCGGUUUGAAAAAUCUGAGAUCGCAUGUUGCGCAACCCUAUUUUAGGGUUAAAUCAGAAUUUGCCCCAGUUUUGCUCAAUGAGGCUUUUCACUUUCAUUUUCUUUUUCUUUUGACUUUUCGGCUUUUGCCAUUCUUUGAAAUUUGCCCCAAUUUAUUUUUGAACUGAGGUUCUCUUUUCUUCUUUUGAUUUGGAUUUUGUGCUUUUCACUUUUCACUUCUUGAAAUUUCCUUUUCAACCAAACUCGCCCCAGUGUGGGGUUUGCGAUUCUCAGGGGUUGCCAAACGAAAUAAUCCAUUCUGAUGGCUCAAAAGGGAUAACUAGGGAUAGAAUGUUCGAUUGGAAAAGAAGAUGGCCUGACUUGUAUUCCGUUCCUUACAAUAACUCUGAAAGGAAAUUUUCAUUAAUGGGAAAUUUUUGGCAUGUAUCUGAAUUAACUGAUUGGGGAAGACCCUUGUUCAUCCAUAUUUGUGAAACAUAGGUGAUCCACGCGGACAAAUCUCUUCCCUCUUUUUUCCAAAUUCGGAACCCAAGUGGAGUCAAAUUUCCCCAAUUUGCGGUUCCCUCCCUAUUUUAGCAUUUUUGCUUUUCCCCUUUUCUUUUCCUUUUUAAAAUUUCCCAAUCUCCUUCCCCAAUGCGAGGUACGAUCAUAAGUGCAUUCGAAAAGAACCACCAAUUUUAGCUCAAAUGAGGACGCAAGGGAUAAAUGGUGUUUAGAUUGAAGAAAUGAUGGCCAAAGUAUCAUUCUUACACUUCAUGACAACCAGAGUAACGAAAUGCUCAUUGACAAUCCAUUCCCUUUUGAAAGUUUUCCAAUGUAGGGUAGAGAUCAUUAAGGCGUUUAUUUGGAAGGAAAUUAUUCUUCUAUAGGCUCAAAUGGGAGAGCAAAUGAUAAAAAUCUGUAUAGGUAGUGAAACGAAUGCUUGAAGUAUCAUUCCAAAUUUUCAAACAAAUAAGAAUAAUGCACAUUUUUGCUUUCACUUAGAUGUGAUUGAAUCGAAUUAGUUACCGCGGACAUUUUCAAGCAAAAGUUGCCCCAAUUUACAAUUUAUCAAUCAAUGUGACUGAUUUUAUUUUGGGGUCAAAUGAAGGAGAAAAGGAAUCUCAUAGGGCCUUUUGAGUGACCUCUUUUAAUUCUGAACACUCUUAUUAUGAAUUUUCAGGCCGGAGGUUGAAAAAAUCCCAAUUUAGUCUUAUUUCUUAAAAUUCAUCAUGAACUCUCCAAUGAAUAAGAAUAAAGAAUGAAAUGUACAUAAAUAUACACAAAACAAUGAUUGUCCAAAAAUUUUAUUGCUGAAAAAGUUUGAAACAAAAUUUCUCAUUCAAUUACGAUACAAAUGAGGAUAGAAAACUUCUAAAGAGCUCCACAUAUAUAUCCUUUUUGUCUUCAUUUCUUUUGACACAAAAAUAUAUUAACAAGUCAAAUAUACAGAAUUUUCCUUGAAAGCGAUUGUGAAAUCUCUUAGAAGCUCUCAGCCUAGAGCUUUCAAAUGGGUCUUUCAUGUUUCCAUUGUUGGAUCUACCCAAGAAUCAAUAUAGGAAAAUAUUUUCAUCUUAUUGAAACAUUUUUUAAUGAAUGCAGGGGAGGGGGAAAACAAAAGAAAAAUACCCAAAGUUAGUAAUCAAAACCAUAGAAUCAGUAUGCAUGCCCUAUGGGGGAACCCUUUUAUGCCAAGGGUAGGCCUAGCAUGAAAAUGCAAUCCUCUAGGGUAGGCACCAUACAAUACCUGAUGGAUCCAAUCAGCUUAUGGAGUGAAAAAUAAUUUAAAAAAAUUUGGCCCACUGGAAUGAAAAGAGACAUUUGUCCUAAAAUGAGGGAAAAGUCCGAAUGGAUUGCUACUUUGAUCGAUGCAUGAAAUAAUGUGUAAAAGGGGCUGAUUGGAAUGUCUCAAUUAAUUUAUUCGGUGACCCUUAGACUUAAACCCUAAAAAGGGAAAAAACGGGUCAAAUGGAUUGGAUAAAAUUGAUGAUUUAUUUAAAAAUGACCAAAUUGCCCUAAAAAUAGGUAAACUGGUCAAAUGAAUGAAAUGAAAUUUGAUUUAUUCAAAAAUUGAUCGAAUCACCCUAAAAAGGGUAGAUUGGUCAAAUGAAUUGACGAUUUAUUCAAAAUCGACCGAAUGACCCUAAAAAGGGUAGAUUGGUCAAAAGAUUUGAUGAUUUAUUCAAAAUCGACCGAAUGACCCUAAAAAGGGUAAAUUGGUCAAAGGAAUGGUUUAUUUAAAAUCGAUUAUGAAUUGACAAAAUGGAUUGAUCGAAUCGGCCGGCCAUUGGUGGUUUCAGAAAAUCAGUCUAUGAGCCUUCUAAAAUCACAAUUUGGCCUCAAUUUAUUUAUCAUCUCAAUAGGAGGAAUCAUUUGUGAAUUUCUUCAAAUUAAUGUCCUUCGCGCAAGGGAUUUUUACCAAUUUUUGAUAAAAUGGCCAAAAAGUGAUUAUUAGAUGCUCAUAUUCCAAAGAUCACUCUAUGAAAAUGAUCGGAUCCUACCUUACCUUGUGCACUACCCCUUUGGAUGGUACAAAAUGUAAACGUGCAAGUCUCACUGGAUUAAGUAUCCGAGACACAAGGUGGCUUAUUCCUAAACACGGGAUUCCCUAUGUGGCAUUCCCUUUCUAUGGUUUAUGCAUGAUGCCAGUUUAUUAAAGCGAUGUAAAUAUGUGACAAAUAUGGCUAAAGGACAUAAAUAAUGCAUCGGGGGGAAAAGGUCUAAAAUGAAAUGUAUUAUUGAAAAGUAAGCAAAGACUGAAAUUUAGACAUGUGAGCUAUCUAGUGGGUGAGUCACUAAAAGAGUGCCAAAGAGGCCUCUUAUUGCUAAGGCACAUGAAUGCAAGCCAGGAAAACAAAAGAAUGGUUAGUGCAAUUGAUAGUACACAUAACACAUUGGGAGCAAUUAAGAAAAGAAAUACAAUAAAAGCAAGUAAAAGGGGUGGAACCCCUUCCCUCGUGCCUAAUGUGCUUAAAAAGGGUGAGGCUGACUCUACCCUAGGCAAAUGCUAAUAUGGAUGCAUGAGGUGGUUCACUAAUGCCUAGACUCGAUAAAGCUUCGGCUCCCAAGCCUUCAGACCUAAAGGCGAAGGGUCAUCACUCCCAGGGCCUUUGAUCGGUGGCUCGAGUGAUCCCUUAGGUAGCGCUAUGGGCGCAGAGCACACCAGCCGCCUACCCAAGGCGAUCGAUCCUAAUCCUACAAGGCGGUGUGGGAAACGCCCACGAAAAACAAAAUAAAAUGGGAUAAAAGCAAGUAAACGUGCACGUAUGAAGUGUUCCCCUAUUUUGAGGGAAGGGGUGAGAACCACACGAGGCUCUAAAGGCGACACACCCCCCCAAAUGCAAUGCAAGCGCGAGAUAAAUAAGUAAACAUACAUCCAAUCAACCAAUCACACGUACGUGAGUGAGGGAAUAGUUGGAUACGCGCACGAGGCAAAAGGCCCUAAAAAUGGAAAGUGCAACCCUAAUAUCCAAAUGCAAUGCAUAAAAAAGGGUAGAAAAAGGAAAAGAAUGGCCAAGUCAAAUGCUCGGACCCACUUAGGAAGUCCCCAGUGGAGUCGCCAACUGUCGCGCCCCACUUUUCGAUUGUGUGGAUGUGUGAUGUGUGGUGUGUAAUGCGGUGUGAACGUGUGCAAAAUGAAAAGUAAAAAGGCCAUGGGAUUUUGGAAAGCGACGAUUUGGCCAAAUGAAAUUUUAAAAAGGGUUUUUUAAAUAUGAAAACGGAGUCGCCACUUGGUAUAGAUUUGGGGUGUACCAAGUCACCCAAAAAGUGUUUUUUAAAGACAAAGUAGUAAAACCCCUUUUAAAACGACUCCUAGUCCACGUAAGCCAAAGAAAAAGGUUCGGGGGUCACGUUUGACAAAAGGGAAGGCAAGGAUAGAAUCCAAGGCACCCCUUUGACCUAGCCAAGGCUAGUUGCGCGACUCAAACCAAUUUUUCCUAGUUUUUCUACCCAAGGUAUGUAUCGCGUAUUGGAUAUGUCUAUAUGGAUGCAAAAACCUAGACCUAGGGGGAUUGGGGGAAAUUUCUCUUCAAAGGUUGGGUGGUGCCAAUCACAUUAAUUGUGAAGCCCAAUAAUGAUCCUUUUGGAGAGGUCACACCUAAACCUAAAUGACGUGAAAAAUGAGUGGAAUGCAUGCCAUGUGAAAGUGUGAGUUUGUGUGAAGUGAGAAAAUGAUAAAAGUAAUAAGAUAUAAGUGGAUGUGUGCAAAUGUCUUUACAAGGUAAGGUAAGUGAAGAAUAAUAAGGUGAAAACGCCAUUAAGUGCAUGUGUGCGAGUGAUAUGGUAUAGAGUGUAAGUAGUUGAAUAAAAACGUGUAAAAUGAAAGUAGUGUGAAGUGAGAAUAUAGAAAGAGGAAUGGAAUAUACAGUAAGUGAUAGUGAAUGAAUGAAAUGCGUGAAUCCUAUAGGAAUGCAUCAAAACGGGAACGGGGAGUCCUAACUUUGUGACUUGAUUUUUCCUUUGAUAGAAGGGGGAACUAGCGUGCUAAGGCUAUCGAGUAGCCACACUCGCUCGUUUCCCUUAUCAGAAGGGGACUCUUCAGGCAAAUGUACCCUAACUAGCAUGAGAUGCAAGACCUAAAGUGAGGGGCAAGGGGAAUCGAGGAGCAUGCCAGAUGAUAAAACUAAGGAAAAAUGCAUGAUAUGUAGUGAACAGGCAAACAAUGCAUUAAUGAAAAACAAAGGAAAAAUCCUAUUGGGUCUAGCGUUGGACUAGCCCUUUCUAUGAAUUCCUAAUGAAAUAAUGAGCCACAACUAGCAUUGAACUAGCGUGGUGACGUACAUUCAUCCAUUCCAUUCAUUCAUGGUUAUGAAAGCAAGUAGACAUGCCAAAACGCUCGUAAACACGUAGCACGUAGCACUUAGCAUGCUCGACUAGAUGCAAGAGCCUAUUAAAGCAAUUAAACAUGUAGCAACAAAAACAAGCAACCAAGGGGAAGGGGAAAUGGACCAGAUGCUCUACGAGCCCUAUCUAUUACAAGCCAAGAGGUGUACACAUACCCCAUAAAAACAUAAAGGGAAAGGGGAAAUGGACCAGAUGCUCUCCGAGCCCUAUCUAUUACAAGCCAAGAGGUGUACACAUACCCCAUAAAACUUAAAUAAAAGUGAAAGCAAGUAAAUGCACGCAAGGAGGUAAGGAAAGCGGAGUAGACAUGCAUAUUCACAUAACACGUAGGAUCACAUAGGAGAAAUGAAAUUCAAGGAGAUAGAGGUUACCUCCCUUGCAAUUGGGCCCCAAUGAAGUGAAAUCACUUAUUUAUCCUCCAAAAUAAAAGAAAUGGUCAAGGUACCAAUUUAUUUGAGAAAAUUAAAGAAAAUAGGCAAACACAAGCUCACUUGGUCAUAAAGCCCCUAAAGUCAUGAAUUAAAUGCAAUUGAAACAAAGCAUGGUAGUUAAUUGAAGCAAACAAGCAAUGAAGUUGCAAAAAUUAAAAUUAUCAAGGAUCAAUUUGAUGAAAUUCUUUAAUUGAUUGGGUCCUAGUGGAACAAGGAGAGACUUGGGGGCCAAAGUGUAAAAUCUGGAGAUUAUUCAUGCAAAUGCAUGCAAACCAUCGUGAAAGAACAUUCUUCAACAAAGCAAACGAAAUUGCUGCACCUUUGUUCCACUUUCAAACACUAAACCCGGAUUUGAUCUCAUACCUUAACCCAAGGCUUUCUUGAUUCAACAUCAAAUUUUGAACCAAACAACACAAAACAUGAACUUGACAUCCGAACUAGCAAAAUCAUAGGAGGAAAUCAUGCAAACAUAGAAAAAAACUUCAAGCAAGAAUGCAUGAAGAAGCUUUCUGCCGGCGAAAGUUUGAUGCCUCUCCAUUUACAAAUGCAUAUUUAUGGUCCGAAAGCAUGGCUCCAAUCUAGACAUCUUUACCAGAAAUCAAAAUCCUAAACUAAACAACCAAAAACCAAUGUUUACUUUACUGAAAACAACAAGGAAAACUGAACAUAGAAUCAGUAAAAACUUGAAGCAGUGAAUACUUAGCAAAGUUGGUGCUAUGGCCUGUUAUUAUGCCAUGUUUUGCUGCAACAAAAUGCAGCAAACGCACACAGUGGCAUCACUUUCCAACAACCCACAGAUUUGAAGACAAAUUUAGCUAACAAAACUUUAGUCAUCAGCAAAAAAACAACUCUGCCAACAUUGCUGCAAUAAAACAGAACUUAAGACCUGUUGCAGCAAACUUUCAUGCACUCGAGAUGUCGAUAAACGUUUCAAACUUAAAACCAACCUCAAAUUCCUACCCAAAUUGUAAUUCCAAAUACUCCCUCACGCAUACAAAAUCACACACCGAAUGCAAAACUAACGGCAGCUAUCAUGCCAAUGGGUUGUUAUGUAACAGCUUUAGAAGCAGAGCUGACAACUUCAUGAGCAGCAAAACUGUAGCACAGCAAAUAAAUAAAAAAACUCUCCAGCUAACAUAGGAAUUCACGGUCUUGGGCAACAAGGGAGGAGACUUCAAGGCACAAGGGACAGAUUUAAAUCAUUACAAGAAGAAAACAAGCAAGGGAACAAACGAGAAUGUGAGCCGACAGUUAACAAAAAAAUGUCUGCAGCAUUUGAGUUUCCUUUUGCUGCAAUUCUUUGCUAUCCAAACACUACUAACAGCUCAACUAACAACAACUAGGAGCAAAGUAACAAGUUCACAAGCAUGUUUUCCAUUUUUCACCAUACAAAUUUAGGUUUAGAUACCAGAAGUUCAUGCAAUUACAGGGAAUCAACAUUCUGCAAUUUUUAGUUCUUUCUUCAAACUUCAUCAUUCAACCAGGACAUCUAUAUGAAACAAAUCAAGCGAGCCCUAUUGAUGUCCUUAACCAAACCCAGAUGCUAUCCCCUCAAAACCCACGGCAGACAUGCUCUGAGAGCUUAAACAGAACCGAGAAUUUUUAAAAGAAAAGGACAGCUUACCUGCGCCUGCUUCGUGAAAUUAUUUUCAGGCAGUGGUGGGAAGUUCUAGUGAUGGUAGCGGACUGGUGGUGGCUUUUCUUCCUCCUUGAUGUGGUGGUCCUUGGAGGACCUCUUGGGAGGCAGUUGACCGCUCGUUGGUCACGCUAGAGAAGAAAAGGUGGCUGCUGUCUGGUGACCUCGAUGGAAGUUGCGUGCGGUGGUGGCGAUGACAGAACUUGGAGGUGGUCAUUUGUAGGCGGUGGUUAUGGAGGUUUGUGGUGGCUUGGGCUGAUAGCAUGAAAAGGAGUCUGGGCAGGCAACGGAUGGAGUUGAGAUGGCUGCUGUGGUGGUUGCAAGUUUUUCUCCUCGCCGAUCAUUGAAACCGAAACCUCCCCCCCCCCUCUGUUUUCUUUUCUGCGUUUUUUCCUCUUGCCCAGCCACCAGCUAGCUUCCCUUUGCUAUUUUCUCUUUUUCCCUUUCCCGUUCAACUCUCCGUUUCUAAACCCUCACAGCCAUCAACUCUACUCAGUCCUUCCUUUGCUUCUUUUCCCUCUUACUUCACAAAGCUUCUGGCUCACUUCCUGCCGUCACCAUCAAUCUUUCCUCUCUUUUCACUCUCGGCUCUUUUUCUUUCUUUUCCUUUUUGCUUGUGUUUCUAUCCCCCGUUGGUUCCCCUUAAAACCUCUGUUGCGGCUACCUUUCUUUUUGCUAUAUAUCAGACCCCCAAACCCUAAAAACCUCUAGUCCUUUUCCUGUAUUUGCAGCUUUGGGAGCCGUCCCAGAUUUCCUUUGCAAGCUGCGUAAAACGCAGCUUGCUGCCGCGUAUCAUUUUUUUUUUUUUUUUUUGAACUUAAUAACUUAAUAAAUACAGAAAUGAUAUAAAUAAUAAUAAUAAUAACAAAUUGCCAAAACCAGGUAAUAAUAAUAAUAAUAAUAAUGAAAAUAAUUUAAAAACUAAACAACUAAAAACAACAAAAAUGGCCACUUUUCCAUCUUUUUGUUUCAUUUUUCAUUUUUCAUCAUUUUCUUUUUCUCAAAAUAACUUAAUAAAAAUAACUAAAGUGCAAAAAGGUUGCAUUUAAAGAAAUAAAUAUAUUUUUGUGAACAAAUUUCCUUUUUCCCUUUUUUUUAUUUUCAUUUUCAUUUUUCUUUCAAGAAAGCAUUGAAUAAAAACAAAAUGACUAAAACAUAUUUUUUUGAAUGCUUUUCUUUUUCUCUUUUUUCUUUUUCAACAAAUUCUAUGAUAAAACUUAAAAAUAAAAAUAAAACUGGAAACUAAAAACUAAAAAUGAACACGACAAAUAAAAACUAAAAAAUGAAAUUACACCAAAAAUUUGGUGUCUACAGUUUGCCCCUCUUUGUCUGAGUUUUGAAAAAAUUUGAGACAAAGAAGUAGACACCAAAUACUUACCAGUGUUAUUCGGUUGCAAAAAUGAUCUGAACGGACAGGAAUUCUAAAAUGGGACUGACCCGAACAUGAAUUUAAAAUUGGGGAUAGACCCACGGGAUAGACCCGGACAGAAAUGUAAAAUUGGGAUAGACCCACGGGAUAGACCCGGACAGAAAUUUAAAAUUGGGAUAGACCCACGGGAUAGACCCGGACAGAAAUGUAAAAUUGGGAUAGACCCACGGGAUAGACCCGGACAGAAAUUGUUGUUUAGUUUAGGAUUUUGAUUUCUGGUAAAGAUGUCUAGAUUGGAGCCAUGCUUUCGGACCAUAAAUAUGCAUUUGUAAAUGGAGAGGCAUCAAACUUUCGCCGGCAGAAAGCUUCUUCAUGCAUUCUUGCUUGAAGUUUUUUUCUAUGUUUGCAUGAUUUCCUCCUAUGAUUUUGCUAGUUCGGAUGUCAAGUUCAUGUUUUGUGUUGUUUGGUUCAAAAUUUGAUGUUGAAUCAAGAAAGCCUUGGGUUAAGGUAUGAGAUCAAAUCCGGGUUUAGUGUUUGAAAGUGGAACAAAGGUGCAGCAAUUUCGUUUGCUUUGUUGAAGAAUGUUCUUUCACGAUGGUUUGCAUGCAUUUGCAUGAAUAAUCUCCAGAUUUUACACUUUGGCCCCCAAGUCUCUCCUUGUUCCACUAGGACCCAAUCAAUUAAAGAAUUUCAUCAAAUUGGUCCUUGAUAAUUUUAAUUUUUGCAACUUCAUUGCUUGUUUGCUUCAAUUAACUACCAUGCUUUGUUUCAAUUGCAUUUAAUUCAUGACUUUAGGGGCUUUAUGACCAAGUGAGCUUGUGUUUGCCUAUUUUCUUUAAUUUUCUCAAAUAAAUUGGUACCUUGACCAUUUCUUUUAUUUUGGAGGAUAAAUAAGUGAUUUCACUUCAUUGGGGCCCAAUUGCAAGGGAGGUAACCUCUAUCUCCUUGAAUUUCAUUUCUCCUAUGUGAUCCUACGUGUUAUGUGAAUAUGCAUGUCUACUCCGCUUUCCUUACCUCCUUGCGUGCAUUUACUUGCUUUCACUUUUAUUUAAGUUUUAUGGGGUAUGUGUACACCUCUUGGCUUGUAAUAGAUAGGGCUCGGAGAGCAUCUGGUCCAUUUCCCCUUUCCCUUUAUGUUUUUAUGGGGUAUGUGUACACCUCUUGGCUUGUAAUAGAUAGGGCUCGUAGAGCAUCUGGUCCAUUUCCCCUUCCCCUUGGUUGCUUGUUUUUGUUGCUACAUGUUUAAUUGCUUUAAUAGGCUCUUGCAUCUAGUCGAGCAUGCUAAGUGCUACGUGCUACGUGUUUACGAGCGUUUUGGCAUGUCUACUUGCUUUCAUAACCAUGAAUGAAUGGAAUGGAUGAAUGUACGUCACCACGCUAGUUCAAUGCUAGUUGUGGCUCAUUAUUUCAUUAGGAAUUCAUAGAAAGGGCUAGUCCAACGCUAGACCCAAUAGGAUUUUUCCUUUGUUUUUCAUUAAUGCAUUGUUUGCCUGUUCACUACAUAUCAUGCAUUUUUCCUUAGUUUUAUCAUCUGGCAUGCUCCUCGAUUCCCCUUGCCCCUCACUUUAGGUCUUGCAUCUCAUGCUAGUUAGGGUACAUUUGCCUGAAGAGUCCCCUUCUGAUAAGGGAAACGAGCGAGUGUGGCUACUCGAUAGCCUUAGCACGCUAGUUCCCCCUUCUAUCAAAGGAAAAAUCAAGUCACAAAGUUAGGACUCCCCGUUCCCGUUUUGAUGCAUUCCUAUAGGAUUCACGCAUUUCAUUCAUUCACUAUCACUUACUGUAUAUUCCAUUCCUCUUUCUAUAUUCUCACUUCACACUACUUUCAUUUUACACGUUUUUAUUCAACUACUUACACUCUAUACCAUAUCACUCGCACACAUGCACUUAAUGGCGUUUUCACCUUAUUAUUCUUCACUUACCUUACCUUGUAAAGACAUUUGCACACAUCCACUUAUAUCUUAUUACUUUUAUCAUUUUCUCACUUCACACAAACUCACACUUUCACAUGGCAUGCAUUCCACUCAUUUUUCACGUCAUUUAGGUUUAGGUGUGACCUCUCCAAAAGGAUCAUUAUUGGGCUUCACAAUUAAUGUGAUUGGCACCACCCAACCUUUGAAGAGAAAUUUCCCCCAAUCCCCCUAGGUCUAGGUUUUUGCAUCCAUAUAGACAUAUCCAAUACGCGAUACAUACCUUGGGUAGAAAAACUAGGAAAAAUUGGUUUGAGUCGCGCAACUAGCCUUGGCUAGGUCAAAGGGGUGCCUUGGAUUCUAUCCUUGCCUUCCCUUUUGUCAAACGUGACCCCCGAACCUUUUUCUUUGGCUUACGUGGACUAGGAGUCGUUUUAAAAGGGGUUUUACUACUUUGUCUUUAAAAAACACUUUUUGGGUGACUUGGUACACCCCAAAUCUAUACCAAGUGGCGACUCCGUUUUCAUAUUUAAAAAACCCUUUUUAAAAUUUCAUUUGGCCAAAUCGUCGCUUUCCAAAGUCCCAUGGCCUUUUUACUUUUCAUUUUGCACACGUUCACACCGCAUUACACACCACACAUCACACAUCCACACAAUCGAAAAGUGGGGCGCGACAGUUGGCGACUCCACUGGGGACUUCCUAAGUGGGUCCGAGCAUUUGACUUGGCCAUUCUUUUCCUUUUUCUACCCUUUUUUAUGCAUUGCAUUUGGAUAUUAGGGUUGCACUUUCCAUUUUUAGGGCCUUUUGCCUCGUGCGCGUAUCCAACUAUUCCCUCACUCACGUACGUGUGAUUGGUUGAUUGGAUGUAUGUUUACUUAUUUAUCUCGCGCUUGCAUUGCAUUUUGCACACGUUCACACCGCAUUACACACCACACAUCACACAUCCACACAAUCGAAAAGUGGGGCGCGACAGCCAACCAGCAGCACGCCGCCACAUCUCUCUCCAUCUCGCCGCCGCCAACCAGCCAUAUACCUCCUCGUGCGAGCUCCACCUGCUCGCAACUCCCCUCACCAGCUUUCUCUUCGCCAUCGAUCCAUCGCGGCCACGAGGAGCUUUGCCGCCGCCGCUGCUCAACGCCUCCACCGCGAGCUACCGCCAGCAGCACCAUAGGCAGCACCCACCUCGUGUCUCCGCCAGCGACGACCAGCUCGUGCGCCGCCGCCGCUCACCAACCACGCGCAGGCCACCUCGCAGCUCUCUCUUCAGCCGCGACCCCUCCGCACGCCACGCAGCUCCGACCGCGCGCUCCACCAGCUCUCCUUCACUGUCGCGCGCUUUGCCCGAGCCGACGCCGUCGCUGCUGUAGUCGCGCGCCGCCGCCCGUGCCCACGCGUAGUCGCGCUCCCUCGCAGCUCCAGCCCAAGGACGCCGCCUUUCCCCCGCGUCCUACACAGCGCCUCUUUUUCUUAGCCACUACUGCCCCAGUUUCUUCAUUCGGCCACUGGGAGAGGUAUUUGCUACUAAAUCCCCAAUUUUUGGUUUGUAUUGGAUUCACUUGAGGGUUUGUCAGUAGAGUGAAGUGGCAAUUGGAUUUUCUGCCUUAACCGUGCGGUGCACCAGUGCUAGCAAUUGUGCUAUUUUCCGUCGUAUUGUUGUGCUAUUUUGCUAUACCUGUGGUACUGGUGGAGUAACUGGACCUUGAUUUGGUACCUCUAUCUGGUUGACUGCGUUUGUAGUGUCAAAUAUCUAAGCCGUUUUCAUUGAAAUUGUUGAUUUUGAAUUAAGAUUUUAACUGGCCAACUGGAGCCAUUUGUUGAAAUUUUGGGUAAGCUGAAAUAUUGCACUUGUUUGUUAAAUUGGGAAGUUUCUAUGCUAUUUACAUUGCUUCCUCCAGUUGGGUGCAUCUAAUUGAAUUGCUGAGAAAUAUUCUGACCAUUGCUUUCAACUACUAAGUUCGUUGAGGUUUCUUUUAGGAUUCUGGUUGAGUUAUUUCUAAUAUUGCCUAUUGAAUCAGGAGCUUGUGCUGCUUAAUUUGCCCCGUUAGGAGCUGGUUUGCUUGUUAGAAUUUUCUGUGACGGUUAACUAACGUGUUCAUCUUAGUGACUUCAACUAUUUCGUUGGGUGGAAGUGAAUUCUGUGCUUUGAACCAUUAGGUCGUUGAGAUAAUUUCACUUGUUUUUGUGGGUAGAUGCCUGAUUGCCAGUUGAGGGUAUAUAUUGAGUCGUUAUUGCCGAAUCACUGCACUACUGUUGCCUGACUUGUUGACUUGUUGACUGCUGGGGGCAAUUGUUGAGCUUUUGGGUGCAAUUGUUGAAGUUCUUGGGUGGGCUGGAAUUUUAACAAUUGUCUGUGAUAUUUUGGGAAGAAUCUCGGCCAGUGUUGUGCUUGUUGAAAUUUUGGUUGAUUUAAUUCGGCAACUGCAUUCCUUGUUGGCAUUAGUAGUUUUUAAUCGAGUUUUUGAGGACAUUUUGGAUGUUGGUUUAUAUUGCUGAUUUGGAGGAACAGUGUCUGUGAUUUUGGUCUGAUCAUUUGUGCAAUUUGUUGACUCAUUUUGUGACGACCCCAUCUCCCCCUAAGGCGAACCAGAGGGUUCGGCGGCCGCCUGCCCGGCUCUCGCCGGGACUCAGUCGUUCACUAAAGUUCUCAAAUGAAUUACAAGAAUAAACCUCAAAUAUACAUCACAUUGUCCACAAAUAUACAUUCAAAUCUCCAAUAAUUACAUGUCACAAAUGCAGCGGAAACAAUUCCCAACUAUACAUAAAAUGAUUCCAAAUCCAAAUUGUACAACAUAAAGGCCAUCCAUUCACGUGAAUAAGCACAACAAGUCCUGCCUUUGCCUUGAGCCCUGUGGAGGGGAAUAAAAUAUUUUUGGGGUGAGCUAGAAACUCAGCGAGUAACCAGAAAAUCAGUAAUCAAAUCGAUUUAACAAUAUUUCUUUUCAAUGAUGUCAUAAAUCAAUGAUGUCAUAAAUCAAAUGAUAAGUCCAGAAACGAUUACAGCAUUUACAAAACAUUAAAUAUGGAGUAUCAAUAAUUCAAGAAACAUGUACAAUGGAAAGCGAUAGUAACAUUCAUGAAAAGGAUACGUUCAUUUUUUAUAAAUAAUCCCUCGUUCAUCUUUUUAUUCGUUCAUCUUUUUUUUUUUCCGGACGUUGGCCGGUCUCCACCCAUCCGGACGUAGCCGGACUCCACCCAUCCGGACGUAGCCGGACUACAAGGUAAUACUCGAGUAUACCAAAUUCACCCAGGGUCACCAUAUCGCCCGACCGAGUCCGCUUCUGGCUCGAGUCGAUCGGUAACGAAGGGCAGUGCCCAGUUCAGCCAAACGGCUUACAUUCAUGCGCAACUAGCAUUUAAUCAUUAAUCAUUGAAAAUUUCAUAUUUAUUUAGGUCGAGUGCGAUAAAGUACACACUCGCCUAGAAAACUCGUUUUAACAAUCAUUGAAAGCACUUAACACAUUAUCAAUCAAUAAUAACAAGCCAAUAAAUCAAGGAAUACAGCCAACAAGGAACACUCAUAUGCAAGCACGCAUGAUAUGCAAGAAAACAGUUCAAAAGUAACUUUGGAAACAGUUUAAAGGUAAAUAAUGUAAGAAAACGGUUCGAAAGUAACUUUGGAAACAAUUCAAAAGUAAAUAAUGCAGCAAACGAUUCAUAAAUAACUUUAGAAAUAGUUUGAGGUCACUCACCUCAAUGGCUCAGAAAUCAUCAUCAUAUAACAUUGCCUUGCUCAAACCCAAGUCUUAGAUCACAAACUCAAUGCAAUCAAGUCCUUUCAAAGUUCGGACAGCACUUCCCCUGAAUAUGCUUACUUUUCCAGCCAUCAUGGCUUCAUUAUAUCUUCAGCCAGUCCCAAAGGUACACACACAACAACAAGUUCAUACAAUAGCCAUUCAGCAAGCUCCAAGUAGUACUAGUACAAGUCAAGCUAGGGAAAAGUCCGGAAAUGAAAGUUUAGCUCAAAACCAGAAAAAAUAUUUUGACGUCAUUUUGCGGUAAUGGUACCAAAGGCACUACGAUUGUCGGAUGAAGGUACAAGAUACACCGUUUCGAAGCUAAGAGAUAGGACUACAAUAUUGAAGAAGGUCACUCAACCCAGUUUCGAGUGUAACCAGGUCAAAAAUGCAAGAUACUACACCAGGAAUCACAAAAACAGAUUCACAGAACGUAUUCUAGCGGAAACAUCAUAAAUCAGGCUAUCCAACUCCAAAUCCAGAAAUUCCAAAACCAGCUGAAAGGUAAGAAACAGGGCUAAAUUUCAUCAGAAGGCCUCAACAACCAAUUCGGAAGCAAUUCCAGCCAAAACAACCAAUUACAGUCGCAAAUCCCAAUUUCGGGUAAACCAGAACAGCAAUAGUAAUUUUGACUUUUCUCACUCUACGCUACUCCGAUUGACCUGAAAUUUUGUAAGCACCUUUAAAAUGUCAUUCCCUACAACUUUCAUGUUUUAAGAAAAUGCCAAUUCGGCCUCUAUCUAGGACCUAAAAAUUCGGACAGAAUGCUCCUUCACAAAACCUGAUUUUCUGAAAUUUCUUCCAAAACAGAAAUUGAUUGCAAUUAAUCACUUUUUCCACCUCAUAGAGUCCUUAAAUAUCAUUUCCAAUCAUCAUACAUGACCCCAUAAUCAUAUUCAUAUGAAAACAGAAAAAUCCCCAAUAAUUAUAAAACUUCAUCAAUUCAACCAAAACUCAAGAAAUAAUCCAUAAAACCAUCUCUUUAGCCAUCACAAGUCUCUAAUUUAGCAUAAUCAAGAACAAAGAAAGGAUGGCUAGACAUGAUACCUUCAAAUAUCAAGAAAGGUGAUGACUUAGGGAUUUUUCUUCCAAAACAACUCCACCAAGAGCUUCAAUCUUCCUUAGCUAGCAAGUUUUAUGGAGUGAUUUGCAAUUUAAUCGGUUGGAACUCAAGAUUUGGACAAGAAAUUGAAGUGCAAGAUGAUGGAUUUUCUCUCUCUUUUUCUCUCAAAAUUUCGUCCAAGACAAGCUAAAAUGGAGAGAAAUUGGGUCCAAAUUGGUUUUAGUAAAGUUAGAAAAGUCUUGGUCAAAAGUCAAGGUCCAAUGGUUUUGUGACAAAUGGUCCUUUAGGGUUUUAAUCUUAUCUUUUUGUCUCUCCAAUACAAAUAUCUUAACACAUUGUAAAAUAAUAUCACUUAAUACAAAAUUCCAACAAGUUGUCAAAAAUAUAAUGCAUUUACCGCACUUGCGGGUCCCACGUCCAAAAUAGGCUUUUAAUUUCUCAAAAACUAACCGAUACUAGAAAAAUUAUUUUAAAACUAUUUUUGCUCAUAAACUUUAUCUGGGGAAUUUUUCUAAUCAAGAAAAUGUAGAAAAGGCGGGCGUUUAAAAAAUAAACCCUAGAGAAUUAGAAAAUUUCCGGGUUCUCAAACUCUUUUUUUUCGGGGCGUCACACAUUUGCGGACUUAUUUGUUUCUUGGGUUUGUUUAUUGACUUCGGUGGACUGGGUUCCCACCUACGGUUCCUCUACUUGCUCUAUUCAUUGGAAUUCUAGUCGCCUAUUGCUCUUCUUUAGAGGUUUAGAAUCUUUCUUGUGACUAGAUUAAUACUUGGGGCUAUUGCUUUAAUACUGCUCUACUCUACUAUAGCAAUUUCAUUGAUUUUGGACUAUGUUUUGCACUAAUGAUACUGGUUGGAAUAUUUCCCCUUGCAUGUGUCAGUUCUACUUGGUUGGAUACUUGAUUGACUGCUGGGCAUGUGUGACUGGGUUGUUCUUGUGCAAUUGGAGAUAUUUAGAGGGAUUUUGGGUGGGCAAGUUGUGUCGCUCUCUAUUGAUAUUUGGGAGGCACCGGUGGCUAUUAAAUUGUUAUUGCUUUGAAUUUUCUGUUUACAUUAUCUGUGGGCAAUUUUGUCUCUUGUUGAUUGAAAUGACAUUUGGAGAAAAUGGUAAGACCCGAGCCCUCUUCUUCUGCGCCUCCCCCACCGAUGGCCUCUGAUGUUAAGUCGCACCACUUGCGAGCUCAGAUUCAUCACGUAGUUGAGAGAGUGACGAACAUCACCCGCCAAGUGGCAAGGAUGUCUCAGAACUCGGCUUCCCUCCACUGUUCCCUCCUAUCCCUUAGCUGUUCAACAGGGAAGUUUCAUUGUUCUCUUCGCUUUAAUUACUUUAUUACCUCCAUUGAGGACAAUGUAGGAUUUAGGUGUAGGGGGAGCAGUUAUGGUGCUAGUGUCUUUCGUUCAUUUUCUUUUUCUUUUUUUUAGUGAUUAGCUCGUAUGGGAUGCCAAGUUUGAUGUUGGAUUAUUGCCUCUAUUUCUACUUUUGCCAAGUUUUAGUAAUAAAAGGGUAUCAAGUUAAUGUGGUUGAGUUCAGGAAUAUCCCUUUGGUGAAUAUCAGUAAUUGAUUGACUUUUCUAAUUUUUGGUUAACUUUUCUAGACAUAGGGAAUGAUUGUUGGCAUUUUCAUGUGAAUUGGUCCGAUUAUUAACCUUAGUUCUCCAUAUUUGAAAAUGAGGCUAGCUGAUGCAAGUUUUCUUUUGGUUCUUGUGUUAUAGUGAGUUCUUGUGAAUUUUAGCUAUGAAUAAACUUGACUGUACUCCGCUAUUAGUUACUACUGAGUAACCGGGGAUCUGCACCUAAAAGUGUUGAUUCUCGCGUCAAAAGGUAGUAAUUCCUAUGAGUACGUGGUCACAUGGCGAUAAAAGCUGAGUAACCGGGCUCCUUCAUCUGGCCAAUGUUGGAGUUCGCGUCAAAAGGCUCUAAUGGCUAACGACUAAGUCUUUUGUUACUAUUUAGAAAAGAAAAAAAAAAGAGAAAAGUAGAAAAAUGUGAAAAAAAAAAAGUGAAUGUUGUGUUAGUGUACAAUAAAAGUCAGCUUGUCGAUUUAUGGAUUUAAUGUUGAGAUUUUGGUUAAUAGUUGGACCAUUUGCUGAUAAAUGUUGCGCGUCAUUCCUUUUUCUUAGAUUAGUUAACCUGGAAUUAGAGGAGUUUGUGGUUUAGAAGCUAACCGGAGUGAUGUUUCUUGGACUUGACCAUUGAUGUUUGAUUAUUAUUUUUCUUGGUAUCUUGGCAAUUUGUUGGAUAGAGCAAUAGUCAUUGUCAAAUAUUGGUGUUUGUUUACUGUUCUUAUGCUUGAGGGCAAGCAUGAUUUAGGUGUGGGGGGAAUUGAUAGGUUACAAUUUUAUCAUUUAUUUUAUUAUUAAUUUUCCCUAUUACCUGACCUGAUGUGAAUUAAUUAUUAGAUUCUACUCACUUUUCGUAAUUUACAUUUAUUUCAGGGAGUAGAACAAAAAUAUCACAAUCAAGACCAAUUUGACAGUUAUCGAAAAAGAGUUCAAAUAGCAGACAAUCAAGAGCAUUCUUGAAACAAGGAGAUGCGACCCUUUCUGGUAAUUUGUGAAAGACAGCAUAAAAGGAGAAGGAGGAACACAGGACUAGGCGUUCUUUCCCUUGGGGGGCUAGAGCCACCGCACAGAGCCAGGCAUUAGAAUAGGACUUUUGAUAGAGGGAGGAGUAGAGGAUUUUUCCUCCUGAAGCUUAGUUUUCCUUUGACUUUUCCAUCGUAGCUUUUGAGGGGUGUAUACACGUCUAUUGUGUCAGCACCUAAAUUGCAUGGCGUGUAUGGCACUAAAUUUCCAGUUCACCUUUCCUACUUAAUGCCUUGCUGAGGCCUCUACUCUGAUUGAGAAACCUUAUAACUGCUGGGGCCUUCUAUUGUGCAAAAAAUCUCAACAAAAUAAUGGUCUGACCCAAGAAGCACAAGAAAGUAUUGUCCUUAACAAUUAGAAUGUCAAAGAAAAAAAAGAGGGAAAUUGACAAUGAUGUUAUGAUUUUAGCUACAUUAUUCAUCUCAUUUUUCUAGUUCCGGAGAAACAAAAUAAAAAGAUUUCACUAAGUUUGCCUUUUGUAAUGUACCGCGCUGGGCUUUGUCCCCCCCCUUAAUAGAAGUUAGAAAUUCGGCUUUUAUAAAUCUAACUUCCAGAAAAAACUUCAAAAACCCGCAACUUUCUGGGGACUUAUAAACCCAAACCCAACGCUUCCCCAGAACCGAUGUGGGAUGGCAACCCCACAAGGGCAAGCCAGUCAAAUGCCCCAUUUUUUGCUAGAAUCUGGGGUUCGUUAAGUUGUCCAUUUCCCUGGAAUUACUUAUUUUGCUUCUCGUUUGGUUCUAUUAUACUAUACAGAAUUAUAUGUAUAUAACGUGGAUUGUCAUCUUAAGAAUCAAGAUUGCCAAUCUGAUCACGUAAAUUGGCCAGAAAUUGGUUGGAAUUCUUUGCAUUUUUCACUUGUGGAAAUAGUUAAAAGAACAGUCACUAAUAUACCUGCAAGUUUUCCAUCACCUCAAACUUUCAUAAAUUUAACAACUCACUAGAAAAAUGCACUAAUAGAUUAUACAAUAAAGAAGAUAGCGAAAGCGUGCCAGCAUAGAAAAGUAGAGCGCGAUUAAUAUUUUUCUAAAUUAUUAAUUAAUUUGAGUCUCUGGAUUUCAAGAAGUCUAAUAAUCAUAUUUAGUACAUUAGCAACAAAAGGAAGAUAAAUGAAAUUGGGCCAAAAACAGUCUGGGCCAACUAGUACAUUUUCCGUUUAUGGGCAAUCAGAUGAAAAGCUAGUGGAGCAUGUGUUUAAGAGUAAAAUGCAGUUUUGGUAUUCAAAUUUUGACUCUUGAACAAUUUUUUUAGUAUCUAAACUUUAAACUUUGAAUGAAAACAAAUUCGAUAUGCACUUGACGGAUUUUUUGUCCAAUUUUCACUAGAAAAAAAAAAUCCCAUGUUGUCAUGUGUCUGGCAACAAAAUUGUUAAAAGAAUUCCAAAAGAAUUGAUGAUGGCCAGGCUAAGGAAUACUAGAACAUGGGUCAUCAUUUUAAAAGAAAUAAAUUAAUCUAAACAAAUAAUUAAUCGAGCUAAUCAUAAUACGCUCAAAACUUCCCUCUUUUCUCCUCUCCUUUUUCAUACCUUUCAUAAACAAACACCUUAAAAAAUAACUAUUCAACUAUUUGUCACAGUAAAUAUAAAAAGUACUGGAGCAUAUAUCCGAGAUUUAUAAAACAUUUGUAUGUACUAUUUUUUUUUUUUUUUGGUCGACACAGGGGUGUCCGGAUCAAUCCUUACGGGGCCCGACUAAUCCAUUUGUCGACUACGUAUGUACUACAUAUGUAGAUUUUAGAACUUUGUCAUACCAUUGUAUGACGACUCAAGUGAUAUUAACAGCUGGGUCAAUUUGAAGUUGUCAACAAAAGCUACAAGUGAUUAAUGGACUAAUAAGUCUAAUUUUAAGCACAAGAACCACCUUCUAGAAACUUAUCUAUUUUCUUUAUUUAUUGAUAGAAAGAUAGGCAAAUUUUAUUAAUAGCAUACUAAAUCUGCUUCAAGAACAACAAAAACAAAAAUAAUAAAAUAAGGUGCAUUACACGUGUCGACAUUGAAGUAAAAUUUCUCCUUUCAAUUUUAAAAUAAUACUACUUAUCAUCUUACUUAUAACUUACAUACUAAUAUGUGAUGAAAAAGGAAAGGGAAAAUGGCAGUCAUAAUUGCAGCUCAGGCAACCUUUUUUUUUUUUUUUUUUUUUAAUCUAAUUUGCUAAUUCUUGGGACAUAAGGAUAGAACUGACUUCAUCUAAAUAAUAAUAAUUCCUUGACAAACUUGAAUGCUAUUAAUUGCCAUAGAAGAUGCUUGGCAAUUUCACUAUUUGGCCUUUCUUAAUCAAUCCAUGAGGCUUACAUCUUGGACAAAACUUGGACGCUUUCUCAAGAAUGACAGAUAGCUGCGUUCAACUGCCAAAAUGUAAAUGAGAAGGGAAAUGAUAAUCAUAGGUGGUGACAUGGGCAACAUCAAUCAUGUCAUCUGUUAAUCCAGAAAUAAAUUUGAAAAGAAUAAAAGAUAGGAGUUUAUUUGGAUGAUUUAUUUGAAAUAAUUACUGUAGCACUUUUUGUGAUGUGAUAUAUGUGAGAUAAAAAGGUGAUUGGAAAAAUAAAAAGGCAAUUGAAAUUUGUGAAGCAAAUUAUUUUAUCUGAAAUCAAGGCAAUCCAAACAAGACGAAUAAAUUGGCCUUACUAACUAUCCUUGGGAAUUAGACUAACAGCAUAACUGGAGUAAUAUUUGUUUGCUUAAAAACUUAUUUGGAUGUUUUGAAAUGGCUGUGGUUGUUUGACAAAUUUGGAUGCUUUUGUAUUGGCAUUUUUACUUAACUUUCUCAACUAUUUUGAUUGUGGACAAUAUCUCAAUGGUUGUUGUAUUUAUGAAGGAGAAUAAUUUAUGUCUAAGAUAAAAUUGAACUCGGAAUCCUUUACUUACAACACCUCCCACCUUAUCGCCCACACCCAAACCUCUCCAACUUGAAUCAUAAUUUGGUCUUAAUCACUUAUCCUCAAGAAUUAGAAUUAGAAUGCGCAUCUUAUUUUGUUUGGUUCCCUCAAGUGGCAGAGCAAGAAUUUUUAUCGGAUCAAUUAAUGGUCAGUUUUUGACUAAUGAAAAUAUUCUAAAUAAGAUUGUGAAAUCAAUUAAUUUCAUAUACAAUCCAAAUAAGAUUAUGAACUCCUUGUUUGUUUAAUUAAUUUCAUGUGCUAACGAUUGUACUUGCCAAAUAAUUGACGGUGACUUUAAUAAAAUUUCUUUGUUAGGGGUCAAAGUUCUUCCUUUCAGCACUAACUGUGUUACAUUCUGAUAUAUAGUCCAUGUUCUACCCAUCUCAAACUUUCUAUAUUAUUUCUAGGUCCGAGACAAAUAUUUUUUGUUUUUGAAAGAAAAAGUUUGAAUGAUUUCGACCCUAGUUAUCACCAUGGUAAAAUACGGUAUACUUUUAUAUUUAUUUAUUCAAAAAACAGAGGUCCGACUAAGAAUCCGGCUAACUGACAAGAAAAAAGCAGUGUCAAUCGAUUGAUUUUGGCCCAAGGAAAGUACUUAGCAGUUGAAUAUUCUCACUCAGUAAAAUGGUCAGAUCCUUGAGAAUCUCAAAGUAGAAGCAAUGAUUCUAUUCCUUAAACCUGAAACAAUUUUCCGUGCUUAGACAUACUUUGGAAUAAAGCAUCAUUUCUUUUAUGAAAAAAAAGACAAUCUUGUAUAUUUGGUUAUUUGACACAAGACGUCAAUACACUUCAAAUGAAACAGUGAAUCCAACAAAUAAGGCAUGACAAGCUGUGAUUAAUGCCAUACAAACGUGAGUUUAUCUUUACGAUUUAUUCAGGAAGUUGCUGUUAGUUUCAUUAAAUUAACAGAGAAGAUAGUGAAGAGUGAAGGGCAGAGCCAUUCCAAAAUGCCAAAGAGGCAGAGAGAUUAUAAAGAUGAUCAACUAACUAAUCAUAAUCAGCCACAUACCCUUCAAGAAGGGCAUCAUACAGGGAGGCUUGAAAACAACUUUUAGUCCAACAUAACGACAUUCAACACAAAUAGCCAAAUAUCUGAGGUUUGAGAAAUGACAGCAAUUGUUGCAGUCAAGCAAUAGCAAUGAAAGGGGGGACUACACAUCCAAAAGAAGGCACAACAAUAUGAUCAGUGUGGAACAAAAUUUGCAUUAUAAACUAAUUCAGAGCCAGCUACAAUGUCACAGAAGAACAGGCAAUAGGCAUGAAACUUCCAAUACAGGGAUAACAACACUUUUUCUGUGUCCUACUUGGUCCGACCAGGGACAAAAGAACAUCUGGCCAAAUUAAAACAGAGAGGUUGGAGCUACAAUCCUUGUGAUUUCAAGACUACUUCAUUAAAAGUAAUGUUCAUUACUACCGGAGAUAGGCUGGAAAAAUUCUUUCAAAUGCAGUUCAAGAACUAAGUAGAAACUGCUGAAACCAGUCACAUUGCUCGAAAAUUUAAAAAGAACAAAAAAAAAUGAGAAAGAAGAAGGGAAAAAGGAACUGCUUAGAAUCAGAGAGAGAAGAGGGACUUCUGAGAGCAGCACUAAUCGGCGGGGACAACUCUGGCAAGUGGAUGGCAAAGACAGCACUAAUCGGCGAGGACAGCACCAAUCCCUUCCCUUUUGUGUAGAAAUAAGUUCAUCUGAAAGUUUUUAUUAUUUUUAGGUAACUAAUUAUGAUUAUUACUACUACUACUACUUUCUGUACCGAUACAGACAUGAGAUGAUUUACUUAUAUUGGCCGUCAAAGUCUAGAGGCAUAGAAAAGUAGAAAUGCUUUCCUUGUAACAUAUCCUGAGCUAAUGAUAUGAGGCCAAGAUGUGUAAGAUCCAUGUCACAUUAGUGCUUCAUGGAACAAUAUUGACGUACAAGGAGACAAGUUCGCAUAGAAGUAAUUUUACAAAUAGAUGCUAUGUUAAAUGUCAGUUUGAUGAACUAAGGUUGACCUUAUAUGUUCCUAUAUAAUCCUGUUCAAUUGAUUUCCAUAAUUUCAUCUCUCCAACGUUCCCAUCCACCAAGUGGGAUCCUUUCUUGCAUAGAAAUGGGUACCUUAGCAAUUCAGUUUUCUAAAUUGCUCUCGAAUUAACAUAUAUAGAAGGGCUCAACCUGACUGAUUCUUUGUGCUCUGAGUCCUGUCUGAGCUUUACAGAUACAAGGAGCAAUGGAAAAGUAUCAUUGGACACAACCAUGUAGUCAACUGCAAAACACUGAGAAAAAAAUAUGUUGACUGUUGUAGAGCUAAGAUACAACUUCAAGAAGGAUGCAAGCAGCUAUCAGGGUUCAGCUAAUCCACAUCUUUCUGCUGCAAAAUACUGGCUACUUUGAACUACAAGCAGCACGGAAGAUAUGGCAAAUUGAGUUCCAAAAGAAGUAAAAGAGCACCUCAUUAACAUGUUUACAAAUUGCUGAAUCGGUUGGACAGUUUAAAAUCACCAGCCGACAAGGAAGAUCUCAGGCUUUGGCCGUCCAAGGCAGAGAGCAAAAGAGACUCCAUCCUGGAUGUUUUCAUUUGAUCUGAUUGAAACAGGAUCUGGUUCAGCAAAGGAUCAUCGGACUUUUAAUAAUGUACCAAGGAUAGUAAGUAAGAGCUAUGAAGGUUUUGAGCGUAAAAUCACUGCAAAACACAAGAACUCAAGAAACUGGAGACAACACAUAGUUGCAUGACAUUUUUAUUGUAUUUGAAACACUAAAAUAAGAACUUACCAUGACGAGAGGAGCAACCAACAAGUAUAGAAGGUGGGAUGAGCUUAAUAGCCUUCAUCACAGCGGAUGAAACAAUUGCAGCAAGUAGCAGCGGGCAGCAAGUAUGCUUGACAGUCUUGACUAACUGCGGCGAUAUGCUUCAAAACUUGCAGCUUAGACUUGAUUGUGUUAGAAGAUACUCUAACAAGUCCGUGCAGCUUUUUUGCAUGAACAGACAUCUUCUGUCGCUGCUCCAAAAAACAUCUACAUUAGGAGAAGAUUUCUCAAGUUUUAGUUGUAAUAUAAUCAGAAUCAAAGUAUUUAAAAGUAAAAAUUGAGUAGUAAAGAAGAGUAGUAUAUCUGACCUUACCGGACUCUUAGAACCAAAAAUCAGUUUGACAACCAACAGCUUUGGAAACUUCUGAAGUCUUUAUGGCUAGAAAAAGGAAAAGUGAGACAGAAACCCAUCAUCUACGAGAUUAUCGAACAAAUCACUAAUCAAUUGGUUCAAGAAGCUUGAUAAAUGCGCCUUCAAGAGGUGAUUAAACUUUGGAGCAACUAUUUACUCCCUCUGGAAUCAUAAGUUAGGGAGCUGAUCACUUUAGCAAUCACAUCUUACAUCAACAAAAGAAGAUAUAUAAAAUCAACAAAACGAAGCUCCUAGUGCUUAUUUCAUAUUGAUGGGUAACUUGUCGGAAAUGCAAACCAAAAAUUAAUUAAUACCAGCUAUAAAAAUCCAAUCUACGUUCAUCCAGGGGAGAGACCACAAAAAUCUGCUUGCUAAGUGUAGGAGAAAGACGUGCAGCAGAGAAUUGUUGGUUUAAAGUCUUGUAGAAAAGGUUUCUAGAAUUGCUGCAUGUGAUAUCGAAUCUAAAAUGUCCAAUGCAUUUUCAACAGGUGAAACUUCAGAGUGAGCAACCAUUUCAUCCUGGUGAAAUCAUGAGUUUAAAGAGAGUGCGCUGAUGUUAGCAAACACAACGUACAAAGGACAGUAACUGACAUACACGAUAAACAAAACUAAAUGCUCAAUUCCGCCCCACAUUAGUGCAUUUGUUUCAGUGUUAGUUCAUCCAAAACAUGAUUCAGUUAACCCAAGAAAAUCUCAUUCAUUUUCCAUGUUUGAUCUAGUACAGAAACAUGGUAUUGAAUUAAGCCUUCAUUUGCCAUGUUUGAUCUUUGCAUCAGCAGAUAAUAUGUGAUAGAACGUGAGCAAUACCAAUUUAACACUAGAAAUUAACCAAAAAGAUUGUUUAGUUCCAUUAAUUGACAUGAAGCCGUGCAUGGCUUAUUAGUGGUAAAGGUAAAAGAACCUACUCUGUUGUUACUUCAAUUAUCAGUUGAUAUACUCUCAAGGAAAGAGAGGAUUUUCAAAAGUGAAGGCAGUAAUUAAAGAACCUACUCUGUUGUUCCCCGACUGAGCUUUAAGCCUACAGUCACUGCAAAACAGAAAACUCAGAUUCAGGACUUCACAUAGCAAAUCAUAAGGCUAACUGGAAAUUGCAUGACAUUUUUUUUAGUCAAUUAUUCAGAAAGCCAAAUCAAUAUUUGUUUCUGUUGCGCUUUUCUAACCUAAAUCAGUAAGAAUAUAUCAAAUUUUUCUGCUCAGUCUACAAGUACCAGAAGUGCCAUAGAAACUAUAUUAGUUUUGGUUCAAAACACUGAAAAAAGAGUAGCACCUACAAGCGUGAAAGGCAGAGAGCUCCUGAAUUGCCAUGAAGGCAAACUCUUUGAGACAGCAAGAUGCAACGCGUAGAGCUAAUUAUAACUCUUUUGACUCUUAAAAUCUCAAAUCAUGGCAUUUGAACAUAAACUUCAGAAGGCGAUAGUCUACCAAGCCUCUGCUGCUUGAAGAAGGUCUUAAACAUAACAAUUUUUUAAAGGUUUUAAUUAAUUCAUUGGAUAUUAAACUUCUUAAAACCCAAUAUUAAGCAGUGGAAGAAGAUGAUUGGUAUUAAAAAUUAUCUGACAGUAAGUAAGUAAGAGCCAUGGAUGAGGUUCCCUGUUGAGUUUUGGGCCUAAAAUCGCUGCAAAGCACAAAAAUUCAAACUCAAGCCGGCGAAUAGCAUAGAAUAAAGCAAAUGGAAAUUUUCAGAUAAUUGCAGGUUUUCUGUCAUUGUAACUAAAGCCCCAAAAGGAGAAACUUACCAUUAAAAAAGGAAGCAACCAACAAUCAUAAAAGCAGAGAGAGCUUAAAAGCCUCUAUCAAGAUGGAUUCAUUAAGAGAAGCAAUUCACAACAAGCAAACUUGACUAACUACCAGAAUGCUUCAGAACAUUGCACAUAGAGUUGUUCAGUUGGAAGAUACUCCACCAAGUUUUGUGCAACUUCAUUGCUCAAACAGUACAAACCUUCCUUUGCUACCUCAAAAAUAUCUUCAUGACAACAAGAUUUCUUCUGUUUUAUAUGUAACAUAUUAGAUAUUAAAGUGGUUAAAAGUCAAAAUUGAGUAGUGAAAGAAGAGAAGCAUAACUAAAAUUACCAGAAUUUUUGAACCCAAACAUGAAAGUGAUGACCAACAGUUGCGAAAACUCCUCAAUAAUUGACCAUUGUCUUCAUGGAUCAAAAUCCAAAAUCAAGGAUAAGUGAGCCAGAAAACCAUCUUAUAUGACUCUGAUAGAGCAAUUACUAGCCAAAUAGUUCAGAUAAGUACGCAAGUUCAUUAUCAAGAGGUAAAAGUUCAGUCCCCUUAGAAUCACAAUUUUAAAUAGAGUGAGAUGACUUUAGCAUUAAUAACUUAAAAUCCACAGAAGCAGAUCACGUAAAAUAAACAAAACAAGACUUCUAGUUGUUCUAAACGUUGAUAGACUAUUUGUAGGAAAUGCAGGCCAAAAGUUAUUGAGUUCUAGCCAUAUAAACGGUGCUGAAGAAGCUUCAAAAUUCUAACCUCUGUUCGUGAAGCUAUUCUUCUAUCAAUCCUACAAAAACAAAGCAUAGAACAGAAUAUGAACAGAGAUACAGUAAAACAUCAAAGCACGAAAUAGAACAGGUGCUUGGGGUCAUUCUAAUUGAUAGUUACAAGAGCAUUACUAUUAUGUUGUAAGGAGUAAAUGAAGAGCACCAAUAUUUUGGACCUAAUAAGAAAUGCUAAUGCCGCAGCUUUGAAAGAUAAUAAAUAGGACGAUAAAAAGGGAGAAGAGAAAAUUGUGAAAAUAACCACGGAGACUUUUUAGGUUUUCUCACGAGAAGGUUAAUCAGAGGGGGAGGUGAAGAGAACGGGAGAUUGAUUGCAAAGCAAAUUAAGAAAGUGGUUAUUGAAGGCAAUCUUACGUGAUUGAAUUUGAUCUGAAGAUGAAAGUUGGUUAAUCAUCGGUUAUGUCUAGGUCUUGAAUGUGAGAAACUUUGGACCACUGGGAGUCGGGGCCGCUGCUCCCAGGAGUGCAUCUUUCUUUUAACAGAGGAGAACCAUGGACCUGCAGACGUUUUAGUUUGGUGAGACUUCUCAUGGCAUCCUCAGAGGGUAGAUGUCCAAGCCCUUUGAAACCAGUUAACCGCAGCGCUUCAAGAGUAGCGAAGUUUCCGAACCAAUCUGGCAGAGCUUUUAUACCUCCAAAGCCACGUAGCGUUAGUGACGUGAGAGUGGUCAAGUAUUGGAUCUGAGGUGGCAGUGACUCCAUGUGUGGCAACCCAUAUAAUACUAAUCGACGGAGUGCGCAUGACGAAGAGGAGGAGGAGGAGGAUAUCAAUCCAGACCAAUCAAACUCAUUGUAAAUUGAAGAAUUUUCAUGAUCAUCACCAUCAUCUGAGAAGGGACCAAUUUCAAGCUCCCUUAAGCUAGUUAGGAAACCAAAUCCUUUGGGCGUCAUGCUUGUUUUCAGUUUGGGACACCCCAAUAAUUUCAGCUCCGAGAGAGAAGGCGUUUGUUGCAAAUCAGGCGGAAAGGAGAUAAGAUUGUCGCACCCACUCACCUCAAGCUUCUGGAGAGAGGCACAAGAGUGUAGAAUGUCACCGGGCAGAUUCGUUAACCCAUCACACUUAUAAAUCUCCAGCUCUUUAAGAGACGUAAAGUUUUGUAGGGGAUGGAGUUCUCUGCAUCUGUUGCAGCAAUUAAAUUCCAAACGCGCUAACUUGGGGAGUGUUGUUGCUAACUUGGGGAUUGUUGUUGUUGUUGGCAAAUCCAUUAACCAUCGAGGAAAUUGAUCGCCCAUAAAAUUCCAAAUUACCAACUCCUCCAAAUUUGGGUGGGGUCGAAGGCUGUCUAACACAUCUUCGUCGUUGUAAUUGUCGCCUUCUCGAUCAUCUGCCCACUCAAGUUCCAGCCUAAAUAGAUUUGCCUUUUCAGAUAGUUUUGCUUCCUCAGCUCCUUUCUUAUCCGUUACUAGUUCCAGAUUGCGUAUCUCCAAUUUGCCUUUGAGGUUCUUCAAGCUUCCAAGCUCUCCAAUUCGCCGACCCUUCUCUCGACCCACGUUAAAGAACUCUAGCGUCCGAAGGCAAGUCAGCCGUCCCAUCUCUAGCGGCAUUUGAAAUGUUUCAUCAAAUGUGUAAUAGUGGAGAUGUCUCAAACUAAUCAAAUUGCACAUCCUCUCCGGAAGACGGUCAACAUCUGAGUGACUUAGCGUCAAUGUCUGCAGAUUAUAAAGCUUGCAAAGGGAGUCUGGCAAAAUACUGAUUGCAGACCACUUAAGGUUAAUGUACCGCAAAUGUAUCAGUUUGCCAAUUGAGACUGGUAGCUCUCGAGUUCUUGUAUGAGACAAAUUCAAAACAUACAAGUUCUUCAACUUCAUUAACAUAUCACCAGAUAAGUAACCUUUUACAAACAAUGUAUGAAGCGAAGUUGAUAGACUCUCCAAAAGUUUUUCUCUGUCUUCUCCACCACCAAAUAAGUCUGUUGCAAGGUAACGAAUCUGAUUACCAUUGCCUACUAUACUCGUAUCCCUAUCAAUAAUGACUUUGGUAGACUUUGACAUUAACUCGGCAAGGUCGUGCACCAGAUCAUGCAUCUUAUAAGAUGUUGAUGUUUCUGACUCAUCAAUUAUUUCUUCAAACAAUGAACUCUGCAAUAAAAUUCUCAGAUAAUUAAUUACAUUUUCCUCCAUCAUCAUUUGGCUGUUGAUGUCUGCUUGGAGGAAACCUUCUGCCAUCCAAAGCUCGAUUAGCAUAUCUCCUUCCAUCUCAGUAUCCUUAGGAAAUAUAGAACAAUAUGCAAAACAUUUCUUAAUGUAUGGAGAUGGCAAAUUAUCGAAACUCAACUUAAGUAUUUGCAUGACACGAUCUUCAUCUCCACUCAAACUUGAAAGCCUAUUCUCCAAAAUUGAUUGCCACUCCUCUUUUCUCUUUAAAGAUAAUAGACCUCCAAUUACACUUGCUGCCAAUGGUAGACCAUCACAUCUUUUGAUUACUCUCUCUUUAAUUGCUUUUAGUUCAUCAGGUACUUCUCCGCCUCCAACUACUUUUUCUUUUAGGAUAGACCAGCAAAGAUCAUCAGGUAGCCUUCCUAAGGCAUAGGCUUCAUCAUCCAUCCUCAGAACUUUCAACACAAUAUCUGCCAGUUGACCAAUACGAGUAGUGACAAGACACCAGCUUCCAUCAGUUGGAUUGAGCCCCUUCAAGGUGGUGAAAAAGUCAUCCCACAAUGCCUGAUUAUCAUCCCACACAUCAUCAAGGACAAGGAAAUAUCUUUUUCCCUCUAGUUGAUUCUGAAUUUUUCCAACGAUGACAUUCCUAUCAUCCACUUCAACCUUUUCUCCCGUCAAUUGCACUAGUAUGAGUUUGAAAAGUUCCACUACUGGAACUUUUUUUGAUACGCAAACCCACAACUUUUUCUGAAAGUGCCCAUCAAUUUGGUGAUUGUUGUAUAUCGAUUUAGCCAAAGUUGUUUUGCCUAGACCUCCCAUACCAGUUAUGGGAAGACAAGAGACAACCUUCUCAGAUGGGCUCAACAGCAUCUUCACUAUCUUUGAUUCAUCAUCGGCUCUUCCAGUCAUUGGAACAGCAACCGAGUCGGUCUGCCUAUUUCUUCUGUCUCCAGCAUCAGCAGCAGCAGGGAGGGCAGCUGUCAUGACUGCCCUGCCGAUCAGUCCCAAUCCAUCGGCUUCUUGAUUGAUCUCAUUCAACUUAAGCUUGAUGUCCCUGACCUUAGAAGCCAUUCUCCAACGGAAACCAACGGAGUUAGAGCAGGAGAAGAAGCAACAUACCUUGCUCUUGGGUUGGUUCCGGGACUCCACCUUGCAACGAAGAGAUUCGUAGUUGAGCUCAUCCAACACAUUGCCAGCAUCAUAAGCAACUUCCUCCAGACUCUUCAACCAUUCUUGGACUCCCCGGUCCUGGUUUUGUUGCCUUUCCUCAGCAUCAGCCAAGAGAGCAUUGAUAAAGGUAAGAGUUCGACUCAUGCUGGCCAGAUCCUUCUUGAACCCAACUAACAUACCAAUCCUAUCAGUGGCAAGAGAUACUGCCGUCUCCAAGGCAACCUGAAUAGUGGCACUAAUGACAGCGUCGGCCAUUUUCCUUUCCUUGUAUGGGGCUUAAUAGCUAGGAUGCUUUGUUCAUAUCAGAUUGGUGAUUUCGUUGUAUGUAGCUUGCUAGGAUGCUUUUUCCUAUCAGAUUAUAAAGAUGGGGAUGGACAGAAGGGUAGAGGCUUUCGUCAAAGUUUUGGUGAGAACCGAUUUAUUUAUUUAUUUUUCAAAUUUAGAAUGGGACCGUGGGUUCCGGUGGUAUGAACUGAAGUAUGGUGGAGCCACUAAGCGAGUUAUGUAAUUUACCCAAUUUAUAAAGGGUUAUAUGUAAUUUAUCCAAUUCAGAAUGGGCUUCUUCCCCGGUUUUAGUUAAUUAUAUUGUUGCAGCUAGUGCUUCAGUUCACGCUAAUGACAGGCGGACUCAGGGCCGGAACGGUUGCAGGUGCAACCGUUUCGGAAGCUCGUGUGCAUUUUGCACACGAUGUAACAUCAUUUGUACGCGAACAAUAUUUUAUGGAAUCUACACAUAUUAAAAUCUGGACCUUACAAUUUUUAUUGGUCAAAUCUUGACCAUUAACUGGCAGGAACGGUUACCCCUUCUUAUGCCAGGCCAGGCCCUUGGGUUGCUGAAAAUAUGUCUAAUCCUUGAUAUUUUUUAAAAAAGAAUACUGGAAAAAAUCGAACUGGAUAUUAAAAGUACAUUUCCAUCUAAAAUAUUCCAACAAUAAAACUACUAGAAAAGUAGUAUAUAGAACAGCUAACAUUUCCAGCUAAAAUAUUAACAAUAUACAAAACUAGCAGGAGAAACUAUAUAUAUAGAAAUGGAUGGGUCACGUUCGCGUCUCAAUUGUUAAUUUGUUAUUGUGUCAGCGCGGCGGCUUUGGCCAUCUCAAUUAUUACCGCUGCACCAACGACGAGUGUAUGCAGAAAAAUCCUAAACAAAUCAUCCAAUGAGGGUUUCUCAGCUUAGAAAGAAGAGCGCUGCUUCUUUUGACAAACUUGCAAAUGCAUUCUCCACAGAACCAACUAACAUUUCCAUCUAAAAUAUUACCAACAACAAAACUACUAGAAAAGUAGUAUAUAGAACGUACUCUCAAUUGUUCUUAUAUUAUAUUAGGGCGGCUUGGCUAUCUCAAUUAUUGCACCUGCACCAACUAGUUUGUCCAGAAAAAAAAAAUCUAAAGAAAUUAUCCAAUGAGAUCUGCCAUUUUUUGUCCCCGUGAAACGAUGAGAGCGAGUGUUCGGAUCAGGAUGAGUUUUGCAGCAUGGAAGGUAUUAGUAGCAUUGCAAGGGCUUGCUGUAUGGAAAAAAUCCUAAGGAUAUUUCGUCGUGCCAGCUACAAACAAAUAGCACCAGCAAGCGCUAACUGUUUGGAUUGCAUUUUUUUAGAUUUUUUGUAGAAAAAUUACUGUAGCAAUUUAAUAUAUGUGAGAUAAAAAGGUGAUAGGGAAAUGUGUUCACGAAAAACGUAACAAUUUUUUCUUGAAAAACUGUUGUCCAAACAGGGCCUACUCGGCAAUUUUGUGCUAGCGUAGUGAGAGCCUGCAGGGUCACGCUAAGCUGAGUCUACUGAGUGUAAAGAUACUCGGCUCGUCAAGACAGCUCCAUUUUAAAUAUUUUUAAUAAUUUUUAUUUCAUGCAUCUCUCUAAUAUUCUUUUGGAUUAAAAAUAAAAAAUCCCCUUGUGGUAUACCUAAUAUAUAGAAAAACCCUCCGUAAUUUCAAAAUAUACAAAACGACACUUCAUGUUUUGAACUAAAUUGUAAACUAACAGAAUUUAAUCACCAACUCUAAAUGUGUGACUUUUUUUUAACAACUUUGAGUGCCAUCCAAUUUUUAUUUGUCAACCUUUUUUUUUCAAUCAAAAGGAACACUAACUCAAAAAGAAAUGCUCAAAACUACUACCAAAAUAUGGUAAUUCCAUCAAUCUAAAAUGCAGUAUGAUGAUGAUAAUUUCUUCUCCAAUUUAGAAAGAAAAUGUAUCCCCUGUAAAGCACCAUUAAAAGCAUUCUAUCAUAAUGUGAAGCUAGUGGUCGUAAAUGCUGAUCAAACAAUAGAUUUGGUAAUGAAAACUUGACACUCUUUCCUUAUAUUUGUGCUAAGAAUUGCUUUGGAAAGUAAUUCAUCUUUAUAAUCUAAGGGUAUUUGCUGACAAAAUUUAAACCAAGCUAUUUAGAAGUUGGUAUGGUAGUUUUGGAAUUAGAUUUAUUAUAUAGUAACUAGAUUUAAAUUGAUAUCAAAGUUGGUUUAGAAAAUAGAGUUGAGUUAUAUUUUAGUGUUGGAAUUAGAAUAGAUUUAGUAAUAUAUGCAUCUUAUAUAAGGACUUGAAGGAUUCGUACAUUUAUAAUUGAGGAAAGUUAGCAUCAAGAGAAUAAAAUCCUAAAUCCUCGCCUGCCUAUUUGUUCGUUAUUCAUACUUCUUUUUUUUUUUUUUUUUGUAGUUGCUAACAUUAUUGACAGUUUGAAGGCCCCAUAUUCACAGCAACAAAUCCCAAGCUUAGGCCGGCGGAGACAGAGAGAGUCAAAGGAGAUUGCCAUGAUGUAUUAUUUCAACAAGGAAUCCAAGGAUUUUCAAAUGUGAAAAAAAAAAUACUGGAAAAAAUGGUAGGUACAAGUACAACUGGCAUUUCCACAUAGAAUAUUAGCAAUUACACCAGUUGAAAAAUUACAGAAGUGCAUGGCUAUAUCGAUUAUUGCACCUAAAACACAACAAGUGUGUACAGAAAAAAUGUAAAGAAAUUAUUGCUUCUCAGCGAAGAAGAAGAUUGCUUCUCUUCACAAACUCGAAUACAUUUUCCACCGAAGUUGGUUGGAGUUUUACUUGAACGUUUCUAAAUAAAUGCAGGGUAUUUCUUGUUCUUUAUUUUUUUUUUCGGCCAAAUUUUUGUUUGUUUUGUGCUUAAAUGCUGGGCCUUUUGUUCCUCGAAUCUUGCUUGGUUUUAGUUAAUUAUGGUUACAGAGACUACUUAGUUUACGCUAAUUCUGGGGCCUUGGGAUGCUCAAAAAGUCUAGUCCUUGGUAUUUAAAUAAAUAAAUAAAUAAAUAAAAAGCUGAAAACAAAGGUACCUACAGUACAAAUGUACAACUGGCAUUUCCACCUAAAAUAUUAGCAAUAACGAUAGUAGACAAAUUCUCAAUUGUAUAUUAGAGCGGCUUUGCUAUCUCAAUUAUUGCACCUAAAACAACAAGAAGUGGUCUUCUCAGCGUAGAAGAAGAGAGUGCUUCUUUUACUCUUAUGUUUCCAAAUCAAUGCUGGGUUUUUUUUUGUUCUUUAUUACUUUUUUUUUGGAAAAAUCAUUUAAAAUGUUCCACACAUUUCAUUAGAUAAAUUUUUUUCGUCUAUCAUUUUUAAAAGGACAAAUUCCACUUUAUCUCCUGUGAUUUAGUGUUUUUCUACAUAACCCCCCUAUGGUUUUAAAAACUAUACAUAACCCUCUCAUAAUUUGGAUGAAAGUGUCAAAGUAAUGGAAAUGGUCUUUCGUAAUAGAAUCAUUUAAAAUGUCAAAAUAGCCUUAUGUAAAGGUGAAAAUUUUUUAUUGAUCAAGGGGGGUUAUGUGUAUAUUCCUAAACCAUAAGGGGGUUAUAUGAUAAAAUAUUAAACCAUAAAGGAAUUAUAUAGUAAAAUAUAAAAAUCACACGGAAUUAGUGUGCCAUGUAUUUAUAAGGGUAAUUUCGAUAUUAUCAAAAGUUUCAUUAUGAAUGACUAUUUCCGUCAUUUUGACAUUUUAAUUCAAACCAUAAGGAGGUUAUGUACAACUUUUGAAAGCACCAUUAAAAGCAUUCUAUCAUAAUGUGAAGCUAUUGGUCGUAAAUGCUUAUCAAACAAUAGAUUUGGUAAUGAAAACUUGACACUCUUUCCUUAUAUUUGUGCUAAGAAUUGCUUUAGAAAGUAAUUAAUCUUUAUAAUCUAAGGGUAUUUGUUGAUAAAAUUUAAACCAAGCUAUUUAGAAGUUUGUAUAGCAGUUUUAGAAUUAGAUUUAUUAUACAGUAACUAGAUUAAAAUUGAUAUCAAAGUUGGUUUAGAAAAUAGAGUUGAGUUAUAUUUUAGUGUUAGAAUUAAAAUAGAUUUAGUUUUAGAGUUGAGUUAUAUAUGUUAUGUAGAAAAACACUAAACCAUAAGAAUUCUUUUGAAGUAUAAUUAUUACUAAUAUAUAGUUUCCAUUUCUCGUGGAUUGUUCUUAAUCUCUCCUAAAGAAUUGUUGCAAACUUUUUUGGUUUGUGCGUCACUUUGCAUCUAAGAGUUCUAAAUUUCACCACCAAUUAAAUAGUUUCCCUCGCAACUUUAGUUUCCUUUUCUCUUCUAUUUCCAAUUUCUCCUUACUUAUGUUUCCUUGUUGCAAGGCUUGCCAAACUAAAUAAGAUAUUUGUUAUCGAUUUCUUUGAUUCCUAAAACACAAGAAAAUUUUCAUUCCUAAUAUGUAUUCCUGUUUACUUGUUUAAUUGAUUUUUAAAAGAUAUUAGCAAAGAAUUUUGGGCAAAUUACAUUUUACUCUCCUGUGAUUUAGCAUUUUUUACAUAACCCCCUAUGAUUUUAAAAGCUAUAUAUAACCCCCUCAUAGUUGGAUUAAAGUGUCAAAAUGACGGAAAUAGUCAUUCGUAACGGAACUUCUAAAAAUGUCGAAAUUCCCUUAUAAAUACAUGACAGAUUAACCUCGUAUGAUUUUUAUAUUUUACCAUAUAACCCCCUUAUGGUUUAAUAUUUUAUCAUAUAACCUCCUUAUGGUUUUUAAAAUAUACGCAUAACCCCCCUUGGUUAAUAAAUAAGUUUCAACUUUAUAUAAGGGUAUUUUUGACAUUUUAGGUGACUCCAUUAGGUGACACUUUAAUUCAAACCAUGAGGGGGUUAUGUAUAACUUUUGAAACUAUAGGGGAGUUAUGUAAAAAAAUGCUAAACUAUAGGAGGGUAAAGUGGAAUUUGCCCAAGGAUUUUAGAUCCAAUUUGGUGCAGUGCUACUUUGACAAACUGAAUCGGAUGCUUUUGCAACGGAAGUCGAUUCGCAUUUUCAGUUCACCUUUCUUAAUGGCAUGGUCGUUGCUGGGAUUCUUCAUCUGCUUUUGAUCCGCACGCUUAAAGAAAAUGCCAAUCAUCAUUGAGACUCUUAAUAAAUCUCACGAUGAAUAAUUUGUUGGGACAUGAACGUAAGAUGAAUAAUUUCAUCUAAAUGGCUGAUCCUUGGUGGAUCAGAUUUCAAACAUAAUUUAAGUACGCCUUACUUUUUGUUUGCUUUCUGCAGGGGACUAUGCUAACAGUACUGUGGCAGUGUGGCUUAAAAUCCUCCAAUUUCUUUAAAAUCCAGAGACACCCGGAGUUCUCCAUUUCCUUUUGUGAUUUUGCAACAUUAAUUACCUCAUUCUCUAAUCCUUGGGAAAUAGGCUAAAAACUGAAAAAAAAAAAUCGCUAGGUUAGUUAUAAAAAACAUGAAGUGGAGUCAGUAAUCAGGCUUGACACGUAGCUACAUAAUUGGUCAGUGAUUGCGUGCUUUCCUAGCUUUUACAAUUGCGAAAAUUUCAAAAUAGUCUCUUGUAUUUCCAAAAGUUCUCUAGUGAUACGGUGCAAAAUUACUAUUCAAUUUAUGAUUAUUUCCCCUUGAUUGUAACCAAAUAUUAUUUUAAUUAAUGGAUUCUACUUAUAUUUUGUUAAUGGUGCUAAUCGCUAGGAUUGUUUCUUUGUUAGAGAAGUAGUUAAUGUGCAUACUUUAACUAUCGAGACACUAAAGAAAAACUGAUUGUUUAUCACGUAUAUGACAACUAUAACCUAUUUAUUAGCAAAUAAUUUAGAUAAUUAUUGCAUCGAUGAUCAGUUAUUUGAACCACUUCCGGAGUUAUGUCUUUGGCUAGAGCUUGUUUAUUCUUAAGUUGAAUUUAAUUUGCUUUAGUUUAAUUUUUUUCAAUCACAUUGAUUAUUUACUUUAGUUUUAAUUCUCCAAACCUCUCCCCUCCCCCCCCCCUCCCAACAACACCAAUUAGCUUUUACUUAGAAAGAAAUAGAUUUUUCCUCUAAUCCCUGUGGAGAUGACCCUACUUGUUAUUAUACUCAUUUAUAUCUUUUUGUGAGUAGAAAUUUAUUAUUGCACAGACACGACUCUUGUCAUCUAGCACUUUAAAACAUCGGACAUUUUGAAGCAAAUGUCUUGUUUAUGUACAAUAUACAAAAUUUAAGUGGUGAAAAUUUGAGGAGCUUGUUUAUUAUGAAAAAUUGGAGAUCCCUUGUUAUUUGUAUUCAUCUUUGUUCCUCCAUUUCACAAUUAGUUUGCAUGCAUUUUAAUGGUGAUCAAUUUGUCCACAAUUUAUAAUCAUUUAAUAAAACAUUUUGUAAUGACAUCGAAAAUACACUUUGAGGGUAAUUGAGGCAACCCUCUUUUAAAUAAAUCAAGAAAAAGAAAAUGCUACAGCUGAUUGACAGUUCGAACUUUGGAGGCACCAUAUUCACAGCAACAAAUCACAAGCUUUGCUUUAUCCAGCUGAGACAUGAAAAAAAAAAAAGAUAGCGCCGAGAUGUGAUCCAGCUAAGAAUCAAAUGAAUUUCAAAAGGAAAGGCAGUAAUGCCAAUUAGGGGCCAACAAGGUCUAUCCAAUAUGCUUUCUCGAUCGGCUUAGAAAAAAGAGUACUGCUUCUUUUGACAAACCUGCGCGCAAUUUCCUCCAAAGCUCCUACUGGGCGUUUCACUUGAAAGUUUCCAAGUCAGUGCUGGGCUUUUCUUACUGCUUCUUUUCCUUUUUCGAAUUGUUCGCUCCUUUUGCGCUCGAAUGCCGAGCCUUUGAUUUGUGGAAAAGUAAUUUAGUGAGUAAAUUCCAGCACUUGGUUUUCAAUGUCAAAGACCUCGAAUGUUCUGGUGAUUCUUGGAGUAGAAAUCAAAGAGGAAAACUAUUACUUCGAUCCUUAAUUAAUAAAGGAGUACAAUUAUCCUGUUUUGUGAGAAAUUUUAAGUGGCAUGGCACAAAUGUUAAAAUCCCAUAUUUCACCUCAACUUCUAAUUACUAGUAACAUGUCAUGUGUUUUGCACCGUGAUCAUAUUAACCUAACAUAUAACAUCAUUGAGAUACUAAAUUCUUUGUUAAAUUUUGACUUUAAGCAUCAAAAUAGAGCAAUUCUUUUGGUUUUCAGUUUCUUUAACUAGUUCUUUGAAAAAUACUAGUUUAGAUGUACAUAUAUUGCACGCCGCAUUUCUCCCCGGUUGCUAUGACUAAUAACUUAUUCAAAAUUCUUUACACAAUUGAACUUUAAGUAAAUGAAACAAACCUUCAACGAAGUACUCAAAUUCAUAUAUAUAAAUCAAAAUGCACUCUUCUAGUAACCACUCCAACACUAUAUAGCCUUGACAAAUAGAACAUAGAAUUCAAACAGAACAAUAAAAUGUAAUAAAAAAUAAAUGGGCUAAUUAAGGAGGUUCUGAUUUAAUGAUUAAAGUACUUCAAUAAUAAAAUGUCCUAGAUUCAAUUCUCUGAAUUUUUACUUCUCAUGUAUGAAAAUAAAGUAUGAACAUAAAAAUGAGCUAACCUAAUGUUUCAAAAAAAAAAUUAAAAAAAAGAAACCACCUAAAACUACAAAGGAUCUUUGUAUACUCUUAAAACUUAUGCCUAUAAUUUCUUCUUAUUAAUUUACAACCUAAACCUUUUAACUUUUUGAGUAUCUUUCAGUUUCAAAAAAUUGGAGAUCCUUGAUAUUUGUAGUUGUCUUGACCGAUUCGAUCUUCUUUCCUCCAUUUCAUAAUUAGUUUGCAUGCAAUUUAAUGGUGAGUUUAUCCCCAAUUUGUAUAGAAUACACUAGGGCUGUCAAUCUAUCUUUGAGCUUGGGGUUGCUUGAUUAAUUUUAAAAAAAUCUUAGGUCGAAUGAACUUUAGCAAAGAGUAAUUUGAAAUAUGCAUUUGCAAACCCGUUAAAAAUUUACCUUCAUACCUUUUGCAAGGUCAUUGAAAACACACUUUGAAGGUACUUGACGUUACCCUAUUUUUAAAUAAAAUUAUUAGACUUUAGAAAAUAUAGAAGCAAGAAUUAUUAAAGUGGAAAUUUAAGAGGUACUUUGAAGACAUAAAAAAUACGCUUUGAAGGUACUUGAGGUAAAUCAUUAUUAAAAAUAAAUCAUUAGCAUUAGAAAAUUAAGACGCAAGAAUUAUUAAAAAUAGAAAUAUUAAAAAAUCUAUCUAAUAUUUUUUUAGAAUAAAUUAUAUAUAUAUAGACAGUGUAUAUACAAGCGAAGCUGAAUGCACGCUACCUUUAUUGUGGAAGCAAUAAGUACAUCAGCCAUUCUUUUUGUUCCCCGGAUACUUUUUGCAGUGGAAGGUUUUAGCUCUUGGUAGAAGCAGCAAGGAACUAUUCUUUGCUUAGUAGAAGUAGGGCUGCAAACGAAUAGAGCCGCUCGCGAGCGGCUCGAGUCAAGUUCGAGUCGAGCUCGAGUUGGCUCGAGUCGAAAUCGAGCUCGAACUCGAGCUCAAAAUAUGAAGCUCGUUAGGCUCACGAGCUCGAGUAUAUAUAUAUAUAUAUAUAUAUAUAAUAUUUUUUAUUUUUUUAAUUUUAAGUAUAUAUAUAUUUUUUAAUUUUAAGUAUAUAUAUAUAUUUUUUUUUAUUUUCUUAUUUUAAUAGUAAAAUUACAUAUAUAUCCUUAAUAUUUUAUUAUUUAUUAAGAAAAAAAUUAUUUUAUUUAUUUUUUAAAAAAUAAAAUAAUUUUAAAAUUUUUUUUUUCGAGCUCGAGCUUUAAAUUGCCAGCUCAUCGAACUCGAGCUCGAGUUCGAGUUGGUAAAAUUUAAUCGAGACUCGACUCGAUUCGAUUAACCUAAAACUCGACUCGACUCGACUCGUUUGUAACCCUAUGUAGAAGCAACAAGACUUUGACAAAUUUGGAUGCUUUUGCAACAGGGAAGAAGCUGCUUAGAAUUUUCACUUGGAAGUCUUCAAUACUUGUCGUUGCUCGGGCCUUUCAUGACCUGGCAGGCACCUUUUUUUUUUUUUGGGUUAAAUACAAAAAACCUCCUUAUGAUUAAUCAAAUAUUCGAAUUAACUCCCUAUACUUUAGAAACCUUUAUAAAACCCCCUUAUACUUUUGAUUAAAAUAAAAUAUUAAGUUUUCAGUUGUAGCUAACAGUCAUAAAGGGUAACUUGGUUAGUUGAUUAUAAGGCAAUUUAUAUUAUAUAAAAUGGGAAAAUAGAAAAUUUUGUUCUCUUCUUUCCAUCCACACGCCUUAUAGUGUAUCUCUUUUUUGUAUUUUUUUUGUUAAAACAUUGUAUCUCUCCUUCUCACCACCAGACCUUCCCUUUUCUUCUUUUUUUUUUAAAAAAAUUUUGUUCCUAUUCACUUCUGAGUCACCCAUAAAUUAGUACUAUUCAAACCCGAAAUCUUAUGACCCAAAACGAUGGCGUCUUCAAAAUAUCAGAAAUGGAUGGAGUGGUUGAUCUACUUCUUCAUUUGUGGGUAUAUGGUAUUUGUGUCCAUGGUUCCAGCUUAUUUAUGUCAAGUAAUUCCGUCCGGUGGUUGCUUGCGGUGCAUAGGAGCGGUUGUCUGGAGAAGAUGAUCAGAGAAGAAGAAGCUUUUUUGUGAUAUUAUGUUUUUACCUUAAAGGCAACGUGAAAUAAUGAUUUGACCCAGUUUUUCCUAAUGAUCUGAUUGUAACCAUGUUUUAAAUGGUAACUUAGUAAUCUGAUUAUUAUUUCAUUUAAAAAACUAUUUUCCUUCGGCUGCUAAAUUUGAUGGAAAAAUUAACAGUUUCGAUUUUCUAAAAAUCAUGAGGAGGAAAAAUGUAGGUUUCUAAACAAUAGAGAAUUAAUGUAAGCACUUGCUUAACUCUUCACCAAAAGGAGUUAUUUCCUAUUUAAUCCCAUUUUUUUUUAUCUAAUUUGUUAAUUCUUACGACAUAAGGAUAGAAUUGACUUCAUGUAAAUUAAUAAUUGCUUGAGAAAAUUGGAUGCUAUAAAUUCCACGGAAGAUGCUUGGUAAUUUCACUACGGUCUUUCUUAAUUGAUGCGUGAGGCUUCUUACAUGUUUGACAAAUUUGAAAGCUAUCUCAGAGGCUCGUUGAAAUAGCGGUUUGACCCAAGAGCGGAAAUGGCAAUCAUAGUUGGUGACAUUGGCAACAUCAAUCAUGCCAUCUGUUAAUCCAGAAAUAAAUUGGAAAAAAAAAAUUUGUUCUUACUGACUGUCCUUGAGAAUUAGACUGAAUAAUUAUUAGGGUAAAUUAUCUUUUACCUUUCCUGUAGUUUGGUGUUUUAUCACGUAAUCUUUCAUAGUUUAAAUAUCUAUAGUUUAGCCAACUCCCUUAACCAACUCCCUCUAGAGGAGUUGGCCACCACAUUAUUUGUGGGGUGAGAGGUCAAUGAUUCAAACCUUGCUUCCCAUCAGUGUGUCUCUAUAUGAGAAUUGUUCUAAAUCCAUAAAAAUCAAACUAACAAAUAGAUAAAUUCACUUUUUCACUACUUUUUUUUUGCUUCUCUCUCUACCUCUCUCUUUUGGAAGAGAAGAGAUGAUUUGAAAAUCUAUCCUUUGACCUACAAAAUCUUAAUUUUCUCCAAAUAUAAAAAAAUUGAAGAGAAAUAAAAAAAUAAUUAAGAAACAAAAAAGAUGGAAGGAAAAUACAAAAAUAUAUAAAUAAGAAGCAAGAAAUAUGGAAGGGAAAUAUAAAACAAAUAAAUAAGAAACAAAAAAUACCAAAUCUUUGUUGACUAAAAAUAUCAUUUUAGGUUUUUAGACCAAAUCUUUAAUGUUAUUUUCUAUUUCUUAUUUAUUUAUUUUUACUUAUAUUUAUUUAUUUCCUUUUUGUAUUUGGAGGGAAAAAAAGAAGUAAUGAAAAACUAAAUUUGUUAAUUCAUUAGUUUGGCUUUGACUUUGAUUUUUUGCUAUUAAUUAUUAGUUUUAACGGAAAAAUAGAUGGUGACGCGUUAACUAAAAUCGUGAGGGGUUUAUAUGCAGGCUUUUCAACCAUAGGAGUGAAUCACAUCUAGUGAGUGCCACGUUUGGGCAGUGAAUUUGGUAAUCAAAUCUUAUAAUAAGAUAGUGAUAACUCUUUGAUAGAGGCCUGAAGAACCAUAAUAUGAUACGAAAAUAUAGUAGACCAUAGGAGAGAAGAAAAGAGAAGGUGAGUCUUUGUCUACUUCCUGUCUUGCAUGUACUUCUGCUGCAAUUCAUAGGCAAAAGUACAUGGUUUGCAAAAGUACAUGGUUUGGUACUCAUUUCAGUAGGUUUGAAGUAGCAAAAACAAGCAAUUUGUUUUUUUGACUAAAUGAAGUUGUCACAUGGAAGAGGGAUAUGGAUUUCUUGUAUCUUCUCAGGGAGAGGAUCAACAUCGACUUUUUCACAUGAUUUAGUUGUUUGUGUAGAAGUUUACUGAUUCAGUUGAUUUUUGUCCAGGCCUAGUUGACCAUAUUGAACAGGAAUUCUAAAAUAAGUAGGAUUUUUUGUUUUCUUCUGGUUGGCAGGAUGAGUGCCCUACGAAUGGGUUGUUUUCCUUACUAUCCACAUGCAUAACUUUUCAUGUUCACUUUGUUGCUUAGUAAACUAUGUUUUCCAGCGGUUAGUAAUGGAACCAAUCUUUACCUUCUAUAGGUUGCAUAGUUAUACAGAUAAUGCCGUUUGAACAAUGGAAACUGGAACGUCCAGUGUAAACUACAGCUUGGGCUGGAGCCUGGAGAUAUGGUUAAGAACUUUUGAUGCUGCCAUUUUGCUCAGUUAUUGGUCGAAGAUAAGCUGGUCAGAACUUUUGACCAAGCAACCUUGGGAAGUUUAAGAAACUUUUAUUGAUCAUAUUACUUACCUUGUUAAACCUUCUUUUUGUCACAUAAAAUGCUGGCAUGCUUUCUUGGAAAUAUGCUUUUGAGUUAUUAAUACAUGAGAGUCGAAGCAUGCCUUUGUAAAUGUAAUUCUUGCAAUAGUAUUACAUACAAUCAGAGGAAAAGAAAGAAUCAGGUGUUUCUACGUCCUACCAAAGUGCAUGCCUUUGUAAAUUUAAUUCUUGCAACAGUACUACGUACAGUCAGCGGAAAAGAAAGAAUCAGGUGUUUCUGCAUCCUACCAAAGUACACAAGGUUUUCUGGACACAUCAGAGGUUUGCCUGUUGAUUUUAUCAAAUGUAAACCCUGUCUUCUUUUCUUGUCUGCGCAGGUUUUUAACUGUUUUGGCCACCAAUUCUGCUUGCACUUUGAGGCGUUUCAUCUGGGAACAGCUCCGGUUUAUAUGGCAUUCCUGAGAUUCAUGGGCACUGAUGAAGAUGCAGAAAAUUUUGUUAUAGUUUAGAAGUUGGUGGAAAAGGUAGAAAGUUAACAUGGCAAGGUGUUUCUAGGACGAGAAAUGACAUUGUCCAUUGGGCUACAUCAAAAUCUGCAAUGCCAUCUUUUAACAGAUUUCAGGUUUAAUCAUCUGAAGAAAUUGUAUCAAUAUGUCAAAAACUACAUUGAUUUGUUAUUAAAGCAUCUUCAUUUACAUAUAUGCAUUAUAGGCAGCAAGAAGUUCAUCCUUCUAAUCUUUUAAAAUAAGGACUGGUCUCAGUAUUCCUCUGAAUCUGAAUCUGAAUGUAAACAUAAAGAAGUAUUCACAAUAUUCUUUGAUCUAAGACGAGGAUUUUCAGAUUAACAUUUCCCCAGUUCAUCUGUUCUUCCUUAAUCUCUUGAACCAAACUUCCAACAUGGCCUGGACACCGAUGCACCUGAAUCAAUUCAAGAGUUGGAAUUUCCCCCAAACAAGAAGGGAGCUCCUCCAAGUUCCAGCAGCUUUCCAAAACCAAUUUCUGAAGACAGGGGAGAUGAUCACCAGAGCACGUCCACCUGACAAUGCACAACAAUUCCAAUUUCAAGAAUUUGAGUUUAGGGAAUUCCCCUUCUUCCAUGUUCCAUAUUUUUUCCCCACCAGCUUUUGUACCGAGUAAUUUGAGAACCUCAAGAUUAGGUAGGCUUCCUAUUGAGGAAAUCAUACUCCAGGGAAAUGCUUCCAGGGUCAACUUUUUUAGAUUCAUGGGGAAGCUGAACUCAUAAUCCUUCUCUUUCACACGGUAAAAAGACAACUUCAGUGACUCCAGUCGUCUCAGAAAGUCCAUUGCCACAAUCUUGUUCCAAUCCCCAAAAGAUUCUUCUGUUUCACGGAGACUACAUUUCAGCUUGCGGAUAUUUGGAAACUUCUGCAUUAUCUUAUCCAUGCUUUGCCCAGGGGCGGAGGGAAGGGGGGGGGCCAGGGGGGGCAACCACGCCCCCUCCAAUUGUUAAAAAAAAAAAAUUUCUAAGUAAAAAUAUUUUUAUUAUAUUGUUUUGCCCCCCCAAAUAUUGAUAAAAAAUUUCACUUUGCCCCCUCUCUCAAGGACCCAAACAAUAAUAUUUGAAAGUUAUUUGGACUUGGUCCAAAUAACAGAGACUCGCCCCCCCCUAAUUGCAAUUCCUAGCUCCGCCACUGGCUUUGCCCCAAAUCAAGCUCAAGAGCUGAUAUAGUGUCUAGGUUACACAAAUCUGAGGAGCUGUCCAAGUUGUCUUUGGCCAAACUAAGAUCAAAAAACUUACCACUUAUGCAGAGACACCUCAAUGUCUGCAAAUUCCAUACGGUAUCUGGAAGAAAAAGAAUACCAUGCAAAGAUUUUAGAAUAAAAGUUUCCAAAUUCCAAAGGUUUGCUAUUGAUGAUGGGAUGUAAUUCAUGCUACCUGCAAACGCCAAGUAUCUCAACUGAACAAGUAACGUAAUUUCGCUGGGAAAAACAAAUCCCAGAUUAAUUUUUCCCAAAUCCAACACUCUCAGAAGUUUGAAGAUGCGAAAAAUGGAUGAGACAUUGUAUGGAGUUCCAUAUUCCUCACUCUGGGUGGAGACCACUAGAGAGCUUAGAAGAGGACAAAAUAGCCUUGACUUCUGAAAAUGCCUUGCUUUAGAGUAAAUAAACAAUCGACGUGUAUUACUUGGCUCAUCAAAAUUAGGAAUUCCUGCAUCAUCACGUCUCAACCUUAGAAGAUUUUCGUCUGUGGCUUUUCUCAAACAAAAUUCAUGCAACAAGUCAUGAAUGCGGCAAGUUUUGAUUCCACCUGUAGAUUUUUGUUUGUCAACCAUAACCAAGCUUCUCCCAAUUAGAUCCAUUAUGUAGUCCUCAGCUCUGUCCUCUAUUCUCUUCGCCUCUGUCUUUUGGACAAAGCCUUCAGCAGUCCACAACCGCAUCAAUGUCCAUAUAGGUAUCUCUUGGUCUUCUCGAAAUGGUCCAAAAUAAAGAAGGCAUGGCUUCAAAUAAUGAGCUAAAUGUUUGUAGCUCAGCUCUAAUAUACUUUUGCAAUGUUCUGUGCCACACACGGUGUCCGAACUUAGACGUUCUGCAAUUUCUUCCCAACCAUCUUGCUCUAAAUUUGCAAGAAUCCCAGCUGUGAUAACAACUGUUAGAGGUAAACCUUUACAACCUUUUGCUAUAUGCUUUCCAUGUAGAAACAGUGCUGGAGGAUUUCCACCUCUUUCUGCCAGCUUCUUUUGUAGUAAUUCUAAGUACUCAUCAUCAGUAAGUUGGCGAAGAUGAAGAGGUUUACUUGCAGGUUUAACUUCCAAAGCCAACUUAGAAAUUCGACUUGUUAAAAGAAUUCUGCUUCCAUUGGCAUCAUUUGGGAAUGAAACUUUUAACGCAUUCCAGGCCGCAAUGUCCCAAACAUCAUCCAAAACUAGGAGAUACCUGCCCCUUUAAACAAUGGUAGGUGCUAUAGCAAGAUCAUCAGCAUCCAUCCUAGGGUAUUCAUCAGAGUCCGAAGGAUCAAUGCAAGCCAAAAUCUGAAACAACACCUCUUUCUUUCCAUAUACUUGAGAAAUACGACACCAAGCACGAAUAUGGAAGUGGCAUAUAAUCAUAGGAUCUUGGUAAACUUUAUUACCUAAAGUAGUCUUACCCAGUCCAGGCAUGUCAACAAUAGAAACACCGUCCAACGCUCCUGAUCCUCCUGUCAGCUGAAAGAUUAUUUGUCCUGCCUCAUCAUGAAAUCCCACCACAACUUGAUUGGAUGUUGGCAUAGUCCAUUGCAACCAAGAAUGGGGUGGAGUCUGCGCUUUCUUUUGAGCUCCACAGGUGAAUUCAUCAUCACCAAUCCCCACAUAUUCCUUAUUAACAAGAUUUACCUUUCUCAUGUGUAGACACCAAAUUUUUGUAAAAAUUUUAACGUUUUCUUGAAUUUUUUCUAUUUAGUAAUUUAUUUAUUUUCUUACAUUUUAAUGUGCAUUUUUCUUAUUUUUACAAGUUUAUUUAAAAAAAAAACAAAAAAAAAAAGAAAAUCAAGAAAUCAAAUCAUCCUAAUCAGUUUUUUUCCACCAAAUACACUUAAUCCAUUCCUACACUCAAUUUUCUUGACCUUUCUUGUCAUUUGGUAAAAUCAUGAUUUUUGACCAACCUAACACUCAAACUCCACUUUGGGCUCAAAAAAAAAUACAUCUCUCGGCUCUCUCCCUCUCGGCAGAGAAGAAGAAAAAAAGGGAUCCCCUCAAUUGUCUCUCUCGGUUCUCUUUUUCUCCCCAAGACACAAGGACUCAACAGACAAGCAAAAACAAAACCAACACUCCAAUUUUUUCUUCCCAAAAAAUCCCUCUCGGCUCACUUGGGCAAAAAGGAAAAAAAAAAACACACAAGAGAAAAAAAGGGAGGCUCUCGGCUCUCUCUCUUGGCUCUCAACCGAAAAAAAUAAGGAAGAAAGGGCACUCUUCCUCCUCCCAGCUCCCUCUCAGCUUUUUCUUUGCUCACUUCACACAACACACUCACACACAACUUCAAACAUCAAAAGAGAGGCAGCAACCGGUUGGAUAAUUGGAGCUUUGCAUCAGAAACUUCAACCAAGGGAUUGCCAUCUACAUUGAGGUAAUUUUUUUUUAGUUUUGUUUAGCACAUUAAAUCCAUGCUUCAUUGUUUAAUUUUCUUUUGCUUUUGCUGGUUUCCUUGGUUGUUGGGUUGCUGAAUUUUUGGGACAAGUCAUGCACAGAAUUAAGGAAAAAGAAACGGGCCCAUGAAUGCAUGUCAAGUGCUUGUGAAAAUGCCAAAUUGGAAAAAACGAAUUUUAGGGGUUGUUUUGCUUUAUUCUAGCCUUUUUAUGUCGUUUUCUUGUCAAAUUAACAUCAUAGUUGUAAUGUAGAAGUUGCAAGGAGUGUUGUAGUAUAAAUUUUAUGUUUUUUAGUGAAGAUUUGAGGGUUUAAAAAUAAGUAAAACCGCGGCUGUUUUUGGGCAUUUUGGCCAACUUCGGGUUUUUUUUGUAAAAAGUAACUCCGGAAAUGAAAUCUACGCGAAAAAUGGAGUGAGAAGGUGUAUUUUGAGAAAUUUUGGCGACCGGAAAAUUCGCCGGUGCCGCCGGCAGCCGCUAUGGCCGCCAGCUGAAGCUUCUUCAGCUGGCCGAAGAAGAAGAGAAAGAAACGGCUGGAAGUGGAGGAAGAAGGAAGGAUGAAAAGAAAAGAAAGAAAGGAAGGAAAGAAAAAAAAAUGGAUUGGGCUAAUGUUUUUUUUUGGUGGGCUUGUAAUUGUUUUUUUAUUGGGUUUUGGAAAUGGGUUUUGGUUUAUAUCUUUUGGAUUUUGGUUUGGCUAGGAGGUUGGAGCCCAUGUGUUUUUUGAUCGGGCUUGAGUUAUAAAAGACUGGCUGGCCUGUGUGUUUUGACUUGGACUUUUGACUGGGCCUACGUAGGUUCGGCCCAAGUAAAAUAAAAAGGGAGGCCCGAUGCCUUUUUCUUGCCCAAAUCAGAAACCGAAAGUUUCACUUUAACACCUGAUCUUUGGAGUAGUUUCACUGUAGCCCAGAACAUUUUAAUUUGUUUCACUUAGGUCCUUAAAUUAAUUGCACUUUGGUCCUUUAAUUUUAUCUUUCAUUUAAUUUUGACCCCCAAACUUUGGAAAAAUAUAAUUUCUGUCCCCAAAAGUUUUUCCAAUUUUUGCAAUUCAGUCCCUGAUGAAUUUUGACUCUCUUUAUUAUAAUUGCUUCUUUUCUUUAAUAGCUAAUUAUGUUACUUUUGAGUAUAUUUAACUUGUAAUUUUUAGAUGUUCUUAAAUUUCUUUGCUUUUGACAUGUUAAGGAGAAUUUAGUAUUUCUAUCAUUAUUAUUAUUUUCAAUUAAAUUGGUGCCAUGAUCCUUUUGUUCAUUUUGAGUAUAAAUAGGGCAAUUUGACUCCAUUUAGUCACCACUUCAAAUGGGAGGUACCCCUAUUAUUAUUUCAAUAUCAAUUAUGUGCUCUUAUGUGCUCCUAUGUGUUCCUAUAUGUUUAUAUGUUUUUAUAUGCUUUAUUUAUUUGAUUUAAAUGUUCAUCCAAAUUUUCUUAUAUUUAUUUAGUUAGUUUUUAUAAUUAUUUGAGAGGCAUUUAAAUACCUCAAAAAUGUAAUAGAUAGAAUAAUUAUAUUUGUUUUAUUAUAUUUUUCCCUUUUAGAUUGUAGUUAGAUUCUCCACUGUAAUAGAUAGGUCUUUGCGUGUUUAUGUGGCUUAUGUGUUAUAUGUUUUACCCGCUUUCUUUAGGAUUUUUUCAUCUAGAUAUUAUGUUUACGUGUUAUGUGCUUCGUGCUUUUAUGUGUUUAUUUGUUUUAAUUUAUGCUUUAUUUGUUUUACUAUGAAUUAUUAAUGCAUGGCGUCACCACACUGGUCCAACGCUAGUUGUGAUUUCUCCCUUCGUUUACUUGCUAGUCCAACGCUAGUAAGGAUUUUUGAAAAUGAUCCAGUCCAACGCUAGACCCGUAGAUUGUUCGUGCGUUAGACUCAUUUUUGUGUGAUAUUCAUUACAUUUUCACGCAUAUUUUCAUUUUUAGGAUCUUUUUCCAUUUGCAUGAUAUUUCCUAUUAUAUUAUCCCCUAUCCUCUAUAUGUGUUAAUCAUGUCAUUUAGAAUUGCAUUUCAUUUAGGACAUUAUAUAAUAAGUUAGUUCAUUUGCUUGUGCAUAUUAGGAGAAUUUUUUUUCAAACAUGAGAAAUGGGUGAUUAUAACUUUUUAGUUUAAAUAUUCCAUUAAUCCCUGUAUAAGAAAAUUAUUGUCACGAGUUUUUGCCUCCCGUACCCUUUAUGUUGCAUUCCCUUUUUCUUUGAUCACUUAUAUCUAUGUAUAUAAUUUAAUUUAAUUUAAUUUCUUUUCUUUUAAUUUCAUCAUUCGCAUAUUCGUGACCCCUUCAAGGAAUUAUUUUGGCCUUUGCAAUUAAUGCGAUUGGUAUCAAUUAAACCCUUGAAUGGAUAUUUUGUCCCUCUCGAUAUUUUUAUUUGCAUCCAUGUAGGAAACAUCCAAAUGUGAUAAAUUUAAGGGUUAGAUUAAGAAAAUUUUGACUAAACCACGCAACUAGCUUAGACUAGGUUGAAAGGGUGCCUUAGGUUUAAGAUAAUUGAACCUUUGCCUUCCCUUUCUUCAACCGUGACUUUCGAACUCAUUUUCUCUGUUUUCAAAGACCUGGAGUUGUAGAAAAGGGUUUUAUUUUAUUUUAUUUAAAAACACUUUUUGGGUGACUUGGUACACCCAAAUUCGAUACCAAGUGGCGAUUUCUAAUUUUUCUUAAAAACCCUUUUAGACUAAAUUUUGAGCUCAAAUUGUCGCAUUUUUAAAGUCCCAUUUUAGGUCCCUUUUUUAUUUUUCAUUUAUAAAAUCAAGUCUUUUAUAAACCCUUUUAUUUUUUCAUUGCGAAAAAUGGGGCGCGACACCAUGAUGGUGCUUACAUAAUGUCUGUCUCCAUUUUCUGCCUUAAUAAGCUUAAUAUUUUUUUGAAAAAGCAAAGAACACAUGAUCCAUAUCCUUGGUUGAGUCCUCUUUCAAUUCAUGCAUAAAAAGUGAGUGGAUCACACUUUUAGCUUCACCAACAGCAUCUCCAAUAAUAUCCUUCACGUUUUCAGGUAGCUUAUCAAAGUUCUCAUGCUGGUUUUUAAGAAUUGUUCUCAAGAAUCUCAGUCCCUCAUAGACUAUAUGCAUUUGACUGGUUGUAGAAUCCAUUAAGCCGGUAUUGCAAUUAAGUAGCUCCCAAAAAUUAUCUAGGAGAGCAUCAACAAAAUUCCCCAAUCUAUGCUUAUUAGUCUCCUUUGACAUAAUGCAUGAUCCUGAUGAAUUAGAAGCUACUAGGACUUGGAUAUAAAUGUCACGGACUUAAGGAUCAAAGGGGUUGAUCUUCUGUAACGGUUUUGAAAUCUAUCUUGCACUUGGACACUUGUUCACAUUUUAUGUCAAACCAACAGAUGGAAAAGAGGUCUGCUGCAUUCAGAUCCACAGAAUUGAUGUGGGAUAAGGCAGCUCCCAGUUGCCUUUGCUCAACAACUCGCAACACAGCAAAGCGAAUCAAACUAUGGAAGAACCUCAGCUUCUCCUGGAGGUCUUUGCAUAGUUCCAGCAGGUCUUGGUCAUCAUAUCCAAAUAUGCAGAGAAGAACAUCCACCAGAUUCUCGAGCACAGAGUCGAUGAGUUCCAUCAACUCAUGUCCCGUCAGACAAUUACUGGUUUGCGACAAACUAUUCGAGAAAAUGAAGUAAAAAUGGUUGAUUGUUUGCUUAAAACUUUUGAUACUACUUUGAACCCUACGAGUCAAAAUAAACAGCCGUUUAUUGAAUACUCGGUCUGUUUUCUGCUCUAUUUGAAGUCUAAGUGCAAGUUUAUGGAUACCAGCUUCAAGUUUAGACAUGAAAGAUUCUAGAUAGCUUACAUGCUCGUUGUUGUCAGAAGUGCUCCAUAUUCUGGCGCAGAGAAGAAAUGUCCUCAUGAGUCUAUACUCCCGCUUCAGUUGCUCAGAUUGAUAAACAUUUAAAUCCCAAAGGCCAUCCAGAUUUUCCAAAGCAUUCAAGACUGAAUCUACACAGUUGGAGGAGGUGGAAGUGGAAGAGGCCAUCUCUUAGUGGGGUGUUGGAUUGCUAAGCAGCUAUGGAACAACAACGUUCAAAUCUUGAACAGCUAAACUAAUCGAUUGAUGCUAAACUCAAGAAUGAAGAAGAAUUCUUCUCUGCACCUCAGAAAAUCCUUUUGGCCAACCUCCUUGUUCAGCUAGAAAUGUAAUGGUUGAAAGUUUUCACUCAAGUUUGAACUUUGAAGCAAUGAAGUGGUUUUAGUCGAUUGGAGAUCUAGCAGCCUUGGUGAGACUGUUGACCGGUCAAAUUCAUGCGGCAUAGAGUUAGGGAUGGGCAAAAUUAUGCGCUAACCGAAAAAUCGUCAUAUCCAAUCCGAUCCAAUUUGAAAAUUAGUUCGAUUUUUAUUAUUUGAUCGGGUCAAAAGAGGAUCAGAUACCCGCUAAGAUGCAGGGCAGAUUAGGGUCACAUAAUUAAAAACAUGCGAGAACCCGAUCCGCCCCGCAUAUAUAUAUAUUUUUUAUUUAUACACACACUAUAAAAUAAUAAGUUAGAACUAAAUAAGUAAUUUUAUUGAACAAAUUGCAUUACAAAUAUGAGAGACUAUAGUUUAUUUACAAGAUUCAUUUGUAGAGACCAUGAUCUUAUAUUUUAUAGAAAAAAGUUUAAUUAAUGUGAAACAUAUAUAUUAAAAAUUGUGCUACUUAUUUCAAACUUUUAUUGAUUUUGAAUUCUUUUAAUUUUUUUCCUUUAUCUUAUAUUCUCUUCACAUGCUUGUUUCUUGGUAGGAAAUCUUUUUAUAGAAAUUUUUUUUUAUUAAAUCUUAGAUGAAUGUGUAACAUGUAAAAUUAAAUUGGUAUAAAUCAUUUUUUAAAAAAAAUUAAAUAAUAAAUGAGGCGGGUCGGAUACCCGCUGAUAUGCAGGGCGAGUAAAGGUCAGAAAAUAACUGACCCGUAAGGUGCGGGUUGGAUCAGUCAAAUGAUAAAUGAGACGGGUACCCGAUCCGUGCCCACCCCUACAUAGAGUGAUUGGUCAUUUGGUUUAGUUAGGCAAUUUGAUAAGCCACUUCAAAGUGGCUUGCCAUAUUUUGUGACCAAUAGUGGGAGGCAAGGUUUGAUCCCCUAACCUCCCACCCCACCAACUUUGGUGGUGGCUGGUAGUGGUGGCCACUGAGCUAAGGAACUAAUUUGGUUGGAUGAGUUGAUUCCUCAUUUCUGUGAUAGAAAAUUGCCAAACACCCAAUAAGUUUUCCUACUAUUUUAAUUAAUUUUUCAUCUCGCAUAAAGGUUUUUGGAAGUGGAAUCCUAACAUAAACUUUAGUGAAAAUAAAUCUAAAAAAAAUUCCAAUAAUAAAAAUGGAAGAUUUGCAUAGUCUAGUUCUCUAAAAACAUACUCUGUAUAACAAUUAUUGAGUAUAGUUAUUUGAGUAUAGUUAUGUCAUAUCGCCUCUAAUCACUUUCUCACAAACUUAUUCCCUCUUAAUAUGCGAUGCUUCGCUUUGUGCCUCAGCGUUUUAUCCUAUGUUUCAGCUACCCCGAAGUCCACCUCUAUCCAAAUUUUAAUACCAUUUUUGGCUUUGGCGAAGAGGAUUACCUGCUUUUGCGAGAAGCUGAAUGUCUCCACUGUAGUUUUCCCCAUGCCUAAUUGAAUACUCAUGCCCUGCCCCCUUGUAAUGGUCCAGUACCCCUAAUAGCAAGGACCCCCAUGUACCUUGUGACCAUGGCAUGACACUCUGCAAGUGUAAAAGAACACCAGUCCAUUUUAGGAUUUAAGGUUUAGAGUUUAGAGUUUAGAGCUCAGGGUUCUAGGUCAUGAUGUCUGGAUUCAUGGUAACACCAUGCCCUUGAAUCAUGGCAUCCAUAUCUGCCCGGGCAAACCAAAAGUUUAAUAACAAUUCUCAAUGCAUUAAGUAGAAUUAAGAGAAGAAUGAUGACACUUAGUCCAGUGACUAAAACUAAGAUAUCAGGAAUUAGAGGUUCUUUGUUCCAAUCCCCCUGUUCUCUCCUCCUUCUUAAAUACCCACCCCUCUCAUGCUAGAAUUGGAGGAAAAAAAUAGGGAGCAAAUGAUGAAAGCAUGAAACAGCCAUCAUAUUGAUUUGCCACCAUUUCAUAUCAUCUAUAUGUGCCAUCAUUUAUCCAAAACCAAGGAACUCAGUCACGAACUAAAAGCUACCAACAAAGAAGUCCAUCAAUACUGCAAACACGUAAGUUCAUGAGCACAAGUACUACUUCAGCUAACACUGGAGCAUAAACAGCUUUAGCAAAUCCAAUAUCCAACCAUACAUCAUGAUAUCUGAUAUCCAAACAUAAGCAAUAACAUAGCACGAUGACAUGGUGAAUGCAGACAAAAUGUCUACCUUGGACUAGGGCCACAGCGCUUGACAUCUAAUAUCCAAGCAUAGUACAAUAACAUGGCACAAUAACAUAGCACAAUGACAUCUUCCGUUUCAUCCUCUAACAAAUCCCCUUCAACUGCCGCUAGAUAUGCUUCGACCGCUUGCAAAGCUGUCCGACAAUGGAACAUGUCAUCGGUAGGGGCAGGAGGGGAAGGAAUACCAAUUGAUGGAGACAUGCAGGACUCUUUCCUCUUACUGAAGUGGGAGCUAAUACUGUCAAUUUCAAAUGACUGAGUAUUUACUUCCCCAGGGCUUGAAUUGCCAAACUUCCUCGUACGUUUAGGUAUUUUCAACUUCCCCUUAUUCAUAGCUUUUCCCCUCUUUGGAGCCACAACCUCAACAUGAUCAUCAGUUGAAUCUAACUGGAUUGCUCUCUUUCCUUUUUGAAGUUUUGCCAUCUUAUUUUCCAGCUCACGCUCAUCAUCAGUACAAAGAGGUGCCUGGCCAGAUUUCUGACUAUACUUCCCUGAUGCACCCUGAUCAUGGAACAACUUGGUCAGCACAUGAAAUUGCAAACAAACAUUAAGCUUCUUGUUCUGAUGAAGCAGACUUAACUUACUUUAGUCAACUCAUCUUUAAAGGUUUAAGUUUGGGGGAAAAAAAAGGACACAACACUAAUAAAUUGCAAGGCAAGGCCAGUGGGUGUUAACAUGAACCAAUUAACUCAUACAGAAACCAAUAGAUUUAUACCUUGAAGUAAUUUGUAAUGCAGAGUUUCAAGUCAUUUUCGCCCGAAAUGGACUGUACACUGUCACAGAGAACGCCAGCUUUUUGUCUGGCUACUGCAAGUAUAAAGAAGGCAUGAUAAGAACCUAUAAAUCGAUUUAACAGGCACAACUAAUCAUAGUCAGCGACAUACCCAUCAAGGAGGACCUUGUACAGGGAGGCAUGAAAAUACGUUACAACAAAACAACAUUCAACACGAAUAGCCAAAUAUCUGAGGAAAGGACACGAGGUGUCAGAAAAGAUAGCAAUCAUGAUACUUAUGCAAUAGCAAUGAAAUGGAGGCUACAUUUCCAAAAGACGGCAGUAAAUGCAACAGCACAAGUAUGAUCAGUCUGGAACAAAAUUUUCAUUAUAUGCUAAUUCAGAGCUAGCUACAAUGUCACACAGUAACAGGCAAUAGACAUGAAACUUCCAAUACAAGCCCUCACAUAAACUCCCAAUUACAAGGCUAAUUUCUAAGAAAUUCCUGGGGAAGUGUUACCAUAGAAAAAGGAAAAGAAAUUGUUAACUGAUUUAAUCCGUUUCUUUGGAUUAUAGGGAUAACAGCACAUUUUCUGUGUCCUAAUUGGUCCGAACAGAGACAAAAGAAAUCUGGGCAAAUUAAAACAGAGAUGUCGAAGCUACAAUCUUUGCAAUUUCAAGACCUAUACAUUUAAAAUAACGUUAAUGACUACCGAUGAUGAUCUUCUUUCAUUUAAAUAGGUUUUUGGAACCUUUUCAGUUCAAAUAUGUCUGAAAUUUUCUAUAUUUCUGUCUAAUUUCUUUCCAUAACUUUCCAGAGAAAAAAAAAGUGCAUAUAAAAAGUAGAAAACACAAAACAACAUUUUAGCAAAAAAAAAAAAAAGAAAUUUCAUAACGAAUCAGUGAUCAAAACUUGAACUUCAUAAACGUAUAUUUACUACAGUGUCUUGACCUAAUGUAAGUUUCCCGGUGUCAAGUGAAAAGAGCGAAUAAUCUACAACUCUAACCAUCAAAUGAUACCACCACGAGAUAGGCUAGAAAAUUUCUUCCAAACGCAGUUAAGAUCUAAGUAGAAAUUGCAGAAACCAGUUACAUUGCUCGGAAAUUUAAAAAGAACAAAAAAAAAGAAGGGAAAAAGGAAUUGCUUAGAAUCAGAGGGAGAGGAGGGACUUCCGAGACCAGCACUAAACGGCGGGGACAACUCCAGCAGGUGGAUGGCGAUUGCCGGCAAAUGGCAGCGGCAGCUGUGGAGGAGAAAAAGGAAUAGAGUUUCGAAGAAAUUCAAAUGGAAGAGGAGGAGGUCCAAAUCGCAUGUAUAAAUCUUCAAACGGUAUCGUUUCCUCUAUUUAUUUAUUUAUUUUGUAAAUUCACCUGAAAAAAAAGGCCCCUUAUUUUUUGUGCAGAAAUAAGUUCAUCUGAAAUUGUGAUGAUUCUAGUGAAUUAAACCAAAAAAAGAACAACUAGUUCAUUGCAUUUCAUCAAUAAUUAAUAAUGUCAAUUAUAUGCCAACAAUUAUAAGAACGAAAAACAUUCCCCUGAGUUAUAAUGAAUUAAAUCAAAAAAAGAAGAACAAAUUUUAUUUAUAAAUUAUAAAAAAUACACUCCUGUUUAUAUUAGUUUCUGUGAUACCAAAUACACUCCUGUUUAAUAAAUGGACAAAUUGUUGCAUUUCAUCAUUAAUAAAUAAUAUCAAACAUGCCAGUGGUUACAAAAUAUGAAAGAUUCCAUACUUUUUUAUUUACCAAAAGAAAGAAGAACAAAUUUUAUUUACAAAAUCCAAGUUUAAAGAGUACUUCAAACAUGAAACAAAACAUAAUAAAUUGGUACUAUAAAUCUCUUAAAAAGUACCACGAAUCUUUUUAUUUCUUAGAUACAAAUAAAUUAAGCCUUAAGAGCACCUUUUUAAUAUGCGUAUAUUUGUAUUAAGUAAAAAAAAUUAAUACAAAAUAUAAUACGAAAUGGAAUACUAAGGUAGGCAAAGAGUUUGAUGUUGGGAAUUUAUUUAUUUAAAUUGCAAUAUAGAUUAUAUUUAAUGAACUUUAUCAAUCAUAUUCUUGUAUCAACUAAUAGUAUUAAACUACAAUUAAUGAAUAUUAUAUUCAUCAAUGCCAAUCAUAAUAAUAAUUACAAAGGUGAAGCAUCCUUUGAAUUAUGGUAAUAAAAAUAGAUCCAAGUUAGUUUGAAUAUUGUAUAAUAAAUAAUCUUAACAUCUUACAAUUUUUAAUGAUAUUAACUCUAUAAUCAUAAAGCAUGCCAUCAUGGAGAAAUACAAAUAAGUUUCACCAAAUCAAAUCAUUUCUCUUCAAAGUUAAGCUAUUUAAAUUUGAACAAUGGAAUUUCAAUAUAUUCAGAUAUUACUAUAAUUACAAUAACAUUAUAGAUCAUUUUACAAUCCACUGUUAGCAAAAUAAUAAUAAUAAUAAUAAUAAUAAUAAGAAAAUUUCACUAAAACUAAUAAACAAUUCAUAGAAUGACUUGAAAGGGAGCAACAAAUUAUUCAAAAAUUAAAAGUUUAAACUCAAAUGGCAUAAAAAUGAACAUUUAGGUCAUCUAAAUUUAACCAAAACACAAAAGUAUUGAUACUAUUACAAAAUAAAAGUACUCUUGGAACAAAGAAUGAUUUAUUGUUUGUGCAUUUGUAUUGAUUGGGGCAAACUAAGUUCAGAAAAAGUAUAAAAUAACAUAAAUAUUAAAUAUCACAUUUUUUUGUCUCAAUUACAUUUAUUCCUUCAAAAUAAUAUAAAUUUACAAAUCUCCCUUGAGAUUUUUAACAAUUACAAAGAGCUCUCUUUAAGUUUUAAAAAUUACAUAUACCUCCCCUAUUUUUACUAUUUAGUAACAAUGUAGGUCUAACCAACUAAAUUUUCUCUUAAAAAUUCUAAAUUGCCCUUUUGUACAAAAUUAAUAAAGAAAAAUAUACUGUACUCAAUCAUUUUCUUCCACACUUUGCACAAAUCAACAAGUCUAAUUCCUAACAACCAUCCAAACAUAAGUUCUAAAAUCAAGUAACUGUUCAAAAGAUUCCAAAUUGCAUAUACAAUAUCAAUACUUAUCACGCAAAAAAAAAAAAAGAGAAAAAAAGACAAGCCCCGUUGAUAACCAAUUUUAUACCCCCAAAAUUAAAUAUCAAAUCUCAAAUACCUUUUCAGUACAAGCUAAUUUGAUCUAGAACCACUAUUACAACCCCUCCUAUGGCCUUAAAAAUAUUAAAAUCUUAAAAUAGAGAUAAAUUCUACCUCGACAAUAAAAUCAUAAUAACAAAUUCUAAUUCAAUGAAAGAGAUCCUUAUGUAACUAUUGACAUUUUAUCAAAGUUUUUUGACAACAAGCAAAAUAUGACUAAUUUCACAUAUUUAGUUUUUCUUCCUAUUUCAAUCAUCAAUUUCAUUAUUUAUUUCUCUAUCAUUGCGAGUCUCUUCAUUUCUUUCUAAUUUGACACAUAAUCUGCUCCCUUGGUGAUUUUAUAAUUUUAAUUUGCUAAUAUUAACAAAAAUGAAGAUAAUAAAAAUAGGUUAUAUUAACUAGAAAAUAAAGGAGCGAAAAUAGACAAGAGACAAAAAAAAUAGAAUAUUUCUUUUGGGUUUUGUAAAUGUAUUGCCUUAAAUUUAAAAUUGUCUGUCAAGUGGAGGGCAUUAUAGGUAUUUUACUAUGUCAAGGGAGGUAAGUGUAAUUUCUUAAACUUAAGGGGAUUUGAGAGCAAUUGUUAGAAACCUCAAGGGAGGUUUCUGAAAUUAUCCCAAAUAAUUGAUUUUCUAAAAAUUUUAAAUCAGGUUUGAUAGGGCAUAAUUUGUUGUUAAUUUUAUGAUUAAUUUUCCUCUUUGUCCUUGUCAAAUAUUGUUUUAAUUGUUGAAAUGUACUUAUAUUUGGUAUUUGGCCUUAAUUACAGGAAGUGGAGCAAACAAGUGCUAAAAAGGAGACUUUAUUAAGAAAAACACUCCACACAUGGGAAGUUCUAAAAGGAAAUACAAGCCGGGCUCCACAGGAUGCUACAAAAAGGGAUUUCCUAUCUUUAUGCUGAAAAGGGUGGACUUGUACUAGGAGUCUUACGGGUAAAGAGGAAACUAAAAACAAGGACUUUGGCAAAGCUCCAAUUCUUUGGCCCUUGGACUCUCAAUUCAGUGGGGACCACUAGAGAUAGCAUUAGACUUUCUUUUGGCUUUAAAAAGGGAGAAACGUACAGGAGGUUUUGUUAUCAAUAGUUUUAGCUUAGCCUUUAGCAUAGUUUUAGUUUUCUUUUCUUUCUUGGCUCUUUUGAUGGCCUGGACCUCAGUUAAAUUACUUGGAGAUUUUCUCAUGAGGCGUGGCUAAGUUUUUCUAGUCGAGGAACAACGGAGGACUUGGUUCUACUAAAUUUGUGAGAUCGAAUUAGUUUUUAUUUAUUUCCAUUAUUCACUGGUAUUCGUCUAUCUUCUGCUUUAUGUUCAUAUGGUUGUUUUAUUAUUCGAUUAUCCUGGGCCCGGAUUCUAGAUUAAUUCAAUAACCUGAAGCCAAUUAGGGUAGUUAAAUCCGUAAUUGUUUAAUUAUUCUAAACUGGUGGCAACUGGCAUGAUUGGGUUUGUGUCAGGGAGAUAGACAUGCUAACUUAAAGAGACCCUCGUAGCGUGUUGAUUGGUUAGAAUUAGGCUCUUCUAAUUAUUCAUGCAAUUAGGGAAUUGAACUUCUAUGGUCGUACCUAGGGUUGUUUCCUGAUUAGAGAAAUAGUCAACGGUGGUACCUUGGCUAUCGACAAAUUGAGGAAGAGUUGGUUGUUUAUCGCGUGUAUGACAACUAUAACUAAUUUAUCAGAUAGUAACUGGAAUAAUCCUUGCAUCUGUGAUUGAAUUAAGUGAACCAACUCCGAAAUUGUCUCUUGGCUAGAGUUCGUCCAUUAUUAUUUUUAUUGUGAUAAUUAGUUAUUUGAGUUGUAGUUAUUUUAUUUUAUUUUAAUUUAUUCCAAGUAAUUUAGUUACUCUCAUUUUCAAAAACCCGCCAUAUCUGGAAUUUGAGAAGAAAUUAAAUUAUCCCCAGUCCCUGUGGAUUCGACCCUGCUUACCGCUAUAUACAGAAUUUUUAUUUUAUUUGAGCAGGUAUUUAUUAUUGCACAGGCUUGACACCUGUCAAUUUUUGGCGCCGUUGCCGGGGACUGGUCCCAGAUUAAUUUGUUUCUUUUUGAGUUUAUUUUUUUUAUUUUUUUUUAUUUUUCUCUUAUUUUUUUUUAUAUAGUUUAUGGCUUCUAACACUCCGUAUUUUAGUGAUAUACUAAAUUUUAUUUCCGGGGAAGGCGAUGAGACUAGUUUUUUUGCUAAGUCUGCAUAUUCAGAGACACUAAACUCUAUUAGAGAAAGAAUGGCUGCUGCAACCUGUAAAAUUUGUUAUGCCAGGGAUCAUUCAACCGGUAUGUGCCCCGAAUAUCAAGAUAAUCUGAGUGUCCCACUCAAUAAUUAUGGAGAUUUUUCACCCUGGUCUCAAACGUGGUAUAACCCUAAUCCAAACGGGUAUGAUCAAGAAUGGUGGGAUAACUCCGAUUAUAAUUAUACAACGGGGCCAAUGAAUUUUCAGCAGUAUGAGUCUCAAGAAUCGUCAUCUAUGUCAGGUAUGUCUCUUGAAGAAAUAGUUGAACCAAUAGCUACUAAUACAUACCAAUUCCAACAGGAGACACAAAUGAGGAAUGAGAUGAUGAAGGAUGCAAUGAGUUAUCUGGCAGAUCAACUAUGUCUAUUGACAUCCAGAAUAAAUCGAUUGGCUUCUCAAAUGGAAGAAUUGCCCUCGAAAACCAUUGUUGAUCUAGAAGAAAAUGAGAGUGCAAUUUGCUUGACUAGUGAUGAGGAGAUACAAGAGUGUCAAAAUGAGAAAUCUACAGAUGCAGUUGAAAAAGAAGCCGAAAAGGAAGAAAUAGAACCCCAACCGCAACCCAUUCAAGUGAAAGAAUCCAGUGAAGAAUCAUCAAAUGUGGUGACACCACCUCCAUUCCCUAACCCGCAUUUUCUUAACUCUUACUCCAUGAUUUCUAUUAAUGAGAUUGAUUUUGUUAUACCAGAAGUUUUUGAGUCUCAUGGCAGAAAUAAGUUAAGAAUAGCGAUGGUCAAAUAUCUUGAACCGUUGUGUGCUCUUGAUGGAGGAGUGGAUGAAGAAUUGAGAUCACUGCUUGAUUAUUUGACGCCAUCAACUAGUCCAUGGAAGACCGUAGCUCGUGUGUUCAAAGAUUACUCCAUCUAUGAGGGUUACCAGGAUCACAUUGAAGAUGAAGCAUUGAAGCGAGCCACAAGAUUUUAUCCUCCAUGAGCAAAACAUGAUAAUGUCUAGCCAAAGACAUUAAAGAAAUGCGCUUUUUGGGAGGCAACCCAAUUGUUAAUUUUAUUGUUUUAGUGCUUAAUUAUUUAAUUAUGUCGUUUUUCACGUGGGUACUAGUCACUCUUGAUGUUUUCUAACUCUGAUCAGGAUAGGUAAUCUUAGCGUGCCCACGCGAGGAGGGCACGCGUUAAAGUGCGUAAAGUAACUCUCGAAGUCAGUGGAUGCUCUCUAAUCUUGGCGUGCCCACGCCAUGUUUGACGACCCAAAAACAAAGGAAAUAAUUUUUCACUUUAAAAAAAAAAUAAUAAAUUUUUUUUUUAAAAAUAAAAGUAAUUUCGUUUUUCAUUUUCAGUUUUGGUAUUCAAAAAUCGAAUUUUCCAAUCUCAAUUCAAUUUAAAAAAAAAAAAAUUCCAAAAAAUUUUUUUUUUUCUUUCUUCUUCUUUUCUUUCUUCUUUUUCUUUCUUUCUUCCUUCUUCCCCGCUGCUUUCCCUUUCCCCCUGUCCUUUUCUACUUCAGUCGCAGCCUCCAUGCUCCACCGUGCCUCCACGCCAUCAGAUCGCGGCCUCACCUCACGGUCGCCACCAGCUCUGCCAAGCCGCGCCUCUCCUCCACUCUCACCUUCCAAGAGCGCCGCCUCCUUAGCUUCGCUCGCCGCACCCCACCCACGGCCUGCUCCAGUACCAGCUCUCCACCAGCUCGCGCGCCUCUCUCCGCCUCACGGUCCACCACCACGCGAGCACCGCCAGCUCUCAAGCUCGCCGUGGCCUCCUCUCUCCACCACCAGCUUGCAACCCUCUGCUUCAACCCGCCGCCACUCUCUUCGCCACUGUCUCCACGCAGCCCGCCGCCACCUCACCUCGCUCACCACCAGCCUCAAAGGCCUUCCCCCCAUCGCGAGCCAUCUGCCCAACGCGCACGCUGCCACUCUCCCCUCCCGACUGCCCCAGCGCGCCUCCUCCUUAGCUCAGCCCGCCGCCUGGUGCUGACCACCACGCCGCGCGCCGCCAGCGCUGGAGCCGCCUGCGCGCUACCACUUCACCUACUGCGCGCCUCCACCUCAGCUUGUCCGCCAAUGUCGCGCGGCUGUCACCACCUGUCCUAUUUAGACAGGUGGAGGUAUUGUGAAUUCUGCCCCAAUUAGUUUCACUCUCUGAAAUUUGUGGUUGGAUUUCUUGAUUGAUAAAAGAAGGUGAUAAUUUGGGCAUUUUCUAGGGUCAAUUUUGGACAGAAUUGGGUUUAAUUGCUGCCAUAGUGGGGGUAUCUUCUGCUAUUUAUUGAAUUGUUGGCCUUUUGAUUACUCUUUCCCUGCGACUCACCAGGUACUGGUUGAGAUCUUUUGCCUAUCGUUGUGGCUUAUAUUUGAAGAUACUUGCUUAUUUUGCCGUUUCAGUUCUUGUGGUUGAGUUGCUGCCGUUGAAUUUAAUUCUUUCCUGUUUGUGCACCAGUGGUACUGGUUGCGGUGUUGCUUACAAUUCUUAAAUUUUCUCGAAUUCUAAUCGGUAGUUGCUGGAAUUGCUUGUUUGCUGGGAUUCUUAAAAUUCUUAAGGCUUGGUAUCUUGAAGUGGGUACUUGAAUGUCCACUUGGUGACAUUUGUUGAGUUUCACUUGCUCCAAUUGGUUGAAUUCAUUGCUCUGUUGGGGUCCCUACUGGUAUCACUUGACUUCUGCUUUGUUAGUUUCUGUAUCGUGCCCCUUGAUCUUAUUUUGACUGAAUUGGAAACCCAGUGCAUAUUCAUUCAAUUUGCUGUAUUGUUAGGGUACUUUUCUAGCCUUUGGGGUGCCUCAGUUGUGCUUUUUAUUAAUUGGGUUGGCCAUGUGGUUCCCUCCUUUCCUGUGUAUACACCAGUGGUACUGGUUGUGCUAAUUUGCUUACAAUUUCUUAUUUCGAUAUGAUUGAGCAUCUGUGACUGAGUAUCCUUCGAUCUUGUUGCUUUGUUGGGAUCGUUUUUGGUGUCAAUUGAGUAUCAUUUGGUACUUUCUGCCUGGAGUCUAUUGAGCUGCCUUUGGUUGGGGUGUAUUGCAUUUAAUUGGUGCAUUGGACGGCUCCUGUGCCAUUUCCGUUGCUUAUUGAAGUAGGUUGCCUCUAUUUGCCUUGUGUGGGAGUAUUUUGUCCUUUUCAUUUCAAUUGCUAAAUUCAUUGGAGCACUUGUUGCGGUUUUGGGAUGCAUUGUUAUUGCAUUUGGCUAAGCAGGGGACCACCCAGGGGCUAACGACUGGGUCCAACUCCGAAUGCAAGUUGCAUAACAUGGCGCAGAAUUUGGCAGCACUCCGCCCGACCCACUCCUGUUUUGACAACUUCAGGGAAGUACCGUUACCCUUCCCCUUCCUUUUGCUGUUAGUUUAUCACAUUGAGGGCAAUGUGAGAAUUAGGUGUGGGGGGGAUCAGUUUGGGUGCUAGUAUUUCCAGUUUUCGAUUUUUAGGUAUCUUUCCUUUGUUUUUAGUUUGAUAUUUAUCUCCUUUUCGUUUAUUUCUUUUAUUCGUGAUCAGGUCUUAUUGAAUACCAAGUUUAAUGUUGGAUUGUUGUCUCUAAUUCUGAUAUUGCCAAGUUUUAGUAAUAAAAAGGUAUCAAGUUGAUGUGGUUGAGUUCAGGAACAUCUCUUUGGUGAAUAUCAGUAAUUGCUUGACUUUUCUAAUUUUUAGUUAACUUUUCUAGGCAUAGAGAAUGAUUGUUGGCAUUUUUCAUGUGAAUUGGUCCAAUUAUUAAUUUUAGUUCUCCAUAUUUGGAAAUUUGAGGCUGGCUGCUGUUAUUUUGUGUCAUUUUUAGUUAUUGUGCUAUAUGGUUGUAAAUAAGAGUUGACUGUACUCCGCUAGUGGUUACUACUGAGUAACCGGGGAUCUUCACCUAAAGUGUUGAUUUUCGCGUCAAAAGGUAGUAGUUGCUAUAAGUGCGUGGUCCCGUAGCGAUUGGAGCUGAGUAACCGGGCUCCUCCAUCUGGCAAAUGUUGGAGUUCGCGUCAAAAGGCUCUAAGGGCUAUAGACUAAGUCUUUUGUUACUUCAAAAAAAAAAAUAAAAAAAAAAUAAAAAAAAGAAGGAAAAAAGUAAAGUAAAGAUUGUGUUAGUAUGUGAAUAAGUCAGCUUGCCGGUUUGUGAUCUUAAUGUCGAUAUUUUAGUUAAUAGUUGGACCAUUUGCUAAUAAAUGUGAGCAACUAUUCCUUUUUCUUAGAUUAGUUUGCUUUAAAUUGGAGGAGUUGGUGGUUGGGAAGCUAACCGGAGUGGUCUUUCUUGGAUCUUAACUGUGAUGCUUGAUAUAUGUUUUUCUGGGCAUCUUGGCAAUAUGAUAGUUAGAGCAAUAGCCAUUGUCGAAUUUUUGGUGUUCAAUUGCUGUUCUUAUGCUUGAGGGCAAGCAUGAUUUAGGUGUGGGGGGAAUUGAUAGGGCAUAAUUUGUUGUUAAUUUUAUGAUUAAUUUUCCUCUUUGUCCUUGCCAAAUAUUGUUUUAAUUGUUGAAAUGUACUUAUAUUUGGUAUUUGGCCCUAAUUACAGGAAGUGGAGCAAACAAGUGCUAAAAAGGAGACUUUAUUGAGAAAAACACUCCACACAUGGGAAGUUCUAAAAGGAAAUACAAGCUGGGCUCCACAGGAUGCUACAAAAAGGGAUUUCCUAUCUUUAUGCUGAAAAGGGUGGACUUGUACUAGGAGUCUUACGGGUAAAGAGGAAACUAAAAACAAAGACUUUGGCAAAGCUCCAAUUCUUUGGCCCUUGGACUCUCAAUUCAGUGGGGACCACUAGAGAUAGCAUUAGACUUUCUUUUGGCUUUAAAAAGGGAGAAACGUACAGGAGGUUUUGUUAUCAAUAGUUUUAGCUUAGCCUUUAGCAUAGUUUUAGUUUUCUUUUCUUUCUUGGCUCUUUUGAUGGCCUGGACCUCAAUUAAAUUACUUGGAGAUUUUCUCAUGAGGCGUGGCUAAGUUUUUCUAGUCGAGGAACAACGGAGGACUUGGUUCUACUAAAUUUGUGAGAUCAAAUUAGUUUUUAUUUAUUUCCAUUAUUCACUGGUAUUCGUCUAUCUUCUGCUUUAUGUUCAUAUGGUUGUUUUAUUAUUCGAUUAUCCUGGGCCCGGAUUCUAGAUUAAUUCAAUAACCUGAAGCCAAUUAGGGUAGUUAAAUCCGUAAUUGUUUAAUUAUUCUAAACUGGUAGCAACUGGCAUGAUUGGGUUUGUGUCAGGGAGAUAGACAUGCUAACUUAAAGAGACCCUCGUAGCGUGUUGAUUGGUUAGAAUUAGGCUCUUCUAAUUAUUCAUGCAAUUAGGGAAUUGAACUUCUAUGGUCGUACCUAGGGUUGUUUCCUGAUUAGAGAAAUAAUCAACGGUCGUACCUUGGCUAUCGACAAAUUGAGGAAGAGUUGGUUGUUUAUCGCGUGUAUGACAACUAUAACUAAUUUAUCAGAUAGUAACUGGAAUAAUCCUUGAAUCUGUGAUCGAAUUAAGUGAACCAUCUCCGAAGUUGUCUCUUGGCUAGAGUUCGUCCAUUAUUAUUUUUAUUGUGAUAAUUAGUUAUUUGAGUUGUAGUUAUUUUAUUUUAUUUUAAUUUAUUCCAAGUAAUUUAGUUACUCUCAUUUUCAAAAACCCCCCAUAUCUGGAAUUUGAGAAGAAAUUAAAUUAUCCCCAAUCCCUGUGGAUUCGACCCUGCUUACCGCUAUAUACAGAAUUUGUAUUUUAUUUGAGCAGGUAUUUAUUAUUGCACAGGCUUGACACCUGUCAAGGUUCACGUGCAAAGCACGUGCUCCAUUACUAGUGAGAUAAUAAAAAUAUGCUCAGAAAAUGUGAUCAUAAAAAAUAUAGAAACUUUAAUCCAGACAAAUAUUUAGACAAUCACUAAUUAGUUAUUGCUAUUAUUAGUACUACUUUUUAUACUGUUAUAGAUAUAAAAGGAUUUACUUAUAUUGGCCUUCGAAGUUUUAUAGGCAUGGAAAUGUAGAAAUGCUUUUCUUGUAACAUAUCGCUGAGCUAUCAAGGAAAAAGAUUUGAAGCCAAGAUGUGUAAGAUCGAUGUCACAUUGCUGCUUCGUGGAACAACAUUGAUGCAUAAGGACCAGUUCGCAUGAAAGCAAUUUUGCAACUAGACACCAUGUAAAAUGUCACUUUGAUGAACUAAGGUUGACCCUAUAUGUUCCCAUUUAAUUCUUGUAAAAUUGAUUUCCAUAAUUUUAUCUUUCCAACGUUCCCAUCCACCAACUGGGAUCCUUUUUUGAAUACAAAAUUGUGCCUUAGCAAUUCAGUUUUCUAAAUUGCUCUCUGAUUAACAUAAAGUAGAAGGGCUCAAGCUGACUGAUUCUUGUGCUCUGAGUCCUGUCCUGAGCUUUACAGAUACAACGAGCAAUGGAAAAGAAUCACUGGACACAACCUGCAGUCAACUGCAGAACAUUGAGAAAAAAUACGUUGCCUGUUACAAAGCUAAGAUACAACUUCAAGAAGGAUGCAAGCACCUAUCAGGGUUCAGCUAAUCCACAUCUUUCUGCGACAAAAUACCGGCUACUUUGAACUACAAGUAAUAAGGAAGAUAUGGCAAAUGAGUUCCAAAAGAAGUAAAAAGCCACCUCAUUAACAUGCCUACAAAUUGCUGAAUCGGUUGGACAGUUUAAAAGAACCACGCCAACAGGGAAGAUCUUAGGCUUUGGCCAUCCGAGGCAGGGAGCAAAAGGGAUUUCCAUCCUGGAUGUUUUCAUUUGAUCUGACUGAAACAGGAUCUUGUUCAGCAAGGGAUCAUAUUAAAAGUACCAAGGAUAGUAAGUAAGAGCUAUCAGGGUUAAUGUUGAUCUUUGAGUGCAAAACACAAAAACUCAAACUUAAGAAACUCGAGACAGCAUGUAGGUGGCAGAAUGAGCUUAAUAGCCUUCAUCACAGCGGAUGAAAUAAUUGCAGCAAGUAGCAGCAGCCAACCAGGAUGCUUGGCAGUCUCGACUAACCAUAGCAAUAUGCUUAGACGUGCUAGUGCAUAAUCAGGAUGUUUCGUUUUGCAGGUUAGACUUGAUUGUGUUAGAAGAUACUCUAACAAGUCUGUGCAGCUUCGCUGCAUGAACAGUACAUCUUCCGUGGCUGCUCCCAAAAACAUUUUCAUUAUGAGAAGAUUUCUCAAGUUUUGGUUGCAAUAUGUUCAGAAUCAAAGUAGUCAAAAGUCAAAUUUGAGUAGUAAAAGAAGAGUAGUAUAUCUGAACUUACCAGACUCUUAGAACCAGACACCAAUUUGAUGACCAACUGCUCUGAAAACUCCUCAAAUCUUUACUACUAGAAAAUCAUAACCAAGGAAAAGUGAGACAGAAACCCAUUAUCUACGAGACUUAUCGAACAAAUCACUAAUCAAAUGGUUCAAGAAGCUUGAUAAAUGCGCCAUCAAGAGGUGAUUAAACUUUGGAGCAACUAUUUACUCCCACUAGAAUCAUAAGUUAGGGAGCUGAUCACUUUAGCAAUCACAUCUUACGUCCACAAAAGCAGAUAUAUAAAAUCAACAAAACGAAACUCCUAGUGCUUAUUUCAUAUUGAUGGGUAACUUGGAGGAAAUGCAAACCAAAAAUUAAUUAAUACCAACUAUAAAAAUCUAAUCUAAGUUCAUCUGCUUGUUAAGUGCAGGAGGAAGGAGUGCAGUAGAGAAUUGCGGGUUUAAAGUCUUAUAGAAAAGGUUUGUAGAAUUGCUGCUUGUGGUAUCAAAUCUAAAAUGUCCAAUGCAUUUUCAAAGGGUGAAACUUCAGAGAGAACAAUCAUUUCAUCCUGGUGAAAUCACAAGUUUAAGUGCACCGAUGUUAGCAAUCACGACGUACAAAGGACAGUAACUGACAUACAUCAUAAACAAAACUAAAUUCUAAAUUCCACCCACAUUAACGGAUUUGUUUAGUGCUGGUUCAUCCAAAACGUUAUUCAGUUAACCCAAGAAAAUCUCGUUCAUUUUGGUCACUGAAAAAAAUAUGCAACUGAAGCUUGAAAUGUAGUCUUGAAACAUGGAUGGUAUUGAAUUGGACCACCAUUUGCCAUGUUUCAUCUUUGCAACAGCAAAUGAGAUGUGAUACAACGGGAGAAAUACCAAUUUGACAUUUUAAAUUAACCAAAAUGAUUGUUUAAUUCCGUUAGUUUAGAUUGGUAUGGAACCAUGCAUGGCUUAUUAGUGGUGAAGGUUAUGAAAUAUUGCGCUUAUUCAUGAUAAGAGUUACCUGGAAGUUUCAAUCGUAAUGAAGAGAGAGAAAGGACCGUGUAACGACCCCAUUUUCCCCUUAGGCGAACCAGAGAGGUCAACGGGCCGCCUGCCCAGCUCUCGCCAGGACUCAGUCGUUCACUACAAUCCUCAAAUAAAUUACAAGAAUAAACCUCAAAUAUUACAAUAUAAAUCUCCAAUAUUUAAUUACAUGGUCCACAAAUAUACAUCCAAGUCUCCAAUAAUUACAUGUCACAAAUGCAGCGGAAACAAUUCCUAACUAUACAUAAAAUGAUUCCAAAUCAAAACUGUACAAAACAUAGGCCAUCCAAUCACGUGCACAAGUACUAUAAGUCCUUCCUUCGCCUUGAGCCCUGUGGAGGGGAAUAAAAUAGUUUUUUGGGGUGAGCUAAAAGCUCAGCGAGUAACCAGCAAAAUCAUUAAGCACAUAUAUUUCACAAUGUUGCAUUUCGAUGAUUUCGAUGAUGUCAUGAUUCCAAGAUCACAUGUACGUUUAUUGCUCUCGUGAGCCAGUGAAAUCAUUGCACUUGAACACCCAACGCUCAAAUAUAUCAUUUAACAUUAACUCACGAACUCACGAAAGUGGGAGCAACAUUGGUGCUCCAGAUAACCAUGAACAUGAACCAUAAACAAGGUGGAGACGUUGGUGUCCAGCACAAGACUUUCCCAGAACUCAUUGAAGCCAAAUCAUGUCAUGAAUUCACAUGCAAGCACGCAUGAUAUGCAAUCGAAUAAUUAAUGCAAGAAACAUUUCACAAAUAACUUUGGAAAUAGUUUAGGGUCACUCACCUCCACGCCUCAGAACCCAUCCGUCAUAUACCAUUAUCUUGUCCGAAUCCAAGCCCUAAAACCCAAAACAGAUUUGAUGUCCUUUUGCGGUAAUGGUACCAAAAGCAGUACGAUGGUCGGAUGAAGGUGCAAGACCCACCGUUUCGAAGCUAAGAGACAGGGCUACAACAAUGUAGAAGGCCUCUCAGUCCAAAUCCUAGCACAACUAGGUCAAAAGUGCCAAAUACCAAACCAGAAUUACCAAAACAGGUUUGCAAAACGCAGAAAACUGUAAUCGAUAUAACUCAGUCCAUACAAGUCCAAAUGCCGAAAUUCCAAAGGCAUAAGUUAUUUAAGACAUCCAGCUACAUUUCAUCAGAAGACACCAACUUUAAAAUCCAAACCAAUACCAGUCCAAACAGGCAAUUACUAUCGCAGUUCGGACAUUCUGUGCACCAAAAACAGCAACAGUAAAGACGGCAUAACUCACUCUACGCAGGUCCAAUUGCCCUGAAAUUUUGCAGGCACACUAAACUCAUCAAUACCUACAACUUUCAUGUUUUGAGAAAAGUCCAAUUCGGCCUCUAGCUAUGACCUAAAAUUUCGGACAGAAUAGGGGUUCAAGAACCCUAACUUUUCACAUUUCAUUCCAAAUCCAAAAUUGAUUGCAUUUAACAACAAUUCACACCUACUAGAGCCAAAGCCCCUUAUUACCAACCAUCAUACUAGUCCAAAACAUCAAAAUCAUAUGAAACCAGAAAAUUCAUCAUAAAAUGGAAAACUUCACCAAAUCAAGCCAAACCAAGAAAUAAAUCAUAUAAUCCAACACUCAAGCCUCUGCUAAGCAUAAUAUAACCAUAAUUAGGUGUAGUAGGGUGUUCAAGCAUCACUUACCAAGAAAUUAAGAGAGAUAGAGAGGUUGGCCACCUUAGAGCUUCAAAACAACUUCACCAAGUCACUUACUAGCACCUAAUGGAGUGAUUUUAUGGAGCAAAUCUAAGUUUAAUUGGUUGGAAUGGAAGAUUGAGAUAGUUUGAAGCUUGUAAAUUGAAGAAGUUUUUCUUCCUUGUCCAAGAGAGAGAAUCGGCCAACAAGAGGUAAGAAAGAAUGAAUUUUUAGUCAAUUUUUGAGAUAUUUAAUCCAUGAUAAGAAAAGUCAAAAAUGUCCACCAAGUGGACCAAUCACAUAGUGCCACUUGGCACUUCAUUUAAUGCCUUCCUAUCACUUGGUUCCUCUCACAUCAAUGCCAUGUCACCCUCUACUUAUCUCUUAACACCCGAUAAAUUUCCACCAGUAUCCGAAACUUAACCUUAUUGGCCGAAUUUUGCCGUACUUUUCGCACUAGUGGGUCCCACGUCCAAAAUAUAUUCUUAAUUUUCUAAAAACUCACCAAUACUAGAAAAAUCAUUUGAAAAUGAUAUUUGCUCAUAAACUUUAUCUGGGGAAUUUUUCUAAUCAAGAAAAUGUAGAAAAUGCGGGCGUUUAAAAAAAUAAACCCUAGAAAAUUAGAAAAUUUCCGGGUUCUCAAACUCAUUUUUUUUCGGGGCGUCACAAUCUCCCCUCCUUAAAAGAAUGUCGUCCUCGACAUUCCCUCUUGUACCAAUCAAGUCAAGACAUCCCACAAAAAUCUCUCAAGAGUCAAAUCAAACCCACAGUCCGGCAUCCUAAACUUCAAGCCUAGGAUACACUACAGAGAUCUAAAGCCUAAGCUCUGAUACCAACUGUAACGACCCCAUUUUCCCCUUAGGCGAACCAGAGAGGUCAACGGGCCGCCUGCCCAGCUCUCGCCAGGACUCAGUCGUUCACUACAAUCCUCAAAUAAAUUACAAGAAUAAACCUCAAAUAUUACAAUAUAAAUCUCCAAUAUUUAAUUACAUGGUCCACAAAUAUACAUCCAAGUCUCCAAUAAUUACAUGUCACAAAUGCAGCGGAAACAAUUCCUAACUAUACAUAAAAUGAUUCCAAAUCAAAACUGUACAAAACAUAGGCCAUCCAAUCACGUGCACAAGUACUAUAAGUCCUUCCUUCGCCUUGAGCCCUGUGGAGGGGAAUAAAAUAGUUUUUUGGGGUGAGCUAAAAGCUCAGCGAGUAACCAGCAAAAUCAUUAAGCACAUAUAUUUCACAAUGUUGCAUUUCGAUGAUUUCGAUGAUGUCAUGAUUCCAAGAUCACAUGUACGUUUAUUGCUCUCGUGAGCCAGUGAAAUCAUUGCACUUGAACACCCAACGCUCAAAUAUAUCAUUUAACAUUAACUCACGAACUCACGAAAGUGGGAGCAACAUUGGUGCUCCAGAUAACCAUGAACAUGAACCAUAAACAAGGUGGAGACGUUGGUGUCCAGCACAAGACUUUCCCAGAACUCAUUGAAGCCAAAUCAUGUCAUGAAUUCACAUGCAAGCACGCAUGAUAUGCAAUCGAAUAAUUAAUGCAAGAAACAUUUCACAAAUAACUUUGGAAAUAGUUUAGGGUCACUCACCUCCACGCCUCAGAACCCAUCCGUCAUAUACCAUUAUCUUGUCCGAAUCCAAGCCCUAAAACCCAAAACAGAUUUGAUGUCCUUUUGCGGUAAUGGUACCAAAAGCAGUACGAUGGUCGGAUGAAGGUGCAAGACCCACCGUUUCGAAGCUAAGAGACAGGGCUACAACAAUGUAGAAGGCCUCUCAGUCCAAAUCCUAGCACAACUAGGUCAAAAGUGCCAAAUACCAAACCAGAAUUACCAAAACAGGUUUGCAAAACGCAGAAAACUGUAAUCGAUAUAACUCAGUCCAUACAAGUCCAAAUGCCGAAAUUCCAAAGGCAUAAGUUAUUUAAGACAUCCAGCUACAUUUCAUCAGAAGACACCAACUUCAAAAUCCAAACCAAUACCAGUCCAAACAGGCAAUUACUAUCGCAGUUCGGACAUUCUGUGCACCAAAAACAGCAACAGUAAAGACGGCAUAACUCACUCUACACUAGUCCAAUUGCCCUGAAAUUUUGCAGGCACACUAAACUCAUCAAUACCUACAACUUUCAUGUUUUGAGCAAAGUCCAAUUCGGCCUCUAGCUAUGACCUAAAAUUUCGGACAGAAUAGGGGUUCAAGAACCCUAACUUUUCACAUUUCAUUCCAAAUCCAAAAUUGAUUGCAUUACAACAAUUCCACCUACUAGAGGCCAAAGCCCCUUAUUACCAACAUGCAUACUAGUCCAAAACAUCCAAAUCAUAUGAAACCAGAAAAUUCAUCAUAAAAUGGAAAACUUCACAAAAUGAAGCAAACCAAGGAAAUAAAUGAUAAUAAUCCAACCUCAAGCGCACUUUUUCUAAGUAAUAUAGACCCAUACUAAGGUGUAGUAGGGUGUUCACGGCAUCACUUACCAAGAAUUAGAGAGAUAGAGAGGUUUGGCCACCUUAGAGCUUCAAAACAAAUUCAGCCAGUACUUACUAGCACUAAUGGAGUGAUUUUUAUGGAGCAAAUCUAAGUUUAAUUGGUUGGAAUGGAAGAUUGAGAUUAGUUUGAAGCUUGUAAUUGAGAAGUUUUUCUUCCUUGUCCAAGAGAGAGAUCGGCACAAGAAAGUAAGAAAGAAUGAAUUUUUAGUCAUUUUUGAGAUAUUUUAAUCCAUGAUAGAAAAAGUCAAAAAUGUCCACAAGUGGACCAAUCACAUUAGUGCCACUUGGCAACUUCAUUUAAUGCCUUCUAUAAUUGGUUCCUCUCACAUCAAUGCCAUGUCACCCUCUACUUAUCUCUUAACACCCGAUAAAUUUCCACCAGUAUCCGAAACUUAACCUUAUUGGCCGAAUUUUGCCGUACUUUUCGCACUAGUGGGUCCCACGUCCAAAAUAUAUUCUUAAUUUUCUAAAAACUCACCAAUACUAGAAAAAUCAUUUGAAAAUGAUAUUUGCUCAUAAACUUUAUCUGGGGAAUUUUUCUAAUCAAGAAAAUGUAGAAAAUGCGGGCGUUUAAAAAAAUAAACCCUAGAAAAUUAGAAAAUUUCCGGGUUCUCAAACUCAUUUUUUUUCGGGGCGUGACUGGGCCUAAUGGGACUUGGACUGGGCCCUGGUUCAUGCACACAUCACCGAAACUCUGAAAGAUGACCAGUUGAGUAAUUUAGAAAAAGAGAUGCGGCAGCCAACAAGUAUGACAGGCAGAGAAAGCUAAAGAAUCUUCAUGAAGUGAAUUCCUAGAACAGCAACCAAUUAUUACCAUUUGAUGCUUCAAAGUUCAAAUCAUCACAGUUAGACUUAAACUUCAGUAAAGGAUAAUCUGCCAAGUCUUUGCAGCUUCAUUGCUAGAACAAUACUAUUUUCCCUUGCAACCUCAAAAAAUGACUUGAACAUGUCCUUUUUUUUUUGAAAGGGGGGAGGGGCGAGGGGUUAGUUAACAAAUUGAGAAUCAAACUGCUUAAAACUCAAUAUUACAUAGUUGAAGAAGAAAGUUUAUCAUGGAUUAGGAGCAUUUCUUAAAAAAAAAAAAUUGGUAUUGUAGAUUACCAGUCCAUUUGGCAUGAUGAUAAGAAUAAGAUAAUAACAUUUUCUAGAGGUGAAAGUUCAGAGUAACCAUUUUUUCCUCAUAGAAUCUCAGGUUUAGGAAUCAAUGUACAGCUUGCAGUAGCAGACAUAUGUGAUGAGCAAAUAUAAACUGCUACUCUUUAUUGAAAGAUAGCGCAGGCAUAAAUCUGAGGGCAAAUGGUCUUUAACUAUCAUAUUAUGUUUGACUGUCCGCAACAAAUAAUUUGUUUGUAAAUAUCUGCAUUCUAUGAUUGAGGAAGGAAAGGAUAGAAGUGAAGUGGGACUAUUUGCCAGAAGCAAAAUACAAAAUGCUCAUCAAAUGGAUCCUUUACAUUUGGACAAGGCACCUAAACCACAAUUAUACCAAAAAGGAUAGAUUGGAUGAUGAGGUCAGUCUCUCAAGGAGUGCUAUGUGUGAGCCGUGAUGCGUAUUCUGUGUGUGUGAGUGUGCAGUUUGUGUGUCGAGAUGCUAUAGUAAGUGAUAGUGUUUACUUUGAUGACUGCAGUUGAACCUUUUCAGACCGCCUAAGACAAGAGAAGUUCAUCAAAGCAGACCUCUGCCUUCAACAAAGUGAAGUUGAGCAGUUACAUCAUUUCCAAGACUGGCAAUUUACUUCCAUGAUUAAAAUAGCUUACAAGAUAGUACAAUCAACAAUUGAGAUCUCUAAUUCCAAUCUAUUAUCAAUUUGAACGUGCACAGCAGAAUCCUCUCAAAUCCUUGCUAUUACAUGGCCAAACAACAUUCCUGGAAGCAGACCCUCGAAAACUUUCAAACUCUGUUACUAAUAAUCAUUUUAGUCACAAUACAUAUAUCACCUCACCUCAGGCAAUAAAUAAAAAUCUUCUUAAGAGUUUCACUGGAGUAUGUUCUCCUACAGAAAAAAAAAAGGAGAAAAAAUCCUAUAAGUUAAAUAGUUUGAAAUCUUUCUGUGUUAGAAAAUCCACAAAUUUCUGUGCUGGGACGUACUUUCAUUUGACACUUUAUUCCAUGAAUGCAAAACAAUAAGUAAAUUUUGGUGAAUUUUUCCAUUUUAUGAUGAAUUUUCUGGUUUCAUAUGAUUUUGAUGUUUUGGACUAGUAUGAUGGUUGGUAAUAAGGGGCUUUGGCUCUAGUAGGUGUGAAUUGUUGUUAAAUGCAAUCAAUUUUGGAUUUGGAAUGAAAUGUGAAAAGUUAGGGUUCUUGAACCCCUAUUCUGUCCGAAAUUUUAGGUCAUAGCUAGAGGCCGAAUUGGACUUUGCUCAAAACAUGAAAGUUGUAGGUAUUGAUGAGUUUAGUGUGCCUGCAAAAUUUUAGGGCAAUUCGCCAAGUGUAGAGUGAGUUAUGCCGUUUUUACUGUUGCUGUUUUUGGUGCACAGAAGGUCCGAACUGCGAUAGUAAUUGCCUGUUUUGACUGGAAUUGGUUUGGAUUGUGGAGUUGGUGUCUUCUGAUGAAAUGUAGCUGGAUGUCUUAAAUUACUUAUUCCUUUGGAAUUUCGGCAUUUGGACUUGUAUGGACUGAGAUAUACCGAUUACAGUUUUCUGUGUUUUGCAAACCUGUUUUGGUGAUUCUGGUUUAGUGUUUGGCAUUUUUGACCUAGUUGGGUCAGGAACUGGAUUGAGUGACCUUCUACAUUGUUAUAGCCCUGUCCCAUAGCUUCGAAACGGUGGGUCUUACACCCCCAUCCGAUAAUUGUAGUGAGAGUUGUGCCAUUACCGCAUUAGGACGUCAAAACCGGUUUUCAUAUCAAGGCCUUAGUUAAAGCCCUUUCUUAAUUUCUGGUUUCCUUUAAUGUUUGUAAAUGCUUAUGGAACCUUAUUGGGGUCAUGUUUGGCCUUGGUUUAUGACUCGUUAGCGAGUCUUAUUGUAUUUGUUUACAUGUUUUUAGGUCGUGACGGUGGUGCAACGUUCUUUUGACUAAAGUGCUUGAAACUACAUUUGCUAGCUUGGUGAGUGUACUACUCACUUAUGUGCUAUUAUAUGGCUUUGAUAUUUGAACUUGAGAUGUUGAAUGUUAAUUAAUUGAAGUGAGAGUGUACUUUAUCAUUCUCACUUAUUGUAUCGCAUGUUAUUGAAAAGUUAUUGGAAUUUUACAUGAAAUGUUAUAUGAAAUGAAAUACAUGACUUCAAAUGUUAUCCAUGAGCUCAACCCCAUUGGUAGUUGAUUGAAUCGAGCCAGCAAGGGCUUGGUCGUGACAAUUAAUGAGCCUUGGGUAAGGUUAUAUGGAAUCGUGUAGUAUGAGAGACUCUCGAUUCCGGUAUACUCGAGUAAUACCACAAUGCAUGCGUUUGGAUUUCGGGCCCGGUUGAGGAAUGUUAGGAGGAAGGGAAUGGAAGUUAAGUGGGUCUACAGUUGGUUACUUUUCAAACAUUGACGGAGAGUCAAUGAGACCGAUCAAGAAUUCAAACGAGGAAAAGGGCUCUUGAGAGCCACCCGUAUCCUUUUAUCCUCAUUAUUAAUGUGUGGCUUUAUUUAUUUUGGUAAAUUGGACUGUUAAGCUUGAUGUAUCCAUGAACUUGGUUGCUUGAGUUGUAUUCUCACUGGGCAAUUAGCUCACCCCGUUCCUUUUGUUUUCCUUACAGGAAUAUGACUCUUUUGGAAUGAAUUUUGAUAAAUGGUUGCCAAAUGAACUAGAUGAAUGACUCUUUUCUAUUGUAUAUAAAAUGGGACCCUAAAUGUAUCAUUAGGGCCGUUUUCACUUUUGUUUUGGCAAACCAUAUAAGUAGUGACUUUUGUAUCACUUUUAAAUGUCAUUUUGGUUUGUAAAGGCUAAAUGUUAUGGGGUAUAUGUAAUUCGAUGUUUGGUUGGGUUCGGACGAGUCGGUUACUAUUCAUGGCCGACUCCGGGUUUCAUUUUCUUUUAUUUUGGGUUAUUUUGCCCUUUUGCCUUAUUUGCGCGCGUUAUAAGUUCCGGAACGUGAAAGAUCGCUCUAUACUGUACCGUUAGUCCUGGCGAGAGCUGGGCAGGCAGUCCGCUAACCUCUUUGGUUCGCCUUAGGGGAAGGUGGGGCUGUCACAGGUGGUAUCAGAGCCACGUCGCGUGGUCUCUGCGCGAAGUGAGACUGGGCCAAGUGGUGUUGUGGUCCUAAUUUCAUGAAUAUGUGUAAGUGCUCGUUUGAGCAUAAGUUAUGAAUCUUGAAGUGUUAUAGGUCUUUAAUCUUUCUCAUGGUAUUUAAGGACCCUAGAUAAGUAUGUCGGACAGGAAUUUUGAUUUGUAGAUGGUUUACUCUUGGGACUGGCCAGCUCGAGAUGUGAACUAUCUUAUUUCGGAUUCUCGUGCCCGAGUACCCCAGAAUUGAGGUGAUGCAAGCUACUAGGUAUUUGAACCCUGUGUUUUGGAAACAAGCCUUGUAUUUUGGAAACGUGAACAGGCUUUGUCUGACUAAGAUGAGCACAAGAGAUCAAUGGACAUCUAGUUUGGAUAGUUAGUGACGUGAGAGACCAGACGGGCUGGUACUGGGAUGACUUUUCGACUGUAUAUGACUAAGUCUAUAUUUGCUUACCUGCUUAUCCGUCUUUUAAUAUAACGUGUUAUAUGCGAUAUGUUAUUGGUAUGAUAGAUUUUGUUAUGUUAGUCAAUUUAUUGCAUUCAUGCAUGGAAGUACCCUUUUGGAAAAAAAAAACCCGCGGACAUGGUCAUAGCAGUGACACAAAACGAGACCAAGAGUCAAAGAGAAGAAAGGGAGGAAACAACACCUGAACCGAACAUGGACCAAGAGUGCUACUUGUAAUCAAGACUUUCUUAUGACCCAUUGUUUUGCCGACAGGCUACCAUCUGAGGUCCAGCAACUCUGUAAAAUGGCACGUAGGGUUGAGAUGUAUAAUGAAAUCGGGGGUCUUCGAGACGAAAUAAAAGUCCAAAAGAACCUAGUCGCAUACUGGGAAGGGCGCUGGAAGCACGAGUAUACAGAGAAAAUUGAGCUCCUGCACAAAAACUUAGAGCUAAAAAGGAAAUAUGAAGGGAUUUCCGAGGAGGCCCUGGAAAAGGCUCAAUGCAUCAAGAAUGCAAAGGUGCAAGUGAAAGCUUCCCAAAUACGGAAAAGGGGUGCAGUGGGUAGCGUGAGUGAGGAACCUUCUAAAGUACAGAAAGUGAACCAGUUAUUCGGGCCGCCAUGGACAAUGGGGGCGGUAGAUAAAAGAUUUGUCAAUGAAAGCCAAACCAGACAGGGGGAGAUUUCUCCGAAAAGCAAAAAGAUGACUUUCCACUUGACUUGUGACUAUUGCGGAAAGGCCAAUCACACUGAGAAUGAUUGCUGGAGAAAGGGGAGUAGAUGUCUGCGCUGUGGGAGCAUCGAGCAUCGAAUUGCAUAUUGCCCGAUUAAAGUGCGGAAAAAGAAAAGAACUCAACAACCAACCCAGACCGACCCUGCACCGUCAAGUGGAGAAGGGACUGGAAUGAAGAACCUCGUUUCUUCUGACUCUGAAGACGGAGAAGGUACAGGCCAUUGGAUACUUUAAAUUUGAAGGAAAAUUUCGAGGACGAAAUUCUUUUAAGGGGGGGAGAGUGUGAGAACCCGUAAAACCCUAAUUAUUUUCCUAGGGUUUAUUUCCCCUUAAUUGCAUGUUUUCUGCAUUUUCGGGCCUAGGAAUAUUUUUCUGGUAGAUUUUAUGAGUAAUUAUAGUUUUUAGAUGAUUUUUUCUAGUAUUGGUGAGUUUUUAGAAAAUUAAGAUAUAUUUUGGACGUGGACCACUAGUGCGAAAAGUACGGCAAAAUUCGGCCAAUAAGGUUUAAGUUUCGCGAUUUACUGGUGGAAUUAUCUGGUGUUAAGAGAUAAGUAGCAGGGUGACAUGGCAUUGAUGUGGAGAGGAACCAAAGUGAUAGGAAGGCAUUAAUGAAGUGCCCAAGUGGCACUAUGUGAUUGGUCCACUUGUUGGACAUUUUUGACUUUUCUUAUCAUGGAUUAAAUUAUCUCAAAAUGACUUAAAAAUUCAUUCUUUCUUACCUCUUGUUGGCCGUUCUCUCUUUGGACAGGAAAAAACUUCUUCAAUUUACAAGCCUUCAAACUAAUCUCAAUCUUCCAUUCCAACCAAUUAAACUUUAGAUUUGCUCCAUAAAAUCACUCCAUUAGGUGCCUAGUAAGUGACUUGGUGAAGUUGUUUUUGAAGCUUCUAAGGUGGCCAACCUCUCUAUCUCUCUUAAUUUCUUGGUAAGUGAUGCCUUGAACACCCUACUACACCUAAAUGAUGGUUAUAUUAUGCUUAGAAGAGGCUUGAGUGUUGGAUUAUAUGAUUUAUUUCUUGGUUUGGCUUGAUUUGGUGAAGUUUUCCAUUUAUAUGAGAAUUUUCUGGUUUCAUAUGAUUUUUGAUGUUUUGGACUAGUAUGAUGGUUGGUAAUUAAGGCGGCUUUGGCUCUAGUAGUGUGAAUUGUUGUUAAAUGCCAAUCAAUUUUGGAUUUGGAAUGAAAUGUGAAAAGUUAGGGUUCUUGAACCCCUAUUCUGUCCGAAAUUUUAGGUCAUAGCUAGAGGCCGAAUUGGACUUUGCUCAAAACAUGAAAGUUGUAGGUAUUGAUGAGUUUAGUGUGCCUGCAAAAUUUUAGGGCAAUUCGCCAAGUGUAGAGUGAGUUAUGCCGUUUUUACUGUUGCUGUUUUUGGUGCACAGAAGGUCCGAACUGCGAUAGUAAUUGCCUGUUUUGACUGGAAUUGGUUUGGAUUGUGGAGUUGGUGUCUUCUGAUGAAAUGUAGCUGGAUGUCUUAAAUUACUUAUUCCUUUGGAAUUUCGGCAUUUGGACUUGUAUGGACUGAGAUAUACCGAUUACAGUUUUCUGUGUUUUGCAAACCUGUUUUGGUGAUUCUGGUUUAGUGUUUGGCAUUUUUGACCUAGUUGGGUCAGGAACUGGAUUGAGUGACCUUCUACAUUGUUAUAGCCCUGUCCCAUAGCUUCGAAACGGUGGGUCUUACACCCCCAUCCGAUAAUUGUAGUGAGAGUUGUGCCAUUACCGCAUUAGGACGUCAAAACCGGUUUUCAUAUCAAGGCCUUAGUUAAAGCCCUUUCUUAAUUUCUGGUUUCCUUUAAUGUUUGUAAAUGCUUAUGGAACCUUAUUGGGGUCAUGUUUGGCCUUGGUUUAUGACUCGUUAGCGAGUCUUAUUGUAUUUGUUUACAUGUUUUUAGGUCGUGACGGUGGUGCAACGUUCUUUUGACUAAAGUGCUUGAAACUACAUUUGCUAGCUUGGUGAGUGUACUACUCACUUAUGUGCUAUUAUAUGGCUUUGAUAUUUGAACUUGAGAUGUUGAAUGUUAAUUAAUUGAAGUGAGAGUGUACUUUAUCAUUCUCACUUAUUGUAUCGCAUGUUAUUGAAAAGUUAUUGGAAUUUUACAUGAAAUGUUAUAUGAAAUGAAAUACAUGACUUCAAAUGUUAUCCAUGCGCUCAACCCCAUUGGUAGUUGAUUGAAUCGAGCCAGCAAGGGCUUGGUCGUGACAAUUAAUGAGCCUUGGGUAAGGUUAUAUGGAAUCGUGUAGUAUGAGAGACUCUCGAUUCCGGUAUACUCGAGUAAUACCACAAUGCAUGCGUUUGGAUUUCGGGCCCGGUUGAGGAAUGUUAGGAGGAAGGGAAUGGAAGUUAAGUGGGUCUACAGUUGGUUACUUUUCAAACAUUGACGGAGAGUCAAUGAGACCGAUCAAGAAUUCAAACGAGGAAAAGGGCUCUUGAGAGCCACCCGUAUCCUUUUAUCCUCAUUAUUAAUGUGUGGCUUUAUUUAUUUUGGUAAAGUGGACUGUUAAGCUUGAUGUAUCCAUGAACUUGGUUGCUUGAGUUGUAUUCUCACUGGGCAAUUAGCUCACCCCGUUCCUUUUGUUUUCCUUACAGGAAUAUGACUCUUUUGGAAUGAAUUUUGAUAAAUGGUUGCCAAAUGAACUAGAUGAAUGACUCUUUUGUAUUGUAUAUAAAAUGGGACCCUAAAUGUAUCAUUAGGGCCGUUUUCACUUUUGUCUUGGCAAACCAUAUAUGUAGCGACUUUUGUAUCACUUUUAAAUGUCAUUUUUGGUUUGUAAAGGCUAAAUGUUAUGGGGUAUAUGUAAUUCGAUGUUUGGUUGGGUUCGGACGAGUCGGUUACUAUUCAUGGCCGACUCCGGGUUUCAUUUUCUUUUAUUUUGGGUUAUUUUGCCCUUUUGCCUUAUUUGCGCGCGUUAUAAGUUCCGGAACGUGAAAGAUCGCUCUAUACUGCACCGUUAGUCCUGGCGAGAGCUGGGCAGGCAGUCCGCUAACCUCUUUGGUUCGCCUUAGGGGAAAGUGGGGCUGUCACACAGAACCCAUCCGUCAUAUACCAUUAUCUUGUCCGAAUCCAAGCCCUAAAACCCAAAACAGAUUUGAUGUCCUUUUGCGGUAAUGGUACCAAAAGCAGUACGAUGGUCGGAUGAAGGUGCAAGACCCACCGUUUCGAAGCUAAGAGACAGGGCUACAACAAUGUAGAAGGCCUCUCAGUCCAAAUCCUAGCACAACUAGGUCAAAAGUGCCAAAUACCAAACCAGAAGUACCAAAACAGGUUUGCAAAACGCAGAAAACUGUAAUCGAUAUAACUCAGUCCAUACAAGUCCAAAUGCCGAAAUUCCAAAGGCAUAAGUUAUUUAAGACAUCCAGCUACAUUUCAUCAGAAGACACCAACUUCAAAAUCCAAACCAAUACCAGUCCAAACAGGCAAUUACUAUCGCAGUUCGGACAUUCUGUGCACCAAAAAUAGCAAUAGUAAAGACGGCAUAACUCACUCUACACUAGUCCAAUUGCCCUGAAAUUUUUCAGGCACACUAAACUCAUCAAUACCUACAACUUUCAUGUUUUGAGCAAAGUCCAAUUCGGCCUCUAGCUAUGACCUAAAAUUUCGGACAGAAUAGGGGUUCAAGAACCCUAACUUUUCACAUUUCAUUCCAAAUCCAAAAUUGAUUGCAUUUAACAACAAUUCACACCUACUAGAGCCAAAGCCCCUUAUUACCAACCAUCAUACUAGUCCAAAACAUCAAAAUCAUAUGAAACCAGAAAAUUCAUCAUAAAAUGGAAAACUUCACCAAAUCAAGCCAAACCAAGAAAUAAAUCAUAUAAUCCAACACUCAAGCCACUUCUAAGCAUAAUAUAACCAUCACUAGGUGUAGUAGGGUGUUCAAGCAUCACUUACCAAGAAAUUAAGAGAGAUAGAGAGGUUGGCCACCUUAGAGCUUCAAAACAACUUCACCAAGUCACUUACUAGCACCUAAUGGAGUGAUUUUAUGGAGCAAAUCUAAGUUUAAUUGGUUGGAAUGGAAGAUUGAGAUAGUUUGAAGCUUGUAAAUUGAAGAAGUUUUUCUUCCUUGUCCAAGAGAGAGAAUCGGCCAACAAAAGGUAAGAAAGAAUGAAUUUUUAGUCAAUUUUUGAGAUAUUUAAUCCAUGAUAAGAAAAGUCAAAAAUGUCCAACAAGUGGACCAAUCACAUAGUGCCACUUGGCACUUCAUUUAAUGCCUUCCUAUCACUUGGUUCCUCUCACAUCAAUGCCAUGUCACCCUCUACUUAUCUCUUAACACCCGAUAAAUUUCCACCAGUAUCCGAAACUUAACCUUAUUGGCCGAAUUUUGCCGUACUUUUCGCACUAGUGGGUCCCACGUCCAAAAUAUAUUCUUAAUUUUCUAAAAACUCACCAAUACUAGAAAAAUCAUUUGAAAACGAUAUUUGCUCAUAAACUUUAUCUGGGGAAUUUUUCUAAUCAAGAAAAUGUAGAAAAUGCGGGCGUUUAAAAAAAUAAACCCUAGAAAAUUAGAAAAUUUCCGGUUUCUCAAACUCAUUUUUUUUCGGGGCGUCACAGACCGACUCUGCAUCCUACUCUGUUGUUGCUCCAAUUAUCACUUGAUAUACUUUAAAGGAAGGAAAGGACUUUGAAAAGUAAAGGUGGUGAUUAGGAGCCAUCUAUAAACCUACAGUCACUGCAAAACAGAAAACUCAGACUCAGGACUUCACAUAGCAAAUCAUGAGGCUAACUUGAAAUUGCAUGACAUUUUUGUUUAGACAAUUAUUCAGAAAGCUAAAUCAAUAUUUUUUUUUUGUUCCUCUUUUCCAACGUAAAUCAGUAAGCAGAUAUCAAAUCUUUCUGUUCAUUCCACAAGUACCAGAAGCAUCACAAAAACUAUAUAGCUUUUGUUCAAAACACUGAUAAAAGAAAAGUUCUAUAGCAAUAAUGAGAGGCAGAGGUCCCAGAAUUGCCAUAAAAGCAAACUAUUUGAGACUGCAAGAUGCAACAAGAAGAGCUAAUUACAACUAUUUUACUCUUAAAAUCUCAAAUCAUUGCAUUUGAACUUAAACUUCAGAAGAGGAUAGUCUACCAAGUCUCUGCUGCUUGAAAAUGUCUUAAACAUGACAAUUUUUUUUAAGGUCUUAGUUAAUGCAUCGGUUAUUAAACUGCUUAAAACCCAAUGUUAAGUAGUGAAAGAAGAUGGUUGGUAUUAUAAAUUAUCAGACUACCAAUCUCACAACCAAGGGCAGUCAGAGUAACUCGAUUGACCAUUGGAUUUAUGUAAAGAGAUCACAGCUGAAGAAAGUAGAAUCCCAUCAUUUAAGAGACAUAAUAAGAAUACCAAUAAUCAGAUAAUUUGGAGAAAGAUGAUAAAUACAUUCCUAAGAGGUGGAAGUUCAGAGUAAGCAUUUAAAUCCUCGUAGAAUCUCAAGUUUAAAGAGAAUUAGCUCCUUUCAGCAAUCAUGAUAUACAACUGGAGGUAGUAGACAUAUGAGCUGAGCAAAAGUAAUCUGCUAGUUCUUAUUUAACACAAAGAAUUUUGUACCGUAGAUGUAAAGUUUUCAGCUUUGACUUUGCUUAACUGUCCACAUCAAAUAAUCUGCUCUUGAACACGUAUUCCAUAAUUGAAUUUAAUACAUGGUUAGCGACAUUGUUUUCUUCCCGAAACAGCACUUGUUAAGUUUCUCUGAAUCAGACUGAAAAAGCCAAGAGAAGUUCAACAAAGCAGACUACUAACCUUCAACAAACUAAAGCUCCAAAAUUGCCAAUUUACUUCUAUAAUUCGCAGCCUAUAAGGUAGUACAAUUAACAAUUGAGAUCUCUAAGUGCAACCUGCAAUCAACUUGCUAAAUGAUAAUUCUUCAGUCCUUACUGUUACAUUACUAGACAACAUCUUGGAAGCAGACGUUUUAAAACUUCAGAUAUUUUGCAACUAAAUCAUCUUGCUGUACAAUUUUUAUCACCUGAUAUUGGAUGGAUUUAAAAAAAUUUAGUAAUGUUUUCACUGGAGUAUGUUGUUCUGAAGAGACAAAAAAACUAGAAAUUGACUCUUAAAAUCUUUGUCCAUCAUUGCCUACUUAUAAUUUUCUAUGUUCCGUCAAACUUUGAUUUAACAAUCUAUUUCAUAAAUGUAAACACAUUAUCAUUCUUUCCUAGCAAAUUGAUAACCAAAUGAACUUUUAGAGUACUUAGUUGGAUGAGGAGCUUUUAGAUUGAAAAUCUCAGGAAGGCAUGUUUGCCUGCAUUACAAUAAAGAUAGAAGAGCAAAUUCCAUGUCAUUUUUGAGCUAGGAAUCUUACAGAAAGAAAGGGUUUCUUUUUGUUACCUUUGUUCUAAGACUAAUGAGCAGGAAAUAAGACUUGAUACUUAGUACAUCUACUAAUCCAUUUAAAACAAAUUUGCUAACCUUACAGUACUUCUUGAAAAUUUUCAAGCUCCUCAUUGUCAAUCUGUUUCUCUAAUAGAAGCUCUAUCACCAACCAAACCCCCCAUGAUCAUUAGCAGAAAUUCAUGUUAAUGAUCGCUCUUGAUGUUGAAAGACAUUACAUAAGCUGGGUAAAGAAAUUCAGGUGGGUAGUUUGUAGAGGCCAGCUGACAAAGAUAGAGCAUUUUAUCGGGUUUUAGACACCAGGAAGAAAGAAAAGUGUGCCUGUAGUGUGCCAUCCUAAUCAUUUCUGUCCAAUUGAAACAGAAUUUGAUUCAACAAAGUUUUCAAAAGUUACAAGCUAUGUAAUUCAAUCAAUAAGUAAGUGCAAUUGUAGAUUCUAGUCCACAUUUGAGCCUGAGAUCAUUGCAGAACAGAAAACUCAAGUUGAGACAAUAUGUGAACAAGAAAGCUAAUCAGAAAGUUCAGAAAGUUCAACAAUAAUUUUGUUCUGUCAUUCCUACAAAAGGCUAAAAUAUGUCUUGUUUGUUAUCAAAAUAAAUAGAUAAGCAAGUACUAAGUCGUGUUUACAAUUACAGUAUUUUGGUUCCAACCACAAAGCAAGUAAUUACAACUCAUAAAAAGAAAAUAAUAAUGGACAAUUUGUAGUGCAGGCAAAGCAUUUCACAUUGAGGCAUUGAGAAACAAUAGAGGUGUGGGCCACUGAGGCACAAUAGAGAUCCACAUUUAAUUGCUACCAAAACACCAGUUAGUUCUAACUUCUAACUCUGAGCAGUAUGCCGGAGAUGACAAAUUGAGUUCUAAAACAUGUAAAUCAGCACCUCAUUAUCAUGACUACACAUCACUGAAUUGUUUCGAUAGUUUAAAAGAACCAUACCCCAAUGGAUAUCUCAGACUUUGACCAUCUGAGGCACAGAGAAAGAGAGAAUGCCAUCCUAGAUGUUGUUAUUCAGCCGAAGCAGGCUCUUGUUCAGCAACGAAUUGUAGGACUCUCAAAAAGUAAAGACAGUAGGUAAGAGCCAUCGAUGAGGUUCCCUGUUUGUGCUCAAAAUCACUGCAAAGCACAAAAACUCAAACUGAAGGCGGCGAAUAGCAUAGAAUAAAACUAAUGGAAAUUUUCAGAUAAUUGUAGCUUUUCUGUCAUUGUAACUGAAGCCCCAAAAGGAGAAACUUACCUUAAAAAAAGAAGCAACCAACAAUCAUAAAAGCAGAGAGAGCUUAAAAGCCUUUAUCAGUAGCAAUGCUUGUCGCAACAAGCAGGUGGAUUCAUUAACAGUAGCAAGUCGCAACAAGCAGACUUGACCAACUACCAGAAUGCUUCAAAACUUUGCGCUUAGAGUUAAAUGUUGGAAGAUACUCCACCAAGUUUUGUGCAACUUCAUUGCUCAAACAGUACACACCUUCCUUGGCUACCUCAAAAAUAUGAAAGUUCAUUUAUGACUCUGAUAAAGCAAUUACUAGUCAAAUAGUUCAGAUAAAUAUGCAGAGCACGUAAAAGUUCAUUAUCAAGAGGUAAAAGUUCAGUCCCCUUAGAAUUACAAUUUUAAACAGAGUGAGAUGACUUUAGCAAUAAUAACUUGAAAUCCACAGAAGCAGAGCACGUAAAAUAAACAAAAAUAGACUAUUUGUAGGCUAUGCAGGCCAAAAGUUGAUAGCCUAUGCUAGUUGUUCUAAACGUUGAUAGGCUAUUGCGGUCUAGCCAUAUAGACGGUGCUGAAGAAGCUUCAAAAUUCUAACCAGUUCGUGAAGCUAUUCUUCUAUCAAUCCUACAAAAACAAAGCAUAGAACAGAAUAUGAACAAAGAUACAGUAAAACAUCAAAGCACGAAACAGAACAGAGUAUUACUAUUAUGUUGUAAGGAGUAAAUGAAGAGCACCAAUAUUUUGGACCUAAUAAGAAAUGCUAAUGCCGCAGCUUUGAAAGAUAAUAAAUAGGACGAUAAAAAGGGAGAAGAGAAAACUGUACAAAUAACCACGGAGACUUUUUAGGUUUUCUCACGAGAAGGUUAAUCAGAGAGGGAGGUGAAGAGAAGGGGAGAUUGAUUGUAAAGCAAAUUAAGAAAGUUGGACAUAAUCGAGAACUUGAUUAGCGGUUAUGUAUAGGUCUUGAAUGUGAGAAACUUUGGACCACUGGGAGUCGGGGCCGCUGCUCUCAGGAGUGCAUCUUUCUUUUAACAGAGGAGAACCAUAAACCUCCAGACGUUUUAGUUUGGUGAGACUUCUCAUGGCAUCCUCAGAGGGUAGAUGUCCAAGCUCCGUGAAAUGCCGUAAAUGCAGGAAUUCAAGAGCAGCGAAGUUUCCGAACCAAUCUGGCAGAGCUUUUAUACCUCCAAAGUCGCGUAGCCAUAGUGACGUCAGAGUGGUCAAGUAUUGGAUCCGAUGUGGCAGGGACUCCAUGUGUGGCAACCCAAUUAAUGCUAAUUCAUGGAGUGCAGAUUACGAAGAGGAUAUCAAUCCAGACCAAUCAAACUCAUUGUAAAUUGAAGAAUUUUCAUGAUCAUCACCAUCAUCUGAGAAGGGACCAAUUACAAGCUUCCUUAAGCUGGUUAGGAAACCAAAUCCUUUGGGUGUCAUGCUUGUUUUCAGUUUGGGACAGCAGUAUAAUCCCAGCUCCAAGAGAGAAGGCGUUUGUUGCAAAUCAAGCGGAAAGGAGACAAGAUUGUCGCACCAACUCACCUGAAGCUUCUGGAGAGAGGCACAAGAGUGCAGCAAGUCACCGGGCAGAUUCGUCAACCCAUCGCACUCAUCAAUCACCAGCUCUUUAAGAGACGUAAAGUUUUGCAGGGGAAGGAGUUCUCUGCAUCUGUUGCAGAAAUUAAAUGCCAAACGCGCUAACUUGGGUGGUGGUGUUGUUGUUGACUCGGGGAGUGUUGUUGUUGUUGGCAAAUUCAUUAACCAUCGAGGAAAUUGAUUGCCCAUAAAAUUCCAAAUUAUCAACUCCUCCAAAUUUGGGUGGGGUAGAAGGCCAUCUAACACAUCUUCAUCGUUGUAGUUGUCACCUUCUCGAUCAGGGGCCCACUUAAGUUCCAGCCUAAAUAGAUUUGCCUUUUCAGAUAGUUUUGCUUCCUUAGCUCCUUCCUUAUCCUUUACUAGUUCCAGAUUGCGUAUCUCCAAUUUGCCUUUGAGGUUCUUCAAGCAUCCAAGCUCUCCAAUUUGUCGACCCUUCUCUCGACCCACGCUAAAGAACUCUAGAGUUUGAAGGCAAGUCAGCCUUCCCAUCUCUCGCAGCAUUUGAAAUUCUUCAUCAUAAUCUAUGUAAUAGUGGAGAUGUCUCAAGCUAAUCAAAUUGCACAUUCCCUUCGGAAGAUCUUUAACAUUUGAGCCACUUAGCGUCAAUGUCUGCAGAUUAUAAAGCUUGCAAAGGGAGUCUGGCAAAAUACUGAUUGAAGACCAUGAAAGGUUAACAUACCGCAAAUGUAUCAGUUUGCCAAUUGAGACUGGUAGCUCUUGAGUUCUUCUUGCACGAGACAAAUUCAAAACAUACAAGUUCUUCAACUUCAUUAACAUAUCACCAGAUAAGUCACCAUUUACGAUGAAUAAUGUAUGAAACGAAGUUGAUAGACUCUCCAAAAGUUUUUCUCUGUCUUCUCUGGCACCAGAUGAGUCUAUUGCAAGGUAACGAAUCUGAUCACCAUUGUCUACUAUAUGCGUAUUCCAAUCAUUAAUGACUUUGGUAGACUUUGACAUUGACUCUGCAAGGUCGUGCACCAGAUCAUGCAUCUUAUAAUAUGUUAUCCCAUAGCUUCCUGUUUCUUCAAACAAUGAACUCUGCAAUAAAAUUCUCAGAUAAUUAAUUCCAAUUUCCUCCAUCAUCGUUUGGCUGUUGACGUCUGCUUGGAGGAAGCCUUCAGCCAUCCAAAGUUCGAUCAGCAUAUUUCUUUCCAUCUGAGUAUCCUUAGGAAAUAUAGAACAAUAUGCAAAACAUUUCUUAAUGUAUGGAGAUGGCAAAUUAUCAAAACUCAACUUAAGUAUUUGCAUCACACGAUCUCCACCUACACUCAACCUCAGAAGCCUAUUGUCCAAAAUUGAUUACCACUCCUCUUUUCUCUUUAAACGUAACAGACCUCCCAUUACACUUGCAGCCAAUGGUAGACCGUCACAUCUUUUGAUUACUCUCUUUUUAAUUGCUUUUAGUUCAUCAGGUUCUCCUUCCCCUCCAACUACUUUUUCUUUUACGAUAGACCAACAAUGAUCAUCAGGUAGUUUUCUUAAUGGAUAGGCUUCAUUUUCCAUCAUCAAAACUCUAGACACACACUGCGCCACUGGACCUGGACGAGUAGUGACCAGACACCAGCUUCCAUUAGUUGGAUUGAGCCCCUUCAAGGUGUUGAAAAAGUCCUCCCACAAUGCUUGAUCAUCAUCCCACACAUCAUCAAGGACUAGGAAAUAUCUUUUUCCCCUAGGUUGCUCCCAAUUUUUCCAACGAUGACAUUCCUAUCAUCCACUUCAACCUUUUCUCCCGUCAAUUGCAAUAAAAUGAGUUUGAAAAGCUCCACUAUUGGAACUUUUCUCGAUACACAAACCCAAAUUUUUUUGUUAAAGUGUUCAUCAAUUUUCUUGUUGUUGUAUAUGGAUUUAGCCAAAGCUGUUUUGCCUAAACCUCCCAUACCAACUAUGGGAAGAACAGAAACAACCUUCUCGGACGGGCUCAACAACAUCUCUAGUAUAUUUAAUUCAUCAUCGGCUCUUCCAGUCAUUGGAACAAGAACAGAGUCGGUCUGCCGAUUUCUUGUGUCUCCAACAGCAGGAGCAGCAGGGAGGGCAGCAGGCACGACUGCCCUACUGACCAGUAGCAAUCCGUUGGCUUCUUGAUAGAUGCCAUUCAACUUACGUUUGAUGUCCCUGACCUUAGAGGCCAUUCUCCAACGAAAAGCAAGAUUAAUGUUAGAGCAGGAGAAGAAGCAGCAUACCUUGAGCUUGUGUCGGUUUCGGGACUCCACCUGGUGACGAAGAGAUUCAUAGUGGAGCUCAUCCAACACAUUCUGAGCAUCAUAAGCCACCUCAUCGAGACACUUCAACCAUCGUUGCACUCCUCUGCUUUGGUUUUGCCUUUCCUCAGCAUCAGCCAGGACAUCUUUGAUAAGGCCAAGAGAUUGUGCCAUGCUGGCCACGUCCUUCUUGAGCCCAACUAACAUACCAAUCCUAUCAGAGGCAAGAGACAGUGCCCUUUCCAAGGUGACCUGAAUUGUGGCACCGAUAACAGGGUCGGCCAUUUUUUUUUCUUUUGAAUAUACAACUUGGAUUCAGUCUUGCGAUCAAGAUGGUUUUUUAAAAUGGGAGGUUUUAGCAGCCAGAAAUUGGUAAUGUUACAAGUGGUUAAAAGGAGAAGAGCAUUGAUAUUUGGUCAGCUAAAAAAUGCAGAGUUAUUCUUAACUUUGAUGCCUUCCUUUGCAAUGGAAAUAUAUAUUCCUUGCUUGGCAUCUUCACUUUAAAUUUCUUGGAUGCUUUGAAAUGCAGCGUCAUUCUUAACUUUGAUGCCUUCCUUCGCAAUGGAAAUAUAUAUUCCUUGCUCGGCAUCUUCACUUUAAAUUUCUUGGAUGCUUUGAAAUGGAAAUUCCUGGCAUGGGAUUUUCACUUUAACUUUCUUGCUGGGGCCUUCAUCUUUAUUCCAAUUUCCAUUGAGGGCUGACAAUUACAUUUGCUGUUUACUUAACCUAUAUUGCAUUCAUUCGUUAAUCCUGGAAAGAUGAACUAAUUAGAACAUGAUUUGGUCUUAACGCACACCUUAUUCUGUUGGAUUUUUCUUCCUUGCUAGAGACAUAAGUUGUGUCUCAAUACAAAAAUCAAUUAGGCUUCUAAUUAUUUUGUUAUUCAGAAUCUGAUAUCGUUGAGCAUUGAGCCUUUUCAACUUUGCAUAAUCAAGAUGCUGAGUCUAAUUUGGUGGUGUUGCCAUCACAUUAUAUUCCUUGCUUGUGUUAAUACCUUGAAAUGUGGAUGAAGUUUGGCAAAGAAUAACUUGAAAUGUGGAUUUGCUUCAAACUUUAUAUUCUGAAAUGAAGUUUGGCACUAGACGCCUAAACAAUUAUUCAGCCUAACUGCUUUAGAAAAUUUAUCACAGUGCGAUGGUGAUUUAUAGAUUGAUUAUCACAUAAACAAACUAACUCAUUAGCUUGUAAUGCAUAUAAAUGAUAUUUAACCAAAACAUUUGAAUUCAGAACUUAUUUUUUCUCUCUAUCCCUACCAAACCUAAGAAAAAAAAAAGCCACUGAUUUGCAUCUUUAUUUACAAAGUUAAUUUAAUGUACACAUGACUGAGCGUUAUUACAUUCCCUUAGUAAUUAAAAAAAUUUAGUCAAUUGUCCUAAAUUUUCUUAAAAUUGGAAACAUUUUGGGACAAAAAUUAUUAUUGAUCAAAAUUUUAGAACUAAAAUAGUUCAAGUGCCAAAAAUUGAGGACCAUACUUGUUUUUGCUAAAACUUUAGAACUAAAACUGUGCAAGUGCAAAACACUAAGGACAAAAACAUUUUUUCCAAAAGUUAAAAGAAACUUCAAAAAACUGGAAAAAAAUAUUUGCAAUCGGGGAGAUGUGAAAUUUAAGAAACCAGAGUUUUGAGGUUCGAACUUCUAAUUCCUAUAAUCUCAACCUUAACUAAUUGACCAAGGCCUAUUCUGUGCAUAAAGGCUCCUCUAGUGAAGAAGAAUGCAAAUUAUUCGACAAUUUUCCAAUGUUAUAGGAUACCAAAUCCCCUUAUUCCUCCAUGAUUAAAUGCCAAUGCAAAUUUGCUGAAAGAAAGAGGAGCCGUGCAAGUCUGGUGUAGUUGUUUAUUUUUGGACACUUUUGAGGUUUUUUGCCAUGCAACUAUUACCCAAGUCCCUUAUUAAUUUUCUUUUCAAUCAUGUACAUUGAGUGUGCCAAUAGGCACCCAAAAUUCCUGCCUAAAUGGAAAUGCCACCCAUAUAGCUAUCAUUUCUGGGCAUUAACGUGAUUUCUUUCAGCUUUUGGACCUAAUCUUUGUGUUAAACAAUUUACAAAGUCAUCUUAGGGAGCAAAGUGUAAAUAUCUUCAGUUAAAAAGGACAAAGUGUUACGUCUUACUCCCAAGUUCAAGAGGGUAAAGCAUAGUUAGCCCUUAAAUUCAUUCAUCCUUCUCUUUGAAUCUUCUUGGUAGCUUCUCAAAGCAUAAAGAAGCAGGGCCAAGAAUCAGAACAAAGAACACAUAAGAUUGCUCUUUGCUAAAAUAUUUGAGAAGAUUGGGCAGGUUGGGCCGUAGCUCGUAAAUCCUCAACCAUAUAUGCUACAACAGCUUUCAAUUGAAGUUCAGAGAAGAAGUUUUACUUGAUCUUAGGCCUAGCUUCAGCAUUAAUACAGAUCUAGAGUCAUCACUAGCUAGAAGUAAGAAAUUCAAAGAAAUAUGACAAAACAUAUUAAUCCGGUAUUUACUAUGGGCACUCGUUGACAUACUUUUUUUUUUUUGGCAUAGCGACACAUCUAGCCUAGCCUAACCUACUCCUACUCCUAAGAGGGGGGACCUACUAUCUAAGGGAAGCGACUCUAGGGAGUGGGCCUAUAGAGUCGGAGGAACCUGACGGGGACUGAAUCACCAUCAGACCAAACGGGUGCACCACUCACCCACAUGGAUUUAGAGAGUCCUCAUAUUGAGGCACAGUGAUGGAAGGUAAGGUUUAAACCCUUGACCUCCCACCCCACUUGUUGACAUACUUAAAUUAAGCAUAACUUAUUAUGUUAAUACACACAAUCACAAUUAAUUUACUCCUUGUGUUAUAUGUUUUUUUGUAUUAACUACAUUUUUUUUAAAAGACUAACGCAUAAAACCACUCUAAAUGAGUGUCAAAUUGGCACCCAUUAGCCAAACUAUGUUAAUCCAAUUAAGUUAUACCAACAUACGAGCAACUUCAAGCCUUCAAUUAAUAAUGGGUGAAUGUGAAAAGGCUUCAUCAAACAUGAUUUAUAUAUAUAUAUAUAUAUAACAAGACAAUUUCAUUCCAAUAUUUAUACUAAUGGCAGCGAAUACAUCAAACAUGACAUAGAUUUAUAUAAAUCUGAAAAUCAAAUAAUAUAACAGAUUUAAAAAUCUAUAAAUUUGACCAUAACGUUGAAAUUUCAAGAAUAUCUUCCAUCAAAUAAAUGUCAGUACAAUUCGACGAAUCUAUAUCCAUGUCUUUUGACAGAUGCAUAGUCAGAUCUGAUAAAAACUAUUUCAAGUCUAAAGAAAAAUUUAGAUCUAACUUCUAGAUUUAAUUGGAGGAGUUUUAGAGAGAAGGAAGAGAGAAUGAGUUUUAGAGUGAAAAAGAAGAGAGCUUUUGUAAUAUCCAGAUAAUUUGCAGCUAGCACUUGGAGUUUGAUUAGUAUCAAAAGCAUAUUCAAUGACCUAAUUUGCAUCUAAAUACAUGCAGGUGACAUCUUUUCACACUGUUAAAGGACAUUCUGAUUGUUAUCUGUAUCCAUGCAAGCCAUCUUGACAGUUAAGAGGCACUAACAUUUUCAACAUUUGCAGCUAGUUUGGGAGUUUAAGAUAGAACAGAAAAGAAGAGAAAGCUUAAGUUAUGAAAGAAAAAAAAAGAAGAGAUUUAGUUUUGAUAUUGUUUGGGAGUUUAGUAAAAAAGAAAAUUGAUAUUGGAUACAUAUGCCAAAAAAAAUUUGUUUAAUAGACAUUUAAGUAUAAAUUUGAUAUUUUAAAAAUUUUUAGAAAGCUUGCUUCAACUCUGUUUUGUUGGAAAAGUAUUAUUAACUGUAAAUGCUAGAACGAUCCAUCCAAAAUCUUCCCAUUUUUUUUUUCAAUCGCUCCACAACUCCCAAACAUCAUAAAAGAGCUAUAUUCUCUCACUUUCUUCUCAUUUCCUGUCAAAUCUAAGCUCCCAAACAAAGUAUUGGUCUCCACAUGAUGUACAAUUAUCUAACAUAAGCUCCAGCGUGCAAAAUCUAAAAUCAAAGGAUGAAUUAGGUAAAUGUAACUUCAACGUAUACCAAUCUUUUAUUGCCUUUCUUUGAUUACUACCUCUAUUUGCAGCACCCUUCAUAUUUGAAAUUUUGCAAUUUUUGACAGCUAUGGUGAAAAAAAAUAAUGGCUCUAAUGUCACAACACAAAUUUUAUUUCCACAAUAAUAAUAAUUUGCCCUUCUCAAGUCCAAAUGUAGUUUGGACGUAAUGCGUCAUUUUAACAAAAUUUGCUCGGAAAAUAAAUUUUGAGCUAUGGCAAUAUGAUUUGUCCUAACUACUCAAGCAAACAAUGACUGCAAAUCAUUAGCUUGUCCUCCCUCAUCUGUUGAUACAUGUGUCAAAUAUCUUUAUCAUUCCAUUAUUCAAGAAUUAGAGUGAAAUAUAUGCUUUAGUUUGGUAUGAGGGACUCAAUCCGUGCAAACACAAACACUAGAGUAAAAUAUAUGCUAUAGGAUAGUAAUUUUUUUUGUAGGAAAAUAGACUGUAGCACUUGUUUUAAUAUGAUGCAUAUGAGCUAAAAAUAUAAUUAGAAAAUGUGUCAAGAUAUAUUCUUGGAAAAAUCUGAAAAAUUUUUCUACAAAAGAAUACAAUCCAAACAAGGCCUAUUGAUGCCUAACUGACAAGUAAGCUUUUUUUUUUUUUUUUUUUCAAAAACGAUAGGUGUUGUAUUGAUAAAAUCAGAACUUUACACUUGUAAAGCAACAGUUCUGAGAGGCUAUACAAAGGUGUUAAACACCUUGAGGAUUGUUUCAUUCCUCUUCAUCACAAAUACUUACUGCAUAAGUACUAAUAGAUUUACUUAUAUUGUCAUUUGCUAUAUCUAAACAAAAUGAGCAUUUUUGAAACAAACAACUUAAAUUGUUGAUGUCAUCCAUCAGAAUUGCCAGCCUAAUGUCUUUGGUUUUUCUGGACAUCAACGAUGAUAGAAGCUGCUCUUGAUCAAAGCUACUCUUACUGUCUCAGCUAAAUCCACUAUUGGUAUGCUUGUGCCUCUAUUCCUCAUGGCCAAACUGUCUUAACUAACUGACAAGUAAGCUAAUUUGGCACCAAAACCCAAUGUGGAUUUAAUCUGGCCCCAUGAACUGGUAGCCUUUUUUUAUUUGACUUGUCCAAGAAAAGAUUUGAAUGUUCACCCCAAAAAUGGUGGCGGAUCCUUGAGCAUCCGGAAGAAGAAGAAGAAGACUUAUUCCACGGUUGAAAGUUUAAACGUGAAACAAAACCAGAAAAAGCAACAGAGCACACGGUGCCAUUUCAGGGACUGGAAAUGAUAGAAGUUCGCCGCAAGCAGAAUCCAUGCUAUCACAGAGAAGGCCAGUUUUUUGUCUGGCUACUGCAAGUAGAGAAAAGGCACAUGCCCUUCAAGGAGGACCUUGUAAAUUUAGUUCAACAUAACGAGGAAAGGGCACAAGGUAUGAGAAACAAUUUUAGAUUCUAGUUGACAUUUGAGCCCGAGAUCAUUGCAAAACAGGGAAUUCGAGCUGAGGCAAUAUGUGAACAAGAAAGCUAAUCAGAAAGUUCAGAAAAUUUGACAAUAAUUUUGUUCUGUCAAUCUUACAAAAGGCUAAACUGUGUCUUGUUAGUUAUGAAACUAAAUGGAUAAGCAAGUACUGAGUCGUGUUUACAAUUACAGUAGUCUGGUUCCAGCUGCAAAGCAAGUAAUUACAACUCAUAAACUUGAAAAUAAUGAUAGGCAAUUUGUAGCACAUGCAAAACAUUUCACAUUGAGGAACAACAGAGCAGUAUGUGAGAGAUGACAAAUUGAGUUCUAAAACAUGUAAAUCAGCACCUCAUUAUCAUAGCAGAAGAGAAUGCCAUCCUAGAUGUUACUAUCCAACUGAAGCAAGAUCUUUUUCAGCAAGGAAUCAUAGGACUUUCAAAAUGUAAAGAUAGUAAGUAAGAGCCAUCGAUACAGUUCCCUGUUGAGCAUUGUGAUAUUAAAGACAUAAGUAAUAGCCAUCAAUGAGGUUCCUUGUUGAGCUUUGUGCCAAAUAUCACUGCAAAGCACCAAAAACUCAAGCUCAGGAUGGCAUUCAGGAUAGAAUAAAGCUAAUGGAAAUUUUCAGAUAAUUGCAAGUUUUCUGUCAUUGUAACUAAAGCCCUAAAACAAGAAACUUACCAUAAAAAAAAGAAGCAGCCAACAGUCAUAAAAGCAGAGAGAGCUUAAGAGACUUUAUCAAGGUGGAUUCAUUAAAAACAUGAAAUCGCAACAAGCAGACUUAAAUAGCUUAAGUAGGUUUGUACAACUUCAUUUCUUGAACGGUACAUCAUCCUUGGUUCCCUAAAAAAUAUCUCUGUGGCGACAAGAUUUCUUUUGUUUUAUACAUAAUAAAUUGGACAUUAAAGUGGUUAAAAGGCAAAAUUGAGUAAUGAACGAAGAGAAGCAUAUCUAAAAUUAUGGGAAUUUUUGAAUCAAAAGUUAAAAGUGAUGACCAACAUGUCUACAAAUUGCUGAAUCGGUUGGAAAGUUUAAAAUCACCACGCUGACAAGGAAGAUCUCAGGCUUUGGCCAUCCGAGGCAGAGAGCAAAAGGGAAUCUGAUCUAACUGAAACAGUGACAGGUGCCGAACCUGUGCAAUAAUAAAUACCUACUCAAGAAAAUUACAAAUUUUGUAUAUAGCGGUGAGUAGGGUCGAAUCCACAGGGACUGGGAAUAAUUCGUUUCUUCUCGAGUUCAGAGUAUGGGGGGUUUUUGAUGGGAGGAAAAUAAAAAAAAUGAAAUAAAACAAACAAAAUUCAAAACUAACUCACAAAGCACAAUUUACUAAAAAUAGCAAUUAAUAAAAGUUCUACCCAAAGGAUCAGCUGUUCAGACACGGUCCAAUUAAAUGAUCAUCGAUGCAAAGAUAUUUCAUCCAUUCAUUACUAGGUUGGUUAUAGUUAUCAACAAACUCUGACAACUAGUUCUUCCUUACUUUUUCGAUAGUCAAGGUACGACCAUUGACUGCUUCUCUAACCAGAUAACAACCCUAGGUACGACCGUAGGAAUUUAAUUAUCCAAUUGUAUUGAAACUAGAAGAACCCAACCCUAACUAAUAAACACGCUAAGAGGGUUUAUUUAAGUUAGAUCUUACGUUUUCCCAACAUAAACCCAAUUAUGGUGGUUGUCACUAGGUAUCGACUAAACGAACAAUUACGGAUUCAAUUUAGUUAAUAUGACAGUAGGCUAUUAAAUAAAAUCAAAUACCCGGCCGUUGAUAUUCAAUUAAUAAAAUACCCAUGAACAAUUAAUUCAGGAAACGUACGAAUAGCAACAAAUUGGAAAAAGUAAUGAAAGUUUGAUUAGAUCUCACAGAUGUUAUGGACCGCGCCUUCGCGUUAACCUUUGGGUAGAAGAAAAACCUAGCCACUCCUCAUCGUAUCAAUUUUGCGUGGGUUGGUUGAUUUCAUCCGCACAGUCAUCAGCGAAAUAUGAACGAUGGAGUGAUGACGAAAAGAAAGAAAAGAAAACGUCUUCCUUGUCUUUGCGUUAAUGUUUGUACUGAAGCCGAAGUACAACGCAAAAACCAACGAAAAUUGUACAGAGCCAAAGCCAAAGCCAAAGAGUCAAAAACGUGAAAGCCAAAAAGCAAGAGAAGAGUCUACAACGUCUGACGGCUAGGGAAAAAGAAAACUAAAGCUAUCUAAUUCCUAAUACGUGAAUCUGGCUUUCUUUUUGCCUUUUGUAGCCGCCGCCAGCCAAAGCAAUUAGGAGCAGGACUUGUCUAUGGGUUUUAAUCCCACGCAUCUGGUUCACAUGGAUCUAGUGCCUUAAUUGGGUCUCCUGCUAUUGGUCCUGCGGAUCCGGCUUUUCGAGAGCAUCUACCUUUUCUGGCGUGGCCACGCUCUGAGAUGAAGGGUCUUCUGGAAAUUUGCCUCAAGAGAUUACUUUUAACGCCAAUCAUCUGUAAUUCAUACAAAUAUGAAAUAUGAGCAAAACCUCAAUACUUAGCACAGUAAGUAGCUAAAAUUAGGACAAAAUAACAGUGCAAAAUGUGCCAAAUAACCGCUCUAUCAAUUCCCCCCACACCUAGACAAUGCUUGCCCUCAAGCAUUUCAGAGCUCAGAAGUACAACCAAGAGAGCAGAGGUCAUGUAGUAGUCUAUACUAACACAAGCAUUUCAGAUCCCUGACAAUAUCACCAAAAUUAGAACACACCGGACAGGUUGUAAUUCAAAGAAAAUAUAUGAAUACUAGGAACGCUCAAAUCAACAUCACAGAAUGGCAUUACCAUAGGCUUGCACAUUUAUCACAUCUCCACCACUCAAAGGUGAACUAAAUACACAAAUCAAAGGGAAUUUAAUAGGGUUGUAAUGGGGUUUAGGUAAAAGGCGGGAUAAGAAGGUAAAAAUAGGGUGUAAUGUGUCAAGAGAAUGUCCAAUAUCUACUACAUAACCACAAUGCUUUAUCGGGACAAUUUCUCAAGUAGGGCGUUUUCAUUUGCUGUUUUCAUUGUGCAAGUGUCGAAAAUCGUUCCUCUUUUUUUUUUUUUUUGGAGAGGACGUCUAGCAAGGCGUGGGCACGCUCUGGAAGACAGAGUCUUCUGCUCACCAGCUUUUUGCCGAUUUCUCCCUUUUUUUUUCUUCUUUUCUCUAUUUUUUUCUUGGCUUUUCUUUCGAUCUCAGAUGUACAGAAACAGCACCAUACAACAUCUUUUUGACAACACUUGCGCCCAUAGAUUUAUUUGUCUUGCACGAGUAAUGAAUUUCAGACAUCCCUUAAUGACACAAGGUUGAACAAGAAAGUCUAAAAAGGUCAUGGGUUAUCAAACACGGCUAACAAGCAAAAGUAAAAGAUAAAAGCUCAAGUUGGUUCACUAUUGGGAAAUAAGAUGAAGGCAUGGUUUGUAGAAAGUUAAAGAAGGUCAAAUCCUAAAUGCCCUUAUCAUUUCAAAUGCAUCCAGUUCAACAAAAUGUGGUCUCGACAUGUAUAAAAUAGCAAGUUCUAGAAUACCGAUACCAUGUGUGAUACCCACUCAAUCAAACAAUAAUAGAGCAAACAAGAAUAAUGUGCUCAUGCAUGACUCAAAAGCUCCCAAAAGUCACAAAAGUGGGUCAAGUCCAGUAUAUCCAACAUUCAACAAUACUGUCAAGGCAAAACGAAAUGCAUAGCUAGUAUAUCUAACCACAUGCCCGUGCACCUUGAUUGAGUUAUUCAUCAUAGCAAAGAAGUCAGCUAACUACACUCUUUUCCUUUUCCUCCUUUUUUUUUUCUUCAUUUUCCUCCUCUUUUUUUUUCAUUUUUUUUUUGUGUUUUUUUUUUUUUUGUUUUAAAAGCAAAGCAAAAGGAGAUAAUAAAGGAAGCCAUCCCCCCACACCUAAUACCUACAUUGUCCUCAAUGUAGAAAAGAUGAAUGAAGUAUAAGGAGAAAAGGAGAGAAACUUCCCUGACCACCGAGAGGGUGCUGUGAGACACUAAGGCGGAGGAGGGUGAGGUGACUGGAAUCUAAUGUGAGCAAAGAAAGCUAUCUGAUGAGAGAGAUAGUGACGGUGGGGAAGGCAGCGACGUGCGAUGGAUGGCGCGAGGAGAAGAGAGAGAGUUUCUAGCAGCGGUGGACAAAGGGGAAACCUUGGACUAAGACAAAACAAAGAAAAUUGAAAAGUAGAAGUUGAGACAAUGGAAAUUGAUAAGACCAUACAAGACAAGAAAAGAGAAAAGUAGAAAGUGGUAUUAGAGAGGAUCCUGGUCAAUCUUUGACUUUCGUUGGCGCAAAGGCUGGAAGGCGUGGGCACGCCUUGGAAGCUAUAGUCUUCUGACCGUCAAUUCCAAAACUUCACUGCUUAGGCGUGACCACCUAGCGUGGGCAUGUCUAACUUCCUGCUUCCUGCCAUAAAACAAAAAUCCAAUAAAUGACACUAACACUGAACAAAAAAUUUCAAAAAUAUAAGAAAACUAAAACAAAAGAAGCCUUGGGUUGCCUCCCAAGAGCGCCUUUCUUUAAUGUUUUUGGCUAGACAUCGUCAUAUUUAUUCACGGAGGAUAAAAUCGUGUAGCUCGUUUCAGCGCUUCAUCUUCUAUGUAGUCCUGAUAUCCCUCGUAAAUAGAGUAAUUCUUGAGCACACGAGCUACGGACUUCCAUGGAUCAGUAGAUGGCGCCAAACAAACAAGUGAUGACCUUAAAUCUUCACUCACUCCUCCAUCAAGAGCACUUAUUGGUCCGAGAUAUUUUGCCAUCAUGACUCUUAACUUAUUCCUGGCAUGAAAUUCAAAAUCAUCUGGUAUAAUAAAAUCAAUCUCACUAACAGGAAUUAAAGAAUAAGAGUCAGGAAAAUAUUGAUCAAGGAAUGGAGGAGAUGUCACCGCAUUUGGAGAUUGUUCACUGGAUUCAUUCACUUGCACCAUUUGAUGUUGGGGUCUCAAUUCUUGCGCUUCAACUUUCUUUUCAACUGCAUCUUUAGAUUCUUCUUCUUGAGACUCUUGCAGUACCAUAUCAUUUGUCAGAAUAAUUGCACUCUCGUCUUCCUCGUGGUCGAUAAUAGUCGGUGAGGGCAAUUCUUCAUAAAUUGGAGAAAUCAAUUUGCUCAUUUUAGAUGCCCAUUCACGCCUUCCUUCUUACAUCUCUUUACUCAUCUUUUGUGUCUCCUGUUGAAGUUGAUGUACCUCCUGUUGAAUUUGAUAUGUGUUAGUAGCUAUUAAUUCAACUAUUUCUUCAAGAGACAUACCUAACAUGGAUGACGGUUCUUGAGACUCUAACUGUUGUAAAUCUAUUGGUCUUUGUUGAUAAUUAAAAUUGGAAUCAUCCCACCAUCCUUGCUCAUACCCAUUUGAAUAAGGGUCAUACCAUGUUUGAGACCAGGGUGAAAAAUCUCCAUAAUUAUUGAGUGGGACACUCAGAUUAUCUUGAUAUUCGGGGCACAUACCGGUUGAAUGAUCCCUGGCGUAACAAAUUUUACAGGUUGCAGCAGCCAUUCUUUUUCUAAUAGAGUUUAGUGCCUCUGAAUAUGCAAACUUAGCAAAAAAACAAGCCUCAUUGCCUUCCCUGGAAACAAAAUCCAAUCUAUCACCAAAAUACGGAGUGUUAGCGGCCAUAAACUAGUAAAGAAAAAAAAAGAAAAAAAAAUAAGAGGGAAAAAAAAUGGAAAUGAAAAUAAAAUGAACUCAAAAAGAAACAAAUUAAACAGGCACCAGUCGCCGGCAACGGCGCCAAAAAUUGACAGGUGCCGAACCUGUGCAAUAAUAAAUACCUACUCAAGAAAAUUACAAAUUUUGUAUAUAGCGGUGAGUAGGGUCGAAUCCACAGGGAUUGGGAAUAAUUCGUUUCUUCUCGAGUUCAGAGUAUGGGGGGUUUUUGAUGGGAGGAAAAUAAAAAAAAUGAAAUAAAACAAAAAAAAUUCAAAACUAACUCACAAAGCACAAUUUACUAAAAAUAGCAAUUAAUAAAAGUUCUACCCAAAGGAUCAGCUGUUCAGGCACGGUCCAAUUAAAUGAUCAUCGAUGCAAAGAUAUUUCAUCCAUUCAUUGUGAGGACCCGUACUUUUCUUAAUUGCACGUUUUCUGCAUUUUCUUUAUUAGAAAAUUUUUCUAGAUCAAUUUUAUGAGUAAAUAUGGUUUUUAAAUAAUUUUUCUAGUUUCGGUUACUUUUUGAGAAAUUAAGAGCGUAUAUCGGACGUGGGACCCGCUAGUGUGGAAAAUUCGGAAAAAUUCGGCCAGUUCAGUUAAGUUUUGGAUACUGGGUUUAGUUUACCGGGUGUUAUGAGAUAUUUAGAGGUUGCCAAGUGGAUUGGUGUAAGAGAGACAAAAAGUUAGGCAAGCAAUUAAUGAAGAGGACAUGUGUCACUUGAGGAUUUAUUCUUACCUUUUUGACCUUUUGACCACUAUUCAUGCCUUUACCAUUUAAACCAAAAUUGACCCAAAAUUCUUCUUAUUUUGAAGCUCUUGGCCGAAUUUCUCGCUAGGAACAAAGGAAAGAAAACUCUCUCAAUUUUCAAGCUCCAAUCUUGCCCAAUCUUUCAAUUCAACCGUUUAAUCUUCAAAUUUCCAUAGAACUUCUUAGUUUGGUGAUAUUGAGGUUGGUUGUGGAGUUGUUUGGAAGAAUUUGGUGCUAAGUUGCUUACUUUCUUGAGCUUGCAAGGUGAGUAACUAGGGAAUUCUUUCUUUGAUCUUGCUAAUGUCAAAUUAAUGGUUUAUGUUGGUUAUAGAUGUGAUUUUAUGGAAGAAUUGGCACAUGAAUGCAUGAAUUUCCAGAUUAGGGUUCCAUUUUUCCCCUUUCUGCCCGUUUCUGUUUGACCGGGUUAGAAGCCAAAUUGGCCGUAGCACAAAACAUGAAAGUUGUAUACAAUGAUGUUUCCUAGUUGCCUGUAAAUUUUCAGCCCAAUCCGAGCUCAGGAACCUGAGAUAAGAUGGAAAUACCCAGACUGGUCUAGUAGGAGUUCAGGGAACAGGGUUGUCUUUUCACCCAAUCUGACCGGGACUUUUGCACCAUGAUCCUUACCGAAUUAGAUUUUGGCCAAAACAUAAAGUUGUAGCCAAUAGUAUAAAAUAGUUUCCUACAAAAUUUCAGCUUGAUCCGACCACUGUAUCAUGUGAAAUGACUGAAAUACCCUUGACUGUUCAUGAAACCUGUUUCGCGCCCAUAAUUCUGGUUUUGGUGUAGUUUUCCAUUUUUGAUCAUGCAAAUGCAUGAUUUGGCCUUGGAGGUCUUCAUAAUAAAUGUAGGGUUGUGUUUUAGCUUCGAAACACCAUAAGAUAUACUUCAAUCGGACUUCGGUAGCCUGAGUUAUUGCUGUUUAACAAUUGUGCGGUUAGCCAACCUGUUUGUGAGUUUCUGGUUUCAUAUAUGUCAAUUUUGACCUAGUUGUACUACAAACUGGACUGAGUGGCCUUCUUCAACAUUGUAGCCCUAUCUGUUAGCUUCGGAACGGUGUAUCUUGCACCUUCAUCCGAUAAUCGUAGCGCCAAUGGUGCCAAAAUCGCAAAAUGGUGUCAAAAACUGUUUUUAUCCGGAAAUGUUUUUUAGCUUGAUUUUUGUAUUUAUAUGACUUUAAGCCUAGUGAACGGCUUUUGGACAUGAGAUUAUUCUAUAUGAGAUGUUGGGACUGUUUUGAGGAAAAUAAUGAAGCCAUUAAUGGCUGGAAAAUAGGUAAACACAAGGGACAUGCCGUCCAUUUAUCUUCUUGUAAUGUGAACAAGUUAAAGUGAUUUUGCGAAUGUAUUUUGUGACGAAUUGGACGUAUUUACUGAAAAUGUUACCGGCUCUUUCAAAAGGUGGCCGAGGGCUAAAUUUCUAUUUGAACCUGUAUAUUUCCGCUUGGCAAAUAAAAUGAUCAUUUUACCAUUCUAAAACCUAAUACCUCUUUAGGUUGGUUUAUGAACCCUAGUAAUUCCCGUCCACGAAUCCAUAUGCUCUAUUGACACUUUAAAAGUCAUUUUAUACGUUUACUCGCGAGUAGUCGGGUAAUCCUUGAUUUCAUCCAAAUCAUGCUAGAUGGAUUGUAAUGUGUUCUUUGUUUACUUUUAGGUUUCAUUGGUGAUUGAGAAGUGGACGUUAUUUUGCGUGUAUAGGUGAGUGUUCCCUGUUUGAUAUGUUUCAUGAUUUUAUGGCUGGUAUGAAUGAUUGAUAACAUGUUAUAUGCUUUCAGUGAUUGUUAAAACGAGUUUUCUAGGCAAGUGUGUACUUUAUCGCACUCGGCCUAAACGAUUGUGAAAUUUUCAAUGAUUGAAUGAUUGAAAUGUUAUUUGUGCAUGAAUGUAAGCCUUUUGGCUGAACUGGCCAUUGCCCCUUGUUACCGGUCGUCUCGAGCCAGAAGCGGACUCGGUUGGGCGAUUAGGGACCUGGGUGAACGUUUUGGUAUACUCGAGUAUUACCUUGUAGAUUGGUGGAGGUUGGUGGAGCCUGGUGAAUGAAUGAAUGAACGAAUGAAUGAAUGAGGGUUUUACUUAUAUACAAAUGCAUUUUCAAAUGAUUGAAGGUAUAAGGGAACGAAAGGAGAAUGAAUGAACGAAUGAAUGAACGAAUGGCUCCUUGUGAGCACGUAUCCUUUUAAUGAAGGUGUUUAUCGCUUUCUUUUGUAUUUGAAUUAUUGGUAACAUGUAAUGAAUGCUUUGAACUUCUUGUUGCCUAUGUGUUCGGAACCUCACUGAACUUAUAGCUCACCCCUUUAGUUUGUUUUCCUUAACAGGGGAAGGCGAGCAAGGACGAGAGCCGAUAUAGACUAGCUGGGUCUAGCCCUUGGUUUUCUUUUGUCAUGGUUCUCGCCCUAGUGCUUGGCACGGGCUGGUUGUAUAGUGAUUUGAGAACCUCUGUAUAUUUGACGGUUGUACUUCUUCUUGAGAUAUUAUUGUAUAUACGUUUUGUUUUAAGUUGGAUCGUGGUUAGAUGUUCUUAUGGUUGCUUGAAGUGAUCGACUGAGUCCCGGCGAGAGCUGGGCAGGCAGUCCGCCGAACCCUUUGGUUCGCCUUAGGGGAAAGUGGGGCUGUCACAACCAUAAUUAGGUUGGUUAGAUGUUCUUAUUAGGUUGGUUAUAGUUAUCAACAAGCUCUGACAACCAGUUCUUCCUUACUUUUUCGACAGUCAAGGUACGACCAUUGACUGCUUCUCUAACCAGAUAACAACCCUAGGUACGACCGUAAGAAUUUAAUUACCCAAUUGCAUUGAAACUAGAAGAACCCAACCCUAACUAAUAAACACGCUAAGAGAGUUUAUUUAAGUUAGAUCUUACGUUUUCCCAACAUAAACCCAAUUAUGGUGGUUGUCACUAGGUAUCGACUAAACGAACAAUUACGGAUUCAAUUUAGUUAAUAUGACAGUAGGCUAUUAAAUUAAAUCAAAUACCCGGCCGUUGAUAUUCAAUUAAUAAAAUACCCAUGAACAAUUAAUUCAGGAAACGUACGAAUAACAACAAAUUGAAAAAAGUAAUGAAAGUUUGAUUAGAUCUCACAGAUGUUAUGGACCGCGCCUUCGCGUUAACCUUUGGGUAGAAGAAAAACCUAGCUGCUCCUCAUCGUAUCAAUUUUGCGUGGGUUGGUUGAUUUCAUCCGCACAGUCAUCAGCGAAAUUGGAACGAUGGAGUAAUGACGAAAAGAAAGAAAAGAAAACGUCUUCCUUGUCUUUGCGUUAAUGUUCGUACUGAAGCCGAAGUACAACGUAAAAACCAACGAAAAUUGUACAGAGCCAAAGCCAAAGCCAAAGAGUCAAAAACGUGAAAGCCAAAAAGCAAGAGAAGAGUCUACAACGUCUGACGGUUAGGGAAAAAGAAAACUAAAGCUAUCUAAUUCCUAAUACGUGAAUCUGGCUUUCUUUUUGCCUUUUGUAGCCGCCGCCAGCCAAAGCAAUUAGGAGCAGGACUUGUCUAUGGGUUUUAAUCCCACGCAUCUGGUUCACAUGGACCUAGUGCCUUAAUUGGGUCUCCUGCUAUUGGUCCCGCGGAUCCGGCUUUUCGAGAGCAUCUACCUUUUCUGGCGUGGCCACGCUCUGAGAUGAAGGGUCUUCUGGAAAUUUGCCUCAAGAGAUUACUUUUAACGCCAAUCAUCUGUAAUUCAUACAAAUAUGAAAUAUGAGCAAAACCUCAAUACUUAGCACAGUAAGUAGCUAAAAUUAGGACAAAAUAACAGUGCAAAAUGUGCCAAAUAACCGCUCUAUCAAACAGGAUCUGGUUCAGCAAGGGAUCGUAUACCAAGGAUAGUAAGCAAGAGCUAUCAAGUUUAAUGUUGAUCUUUGAGCGUAAACCUACUGCAAAACAUAGAAAAUCAAACUUAAGAAACUCGAGACAGCAUAUAGUCAAGAAUAAAGCCAGCACAUGGUUGCAUGACAUUUUUUUGUAUUUGAAACACUAAAAUAAGAACUUACCAUGAAGAGAGGAGCAACCCAACAAGUGUAGAAGGCAGAAUGAGCUUAAUAGCCUUCAUCACAGCUGAUGAAAUAAUUGCAGCAAGUGGCAGCAGCCAACAAGUACGCUUGGCAGUCUCAAAACUUGCACUCUAACAAUUCUGUGCAGAUUCACUGCAUGAAUAGUAUAUCUUCCGUGGCUGCUCCCAAAAACAUUUUCAUUAUGAGAAGAUUUCUCAAGUUUUGGUUGUAAUAUGUUCAGAAUCAAAGUAGUUAAAAGUCAAAUUUGAGUAGUAAAAGAAGAGUAGUAUAUCUGAAUUUACCAGACACUACAACAAACACCAAUUUGAUGACCAACAGCUCUGAAAACUCCUGAAAUCUUUCGUACUAGAAAAUCAUAACCAAGGAAAAGUGACACAUAAACCCAUCAUCUACGAGACUUAUCGAACAAAUCACUAAUCAAAUGGUUCAAGAAGCUUGAUAAAUGAGCCUUCAAGAGGCGAUUAAACUUUGGAGCAACUAUUUACUUUAGCAAUCACGUCUUACAUCCACAAAAGCAAAUAUAUAAAAUCAACAAAAUUAAACUUCUAGUGCUUAUUUCAUAUUGAUGGGUAACUUGUAGGAAAUGCAAAACAAAAAUUAAUUAAUACCAGCUAUAAAAAUCUAAUCUAAGUUCAUCUAGGGGAGAGACCUCAAAAAUCUGCUUGUUAAGUGCAGGAGAAAGGAGCUCAGUAGAGAAUUGGGGGUUUAAAGUCUUAUAGAAAAGGUUUGUAGAAUUGCUGCUUGUGGUAUCAAAUCUAAAAUGUCCAAUGCAUUUUCAACGUGUGAAACUUCAGAGAGAUCAAUCACUUCAUCCUGGUGAAAUCACAAGUUUACAGAGAGUGCACCGAUGUUAGCAAUCACAGUAACUGAUAUGCAUGAUAAACAAAACUAUGCAACUGAAAAACGUGAUUCAGUUAACCCAAGAAAAUCUCGGUCACUGAAAAAAAUAUGCAACUGAAGCUUUAAGUGUAGUACUGAAACAUGGAUGGUAUUGAAUUGGACCACCAUUUGCCAUGUUUGAUCUUUGCAACAGCGAAUGAGAUGUGAUACAACGGGAGAAAUACCAAUUUGACAUUUUAAAUUAACCAAAAUGAUUGUUUAGUUCCGUUAGUUUAGAUUGGUAUGGAACCGUGCAUGGUUUAUUAGUCGUAAAGGUUAUGAAAUAUUGCACUUAUUCAUGAUAAAGAGUUACUUGGCAGACCUACUCUGUUGCUGCUCCAAUUAUCACUUGAUAUACUUCAAAGGAAAGAAAGGACUUUGAAAAGUAAAGGCGGUGAUUAGGAGCCAUCAGGGUUCCCUACAGAGCUAUAAACCUACAGCAACUGCAAAACAGAAAACUCAGACUCAGGACUUCGCAUUAGCAAAUCAUGAGGCAAACACGAAAUUGCAUGACAUUUUUGUCUAGUCAAUUAUUCAGAAAGCUAAAUCAAUAUUUGUUUUUUUUCUUCUUUUCUAACGUAAAUCAGUAAGCAGGUAUCAAAUCUUUCUGUUCAGUCCACAAGUACCAGAAGCAUCACAAAAACUAUAUUAGCUUUUGUUCAAAACACUGAAAAAGAAAAGUUCUAUAACAAUAAUGACUGGUACCCACAAGCAGGAGAGGCAGAGAGUCCUAGAAUUGCCAUAAAAGCGAACUAUUUGAGACUGCAAGAUGCAACAAGUAGAGCUAAUAACUCAAAUCAUUGCAUUUGAACUUAAACUUCAGAAGAGGAUAGUCUACCAAGUCUCUGCUGCUUGAAAAUGUCUUAAACAUGACAAUUUUUUUAAGGUUUUAGUUAAUGCUUAAACUGCUUAAAACCCAAUAUUAAGUAGUGGAAGAAGAUAGUUGGUAUUAUAAAUUAUCAGACCACCAAUCCCACAACCAAGGGCAGUGAGAGUAAUUCGAUUGACCAUUGGAUUUAGGUCAAGAGAUCAAAGCUGAAGAAAGUAGAAUCCCAUCAUUUAAGAGACAUAAUAAGAAUACCAAUAAUCAGAUAAUUUGGAGCAAGAUGAUAAAUACAUUUCCAAGAGAUGGAAGUUCAGAACAAGCAUAAUUUGGAGCAAGAUGAUAAAUACAUUUCCAAGAGAUGGAAGUUCAGAACAAGCAUUUCCAUCCCGGUAGAAUCUCGAGUUUAAAGAGAAUUAGCUCCUUUCAGCAAUCAUGUUUAACAAGCAUGAGCAAAAGUAAACUGCUAUUUUUUAUUUAAAACAAAGAAUUUUGUACCGUAGAUGAAAAUACAAAAGUUUUCAGCUUUGACAUCAUGUUUAACUGUCCACAUCAAAUAAUCUCCUCUUGAACAUCUGUAUUCCAUAAUUGAAUUUAAUAUAUGGUUAGCGAUAUUGUUUUCUUCCCGGAACAACGCUUGUUGGGUUUUUUUGAAUCAGGCUGAAAAGGCCAGGAAAAGUUCAACAAAGUAGACAACUGACCUUACUGUUACAUUACUAGACAACAUCUUGGAAGCAGACGUUUUAAACAUUCAGAUAUUUUGCAACAAAAUCAUCUUAUUGUACAAUUUCUAUCACCUGAUAUUGGAUAGAUUUAAAAGAAUUUAGUAAUGAUUUCACUGGAGUAUGUUGUCCUGCAGAAACAAUAAACUAGAAAUUGACUCCUAAACUCUUUGUCCAUCAUUGCCUAUCUAUAAUUUUCUGUGUUCCAUCAAACCUUGAUUUAACAAUCUAUUUCAUGAAUGUAAAUGCAUUAUCAUUCCUUUCUAGCAAAUUGAUAACCAAAUGAACUUUCAGAGUACUUAGUUGGAUGAGGACCUUUUAGAUUGAAAAUCUCAGGAAGGUAAAGAUAGAAGAGCAAAUUCCAUGUCAUAUUUGAGCUAGGAAUCUUACAGAAAGAAAGGGUUUCUUUUUGUUACCUUUGUUCUAAAACUAAUGAGCAGGAAAUAAGACUUGAUACCAAGUACAUCUACUAAUCCAUUUAAAACAAAUUCGCUAACCUUACAGUACUUCUUGAAAAUUUGCAAGCUCCUCAUUGUCAAUCUGUUUCUCUAGUACAAGCUCUAUCACCAACCAAACCCCCCAUGAUCAUUAGCAGAAAUUCAUGGUAAUGAUGACUCUUGAUCUUGAAAGACAUUACAUAAGCUGGGGAAAGAAAUUCUGGUGGGCAGUUUGCAGAGGCCAGCUGACAAAGAUAGAGCAUUUUAUCAGGUUUUAAACACCAGGAAGAAAGAAAAGUGUGCCUGUAGUGUGCCAUCCUAAUCAUUUCUGUCCAAUUGAAACAGGAUUUGAUUCAACAAAGUUUUCAAAAGUUACAAGCUGUGCAAUUCAAUCAAUAAGUAAGUGCAAUUGUAGAUUCUAGUUCACAUUUGAGCCUGAGAUCAUUGCAGAACAGAAAACUCGAGUUGAGACAAUAUGUGAGCAAAUGUGAGCAAGAAAGCUAAUCAGCAAGUUCAGAAAAUUCAACAAUAAUUUUGUUCUGUCAUUCCUACAAAAGGCUAAAAUAUGUCUUGUUUGUAUGAAAAUAAAUAGAUAAGCAAGUACUAAGUCAUGUUUACAAUUACAGUAUUUUGGUUCCAACCACAAAGCAAGUAAUUACAACUCAUAAAAAGAAAAUAAUAAUGGACAAUUUGUAGUGCAGGCAAAGCAUUUCACAUUGAGGCAUUGAGAAACAAUAGAGGUGUGGGCCACUGAGGCACAAUAGAGAUCCACAUUUAAUUGCUACCAAAACACCAGUUAGUUCUAACUUCUAACUCUGAGCAGUAUGCCAGAGAUGACAAUUUGAGUUCUAAAACAUGUAAAUCAGCACCUCAUUAUCAUGACUACACAUCACUGGAUCGUUUGGACAGUUUUAAAGAACCAUACCCCAGUGGAUAUCUCAGACUUUGGACAUAUGAGGCACAGAGAAAAAGAGAAUGCCAUCCAGCAAGGAAUUGUAGGACUUUGAAAGAGAAAUCGAUGAGGUUCCCUGUUAAGCUUUGUGCCUAAAAUCACUGCAAAGUACAAAAACUCAAACUCAAGAUGGCGUUCAAAAUAGAAUAAAGCUAAUGGAAAUUUUUAGAUAAUCGCAGGUUUUCUGUCAUUGUGACUAAAGCCCCAAAAGGAGAAACUUACCAUAAAAAAAGAAGCAACCGACAAUCAUAAAAGCAGAGAGAGCUUAAAAGCCUCUAUCAUUAAGAUCAGCAAGUCACAACAAGCAAACUUGAGUUGAAUGUUGGAAGAUACUCCACCAAGUUUUGUGCAACUUCAUUGCCCAAACAGUGCACACCUUCCUUGGCUACCUCAAAAAUAUCUUCGUGACGACAAGAUUUCUCUUAUUUUAUAUGUAAUAUAUUAGAUAUUAAAGUGGUUUAAAGUCAAAAUUGAGCAGCGAAAGAAGAGAAGCAUAUCUAAAAUUAUCCGAAUUUUUGAACCAAAACAUGAAAGUGAUAACCAACAGCUGCGAAAACUCCUCAAUUGACCAUUGUCUUCAUGGAUAAAAAGCCAAAAUCAAGGAAAAGUGAGCCAGAAAACCAUCAUAUAUGACUCUGAUGGAGCAAUUACUACUCAAAUAGUUUAGAUAAGUAUGCAAGUUCAUUAUCAAGAGACGAGGUAAAAGUUCAGUCCCCUUAGAAUCAAGAUUGCCUUCAAUAACCUCUUGAGAGAUGAAAGUUCAGUCCCCUGAUUGAAUUUGAUCCAAAGAUGAAAGUUGGUUAUUAAUCAACUUAUGCAUAGGUCUUGAAUGUGAGAAACUUUGGACCACUGGGAGUCGGGGCCGCUGCUCUCAGGAGUGCAUCUUUCUUUUAACAGAGGAGAACCAUAAACCUCCAGACGUUUUAGUUUGGUGAGACUUCUCAUGGCAUCCUCAGAGGGUAGAUGUCCAAGCUCUUUGAAAAACCAUAAGUGCACGUCUUCAAGAGCCGCAAAGUUUUCGAACCAAUCUGGCAGAGCUUUUAUACCUCCAAAGACAAGUAGCGUUAGUGACGUGAGAGUGGUCAAGUAUUGGAUCUGAGGUGGCAGGGACUCCAUGUGUGGCAACCCAAAUAAUUCUAAUUCACGGAGUGCGGAUGACGAAGAGGAGGAGGAGGAGGAUAUCAAUCCAGACCAAUCAAACUCAUUGUAAAUUGAAGAAUUUUCGUGAUCAUCACCAUCAUCUGAGAAGGGACCAAUUACAAGCUUUCUUAAGCUGGUUAGGAAACCAAAUCCUUUGGGCGUCGUACUUGUUUUCAGUUUGGGACACUUCCAUAAUUCCAGCUCCAAGAGAGAAGGCAUUUGUUGCAAAUCAAGCGGAAAGGAGAAAAGAUUGUAGCAAUAAGUCACCCGAAGCUUCUGGAGAGAGGCACACGAGUGUUGCAUGUCACCGGGCAGAUUCGUCAACCCACCGCAAUUUGUAAUCACUAGCUCUUUAAGAGACGUAAAGUUUUGCAGGGGAAGGAGUUCUCUGCAUCUGUUGCAGCAAUUAAAUGUCAAACUCGCUAACUUGGGGAGUGUUGUUGCUGUUGGCAAAUCCAUUAACCAUCGAGGAAAUUGAUCACCCAUAAAAUUCUCAAUUACCAACUCCUCCAAAUUUGGGUGGGGUCGAAGGCAGUCCAACACUUUUUCGUCGUUGUAGUUAUGGCCUUCUCGAUGCCAAGGCCGGGCCCACUUAAGUCGCAAACUAAAUAGAUUAGCCUUUCAGAUAGUUUUGCUUCUUCAGCUCCUUUCCUAUCCUUUACUAGAUGAAGAUUGUGUAUCUCCAAAUUGCCUUUGAGGUUCUUCAAGCUUCCAAGCUCUCCAAUUCGUCGACCCUUCUCUCGACCCACUUUAAAGAAUGCUAGCGUCUGAAGGCAAGUCAGUCGUCCCAUCUCUUAACGGCAUUUGAAAUUCUUCAUUAUAGGUGUAAUAGUGGAGAUGUCUCAAGCUAAUCAAAUCGCGCGUCCCCUUCGGCAGAACCUUAAGAGCCAAGCUGUUUAGCCUCAGUGUCUGCAAAUUAUAAAGUUUGCAAACAGAUUCCGGCAAAGUUUCGCUUUUAGAACCCUCAAAGUUAAUGUACCUCAAGUGUAUCAGUUUGCCAAUUGAGAUUGGCAGAUUCUGAUUUUUUGCACCGGACAAAUUCAAAACGUGCAAAUUCUUCAACUUCAUUAGCAUAUCAUCAGAUAAGCUACCCUGACUCAGAAACAAUGUAUGAAGCAAAUUUGAUCCACUCUCAAAAAGAUUUAUUGUGUCUUCUCCAAAUGAGUCUAUUACAAGACAACGAACCUGAUUACUAUUGUCUCCUGAACCAGUCUCCGAAUUAAUGAAUUUAGUAGACUUUGACAUUAUUGAUUUUGAGACUUCGUGCACUAUAUCAUGCAUUUUAUAAUACCUUCCCCAAGCGUCUCUUAUUUCUUCCAGCAAAGAACUCUGCAAUAAAAUUUCCAAGUAAUAUUCUCCAAUUUCCUCCAUUGUUUUGUUCUCGAGACCUGCAUGGAGGAAACCUUCUGCCAUCCAAAGUUCGAUUAGCAUAUCUCUUUCCAUCUCAGUAUCCUUAGUAAACAUAGAACAAUAUGCAAAACAUUUCUUAACGGCUGGUGAUGGUAAACAAUCAAAACUCAAUUUAAGUAUUUCCAUGACACCAUCUCCACCUGCACUCAAACUCGAAAGCCUAUUCUCCAAAAUUGAUGGCCACUCUUCUUUUCUCUUUAAAGAUAAUAGACCUCCAAUUACACUUGCAGCCAAUGGUAGACCAUUACAUCUUUUGAUUAUUCUCUUUUUAAUUGCUUUUAGUUCAUCAGGUUCUUCUUCCCCUCCAACUACUUUUUCUUUUACGAUAGACCAACAAUGAUCAUCAGGUAGUUUUCCUAAUGGAUAUGGUUCAUUUUCCAUCAUCCCCAAAACUCGAGACACACUAUGUGCCACUGGACCUAAACGAGUAGUGACCAGACACCAGCUUCCAUUAGUUGGAUUGAGCCCCUUCAAGGUGGUGAAAAAGUUAUCCCACAAUGCACGAUUAUCAUCCCACACAUCAUCAAGAACUAGGAGAUAUCUUUUUCCCCCAAGUUGAUUCUGAAUGUCUUCAACGAUGACAUUCCUAUCAUCCACUUCAACUUUUCUUUUCAUCAAUUGCACUAACAUGAGUUUGAAAAGUUCCACUACUGGAACUUUUUUCGAUACACAAACCCACAACUUUUUCUCAAAUUGCCCAUCAAUUUGCUGAUUGUUGUAUAUCGAUUUAGCCAAAGUUGUUUUGCCUAGACCUCCCAUACCAAAUAUGGGAAGAACAAAAACUACCUUCUCAGAUGGGCUCAACAAUAUCUUCAAUAUGUUUGAUUCAUCAUCGGCUCUUCCAAUUAUUGGAACAAGAACAGAGUCAGUCUGCCGAUUUCCUAUGUCUCCAACAGCAGGAGCAGCAGGGAGGGCAGCUGUCAUCACUAACCUACUAACCAGUCCCAAUCCGUUGGCUUCUUGAUUUAUCUCCUUCAACUUCAGUUUGACGUCCCUGACCUUAGAAGCCAUUCUCCAACGAAAAGCAAGAUUAAUGUUGAGAAGGAAAAGAAGGAGAAUACCUUGAGCUUGGGUCGGUUUCGGGACUCCACCUGGUGACGAAGAGAUUCAUAGUAGAGCUCAUCCAACACAUUCUGAGCAUCAUAAGCCACCUCCUCGAGACACUUCAACCAUCGUUGCACUCCUCUGCUUUGGUUUUGCCUUUCCUCAGCAUCAGCCAGGACAUCUUUGAUAAAGCCGAGAGAAUGUGUCAUGCUGGCCACAUCCUUCUUGAACCCAACUAGCAAACCAAUCCUAUCAGAGGCAAGAGACAGUGUCGUUUCCAAUGUGACCUGUAUUGUUGAGCUGAUAAGAGCGUCAGCCAUUUUUGCUGCCUUGGAUUCAGUGUUGAGAACAAGAUGGUUUUUUUUUUAUGGAAGGUUUUUUGCAGCGAGGAACUGGUAAUCUUAUCUAGGCUAGUAUAAUUGGUUAUGAAAAAAGGAGCAUUAAUAAUUUUUCCGCGUAGACGUGGAGUUCUUCUCUGACAAAUUUGUAAGCUUUUGCAUUGGCGUGUUUACAGAGUAACUUUCUCAAUUAUUGUAGUUGUUGGGGCAUCAUGUUUUCUGAUUAAAAGGUGGGGCCUUCAGAAUUUUUGGUUGUGGACCAUAUUUGUUUUUGUCCACGAUCAAAUCGUAAAAAGGAGAGUGAGAUUCUGUUUUGGUUACAUGCAUGUCAUUAUUGUUAAUCCUUGGAAAAUGAAUUUAUGACAUACAGUAUUUUGGUCCGAAUUUUGUUCGGUUUUGGGAAGCGACCACACUGGGAAGCAAUAAUGUUCUCUGUUUUCGCACUAGCUAUGACGCAUUUUGCUUCUUGGCUUUUAAAUUACCUUUUGUACUUUAGCUAGAGUGUUAUUUGAAAUAUUAUUUGAAAUAAUUACUGUAAUACUUUUUAUGAUGUGAUAUAUGUGAGAUAAAAAGGUGGUUAAGAAUAUAAAAGAUUGAGUUGAAAAAUGUAUUUAUGAUGCAAGCGAAAUAUUAUUUAGAAUAAUAUGGAUAUCCAAACAAACCUAUAUAUUCUCUGUUUUCGCACUAGCUAUGAUGCAUUUUGCUUCUUGGCUUAGUAAUCAGGCUUGAGAUUUUAAAUUACCUUUUGUACUUUAGCGUUUCAAACAUAUAUAUAACAUGAUCGGUAUGAAACCCCUAGCCUUCUACUCCUCUCUUUAAAAUCUGAUAGUCUUUAAUUCAGAUCGGUAUUAAUCUUUUUUGUUAUUUUAUUUCUUAUUACUUUCUUUUUCUAGUUGAUUUUGGAUCCUUUUUUUAUUACUUUUCUAAUUUUUUUUCUUUAGCUUUUGCUGACGCGUAUAUUGGUUUCUCCUCAAACUGGAUGUCUCUCAAUCUCUCUUGUGGGAAUUCAACAUACUUUAAGAUGAAUUUCAUUUUGCCAUUAUCAAGUUUGCACUUAAAGAAUUAAAGUUCAUAUGGGGCUAAGUCAUACUAAUUUCAUAUCUUUGACAUUUAUUUAUCACAAACCUCAAUUCUUCUUUCCUCCAGUGUUUCUUUUCUAUAUCAACUCUCCUUAAUCCCAUUAUUGUCUCACAGCAUAAUCCAGAAAGUGUCAGUAUAUAAGAAUUCUUUUGAAGUAAUUAUUACAAAUAUAUAGUUCCCGUUUCUUGUGGAAUGUUCUGAAUCUUUCCUAAAGAAACAUUUUCCAAUUUGAGUUCCAGAAUUGUUGCAAACUUUUUCGGUUUGCGCAUCACUUUGCAUGUAAGAAUUCAAAAUUUCACCACCAAUUAAAUAUAUAGUUUUCCUCGCAACUUGUCCCAUUUGGAUUGCUAUUUUUAGAAAUUUUUUGUAGAAAAAUAUACUGUAGAGAUUUGAUAUAUGUGAGAUAAAAAUGUGAUUGAGAAAUGUAUUUACAAAAAAAAUGUUAGUUUCCUUUUCUCUUCUAUUUCGAAUUUCUCCCAACUUAUGUUUCCUUGUUGCAAAUCUUGCCAAACUUUAUAAGAUAUGUCUUAUCAAUUUCUUUGAUACCUGAAACACUAGAAAUUUCUCAUUCCUUAUGUGUAUUCUUGUUUAAUUAUUUAAUUUGGUUCCUGAAACACAAGAAAUUAGUAAAGAAUUUCGAUCCAAUUUGGUGCAACGCUUCUUUGACAAAUUGAAUCUGAUGCUUCUGCAAUGGAAGUGUUUUUUUUUUUUUUUAUAGCAACAAUAACUUUCCUACAACCUAAUCUAUUCUAUUCUAUAGAGAGGGGGAACUUAAUUUAUUCUAUUCUACAAGAAGGGAAGCCUAAAAAGACUAUAUAAGGGAGUUGAUAUACAUACCUAAUUAGAUCGUAUUUUGACGCUUUCUUAAAUUUUUUUUCAUUAUGUAGAGUUCGAACUCCACAUUUACGAUCCAAAAAAAAUUAAUCUCUUUUUUGUUGCCGCUGAGCCAAAUCUCCUUUGUUGCCGGGAUUCUUCAGCUGCCUUUGAUCCACAUUCCACAUGCUUGUGUGUGUCUUGGGGGGGGCAUCGGAUGUGGAAAAUUCCACCCAAGAAGGAAAAGAAACGUGUUGAAUGAUGAAGAAAAGAAAAUGGCAAUCAUCAUUGAGACUCUAAUAAAUCUCACUCCUCAGUUCUUGGGACGUGAACGUACAAUUAAUAAUUCCAUCUAAAUUGCUGAUCCUAAGUGGAUCAGAUUUGAAACAUAUUUUAUCCUUUGGGGACUCCUUAGUUUGUUUGCUUUCUGCAGGGGAUUAUGCUCCAAUUUCUUUAAAAUCCACAGACCCCCAAAGUUCUCCAUUUCCGUGCUAGCUAUGUAUUUUCCAUUUUUGUUUAGUUCAAAAUAGCUAGAAAUUUACAGUGGAUGCUUUUGUUUGCUCUUUAACCACCGGUAGAAAGAAGUGCUGCAGUAGUACAUCUUUGACAAACUUGGAUGCCAUUAAUUGCCAUGGAGAAGUUUGCAUGCCAUUAUUGACUUGGCCUUUAUUGAUCAAUGCUUGGCUAGGUAUUUCAUCUUUUUCUGAUUGAAAGCUGGCUGGCGCCUUUGGCUGUGGAAAAUAUCUCAAUGGUUUGUCGGAGUAGUGGUUUGACCCAAGACUGACCCCCGCAAAAAAAAAAAAAGAAGAAAAAAAACUAUGUUCAACGAUAAAAAUGUAAAUGAGAAAGAAGAAAUGACAGCCAUAGCUGGUGACUUUGCAACAUUAAUUGCCUCAGUCAUUAAUCCUUGGGAAAUGGACUAAAAACGUUAUUUUGUGGGGGAAAAACUUUAAUAAAAAAUAAUCCGUGGUUCACUUAUCAAAAACAUGAAGUGGAGUUAGCAAUCAGGUUUGGCAUGUAGCGACAUAAUUGGCCAAUGGUUGGGUGCUUUCUUAGCUUUUACACUUGUGAAAUUGCCAAAAUAGUCACUCGUAAUUCCACAAGCUUUCUAGCACUUUAAAAAUUCAAACAUUUUGUUUCAAAAUGUCUUGUUUAUGUACAGCAUACAAAAUUUAAGUGGUGAAAGUUUAAGGAGUUUCUUUAUUACUAUUUCUUUUUUUGAAGUACAAUGUACAAUCAAUUGAAGUUAGAAGUGAAAUAAACCUUUAGUUCACACUAUGAUUAUAAAAUUUGACUGAAUUGGAUGUUUUGGGAAGGGGGAAAUGAGCGUGUUCUUGCGGAUUUUAAUUUUUAUAAUUGAAUUAUUUGCCUAUGAUAUGAUCACAAGUUUAACUUAAAUAGAGUUGCGAUAAUAGAAGAUUCUCGAAAGAAGACUUCAAAAGGUGGAAAUUGAAAAUGAGUGGAAAUUAAUGGGGAAUUAACCAGUUAUUUGGAUACCUAUUUUUGUAUCCGACUCUUUUAUAAUUAGUUUUUCUUAUAGUUUUUCUCGUUCCUAACAAAUUUGAAUUAUUUGUUCUUAUGGUUCCUCUCUCUUCUAACAAUAUGAUAAAUUUGUAUAAAUUUUUUUAUCCAUAUGGAUUAACUUAGUGUUAAAAAAUUUUAACUGUUAGCUGAUAGAUUUAUCAAUAUUGCUGGAAAUUAAAUAUUUUUUGAUGUAGAAAACAAAUCGCAAAAUCUAUUGUACUCGGUUAAGUAGGAAAAUGUAACUAGGUUUAUGGUUAUUAUAAAAAUUGUAAUUAUCUAAAAAAUAUCCGUACACAAAAAGGUAGAAUAUCUAUUGAUUUUUUUAUAUUUGUUAUCAUAUUUGAUGAAUAUUAUUAUAUUAUAGUAAAAGUAUGUAAAGAAGUAUUUAAAAAUUAGUAUGACAGUUAAGUAUAAUUAUUCUAUUAAUUUUCUAAAAUUAAUAUGAAUGAACUUGUAAGAUCAUCAUUAAUUUUUUAUUUAAAUUAUUCAUGCUUGCACGAAUUCAUUAUAAAGUUUAAAAAAAUAAACAUGCCAAGGCACAUGCAAGACGCUAGUUCAAAUUAAUGUUGUACACGUAUAGGAGUCACAAAAUCGGUUUGGUGCACUAGCAAACAGAAGGGGACAUCCAAAGUAUUGGGACAAGUUUUACAUUAAAGGGGGAGAUUUGUAAAGCAAUUGAGCGAAAACAAAUGAGGUUGAAGAAAAUUUUAUAUCAUUUGCAAUACAUUCAUAAAAGCUAUGACACAUUCGUUAAAAUAAGAAAUAUUUAUUAAUUUGGUGCAAUGUAAUAGCAAACCAAGGAAAAAAAAUAUGAAUGAUCCGUAAGAGGGAAAGAUGUCAUUUGACUUAAAAUAAAAGUGUGAUUGGAUAGAGGUUUAGUUGAACAAAAAAAUUAGAUUAAUGUCAUAGCACUUUUUGUUGCUUGAUAUAAUAUAUAUGAGAUAAAAUGAUGGCUGAUAAAAUUAAAAAAAUGAUUCAGGUAAAUAUAAAUAUUUUUUUUCAUAUAUUUGUGUAAUGAUGACAAUGACAGGGUGAAAACAGUGCAUGCAAAGAAUAAUAAUAAUGAUAACUCUUGUGAGAUGGAUAGCAAUUGCAAGUUGCACACCUUAGAUUGAAAGAUAAUAAAUAGGACGAUAAAAAGGGAGAAGAGAAAAUUGUGAAAAUAACCACGAAAGGGAGACUAUUUAGGUUUUCUCACGAGAAGGUUAAUCAGAGGGGGAGGUGAAGAGAAGGGGAGAUUGAUUGAUUGUAAAGCAAAUUAAGAAAGUAGGUAGGAGGCAAUCUUCUGAUUGAGAGAAAUUGUUAGAAACCUCAAGGGAGGUUUAUGAAAUUAUCCUAAAUAAUUGAUUUUCUAAAAAUUUUAAAGGAGAAAUAUCUAAAAGUAUCAGGUUCACAUGCAAAGCAUGUGCUCCCAUUACUAGUGAGAUAAAAAGGUAUGAUCGGAAAAUGUGAUCAUAGAAAACGUAAAAACUUUAAUCCAGAUAAAUAUUUAUACAAUCACUAAUUAGUUAUUGCUAUUAUUAUUGCUACUUUUUAUACUGUUAUAGAUAUAAGAGGAUUUACUUAUAUUGGCCUUCGAAGUCUUAUAGGCAUGGAAAUGUAGAAAUGCUUUUCUUGUAACAUAUCGCUGAGCUAUCAAGGAAAAUAUUUCAAGCCAAGAUGUGUAAGAUCGAUGUCACAUUGCUGCUUCGUGGAACAAUAUGCACAAGUACUAGUUCGCACGAAAGCAAUUUUGCAAGUAGACACCAUGUAAAAUGUCAGUUUGAUGGACUAAGGUUGACCUUAUAUGUUCCCAUUUAAUUCUUGUAAAAUUGAUUGCCAUAAUUUUAUCUUUCCAACGAUCCCGUCCACCAACUGGGAUCCUUUUUUGAAUACAAAAUUGUGCCUUAGCAAUUCAGUUUUCUAAAUUGCUCUCUGAUUAACAUAAAGUAGAAGGGCUCAAGCUGAUUGAUUCUUGUGCUCUGAGUCCUGUCCUGAGCUUUACAGAUACUAGGAGCAAUGGACAAGUAUCAUCGGACACAACCUGUAGUCAACUGCAGAACACUGAGAAAAAAUAUGUUGCCUGUUAUAGAGCUAAGAUACAACUUCAAGAAGGAUGCAAGCAUCUAUCAGGGUUCAGCUAAUCCACGUUUUCCUGCUACAAAAUACUGCUAGUUUGAACGAUGAGCAGUAUGGAAGAUAUGGCAAAUUGAGUUCCAAAAGAAGUAAAAUAGCACCUCAUUUAACAUAUCUACAAAUUGCUGAAUCGGUUGGACAGUUUAACAACACCAGACAGACAAGGAACUCAAUCCCGGAUGUUUUCAUCUGAUCUGACUGAAACAGGGUCUGGUUCAGCAAGGGAUCAUAGGACUUCAUUACAAAUGAUAGUAAGAGCGAGUUAUCAAGGUUAAUGUUGAUCUUUGAGUGUAAAAUCACUGCAAAACACAAAAACUCAAACUUAAGAAACUCGAGACAGCAUGCAGUCAAGAAUAAAGCCAGCACAUAGUUGCAUGACAUUUUUGUUGUAUUUGAAACACUAAAAUAAGAACUUACCAUGAAGAGAGAAGCAACCAACAAGUAUAGAAGGUGGGGUGAGCUUAAUAGCCUUCAUCACAGCAGAUGAAAUAAUUGCAGCAAGUAGCAGCAGCCAACAAGUACGCUUCAAAACUUGCAGCUUAGUCUUGAUUGUGUCAGAAGAUGCUAUAACAAGUCUGUGCAGCUUCACUGCAUGAGCAGUACAUCUUCCGUGGCUGCUCCCAAAAACAUUGUCAUUAUGAGAAGAUUUCUCAAGUUUUGGUUGUAAUAUGUUCAGAUUCAAAGUAGUUAAAAGUCAAAUUUGAGUAGUAAAAGAAGAGUAGUAUAUCUGAACUUACCGGACUCUUAGAACCAAACACCAAUUUGAUGACCAACAGCUCUGAAAAGUCCUGAAAUCUUUACUCCUAGAAAAUCAUAACCAAGGAAAAGCGAGACACAAACCCAUCAUCUACGAGACUUAUCGAACAAAUCACUAAUCAAAUGGUUCAAGAAGCUUGAUAUAUGCGCCUUCAAGAGGUGAUUAAACUCUGGAGCAACUAUUUACUCCCUCUAGAAUCAAGAGUUAGGGAGCUGAUCACUUUAGCAAUCACAUCUUACAUCCACAAAAGUAGAUAUAUAAAAUCAACAAAACGAAACUCCUAGUGCGUAUUUCAUAUUGAUGGGUAAAUUGUAGGAAAUGCAAACCAAAAAUUAAUUAAUACCAGCUAUAAAAAUCUAAUCUAGUUUCAUCUAGGGGAGAGAACACAAAAAUCUGCUUGUUAAGUGCAGGAGAAAGACGUGCAGUAGAGAAUUGCUGGUUUUAAGUCUCGUAGAAAAGGUUUCUAGAAUUGCUGCAUGUGAUAUCGAAUCUAAAACGUCCAAUGCAUUUUCAACAGGUGAAACUUCAGAGUGAGCAACCAUUUCAUCCUGGUGAAAUCACGAGUUUAAAGAGAGUGUGCUGAUGUUAGCAAACACAACGUACAAAGGACAGUAACUGCCAUUAGUGCAUUUCAUCCAAAACAUGAUUCAGUUCACCCAAGAAAAUCUCAUUCAUUUGCCAUGUUUGAUCUAGUACAGAAACAUGGUAUUGAAUUAAGCCUCCAUUUGCCAUGUUUGAUCUUUGUAUCAGCAAAUAAUAUGUGAUAGAACGUGAGCAAUACCAAUUUAACAUUAGAAAUUAACCAAAAAGACUGUUUAGUUCCAUUAAUUGAUAUGGAGCCGUGCAUGGCUUACUAGUGGAAAAGGUUACGAAAUAUUGUGCUUAUUCAUGAUGAAGAGAUUGAAAUGACUGACUCUGUAUCCAACUUGGCAGACCUAAUCUGUUGUUGCUUCAAUUAUCAGUUGAUAUACUUUCAAGGAAAGAGAGGAUUUUCAAAAGUGAAGGCGGUAAUUAGGAGUCAUCAGGGUUCCCGACUGAGCUUUAAGCCUACAGUCACUGCAAAACAGAAAACUCAAGACUCAGGACUUCACAUAGCAAAUCAUGAGGCUAACUGGAAAUUGCAUGACAUUUUUGUUUAGUCAAUUAUUCAGAAAGCCAAAUCAAUAUUUGUUUCUGUUGUGCUUUUCUAACCUAAAUCAGUAAGAAGAUAUCAAAUCUUUCUGCUCAAUCUACAAGUACCAGAAGUGCCAUAGAAACUAUUAGUUUUUGUUCAAAACACUGAAAAAUGAGAAGUUCUAUAACAAUAAUGAUAAUAAGCAGCACCCACAAGCAUGAAAGGUAGAGAGCUCUAGAAUUGCCAUGAAGGUGAACUCUUUGAGACAGCAAGAUGCAACGAGUAGAGCUAAUUACAACUCUUUGACUCUUAAAAUCUCAAAUCAUGGCAUUUGAACUUAAACUUUAGAAGAGGAUAGUCUACCAAGUCUCUGCUGCUUGAAAAAGUCUUAAACAUGAUAAUUUUUUAAAGGUUUUAAUUAGUGCAUUGGAUAUUAAACUUCUUAAAACCCAAUAUUAAGCAGAGGAAGAAGAUUAUUGGUAUUAUAGUCAGAGUCAGAGUCAUCGAUGAGGUUCCAUGUUUAGCUUUGUGCCUAAAACCACUGCAAAGCACAAAAACUCAAACUCAAGAUGGCGCUCAGGAUAGAAUAAAACGAAUGGAAAUUUUCAGAUAAUUGCAGGUUUUCUGUCAUUGUAACUAAAGCCCCAAAAGGAGAACUUACCAUAAAAAAAGAGGCAACCAACAAUCAUAAUAGCAGAGAGAGCUUAAAAGCCUUUAUCAAGGUGGAUUCAUUAACAGUAGCAAGUCGCAACAAGCAGGCUUGACCAACUACCGGAAUGCUUCAAAACAUUCCGCCUAGAGUUGUUCAGUUGGAAGAUACUCCACCAAGUUUUGUGCAACUUCAUUGCUCAAAUAGUACACACCUUCCUCGGCUACCUCAAAAAUAUCUUUGUGACAACAAGAUUUCUUUUGUUUUAUAUGUAAUAUAUUAGAUAUUAAAGUGGUAAAAAGUAAAAAUUGAGUAGUGAAAGAAGAGAAGCAUAUCUAAAAUUACCAGAAAUUUUGAACCAAAACAUGAAAGUAAUGACCAACACCUGCGAAAACGCCUCAAUUGACCAUUGUCUUCAUGGCUCAAAAGCCAAAAUCAAGGAAAAGUGACCAGAAAAACAUCAUAUAUGACUCUGAUAGAGUAUGCAAGUUCAUUAUCAAGAGGUAAAAGUUCAGUCCCCUUAGAAUCACAAUUUUAAACAGUCAGAUGACUUUAGCAAUAAUAACUUCAAAUCUACAGAAGCAGAGCACGUAAAUAGACUGCUAGUUGUUGUAAACGUUGAGGAAAUGCAGGCCAAAAGUUAUUGAGGUCUAGCCAUAUAGAUGGUGCUGAAGAAGCUUCAAAAUUCUAACCUCUGUUCAUGAAGCUAUUCUUCUAUCAAUCCUACAAAAACAAAGCAUAGAACAGAAUAUGAACAGAGAUACAGUAAAACAUCAAAGCACGAAACAGGAUAGGUGCUUGGGGUCAUUCUAAUUGAUAGUUACAAGAGUAUUACUAUUAUGUUGUAAGGAGUAAAUGAGGAGGACGAUAAAGAAAUGCUAAUGCCGCAGCUUUGAAAGAUAAUAAAUAGGACGAUAAAAAGGGAGAAGAGAAAAUUGUGAAAAUAACCAUGGAGACUUUUUAGGUUUUCUCACGAGAAGGUUAAUCAGAGGGGGAGGUGAAGAGAAGGGGAGAUUGAUUGUAAAGCAAAUUAAGAAAGAGGUUAUUGAAGGCAAUCUUACAUGAUUGAAUUUGAUCCAAAGAUGAAAGUUGGUUAUUAAUCAACUUAUGCAUAGGUCUUGAAUGUGAGAAACUUUGGACCACUGGGAGUCGGGGCCGCUGCUCUCAGGAGUGCAUCUUUCUUUUAACAGAGGAGAACCAUAAACCUCCAGACGUUUUAGUUUGGUGAGACUUCUCAUGGCAUCCUCAGAGGGUAGAUGUCCAAGCUCCGUGAAAUGCCGUAAAUGCGGGAAUUCAAGAGCAGCGAAGUUUCCGAACCAAUCUGGCAGAGCUUUUAUACCUCCAAAGUCGCGUAGCCAUAGUGACGUCAGAGUGGUCAAGUAUUGGAUCCGAUGUGGCAGGGACUCCAUGUGUGGCAACCCAAUUAAUGCUAAUUCAUGGAGUGUGGAUGACGAAGAGGAGGAGGAGGAUAUCAAUCCAGACCAAUCAAACUCAUUGUAAAUUGAAGAAUUUUCAUGAUCAUCACCAUCAUCUGAGAAGGGACCAAUUACAAGCUCCCUUAAGCUGGUUAGGAAACCAAAUCCUCUGGGCGUCAUGCUUGUUUUCAGUUUGGAACACCUGUAUAAUUCCAGCUCCAAGAGAGAAGGCGUUUGUUGCAAAUCAAGCGGAAAGGAGAUAAGAUUGCGGCAACCAAUCACCCGAAGCUUCUGGAGAGAGGCACAAGAGUGCAGUAUGUCACCUGGCAGAUUCGUCAACCCAUCGCAAGCAUAAAUCUCCAGCUGCUUAAGAGACGCAAAGUUUUGCAGGGGAAGGAGUUCUCUGCAUCUGUUGCAGAAAUUAAAUGCCAAACGUGCUAACUUGGGGGGUGUUGUUGCUGACUUGGGGAGUGUUGUCGUCGUUGGCAAAUCCAUUAACCAUGAGGAAAUUGAUCGCCCAUAAAAUUCCAAAUUACCAACUCCUCCAAAUUUGGGUGGGGUCGAAGGCCAUCUAACACAUCUUCGUCAUUGUAGUCGUCGCCUUCUCGUUCACAGGCCCACUGAAGUACCAGGCCAAAUAGAUUUGCCUUUUCAGAUAGUUUUGCUUCCUCAGCUCCUUCCUUACCCUUUACUAGUUCCAGAUUGCGUAUCUCCAAUUUGCCUUUGAGGUUCUUCAAGCUUCCAAGCUCUUCAAUUUGUCGACCCUUCUCUCGACCCACAUUAAAGAACUCUAGCGUCUGAAGGCAAGUAAGUCGUCCCAUCUCUAGCGGCAUUUGAAAGUCAUUAUCACUUAUGUCAUAGUGGAGAUGUCUCAAGCUAAUCAAAUCGCGUAUCCCCUUCGGAAGAUCUUUAACUUUUGAGUAACUUAGCGUCAAUGUCUGCAGAUUAUAAAGCUUGCAAAGGGAGUCCGGCAAAAUGCCGAUUGCAGACCGCUUAAGGUUAACAUACCGCAAAUGUAUUAGUUUGCCAAUUGAGACUGGAAGCUCUUCAGUUGUUGUAUAAGACAAAUUCAAAACAUACAAGUUCUUCAACUUCAUUAACAUAUCGCCAGAUAAGUCAACAUUUACAAACAAUGUAUGAAGCGAAGUUGAUAGACUCUCCAAAAGUUUAUCUCUGUCUUCUCCACCACCAAAUGAGUCUAUUGCAAGGUAACGAAUCUGAUCACCAUUGUCUACUAUACAUGUAUCCCUAUCAUUAAUGACUUUGGUAGACUUUGACAUUGACUCUGAAAGGUCAUGCACUAGAUCAUGCAUCUGAUAACAUGUUUUUGACGGAUAAUCUGAUUCAUCAAUUAUUUCUUCAAACAAUGAACUCUGCAAUAAAAUUCUCAAAUAAUUCAUACCAAUUUCCUCCAUCAUCGUUUGGCUUUUGACAUCUGUUUGAAGGAAACCUUCUCCCAUCCAAAGUUCGAUAAGCAUAUUCCUUUCUAUCUUACUAUCCUUAGGAAAUAUACAACAAUAUGCAAAACAUUUCUUAAUGUAUGGAGAUGGCAAAUUAUCAAAACUCAACUUAAGUAUUUGCAUCACGUGAUCUCCACCUGCACUCAAACUCAAAAGCCUAUUCUCCAAAAUUGAUCGCCACUCCUUUUUUCUCUUUAAACGUAACAGACCUCCUAUUACACUUGCAGCCAAUGGUAGACCAUCACAUCUUUUGAUUACUCUCUCCUUAAUUGCUUGUAGUUCAUCAGGUACUUCUCCCCCUCCAACCAGGGGCGGAGCCAGAAAAAAAUUUUAGUGGGGGCAAAAAUAACAUCAAAAUUUUUUAUCUACUCUUUUUCUAAUUUUUUAAGCAAAAAAAUAAUAAAUUCACCAACAAGUAUAAAUGGGGGAAGAAAGAAGAGCCGUCGGUUGUGAAGGGAAAAUGGGGACCAGAGGAGGAAAGGGAAUUGGGGAGUGGGGACCAAAAGAAAAGACUGAUAUAAUUGAUACUUGGCUCUGUUGGGGGAAAAAAUGGGAGACCAGGGGAGGAAAGUGAAUGAUAUAAAAUUUGUGAUCUAUUUUUUCACAUUUGUUCUAAAAAAACUCUGGGGGCACCUUUACGAUUAUAUCAAAAUUGUAUAACUAUUAUACAAAUUUGAGGGGAGGCAGUGGGGGCCCAUGCCCCCAGUGCCCCCACCUUAAAUCCGCCCCUGCCUCCAACUACUUUUUCUUUUAGGAUAGACCAACAAUGAUCAUCAGGUAGCCUUCCUAAGGCAUAGGCUUCAUCAUCCAUCAUCAAAGCUCCAGACACAAUAUCUGCCACCUGACCAAUACGAGUAGUGACAAGACACUAGCUUCCAUUGGUUGGAUUGAGUCCCCUCAAGGUGGUGAAAAAGUCAUCCCACAAUGCCUGAUCAUCAUCCCACACAUCAUCAAGAACUAGGAAAUAUCUUUUUCCCCCAAGUUGAUUCCCAAUUUUUCCAACGAUGACAUUCCUAUCUUCCACUUCAACCUUUUCUUCCACUUCAACCUUUUUUUCCGUCAAUUGCAAUAAAAUGAGUUUGAAAAGAUCCAGUAUCGGAGCUUUUUUUGAUACACAAACCCAAAUUUUUUUGUUAAAGUGCUCAUCAAUUUGCUUGUUGUUGUAUAUCGAUUUAGCCAAAGUUGUUUUGCCUAGACCUCUCAUACCAGUUAUGGGAAGACCAGAAAGAACCUUCUCAGAUGGGCUCAACAGCAUCUUCACUAUCUUUGAUUCAUCAUCGGCUCUUCCAAUCAUUGGAGCAACAACAGAGUCGGUCUGCCGAUUUCUUUUGUCUCCAGCAUCAGCAGCAGCAGGGAGGGCAGCUGCCAUGACUGCUCUCUCGAACAGUCCCAAAUCACUGGCUCCUUGGUUGAUCUCAUUCAGCUUAAGUUUGAUGCCCCUGACCUUAGAAGCCAUUCUCCAACGGAAAGCAAGAUUAGUGUUAGAGAAGGAGAAGAAGCAGCAUACCUUUCGCUUGUGCUGGUUCCGGGACUCCACCUUGCAACCAAGAGAUUCGUAGUUGAGCUCAUCCAACACGUUGUCAGCAUCAUAAGCAACCUCCUCGAGACUCUUCAGCCAUUCUUGCACUCCCCGGUCCUGGUUUUGUUGCCUUUCCUCAGCAUCAGCCAAGAGAGCAUUGAUAAAGCGAAGAGAUCGAGUCAUGCUGGCCACAUCCUUCUUGAACCCAACUAACAUACCAAUCCUGUCAGUGGCAAGAGAUACUGCCGUCUCCAAGGCAACCUGAAUAGUGGCACUAAUGACGGGGUCGGCCAUUUUCCUGUCCUUGUAUGGGGCUUAAUUGCUAGGAUGCUUUGUUGAUAUCAGAUUGGUGAUUUCCUUGUAUGUAUGUAGCUUGCUAGGAUGCUUUUUCCUAUCAGAUAAUAAAGAUGGGGAUGGACAAAAGGGUAGAGGCUUUCAUCAAAGUUUUGGUGAGAACCGAUUUAUUUAUUUAUUUUUCAAAUUUAGAAUGGGAUCGUGGGUUCCCGGUGGUAUGAACGGAAGUAUGGUGGAGCCACUAAGAGAGUUAUGUAAUUUAAUCCAAUUUAUAAAGGGAGCCACAUGCUUCUUCCUCGGUUUUAGUUAAUUACAUUGUUGCAGCUAGUGCUUCAGUUCACGCUAAUGCCAGGCCAGGCCCUUGGGUUGCUGAAAAUAUGUCUAAUCCUUGAUUUUAUUUAUUUUUUUAAAAAAGAAAUCCUGGAAAAAAUCGUGGAAGGCACAUGCAGUACAAGUUACAACUAACAUUUCCAUCUAAAAUAUUACUAACAAUAAAACUACUAGAAAAGUAGUACAUAGAACUGGAUGGGACGCGUUUGCGUCUCAAUUGUUAUUAUAUUACUACUAGAAAAACUUUGAAGAAUCUCAAUUAUUGCACCUGCACCAACAACAAGUGUGUCAAGAAAAAAAAAAUCUAAAGAAAUGAUCCAAUGAGGUUUCACGAUCUGCCAUUUUUGUUCCUUUGAAACGAUAAGAGUGAGUCUUCUCUAAUAUUAGCUCGAUUUUAAAUAUUUUUAAUAAUUAUUAUUGCAUGCUUUUCUCUAAUUUUUUUUCAUUUAUUAAAGUGAAAUGUUCAAUUUAUCUAUUUUAAAAUACAGAUAAUUUCACAAUCUUCCCCUGAGAAUUUUGACAAUUUUAUUGAGCUUCUUCAAAGUUUUUAUGACUUACACUUACCUAGAGCUGUUAAACGAACCGAGCUGUUCUGUAGCUCGGUUCGUUUCGAAUCAUUCGUGUUCGUGAAAGGCUCGUUCGAAACCUUAAACGAACCGAGUUCGAACGAAUUUUUUUGUUCAAUUAAUAAUCGAGCGAACACGAGCAUGUUCGCGAACAUGAACAUAAUUAUCAUUUGACAAAUUUUAGGGUUAAUUUUAUAGCUGGACUUUUAUAUUUGGAGGGCAAAUUACUUUGUUUUAUUUGUUGUUUUUAUGUUAAUGUUAGUUAUAUAGUUAAUAAAUAAUAGAAUUUAGUCACUUAGUGCUUUAAUUGUUUUUGAGAAUGAGUAAUGAUUUGCAUGGCAUAUUUAAGGCUUAAAAUAAUUUGGAUUCGAGCAUUUCGAUCAUGUUCGCGAAUGGCUCGUUUAUGUUAUACGAGUUGAAUACGAACUCGAACUCGAACACGAAUUUUGCUUAACGAUCUGAACACGAACACAGGUUUGGAGUUCGAAAAUUAACGAACGAAUACGAACGUUGUUCGAAUCGCUUAACGAACAGAGUUCAAACAUGAGAUACUCGGUUCGAUUCGGUUCGUUUAUAACUCUACACUUACCUCCUUUAUCCAUAUAAAAGGACAAUACCAAUGUUAACAUUUUAAUAAAACUCCCGUAUUGGGUGUGCAUAUACAAAGAAUGGGAUUUGUAAUUAUUUUUUGUUUUCUUUUUCCUUUUCUCUUCUUAUUCCUUCUUUUUAUAUUUUUGCUAGCGAAACCAUAGGAAAAUAUAAUCACCGACUCUAAAUGUUGAAUUAGUGACUUUUUUUUUAACAACUUUGAAUGCCAUCCAAUUUUUAUUUGUAAAAAAAGAAAUGGUCAAAACUACUUGUACCAAAAUGUGGUAAUUCCAUCAAUCUAAAAAUUCACAAACCUUAAAAGAGUAUGACGACAAUAAUUUCAUCUCCAAUUUAGAAAGAAAAUGUAUCCCCUGUAAAGUACCUUGAAAAGCAUUCUAUCAUAAGGAUUUGGUAUUGAAAACUUGACACUCUUUUCUUAUAUUUGUGCUAAGAAUUGCUUUGCAAAGUAAUUAAAGUUUAUAAUCUAAGGGUAUUUGUUGACAAAAUUUAAACCAAGCUAUUUAUAAGUUUAUAUAGUAGUUUUAGAACUAGAUUUAGUAGAUAGUAACUAGAUUAAAAUUGGUAUCAAACUUGGUUUAGAAAAUAGAAUUGAGCUAUAUUUGGGUAUUAGAGUUAGAAUAGAUUUAGUAAUAUAUGUAUCUAUAUGAGAACUUGGAGGAGUCGUACAUUUAUAAUUGGGGAAAAUUAGCAUCAAGAGAAUAAAAUUCUAAAUCCUCCCUGCCUACUUGUUCGUUCGUUAUUUAUACUUCUUUGUUCAUACUUGAGAUUUUGUCCAUUGUUUUUUUUUUUUUAGUUGCUAACAUUAUUGACAGUUUGAAGGCCCAUAUUCACAGCAACAAAUCACAAGCUUAGGCCAGCGGAGACAGAGAGUGUCAAAGGAGAUUGCCAUGAUGUAUUAUUUCAACAAGGAAUCCAAGGAUUUUCAAAUGUAAAAAAAUACUGGAAAAAAUGGUAUGUACAAGUACAACUGGCAUUUCCACCCAGAAUAUAGAAGUGGAUGGCUCAACUCUCAAUGCUGCGACGUUGCUUGAUCUCAAUGCCGAUUUAUUUAUUUAUUAAAUUAAGAAUGGGACCGUGGGUUGCAGGUGGUAUUAACUGAAGUAAGGAUGAAGCCACAUGCAUGCUUCUUCCUCGAAUUUUACAGCUUAUUGACAGAUUGAAGGCCCAUACAUAUUCCAGCCACGAAUCACAAGCUUAGGCCAGCAGAGACAGAGAGAAUCGAAGGAGAUCGUCGUCAUGAUUCAUUGCAACAAGGAUUUUCAAAUGUAAAGGCAGUAAGUAGGAGUCAACAAUGUUUCCCAUUGAGCUUUAAACCAAAUGUCUAUGCAAUACAAAACCACUCACAACUCAGGACACCAUAGAGCAAAUGAUAAGGCUAACUGGAAAAUGACAUGACAUUUUUGUUCAGUCAAUCAAUUAUUCACAAAGAUAAAUCAAUAGUCGUUGUUCUUGUGCUUUUCUAUCCUGGGAUUAGUAAGCAGAUACCGAUUCUUUCUACUCAGACUGACUAGAGAGAAAAACUGGACGAAGAUGGAGGAGGACAAAAGAAAAGGGUUGAGGUUUUGGUCAAAGCUUCUUUUUUUCCCCACCUUACUUGGUGUGAAUUAUGAAGCCACUUGCUUAAUUAUUCACAAAGCUAAAUCAAUAGUUUUCUCUUGGAUAUUAAGAAAGACAUGUUGCUACAUAAACAAUUUUUUUUUUUUUACUUGGAUAUGAAUUAUGAAGCCACAUGCAUGCUUCUUCCUCGAAUCUUGCUUGGUUUUAGUUAAUUAUGAUUACAAAGACUACUUAGUUUACGGUAAUGCUGGGGCCUUGGGAUGCUCAAAAAGUCUAAUCCUUGGUAUUUAAAAAAAUGCUGAAAAAAAGGUAGGUACAGAAAAACUGGCAUUUCCGCCUAAAAUAUUAGCAAUAACAAUAGUAGAAAAAUUAUAGAAGUGGAUGGCUCGGGUUUGAGUUCCCAAGCUCUCAAUUGCUAUAUUAGGGCGGCUUUGCUUUCUCAAUUAUUGCACCUAAAACACCAACAAGUGCGUGCAGAAAACAUCUAAAGAAAUUGUUGCAUCUGCUGCAAGAAGAGGUUUUCUUCAGCGUAGAAGAAGAGUGCGCUUCUUUUGACAAACUUGAAUGCAUUUUCCACCAAAACUGAUUGGCGUUUUACUAGAAUGUUUCUAAAUCAAUGCUGGAUUUUUAUUUUUUUUGUUCUUUAUUACCUUUUUUUUUUUGGAAAAAUCAUUUAACAUGUACCUUACAUUUCGUUAGAUAAAUUAUUUAAAAUAUUGAUUUUAGGUUUCUUACAAAAUCAAGGCAGCUAAAUUUAGUCCCAACUUAAAUUUUUUAUCACUAAGUACACGAAGUGAUCCACGUGCGGUCAUUGUUUUAGGUGCAAAAUCUAUAUUUUUUCCAAAACUAAAAGAAACUUCAAAAAACUGGAAAAAUAUUAAUAAGGGGGAUUGAGAUGUAAGAAACAUUUAAGAAUCGAAAGUUUAAAAGUUAGGACCUUAAUUCUGAUAGUCUCGACUUUAACUAAUUGAUCAAGCCCUUUUCCCCACAUAGAGGCUAUCAUUUCUAGGCAUUAAUGUGAUUUCAUUAAAUUUUUCUUAAACAUUUUAUACAUUCAUCUUGGGGAGCAAAGUGCAUAUAUGUUAAGUUCAAAUGGAUAAAGUAUUACUUAUGUCUCACUCCCAAGGCCGAGAUGUCAUCAAAGUGUAAUGAACCCUUGAAUUCAUUCAUCAUUUCUCUUUAUUCACAACAAGAAGUCACAAGCUUUGGCCAGUUGAGACAGAAAAUUAAAAAACAGUGUCGUGAUGUGGUUCAGCUAAGAUCAAAUGAAUUUCAAAAGUUAAGGCAGUCGUUAGGGGCCAACAAGGUUUCCCAUUGAACUUUUUAAGCCAAAAGUCACUGCAAAACAGAACCCUCAAACUAAGGACACCAUAUAUAGCAAACCAUAAAGCUAACUGGAAAUUGCAUGACACUGUUUAGUCAAUUGUUCAGAAAGCUGAAUCAAUAUCCAUCACGAACCAAUGCUCAAUUUGUUAAUCUUGAAUGUUGCUUGGUCUAGUAAAUUAAUAUUAAUAUUCCAGCGAGUACUUAAUUUCGGCUAAUGCUGGAGGGGUGGAGGGGCUGGGGUUGUUUAAAAGGUCUACUCCUUGAUAUUUAAAAAAUACUGGAAAAAAUGGUGGGUACAGCUAACAUUUCCAGCUAAAAUAUUAACAACAAUACUAGCAGGAGAAAAUAUACAUAGAAAUGGAUGGGUCAUGUUAUAUUAGGGCAGCUUGGCCAUCUCAAUUAUUAGCACUGCACCAACAAGUGUAUACAUAGAAAUCCUAAAUAAAUUAUCCAAUGAGGCUUUCUCAGCUUAGAAAAAGAGCACUGCUUCUUUGGGCAAACUUGCAAAUGCAUUUUCCACCAAAGUUCCUUGGCGUUUCACUUGAAAGUUUCUAAGUCAGAGCUGGGUUUUUCUUCUGUUUCUUUUUUUUUUUGAUAGAGCGGUUAUUUGGCACAUUUUGCACUGUUAUUUUGUCCUAAUUUUGGCUACUUACUGUGCUAAGUAUUGGGGUUUAACUCAUAUUUCAUAUUUGUAUGAAUUAUAGAUGAUUGGCGUUAAAAAUAAUCCCUUGAGGCAAAUUUCCAGAAGACCCUUUAUCUCAGGAUGUGCCCACGCCAGAAAAGGUAGAUGUUACCGAAAAGCCGGAUCCGCGGGACCAACAGCAGGAGACCCAAUUAAAGAACCCGGUCUACGUGGACCAGAUGCGUGAGAUCAGAGCCCUUGGACAAAAAGCCUUGUUCCUAAUGCUUUUCUCCUGCGGCGGCUAUAAAAGAACAGAAAAGCAGAUCCAUGUUACAUCACUACAUUAGUUUUUAGUUUUCCACAUUUCACAGCGGUCAGACGCUUUCCUUUCUCUGAUCGGCAGCAAUUGGGAGAAGCCGGAUCAUGUGGGCUUAGGAGUUCACUUUUUCAAUUCUUCCCUGUAGACACUUUUGACGUUCGCUUUUGAUUUGCUACGAUUUUCCAUCGCUUUUAUCCCUUUUCUUGACUCUGCUCCAGUAGGGACCCAAUAUAAGAAAAGGAACUAAGGGAAUUUCUCAUUUGUUCCUUUGUUAAUUCGUCUUGCUCAACUCCUUGGAAUUAAUUGUUUGGCAAUUGUGCGGAUGAAAUCAAUCAACUCACGUGAGCUUGACAUGAUGAGGAACGGCUAAUUUUCUCCUCUACCUAAAGGUUGACGUGAGGGCACGAUCCAUAAUAUCUGUGAGAUCUAAUCGAAUCUUCAUUAUUUCUUCCAAUUUAUUGCUAUUCGUGUGUUUCCUGAAUUAAUUGUUCUUGGGUAUUUUAUUAAUUGAAUAUCAACGGCCGGGUAUUUGAUUUAAUUUAAUAGCCUACUGUCAUAUUAACUAAAUUGAAUCCGUAAUUGUUCGUUUAAUCGAUACCUAGUGACAACCACCAUAAUUGGAUUUAUGUUGGGGAAACGUAAGAUCUAGUUUAAAUAAACCCUCUUAGCGUGUUUAUUAGUUAGGGUUGGGUUCUUCUAGUUUCAAUGCAAUUGGGUAAUUAAAUUCCUACGGUCGUACCUAGGGUUGUUAUCUGGUUAGAGAAGCAGUCAAUGGUCGUACCUUGACUGUCGAAAAAGUAAGGAAGAACUGGUUGUCAGAGCUUGUUGAUAACUAUAACCAACUUAGUGAUGAAUGGAUGAAAUAUUUUUGCAUCGAUGAUCAUUUAAUUGGACCGUGCCUGAGUAGUUGAUCCUUUGGGUAGAAUUUUAUUAAUUGCUAUUUUUAAUAAAUUGUACUUGUGGAGUUAUCGUUUGAAUUUUAUUUAUUUUAUUUUAUUUUCAGUUUCAUCCUAAUAAUCAUCCCCCAUUUUAUUGAUUUGGAAAGAAAUAAUUUCCUACCCGCUCCCUGUGGAAUCGAUCCUACUUGCCAUUGUAUGCAAAAUUAAUAUUUGUAUAGACAAAUCUGGUAUAUCGGAUCAAGCAAACUCUUCGGGAAUAGGGUGAAUCAAGUAACCCAUUGCACACCUAGAGUCCCUGCUCCAAUACUCGGAUUUGUUCUAUAAUUAAUUGUGGUGGUAAUUAGGACUUUUUAGUAUUUAUUAUUGCACAGGUUCGGCACCUGUCAAUUUUUGGCGCCGUUGCCGGGGACUGGUGCCUGAUUAAUUUGUUUCUUUUUGAGUUCAUCUUGUUUUUAUUUUUAUAUUUAUUAUUUCUUUUAUUUUUCUCUUAUUUUUUUUAUAUAUAGUUUAUGGCUGCUAAUAUUCUGUAUUUUGGUGAUAGACUGAAUUUUAUUUCUAGAAAGGGUUAUGAGGCUUGUGCUUUUUCUAAUGAUCAAUGGGCUGCUGCAAAUUGUGGAACUUAUUUUGUCUCAAAUCAUUCAAUCGACAUAUGCCCUGCAUUUCAAGAUGUCUAAGUGAUCCAAUAGAUACUUUUGGAAAUUUUUUGCCUCAAUAUUAAACAUGGUAUGACCCUUAUUCAAACGGGUAUGAUCAAGGAUGGUGGGAUGAUUCCAAUUUUAAUUAUGAACAAAGACCAAUAGAUUUUCAACAGCUAGAGUUUUAAGAACCGUCAUCCAUGUCAGGUAUGUCUCUUGAAGAAAUAGUUGAAUCACUAGCUACUAACACAUAUCUACUUCAACAGGAGACAAUGAAUCUUCAUCAGCAGACAAUAGAUUUUCAUCAGGAGACACAAGCGAGCAUGCGUAACCUGGCAGAUCAAAUGGAUCAAUUGACAUCUAGGAUAACGCAAUUGACUUCUCAAAUAAGUGAAGAAUUGCCCUCACAGACUAUUAUCGACCAUGAGGAAGAUGAAAGUGCAAUUAUCCUGACAAAUGACAUGGUACUGCGAGGAUCUCAAGAAGAAGGAUCUAAAGAUGCAGUUGAAAAGAAAGUUGAAGUGCAAGACAUGAGACUCCAAUAUCAAAUUGUUCAAAUGAAUGAAUCCAGUGAACAAUCUCCAAAUGCGGUGACAUCUCCUCUAGUUCUUAAUCAAUAUUUACCUAACUCUUAUUCUUCAAUUCCUGUUAGUGAAAUUGAUUUUAUUAUACCAGAAAAUUUUGAGUUUCAUGACAGGGAUAAGUUAAGAGCCGCGAUGGAAAAAUAUCUCGAACCAAUAAGCGCUCAUGAUGGAGGAGUGAGUGAAGAUUUAAGGUCAUCAUUUCUUUGUUUGGCGCCAUCGACUAAUCUAUGGAAGACCAUACCUCUUGUGCUAAAGGAUUACUCUAUUUACGAAGGAUAUCAAGGAUACAUAGAAGAUGAAGCACUGAGACGAGUUACAUGAUUUUAUCCUCCGUGAAUAAACAUGACGAUGUCUAGCCAAAGACAUUAAAGAAAGGCGCUGCUUGGGAGGCAACCCAAGGCUUCUUUUGUUUUAGUUUUCUUAUAUUUUUGAAGUUUUUGUUAAGUGUUAGUGUCAUUUAGUGGGUUGUUAUUUUGUGACGGAAGUUGGCAUUAGACAUGCCCACGUUAGGUCGUCACACCUUAGGAAUGGAGUUUUGGAAUUGACGGUCAGAAGACUAUAACUUCCAAGGCGUGCCCACGCCUUCCAACCCUUCCGAAAACGAAAGUCAAAAAGAGAAAAAAAAAAAAUUUUCUCCUAGCCCCACUUUUCUACUUUUUUUUUUAUCCUGUCUUGUCUAAUCCCUUUUCACUUUGUUUUAGUUUCAGUCUUCUCCUUCCUGUUCGUGUUGCGUCCGUCGCCGCCUCACCCUCCUCCGCCUUAGUGUCUCGUUUUCCCUCCCCGGUGGUCAGAAAAGUUUCUCUUCUUUUCUCCUAAUAUUUCAUUUAUCUUUGCUACAUUGAGAACAAUGUAGGUUUUAAGUGUAGAGGGGACGGCUUUUAUUAUUUGUUUUUGCUUUGUUAAAAAAAAAACAAAAAAAAAUGAAAAAAAAGGAGAAAAAGGAAAAUAGUGUAGUUAGCUGACUUCUUUGCUGUGAUGAAUGACAUAAUCAAGGUGCGUGGGUAUGUGGGUAAAUAUACUAGCUAUGCAUUUUAUUUUCCCUUGGCAGUGUUGUUGAGUGUUGAAUACGCUGGACUUGACCCAUUCUUGAAACUUUUGGGAGCUUUUGAGCCAUGCAUGAGCACAUUAUUCUUGUUUGCUCUAUUUUUGUUUCAUUGAGUGGGUAUCACACAUGGUAUCGGCAUUCUAGAACUUGUUAUUUUAUACAUGUCGAGACCACAUUUUGUUAAACUGGAUGCAUUUGAAAUGAUAAGGGCAUUUAGGAUUUGACCUUCUUUAACUUUCUACAAACCAUGCCUUCAUCUCGUUUCCCAAUAGUGAACCAAUUUGAGCUUUUAUCCCUCUCUUUGUUUGUUAGCCGUGUUGGAUAACUCAUGACCUUUUUAGACUUUCUUGUUCAACCUUGUGUCAUUAAGGGAUGUCUGAAAUUCAUUACUUGUGCAACGCAAAUGAAUCUAUGGGCGCAAGUGUUGUCAAAAAGAUGUUGUAUGGUGCUGUUUCUGUACAUCUGAGAUCGAAAGAAAAGCGAAAAAAAAUAGGGGGAGAAAUCGGCAAAAAGCUGGUGAGCAGAAGACUAUGUCUUCCAGGGCGUGCCCACGCCUUGCUAGAUGUCCUCUUCUAAAAAAAAAAAAAAAGAGGAACGAGUUUCGACACUUGCAUAGUGAAAACAACGAAUGGAAACACCCGACUUGAGAAAUUGCCCCGAUAAAGCAUUGUGGUUAUAUAGUGGAUAUUGGACAUUCUCUUGACACAUUACACCAUAUUUUUACCUUCUUAUCCCGCCUUUUACCUAAAUCUCAUUACAACCCUAUUAAAGUCCCUUUGAUUUGUGUAUUUAGUUCACUUUCGAAUGGUGGAGAUGUGAUAAAUGUGCAAGUUUAUGGUAAUGCCAUUCCGUGAUGUUGAUUUGAGCGCUCCUAGUAUUCAUAUAUAUUUUCUUUGAAUCACAACCUGUCCGAUGUGUUUUAAUUUUGGUGAUAUUGUCAGGGAUCUGAAAUGCUUGUGUUAGUAUAGACUACUGCAUGACCUCUGCUCUCUUUGUUGUACUUCUGAGCUCCGAAAUGCUUGAGGACAAGCAUUGUCUAGGUGUGGGGGGAUUUGAUAGAGCGGUUAUUUGGCACAUUUUGCACUGUUAUUUAGUCCUAAUUUUGGCUACUUACUGUGCUAAGUAUUGGGGUUUAACUCAUAUUUCAUAUUUAUAUGAAUUAUAGAUGAUUGGCGUUAAAAAUAAUCCCUUGAGGCAAAUUUCCAGAAGACCCUUCAUCUCAGGGCGUGCCCACGCCAGAAAAGGUAGAUGUUAUCGAAAAGCCGGAUCCGCGGGACCAACAGCAGGAGACCCAAUUAAAGAAUCCGGUCUACGUGGACCAGAUGUGUGAGAUCAGAGCCCUUGGACAAAAAGCCUUGUUCCUAAUGCUUUUCUCCUGCGGCGGCUAUAAAAGAACAGAAAAGCAGAUCCAUGUUACAUCACUACAUUAGUUUUUAGUUUUCCACAUUCCACAGCGGUCAGACGCUUUUCUUUCUCUGAUCGGCAGCAAUUGGGAGAAGCCGGAUCAUGUGGGCUUAGGAGUUCACUUUUUCAAUUCUUCCCUGUAGACACUUUUGACGUUCGCUUUUGAUUUGCUACGAUUUUCCAUCGCUUUUAUCCCUUUUCUUGACUCUGCUCCAGUAGGGACCCAAUAUAAGAAAAGGAACUAAGGGAAUUUCUCAUUUGUUCCUUUGUUAAUUCGUCUUGCUCAACUCCUUGGAAUUAAUUGUUUGGCAAUUGUGCGGAUGAAAUCAAUCAACUCAUGUGAGCUUGACAUGAUGAGGAGCGGCUAAUUUUCUCCUCUGCCCAAAGGUUGACGUGAGGGCACGGUCCAUAAUAUCUGUGAGAUCUAAUCGAAUCUUCAUUAUUUCUUCCAAUUUGUUGCUAUUCGUGCGUUUCCUGAAUUAAUUGUUCAUGGGUAUUUUAUUAAUUGAAUAUCAACGGCCGGGUAUUUGAUUUAAUUUAAUAGCCUACUGUUAUAUUAACUAAAUUGAAUCUGUAAUUGUUCGUUUAGUCGAUACCUAGUGAUAACCACCAUAAUUGGGUUUAUGUUAGGGAAACGUAAGAUCUAGCUUAAAUAAACCCUCUUAGCGUGUUUAUUAGUUAGGGUUGGGUUCUUCUAGUUUCAAUGCAAUUGGGUAAUUAAAUUCCUACGGUCAUACUUAGGGUUGUUAUCUGGUUAGAGAAGCAGUCAAUGGUCGUACCUUGACUGUCGAAAAAGUAAGGAAGAACUGGUUGUCAGAGCUUGUUGAUAACUAUAACCAACUUAGUGAUGAAUGAAUGAAAUAUUUUUGCAUCGAUGAUCAUUUAAUUGGACCGUGCCUGAGUAGUUGAUCCUUUGGGUAGAAUUUUAUUAAUUGCUAUUUUUAAUAAAUUGUACUUGUGGAGUUAUCGUUUGAAUUUUAUUUAUUUUAUUUUAUUUUCAGUUUCAUCCUAAUAAUCAUCCCCCAUUUUAUUGAUUUGGAAAGGAAUAAUUUCCUACCCGCUCCCUGUGAAAUCGACCCUACUUGCCAUUGUACGCAAAUUUAAUAUUUGUAUAGACAAAUCUGGUAUAUCGGAUCAAGCAAACUCUUCGGGAACAGGGUGAAUCAAGUAACCCAUUGCAUACCUAGGGUCCUUGCUCCAGUACUCGGAUUUGUUCUAUAAUUAAUUGUGGUGGUAAUUAGGACUUUUUAGUAUUUAUUAUUGCACAGGUUCGGCACCUGUCAAUUUUCUUUCUCGAAUUGUUUGCUUGUUUUGUUCUUGAAUGUCGAGCCUUCGAUUGUGGAAAAAUAGGUUCAAGAUUAAUUAAUCAUUUUUUAAAAGAAGCUGAGAAACAAAAUUGCGUCUUUGCUUGAUCAUUGGUGUAAACUUGAAACAUAGAUUUAUUCGUUUUGAAGGGGACCAUAUAUAGUGAGUAAAAUUCCAGCACCUGGAUUUCAUAAUCAAAGACUCGAGCGUUUUGGUGAUUCUUGGAGUAGAAAUCAAAGGAAAAAGUAUUACUUCGAUCCUUAAUUAAACUAAGUACAAUUAUCCUGAUUUGUGAGAAAUUUUAAGUGGCAUAGCACAAAUGUUCAAAUCCAAUGUUCCGCCUCAACUUCCAAUUAAUAGUAACUUGUCAUGUCCUUUGUAUGCGAUUGUAUUAAUCCAAUAUGUAAUAUAAUAGCAUUGAAAUACUAAGUUCUUAAUUAAAUUUUGACUGUAAACAUCAAAAUAGAGUAAUUCUUUUAUUUUUCAGUUUCUUUAACCAGUUCUUCGAAAAAUACUAGUUUAGCUGUACAUAUGUUGCACACUGCAUACCUCCCUAUUGCAUUCCUCCCCAGUUGCCAUAACUAAUAACUUAUUCAAAGUUCUUUAAAAGAUUGAACUUUGAGUAAACGAAACAAACCUUCAACGAAGAACUCAAACUCAUAUACAAAUCAAAAUGCUCUCUUCUAGUGACCAAUCCAACACUAUAUAGCCUUGUCAAAUAGACCAUAGAAUUCAAACAGAACAGUAAAAUGUAAUAAGAAAUAAAUGGGCUAAGGAGGUUCUGAUUUAAUGAUUAAAGUACUUCAAGAAUAAAAGGUCCUAGAUUCAAUUCUCUGAAUUUUUGCUUCUCAUGUCUGAGAAUAAAGUAUGAACAUAAAAAUGAGCUAACCUAAUGUUUAAAAAAAAAAAAAACAAGAAAUCACGUUAAACUACAAAGGAUCUUUGUAUUCUCUUAAAACUUAUGCCUAUAAUUUCUUCUUGUUGAUUUGCAACCUAACCUUUUAACUUUUUGACUAUCUUUCCAUUUCAAAAAAAUUGGAGAUCCUUGAUAUUUGUAGUGGUCUUGACUGAUUCAAUUUCCUUCCUCCAUUUCAUAAUUAGUUUGCAUGCAUUUUAAUGGUGAUUUAUCCACAAUUUGUAUAGAAUACACCAAGGGCUGUCAAUCCGUCUUUGAGCUUGGGGUUGCUUGAUUAAUUUUAAAAAAAAUCUUAGGUCGAAUGAACUUUGGCAAAGAAUAAUUUGAAAUAUGCAUUUUCAACCCCGUUAAAAAUUUAUCUUCAUACCUUUUGCAAGGUCAUUGAAAACACACAUUGAAGGUACUUGACGUUAACCUGUUUUUAAUUAAAAUCAUUAGACAUUAGAAAAUAUAGAGGCAAGAAUUAUUAAAGCCGAAAAUUUAAGAGGUACUUUGAAAACAUCAAAAAUAUGCUUUGAAGGUACUUGAGGAAAACCUUUUUUUUUUAAAAAAAAUAAAUCAUUAGCAUUAGAAAAUUAAGAUGCAAGAAUUAUUAAAAAUAGAAAUAUUAAAAACCCUACCUCACAUUCGUUUUAGGAUAAAUUUUGUGCACACAGACAGUGUAUAUAUAAGCGAGGCUAAAUGCAUGCUACCUUUAUUGUGGAAGCAAUAAGUACAUCAGCCAUUCUUUUUGUUCCUUGGAUACGUUUUGUAGUGGGAGACGUUGCUACUUGGAUCCGGGGCAUCACAAUUUAUGUUUCGUAUGAUUUCGUACAAGUUGAUCUUUGAUGUAAAUUAGUCAAAUUUUGGUAUGAGUUAGGUCCAGUUUAAUAUAAAUCAGGUGCAGUUUAGUGUAUAUUAAUUUGAUAUUAUUUGGUGUAAAUUAGAUACAUUUGGAUAUAAGUUGAUUAUUAUCAUUUAGCGUAAGUUAAGGUCAAUUUAAUGUAAAUUGAGAGUAAAUUGUUAAUUUUUACACCAAUUUAUGCAUAAUGCAACUUGUGAGGCCCUAUUUCCUGCUUAGAAUUUUCACUUGAAGUCUUCAAUACUUGUCGUUGCUCGGCCUUUGACGAGCGCGGGGUAUACAAAUAAUAUUUAAUUUAUCUACAGUCAAGUUUUACAUUUAUUAUAUUCUAAAUACCCUGCACGCAAUUUUUCUGCAAGUAUACAGGUUGUGAGCAAGUAUAGGAUAUUAAGGGCCGAACCCACAGGGAAAAUUUUUAAUUACCAUUGAUUUUCGAACUCCUUUAUUGUUUAGACUGUCAUAAGUGCAAGAAAUUGAAUCUACACUAUAAACAUGAAAUAAAAUAUUAAAAAUACAUUAGAAAUCUUCUAGAGGAAUGGAAUUCCUUUCUACUCUUACAAAUGAAAUUACCAGUUAAGUGAAUGCUAUUAUCUUGGCUAGUUAUGGUGUAAUUUCUUAAUGUAUGUGAAACUUAUUCUUUUAGUGAACCAAGUAUACUUGUAGAUAAGUUAUACAUACUCUCAUGGUUAUGAAAUCAACCACAAGGUCAUUUCUUCUAUAAAAUUACAUGAACAAAUCACUAAAGUCACAAAGGUGCACCUCUACUCUCGUAAGUGUACUCCCUAGAUUUAUCACUUUCUUGAAUUAGUGUUAAAUUUCAAUUCUUAUUGCAAACUUAACACUUUAAAAUUAUCACAAUUAAUGGCUAGUUAAUCAUGAUUAGAUAAGCAAAAGUAUUAAAUAACUUGCUCAAUAUAAUAUCAUCAAAUAACCAAUUAAAUAUCACAAGCAAAAUAUAGAAAGUUCAUCCAUAACUCUAGGCAUAAACUUUAGAAACACAUAUAAAAACACAAAUCCAAACUUGUAUUAUAGAUUAACACGAACUCAAAUACAAAAAAGAAAGUGAUAGGAGAGAAUUCACCCUUGUCACAUGAAUUCCAACUCACCAUCUUUGCCCCUCCAAUUUUCAUUUAAGUCUAACUACAAAUACAAGAAGGAAAACUAAAGAAAUUCUACUGAAAACUACAUUUUUGUGGAGUUUCUCUAGCCGUCCAAAGUUAUGAAAAUGUUCUCCAAAGAUUGCUGUUUAUAGAGAAUUCAAGCUCAAGGUGAGUUGUUUCUGGGUUGAUAAAGUUGGCUUUUAAACUCAUCAAGAGCUGUUCUCCAAGUUUUCACACUCUUGUUGGUCAGAUAGAGCCGAAAUUCUGAGUUGUAGAUGAGUUGGAAAAGUUGUAUAAAUGCAGAACAAGUUGUAAAGCAAGUUGCAGCAAAAAAACUAGAAUACGUGACCUCGAAUACACGACCUUAGGUCGCAUAUUUCACCUCACAUUUUCUCCAUUACAGGUUUGCACUUUUUGGGCAGAAUUCAUUCUUGCUCUAUUUUUGUACCAAUUUCAACUGAUAAUUUCUUGAUGAUGGAGGCUGAACUAGUUCUUGUGAAAAAUAUGAAAGUUGUAGCUUUUUGAGUUAGUUUUUCAAUGCAUCAAAAAUCAUCUAAUUUUCAGCUUUGUGGACUCAGAAAUAGACAAAAUACCCUCAACUGGUCAAUCUCCUGUUUUAGCUUUCGACAAUGAAAUUUCACUUCGGUAUUUCAACUUUUUGACAAUGAAAAUGACUAAACUGGACUUCAAUGUCUUCAUAACAAAUAUAGGUCUAUCUGUAGCUUCAAAAUGGUUCAAGAAUCAUCUCAAUCCAAUGCCUGUAGCUCUGCCAAAAUACGAACAAAUGUCAAUGCUGUCAAACUUGCAUUUCUUCCAUUGAACAUUUUACACUUCAUAUCUUCUUUAAAUCACUUCAAAUCAUCAAUAAUCAUCCAAAUAUCUUCUCAAUAAAAACAUGAAAUUUUCACCAUUUAAACAUGUAGAAAUGCAAUUUUCACAAUUUAAACCAUAAAAUGUACAUUUUCACUAAUUCAUUAGCUAUCAAAAUGACUAAACCACACCAAGACCAAUUAAUAAAACACACUUAAAACACACAAAAUAUGCACUCAUCAGCCUUCAUCUGCUUUUGAUCCACAUGCGAGGAGCCUUGGGUUGCAUAAAAUAUGACAAUCAAGGAUUUAAAAUGCGACAAAAAUGGAAAAAAGAAAGGGAAAAUGGCAAUCAUAAAUUAGUACUAUUCAACUAAUGCCAAAUAUAAAAUUCUCUUAUAACCCAAAAUGUUUUAAAGGGUGACUUAGUAGUCUUAUUAUUUCAUUUAAAAAGUUUGACUAUCUUCCUUUGACUGUUAAAUUUGAUGGCAAAUUUAAUACUUUCACUUUCGUAAUUUCCAUAAGGAGGGAAAAUGUAGGUUUCUAAUCCACAGGGAGUUAAUGUAAACGUUUGCUUAAUCACAAGGAGCUAUUUUAUAUUUAGCCCUUUUUUUAAUCUAAUUUGUUAAUUCUUACGACAUAAGGAUAGAAUUGACUUCAUGUAAAUUAAUAGUUGCAUGACAAAUUUGGAUGCUAUUAAUUCCACAGAAGAUGCUUGGCAAUUUCACUGCGGUCUUUCGUAAUCGAUCCACGAGGCUUCUUACACAUUUGACAAAUUUGAAAGCUAUCUCAAAGGCUUCUUGAAAUAGUGGUAUGACCCAAGAGGGGAAAUGACAAUCAUAGUUGAUGACAUUGGCAACAUCAAUCAUGCCAUCUGUUAAUCCAGACAUAAAUUAUUAAAAAAUGAUUUGGUCUUACUAACUAAUCCUCGAGAAUUAGACUGACAGCAUAAUUAUUAGGGCAAUUUACAUCUCUUAUGGUUUGCCGUUUUACCGCAUAACCAUUUUGUAGUUUAAAAACCUAUAAUUAGUUUGGGCAAAUUAUCCAAUUGGUCCUUGAACUCUUUGUCUAGGUAAAAAUAAGCCCCUCAUCUAUUUUUUACUGACUUUAAGCCCUCGAACUUGUAAAAUUGGACACCCGUGACCCUUUUAGCCAGUUUCUCCGGUUUUGCAACCGGAAGGCCAAUUCACACGAAUGCCAGCGUGCUUCUUCAAAGGGUAUUUUUGUCCGCAUCUUCUAAACAAAAAUGGAACAACUCCUCCACCUUCUUCCCUCCAUUUCUGCAAAACCCUCGUUGCCGCCGCUUUCUCUCUUCUCAUUCUCUGCAGGAGAGUGAUACCACCACUCUCAGGAAUCUCCCCACUAGCAGAAUCAUAGCUAUUCCUUCGACUGCCCAAUUCUCCCCCACUCUAGACACCAGUCCUAUCAAAAUUAGACGCUAAAACACUAUUCUCAUCCAAACCUUCCAGUGGAGAUGCCAUUGCAGUCGCUAUUCUCGGCGAGACCACCAUAGUUGUCUCCGGCGAGACCACCAUAUCCAUAAGCGCAGGGAGUAGGAGCGAGUUCAAGUGAAGAGAUCACACAGCAAUUGCAAUGAACCAGCCCCAAACUCGGAUUAUAUGCUGCAGACUCGAUAUAUGAUCCCCUGUACACUUUCCCUUCGGGAUCCAUCAGGGCCACCCCGGAUAGGCACCCGCUAUACGGUGCAUGUGACUUGUUGGCAGCCUCCAAGGCUUCUAUCCUCAGAAGGGCCUCACUUUCUUCCAACGCUCCCUAAAACCCAUUGCUUAAAUUUUUAAAAUUCCCAUCAAGUUCAGAUUCUUUUGAAUAGCCAUUGCACAAAUUUGCCUGUUUUCGGGAAGUAUCAAAAGAUAGCCCAGUGCUAUGGGGUUCGAGGAGGAGGGGAGAUUCUUUAUCCAACAGAUCACAUGGGCCAAAUGGGUUGGUUAAGAAUUCCGGCAAUGGCUUAAAGAGGAGGGGAAAUUUUGAAAAGUUUUGAUUUGGGUGGUCAGAGGUGAUGAGGAUUUAGAGAGAGGAAGAAUCCCGGAGUUCUUGGAAGAACUGGCGGCAGUGGCCACAAGGGGCGGCGGAGACGGCGAGAGCAAUGAGGCGAGGGCAGCCAUGGACGGCGAGGUUGUUGCAGAGGAACUGCUCUGCGUGGACAGAUUGAUGUAAGGGGAGACCAGGGAACUCGAGAUCGACGCCUAUAAAAACGUGGCUGUUGGAGCCGAGGUCGACGGCCCUGACGGAGAAUUUGGAGAUGGGAGGACGAGCAAGGGACUGGGCUGGUUGAACCAAGGUGGGGAGGAGGUGGAGGAGUUGUUCCCUUUUUGCUUAGAAGAUGCGGACAAAAAUGUCCUUUGAAGAAGCACACUGGCAUUCGUGUGAAUGGACCUUCCGGUUGCAAAAUCGGAGAAACUGGCUAAAAGGGUCACGGGUGUCCAAUUUUACAAGUUCGAGGGCUUAAAGUCAGCAAAAAAUAGAUGAGGGGCUUAUUUUUACCUAGACAAAGAGUUCAAGGGCCAAUUGGAUAAUUUGCCCAAUUAGUUUUGACACUCUUCUAUUAGCCUCCUAUCCCAUUUAUAAUUAGUUUCCACACUCAAUAUGUCUUGGUUAUGUUUUAUGUACAAGAUUUAAGUGUUGAAAAAUUUGAAGAGUUUGUUUAACUAAAGUAUAAUAUGCUUUUCCCAGGGAAGUCACUUGUCUUUUCACUGGAAAAAAUUUCCCAGGUUCAUGCUCGGAUUCUUCUUCUUCUUCUUCUUUUUUAAUCGCUUGUUUGUGUUGUCAUCUCCAUUACUUAAAACAUAUAUUAUUUGUUUUGAAGGGACCAAAAUCCUUCAUUGGAUUUUGACUCUUGGCUAGCUUGUUCAAACUUCCAAGUUUCUUAAACACAAGUACCUCCAAGGAUAGAGAAAAUACCAAAUUGAGGGUUGACUUCUACUCUGUAUAUUAUCAGCAAUCAGGUUUGGUUAGGCAGAGCCAAAGAAGGAGGAGGAUUUACAGCAAUUAGUAGGCAUUGUUCUGAAGCCGCGGUUUAAAACGCAUACACAGAGUCAUGCCAGUAAAGAGAGAAUAUCUGAGAGCAUUGGCAAUCAAAUAUCAGGGGGUAAAUUACAUACAAUCCCCAUGAAAUUUUGAAUAAUACCACAUUCAAAAUAGUCAUGUAAUUCCAUCAAUAUACAUGGCUAUAAGUGAUGUCCUGAUCGAAAAAUGAUGGAGGAAAUUGGACUGCGAUGUGGAUUGAUAAGAGAAUCAGAUGCGUGAUAAUUAUUGAUUUCUUGCAAAAUCUUGUACAUUUCGUUACUUGAAACAGGGCAUUGAUAAACAUCAAAUGAAAACGCGAAUCCAACAAAGAAGGAUUGAUAAGCUGUGAUUAAAAAUGCCAUAUCAACUAGAGUUUACUGAUACGAAUUCAAUCAGGAAGUUGAUGUCAGUUUCAUUAAAUUAACAGAGAAUGGGCAUCAUAAUGGGAGGCAUGACAGUAACAUUUAGUUAACGACAUUCAACACGAAUAGCCAAAUAUCUGAGGAAAUGAUAGCAAUUGUUGCAGUAGUCAAGCAAUAGCAAUGGAAGGGCGGCUACACAUUCAAAAGAAGGCACAGCAAUAUGAUCAGUGUGGAACAAAGUUUGCAUUAUAAACUAAUUCAGAGCCAGCUACAACGUCACAGAAGAGCAGGCAAUAGACAUGAAACUUCCAAUACUAGGCUAAUAUGCAAGAAAUUCCUGGGAAGUGUUUUGAAUGAUUUUUUUAUAUAAUUAUUUUUCAAAUUGUCAUUUCCUCUACUUAUUUAUUUAUAUAUUUGUAAAUUCACAUGAAAAAAAUAGAUGAAUUAAGGUUUGAUGCUAUGUAAAAUAUCAGUUUGAUGAAUUACGGUUGACCUUGUAUGUUCCCAUUUAAUUCUUGAUCCUGUUCAAUUGAUUUCCAUAAUUUCAUCUCUCCGACGUUCCCAUCCACCAAGUGGGAUCCUCUCUUGAAUAGAAAUUGGUGCCUCAAUUCAGUUUUCUAAAUUGCCCUCUGAUUUAACAUAAAUAGAAGGGCUCAAGCUGACUGAUUCUUGUGCUCUGAGUCCUGUCUGAGAUUUACAGAUACAAAGAGCAAUGGAAAAAGUAUCAUCGGGCACAACUUGUAGUCGACUGCAGAACAGUGAGAAAAAAUAUGCUGCCUGUUAUAGAGCUAAGAUACAACUUCAAGAAGGAUGCAAGCACCUAUCAGGGUUCAGCUAAUCCACAUCUUUCUGCUGCUUUGAACUACAAGCAGUAUGGAAGAUAUGGCAAAUUGAGUUCCAAAAGAAGUAAAAUAGCACCUCAUUAACAUGUCUACAAAUUGCUGAAUUGGUUGGACAGUUUAACAGCACCAGACAGACAGGGAAGAUCUCAGGCUUUGGCCAUCCGAGGCAGAGAGCAAAAGGGAAUUCCAUCCCGGAUGUUUUCAUCUGAUCUGAUUGAAACAGGAUCUGGUUCAGCAAGGGAUCAUAGGACUUUCAUUACAAAUGAUAGUAAGACCGAGCUAUCAAGGUUAAUGUUGAUCUCUGAGUGCAAAAUCACUGCAAAACACAAAAACUCAAACUUAAGAGACUCGAGACAGUAUGUAGUCAAGAACAAAGCCAGCGCCUAGUUGCAUGACAUUUUUGUUGUAUUUGAAACACUAAAAUAAGAACUUAACAUGAAGAGAGGAGCAACCAAGUAUAGAAGGCAAAAUGAGCUUAAUAGCCUUCAUCAUAGCGAAUGAAAUAAUUGCAGCAAGUAGCAGCAGCCAACCAGUAUGCUUGGCAGUCUUGACUAACCAUAGCAAUAUGCUUCAAAACUUGCAGCUUAGACUUGAUUGUGUUAGAAGAUACUAUAACAAGUCUGUGCAGCUUCACUGCAUGAACAGUACAUCUUCCAUGGCUGCUCCCAAAAACAUUUCCAUUAUGAGAAGAUUUCUCAAGUUUUGGUUGUAAUAUGUUCAGAAUCAAAGUAGUUAAAAGUCAAAUUUUAGUAAAAGAAGAGCAAUCUAUCUUAACUUACCGAACUCUUAGAAUCAAAAAACCAAUUUGAUGACCAACAGCUCUGGGAAACUCCUAAAAUGUUUACGACUUGAAAAUCACAACCAAGGAAAAGUGAGACAGAAACCCAUCAUUUACAAGACUUAUCGAACAAAUCACUAAUCAAAUGGUUCAAGAAGCUUGAUAAAUGCACCUUCAAGAGGCGAUUAAACUUUGGAGCAACUAUUUAUCCCUCUAGAAUCAUAAGCUAGGGAGCUGAUCCCUUUAGCAAUCACAUCUUACAUCCACAAAAGCAGAUAUAUAAAAUCAACAAACUAAACUUCUAGUGUGUAUUUCAUAUUGAUGGGUAACUUGUAGGAAAUGCAAAACAAAAAUUAAUGAAUACCAGCUAUAAAAAUCUAAUCUAUGUUCAUCUCAGGGAGAGACACAAAAAUCUGCCUGCUAAGUGCAGGAGGAAAGAGUGCAGUAGAGAAUUGCUGGUUCAAAGUCUUAUAGAAAAGGUUUCUAGAAUUGCUGCAUGUGGUAUCGAAGGUAAAAUGUCCAAUGCAUUUUCAACAAUGAACUUCAGAGAGAGCAAUCUUUUCAUCCUGGUGGAAUCACAAGUUUAAAGAGAGUGCACCGAUGUUAGCAAUCAUGACGCAUAAAGGAGAGUAACUGACAUGCAUGAUAGACAAAACUAAAUUCUUAAAUUCCACCCACAUUAGUGCAUUUGUUUCAGUGCUGGUUCAUCCAAAACAUGAUUGACAGGUGCCGAACCUGUGCAAUAAUAAAAAUAGAACCUAACAACCACCUGUCAAAGAAUUCAAUACCUCCACCUGUCAAAGAAAUUUGACAGGUGGCUUGCGCUGUGUGGACUGGCGGUGGAGCUUGGCGGUGCUGAGGUGGAGUUGGCUGGAGGGAGGCGCGGCGUCGAUGGGUCAGAAUUGGUGGCACACGAGGUUGAUCGCAGGUGGAGGUGGCCGACAGCAGCGUGGUGGCGUGCAACCUGGCUGAGAGCUGGUGGUGGCCGCGAGCGCGCAGGUGGAGGGCCGGCCAGGACAAGGUCGCGCGAUGGAGGAUCAUGUCGUGGGCUGUGGCGGCGCUGGGGUCGGUUUGGCCACGCGCGGCGAAGUGAGGUCGAGGGAGAGGAGACCGCGCUCGAGGGCUGUGGUGGCGCUGGGGUCGCACGGUGAAAGCGAAGAGAGGCGCGGCGAGCUGGACUGCUGGUCGAGAUGGAGCUUGGCAGAGAGAAGCCGCAAGGGCCGAGCGCGGGAGCAGCUUGGGCUGGCUCACGGGCGGCGUCCAGUGGAAGUCGGCGAUGGAAGAGAAAGGGCUAGCGGCGGCUGGUUGCGUCGGAUGGAGGUGGCCGCGAGCUCUGGAAGAGGAGCCAGCGGCGGCGGCGGACGAACAAAGGAAAAGAAGGAAAAAGGGAAAGCAGGGGCAUCGGAGAAGAAGAAGAAGAAGAAGAAGAAAGAAAGAAAAGAAAAAGAAGAAAAAGAAGAAAAUAGAAAAGGGAAUUUUUUUUUUCCAAAAAUUAUUCCAGCGUAAAUCGUCCAAAUUGGAAAUUGCCCCCUUUUUUUUAAAUAAUUUUUUUUUUGUAAUAAUAAAAUAAAUUUUUUUCUUUUUUUUUCUUUGGAUUGGAAAGAAAAUAAUCUUUUCUUUUUCUUUUGAUGCUAGUAAUAAUAAUAAUAAUAAUACUGAAUAAUUAAUAAAUUUUUUUUUUUUGCAAAAACAUGGUUUGGGUCGUCCAACACCGCGUGGGCAUGCCAAGAUUACAAAACAUCCUCUGACCUCAGGAGACACAAACACCGCGUGGGCACGCCAACCGCGUGGGCACGCCAAGAUUGGUCUUCGUCCUCUGACCUCAGGAGACACAAUUACCGCGAGGGCACGCCAAGAUUUCACUUCCUGGUCACAGUGGAGGAGAUAUUAGCAUUUAUACUACCCAACGGAGAAACGACAAAACGAAAGAAAUAAACAACUAAAAACAAUAAAAUCAAUAUUCGGAUUGCCUCCCAAAAGAGCGUCUUUCUUUAGUGUUUUUGGCUAGACAUAUCCCAUAAUUUGCUUAAACCAAGCAAAUCGGGUCCUCCAAAUGCAUCGUCUCUACCCGUUCAACCGGAGCCCCAUCAUAAUAUGGUUUGAGACGAUAACCAUUCACCACAAAUUUCUUCUCCGUCCUUAGACUCUGGAUCUCCACUGCACCAUAAUCAAAGACAUUAGUUACAACAAAGGGACCGAUCCAACGAGAACGUAACUUACCUGGAAAUAACUUCAAUUUCGAGUGGUACAGUAAAACUUUUUGCCCACAUUCAAACGUCUUCCUAGAGACCUGCCGGUCAUGAAAUAUCUUAUUCUUCUCCUUGUAAAUCACAGCAUUCUCAUAUGCUUCAUUGCGAAUCUCCUCCAAUUCUUGUAAUUGUAACUUCCUUUGACUUCCGCCCUCCUCAAUAUUCAAGUUGCAUUGCUUGACCGCCCAAAAUGCUCUAUGUUCGAACUCGACGGGGAGGUGACAGGGCUUUCCAAAUACCAAACGAUAAGGGGACAUGCCGAUUGGCGUCUUGUACGCCGUUCUAUAUGCCCAUAAGGCAUCUUCAAGUCUCAUACUCCAAUCCUUCCUAUCGGGUCGAACCAUCUUCUCCAAAAUCGACUUGAUCUCCCGAUUUGAUGCCUCUGCCUGACCGUUUGUCUGAGGAUGGUAAGAUGUUGAGACUUUGUGCAAGACACCGUACCUCCUGAAAAGUGCAGCAAUCGUCUUGUUGCAGAAAUGGGUACCCCUAUCACUUACAAUUGCUCGCGGCAUCCCAAAGCGGACAAAAAUAUUAGAUUUUACAAAUUCUGCAACCACUUUGAAAUUAUUAGUACGGGUGGGUUUUGCUCCCACCCAUUUCGAAACAUAGUCUACGGCAAGCAAUAUAUACAGAAAACCAUAAGACGAAGGAAAAGGGCCCAUAAAGUCAAUACCCCAAACGUCAAAAAUCUCAACAAAAAUCAUUGGGGUUUGGAUCAUUUGAUCCCUACGAGAAAUAUUACAUACUCGUUGACACUUAUCACAUGACUUACAAAACAAGUAGGCAUCCUUAAAGAGGGUCGGCCAAUAGAAUCCACUCUCUAGAACCUUACGAGCCGUCCUCUUUGGUCCAAAGUGAUCUCCACAUGCAAAAGAGUGACAAUAAACUACAAUAGAUUUGAAUUCAUUUUCACUUACACAUCUACGAAUGAUUUGGUCGGCACCAUGUUUCCAAAGAUAGGGAUCAUCCCAGACAUAGUCCUUUGCAUUGCUUUUUAGUUUGUCCCUUUUCGCCUUGGGCCAACCUGCGGGCAAUUUGUCAGUAACCAAAUAAUUCACAAUAUCUGCAAACCAAUGAGGGGAUGAAUUAAUAGAAAGUAAAUGUUCCUCAGGAAAAGACUCCCUUAAUGGUAAUUCCUCCUCCGCUACCAGUAUUCGACUUAGGUGGUCAGCUACUAGAUUCUCUGCUCCUUUUUUAUCUCUGAUUUUCAAGUCAAAUUCCUGCAGGACCAAUAUCCAUCUUAUCAAACGGGGUUUAGCGUCCUUCUUGGUCAGCAAAUACCUCAAAGCUGCAUGGUCAGAUUACACAAUUACUUUAGCACCUAGCAAAUAAGGUCUAAACUUUUCUAAAGCAAAAACAACAGCUAAGAGUUCUUUCUCCGUAGUGGAGUAAUUUAGUUGGGCGCCAUUUAAAGCUCUAGAGGAGUAAUAUAUUGCGUGCGCCGCUUUCUCCACCCUUUGUCCCAAAACUGCUCCCACGGAGUGGUCGUUGGCAUCACACAUAAUUUCGAAUGGGAGAUUCCAAUCAGGGGGUUGGAUGACAGGUGAAGAAGUGAGUAGUUUUUUCAACUUCUCGAACGCUUCUUUGCACUCCUCGUUGAAUUCAAAACUGACAUCCUUUUGCAAAAGCCUGAAAAGUGGUGCCCCGAUCUUUGAGAAAUUCUUGAUAAAUCUGCGAUAGAAACCUGCAUGUCCUAGAAAAGAACGAACUUCCCGUACAGUUACGGGGUAAGGUAAAGCAGAUAUCACAUCUAUUUUAGCUUUAUCAACCUCAAUUCCUCUAGACGACACUACAUGUCCUAGAACUAUCCCGUGCUCAACCAUAAAGUGGCAUUUUUUCCAAUUGAGCACUAAGUUAGUCUCAAUGCAUUUUUUUAAAAUCAAUGUCAGGUUAUCUAAGCAAUCGUCAAAACUAUCACCAUAGACACUGAAGUCAUCCAUGAAUACCUCGAUUAUUCUCUCCACAUACUCAGAAAAAAUGCUAAUCAUGCACCUCUGAAAUGUUGCAGGGGCAUUGCACAAUCCAAAUGGCAUUCUUCGAUAGGCAAAAGUGCCAAAGGGGCAAGUGAAAGUUGUUUUCUUUUGAUCCUCUGGUGCAAUUGCUAUCUGAAAAUAACCAGAGAAACCAUCUAAAAAACAAUAAUAGGCACGACAAGCUAACCUUUCAACCAUUUGAUCGAUGAAUGGAUGAGGAAAAUGAUCCUUCUUGGUCACCGCGUUCAAUUUGCGGUAAUCGAUGCACUGGCGCCAACCCGUAGGCUUUCGAAUUGGAACGAGGUCCCCUUCAUGAUUUUCUUCCACAGUUACUCCUGCUUUCUUUGGCACCACUUGGACUGGACUCACCCAUGGGUUAUCUGAGAUAGAAAAAAUAAUUCCUACGUCCAGAAGCUUGAUUACCUCUUUCUUGACCACUUCCAUCAUGAUGGGGUUCAAUCUCCUUUGUGGUUGUCUUAUCGGCCUAGCAUCCUCUUCCAGGCGAAUUCGAUGCAUGCACACGGAGGGGCUUAUACCCUUUAUGUCCGCAAUUGUCCAACCUAUAGCUUCCUUAUGCUCCCUUAAAACCCGUAGCAGCUUAUCCUCCUCCCUGGGUGAUAAUUUGGAUGGGAUUAUCACUGGUAACGUCUCUUUUUCACCUAGAUAGGCAUACUUUAAAUGCUCGGGCAGAGGUUUUAACUCCACUUCAGGUGCCUGCAUGAUAGAAGGUAAUAGCUUUAGGUGUGGUUCAGGCACAAACAUAGGAGCGACAUCAUACCUUAGAAAACUUUGGCCUAGUGAAUGCAAGGCUCCAACCAUUCUUUGCAAACUGACACCUAACUCCAUUUCACAGGUUGCUUCCAGAUCCAAAUGUUUGGUGAUUGCUAUCUCCAAUUCAUCCCUGCUAUUAAUCUCAAAUACUUCUUGCACCAAAGGGUCAAUUACACUCACAGCAAAAAUAGCAUUAGAAUGACACGGAUAUUUCAUGGCCUCAAAAAUACUAAAAUGAACUAUUUUUCCAUCAAAUUCCAUCGUUAGGGUGCCCUCACUAACAUCAAUUUUUGUACGAGCCGUGCUCAAGAAAGGCCUCCCCAACAAAAUUGGUGAUGGAUUUGGAGAACGUUCAUCACCCAUAUCAAGAAUAUAAAAAUCAGCGGGGAACACUAAAUUGUUCACUUGCACUAACACAUCUUCUAUCACUCCAUCGGGAUAAGCAUUAGUCCUAUCAGCCAAUUGAAUUAUAAUGCCAGUUUCCUUUAAGUGACCCAAAUUUAGAGAAGCAUAAAUAGCCUUGGGCAUCACAUUUAUAGAGGCUCCUAGAUCUAACAUGGCAUUCCUAAUGCUAGUGUUCCCUAUUUUACAAGGCAUAGUGAACAUACUUGGGUCUCCAUAUUUAGGCGGAAGUUUUCUUUGAUGCACUGCAGAUACGUUCUCUCCCACAAUUAUCCUUUCAUCUCCCCUCAAUUUCUUCCUAUUGAUGCAUAGGUCCUUCAAAAAUUUGGCAUACCGGGGUACUUGCUUAAUUGCGUCAAGUAAGGGGAUAUUUAUCUCCACCUUUCUAAACAUCUCCAGAAUUUCCUUUUCCUUGUCUUGCUUUUUAGGCCUUUCCAACCUGCUAGGAAAAGGUGGUGGGUUAGGCUUAACUGGAACCACUGGGGUACGUAUUACCUCUUUAUUUAUGCCGGGCAUUCCUUCUUCCUCAAGCUCCUUCUCAAUGCGGUCCUCAUUCUUGUCCUUCAGAGCCACUGGUGCUGGUCCUUCAACCUCUUUCCCACUCCUGAGGGUCAUUGCACUUACAUUCUUGGGAUUCACCUCAGGUUGGGAUGGAAGUUUUUCCUUUCCCUGGGAGUCCAGUCGGUUGACAAUUGAGGCCAAUUGACUCAUCUGAUUUUCCAAGUUUUGCAUACUUCAUCUCUUGACUGCUGGCCUCAGUGUCCUGCUGAAAUUUCAUAGUAUUAGAGGCUAUGCUCUUAACCAUGUCUUCUAGGGACAUACCCGAGGCAGAGGAGGGUUGGUUCCUUGUUUGAUAUUGUUGCUGGAAGCCCUGCUGUUUAUUAGGGAUGAAAUUUUGUUGCUUAUUUCCCCUAUAGCUCAGAUUUGGAUGAUCCCUCCAACCCGGAUUGUAUGAGUUGGAAUAGGGGUUAUACUGUCUACGUGGCAUGGGCAUGUUACCAGCCAUGUUUGCUUGCUCAGUUCCCUCCUCUUGUAACUGUGGGCACGAGUCAGUGGUAUGACCAAUGUUCGUACAAAUCCCACACACUUUGGCCUGCUGUACAUUUCCUACAGCUAUCUGUCGAACAAAUGAGGUUAAUUCAGAUAACUGCUGUUGAAUGGAAGAUGAACUUACCUCGUUGACCUUUCUUGUAGGAAUAUCCUCCCUCGUACCAAACUGUUGGCAGUUCUCUGCCAUUCGCUCGAUUAGUUCCCAAACCUCUUGGGUAGUCUUAUUCACCAAUGCACCUCCACUCGCUGCAUCAAUGAUAUUUCUAUCGUUCAUCAGUAGCCCCUCGUAGAAGUAGUGAAUCAGCAGUUGAUCACUUAUCUGGUGAUGAGGACAUCGGGUGCGCAGCCUGGUGAACCUCUCCCAAUAUUCAUACAAGGAUUCCCCGUGAAAUUGUUUGAUGCCACAUAUUUCCUUUCGCAAACUAGCAGCUCUGGAUGCAGGGAAAUAUUUCUCAAAAAAAAAUUUCUUCAUCUCUGGCCACGUGGUGAUAAUGCCUGCAGGUAGACAGUAUAAUCAGUCCUUUGCCGAAUCCUUGAGAGAAAAAGGGAAGGCCCUUAAUUUAAUUUGUUCAUCAGUUACUCCCGAAGGCUUCAUACUCGAACACACCACAUCAAAUUCCUGCAUGUGUUUGUGGGGUUCCUCUCCUGGCAGACCAUGAAAAGUAGGUAACAAAUGUAUUAGACCAGGUUUUAAUUCAAAAGCUGCAUUCUCACUAAGGCGAGGAAAAGUUAUGCAAAGAGGUUGUUGGCUCAAGUUUGGAGCAGCCAACUCCCUUAAUGUUUGUGUGUUUGCCAUGGCGACGUUCUCUUGGUACGAAUCACUCGAAUUUUCGCCACGUAAAUCUGUCAACUCAGCCUCUGGAUCUAGUCUUUGAGAUGCCACACUGGAUUGCUCCUCUCUGAGCUGUCUGGUCUCUUUCCUAGUUCGGCGCGCAGUCUUCUCUACUUCAGGAUCGAAAAUUAGUUCGCCUGUACGAGAAGAACGAGGCAUAAACUAGAAAAAUACCAGAAAGAAAGCAAAAACAAAUUAGAUUUAAAAAGGGACAAAUAAAUAACGCCGGUCCCCGGCAACGGUGCCAAAAAUUGACAGGUGUCGAACCUGUGCAAUAAUAAAAAUAGAACCUAACUACCACUAAAAGCAGUCAAAAAUUAAUCCUAGGUACUGGAGCAGGGACUCUAGGUGUGCAAUGGGUUACUUGAUUCAUCCUGUUUCCGAAGAGUUUGCUUAAUCCGAUAUACCAAAAUUAAUUAAUUGACGAAAUUUACUAAAUAGUAGACAGUGGCAAGUAGGGUCGUCUUCUCAGGGACUGGAGAUAUUUGUCUCUUUUAAAUUCCAAUUGGUAAGAGGGGGAUUUCACCGAUAUGCAACUAAAAACAAUUAAACAAUCAUUACUAUAUAAAAAGUAUGAAUGUUGGUAUUUGGGAGUGCAAGUGUAAGCACUUUUUUAUCUUAGUUUUUGUUAUUCCUAAAUUACCCUCAUGUCUUUUAAUUAGAAUUAUUGCAUUUUAAGUGGCACUAAUUAAAAUAAAUAAAACACUUCAAUUGAUUACAUUUUAAUGGUAUUGGUAAAAAGUAUGAAUGUUGGUAUUAGGGAGUGCAAGUGUAAGCACUUUUUUAUCUUAGUUUUUGUUAUUCAUAAAUUACCCUCACGUCUUUUAAUUACAAUUAUUGCAUUUUAAGUGGCACUAAUUAAAAGAAAUAAAACACUUCAAUUGAUUACAUUUUAAUGGUAUUGGUAAUUAUAAUUAAAAAUUACUCAUUAAAAACUAUUUACCUACCCUUGGACUCCAUCUCCUAUUAUUAUAACAUAUCAAAAUUUCUUAAUUGAAGCAUGAAAAAUUUCUCAUUAGUCAUUAGUUGAGAUUGUUAAAAAAAAAUUAAUUUCAAAAAAUAGAUAUUCUCUAGAAAAUGGAGAAACAUACAAUGACAAGAAAAAUCCUUAUUCAUCUAUAUAUCUUCACACAAAUAUCAUGAGUAAAUUUUACAAUUAUGCACUUUUACCAAUAUGAAGAAUUUUUCACGUUGCACCUAAUAAAAUUUCAAUAUACAAAAAAUGAUGACACUUUUAUAAAUAAAAUAGCAGUAUUAAACAAGAAAAAAGAAAUCUAAAAUAGCACCAUACAAACCACUAUUAUCAUUAAUAGCAACCGAUCAAAACAAGAAAAACUAAAAUAAGAUUGAAAACUAUUUAUAAAAUGACAUAAAAUAAAUAGCAAAUGAAUUAAAAAGUUAGAAUACAAUUCAAAUAAUACCAAAGACAACAUCCAAAUCACUGAUAUCCAAGGGAAGACAAACAUUGUUAUUGACAAUAAUAUAGUAAUAUUUCAUUUGUAUUGGUUUGAACAAACCAAAUCCAUCCAUCAAGUCAGAAACCAUCUCCAAUGAUAAAAUAAGAAUUAUAAUAAGAGUAAAUAUAAAAUGAAGAAUGAUAAAAUGAAAAUGAUAUCCAAAUUAUUUUUGGUGAUAUCCAAAAUACCCUUAUUUUUCUAAUGAUUACAUAUAUUUAUUGUAUUGCAAUAUUAGUGACUAAUGGAAGCGGUUAUGAAAUGAAAAACUUUAAAAUUAAGUAAAUUUCAUUUAUGGUGACAAUUGUAAUUAAACAAAUUUAAUGCAUUCCAAUAAUUGAUAAUAAUGAUAGCAGUUAUGGAUUCAAAGUUGGCAAUUAAAAACUAAAACAUUGAAAUAUACAAAAAAUUAAUAUUAAAAUUAUUAAUUAGCCACAAUUCUCAUUCCAAUUUCAUGAUCAUAAAAAAAACUAAUAUUAAAACCAAAAAUAUUGUGCUCAUAUGAAAAAAGUAGACUUGUUGCUCUUGUUUCGCAUUGGAUUGUGCUAAAAACAUGAAUAAAAGAAAAGGAAAAUAGAAAAUCUCCAACUAUCUCUAUCUAUAAAAUUUCAAUUGUUAGAAUGUACAAGCCAAAAAAAAUUUACGUGAUGGAUCAUUUAUACUCCAUUAUUGACAAAAAUAUAAUUAACAUAAUACAAAGAAUUCAAAUUCAAAUUACAUUUAUGUUUAUUUUUCUAACUUAAUUAUAUUCUUCGUUUAUAAAAAAUUGUGAUGAUUGUGGUUUAUAUGCAAUAGAGUCAUGAAUAUACAAUAAUUUUGGUAAAACAUGAUAUUAUCAAUAUUUGGUAUGUUAGAGUUCAAGCUAUAAAUCAAAAAGUGUUUGGUUCAUGAUUUCAAAUUGGGCAUAUUACAUUUUACCCCCCUGUGGUUUAGCAUUUUUUUACAUAACCCCAUAUAGUUUCAAAAGCUAUACAUAACCCACUCAUGGUUUGGAUUAAAGUGCCAAAGUGACGGAAAUAGUCACUCGUUUGGAACUUCUAAAAAUGUCGAAAUUACCCUUAUAAAUACGUGGCACAUUAACCCCGUAUGAUUUUUAUAUUUUACUAUAUAACCCCCUUAUGGUUUAAUACUUUACUAUAUAACCCCCUUAUAAUUUUCAAAAUAUACACAUAACCCCCCUUAGUUAAUAAAUAUUCAACUUUACAUAAGGGUACUUUUAACAUUUUAGGUGACUCCGUUACAAAUGGUCAUUCCCGUCACUUUGACAUUUUAAUCCAAACCAUAAGGGAGUUAUGUAUAACUUUUGAAACCAUAGGAGGAUUAUGUAAAAAAACGUUAAACCACAGGGGGGUAAAGUAGAAUUUGCCCUUUCAAAUUCAAUCUUAAGGGAUAUGUCAACUAUAUUGAAAUGUUUUCCGUCUCUUUUCUUUUAAUAAAAUUUUUAAAAGUAACUAGCUUAAAAAAAUAAAUAACAUAAAAGUACUAUAUUAUGAUGUUGAUCAUCAAAAUUUCAUAAAAAAUUUUAGUAUCUAAAAAAUAAUAUAUUUUAAGAUAUUACAAUCACGUGCAAAGCACGUGAACUAUUACUAGUCCAACUAAAAAUAAAUAAUUAACUAGCACAAAUAUAGCAGGAAUUAAAUCAAGAAUAAAUAAAUUCUAGCCAAGGAUACAACUACUCAGACACAGUCCAUUUAUCCGAUCAUUGAUGCAAGAAAGGUUCACUUAAUUUAUUAAUAGGCUAGUUAUAGUCGUCGAUGAACUCCAACGACUAAUUUUUCCUUAAUUUAUUGAUAACCAAGGUACGACCAUUGAUCACCCCUAACCAGAAAAUACUCUUAGGUACGACCGUAGGAAUCAAUUUCCCAAUUGCAUUAAUAACUAGAAAAACCUAGCCCAAAUCAAUAACACGCUACGAGGGUUAUUUAAAUUAGAUUGCACGUCCCCCUAAUGUGUAAACACACCAGUUGCCACUAAUAUUAAUCAAUCAAACAAUUACGAAUUUAAUUGACUAAAUUGGCACGAGAUUAAUAAAUUACAUUGAACAUCGGGCCCUUGACAUCCAAUUAAUAAAAUAAUCCCAAGAAAAUUCAAGCAGACAACGUGCAAAUAUUAAUAAACUGAGGAACGUGUGAAAACUAAUUAGAUCUCACAGAUUUUCGGGACUGCGCCGUCGAGUUGACCCUUGACUAGAUGGAAGGCUUAGCCACGCCGCAUAAUUAAAUCACCAUACGAAUUAAUGGAUUGCAAAGGCAUUGCGUGUUUACUAGAAAGUAAGGAAUAAAAGAUGUUUUUCCCGUUGGGGAAUAUUGUCGAACACCUGGCGUGUGUCAGAGGUUAGUCAAAAGAAAGAAACUAGAACUAACUAAAAGCUAAAACUCAAAAGCCCCCCUUUUGCUUCUGUACGUUGUCCCUUUUAAAGAGCCAAAAGAAAGAUGACUAAAAGCUAUCUAGGUGGUCCCCACACAUGUGGACAAAGCCUCCAAAUUACUUCUUGUUCCAAGUCUCUCUACGUUGCUUUCUUUGAAGAGCCUAAAUGACUAAAAAUCUUUCACUAGCUUUGUGGUCCCCCACCAAUUCAAGGGCCCAAGGAUUGAAGCCCUUAGAAGUCUCCAUUUUCUCCAUAAAGUCCCUCCUUUUUGGUAGUUUUCUGUUUCAUUCCUGAAAUUAAGUCCAGAUACCAAAUAUAAGUAGAUAUCAACAAUUAACGCAAUAUUGGGCAGGGAUAAAAGGGGAAAUUGAUAAUAAAAUUACUAACAAAUGAUACCCUAUCAAUGAUUCAGUUAACCCAAGAAAAUCUCGCUCAUUUUGGUCACUGAAACAAAUAUGCAACAAAAGCUUUGAUGGUAAAGGUUAUGAAAUAUUUUGCUUAUUCAUGAUAAUAUUUACCUAUAACUUUCAAUCGUGAUAAAGAGGAAGAAAGGGCCGACUCUGCAUCCAACUUGGCACUUGGCAUACCUACUCUGUUGUUGUUCCAAUAAUCAGUUGAUAUACUUUCAAGGCAAGAAAGACUUUCAAAAGUAAAGUCAUCCCAAACAAAACUCAGACUCAGGACUUCACAUAGCAAAUCACGAGGCGAACAGGAAAUUGCAUGACAUUUUUGUUUAGUCAAUUAUUCAGAAAGCUAAAUCAGUAUCUGUUUGUUUUUGUUGUUCAUUUCUAACCUAAAUCAGUAAGCAGAUAUCAAAUCUUUCUAUUCAGUCCACAAGUACCAGAAGUAUCAUAGAAACUAUAUUGGUUUUUGUUCAAAACACUGAAAAAAAAGAAAGUUCUAUAACAAUAAUGACUGGCAUCCACAAGCAUGAGAGGCAGAGAGCCCCAGAAUUGCCUUGAAAGCGAACUCUUUGAGACUGCAAGAUGCAACAGGUAGAGCUAAUCACAACUAUUUUACUCUUAAAAUCUCAUAUCAUCGCAUUUGAACUUAAGACUUCAGUAGAGGAUGGUCUACCAAGUCUCUGCUGCUUGAAAACAUCUUAAACGCGCGUGACAAUUUUUUAAGCUUUUAGCUAAUGCAUUGGUUAUUAAAGUGCUUAAAACCCAACAAUAAGUAAUGGAAGAAGAUUGUUGGUAUUAUAAAUUAUCAGACCACCAAUCCCACAACCAAGGACAGUGAGAGUAACUCGAUUGACCAUUGGAUUUAGGUCAAGAGAUCAUAGCUGAAGAAAGUAGAAUCCCAUCAUUUAAGAGACAUAAUAAGAAUACCAAUAAUCAGAUAAUUUGGAGCAAGAUGAUAAAUACAUUUCCAAGAGAUGGAAGUUCAGAGCAAGCAUUUCCAUCCCGGUAGAAUCUCAAGUUUAAAGAGAAUUAGCUCCUUUCAGCAAUCAUGAUAUACAACUGGAAGUAGCAGACAUAUGAGAUGAGCAAAAGUAAACAGCUAUUUUUUAUUUAAAACAAAGAAUUUUGUACUGUAGAUGUAAAUACAAAAAGUUUUCAGCUUUGACAUCAUGUUUAACUGUCCACAUCAAAUAAUCUCCUCUUGAACAUCUGUAUUCCAUAAUUGAAUUUAAUAUAUGGUUAGCGAUAUUGUUUUCUUCCCGGAACAACGCUUGUUGAGUUUUUCUGAAUCAGACUGAAAAGGCCAAGAAAAGUUCAACAAAGCAGACAACUGACCUUACUGUUACAUUACUAGACAACAUCUUGGAAGCAGACGUUUUAAACCUUCAGAUAGUUUACAACAAAAUCAUCUUAUUGUACAAUUUCUAUCACCUGAUAUUGGAUAGAUUUAAAAGGAUUUAGUAAUGAUUUUACUGGAGUAUAUUGUCCUGAAGAAACAAAAAACUAGAAAUUGACCCCUAAAAUCUUUGUCCAUCAUUGCCUAUCUAUAAUUUUCUGUGUUCCAUCAAACUUUGAUUUAACAAUCUAUUUCAUGAAUGUAAACGCAUUUUCAUUCUUUUUUAGCAAAUUGAUAACCAAAUGAACUUUUAGAGUGCUUAGUUGGAUGAGGAGCUUUUAGAUUGAAAAUCUCAGGAAGGCAUGUUUGCCUGCAUUACAAUAAAGAUAGAAGAGCAUAUUCCAUGUCAUUUUUGACUAGGAAUCUUACAGAAAGAAAGGUUUUUGUUUUUUUUUUUUGUUACCUUUGUUCUAAAACUAAUGAGCAGGAAAUAAGACUCGAUACUAAGUACAUCUACUAAUCCAUUUACAACAAAUUCGCUAACCUUACAGUACUUCUUGAAAAUUUGCAAGCUCCUCAUUGUCAAUCUGUUUCUUUGAUACAAGCUCUAUCGCCAACCAUACCCCCCAUGAUCAUUAGCAGAAAUUCAUGGUAAUGAUGGCUUUUGAUCAUGAAAGACAUUACAUAAGCUGGGGAAAGAAAUUCUGGUGGGCAAUUUGUAGAGGCCAGCUGACACAGAUAGAGCAUUUUUUCAGGUUUUACACAUUAGGAAGAAAGAAAAGUGUGCUUGUAGUGUGCCAUCCUAAUCAUUUCUGUCCAAUUGAAACAGGAUUUGAUUCAACAAAGUUUUCAAAAGUUACAAGCUGUGUAAUUCAAUCAAUAAGUAAGUGCAAUUGUAGAUUCUAGUUCACAUUUGAGCCUGAAAUCAUUGCAGAACAGAAAACUCGAGUUGAGACAAUAUGUGAACAAGAAAGUUCAGAAAUUUCAGCAAUAAUUUUGUUCUGUCAUUCCUACAAAAGGCUAAAAUAUGCCUUGUUUGUUAUGAAACUAAAUAGAUAAGCAAGUACUAAGUCGUGUUUACAAUUACAGUAGUUUGGUUCCAACCACAAAGCAAGUGAUUACAACUCAUAAAAUGAAAAUAAUAAUGGACAAUUUGUAGUGCGGGCAAAGCAUUUCACAUUGAGGCAUUGAGAAACAAUAGAGCUGUGGGCCACUGAGGCACAAUAGAGAUCCACGUUUAAUUGCUACCAAAACACCAGUUAGUUCUAACCUCUAACUCUGAGCAGUAUGCUAGAGAUGACAAUUUGAGUUCUAAAACAUGUAAAUCAGCUCCUCAUUAUCAUGACUACACAUCACUGAAUCAUUUCGAUAGUUUAAAAGAACCAUACCCCAAUAGAAAUCUCAGACUUUGACCAUCUGAGGCACAGAGGAAAAGAGAAUGCCAUCCUAGAUGUUGCUAUUCAGCCGAAGCAGGAUCUUGUUCUGCAACGAAUUGUAGGACUUUCAAAAAGUAAAGACAGUAGGUAAGAGCCAUCGAUGAGGUUCCCUGUUGAGGUUUGUGCCCAAAAUCACUGCAAAGCACAAAAACUCAAACUGAAGGCGGCAAAUAGCAUAGAAUAAAACUAAUGGAAAUUUUCAGAUAAUUGUAGUUUUUCUGUCAUUGUAAUUGAAGCCCCAGAAGGAGAAACUUACCUUAAAAAAAGAAGCAACCAACAAUCAUAAAAGCAGAGAGAGCUUAAAAGCCUUUAUCAAGGUGGAUUCAUUAACAGUAGCAAGUCGGAACAAGCAGACUUGACCAACUACCGGAAUGCUUCAAAACUUUGCGCUUAGAGUUAAAUUGUGAAAAUAACCACGGGGACUUUUUAGGUUUUCUCACGAGAAGGUUAAUCAGAGGGGGAGAUGAAGAGAAGGUGAUAUUGAUUGUAAAGCGAAUUAAGAAAGUUGGUAGGAGGAAAUCUUACAUGAUUGAAUUUGAUCUGAAGAUGAGUGGUUAAUCAACCUAUGUAUAGGUCUUGAAUGUGAGAAACUUUGGACCACUAGGAGUCGGGGCCGCUGCUCUCAAGAGUGCAUCUUUCUUUUAACAGAGGACAACGAUAAACCUCCAGAGAUUUUAGUUUGGUGAGACUUCUCAUGGCAUCCUCAGAGGGUAAAUGUCGAAGCUCUUUGAAAUCAUAUAAAUACAGGUAUUCAAGAGCAACGAAGUUUCCGAACCAAUCUGGCAGAGCUUUUAUACCUCCGAAGUUACUUAGCGAUAGUGACGUGAGAUUGGUCAAGUAUUGGAUCUGAUGUGGCAGGGACUCCAUGUGUGGCAACCCAACUAAUCCUAAUUCACGGAGUGCGGAUGACGAAGGGGAGGAGGAGGAGGAUAUCAAUCCACACCAAUCAAACUCAUUGUAAAUUGAAGAAUUUUCAUGAUCAUCACCAUCAUCUGAGAAGGGACCAAUUGCAAGCUCCCUUAAGCUGGUUAGAAAACCAAAUCCUUUGGGCGUCAUGCUUGUUUUCAAUUUGGGACACCUGUAUAAUUCCAGCUUCAAGAGAGAAGGCGUUUGUUGCAAAUCAAGCAGAAAGGAGACAAGAUUGCCGCACCAACUCACCUGAAGCUUCUGGAGAGAGGCACAAGAGUGUAGCAAGUCACCGGGCAGAUUCAUCAACCCAUCGCACUCAUCAAUCACCAGCUCUUUAAGAGACGUAAAGUUUUGCAAGGGAAGGAGUUCUCUGCAUCUGUGGCAGCGAUUAAACUCCAAACUCGUUAACUUGGGGAGUGUUGUUGCAAACUCAGGGAGUGUUGUUGUUGUUGUCAAAUCCAUUAACCAUCGAGGAAAUUGAUCGUCCAGAAAAUACCAAAUUACCAACUCCUCCAAAUUCGGGUGGGGUUGAAGGCCAUCCAACACAUCUUUGUCGAUGUAGUCGUGGCCUUCUCGAUCCUGGGCCCACUUAAGUUGCAGCCUAAAUAGAUUUGCCUUUUCAAAUAGUUUUGCUUCCUCAGCUCCUUCCUUAUCCAUUACUAGUUCCAGAUUGCGUAUCUCCAAUUUGCCUUUGAGGUUCUUCAAGCUUCCAAGCUCUCCAAUGCGUCGACCCUUCUCUCGACCCACGUUAAAGAACUCAAGUGUCUGAAGGCAAGUCAGCCGUCCCAUAUUCAGCGGCAUUUGAAAUUCUGUAUCAAAGGUGUAAAAGUGGAGAUGUCUCAAGCUAAUCAAAUUGCACAUCCCCUCUGGAAGAACUUUAACAUUUGAGUUACUUAGCGUCAAUGUUUGCAGAUUGUAAAGCUUGCAAAGGGAGUCCGACAAAAUACUGAUUGGAGAAUACAAAAGGUUAACAUACCGCAAAUGUAUCAAGUUGCCAAUUGAAAUUGGUAAUUUUCCAACUGUUGCAACCAAAACAUACAAGUUCUUCAACUUCAUUAACAUAUCACCAGAAAAGUAAUAAUUUACAAACAAUGUAUGAAGCGAAGUUGAUAGACUCUCCAAAAAUUUUUCUGUAUCUUCUUCAACACCAAAUGAGUCUAUUGUAAGGUAACGAAUCUGAUUACCAUUGUCUACUGUAUGUGUAUCCCUAUCAAUAAUGACUUUGGUAGACUUUGACAUUGACCCUGCAAGGUCGUGCACCAAAUCAUGCAUCCUAUAAGAUGUUAUCAACCGAUCAGUUAUUUCUUCCAACAAUGAACUCUGCAAUAAAAUUCUCAAAUAAUUCAUUCCAAUUUCCUCCAUCGUUUGGUUUUUGACGUCUGCUUGGAGGAAACCUUCUGCCAUCCAAAGUUCGAUAAGCAUAUUCCUUUUUAUCUGACUAUCCUUAUGAAAUAUAGACCAAUGUGCAAAACAUUUCUUAAUGUUUCGAGAUGGCAAAUUAUCAAAACUCAACUUAAGUAUUUGCAUCACACCAUCCUCACCUGCACUCAAACUCGAAAGCCUAUUCUCCAAAAUUGAUCGCCACUCCUCUUUUCUCUUUAAAGAUAACAGACCUCCAAUUACACUUGCAGCCAACGGUAGACCAUCACAUCUUUUGAUUACUCUCUCUUUAAUUGCUUUUAGUUCAUCAGGUUCUUCUUCCCCUCCAACUACUUUUUCUUUUAUGAUAGACCAACAAUGAUCAUCAGGUAGUCUUCCUAAGGCAUAGACUAAUUCAGUUUCCAUCAUCAAAACUCUAGACACACUAUGUGCCACUGGACCUAAACGAGUAGUGACCAGACACCAACUUCCAUUAAUUGGAUUGAGCCCCUUCAAGAUGGUGAAAAAGUCAUUCCACAAUACCUGAUUAUCAUCCCACACAUCAUCAAGGACUAGGAAAUAUCUUUUUCCCCCUAGGUGAUUCCCAAUUUUUCCAACGAUGAGAUUCCUAUCAUCUACUUCAACCUUUUCUUCCGUCAAUUGCACUAAUAUGAGUUUGAAAAGCUCCUCUAUUUGAACUUGUCUUGAUACACAAACCCAAAUUUUUUUGUUAAAGUGUUCAUCAAUUUGCUUGUUGUUGUAUAUGGAUUUAGCCAAAGUUGUUUUGCCUAAACCUCCCAUACCAGUUAUGGGAAGAACAGAAACAACCUUCUCAGACAGGCUCAACAAAAUCUUCACUAUCUCUGAUUCAUCAUCGGCUCUUCCAACCAUUGGAGCAACAACAGAGUCGGUCUGCCGACUUCUCGUGUCUCCAACAGCAGGAGCAGCAGGGAGGGCAGUUGUCAUGACUGCCCUACUGACCAGUCCCAAUCCAUGGGCAUCUUGAUAGAUGCCAUUCAACUUAAGUUUGAUGUCCCUGACCUUAGAAGCCAUUCUCCAACGAAAAGCAAGAUUAAUAUUAGAGCAGGAGAAGAAGCAGCAUACCUUGAGCUUGUGUCGGUUUCGGGACUCCACCUGGUGACGAAGAGAUUCAUAGUGGAGCUCAUCCAACACAUUGUCAGCAUCAUAAGCAACCUCCUCGAGACUAUUCAACCAUCGUUGCACUCCGCUGCUUUGGUUUUGCCUUUCCUCAGCAUCAGCCAGGACAUCUUUGAUAAAGCGGAGAGAACGUGUCAUGCCGGCCACAUCCUUCUUGAACCCAACUAGCAAACCAAUCCUAGUAGAGGCAAGAGACAGUGCCCUUUCCAAGGUGACCUGAAUUGUGGAGCUGAUAAGAGCGUCAGCCAUUUUUUUUUUUUUAAUAAAUGACUUGGAUUCAGUCUUGAGAUCAAGAUGGUUUUUUAAAAUGGGAGGUUUUAGCAGCCAGAAAUUGGUAAUGUUACAAGUGGUUAAAAGGAGAAGAGCAUUGAUAUUUGGUCCGCUUAACAAUGCAGAGUUAUUCUUAACUUGGAUGCCUUCGUUCGCAAAGGAAAUAUAUAUUCCGUGCAUGGCAUCUUCACUUUAAGUUUCUUGGAUGCUUUGAAAUGCUGAGUUAUUCUUAACUUGGAUGCCUUCGUUCGCAAAGGAAAUAUAUAUUCCUUGCUUGGCAUCUUCACUUUAAAUUUCUUGGAUGCUUUGAAAUGGAAAUUCCUGGAUGGGAUUUUCACUUUAACUUUCUUGCUGGGACGGGGCCUUCAUCUUUAUUCGUUAAUCCUUGAAAGAUGAACUAAUUAGAACAUAAUUUCGUUACACCUUAUCCUGUUAGCUUCCACACUAACUCUGUUGGAUUUUGCUUCUUAGCUAGAGACAUAAUUUGUGUCUCAAUACAAAAAUCAAUUAGGCUUCUAAUUAUUUUGUAAUUCAGAAUCUGAUAUCGUUGAGCAUUGAGCCUUUUCAACUUUGCAUAAUUCCUUGCUUGUGUUAAUACCUGUGGCUGUGGUGGAUGAACUUUGGCAAAGAAUAACUUGAAAUGUGGAUUUGCUUCAAACUUAUAUUCUGAAAUGAAGUUCGGCAAUUAAUAGAGGCCUAAACAAUUAUUCAGCCUUACUACUUUACAAAAUUUAUCUAAAAAAUUCAACCACAGUGUGAUGGUGAUUUAUAGAUUGAUUAUCACAUAAACAAACCAACUCAUGCUUGUAAUGCAUAUAAAUGAUAUUUAACCAAAACAUUUGAAUUGAAGAUAAAGAAAAAAAUUUUUGAACUUCAUUAGAAUCGGGAGGUAACAUUUAUGUCCUCCUCCAUCUUAUACUUAUUUUCAAGUGACUUAAUAAAUUUUAACUUUUAUUUGGAAAAAAAAUUUAAGGAGUACAAUUACCCUAAUCAGUGAGAAAUUUCAAGUGGCAUGGCAUAGAUGUUAAAAAUAAAUUUCAACCUGUUGAUCUUGAUCCCUAUCUUUUGAUGUUUACAAAACAAAUGGAUGAUACUAAUAUUUCUUCAAGAUAUACUUUCAGUUUUGAAGUUGUUUGAUUCCAUGAACAAGUGCAAUUGAAAGGCAAAGUUUGCUGAAGCUGUCGGACGUUCAAGAAGUCAGGAUCGGACGUCCGAAAGGAUGAAGAACAUCAAGAAGGAAACUCUGUCGGACGCUCGUGAGGAAGCAUCGGACGUCCGGAAGUAUCGGACGCACGCCUCGGACGCACAUCGAUCGCAUCGGACGUCCGAGAAAUUUCGCAAAGAUUUGAUGACUCUCUGACGACGCUCGGACGCAGGGUUCGGACGUCCGACAGGUGGUUUGGACGCAGGGUUCGGACGUCCGACAGGUGGUUCGGACGUCCGACAGGCCAACGGCUAGUUUUGACAGCAUUUAAUAUUUGACCGUUGGAGAGCCUUUUGGAGCCAUUUCUCACCUUCUAUAAACACCCCAAAGCACAAGAAGACAAUGGACUUUUGCCAACACAAAAUACAAGCUUACAAGUGAGAUUUUUGAGUAGAAAGAUUCUUUGUUGGUUGUAUAAGGGGUUGGGGAAGUUGGGUUGUGAGGUUGCUCAAGUGAAGGUUACUCUCUAGGAGGAGUAAAACCUUGGUGAAGGUGAACCUAUCACUUGAAGUGGUAAAACCUUGGUGAAGGUUGCCUCAUUUGUAUAAAAUAGUUCUUAAUUGGGUGAGUGAUCUUUCAAGUGUAGGUUGUUGAGGGUUAACUAGAAUAGUUGUAAAACUCCUUGGCUCAACCAAAGAGUGUUUGGGGUGAGGAAGGAGUGAGCCUUCACUUGUACAUCUUGGUUAGCAUCGCCAUCUAUUGAAGAGGCUAUUGGAUUGAUAUUUGGUUUGCAUUUCUUAUCUUUUCUCUUUAAUUAAGUUUUCUUUAUUGUGCUUAAAUUUGAUAUAUCUUUGUGCAUCAUUGUGAAAUUGUUUGUACUCAUUGGGUUGUACCAGGCCUUACACAACCAAGAUAAGUAAGUGCUCUGUACAACAAAUCCUUCAGAAAUAAAUAUUUACUGUACUCUCAACUUGGGCAUACCUGCAACUUGCCACCCUGCGCAAGCAUGGUGAACAUCUCCUAGUUUAAUAAGAUCAGAUUAGAAAGAUUGUUUUGUGGAACUACACAAAAUAAUACGAUACAUAAUUAUAUCUCUCACAAUCAUUUGUUUAGGAAGAUUGUAAUCAUGUAGGACUCAAACAGAAGCAUUAGAAAAAUUAGAUUAGAUGACCAGUAUGAGGAAGGGUAUUUUAAGCAUUGCAAAAAAAAAAAAGGAAGAAAUACCAUUAUAUAUAGCUCCAGUCCUUAAAGUUUUGACAAAAACAAAUUUAGUCCUCAAUGUGCAGCACAUGCACAAUUGUAGUCCCUAAAGUUUUUAUAAGAACAACUCUGGUCUCUAAUGUAUCCAAUAUAAAUUAGAUUUAGCAUAAAUGAAUAUUUUUACAUUACUGACAAAAUUUAAAUAUAACAAUAAAGAAAAAAUAGUGGCUAACUUUAAACUACAAUAUUAAGGACUAAUGACUCACGUGCUAACUAAUUAAUUGGUUAAAAAUAUUGUCAAAGUACAAAACUCAAACUAGUCAGAGCAUUUAAUUCAUCAAUUUAGAACUCAUUUUCUUUAUCUAUCCCUACCGACCCUCAGGAAAAAAAAAGAAAAGAAAAGCCCCAACACUUGGUUUUUGUGCAUAAUUAAAUAAAUUUCCUUUUUUCCUAUUUUCUUGGUUAAUUAAUAACUCACGUGUCAUCACAUGAGUUGCUCUUGCUGUUUAAGGUUAUCCGUUGAUUUGCUUCUUUCUUACAAAAUUAAUUUAAAGUACACAUGCAUGACUGAACAUUAUUAGGUUCCAUUAGUAAUUAAAAAAUGUUAGUCAAUUGUCGUAAAUUUGCUUAAAUUCAGAAACUAUUUGGAACCAAAAUUAUUUUUGAUCAAAAUUUUUGCCAAAAAUUGAGGACCAUACUUUUUUUUUUUUUUUUGCUAAAACUUUAGAACUAAAACAGUACAAGUGCAAAACACUAAGGACAAAAACUACAUUUUUUUUUUUGAAAAAUUAAAAGAAACUUCGGAAAACUGGGAAAUGAAUAUCAGUAGUAGGAAGAGGUGAGAUUUAAGUAACUAAAGUUUUGAACCUAGAUGAACAUCCAAUUCCUAUCAUUUCAACCUUAACUAAUUGUCCAAGGCCUAUUCUGCGCAUAAGGGCUCAUCUCAUGAAGAAAAAGCCAAAUUAUUAAAUGCCAAAAAGAAAGAGGAGCCGUGCAAGACUGGUGUAGUUGUUUAUUUUUGGACACUUUUGAGUAGGGGUGUGCAAAGUCGAAAAAUUUCGAUUUCGAAUUGAAUUCGGAAGUUCGGUAAUUCGGAAGUGAAUUCGGUAAUUCCGAUUUCGAAUAUGUCGAAAUCGGAUCGAAUUCGAAAAUAAGAAUUUUGAAAUCGGAAUUACCGAAUUCGAAUUGGGAAUUCGAAAUAGGAAUUCGAAAUUGGAAAUUCGAUAUCGAAUUCGAAUUAAUAUAAUUAAUAUAUUAUAUUCGAAUUAUAUAUAUAUACAUAUAUAUUAUAUAACAUAAAAUAAGUUAAUAACUGAAAUUAAAAUUGAAACCCAAAAACCCUACUCUUUUCAGUUUUCACUUACUCACGCCAGUCACCUUGGCUCUUCCGCCGCCCUCUUCCUCAUCGCCUCUUCCUCCGACUCAGCUUACUCUCUCACUCUCUCAGUUUCACCUUCAUAUUUCUCCCCUUCUUCAAGCCCGACAGAGACAUAAAGUGUUGGCACACGUUCUUCUCUACGAGACUCCCUCGGCAUCUGGAUUCUGGAAGAUACCUCUGCACCGACUGCCGAGAGCGUUCUUCAUCGUGGUGAAGUGGUUGAAAUCUUGGCCAAACUCUUUCCAAAGUAUCUGAUUCCAACAAAGUAAGUUCACUUGCUCAAUCAUUCUGAUUCUAGUCCAAUUCACUGUAACAUUAUUCAUUAUUUUUAGGUAAAAGUAAAACCCAAAAAAGCGAAAGUGGUAAAUCAAAUUUAUGCUGUAGAAAAUUGAUGAGCCCACAAAUUAAUUUGGUGGCCGUUUGACUAAUGUUAAGUGAAAUGGUUUACACCUAAGAUUUUUUUUCACUAGUUCGAAUUAUUCUUUUGAAUAUGCAGAAAUUUAGCUCUUAAAAAAACUUAAAUAAGUUCUUGAAAGUAGGUAAUCUGGACACGAUACCUGAAAAGUGUGCCCAGAUAUGAUUUGGGAGUGUUGGGAGGUUAACUAAGGUAGCGGAGGUCCGAGGAGAAUUGAGACUUGGAAGGUAUAAGUGUCCUGUAGUGUAGUGUUGGUAAAAGUUGUAUUAUACAAGAAGUAUGGUCCAGAUAUGAUUGAAGCUUCAUUUCGACACCUUGCUGUUUCUUUAAGUUGUCAGCUGUGAAAAUCUUAUCAACAUACUUUUUGCACCAAGAAGCAAUUUGUCACACGGUGUGGUGUUGAUUAAUUUGCCAAGUUUUUUAUGCUUGUUGUAAUAUAAAUGCAAAGGCAAAAGUACAAACAUGACUGGGUGCAAAGGAUUCCUCUUUUUUUUUUCUUUUUUUUUGGGGGUUUUGUUUAUCCUGUUGACCAUGGCACAUCUUGUAUCUGGUAGUUAUGGUACCAUACACUUAUAAGAGGUGCUUGGCAAAAAGAAACGGGAGAGAGUGUGUUAGUUAAAAAAUGUAAAAACAUCCUCUAUGACUAUAAAUCCUUUAUAUAAAAUAACUUUUUUUCUUGAAAAGCAUUUAUCUGCAUUGAUUUCACUAUUUUGAUGAGGUUCAGCUGAAGAUAUUUUAGUUGUAUACUGAAUUUAUAAAUCGCAAAACUUUAUAUUUGCUGCUAUGUUUGGCUCCAUCUUCUUACUUUCUAUGCUAAAUUGGAAACAAGUUCUCCAGGAAACUGCAUUAUGUGAUUCAAACUCUCAAUAUUUCUUCAUUUUAUUGUCUAAUCUAUUGCAUAUAUUGGGAAACAUAUCUUCAUUUUAUUUCCAUUUUCUUUUGCAUAUCAGUAAACAUGUCCACUUUUGAGAUAGAAGGUUCAAGUGAUUCAACACCAUCUUCAAGUCCAGCUCCUAUUUCCGGCAGCUGUGAAGAAUCUGGCCUUGGUGUUAAGAAAAAGAGAGGCGAGUACAAGAAAAGGUCACCAGCUUGGGAUCAUUUUCAGCCUCACUAUGUCCAAGGUGUUCGUCAUGGCAUAUGUAAUUACUGUACGAAAAUGAUAGCUGCUGAUCCGAAGUCUAAUGGUACUAGUCCUCUCUUAUCCCAUGUUAAAUCAUGUGAAAUGAAUCCUACAAAUAAGUCUAAGGGGCAAGGUACAUUAUGCUUGGGUGAGGUUGGUGGUCUUGGGGGGGAUGUUAAGAGUGCACUUAUUAGUUGGAAGUAUGACGCUGAUGCAAUUAGAAAAAGCAUUGCUUAUAUGUUGAUUGUUUAUGAAUUGCCAUUCAAACAUGUAGAAGGUAAAGGAUUUCAGCAUGUCAUGAGAACUGCUUGUCCUUCUUUUCAAAUUCCUUCAAGGUGGACAAUUACUAGAGAUUGCUAUCAACUUUAUUUAGAUGAAAAAAUUAAGUUGAAGAAUAUGUUGAGGCGUAGAGCUGUUAGAGUUUGUCUUACCACUGAUUGUUGGACAUCUAUCCAGCGAAUAAAUUAUAUGUGUUUGACAGCUCACUUUAUUGACUGUGAUUGGCAAUUGAACAAAAUAAUUUUAAAUUUUUGUCCAAUUAGUAGUCAUAAAGGGACUGAAAUUGGGAAGAGUAUUGAGAAAUGCUUAUUAGAGUGGGGGAUUGAUGAUAUUUUCACAGUAACAGUUGACAAUGCUGCUUCAAAUGACACGGCUGUGCAAUAUUUGGUUGGAAAAUUGCAAAAUUGGGGUAAAUCUAUAUUAGGAGGAAAGUGGAUUCAUAUAAGAUGUGUAGCUCACAUAAUCAAUUUGAUUGUGAGUGAUGGCCUAAAAAAAUUUGGGGGGUCCGUUGAUUCUAUCCGAACAGCUGUGAGAUACAUUAGGCAAUCACCUUCUCGUUUGAAAAAAUUCAAGGAAUGUGCUGAAAUUGAAAAAAUUGACAGUAAAAGGUUACUAAGUUUAGAUGUGGCAACUAGGUGGAACUCAACCUACUUAAUGUUAGACAGUGCUCAUAGGUUUGAGAGGGCAUUUGAGAGGUUUGAGGAGCAAGAUCCAUAUAUGCUGCAUGAGCUAGAGCACUUGCCAACAAAAAGUGAUUGGGAAAAGGCAAGAUUCUUAACUUUAUUUUUGGAGAACUUUUAUGAUCUCACAGUAAAGGUUUCUGGUUCCAAAUAUGUGACAUCUAAUAAUCUUAUCAAUGAGCUUAGUCACAUUAAUGGCAUCCUAAAGGAAAUGGCAGAAAGUGCUAAUCCCGACUUGUGUGGAAUGGCAAAAAUAAUGAAAGAAAAGUAUGAUAAGUAUUGGGGAAGAUUGGAGAAAAUGAACAUGUUGAUUUUCAUUGCUUACAUGCUUGAUCCUAGGACAAAGUUUGAGUACUUUGAAUUCAUUGCUUGUAAAAUGUAUGGUGAUACCGAAGGUGCUGUUGUGGCUCAUGUAGCCAAGGAUGCAAUGUAUGAAUUGUUUAAUGAUUACAAGAGACUCAAUACUCCUGCUGGAUCUUCUCAAUCCUCUAUUUCUUCACUUUCUAGUGGAUCUGAAAAUAGCAUCUCUUCCUCUGAUGGAGAAGUCUCCAAAAAAAUAAAUGAUAGAUACAGAAUUGAGUUCAAGAAAAGAAAAGUUGAACUUGGAGGAAAGAAUGCUAAAUCUGAACUUGACAAAUAUUUGAGUGAGGAUUGUGAGGAUGAGGAUCCCGAGUUCGGUAUCUUGAAUUGGUGGAAAGGUAAUAGUCUUCGGUUGCCAAUACUUUCGCAAAUGGCUCGUGAUGUGUUGGCUGUCCCGGUCUCUACGGUUGCUUCCGAAUCUGCCUUUAGUACCGGAGGACGUGUUCUUGACCCAUUCAGAAGCUCUUUAACUCCAAGGAUUGUGCAAGCCUUGAUUUGUGCUCAAGACUGGUUUCGGGCAUCCGAAAAUGAGUUGAAUGUAGAAGAAAAAUUGGAGGAUCUUGAGGAAUUUGAAUCUGGUAAAUUAUCUUCGUUUUUAUUGACAAACUUGAAAUAUUUUUUCUAUUCAUAAAUGCAAUUAAGCUACUUCAUUAUUUUUUUCUUUCUUGAAUAAUAGGUUUGAUCAAAGGAGGUGCAGAAGCCACAAUUGUUGAUGUUUGAAUUCUCUAAUGGUGAUUCUGAUUUGGUGCUCAUAGAAAUUCAAGUUUGAAAUGUUGUCAAACUGAAAUGUUGUCUUAUUUGUUUGAAAGGCACUUUGGUUACAUUUGUAUAACAGUAUAAGUAUUCUCGUAUGAAAGACUGGAAUUGUUUGAUAAUAGUUGAUUUGUAUUAUUUACUGGAAUUGUUUUGUAUUUCAAAUUUGGACUGGAAUGGUUGUAUAAGUAUUCUCGUAUGAAGUGGUAGAGUUCUUGUGAUUUAUGGUAUUGAAUAGGCACUCUAGAAUGUGGAGUUGAAUGUGGAAUUGUUAUUCAGCUUCAUCCUUUCCUCUUGAAUUUGAGACAGCUGACCUGUGGAAUGUGGAAUCCAAGGGGACUGCAUUUACUUUGAACAGAUUUUCUGUUUUUGAUUUGUUAUUAUCCUUAUGACUGUUUCAUUGUGGGUCUUGAACGAAUUUCAUUUCAUUCCAAGUCACAAAAUUGAAACUUUAAUUAGAUUGAAGAACUUUUUUGGUAGAUGGUCUGUUGUUUCCUUGAUUUGUGGUUUAUAGUAUCUACAAAUGCUUUGAGUUGCUUUGUUCAAAGCAUAUCCUAAGCUUUAUUUGGCUUUUUGAUUGUUUGGCCUAUUUUUAAGUUGAUUAGUCGUGGAAUAUGUGCUGAAGGUGUUCUAUGACUUUAUUCUGGUUAACAACCUGUUUUGGUUUGGAGGAGGAACGGCUUUCAAAUCUCCUAUUAAAUAGAGGCGAAAUUAAGUUUCUUGCAAGAAAGGAGAGGGCAAAAAAAAAUAAUAAUAAUAAUAAUAAUUCGGUGAAUUCGGAAUUUACCGAAUUCCGAAUUCAAUUCGGUAUCGAAUUCGAAUUCGGAAUUCGCCAUUACGAAAUCGAAUUCGUUCGGUGAAAUUGAAGCCAAAUUUUUGAAAAAUUCCGAAUUCAAACUUCCGAAUUACCGAAUUCGAAUUCGAUGCACACCCCUACUUUUGAGGUUUUUUGCCGUGCAAAUAAUUACCCAAGUCCCUUAAUAAUUUUGUACUUUCUUUUCAAUCAUGUGCACCGAGCGUGCCAGUAGACACCCAAAAUUCCUGCCUAAAGGUAAAUGCCACCCACAUAGGUAUCAUUUCUGGGCAUUAAUGUGAUUUCUUUCAGUUUUUGGACUAAUCUUUGUGUUAAACAUUUUAUACAGUCAUCCUUAGUGAGCAAAGUGUGUAUAUCUUAAGCUCAAAAGCAUAAAGUGUUGCAUCUCAAUCCCAAGUUCAAGAGUGUAAAAUGUAGUUAGCCCUUAAAUUCAGUCAUCAUUCUCUUAGAAUCUUCUUGGUCAGCUUCUCAAAGCAUAAAGAAGCAGGGCCAAGAAUCAGAACAAAGAACACACGAGAUUUUUCUUUGCUAAAAUAUUUGAGAAGGUUGGGCCGUAGCUCAUAAAUCCUCAAUCAGAUAUGCUACAACUGCUUUCAAUUGAAGAUCAGAGGAGAAGUUUUACUUGUUCUUACGCCUAACUUCAGCAUUAAUACAGAUCUAGAGUCAUCACUAGAAGUAAGAAAUUCAAAGAAAUAUAACAAAACAUAUUAAUCCGAUAUUUACUACGGGCACUCGUUGACAUACUUAAAUUAAGAACAACUUAUUAUGUUAAUACACACAAUCACAAUUAAUGUACUCCUUGUAUUAUAUGCUUUUUCGUAUUAACUACAUUUUUUUAAAAGACUAACGCAGAAAACAACUCUAAAUGAGUGUCAAAUUGGGCACCCAUUAGCCAAAGUAGGUUAUGCCAAUUAAGUUAUACCAAAAUGCGAGCAACUUCAAGCCUUCAGUUAAUAAUGGGUGAAUGUGGAAAGGCUUCAUCAAACAUGAUUUUUUUUUUUUGAUAACAAGACAAUUUCAUUUUAAUAUUUGUACUAAUGGCAGCAAAUACAUCAAACAUGGCACAGAUUUAUAUAGAUCUGAAAAUCAAAUAAUAUAACAGAUUUAAAAAUAUAUAAAUUUGACCUUAACGUUGAAAUUCCAAGAAUAUCUUCCAUCAAAUAAAUGUCAGUACAAUUCAACGAAUCUAUAUCCAUGUCUUUCGAUAGCUGAAUAGUCAGAUCUGAUAAAAACUACUUCAAGUCUAAAGAAAAAUUUAGAUCUGACUUCUAGAUUUAAUUAGAGGAGAUUUGGAGAGAAGGAAGAGAAAAAUGAGUUCUAGAGUGAAAAGGAAAAGAGCUUUUGUAAUAUCCGCAUGAAUUAGUACCAUUCAAACCCAAAAUCUUAUGACCCAAAAUGAUGGCGUCUUCAAAAUUUUAGAAAUGGAUGGAGUGCUUGAUCUACUUCUUCAUUUGUGCAUAUAUGAUAUUUCUGCCCAUGGCGCCAGCCUAUAUAUGUCAAGUAAUUCCGUGCGGUGGCUGCUUGCGGUGCACAGGAGCGGUUAUCUGGAGAAGAUGAUAUGAGAAAAGAUGAUCAUACCCUGUGAUUUGGUGUUUUACUACAUAACCCUUCUAUAGUUUAAUAAUUUAUAUAUAAUCCCUUCAUAAUUUGGAUUAAAGUUUUGCCAUUAUUUUUUUCCGUUAAAACUAACAGUCAAUAGCAAAAAUCAAGGUCAAACUAAUAAAUAGACAAAUUCACCUUUUCACUACAUUUUUUUCCUUUCUUUCUUUUUCUCUUUUCUUUUCUUUCUUUCGCUCUCUUUUUUUUUGGAAGAGAAGAGAUGAUUUAAAAUCUGUACUUUGGCCUAUAAAAUCUUAAUUUUCUCCGGAUGCAAAAAAAAGAAGGGAAAUGAAAAAUAAAUAAAUAAGAAAUAGAAAAGAUGGAAGGAAAGUGAAAAAAUUAAAUUAAUAAGAAACCAAAAAUGGAAGGGAAAUAUAAAUCAAAUAAAUAAGAAACAAAAGAUACCAAAUCUUUAUUGAAUGCAAAUACCAUUAUAGGCUUUUAGACCAAAUCUUUUAUGGUAUUUUCUAUUUAUUAUUUAUCUAUUUUUACUUAAAUUUAUUUGGAGGAAAAAAAGGAAAGUAGUGAAAGAGUAAUUUUGUCAAUGUAUUAUUUUGAUUUUGAUUAUUUUACUACUGAUAGCUAGUUUAAUAGAAAAACUAACGGUGACGCGUUAAGUCAAAUCAUGAGAAUGUUAUAUAUAGGUAUAUUAAGUCAAGCCAUGAGGGCAAAAGGUAAUUUAUCCUAAUUAGUAUUUUGUUUGCUUAAAAUCUUUGAGAAUUUGGUCAAAGCCAAGAGACCACAAAGUGAUCAUUUCCAUACUAAGAAUAUGUGUACUGGAUGUCCACCUCAAUACUCAGACUCGGUCAUACAUCAUGUAAUUGGCCACGAAUUGGAUUCUUUUCUUUGCAUUUUAACAUGUGAAAAUUGUUCAAAUAUUCUCUCAUACUUUAGGAAGUCUUCUAAAGCAUCAAUGAUACUUGAAAGAAGGAAUUUAACAACUCAUACCUUAGAACGUACUCUUCUAUUAGCCUCCUACCCCAUUUAUAAUUAGUUUUCGCACUCAAUAUGUCUUGGUUAUGUUUCAUGUGCAAGAUUAAGUGUUGAAAAAAGUUUGAAGAGUUUGUUUAACCAAAGUACAAUGUGCUUUUCCCAGGGAAGUUGCAUGGCCUGUUACUGCAAAAUAAUUUCCCAGGUCAAUGCUGGGAUUCCCAUUUUUAUUUUAUUUUUUUGAAGUGGCUUGUUUGUGUUGUCAUCCUGCACUUGGUUUUGUGAAUUGGAUUUUCACUCUUGGCUAGCUUGUUCAAACUUCCAAGUUUCUUAAACACAAGUACCUCCCGGAAUAGAGAAAAUACCAAAUUGAGGGCCGACUUCUACUUUGUGUAUUAUCAGCUAUCAGGUUUGGUUAGGCAGAGCCAAAGAAGAAGGAAGAUUUACAGCAACUAGUAGGCAUUGUUCUGAAGUCGCGGAUUAAAAUGCAUACACAGAGUCAUGCCAGUAAAGAGAGAGCAUUGGCAAUCAAAUAUCAGAGGGUAAAUUACACACAAUCCCCUUGUAGUUUUGAAUAAUACCACAUUUCAAAAUAGUCAUGCAAAGCAAUAAGACGUUCAAUUCCACUAUAUAUAUGGCUAUAAGUGAUGUCCUGAAUCGAAAAAUGAUGGAGGAAACUGGACUGCGACGUGGAUUGAUGAGAAUCAAAUGCGUGAUAAUUGUUGAUUUCUUGCAAAAUCUUGUACAUUUGGUUACUUGAAACAGGACAUUGAUAAACAUCAAAUGAAAACGCGAAUCCAACAAACAAGGCUUGAUAAGCUGUGAUUAAAAAUGCCAUAUCAACUAGAGUUUACUGGCCCCCGCAUAAAUGGUCUAGCGGUAGCGCCUCUCACAGGUGACCCUUAAGGUCCCGAGUUCGAGUCUCCGCUCCGCUGGAUUCCUCCGCGCACUUAUCGCGUUCGGGUCGGGUUUGAUUCCUUUAUAUUGGGUCAUGGUUAUUUAAGGAGCAUGUAUGAUAGUUGUGUUUACUCCCGGAAGUUAAAUGAUGGUUCUUUCAUUUACUUAUUGUUAUAUGUUGAUGACAUGCUCAUUGCUGCCAAGAAUUUAUCAGAAAUUCACACUUUGAAACUUCAGUUAAAUAGUAAAUUUGAAAUGAAAGAUUUGGGAGUAGCUAAAAAAAUUCUUGGUAUGGAUAUUAAGCGAGAUCGAGGAGUAGGGAAAUUGUUCUUGACCCAGAAAAAUUAUCUUGAAAAAGUCUUGGAGCGUUUUGGCAUGAAAGAUGCUAAACCAGUAUCUACUCCUCUUGCUAGCCAUUUUCGACUAUCUGCUGCUCAAUCACCAAAAUCAGAUGAAGAGGAAGAUUAUAUGGCACGGGUUCCUUAUUCCAGUGUAGUCGGCAGUAUUAUGUAUGCAAUGGUUUGUACUCGUCCAGAUAUUGCACAAGCAGUCAGUGUUGUUAGCAGAUAUAUGUCUUGUCCCGGAAAAACACAUUGGCAGGCUGUGAAGUGGAUUCUCAGAUACUUGCGAGGUACUUCAAAUGCAUGUUUGGAGUUUGGAAGAAAUAAUAACACUUUGGUUGGUUUUGUAGACUCAGACUACGCUGGGGAUCUUGACAGGAGAAGAUCACUUUCAGGCUAUGUAUUUUGCAUUGGCGGUUGUGCUGUUAGUUGGAAAGCUACUCUACAACCUGUCGUAGCUUUGUCUACUACAGAAGCAGCAUAUAUGGCUGUGACCGAGGCAGUCAAAGAAGCCUUGUGGUUGAAGAGUUUAUUUAGCGAGCUUAGUCUACAUCAAGGUGUUACUGUUAUUCACUGUGAUAGUCAAAGUGCCAUACACUUGACUAAAGAUCAGAUGUAUCAUGAGAGGACGAAGCAUAUUGAUGUGAAAUAUCACUUCAUUCGGGAUAUCAUUGCUGAAGAAAGGUCCUUGUUCGGAAAAUCAAUACUAAGGACAAUCCUGCCGAUAUGUUUACGAAACCUCUUCCAGUUUACAAGUUCAAGCAGUGCUUGGACUUGGUUGGUGUUCGUUGUUUGUGAUUUAAGUCCAUUGGGGCUUAUGUGGAGAAGGUGGAGCAGUUUUUUGGUGGGACUUAAAAUUAUGCCAAGGUGGAGAUUUGUUGAGCCGCAAUUGUUGACGCCCACAAUGGUGGAAUUUGGUGGCAAAAUUUCCUCAUCCCACAUCGCCUAAAGUAGAAGGAAAGCCUCCCAAAUACAACUAUAAAUAGGGGGCUCAUAUGAAGGAAUUGAUUGCACCACUCAAGAGAGUUAUAUGGACUAUUAGCUUCUUGAGUCAUCUAGCCCAUUUAGUCAAAUAUUUUAGACUCUCUUGUAUUGUGUUUAGGAAUAUUUCCUAAACCUUUUAUAAGUGCCUUUUGGCCUAGGAACCACUUUCUUACGGCUUUUGUAUUUCUUCUUCAAAGUCGAAAUAUUGCUCCUUCUCUGCCCGUGGACGUAGGUCAAUUUGACCGAACCACGUAAAUCUUCUGUGUCUUUUAUUUGCUUUAUUAUUUGUCUUUAUUGGGUUGCCACAACUCUUUUAUAUGGCCGGUUUUACCGCCUAAUUAUUAUAUGGCUGGUGUCUACCGCCUAAUCUUUAUAUGGUCGGUUAUACCGCCUAAUUUGUGCUAACUUUAGUUUGUUUAUUCCUGGGCCAGUCCUAACAAUAAUUUCUUCUUGUUAAUUUGCAACCUAACCUUUUAACUUUUUGACUAUCUUUCCAUUUCAAAAAAAUUAGAGAUCCUUGAUAUUCGUAGUUGUCUUGACCUAUUCAAUUUCCUUCCUCCAUUUUAUAAUUAGUUUGCAUGCAUUUUAAUGGUGAUUUAUCCACAAUUUGUAUAGAAUACACCAAGGGCUGUCAAUCCGUCUUUGAGCUUGGGGUUGCUUGAUUAAUUUUAAAAAAAAAUCUUAGGUCGAAUGAACUUUAGCAAAGAAUAAUUUGAAGUAUGCAUUUGCAACCCCGUUAAAAAUUUACCUUAAUAACUUUUGCAAGGUCAUUGGAAACACACUUUGAAGGUACUUGACAUUACCCUAUUUUUAAAUAAAAUCAUUAGACAUUAGACAAUAUAGAGGCAAGAAUUAUUAAAGAUAGAUAUUUAAGAGCUACUUUGAAAACAUCAAAAAUACACUUUGAAGGUACUUGAGGAAAACCUUUUUUUUUAAAAAAAAAUAAAUCAUUAGCAUUAGAAAAUUAAGAUGCAAGAAUUAUUAAAAAUAGAAAUAUUAAAAAAUCUACCUCAUGUUUGUUUUAGGAUAAAUUUUGUGCACACAGACAGUGUAUAUAUAAGCGGGACUAAAUGCAUGCUACCUUUAUUGUGGAAGCAAUAAGUACAUCAACCAUUCUUUUUGUUCCUUGGAUACGUUUUGUAGUGGAAGACGUUGCUACUUGGAUCUGAGCCUCACAAUUUAUGUUUCGUAUGAUUUCGUACAAGUUGAUCUUUGAUGUAAAUUAGUCAAAUUUCGGUAUGAGUCAGGUCCAAUUUAAUAUAAAUCAGGUGCAGUUUAGUGUAUAUUAAUUUGAUGUUAUUUGGUGUAAAUUAGAUACAUUUGGAUAUAAGUUGAUUAUUAUCAUUUAGCAUAAGUUAAGGUCAAUUUAAUGUAAAUUGAGAGUAAAUUGUUAAAUUUUACACCAAUUUAUGCAUAAUGCAACUUGUGAGGCCCUAUUUCCUGCUUAGAAUUUUCACUUGAAGUCUUCAAUACUUGUCGUUGCUCGGCCUUUGAUGAGCGCGGGGUAUACAAAUAACAUUUAAUUUAUCCACAGUCAAGUUUUAUAUUUAUUAUAUUCUAAAUGCCCCGCACGUAAUUUUUCUGCAAGUAUACAGGUUGUGAGCAAGUACAGGGUAUUAAGGGCCGAACCCACAAGGAAAAUUUUUAAUUACCAUUGAUUUUCGAACUCCUUUAGUAUUUAGACUGUCAUAAGUGCAAGAAAUUGAAUCUACACUAUAAACAUGAAAUAAAAGUAAUAAAAAUACAUUAGAAAGCUUCUAGAGGAAUGGAAUUCCUUUCUACUCUUACAAAUGAAAUUACCAGUUAAGUGAAUGCUAUUAUCUUGGCUAGUUAUGGUGUAAUUUCUUAAUGUAUGUGAAACCUACUCUCUUAGUGAAUCAACUAUACUUGUAGAUAAGUCAUACAUACUUUCGUGGUUAUGAAAUCAACUACAAGGUCAUUUCUUCUACGAAAUUACAUGAACAAAACACUAAAGCCACAAAGGUGCACCUCUAUUCUCGUAAGUGUACUCCCUAGAUUUAUCACUAUAGCUUUCUUGAAUUAGUGUUAAAUUUCAAUUCUUAUUGCAAACUUAACACCUUAAAAUUUCACAAUUAAUGGCUAGUUAAUCAUGAUUAGAUAAGCAAAAGUAAUAAAUAACUUGCUCAAUAUAACAUCAUCAAAUAACCAAUUAAAUAUCACAAGUAAAAUAUAGAAAGUUCAUCCAUAACUCUAGGCAUAAACUUUAGAAACACAUAUAAAAACACAAAUCCAAACUUGUAUUAUAGAUAAACAUGAACUCAAAUACAAAAGAGAAUUCACUCUUGUCACAUGAGUUCCAACUCCCCAUUUUUGCUCCUCCAAUUUUCAUUUAAGUCUAACUACAAAUACAAGAAGGAAAAGCUAUACUAACUAUACUAUACUACUCUAACUAAUGAACUACGGAAAUUCUAGUGAAGACUACAUUUUUGUGGAGUUUCUCUAGCCUUCCAAAAUUAUGAAAAUGUUCCCCAAAGACUGCUGUUUAUAGAGAAUUCAAGCUCAAGGUGAGUUGUUUCUUGGUUGAUAAAGUUGGCUUUUGAACUCAACAAGAGUUAUUCUCCAAGUUUCCACACUCUUCUUGGUCAGAUAGAGCCAAAAUUCUGAGUUGUAGAUGAGUUGGAAAGGUUGUGUGAAUGCAAAACAAGUUGCAGAGCAAGUUGUAGCAGAAAAACUAGAAUACGUGACCUCAAAUACAUGAUCUUAGGUCGCGUAUUUCACCUCACAUUUUCUCCAUUACAGGUUUGCACUUUCUGGGCAAAAUUCAUCCUCACUCUAUUUUUGUACCAACUUCAACUGACAAUUUCUUGAUGAUGGAGGCUGAACUAGUUCUUGUGAAAAAUAUGAAAGUUGUAGCCCUUUGAGUUAGCUUUCCAAUGCAUCAAUAAUCAUCCAAUUUUCAGCUUUGUGGACUCAGAAAUGGACAAAAUACCCUCAACUGGUCAAUCCCCUGUUUCAACUUUCGACAAUGAAAUUUUGCUUCUGUAUUUCAACUUUUUGACAAUGAAAACGACUAAACUGGACUUCAAUGUCUUCAUAACAAAUGUAGGUCUAUCUUGUAGUUUCAAAAUGAUUCAAUAAUCAUCUCAAUCCAAUGAUUAUAGCUCAGGAUAUUGCCAAAAUACGAACAAAUGUCAAUGCUGUCAAACUUGCAUUUCUUCCAUUGAACAUUUUACACUUCAUGUUUUCUUUAAAUCACUUCAAAUCAUCAAUAAUCAUCCAAAUAUCUUCUCAAUAAAAACAUGAAAUUUUCAACAUUUAAACAUGUAGAAAUGCAAUUUUCACAAUUUAAACCAUAAAAUUCACAUUGUCACUAUUCAUUAGCUAUAAAAAUGACUAAACCAUACCAAGACCAAUUAAUAAAACACACUUAAAACACACAAAAUAUGCACUCAUCAGCCUUCAUUUGCUUUUGAUCCACAUGCGGGGAGCCUUGGGUUGCAUAAAAUAUGACAAUCAAGGAUUUAAAAUGCGACAAAAAUGGAAAAAAGAAAGGGAAAAUGGCAAUCAUAAAUUAGUACUAUUCAACUAAUGCCAAAUAUAAAAUUCUCUUAUAACCCAAAAUGUUUUAAAGGGUGACUUAGUAAUCUUAUUAUUAUUUCAUUUAAAAAGUUUGACUAUCUUCCUUUGACUGUUAAAUUUGAUGGAAAAUUUAAUACUUUCACUUUCGCAAUUUCCAUAAGGAGGGAAAAUGUAGGUUUCUAAUCCACAGGGAGUUAAUGUAAACAUUUGCUUAAUCACAAGGAGCUAUUUUAUAUUUAACCCUUUUUUUAAUCUAAUUUGUUAAUUCUUACGACAUAAGGAUAGAAUUGACUUCAUGUAAAUUAAUAGUUGCAUGACAAAUUUGGAUGCUAUUAAUUCCACAGAAGAUGCUUGGCAAUUUCACUGCGGUCUUUCGUAAUCGAUCCAAAGGCUUCUUACACAUUUGACAAAUUAGAGGGGGCCAAACCUGACCACUGUUGAAGUAAAAAAAACACACGAACGAAAUCAACCACACGAGGGAGCCCCACAUUUGUGAGACUGUGCGUGAGUAUGGGCCUUUGGUUUAACAUCUUGACGUGUUUGCAUUGUUUUACCUUGCUUUGAGAGCUGCUUCCUCGUUUUCUUUGAUAUCACUUGGGUAAACUGCUCGUGAAUUAGAGUCUGGUCGUGAUAUUCGUCUUUAUCACGUUGUGAAUCAUCCUUUCCCUCUCCAUUUUGGUUAUCAUUUGUACCUGAAUGAAGAAAAGGUUUUAGAUGAACGAGAGGAAUCUUCCCAUGUAAUUUCUCCCAUUGAAACUCUUCGAACACAUCUUUAAACUGUGGCACAUUUUCAAACCGGGACUUUUCCGUUUCUGUUCUUGUAAUUGUACCCACAAGGGGUGUGGCUCCAACUAAUACCACAUUAUGUGGAUCAUGACUUUUGGCUACCUUCCCAAGUGCAUCGUUUCCCACCUUAGAUGUAAUUUGCUUACGUUCCAUCGCCUUCUCUGUCGAUGCAGCCACUGUGAAGGUUCCAUUAGCUGGUGAAUGGCCAUCCUCAGCCUCCGACUCAGUGAAUUCCCCCUCAUCAAGUUGGUUCGUAGCUUGGGGCUGUACCGACCGCAUCUCUUCUGUUUCCCGAACCACCUGAUCAGCCAACUUAUGAAUGAUUUCACCUGCGGUAGAAACAAUGGUCUCCUCUACUAACGCAGCGACAGCCAACCCAGGCUGCUGGGGUUGGGUCAAGACGACAGUCCCUGCCGAUGGAUGCUCAACCCGCAACUCGCCCUCUUCCAGCGCGCUUUCCAGAGCUUCCUCUAAGGCAUUGCCCCCAGGUCGCUGCACCUCCGGAGUCAGAGUAGGAGCCCCAGGCCUCUCCGUGGGAGUCACCGCAUCUCCCAAAGUUAUCUUGUCCAACUCCUCAUUGCCGUUUGUCUCCUCGAUAGCUGCUGUCGUACCCUCGCCAACCGCAUCUGGUUGCUGAAGGAGACGCUGUGGACCUGCUGUCACCGCCAUCCUUCCCAUUUCUGAAAUCACCCGUGGAACAUAUCUCCGCCGCUGCUGCUGGCCAUUAGCCACUGGCCGCAGAGAUGGGUCCUUCCGAAAGCACGAACCAACCCCGUGGCCAAACAUACUACAAUAGGAGCAGUACUCAGGCAAUCCCUCCAACUCCACCGGCUGCCAAAACCCAUAGUUAUCGUCACCUAUCCAGACCCGCUGCACUGGCGGCGCCGAGAUGCAGAGCUCCACCAGUACCCGCGCUACCGAGGGGCGCCUAAGGUCACUGGUAGCAGCGUCUACUCGCAACGGCCUCCCCAAUGUUGCAGCAAGCCGCAGCAGUUGUUGUUUUUGAAAAAAGGGUAGGGGCAACUCAGGAAAGGCCACCCACACCGGAGCAAUUGCCAACUCCUGAUUUGCUUUGAACUCCAAAGACCAUUUGGAUAUUGACAUCGGAGAACUGCGUACGUACCACACCCUCCUUGCGAAAAGCCUGGUGUAAUCUUCCUCCAACGCCGGCCGAAGCAGCACAUGUUUUUGAUCCAGCAAUCCCACCGCACACUCCCCUUUAAGGCCUAGAGAUGUGAUGAACUUUCUGAUGAGUUCCAUUGAAGGCCUGGUGAACGCAAACCUCCCAACAAGAGCAUUCUGGAAAGGUUCGGCAAGCUUGGCGAUGUCCUGUUUGGAGAGGCGGAGAGCAGGUUCUCCCCUGAAGGUGGAGACCUCCCCCAACGCACCUGAGGCUGCAACCGCAGCCCUACCUGAGACAACCGCCGCAAACGACCUGCCCUGCGGCGGCCCUCCCUCUGGAGACGACUCCGACGACCCGUUGGCCGCCAUGCACUAGUUAGGAUAAACCCUAGCUGCCUGCUGAGAUCCGAGAUUUCCGCUCAUUCUUGUUAAUUGCUCUUUUCACCCAUUGGCUAGAAGAUCCCCUUUUUGCUAGUUUAGUAACUUUUAUGGCCACUAAAGAAUUUUAAUUCUCAAAGGCUUCUUGAAAUAGUGGAAUGACCCAAGAGGGGAAAUGACAAUCAUAGUUGGUGACAUUGGCAACAUCAAUCAUGCCAUCUGUUAAUCCAGACAUAAAUUAUAAAAAAAUGAUUUGGUCUUACUAACUAUCCUCGAGAAUUAGACUGACAGCGUAAUUAUUAGGGCAAUUUACAUCUCUUAUGGUUUGCUGUUUUACCGCAUAACCAUUUUGUAGUUUAAAAACCUAUAAUUAGUUUUGACACUCUUCUAUUAGCCUCCUAUCCCAUUUAUAAUUAGUUUCCACACUCAAUAUGUCUUGGUUAUGUUUUAUGUACAAGAUUUAAGUGUUGAAAAAUUUGAAGAGUUUGUUUAACUAAAGUAUAAUAUGCUUAUCCCAGGGAAGUUACUUGUCUUUUCACUGGAAAAAAUUUCCCAGGUUCAUGCUCGGAUUCUUCUUCUUCUUCUUCUUCCUUCUUCUUCCUUCUUCUUCUUCUUUUUCUUUUAAUCGCUUGUUUGUGUUGUCAUCUCCAUUACUUAAAACAUAUAUUAUUUGUUUUGAAGGGACCAAAAUCCUGCCCUUGGUUUUGUGAAAAAGAGACCUCCUCCACAGUUUUCCGUGUGCAUUGGAUUUUGACUCUUGGCUAGCUUGUUCAAACUUCCAAGUUUCUUAAACACAAGUACCUCCAAGAAUAGAGAAAAUACCAAAUUGAGGGUCGACUUCUACUUUGUAUAUUAUCGGGCAAAUUACAUUUUAUCUCUCUGUGAUUUAGCAUUUUUUUACAUAACCGUCCUAUGAUUUCAAAAGCUAUACAUAACCCCCUCAUGGUUUGGAUUAAAGUGUCAAAGUGAAGGAAAUAGUCACUCGUAAUGGAACUUCUAAAAAUAUCGAAAUUACCCUUAUAAAUACAUGACACAUUAAUCCCGUAUGAUUUUUACAUUUUACCAUAUAACCCCCUUAUGGUUUAAUAUUUUAUCAUAUAACCCCCUUAUGAUUUUCAAAAUAUGCACAUAACGCCCCUUGGUUAAUAAAUAAUUUUUAACUUUACAUAAGGGUAUUUUUGACAUUUUAGGUGAUUGAACAGUACAUCUUCCUUGGCUACCUCAAAAAUAUCUUCAGGAUGACUAGAUUUCUUUUGUUUUGUGCAUAAUAUAUUAGAUAUCAAAGUGGUUAAAAGUCACAAUCGUGCAGUGUAAGAAGAGAAGCAUAUCUAAAAUUACCAGAAUUUUUGAACCAAAACAUGAAAGUGAUGACCAACAGCUGCGAAUACUCCUUGAUUGACCAUAGUCUUCGUGGCUAGAAAAACAAAACCAAGGAAAAGUGACUCAGAAAACCAUCAUAUAUGACUCUGAUAGAGCAGUUACUAAUCAAAUGGUUCAGAUAAGCAUGUAAGCUCAUUAUCAAGAGCUAAAAGUUCAGAGAAACCAUUCUUUCCCUUAGAAUCACAAGUUCAAAUAGAGUGAGCUGACUUUAGCAACAAUAACUUACAAUCCACAGAAGCAGACAUGUAAAAUCAACAAAACUAGACCGCUGGUUGUUUUAAACGUUGAUGCGCUAUUUGUAGGAAAUGCAGGCCAAAAGUUAUUGAGUUCCAGCCAUAUAGAUUGUGCUGAAGAAGCUUCAAAACUCUAACCUCUGUUUGUCUAAGCAAGAGACCACAAAAAUCAGCUUGGAAAGUAUUGAAGACAGGAGUGUGGUCAGAAUUGCUAAUUUAAAGACAGAGAGAAAAAAUUCCACGAAUUUUCUGCAUACGCUAUGGAAUAUAAAACGCAAUUGCAUUUUCCACAGGUGAAAGUUCAGAGAACUCAUUUCAUCCUGAUGCAAAUCACGAGUUUUAAGAGAGAGCUAAUCUUAGAAAUCAUAAUGUACAACAGGUUGGCUGACAUGCAUGAUAAACAAAGUAAAGUCAAAUCUUAAUUUCUUUUAUAUUGUUACUUCAUUAGUUGCUUUGUUUCACUUCUCUUUUAUGCAAAACUUGCUUUGGUUAUCCAAGAAAUCUUGUGCAUUUGGUUAUUAACUACGGAAACAAGAUAUUAACUCAAGCUUCCAAUGAAGACAUGUAACUGUCGCCUAUCGAUGGUAAUGUUUAUGAAGUACCUAUGACUUUCAAUCACGAUACCGAAACCUAAGAAAGACACCAAACAAAAUUGAAAAGAACUACUUCAUGCAAUUCUUCAUUUUUGGUUAAGCGACUACUAACAUAAGAUGUAGUACUCAACAUCAUAUAGACCAGGUAAUAUUGGAAUAACAACAAAUCUUUAAGUAACAGAAUCAUUCUAGACAUGCCAUUUUUAACUGGAGAAUGAGAACAUGAAAACUCAGAAAAUCAUGUUGCAUGUAAUGGUGCAAAGAUACAGCUUCAAGAAAGGUGGCAAGCUACUUGUGGAGGAUAAUAGGCAGUCACAAGGCAGACCAAUAUUUUUCUGCAACUAAGUUGCAGCUAACUUGAGAGACAAGCAGUCUGAGACAGAAAAACAAAUUGAGGUCCAUAACCAGUGAAUUACUACCUCAUGUCAUAAGCACAAAAGCUACAGCUGAUUUACAGUUUGAAUCACCACAUUCACAAUGUAGAUCUCAAGCUUUGGCAUUGUUUUCUAACAUAAACUGGUACACAGAGGUGAAAUCUGUCUGCUCAGUCUGCAGAUAAAAGCAGUGUCACGAGAACUAUCCUAGUUUGUGUCCGAAUGAUACGUUCCUCGAUCCACGGUCGAGACACGUAGCACGUUUGCCCAAGGAUCUAGCGGGGAUGUCCAACGCUUGGAUUGCGGAACCCUUACUCAAACGGACAACUCGAUUUGAUUGGAGGUGGUAGACGACACUCCAAUGAAGGUGAAUACUCCAGGGGAAUAGGUCGGACGAACAAUCAAGGACAGGACGCGAGAUUGCUCAAUAACCCUUGCCAAGCAAGUUGAAAGGCACGAAUUCUUUAUGAAAGAAAACGAAUGCACUAAUAAUUUUAAUUCAUCAAAAACUAGUUUUUAACCUUACAAGGCUAGCCUAUUUAUAGGCUUAAUGAAACAACUAAAAACCCUAAAGAAACCUAAAGGGGAGGUCGGCUACCUUGUCAUCAAGGUGGGCCGGCCUCAAGCCUUCUACGGACAAUUAGUCCAAACAAAAUGGAAACAACGACUAAGGCCCUACUCGGCCGAUUCGUAAGGAGGCCCACUAGAGUCUUCCUGGGCUUGGACCAAAGUGCAAGUUGCUUGAUUGAUCCUUUCCAAGCCUUCAAUAUCUCUAUAGCCUCCAUGUUGAUCGUGGACAACUUGAACAAGGGCUUGGAGGGAUUCCUUGAAUAGCUUGGCCCGUGCACGUGUGACUGGGCCUAAUGGGACUUGGACUGGGCCCUGGUUCAUGCACACAUCAGUCCCCUCCUCUUGUGAAGGAUUUGCCCUCAAACUGGAUCCUCCUCACCAAGAAACGGGCUCAAGUCUGCGACAUUGAAGGUCGCGCUAACAUUGUACUCCCCAGGUAGCUCCAAUUUGUAGGCGUUGUCAUUAACCCGGUGGAGCACACGAAAAGGUCCAUCCCCUCUGGGGGAUAAUUUGCUUUGUCGCUGCUUGGGGAACCUCUCUUUGCGUAAGUGUAACCAAACCCAAUCACCAGGCUCGAAGAUCAUUUUGCGGCGGUGCUUGUUAGCCUGCUGGGUGUAUUGCUGAGUACGCCUUUCAAUGUUUGCUCGAACAGCUUCAUGUAACCUGCGCACAAAAUCGGCCUUCUUUUUCCCAUCUAAGCUUGUGUGCUCAGAGGAAGGUAAGGGUACUAAAUCAAGAGGGGUUAGCGGGUUAAAACCAUAAACAAUCUCAAAAGAUGAGUAGUGUGUAGCACUAUGAACAACUCGAUUGUAGGCGAAUUCAACAUGAGGCAAACACUCUUCCCAAGUCUUAAGAUUCUUUUUAAUCAAUGCCCGAAGUAGUGUGCCAAGUGUGCGAUUGACAACUUCAGUUUGUCCAUCGCUUUGUGGAUGACUAGUGGUGGAAAAUAGUAACCGGGUGCCAAGUUUAGACCACAGAGUCUUCCAAAAAUAACUCAGAAAUUUCACAUCCCUAUCACUAACAAUGGUCCUAGGCAUACCAUGCAGACGGACAAUUUCUUUGAAGAAUAGAGUAGCAAUAUGAGAGGCAUCGUCAGUUUUGUGACAUGGAACAAAAUGAGCCAUCUUAGAAAACCUAUCAACCACCACAAAGAUGGAGUCAUUACCUCUUGGUGAUCUAGGCAAACCUAGAAUAAAGUCCAUAGACAAGUCAACCCAGGGAUGGUGAGGGAUAGGUAAUGGGGUAUACAAGCCAUAUGGAUUUGUUUUGGACUUUGCCUUGUGGCAAGUAGCACACCUACCAACCAUGCGGUCAACAUCCCUACGCAUAUGGGGCCAGUAAAAGUGCUCUUGCAACAUAGCCAGUGUCUUGGCAAUGCCGAAGUGGCCCAUGAGACCACCACAAUGUGCCUCUCGAAUCAAAAGAUCACGAAUGGAAGAGUUAGGCACACACAGUUUAUCUACAUGGAAUAGAAAUCCAUCAUGCAAAAAGUACUUUCCAUGCGGAUUCUUAACACACACGGCAUAGAUAUCACCAAAGUUAUGAUCAUUAGUGUAGAGGUCCUUUAUCAUUUCGAACCCAAGCAAUUUGGCAUCAAGAUAGGCAAGCAAGGAGUGUCUACGUGACAAGGCAUCAGCUACCACAUUUGUCUUGCCAGUUUUGUACUUAAUCACAUAAGAAAAGGUGUCAAUGAAGCUUACCCAUUUGGCAUGUCUCUUGCUUAAUUUAGGUUGCCCUUUGAGGUACUUCAAUGACUCGUGAUCAGUGUGUAUCACGAACUCUCGAGGGCGAAGAUAAUGUUGCCAGGUCUCCAAGGCCCUCACUAAGGCGUACAACUCCUUGUCGUACGUGGGGUAGUUCAAUGCAGCUCCUCCCAACUUUUCGCUAAAGAAGGCACACGGCCUCUUGUCUUGCAUUAGGACUGCGCCAAUACCUACACCAGAAGCAUCACAUUCAAUUUCAAAGGUAUUGUUAAAGUUUGGUAAUGCUAACACAGGGGCAUGCGUUAGUGUGUCCUUGAGGGCGAGAAAUGCUUGGUCUUGUGAUUCUCCCCAAAGGAACUUGUCAUGCUUCUUUGUCACGGCGGUCAACGGGGCGGCAAUAGUGCUAAAAUUCUUGACAAAUCGCCGGUAAAAGCCCGCCAAUCCAAGAAAGCUGCGCACGUCAGGGACGGAUGUGGGGGUUGGCCAUUGCUCGAUGGCGUCAAUCUUGGAUUUGUCCACCUUGAUGCCCUGUGAACUUACUACAUAGCCUAAAAACACAAGCUCGUUAGUACAAAAGGUGCACUUCUUGAGGUUGGCGUACAGACGCGCCUGUCGAAGUGUCUCAAGAACUAAUCUCACAUGCUCUAGAUGCUCAUGCUCACUACGGCUAUAGAUCAGGAUGUCAUCAAAGUAAACAAUGACAAACUUGCCAAUGAAAUGUCUCAACACAUGGUUCAUUAGUCGCAUGAAGGUGCUAGGGGCAUUAGUUAAGCCAAACGGCAUGACUAACCACUCAUAGAGACCAUGUUUGGUUUUGAAGGCCGUUUUCCACUCGUCGCCUUCUUUCAUCCGAAUCUGAUGAUAGCCACUCCUCAAGUCAAUUUUGGUGAAAAUAAUGGCACCAUCGAGUUCAUCAAGCAUAUCAUCAAGUCUAGGAAUGGGAUGACGAUAUUUGAUGGUGAUAGCGUUCACAGCCCGACAGUCAGUGCACAUACGCCAAGUACCGUCCUUUUUGGGCACAAGUAUCACUGGCACAGCACAAGGACUUAGACUUUCCUUUACCCAACCUUUACCUAAGAGGCCAUCAACUUGCCUUUGCAGCUCCUUGGUCUCUUCAGGACCCAUGCGGUAGGCAGGUUUGUUGGGUAGUGGUGCCCCAGGAAUGAGGUCGAUUUGGUGCUCAAUCCCUCGAAUAGGUGGUAAGCCAUCAGGGACUUCGUCGGGGAAAACAUCCUCAAAUUCCUGCAAAAGAACAACCAUACUCGCAGGCAAUGCCUUAUCGAGUUCAGCAACAUCUAAAAGCACAUGUUUGCAAAUCAUGAGAAGGACGGGCUGAUCAGAAUUGACAACUUUCCUAACGUCCUUGGCCUUAAUGAUCAUGUUUUGCUUCCUAGUGGUAGGUGGCGUAAGUGAUUUCUCACGCGUCACACUAGGUGUGCUUCCUUGAUCCUUGGUCAAUGACUCACUUGCAGGGGUGGAGCCGUUGCCAGGGUCGACCGCCUUUUGUCUCCUUCUUUGACGGUCUUGUUCACACUCUCUUUGUAGCUUAAGUUGGUCCUCAUAUACUUGUGCAGGUGUAAGUGGUGUGAGAACCUUGCGUUUGCCAUCAUGCAAGAGAGUGUACUUGUUGGCCCUUCCGUCGAACGUGACGUGUUUGUCAAAUUGCCAUGGUCGACCCAAGAUAACAUGGGUGGCAUGCAUAGGUACCACGUCACAAACAACUUCAUCGGUGUAAGUUCCAAUGGAAAAAGGGAUGCGUACCCGUUUGAAGACACGUACCUCUCCUUCCUCGCUUAACCAUUGGAGGCGAUAAGGGUGUGGAUGUCUAGUGGUUGGAAGUCCUAAGCUCUCAACCAUGAGUAAGCUUGCCACGUUUGUGCAACUCCCACCGUCGAUGAUGAGACUACACACCUUGUCACCUACUUUGCAACGAGUGUAAAACAGGUUUUCCCGUUGUAAUUGCUCAUCCUCCUUAACUCGGGCUGUUAGCACUCGUCGUGCCACCAAACACCCGACGUCCCCUUGUAUAGGCGAGCAAUCUUCCUCAGUAAAGUCGUCAUCCAGGCCGUCGCCUUUGGUCAACUCGGGUAGCUCCUCACAGUCGUCGUCAUCGGACACAAUCUCGCCAUUGUGAGUGAUUAGCAUGACCCGUUGGUUUGGACAUUGAGAUUGAAUAUGCCCAAACCCUUGGCACUUAAAACAUUUGAUGUCCCUGCUCCUUGCCUUAGGAGUCUCUUGUGGUGCCUUAGAAGUAGACCUGGAUACAUCGGGACCCUUGUUAGGUGUAGAAUAGGCAUUACGAUUAGAGGUGUUACCUUGGAUGCGGUUAGAAGAGGUUGGUAUCGCCGCGUUUCCAACUUCGUGGGUCGCCCUUCGUGGUUGGUUGCCCCUCCAUGAAGUGGUGUUAGAAGAUUGGAAAGGACGUGCUCCUCGUCUGAGCUUCUUUCCCCGCUCGGCCUUGAUAGCGAGUUCUAGAAGGUCGUGCAUGUCCAGGUAAUGUUGGAGCUCCAAGGCUUCUUGAAGGUCGGGAUUGAGACCUCGAAGAAACCUAGCCAUUGUGGCUUCAUUGUCCUCUUGAAUGUUGGCCCUCAUCAUGGCCAUCUCGAUCUCUUUGUAGUAGUCUUCCACACUCAUGUUGCCUUGAGCGAGGGUUUGAAGUUUAGAAUGGAGAUCGCGAUUGUAGUAGCUAGGAACGAAUCGUUUGCGCAUUAGUGCCUUGAGUUCGCGCCAAGUCCGGACACGUGGUUCGCCCAUCCUUCUCCUAUGGGUCCGUACUUGGUCCCACCAGACUAGUGCGUAGUCGGUGAACUCCACGGUGGCAACUUUAACCUUUUGUUCCUCGGUGUAAUCGUAGCAGUCGAAGACCAUCUCGAUACGGCCCUCCCACUCCAAGUAAGCCUCAGGGUCACUUUUGCCUUUGAAUGCGGGGACUUGAAUUUUAAGCCCCUUGAGUUCGUUCGUAGGCGUGUCCCGUCGCGGCCUCUCGGGUCGCUCGUCGUCGUCACUGGCGGAGUAGUCCUCACUGGGUGCUCCUUUGCGGUCACGACCACUCCGAUUGCGUGAUCCAGAACGGGAGCCUGGGGUGAGACUCUUGGUGAGCUCGUCAAACCGGUUGUGCAACUCUUCCAUUUGUUGCUCACUAAUGCGUUUGAGCUCAUGUCUCAUGGCGGUGAACAUCAGAGAAAGGUCUUUGGAAGGUGGUUGUUGAUCUUGCUCCAUGUGUCUCGUGAUGCCCCCCCCUGCAAAGGUUAGUAACAAGCAAAGAAAGUGCAAAUAUAAUCCUCACUUCACUCCCUAAGUGUAUCUCUCGCGCUCGUGUGUAGUGCUCAAGUCACUCUAUAAAACUUACCAGGUACCUUUACCUGUUGGUUUAGGUAGUUGAGUAAUGUUGCUCGAGCCCGAUUAGCGUCACCAACUUGUCCCCCACAAGAGUAAGCAAGAGAUUUGUUUUGAUGAAGGGAAGGACGGUUUUGGAAAGCUUAAAGGUGGUGGACAGAUUUGGAAAAUAUUACCAAUAAAGGAAACUCUAAGAAUGCCUAAGAUGUAGGAGUAGUUUCCUAAAGUGAAUGAGGAAAUGUAGGAGAAUAUCCCAAAAAUGGAGGAGAAAAAGUAGGAAGGUGUCCAAGUUUUAUCCAAGUGUUGUACUUAGUCUCCUAAACUAAGUUGGCAAACAAGUUGGAGUUGAAAACUUCCUUUGAAAACCUUGCUUAAGCAACUUCCUAAUUCUUCUCAAAACAGAUUCGGUUCCCUCUCUCUCCUCUUGACCGUAAUUUUCCAGAAAUCUUCCCUUUAUUCCCUUCCCAAAGUCGGCUAGAAGACCCUUAUAAACCCUCUCAAGCAGCCGCCCACUAUGCUCACAACAAAAACCAGAAUUGGGCCACCGAAAUUUCCAGAUUUCUUCCUUCUUGAACCCCUCCCAAGGUCGGUUAUUGUUCCCUAUUAACCUCCCCUCACAGCCGCACACUUCACCCAAGAAGUUCGGCUCUCUCUCUACUCUCAAGUCACAACCAGUUCGGCUCCUUCCUUCGUGCCAAGAGUAAGACAGUUUCGGUUGUUGUGCCAAGUCAAUGGCGUCUCAAGACAGCGUGAACCAAGUCUCUCAAGGUUCUUUCCCACGGGUUGCUCAAGAAACUCCCAAGGAUUUUAUUCCUAAACCAAGGAAACCCCGUAUGGAUGCAAGAACUUACAAGAAACUCUUUAUUCGAAGAGAAGUGCAAGUCUUCAAAACUCUUGAUGGUCAAGAACCUCAAGAAUCCCAAAAGGUAGUGCAAGUAAUCAAAGUUCAAGGUGUUCAAGAAUUUCAAGAAGAGGUUGGUCAAAACUUUUGAAUUUUUUUUUUCUUCUACUUGCUGUAAUUUUCUGGUUUGGGUACAAGAUGCAAUAAGACAGAUUUGGCAAUAAAAAGUGCGAUUUUCCUUCUUGGUUUUCUUGCUACCCGAUGGCUCUUCUUGUUUCUUUUUCGGUUCUUUUUUUUUUUUUUUAUACUUGGUAAUAGACUACACCUGGCCGAAAGGGUUUCAAACCAGAUUCUGAUCAAGUCCUAAUUUACUACAACCAACAGCCCCAAAACUCCAAGUUUUUUAUCAAGAACUUCCAAGAACUUCAAGAUUAAGUUCAAGAAAGUCAAGAAUCCUAAAACUCACGUAGAUUUCCUUCAAGAUUCACAACUCCAACAAGUUUGGUCCACAAAUCAGUUUAGGAAACUAACUAAACAACUUAGAUAAGCGACUAACACUUGGACAGAUUUGGCAAUCACAAAAACUCUAGCCGCACCAAAACCCUAGCCGCGGUUUUUUUCUUUCUUCUUUUUUUUUGUGUUUUUUUUUUUCAGUUUCGGCUAGGACCAAUUGCUGGGCAGAAUGGUUGUAAUACGAGGAUAAAAUCUGGGCAGAUUGGACUAGCAACAAAAACACACAACUGUCCAGAAAUUUACGCGACCAAGAACAAGAAUUAGCGAACAGAUUUUUUUUUUGACUCACAACGGACAGAAAUUUCUAUUUUGUUGGUUGUCUCCUUUUUUUUUUUUUUGAUGAAUGCGGACACCAAUGGACAGAAAGGAAAGACUCACGGCAAGGCACAAGACAAGACACGGACAGAAUGUUUUUUUUUUUGACAAGCGAUGCAAACAGAUUUUGUUUGUUUUUUUUUUGACUAGCAAAGCAGCAACGGACAGACUUGAAGACACAAACGAACGGGUAUGGAUACGAACUCAAUCAAUAAAACAACGACCAGAAUUUCUAGAUAACAAACGAAGGAAAACGGCACAACGAAGCAACAAAGCAAACGAACAGUUUUUUUUUUUUUUUUUUCAAAACACAAGGCAGCGGAAAUAAUGAAACUAAGACACAACUAUGGAUAUAACGGAAGAUACCUCCACCAAAGCUCUGAAGCCAACUGAUACGUUCUUCGAUCCACGGUCGAGACACGUAGCACGUUUGCCCAAGGAUCUAGCGGGGAUGUCCAACGCUUGGAUUGCGGAACCCUUACUCAAACGGACAACUCGAUUUGAUUGGAGGUGGUAGACGACACUCCAAUGAAGGUGAAUACUCCAGGGGAAUAGGUCGGACGAACAAUCAAGGACAGGACGCGAGAUUGCUCAAUAACCCUUGCCAAGCAAGUUGAAAGGCACGAAUUCUUUAUGAAAGAAAACGAAUGCACUAAUAAUUUUAAUUCAUCAAAAACUAGUUUUUAACCUUACAAGGCUAGCCUAUUUAUAGGCUUAAUGAAACAACUAAAAACCCUAAAGAAACCUAAAGGGGAGGUCGGCUACCUUGUCAUCAAGGUGGGCCGGCCUCAAGCCUUCUACGGACAAUUAGUCCAAACAAAAUGGAAACAACGACUAAGGCCCUACUCGGCCGAUUCGUAAGGAGGCCCACUGGAGUCUUCCUGGGCUUGGACCAAAGUGCAAGUUGCUUGAUUGAUCCUUUCCAAGCCUUCAAUAUCUCUAUAGCCUCCAUGUUGAUCGUGGACAACUUGAACAAGGGCUUGGAGGGAUUCCUUGAAUAGCUUGGCCCGUGCACGUGUGACUGGGCCUAAUGGGACUUGGACUGGGCCCUGGUUCAUGCACACAUCACCGAAACUCUGAAAGAUGACCAGUUGAGUAAUUUAGAAAAAGAGAUGCGGCAGCCAACAAGUAUGACAGGCAGAGAAAGCUAAAGAAUCUUCAUGAAGUGAAUUCCUAGAACAGCAACCAAUUAUUACCAUUUGAUGCUUCAAAGUUCAAAUCAUCACAGUUAGACUUAAACUUCAGUAAAGGAUAAUCUGCCAAGUCUUUGCAGCUUCAUUGCUAGAACAAUACUAUUUUCCCUUGCAACCUCAAAAAAUGACUUGAACAUGUCCUUUUUUUUUUGAAAGGGGGGAGGGGGCGAGGGGUUAGUUAACAAAUUGAGAAUCAAACUGCUUAAAACUCAAUAUUACAUAGUUGAAGAAGAAAGUUUAUCAUGGAUUAGGAGCAUUUCUUAAAAAAAAAAAAUUGGUAUUGUAGAUUACCAGUCCAUUUGGCAUGAUGAUAAGAAUAAGAUAAUAACAUUUUCUAGAGGUGAAAGUUCAGAGUAACCAUUUUUUCCUCAUAGAAUCUCAGGUUUAGGAAUCAAUGUACAGCUUGCAGUAGCAGACAUAUGUGAUGAGCAAAUAUAAACUGCUACUCUUUAUUGAAAGAUAGCGCAGGCAUAAAUCUGAGGGCAAAUGGUCUUUAACUAUCAUAUUAUGUUUGACUGUCCGCAACAAAUAAUUUGUUUGUAAAUAUCUGCAUUCUAUGAUUGAGGAAGGAAAGGAUAGAAGUGAAGUGGGACUAUUUGCCAGAAGCAAAAUACAAAAUGCUCAUCAAAUGGAUCCUUUACAUUUGGACAAGGCACCUAAACCACAAUUAUACCAAAAAGGAUAGAUUGGAUGAUGAGGUCAGUCUCUCAAGGAGUGCUAUGUGUGAGCCGUGAUGCGUAUUCUGUGUGUGUGAGUGUGCAGUUUGUGUGUCGAGAUGCUAUAGUAAGUGAUAGUGUUUACUUUGAUGACUGCAGUUGAACCUUUUCAGACCGCCUAAGACAAGAGAAGUUCAUCAAAGCAGACCUCUGCCUUCAACAAAGUGAAGUUGAGCAGUUACAUCAUUUCCAAGACUGGCAAUUUACUUCCAUGAUUAAAAUAGCUUACAAGAUAGUACAAUCAACAAUUGAGAUCUCUAAUUCCAAUCUAUUAUCAAUUUGAACGUGCACAGCAGAAUCCUCUCAAAUCCUUGCUAUUACAUGGCCAAACAACAUUCCUGGAAGCAGACCCUCGAAAACUUUCAAACUCUUGUUACUAAUCAUUUUAGUCACAAUACAUAUAUCACCUCACCUCAGGCAAUAAAUAAAAAUCUUCUUAAGAGUUUCACUGGAGUAUGUUCUCCUACAGAAAAAAAAAAGGAGAAAAAAUCCUAUAAGUUAAAUAGUUUGAAAUCUUUCUGUGUUAGAAAAUCCACAAAUUUCUGUGCUGGGACGUACUUUCAUUUGACACUUUAUUCCAUGAAUGCAAAACAAUAAGUAAAUAAACUUUUCACACUAAAUGGUGGCAUGUGUACCUGAGUUGGAUGAACUCAGAUUUAAAAAUCUGAAGAAAGCAUGCUGCCUGCAUUAUAAAUAAGAUAGAACAAAAAGUUCCAUUACGUUUUCGAGUUGGAAACCUUAUGGAAAGUAAGAGUUUCUUUUUGUCAGUUUUCUCCCUAAAAAUAAUGAGCAGGCAAUAAGACUUGAUACUAUGUACAAAUAUUUAUUUGGUUAAAAUAAAUGUGCUAACCUGAGUGUUAUUCUUGAAAGUUGGCAAAACCUCUGAUUGUUAACGUGUAACUCUAGUACGACCCAAUAAGAUGCCAAUAAUGAUCAUCAGAAGGUCAUGGUAAUGAUGGUUUCAUAAAAGACUUCAGAUAAGUUGGGGCAAGAAAUUUUUGGCCAGCAGCUCGUACAGGCCAGUUGCAGUCAUUGAGCAAUCAAAAUCCAGGCCUGCAACUUGUGCAAUUUAGUGUCAGUUAGUUUCAAAGACAAGAAGCCUGGAAAAAAUAAGCAAAUGCAUAGUAUUAUAGCAUGUCAGUUCGUACUACUGCACCUCAUGACUAAAAAGGCACAUUGAAAGUGUGCAAGCUCCCAAGAUCAGUACAUCAGGUUUUGGCCAUCUGAGGCACCAAAGUGAAAGAAAAGAGUGCCAACAUAAACAUUUCAGCCCAACUGAAACAGGAUCUGGUUCAACAUGAUUCUCAAAUAUGCAGGCUCUGUAAUUAGUAAUUACCAGCCAUUAUAGAUUUCCAGUUGAGCUUUGAACCUAAGGUCACGGGAAGACAGAAAAUUUGAACUCAGAUAGUAUGUAGUGCGAGAUAUUUCAAAUAGUUUAGUCAAUCCAAUGAAAAGCCAAAAGCUGUGUCUUGUUGGAUUUUAAGCUAAAUAAAUAAGCAGUCGCGUUUACAAGUUGCCCUACUCUUAGUCCAUUCUUGUUCCAAGCAAGAAGCAAAUCAUUAAAACUCAUAACCUGAAGAAACGGUGGGCAAUUUGUAGCACAAUCAUAGCAAAAAUAAUUUAAUAAGCCAUAUAAAUGGUGCUGAAGAAGAUUAAAUAUAACAAGAUUUACUUUAUUUCUGUAGGCACUAGACAAUCAAAAUCAACUUGGCAAGAACUGGAAAAGAAGCAAAAUCAAGAAUGGCUGGUAUGAACUGGAUGUCUUACUCUGUGACCAAAAAGAAAUGUGCUACUGCUGCAUGUGAUGGGAAUAUGAAAUAAAAAAUAGAUCUUCAAGAUGUUAAAUAUCAAAGCAACCAUUUUCCCCCUGUAGAAUCUCAAUUUUGAAGAGAUUAUUAUGAAGUUGUAGGUUGAUUUCCUUGACCACUUGUUUAUGCAUAUAUCUUUGGGGUGACCCAUGAAAAUCUUGUGCAUUUAGAUAUUAACUAAUUUAGAACAUGUAAUGCAGACAUUCAAUUUAUUGGGCCAUUACUUGCUGUAAAGCAUGGAAUUGGAACAGUUGCUUGUUUUCAUGCUAAUUGAUGGUUACAGAGUAUUAAGUUGUCAAAGGGAGAACUUAAAAAGCACCAAUGUUUUCAACUGGAUAAGAAAUGCUAAUACCGUAGCUUUGCUAGAUGAUGCUAGGACGAGAAAAAGGGAAAACAGAAAAUUGUGAAGAACAAUGACACAGAACUUUUUCUCUCUUUUCUAUUUUUCCCAGGAGAAGGUUAAUCAGAGGGAGUGGUGAAGAAAAGGCAUAUCUCAAAAUGACAAAGAGAUUGGUUAUAAGGCGCGGUAAGAGGCAUUCUUACAUGAUUGAGAUCAAGAAGCACUUGAGAUUGAGAUUGAGAUUGAGAUUUGAUUUGAUGAUGAACUAUUAACCAGAUAUGCAUAGGUUUUGAAUAUGUGAAACCUUGGACCACUUGGAGUUGGGGCCGCUGCUUUGAGGAGUGCACCUUUCCUUUAACUAGUAAUGGAGCAUGUGCUUUGCACGUGAACAUGAUGCUUUUAGAGUUUUUUUGCUUUAAAAUUUCUAGAAAAUUAAUUAUUUUGAAGGAAUAAAUGUAAUUGAGACAAACAAAUGUAAUAUUUAAUAUUUAUAUUAUUUGGAACUUAGUGUGCCCUAACCAAUACAAAUGUACAAGCAAUAAACCAUUCAUUGUUCCAAAAGCACUUUUAUUUUGUAACAAUAUCAAUAUUUUUUGUAUUUUGGUUAAAUAUAGAUGACCUAAAUGUUCAUUUUUAUGCCAUUUGUGUUUAAUUUUUUUUAAUAAUUUGUUGCUCCCCUUUAAAUCAGUCUAUGAAAUGUUUAUUAGUUUUAGUGAGACUUUCUAAUUAUUGCUACUUUUUUGCUAGCUGUGGAUUGUAAAAUGAUCAAUUGUACUAUUGUAAUUAUAAUAGUAUCUAAACAUAUUGAAAUUCCAUUGUUCGAAUUUAAAUAGCUUAACUUUGAAGAGAAAUGUUUUGAUUUAGUGAAACUUAUUUGCAUUUCUUAUUGAUGACAUGCUUUAUGAUUAUAGUGUUUAUAUGAUUAAAAAUUGUAAGACAUUAAAAUUAUUUAUUAUAUUAUAGUCAAACUGGACUUGGAUAUAUUUUUAUUCAUCUUUGAAGUACUCCUUGAAAUUGAUAUUUAUAAAAAAAGUUUUUUUGGCUUAAUUCACCAUAAUUCAAAGGGAUGUUUCACCUUUGUAAUUAUUAUUAUAAUUGGCGUUGAUGAAUAUAAUAUUCAUAAAUUAUAGUUUAAUACUGUUAGUUGUUACAGGAAUAUGACUGAUAAAAUUCAUUAAAUUUAAUCUUUAUUACAAUUUAAAUAAAUAAAUUCCCAACAUUAAACUCUUUGCCUACCUUGGUACUCCAUUUGCUACUAUAUAUUGGAUUAAUGUUUUUUAACUCAGUACCAAUAUACAUAUAUUAAAAAGGUGCUCUUAAAGCUUAAUUUACUUAUAUCCUAAAAAUGAAAAGGCUUGCAAUACUUUUUAGGAGACUCAUAGUACCAAUUUGUUAUGUUUUGUUCCAUAUUUGAAAUACUCUCUAAACUUGGAUUUUGUAAAUAAAUUUAUUCUUCUUUCUUUUGAUAAAUAAAAAAAAAGUAAGGAAUCUUUCAUUUUUGUAACUGCUUGCAUGUUUGAUAUUAUUUAUUAAUGAUGAAAUGCAACGCAAUUUGUUCAUUUAUUAGAGAGGAGUGUAAUUUUGGCAUCACAAAAACUAAUAUCAUUUUUCGCUUACACUAUUAACCACUAAGAUUCACCAUAUUUUAUUAUAAUUUAUAAAUAAAAUUUAUUCUUCAUUUUUUGAUUUAAUUCUCUAUAACUCAAGGGAAUGUUGUUCAUUCUUGUAAUUGUUAGCAUAACAGAUAUUAAUUAUUGAUGAAAUGCAAUGAAUUGGUUGUUUCUUUUUUGGUUUAAUUAACCAGAAUUAUCACAAUUCAAAAAAUGUUUCUUUGUAACGGUUAGCAUAAUUCUUAUUAAUUAUUAAGGAAAUGCAAUGUAAUUUGUCCACUUAUUGGUGUCAAGGGUAAUAUUGGUAUCACAAAAACUAAGACCAAUUUUUACUUACACUCACACUAAAGGUUCAUCAUGCUUUUUAUAUAGUAAUAACCAGAAUUAUCACAAUUCAAAAAAUAUUUCUUUGUAACGGUUAGCAUAAUUCUUAUUAAUUAUUAAGGAAAUGCAAUGUAAUUUGUCCACUUAUGGGUGUCAAGGGUAAUAUUGGUAUCACAAAAACUAAGACCAAUUUUUACUUACACUCACACUAAAGGUUCAUCAUGCUUUUUAUAUAGUAAUAAUAAUAAUAGAUAGAUAGAUAGAUAGAUAGAUAGAUAGAUAAUAGAUAGAGAAGAACCACAAACGUACAGACUUGUUAAUUUGGUGUGGCCAGAAUUGCGGGUCUAAGGAGUGGAAGAGGGUUCACAAAUUUACUGCACAUGAUAUGUAAACUAAUCUGAAAAGUGCAAUUUGAAUGAAUAGGUGCAAUCAUAACGUACGACAGAUUAGCUGAUAUACAUGACAAACAAAGUAAAGUCAAUUCUUAAUUUCUUCCACAUUGUUACCUUAUUAGUUGAAUUGCUUGACUUCUGUUUUAUGCCAAACUUGCAUUGAUAACCCAGAAAAUCUUGUGCAUUUGGUUAUUAACUGCUGAAACAAUAUAUUAACUAAAUCGUCCAAUGAAGACAUGGAACCGUUUCCUAUUGAUGGUAAUGUUAUUUAGGACAUAUGACUCUCAAUUAUGACACAAAAGCAUAAGAAAGACACCAAACAAAAUUGAAAAGAACAACAUCAUGCUUUUUUUUCAUUUUUUGUUUAAGAUUUAAGAGACUACUAACAUAAGUAAUAUUUACUCAACAUCAUAUAGACCGAGUAAUUUUGAGAUGGGUAUCAACUGUGGGAUUAGUGUAGCGGCUAGUGUCUGGUUCUCUUAAGGAAUAACUAUGAAUCAUAAAGUAACAGCAUCAUUCUAGACGUACUAUGUUUAACUGCAAAAAGAGAACAGGCAAACUCACAAAAUCAUGUUAUAUGUAAUGGACCUAAGUUACAACUUCAAGAAGGGUGGUGAUCAGCUUGUGGAGGCCAACUAACAGACGAUAAGUAGUCACAAGAUAGACUGACAAUUUUCUGCAACUAAUUGCGGCUAAUUUGAGAGGCAAGCAGUCUGAGACAGAAAAGCAAUUGAGGUUCAUAAUCAGUGAAUUGCUACCUCAAAUCAUGACCAACAGUUUGAAGGCACCACAUUCACAAUGUAGAUCUCAGACUUUGGCCAUCUCAGUCACUUAGAAGCAAAAGAGAGUGCAUUCUAUACAUAUGUCUUCAGUUUGAAAAUGAUGAAGAAGGAAUAACAGGAUAUUGACAGGUACGGAAGUAAUUAGGCCAUUGCAGAAAACUCAAACUCUGGACAGUGUAUAGAAGAUCAUAAAGCUAACAAGAAAUUUCAGAUAAUUGCAUGACAUUUCUGUUCAACAGAUCUUACAGAAAGCUUAAAAAAAGCUUUUAUCUUUGUUUUAAAACCUAAAUUUGGCAAGCAGAUAUGAAAUCUUUCUCCUCACACUAUAGAAACCAAGUAGCGUCUUGAAAAUUGUUCUAGUUCGUGUCCAAAACUCCAAAAAAAUGAAAAGAGAAGGGGCAGCUAGCAAGCAUGACAGGCAGAGACAGCUCAAGAAUCUUCAUGAAGGCAAAUUCCAAGAGUUGCGAAUUAUACUAUUUGAUGCACGAAAAUUUAAAUCAUCACAGUUAAAAUUAAGUUUUCAACAAAUGAUAAUCUGCCAAGUCUCUGGAGCUUCAUUGCAGGAGCAGCACUAUUUUCCUUGGCAAUCUCAAAAAAUGACUUGAAUAUGUCCUUUUUUUGUUGGUUUUAGUUAAAAAAUUGAGAAUCAAACUGCUUAAACUUCAAUAUUACAUAGUUGAAGAAAUGUUGAAUCAUAAGUUAGGAUAAUUUUAAGGGAAAAAAAGUGGUAUCAUGGAUUACCAGUCCCUUUGCCAACACCAAUUCAACAAUCAAGGGGCAGAGAGAAUUUGUCGAUUGACAAGUGUCCUCAUGUUGAGAGAUCAUAACUAGGGAAAGUUGAGUUGAAUCCCAUCUCUAAGAGAUGUUGUAGAGAAGAUCAAAUCUCAGAUGGUUUACAGCAAGAUGAUAAAAUGACAGGUGCAUUUUCAAGAGGUGAAAGUUCAGAGCAACCAUUUUGUCCCAUAGAAUCUCAACUUUCGGAAUCAAUGUACAAAUCACAGUGGCAGACAUAUGUGGUGAGCAGAUAAAACUGCUAUUUUUUAUUGAAAGAUAGCAAAGGCGGGAAACUCAGUGCAAAUAUUCUUAAGCUAUCAUAUUAUGCUUGGCUGUCCACACCAAAUAAUCUGUUCUUAAAUAUCUGCAAUCUAUAAUUGAGUUAGAAGUGAAAUGGACCAUGUGCUAGAACCAAAAUAUCAAAAUGCUCAUCAAAUAUACUCUUUACAUCUGGAAGUGGCUCUUAAAAAAGCCAAAAUUAUACCAAAAAGAAUUGAUUGGAAGAUGAACUGAGUUUCUCAGGGAGGAGCUAGAAGUGCCAACUGUGAGCCGUGAUCCGUAUUCUAUGAGGUAUGUGUCUGUGUAUUGAGUGUGUGCUGUGACAUUAUAGUAAGUGGUAGUGUUUUCUUUGCUAACAGCAGUUAAACAUUUCAGACUCUCUAAGACAAGGAAAUUUCAGCAAAGCAGACUUCUACCUUCAACAAACUAAAGUACAAUCAACACUUUAGAUCUCUAAUUGCGACCUGUGAUCAAAUUGAAGGUGCACAAUGGAAUCCUCUCAAAUUCCUGCUAUUGUAUUGCUAGACAACAUCCCUGGAAGCAGAUCCUCAUAAACUUUCAAAUUUUUGUAACUUAAAUCAUUUUAGUUACCAUCUCACAUAAGGUAAUAAAUAGAAAUCAUCAUACGAGUUUCAUUGGAGUACGUUCUCCUACAGAAACAAAAGAAGCUAUAAAUUAAAAAGUCUAAAAUCUUUGUCUGCGGUUGCUAGUUCACAAUUUUUUGUGCUUGGACAUACUUUCAUUUGAGGCUUUACUCCAUGAAUAUAAUGCAUUAUCUUUUCUUUUUUACAAGCAAAUUUAAAAGUAAAUAAAUUUUUCACAGUAAAUGGUGGUGUGUAUACUUGAGUUUGAUGAAAGCCGUAGAUUUAAAAUCUCAAGAAAGGUUGUUCCUGCAUUAUAAUUAUGAAAAAGGAAGUUCUAUUACAUUUUCUUGAGCUGGGAAUCUUACAAAAGUAAGUUUUUUUUUUUUUGUUGCUUUUACCCUAAAGAUGAUGAGCAGGUAAUAAGACUUGAUCCUAUAUACAUAUAAUUAUCCGGCUUAGAUAUGCUAACUUGCGGACAAUCCUUGAAAGUUAGCAAAAACUCUAAUGGUCAAUCUGGCUCUCUAGUAAUGAUCAUUGUCGCGCCCCACUUUUCGAAGAUGAUGAGUUGUGGUGUGUGUGUGGUGUGAGAUGUGAGUGGUGUAAUGGAAUGUGAACGUGUGUAAAUGAAAAGUAAAAGGCCAUGGGACUUGAUAAUGCGACGGUUUGGCCAUAUAAAGUUCAAAAAGGGUUUUUUGUAUCAAAAAUGGAGUCGCCACUUGGUAUAGGGUUAGGGUGUACCAAGUCACCCAAAAAAUGGUUUUUUGUUUUUGAAUAAAAAAAGUAAAUAAACCCUUUUAAAGAACUUUUGGGUCUACGUAACCAAAAAGAGGGAUCGGGGGUCACAUUUGACGAAGGGGAAGGCAAGGAUAAAAAAUCCAAGGCACCCCUUCGACCUAGCCAAGGCUAGUUGCGUGACUUAAACCAAUUUUUCCUAAUUUUUCUACCCAAGGUAUGUAUCGCGUGUUGGAUAUGUCUAUAUGAAUGCAAAACCCUAGACCUAGGGGUAUUGGGGGAAAUUUCUCUUCAAAGGUUGAGUGGUGCCAAUCACAUUAAUUGUGAAGCCCAAUAAUGAUCCUUUGGAGAGGUCACACGUAAUCCUAAAUGACGUAAAAAUGAAUGGGGUGCAUGUCAUGUGAAAAUGUAAGUUUAUGUGAAGUGAGAAAAGUGGAGGUGUGCAAAUGUAUUUACAAGGUAAGGUGAGUAAAGAAUGAUAAUGUGAAAAUAAUAUAAAGUGCAUGUGUGCGAGUGAUAUGGCAUAGAGUGUGAGUAGUUAAAUGAAAACGUGUAAAAGUAGUGUGAAGUGAGAAUGUGGAAAAAGGGUUAGAAUAUAAAGUAAGUGUAUGUGAUAGUGAAUGAAUAGAAUGCAUGAAUCCUAUAGGAAUGCAUCAAGACGGGAACGGGGAGUCCUAACUUUGUGACUUAAUCUUCCCUUUGAUUAGAAGGCGAAACUAGCGUGCUAAGGCUAUCGAGUAGCCACACUCGCUCGUUUCCCUUAUCAGAAGGGGACUCUUCAGGCAAAUGAACCCUAUAACUAGCAUGAAAUGCAAAAAUCCUAAAAUGAGGGGAAAGGGGAAUCGAGGAGCAUGCCAGAUGAUAAAACUAAGGAAAAAUGCAUGAUAUGUAGUGAACAGGCAAAUAAUGCAUUAAUGAAAAACAAAGGAAAAAUCCUAUUGGGUCUAGCGUUGGACUAGCCCUUUCCAUGAAUUCCUAAUGAAAUAAUGAACCACAACUAGCAUUGGACUAGUGUGGUGACGUACAUUCAUCCAUCACAUUUAUUCAGGCUAUGGAAAGCGAGUAGACAUGCCAAACACUUAUAAACACAUAGCACAUAACAUUUUGCAUGCUCGACUAGAUGCAAGGCCCUAGCAAAGCAAAUUAACACGUAGCAACUAAGCAUGCAAGGCACAUGAGACAAUUAAAGCCCUAACUAUUACAUUUGCUAGCUAGGCACAAGUCUUCGAUAGGUCUUCAUUGAAUGCUCCUCCAAGCCUUAUCUAUUACAUUAGGGGGACCCUACUACAAUCUAAAAGGGGGAAAGGGAAUAAAAUAAUUGAAUCCCUAACUAUUACAAGCCAAGAGGUGUACACAUACCCCAUAAAGAAUAAUUUAAAUAAAAAGCAAAAGUAAAUGAAAUAAAUGAAAUAAAUGAAAGGAGUUAAAGGAAUGGCAAGGAAAGCAACGUAGACAUGCAAUUCACACUUAGCACGUUGGAUCACAUAGGAGAAAUAAAAAUCAAGGAGAUAUAGGUUACCUCCCUUGUAAUUGGGCCCCACUGAAGUGAAAUCACUUAUUUAUCCUCCAAAAUAAAAGAAAUGGUCAAGGCACCAAUUUAUUUGGCAAAUAAUCACAAAGGAUAAAAAUAAACAUGAAUUUGAAUCAAUUAAAUCAUGUCAACAAACCACAUUUAAGAAGUCAAGAGAAGAGAGGACUUGAUUGCAAAGAUUGAAAAAAAUUUUGGGGCCAAAAUUAAAGAAAAAUAAAGUUCAAGGGCCUAUUUGCAAUUAAACCAGGGACUCAAUUGAAAGGAAUGGAAAUGUCUAGGGCCACAGUAAAAAUAUCCAAAAGUCAGGGGACUGGAAUGAAAUUUCGUCAUUGGGCUACUGGACUUAACAGGCCAUUGGGCCCUUCUCUCUAUUUGUUUGGGCCAAGACUCCUUAGCCUGCCACAAAGCCCAGAGGCUACAUCUGGGCUGGCCUCUACUUAUCAAUAAAACAAACCCAACAAAAGAGUGGGCUUUAGCCCCCCUUAAGCCCAAGCCAAAAAUCCAAACAAAAUAAACUAAACCCACUUUCAUAAAUCCAAACAAAUUAUUAUUACCCACAACCCAAAUCAUAAUAUCAAACCUAACAAGAUUAGCAAAUCAACUAAAAUUAUUAGGCCAUAAUUAUAAUCCAAAUCCCAGAAUUAAUCUAUCCAACAAAUCACAUAAAAUAUGCAAACAGAGGAAUAAGCUUAAAAGGGCAAAAUUAGUUUGAUUUUUCCAGAUUUUGGGCCGUAAUGAAAUGAGACAGAAAAUGAGGGAUUAAAUUGCAAUUUUAGACAUUUCUUCACUCAUGUUUCGCAGAGGCUUUCCUCUUCAUUGCUGAUACCAGUUAAGCAUUUCAGCUUUCCUUUCGAUUAGCAAAACCAGAAAUUUGGUUUCGAUUCCAAUCAUUCCAGCAAACAAUGAAACUCACAACAAUACUCCCUCUCAACAUCGAUUCGGAUUCAAGCAUAGAGAUAAAAAAACAGAAAAAAAAAACAACGAACCAACACAGCUUCUAUCAUGGAGAAUCGUUCAUUAUGUUCGGACAAGCAAAAACCAUCCGAAUGUUCCAUUUUCUUCGUACGUAAAGCAAACGAAAUCAUCUUCAAGUAGAAGGUUCAUUCGGGCAUUUUAGCAAACAGCAAAUGGGCAUGAAAAAACUCAACAGAUUUCUGCUUAAAUUACAUUACAACCGGCCCCAAAAUUAUCAGAAAAGCAAGGAAUUCAGUCCAACACACGCAGAAAACAUAUGCGAACAAAAUUACCGACCCUCAACAGAAAAAAAAAAUCAUGAUGACAGACCCACGGCAGCCAUGCUUCUGAAAUUCAUUCUUGAAGAAAAAAAAACUGAAAUGUAAAAGGGAAAGAAUAGCUUACAUCGUUUCUCACGGUGAAGAUUCACGAGCGGCAGCGGUGAAUUCCGCUGAUGCGGUGGCGAGCAAUGGUGAUUCCAGUGAACGGCAGCAGCUACAAGCUUUUCGAAUUUGCCCUUUAUUUUUGCUGAAGCUUUCUUCCUCUGCUUCCGUUCGCGGCCGGGGACUUUUCCUCUAUUCUUCAUGUCGCUCUGUUCUUUUUGGCCAAAACCUCCCCUAUUUUCCCUUUUGCUGUUUUUCGUUGAUUGUUUCUUCCAUUUAUGCUCAGCCCGCCGCCCGGUUCCUCUUUUUUCCUGCUUUCCUUUCUUUUGCUCUCGGACGAAAUUUUUCUGUUUUUGUUCUUUUGCCCCUGCUCGGCAAUUCCGCCGCCCCUGCCCUCUCAGCUCUCAAGCCUUUUUGCUUUUUGCUCUCCCUUUUAGCCGCCACCCUCCUCGGCCUUUUCUCCGUGUUUUUUCCCUUUUUUCCUCAGAUUCUUAGCCCCCAGCUUCCCCUUGUUUUGUCUAGCCUCUGUUUUUUCCCCUUGCCCGCUGCUUGGCCCCUCUAUUUUUAGCUCUUUUCUCUUCCCCCUGUUUUCAAGCCUCUUCGAGGGUUUUUUCUUCCUUUUUUUCCGAUGCCCCCCAAAAAACCCCCCAAGUGUCCUUGACAGCUACCCCCUAUACACUUGUCCUACCAUUCCUCAACCACUUGUCUAAUGCUUAUUUGCACACUUGUUCAACAUGCAAUUGACACACUUGUUUAACAUGCUUAAUUUUUAAAAAUUACCUUGCAAAAUGCCUUAGCAAGAAAAAAUCAAAUUUUAAAAAGAUAAAAUGGAUCUUUAUUCGGGAUUUUCCUAAAAUUUAGUGUAAAAUUGCUUUAAAAAGAAAAUGAUGAAUUUUAAUGCAUUUAAAAUAAGAAUGAACAUCAAUUACCAUUUGCAACCUCCAAUCAAUUAAAAAUAAUAAAUAUGAGACAAGAAUAAAUAAUAAUAAUAAAACUAAAAAUUGAAUCAAAGGAAGUCAAAAUUGAAUGAAUAAAGCUAAAACUGAAUCGAUGAAAUUUUUGGUGUCUACAGUUUGCCCCUCUUUGUCUGAGUUUUGAAAAAACUUGAGACAAAGAAGUAGACACCAAAUGCUUACCUGUACCAUUCGGUUGCCCCUAUUCGGAGGGCUGACCUAAACAAGGAAUUUCAAACAUGGGACUGGCCUGAACAGAAUUGUAAACGGGAUAGACCCGGACAGGAAUGUAAAUGCGAUAGACUCGGAUAAAAAUGUAGAUGGGACAGACCCAUGGGAUAGACCCGAACAGAAAAUUAAAUAGAGAACUGUAUAGGACUUGUUUGAAAAAUUAUCUAAAAAAUUUGCCCCAGUGUGAUGAAUUGGUCGGUGGGAUAACAUCUGAGACCGACGGGGUGUGGACGGUCAGCGGGAUAAAACCCGGUCCUGCAGAGGUGAGCGGUCAGCGGGAUUAGACCCGGUCCUGCCGAGGUGAGCGGUCAGCGGGAUUAGACCCGGUCCUGCCGAGGUGAGCGGUCAGCGGGAUUAGACCCGGUCCUGCCGAAGUAAGCGGUCAGCGGGAUUAGACCCGGUCCUGCCGAAGUAAGCGGUCAGCGGGAUUAGACCCGGUCCUGCCGAGAUAAGCGGUCAGCGGGAUUAGACCCGGUCCUGCCGAGAUUGGCGGGAUAAAACCCGGUCCCAAUGUGACUUUUGUAAUGUUGGUGGCACUAAAUCCAAGCCCAACGUGACAAAGCGAAGUUGGUGGCACGAAAACCAAGCCAGGCCCAACGUGAUAAAGUGAUGUUGGCGGCACCAAGUCCAGGCCCAACGUGAUAAAGUGAUGUUGGCGGCACCAAGUCCAGGCCCAACGUGAUAAAGUGAAGUUGGCGGCACCAAGUCCAGGCCCAACGUGAUAAAGUGAUGUUGGCGGCACCAAGUUCAGGCCCAACGUGAUAAAGUGAUGUUGGCGGCACGAAAUCCAGGCCCAACUUGAUCUUUGGAAUGUUGGCGGCACCAAGUCCAGGCCCAACUUGAUUUGGAAUGUCAAGAGAAGGGGGGAACAGAAUGAUGCGCGGCGUGCAUUGGAGCUUCGCCCACAAGAAAUCAAAUUUGAUUUUUCAAGAAACAAGAAUUUGAACUUGAUUUUUGACUUUUUGAUUUGAUUUUUGGUUUUUUCUCUUUUUUUCUUUUUUCCUUCUUUUUUCCCUUUUUUCAAAAAUUUUAAAAAAAUAAUUUGCCCCAAGUGUAGUGUCCAUUUUUCCUCCUUCUUCUUGCUUCUCUUUGCAGUAUCGGCCUUCCGCCUUACUGGAUGCCUUUCGUCAUUUUGAAUCAUGAAUACCUGUACAAGGGGUUCAUCAAAGUAUGACAUGCACUUAAAUUCCAGGAAAAGAGCAGCGGGAUUGUUUCGAAAAAUGUUAUUAUUUGAUUUUUGGACACAAAUCUCAAAUGUAUUACAAAAAAUUUGCCCCAGUAUGGGCUUAUUUCAUGAAAUCUCACAAAUAAAAUUUUUGCCCCAGUGUGGGCUCCCUUAAUUGCAAAAAUUUGUUCAGAUGAUUUCCCAUUGAUUUGAACAAAGAAAAACCGCACUUUCUAAAAUUUAGAAAAGAGUGCACAUAUACAACAAUGUGAAGAAACUUUAAACGUCAAGUUUGAAACUCAUGCAGAAAUUUCAUGAUGAAUUCCUCGAAGUAACACCAAAUUCAAGAAGAUUUCUUCCUCACUUUUAGCAUUGGUGUUUAGGGUAACGGGUCACCACUUCUGGUUGGCUCAUUUUUCAGGACCAAUCAAGUGACUUUAUUUUUGAUUUGGAAGUGGCUGAAGGAAAAUGAGAGGUCAGAAUCUGUCUCAUUUUUGUGCCCCAAUUGUAUGUAAUCCAUUCAAUGUCACAUCUUAGUGAAAGCAAAGAGUUUGUCACCCUUAUUUUUCAAGAAAACUUAGUCAACAUACCAGCUUUCUAGGCUUGUAACGUAUGGACAGAAGUGAUAGCUAAACAUGUGGAAACGGGUUAUACCCUUAUGAUCACAAAUGAUUUGAUGAAUUUCUUAUGAGCAUGAUCCUCACUUUGGAUUGUCAUGAAGGAAUAAGUCAACGAUGGACUUUCUUAGCUUGUAAUUUGGCUUGAAAAACGAUAGCUAAAGAAUAAAACUUUCAAGGACAUUGCACCGAAGAUCACAUUUUUCCAAAAUUGCCCCUAUUUUGAACUCAAAAGAUCUCAGACUUUGUUUGCAUUUUUCUCAUCAUUUACCAGGGACUUCAGCGUCGAAUUUUUCUGUAUUUUCUUGCAUUUACUUUUCUUGCUUCGCUUUUUGCCUCUUUUUCCUUUCCCUCAACUUGGUGGAUUUUCACCUGGUAAGUAGCGUCAACCCCAUACCCAGGCAAUUCAGAAAUACAGCUGAAAUUUUCCGGCAUCAGAAAUUUUCUUGCCAGGGCCAUUGCAAAGAACAGAAGUCAGGACUUUCGGCUUUUGUAAUGGGGUCAGGUGGGGUGCUUAGAAAAGUUAAGGCUUGAAAGCGGAUUUCAAAAGUGGUUUGAAAAAUCUGAGAUCGCAUUGUUGCUCCAGCCCCAUUUUUAGGGUUAAAUCAGAAUUUGCCAGAGCUUGUGUUCAAUUGGGGCUUUUUCUCUUUCAUUUUCUUUCUUCUUUUGAUUUUUCGGCAUUCUGCCAUCUUUGAACUUUCACAAAAUUUGCCCCAGUUUAUUUUUAAACUGAGGUUCUCUUUUCUUCUUUUGCUUUUUGAUUUUGUGACUUUACCUUUUCACUUCUUGAAAUUUUUUCCUUUCAACUCAAACUUGCCCCAGUGUGGGGUUUGCGAUUCUCAGGGGUUGCCAAACGAAGUAUUUCAUUCUGAAGGCUCAAAAGGGAUAACUAGGGAUAGAUGCUUGAUCGGAAAAGAAGAUGGCCUGACUUGUAUUCCGUUCCUUACAUUAACUCUGAAAAGAAAUUUUCAUUAAUGGGAAAUUUUUGGCAUGUAUCCGAAUUAACUGACUGAGGAAGACCCUUGCUCAUUCAUGUCUAUGAAACAUAAGUGAUCCACCGGAUAGAACUUGUUUUCUUCUUUUUCUUUUCUUUUUUUUUUUCAAAAUUGGAACCCAAGUGAAAUCAAAUUCCCCAAAUUUGCGGUUCCCUCCUUAUUCUAGCAUUUUUUGCUUUUCCCCUUUUCUUUUCCCUUUUUUCAAAAUUUCCCAAUCUCCUUCCCCAAUGUGGGGUGCGAUCAUAUGUGCACUCGAAAAGAACCACCAAUUUAGCUCAAACGAGGAUGCAAGGGAUGAUCAGUGUUUAGAUUGUAGAACUGACGGCCAAAGUAUCAUUCUUAUACCUCAUGACAACCGAAGUAGCGAAAUGGUCAUUGAAAACCCAUUCUUCUUUUGAUAUUUGAAAAUUUUUCAAUGACGGGUAGUGAUCAUUAAGACCCUUAUUUGAAACGAAAUUAUUCUUUUAGAAGCUCAAAUGGGAGAGCAAAUGAUAAAAAUCUGUACAGGUAAUGAAACGAAUGCUUGAAGUAUCAUUCCAAAUUUUCCAAACAAAUAAGAAUAAUGCACAUUUUUGCUUUCACUUAGAUGUGAUUGAACCAGAUUAGACGCCUUGAACAUUUUCAAGCAAAAGUUGCCCCAAUUUACAAUUUAUCAAUCAAUGUGACUGAUUUUAUUUUGGAAUUAAGUGAAGGAGAAAGGUAUCUCAUAGGGCCUUUUGAGUGACCGUUCACUCUCUUUCUUUCUGAGCACUCUUAUUGUACAGGUUGGAACACCAAUCGAGUGUAAGGAUUUUAGGAAGCAUACACUUGUGAAAUUCAGGCUAUAGGUUGAAAAAUCUCAAAUUGGGUCUUAUUUCUCAAAAAUCAUCAUGAAAUCUCCAAUGAGUAAGAAUAAAGAAUGAAAUGUACAUAAAUAUACACAAAACAAAAAUUAUCCAAAAAAUUUUAUUGUUGAAAAAGUUUGAAACAAAAUUGCUCAAUCAAAUAUGAUACAAAUGAGAAGAGAGAAACUCGUAAAGAGCUCAACACAUACACUUUUUGUCUCCUUUUCUUUUGGAACAAAAUGUAUUAACAAAUCAAAUAAAUAGAAUUUCCCCUUUAUGCUUUCGCGGCAAUGUCUACCUAAAAAUCAAGUAAUACUUGUAAUCUUCAAGCUUUAUUGGAUCAAAAUUAUCAGAUAUAGAAGAAUAUUCUCGCCUUAUUGAAACAUUUUUAUAAAUGCAGGGGGAGGGGAAAACAAAAAGAAAAAUACCCAGAGUCAGUAAGUAAGAAUAAAAAAAAUCGGUAUGCAUGUCCUAUGGGGGAACCCUUUUUAUGCCAAGGGUAAGCCUAGCAUGAAAAUGCAAUCCUCUAGGGAAGCACUAUACCAUACCUGACGGAUCUGAUCAACUCAUUGAGUGAAAAAUAAUUUGAAAAAUUUGGCCAUUGGAGUGGCAAGAGAUUUGUCAAAAUGAGGACAACGUCCGAAUAGAUUGAUCACCUUUGAUUUGCAAAACGCAUGGGUUUGACCUUGACGAACUCCUAUCGAAGAGAUUGGAAUUCGUUGAUAAAAUUUCUCAGUGAAUUACGGGUCAAAAACCCUAAUUGAUCAAGUGAUUGGAUGCAAUGGACGGUUUUCUUCAAAAUUGACUAGAUUUCCCAAUUUGGAAUUCGACAUUGAAAUCCUAAUUGGUCAAAUGAAAUUGACAAUUUAUUGAAAAUCGACCGGAUUACCCUAGAAGGGAAACAGGUCAAAAACGGCUCGGUUGCCCUAAAAAAAGGUAAAUUGGCCAAAUGAAUGAAAUUGAAUUAGUGACUUGUUCAAAAAUCGGCCGAACGACCCUAAAAAGGGUAAAUCGGUCAAAUGAAUUGAUGAUUUAUUCAAAAUCGACCGGAUGACCCUAAAAAGGGUAAAUUGGUCAAAUGAAUUGACGAUUUAUUCAAAAUCGACCAGGUGACCCUAAAAAGGGUAAAUUGAUCAAAUGAAUUGAUGAUUUAUUGAAAAUCGACCAGGUGACCCUAAAAAGGGUAAAUUGGUCAAAUGAAUUGACGAUUUAUUCAAAAUCGACCGGAUGACCCUAAAAAGGGUAAAUUGAUCAAAUGAAUUGAUGAUUUAUUGAAUGAAUGGGUAAAAUGGAUUGGUUGUGUCGCGCCCCACUUUUUGAAAAAUAAGUGUGAAUGUGUGAUGGUGUGUGAGUGUGUGUGAUAUACAUGUGAACGUGUGCGGAAUGAAAAGUAAAAGGCCAUGGGACUUAGAAUGCGACGAUUUGGCCAAGUGAAGUUCAAAAGGGUUUUGGUAUCAAAAAAUGGAGUCGCCACUUGGUAUAGAGUUAGGGUGUACCAAGUCACCCAAAAAUGAUUUUUGUUUUUGAAUAAAAAAAAGUAAAUAAACCCUUUUUGAGAACUUUUGGGUCUGCGUAACCAAAAGAGGGAUCGGGGGUCACAUUUGACGAAGGGGAAGGCAAGGAUAAAAAUCCAAGGCACCCCUUCGACCUAGCCAAGGCUAGUUGCGUGACUUAAACCAAUUUUCCUAAUUUUUCUACCCAAUGUAUGUUCGCACGUUGGAUAUGACUAUAUGAAUGCAAAACGGAAAGGAAAAUGCAAUCCUAAAUUCUACGAUGUCUUUCGUGAGGCUUUUGGUCCCAAACCACAUGAAUUGUGGCGGCCAACAAAGGAAAACCCCCAUAGAGGUCGAUUAAUGCAAAUGAGACUCAAAUGUGCAAGUGUGGAAGUGUAUGAAAGAAAUUAAAAAUCCAAGUGUUUGUGUGCAAGUGUAUGAAAAGGUGCACGUGUGCAAUUGUAUGAAAAUUCCAAGUGUUUGUGUGCAAGUGUAUGAAAAGGUGCACGUGUGCAAUUGUAUGAAAAUUCCAAGUGUUUGUGUGCAAGUGUAUGAAAUAUAGUGAUAAGUGCAUAUAGGUGUAAUUAAAUGCAAUUUUGUGAAGUAGAAAUCAAAAUGAACAACAAGGAAAGGAAAAUGUGAAUUGAAAAGAAUGAGUGAGUGAUAAAUGAGAAUGAAUGAACCUAAGGGAAUGCAUCAGGUCGGGUAUGGGAAUGACUCCUAACUUGUCGACUUCGAUUUUCCCUUUGAUUAGAAGGUAAAACUAGCGUGCUAAGGCUAUCGAGUAGCCACACUCGCUCGUUUCCCUUAUCAGAAGGGGACCUUCAAGCAAAUGGACCCUACAACUAUCAUGAUAUGCAAAAAUCCUAAAAUGAAGGGAAAGGGGGUUCGAGGAGCAUGCCAAGUGAUAAAACUAAGAAAAAUGCAUGAUAUGUGGUGAACAAGCAAAUGAUAUGCUAAUGAGGGGAAAUCCCUAAGGGUCUAGCGUUGGACUAGCCCAUUCUAUGAAUUCCGACUAGCGUUGGACUAGCCCAUUCUAUGAAUUCCGACUAGCGUUGGACUAGCGGAAACGUACAUUCAUCCAUUCCAUUCAUUCAUGGCUAUGAAAGCAAGUAGACAUGCCAAAAUACUCGUAAACACAUAGCACAUAGCAUUUAGCAUGCUCGACUAGAUGCAAGAGCCUAAUAAAGCAAUUAAACAUGUAGCAACAAAAACAAGCAAGCAAGGGGAAGGGGAAGUGGACCAGAUGCUCUCCGAGCCCUAUCUAUUACAAGCCAAGAGGUGUACACAUACCCCAUAAAAGCAUAAAGGGGAAGGGGAAGUGGACCAGAUGCUCUCCGAGCACUAUCUAUUACAAGCCAAGAGGUGUACACAUACCCCAUAAAACUUAAAUAAAAGUAAGGCAAGUAAAUGCACGCAAGGAGGUAAGGAAAGCGAAGUAGACAGGCAUAUUCACAUAACACAUAAGGUCACAUAGGAUCAAAUGAAGUGCAAAUGAGGGAUAGAGUGUACCUCCCUUGGAAUGGAGUCCAAAUGAAGUGAAAUUAUUCAAUUACCCUCCAAAAUAAUAAAAAGGUCAUGGCACCACUUUAUUUAAGAAAAAUUAAAAGAAAUGGGCAAAACAAGGCUCACCUAGUCAUAAAGUCCCUAAAGUCAUAACUUAAGUGCAAUUUAAGCAAAGCAAGGUGGCUAAUUGGAAUCGAACAAACAAUGAAAUUGCAAAAGUUAAAACUACCAAGGACCAAGUUGAAGACAUUAUUCAAUUAGUUGGGUCAAAGUAGCAUUAGUUAGAAGCCAAGGGGUCAAAAUGCAAUUUUAGAAAAUUAUUUCAUGCAAUCUUCAUGCAAAGAACGUAGCUUAUAUUCUGCAACAAAGUUUCAGCCAUUUCUAAAGCCUUUUGCACUAUUCUAGCCGUAGCUUGCGUUUCAAUUCAUUGUCUUAAAUGAAACAAAAAUGUAAUCUUCAUCCGAACACAGCCCAACAUCCCAAUCCAACAUCAAACCGCAAUUUCUAGCAAGAAAACAAAGCUAAACAUUUGAAUAUACAAACAGCAAGAGAAAUUCUGCAUUUUUCGACAUAUGAUUUCAGCAAUGAGACUUGCUGCAUUUUCUUUCAACCUCUGAUUUCUAAUCCCAGCUUUGAUUAGAUAUUUUCAACCCAACAUCACCACUUUAGAUUAAGCAAGCAAAAAACUACACAGCCUCCACGAUUCAAACAAGCAAACUCUUAGAAAAAGCAACAUCAUGCGAAAUUCUGGACAGCAUGCUUGAAAAACAAAAGUUUCUGCAAUAAAAAAAAAAACAAAGCUUGCGGCCCUUUGCCAAGCUCAACGCAAUUUUCCAGGUUCACAGCUUCAAACUAGGCAAUAUACUACAUCAUUAACAUCAUCCUAGCAAACAGAAAUCUUAGCAACAUCCCACGCAAAAAAAAUCCAGGCAAUUAUGCAAGCAUUUGAUGAACUAAACUAAUGCAACCUUUCUAGUUUUACCCUCCAAAACCAGAUUUCAUAGCCAAGCAUAUGCACUUUUGGACCAUAAAAUCCUUAUGUUUAAGCACAAUAAAUUGAACAAAAACUGUAUAAGUAUCGAAGAACAACAUUCUGUAAUUUGGAAGCAGAAAAAUUCAUGUCAAACUUCGAACCAAAACCAGCAGACCCAUCACUCGAAACCUUUAACAAGCUGAACAUUUUGAUGAACGCAAACCAGUUGCAAAACCAAACCAUUAAAAACCAAACGAGGAACCCAACGAAUAGCACAGAAACAACAACCAGAUUUCUGGAUUUUAUCUUUAAGAAAUUAUCCUAACAAAAGGAUCGGCAAAUUAAGCUAACAUGGAGGAACCAGAAAUGAAUUCCGAUUUGAAAGCGUAGACAGCAACAAUAAACAGAAAGAAAAAUCAAAAUGACGAUUCAACAAAGAACAAAAAGGAAAGGGACUAAGACACCAAUCUAGGAGAGUACUUGCCCAAACGUUUUUGGAUCAAAAUCUGGACAGGAAACGUCAUGAAAGAGCGGCCGAAGCUGUCCCGUUCGGCUCCGAAACCGCACCAGCAAAAUUAAGCAGCGAUCUUUGGGGGCGAAUUCAAAGGAUCAUUCGAUGUUUUCUGCCAACAAAUUCUGAACGAAACCUCCUCCCCUUACUUCCUAGUUAGUGCAGAAACUGAGAGUUACUUAAAAGAACCAGAGAUCAAAGAGAAAUCUGAUCCGGAACAUGGCUCAUAGCCGGCCUUUGGUCAGAAAAAUUGCAGCUUUAUCACUUCUGUUCCAAUUUUGUUCGUAGCCUUCUUCUCCUCCGUCCAUUGCUCAUUUCCUCCUUGCUUAUCACGGUUCCUUCCCCAAGCUCUUCCUCUCUCUGCUUUCCUUCUUCCUUCUUCCAGAACCCACGCCGUCAAUCUCUUUCUUUCUACAUCUAUUUGCUUCAGCCGCCACCUUGCCCUUUCUUUUCUUUUUCCUCUCAAAGCUCCUCCUCUCCGUUUUUCUGGUUUCUUUCCUUAGCCCACCGAAGCCUCAGCUCUCCCAUUGCUCUCCCCUCUGUCCAGUUUUGCUCCCGUUUUUUCUUUCCGCUCCCGUUAGCUGCAAAACUCUCCCCACGAUGAAGCUCUCCUUGCGGCUGAUGUCUUCUUUCCUUUUUGUACCAUCUCCCAAUCCCCUAAACCUGCUCUCAAUGGCCAGCAAUCAACCUCCUCUCAGCCCCUUAUCUUAGCCAUCCGAUGGGCAUUGAGGUUGUGCCUCGCACGCUGCAAAAAAAAAAAAAUGCAGCGUGCACGCUGCGGUAAUCUCUUUUUUUUUUUUUUUAUAAAAAGAAUGCAUAUAAAUGAUAAUAAUAAUAAUAACAAAAUGACAGAACCAUGCAAUAAUAAUAAGAACGAAAACAAAUAAAUAAAUAAUAAAAAAAACAAACUAAAUAAAAACGACAAAAUGUCCAUUUUUCAAAUUUUCUACAUUUUCUUUCUUUUCAUUUUCAUUCAUUUUCUUUUUCUCAAAAUAACUUAAUAAAAAUAACUAAAGUGCCCAAAGAUUGAAUAAACAUAUUUUGUGAACAAAUUUUCCCUUUUUUUCUUUUUUUCAUUUCAAGAAUUUCUAUGCUAAAAACUUAAAAAUAAAAAUAAAACUAUAAACUAAAAACUAAAAAUCGAAUAAAACUAGCAUGACAAAUAAAAACUAAAAAUAAACAGUAAAUGAAAUUACACCAAAAAUUUGGUGUCUACAGGUUGAAUUGUCCGGCCAUUGGUGAUUUCAAAAUGAUUGAGAUGCAUUAGUCUAUGAGCUUCUAAAAAUCAAAUUUUGGCCUCAAUUUAUUUAUCGUCUCAAUAGAAGGAAUCAUUUGUGAAUUUCUUCAAAUUACUGUCCUUCACGCAAGGAAUUUUUACCAAUUUUUGAUAAAAUGGCCAAAAAGUGAUUAUUAGAUGCUCAUAUUCCAAAGAUCACUCUAUGAAAAUGAUCGGAUCCUACCUUACCUUGUGCACUACCCCCUUUGGAUGGUACAAAAUGUAAACGUGCAAGUCUCACUGGAUUAAGUAUCCGAGACACAAGGUGGCUUAUUCCUGACACGGGAUCCCCUAAAUGGCAUUCCCUUUCUAGGGUUUAUGCAUGAUGUCAUUUAUUAAAGCGAUGUAAAUAUGUGACAAAUAUGACCUAAGGGACAUAAAUAAUGCAUCGGGGGAAAAAAGGUCUAAAAUGAAAUGUAUUUAUUAAGUAUAAUGACUGAAAUUUAAACAUGUGAGUUAUCUAGUGGAUAGGUCACUAAAAGAGUGCCAAAAGGGCCUCUUAUUGCUAGGGCAUAUGAAUGCAAGCCAAGAAAACAAAAGAAUGGUUAGUGCAAUUGGUAAUACACAUAACAUAUUGGGAGCAAUUAAGAAAAAGAAAUACAAUAAAGCAAGUAAGAGGGGUGGAACCCCUUCCCUCGUGCCUAAUGUGUUUAAAAUAGGGUGAGGCUGACUCUAACCUAGGAAAAUUCUAACAUGGAUGCAUGAGGCUGGGGUUCACUAAUGCAUCUAGACUCGAUAAGGUUUCGGCUCCCAAGCCUUCAGACCUAAAGGCGAAGGGUCAUCACUCCCAGGGCCUUUGAUCGGUGGCUCGAGUGAUCCCUUAGGUAGCGCUAUGGGCGCAGAGCACACCAGCCGCCUACCCAAGGCGCCUACCCAAGGCAAUCGAUCCUAAUCCUACAAGGCGGUGUGGGAAACGCCCACGAAAAAUAAAAUAAAAUGGGAUAAAAGCAAGUAAACGUGCACGUAUGAAGUGUUUUCCUAUUUUGAGGGAAGGGGUUGAGAACCACGAGAGGCUCUAAAGGUGACACACCCCCUCCCAAAUGCAAUGCAAGCGCGAGAUAAACAAGUAAACAUACAUCCAAUCAACCAAUCACACGUACGUGAGUGAGGGAAUAGUUUGAUACGCGCGUGAGGAAAAGGGUCCUAAAAAGGGAAAAUGCAACCCUAAUAUCCACAUGCUAUACAUAAAAAAGGUAGAAAAAAGGAAAAGAACGGCUAAAUCAAAUGCUCGGACCCACUUAGGAAGUCCCCAGUGGAGUCGCCAACUGUCGCGCCCCACUUUUCGAAGAUGAUGAGUUGUGGUGUGUGUGUGGUGUGAGAUGUGAGUGGUGUAAUGGAAUGUGAACGUGUGUAAAUGAAAAGUAAAAGGCCAUGGGACUUGAUAAUGCGACGGUUUGGCCAUAUAAAGUUCAAAAAGGGUUUUUUGUAUCAAAAAUGGAGUCGCCACUUGGUAUAGGGUUAGGGUGUACCAAGUCACCCAAAAAAUGGUUUUUUGUUUUUGAAUAAAAAAAGUAAAUAAACCCUUUUAAAGAACUUUUGGGUCUACGUAACCAAAAAGAGGGAUCGGGGGUCACAUUUGACGAAGGGGAAGGCAAGGAUAAAAAAUCCAAGGCACCCCUUCGACCUAGCCAAGGCUAGUUGCGUGACUUAAACCAAUUUUUCCUAAUUUUUCUACCCAAGGUAUGUAUCGCGUGUUGGAUAUGUCUAUAUGAAUGCAAAACCCUAGACCUAGGGGUAUUGGGGGAAAUUUCUCUUCAAAGGUUGAGUGGUGCCAAUCACAUUAAUUGUGAAGCCCAAUAAUGAUCCUUUGGAGAGGUCACACGUAAUCCUAAAUGACGUAAAAAUGAAUGGGGUGCAUGUCAUGUGAAAAUGUAAGUUUAUGUGAAGUGAGAAAAGUGGAGGUGUGCAAAUGUAUUUACAAGGUAAGGUGAGUAAAGAAUGAUAAUGUGAAAAUAAUAUAAAGUGCAUGUGUGCGAGUGAUAUGGCAUAGAGUGUGAGUAGUUAAAUGAAAACGUGUAAAAGUAGUGUGAAGUGAGAAUGUGGAAAAAGGGUUAGAAUAUAAAGUAAGUGUAUGUGAUAGUGAAUGAAUAGAAUGCAUGAAUCCUAUAGGAAUGCAUCAAGACGGGAACGGGGAGUCCUAACUUUGUGACUUAAUCUUCCCUUUGAUUAGAAGGCGAAACUAGCGUGCUAAGGCUAUCGAGUAGCCACACUCGCUCGUUUCCCUUAUCAGAAGGGGACUCUUCAGGCAAAUGAACCCUAUAACUAGCAUGAAAUGCAAAAAUCCUAAAAUGAGGGGAAAGGGGAAUCGAGGAGCAUGCCAGAUGAUAAAACUAAGGAAAAAUGCAUGAUAUGUAGUGAACAGGCAAAUAAUGCAUUAAUGAAAAACAAAGGAAAAAUCCUAUUGGGUCUAGCGUUGGACUAGCCCUUUCCAUGAAUUCCUAAUGAAAUAAUGAACCACAACUAGCAUUGGACUAGUGUGGUGACGUACAUUCAUCCAUCACAUUUAUUCAGGCUAUGGAAAGCGAGUAGACAUGCCAAACACUUAUAAACACAUAGCACAUAACAUUUUGCAUGCUCGACUAGAUGCAAGGCCCUAGCAAAGCAAAUUAACACGUAGCAACUAAGCAUGCAAGGCACAUGAGACAAUUAAAGCCCUAACUAUUACAUUUGCUAGCUAGGCACAAGUCUUCGAUAGGUCUUCAUUGAAUGCUCCUCCAAGCCUUAUCUAUUACAUUAGGGGGACCCUACUACAAUCUAAAAGGGGGAAAGGGAAUAAAAUAAUUGAAUCCCUAACUAUUACAAGCCAAGAGGUGUACACAUACCCCAUAAAGAAUAAUUUAAAUAAAAAGCAAAAGUAAAUGAAAUAAAUGAAAUAAAUGAAAGGAGUUAAAGGAAUGGCAAGGAAAGCAACGUAGACAUGCAAUUCACACUUAGCACGUUGGAUCACAUAGGAGAAAUAAAAAUCAAGGAGAUAUAGGUUACCUCCCUUGUAAUUGGGCCCCACUGAAGUGAAAUCACUUAUUUAUCCUCCAAAAUAAAAGAAAUGGUCAAGACACCAAUUUAUUUGGCAAAUAAUCACAAAGGAUAAAAAUAAACAUGAAUUUGAAUCAAUUAAAUCAUGUCAACAAACCACAUUUAAGAAGUCAAGAGAAGAGAGGACUUGAUUGCAAAGAUUGAAAAAAAUUUUGGGGCCAAAAUUAAAGAAAAAUAAAGUUCAAGGGCCUAUUUGCAAUUAAACCAGGGACUCAAUUGAAAGGAAUGGAAAUGUCUAGGGCCACAGUAAAAAUAUCCAAAAGUCAGGGGACUGGAAUGAAAUUUCGUCAUUGGGCUACUGGACUUAACAGGCCAUUGGGCCCUUCUCUCUAUUUGUUUGGGCCAAGACUCCUUAGCCUGCCACAAAGCCCAGAGGCUACAUCUGGGCUGGCCUCUACUUAUCAAUAAAACAAACCCAACAAAAGAGUGGGCUUUAGCCCCCCUUAAGCCCAAGCCAAAAAUCCAAACAAAAUAAACUAAACCCACUUUCAUAAAUCCAAACAAAUUAUUAUUACCCACAACCCAAAUCAUAAUAUCAAACCUAACAAGAUUAGCAAAUCAACUAAAAUUAUUAGGCCAUAAUUAUAAUCCAAAUCCCAGAAUUAAUCUAUCCAACAAAUCACAUAAAAUAUGCAAACAGAGGAAUAAGCUUAAAAGGGCAAAAUUAGUUUGAUUUUUCCAGAUUUUGGGCCGUAAUGAAAUGAGACAGAAAAUGAGGGAUUAAAUUGCAAUUUUAGACAUUUCUUCACUCAUGUUUCGCAGAGGCUUUCCUCUUCAUUGCUGAUACCAGUUAAGCAUUUCAGCUUUCCUUUCGAUUAGCAAAACCAGAAAUUUGGUUUCGAUUCCAAUCAUUCCAGCAAACAAUGAAACUCACAACAAUACUCCCUCUCAACAUCGAUUCGGAUUCAAGCAUAGAGAUAAAAAAACAGAAAAAAAAAACAACGAACCAACACAGCUUCUAUCAUGGAGAAUCGUUCAUUAUGUUCGGACAAGCAAAAACCAUCCGAAUGUUCCAUUUUCUUCGUACGUAAAGCAAACGAAAUCAUCUUCAAGUAGAAGGUUCAUUCGGGCAUUUUAGCAAACAGCAAAUGGGCAUGAAAAAACUCAACAGAUUUCUGCUUAAAUUACAUUACAACCGGCCCCAAAAUUAUCAGAAAAGCAAGGAAUUCAGUCCAACACAUGCAGAAAACAUAUGCGAACAAAAUUACCGACCCUCAACAGAAAAAAAAAAUCAUGAUGACAGACCCACGGCAGCCAUGCUUCUGAAAUUCAUUCUUGAAGAAAAAAAAAACUGAAAUGUAAAAGGGAAAGAAUAGCUUACAUCGUUUCUCACGGUAAAGAUUCACGAGCGGCAGCGGUGAAUUCCGCUGAUGCGGUGGCGAGCAAUGGUGAUUCCAGUGAACGGCAGCAGCUACAAGCUUUUCGAAUUUGCCCUUUAUUUUUGCUGAAGCUUUCUUCCUCUGCUUCCGUUCGCGGCCGGGGACUUUUCCUCUAUUCUUCAUGUCGCUCUGUUCUUUUUGGCCAAAACCUCCCCUAUUUUCCCUUUUGCUGUUUUUCGUUGAUUGUUUCUUCCAUUUAUGCUCAGCCCGCCGCCCGGUUCCUCUUUUUUCCUGCUUUCCUUUCUUUUGCUCUCGGACGAAAUUUUUCUGUUUUUGUUCUUUUGCCCCUGCUCGGCAAUUCCGCCGCCCCUGCCCUCUCAGCUCUCAAGCCUUUUUGCUUUUUGCUCUCCCUUUUAGCCGCCACCCUCCUCGGCCUUUUCUCCGUGUUUUUUCCCUUUUUUCCUCAGAUUCUUAGCCCCCAGCUUCCCCUUGUUUUGUCUAGCCUCUGUUUUUUCCCCUUGCCCGCUGCUUGGCCCCUCUAUUUUUAGCUCUUUUCUCUUCCCCCUGUUUUCAAGCCUCUUCGAGGGUUUUUUCUUCCUUUUUUUCCGAUGCCCCCCAAAAAACCCCCCAAGUGUCCUUGACAGCUACCCCCUAUACACUUGUCCUACCAUUCCUCAACCACUUGUCUAAUGCUUAUUUGCACACUUGUUCAACAUGCAAUUGACACACUUGUUUAACAUGCUUAAUUUUUAAAAAUUACCUUGCAAAAUGCCUUAGCAAGAAAAAAUCAAAUUUUAAAAAGAUAAAAUGGAUCUUUAUUCGGGAUUUUCCUAAAAUUUAGUGUAAAAUUGCUUUAAAAAGAAAAUGAUGAAUUUUAAUGCAUUUAAAAUAAGAAUGAACAUCAAUUACCAUUUGCAACCUCCAAUCAAUUAAAAAUAAUAAAUAUGAGACAAGAAUAAAUAAUAAUAAUAAAACUAAAAAUUGAAUCAAAGGAAGUCAAAAUUGAAUGAAUAAAGCUAAAACUGAAUCGAUGAAAUUUUUGGUGUCUACAAUCAUCAAACUGUAAAUAAGGAUCAUCAGAAACUCCUAGCAAUGAUGGCUCUUCAAAAGCAUCCGAUAAGUGGGGGCAAGAAAUUUUUUCCGAGCAGCUCAUAUAGGCUAGCUGACAGUCAUUGAGCAAUCAGAACACAGACCGAAAACUUUCUGCGAUUAAGUAACAACUAGUUUCAAGGACAAGAAGCCAGGAAAAAAAGAGCAAACUUGUAGUAAUGUACUAAUAUAGCAAGUAAAUUCUUACUGCUAGACCUUGUGGUUGAAACGAUAGAUUGAUAGUGUACAAGCUCCAACGAUAAGGAUAUCAGGUGUUGGCUAUCUGAGACAGCAAUAUGAAAGAAAAGAGUGCCAUCAUAAACAUUUCUGUCCAAGAUACUGGCUAUGCAAUUCAACGAGUAAUUAGUAGCCAAUGGAGAUUUCUAGUUAAACUUUGAGCCUAAGUUCACCGCAAAACAGAAAAUUCGAACUCAAAUAUUAUGUAGAGAGCAAGAAAUCUAACAAGCCAAUUCAGAUAAUUUCAUGAAGCUAUUGUUCGGUCAAUCCUACAAAAACAAAGCAUGGAACAGAAUAUGAACAGAGUUAUAGUAAUACAUCAAAGCAGGGAGCAGGAUAGGUGCUUUGUUUCAUGCUAAUUGAUGGUUACAAGAGUAUUAUGUUGUUAGGAGUAAUGAAAAGCACCAAUAUUUUGGACCUGCUAAGGAAUGCUAAUGGUGUAGCUUUGAAAGAUAAUAAAUAGGACUAGAAAAAGGAAGAAGAGAAAAUUGUGAUGAAGGUUAAUCAAAAUGGGGUGGUGAAGAGAAGGCAAAUCUCAAAACGACAAAGAGAUUGAUUAUAAGGCAGGAGGCAGUCUUACAUGAUUGAAUUCGAUUUGAAGAUGAACUGUUAACCACUUAUGUCUAGUUAUUGAAUAUGAGUAACUUUGGACCACUGGGAGUCGGGGCUGCUGCUCUCAGGAGUGCAUCUUUCUUUUAACACAGGAGAACCAUAAACGUGCAGACAUUUUAGUUUGGUGAGACUUCUCAUGGCAUCCUCAGAGGGUAGAUGUCCAAGCUCUUUGAAAUCAUAUAAAUAUAGUUCUUCAAGAGCAGCGAAGUUUCCGAACCAAUCUGGCAGAGCUUUUAUACCUCCAAAGUAACCUAGCGCGAGUGACGUGAGAGCGGUCAAGUAUUGGAUCUGAGGUGGCAGGGACUCCAUGUGUGGCAACCCAUAUAAGUAUAAUUCACGGAGUGCGGAUGAUGAAGAGGAGGAGGAGGAGGAUAUCAAUCCAGACCAAUCAAACUCAUUGUAAAUUGAAGAAUUUUCAUGAUCAUCACCAUCAUCUAAGAAGGGACCAAUUGUAAGCUCCCUUAAGCUGGUUAGGAAACCAAAUCCUUUGGGCAUCAUGCUUGUUUUCAGUUUGCGACACCACAAUAAUUUCAGCUUCUAGAGAGAAGGCGUUUGUUGCAAAUCAAGCGGAAAGGAGAUAAGAUUGUCGCAACAAACCACCCGAAGCUUUUGGAGAGAGGCACAAGAGUGUAGCAUGUCACCUGGCAGAUUCGUCAACCCACGGCAACCCCAAAUCUCCAGCUGUUUAAGAGACGUAGAGUUUUGUAGGGGAAGCAGUUCUCUGCAUCUGUUGCAGUAAUUAAAUUCCAAACUCGCUAACUUGGGGAGUGUUGUUGGCAAAUCCAUUAACCAUUGAGGAAAUUGAUCGCUCAUGAAAUUCGAAAUUGACAACUCCUUCAAAUUUGGGUGGGGUCGAAGGCCAUCUAACACAUCUUCGUCGUGGUUGUCACCUUCUCGAUUGUUGGUCCACUCAAGUCGCAACUUAGAUAGAUUUUUCUUUUCAGAUAGACAUGUUUUUUCAGCUCCUUCCUUAUCCUUUACUAGUUCAAGAUUGCGUAUCUCCAAACUGCCCUUGAGGUUUUUCAAGCAUCCAAGCUCUCUAACUUGUCUACCCUUCUCUCGACCCACAUUAAAGAACUUUAGUGUUUGAAGGCAAAUUAGUCGUCCCAUGUCUAGCGGCAUUUGAAAUUCUUUAUCACUUUUGUAAUAAUGAAGAUGUCUCAAGCUAAUCAAAUUGGACAUGCUCUUCGGAAGAUCAUCAACCGCUGAGUAACUCAGCGUCAAUGUUUGCAGAUUAUAAAGCUUGCAAAGGGAAUCCGGCAAAAUACGGAUUGCAGAUUCCGAAAGGUCAACACACCGCAAAUGCAUCAAUUUGCCAAUUGAGAUUGGCAACUCCUCAAUUUCUCCACGAGACAAAUUCAAAACAUACAAGUUCUUCAACUUCAUUAACAUGUCAUCAGAUAAGUCACCCUUUACAAACAAUGUAUGAAGCGAAGCUGAUAGACUCUCCAAAAGUUUUUCUCUGUCUUCUGCACCAACAAAUGAGUCUAUUGUAAGGUAACGAAUCUGAUUAUCGUUGUCUACUGUAUAUGUAUCCCCAUUAUUAAUGACUUUGGUAGACUUUGACAUUGACUCUGCAAGGUCAUGCACCAAAUCAUGCAUCUUAUAAUAUGUUUUCCAAUCAUAUCUUAUUUCUUCAAACAAUGAACUCUGCAAUAAAAUUCUCAGAUAAUUCAUUCCAAUUUCCUCCAUCAUCAUUUGGCUGUUGACAUCUGCUUGGAGGAAACCUUCUGCCAUCCAAAGUUCGAUAAGCAUAUUCCUUUCUAUCUCACUAUCCUUAGGAAAUAUAGACCAAUAUGCAAAACAUUUCUUAAUGUAUGGAGAUGGCAAAUUAUCAAAACUCAACUUAAGUAUUUGCAUGACACGAUCUUCAUCUCCACUAAAACUCAAAAGCCUAUUCUCCAAAAUUGAUUGCCACUCCUCUUUUCUCUUUAAACGUAAUAGACCUCCGAUUACACUUGCAGCCAAUGGUAGACCAUCACAUCUUUUGAUUACUCUCUCUUUAAUUGCUUUUAGUUCGUAAGGUACUUCUCCCCCUCCAACUACUUUUUCUUUUAGGAUAGACCAGCAAAGAUCAUCAGGUAGCCUUCCUAAGGCAUAGGCUUCAUCAUCCAUCAUCAAAGCUCCAGACACAAUACCUGCCACCUGACCACUACGAGUAGUGACAAGACACCAGCUUCCAUCAGUUGGAUUGAGUCCUUUCAAGGUGGUGAAAAGGUCAUCCCACAAUGCAUGAUUAUCAUCCCACACAUCAUCAAGAACUAGGAGAUAUCUUUUUCCCCCAAGUUGAUUCUGAAUUUUUUCAACGAUGACUUCCCUAACAUCUACUUCAACCUUUUCUUUUGUCAAAUGCACUAAUAUGAGUUUGAAAAGCUCCUCUAUUGGAACUUUUUUUGAUGCACAAACCCAAACCUUUUUGUCGAAGUGCCCAUCAAUUUGCUGAUUGUUGUAUAUCGAUUUAGCCAAAGUUGUUUUGCCUAGACCUCCCAUACCAAUUAUGGGAAGAACAGAAACAACCUUCUCAGACGGGCUCAACAGCAUCUUCACUAUCUUUGAUUCAUCAUCGGCUCUUCCAACCAUUGGAGCAACAACUGAGUCGGUCUGCCGAUUUCUUGUGUCUCCAGCAGCAGGAGCAGCAGGGAGGGUAGCUGUCAAGACUGGCCUACUGACCAGUCCCAAUCCAUGGGCAUCUUGAUAGAUGCCAUUCAACUUAACUUUGAUGUCCCUGACCUUAGAAGCCAUCCUCCAACGAAAAGCAAGAUUAAUGUUAGAGAAGGAGAAGAAGCAGCAUACCUUUUGCUUGUGUCGGUUUCGGGACUCCACCUGGUGACGAAGAGAUUCAUAGUGAAGCUCAUCCAACACGUUGUCAGCAUCAUAAGCAACCUCCUCGAGACUCUUCAACCAUUCUUGCACUGCCGUCUCCUGGUUAUGCUGCCUUUCCUCAGCAUCAGUCAAGAAAGCUUUGAUCAAGCGUAGAGAACGGGUCAUGCUGGCCAAAUCCUCCUCGAAUCCAACUAACAUACCAAUCCUAUCAGAGGCAAGAGACAGUGCCAUUUCCAAGGUGACCUGAAUUGUUGAACUAAUAAGAGCGUCAGCCAUUUUUGCUGCCUUGGAUUCAGUGUUGAGAUCAAGAUGGUUUUUUUGAUGGAAGGUUUUAUGCAGCCAGGAACUGGUAAUCUUAUCUAGGCUAGUAUAAUUGGUUAUGAAGAAAGGAGCAUUAACAAUUAUUCCGCGUAGACGUGGAGGUCUUCUCUGACAAAUCGUAAGCUUUUGUAUUGGCAUGUUUACAGUAACUUUCUCAAUUAUUGUUAGUUGUUCGGGCAUCAUGGUUUCUGAUUAAAUAAUUUAAAUGCUGGGGCCUUCAAAUUUUUUGGUUGUGGACCAUUGUUUUUGUCCGCGAUCAAAUCAUAAAGCAGGGGCGGAUUUAAGGUGGGGCAUUGGGGGCACGGGCUCCACUGUCCCCCUUAAAUUCCUAUAAUACAUAUACAAUUUUGAUAUAAUUUUAAGUAUGUUUUCAGAGUUUUUUUAGAAAGGAUAUCAAGAAUUACGUAAUUUUUUAAGUUAGUUUGUAAACUAAAAUUCUAAAAAAAUACGUGGGGGUAGGGCACAAAUUCCGUUUGAAAUAAGAGAAAAAAAAGCCUUUUUCAUUUCAACUAGCAACUACCAAUCAUAUCAUUCAUUUUUUUGAACUCCACUCCCCAAUUUCCCUUCCCUCCUCUGGUCCCCCAUUUUUCCCCCACAACCGAGAGCCACUACCUUCCACAACCAAGCAGCUAGCUACUGUUUCUCUUAAUCAAUUCAUCCAAUCAUAUCAUUCACUUCCUUUGUCCCCAUUUCCUAAUUUCCCUUCCCUCCACUGGUCCCCCAUUUUCCCUCCACAACUAAGAGCUAUUCUUACUUCCACAACCAAGUUAGUUAUCAAAAUAUAAAAACUCGCAAUGAGUAAUUGUAAAUUGUUUAGUUUGUUUUUGAAAUAAAAUUAUUAUUACAUUAAUAAUUUUGAAUUUGUCUUUUUAUAUUUUUCAUGGAAUAUAUGCAUCAUUUGUACUUGUUGGUGAAUUUUUUUUUUGCUUAAAAAAUUAUAAAAAAAUAGGUAAAAAAUUUUAGUAUUAUUUUUGCCCCCACUAAGAAUUUUUUCUGGCUUCGCCAUUGUCGUAAAGGGAGAGUGGGAUUCUGUUUUGGUUACAUGCAUCAUGCAUGUCAUUGUUAAUCCUUGGAAAAUGAAUUUAUGACAUAAUUUGGUCUGAAUUUUGUUUGGUUUUGGAAACCGACCACACUGGGAAGCAGUAAUGUUCUGUGUUUCCGCACUAGCAACGAUGCAUUUUGCUUCUUGGCGCAGUAAUCACGGUUCAGAUUUUAAAUUACCUUUUGUACUUUAGCAUUUCAAGUAUAUAACAUGAUCGGUAUGAAAUCCCUAGCCUUCUACUCCUCUACUUAAAAUGUGAUAUGUUUCGUUUGGAUUAGCUGUUUUUGGAAAUGUUUUUGAAAAAUUUUAUUGUAGCAGAGUUUUUAGAUUAUAUCAUAUAUAUAUAUAUAUAUAAUAAAGUCGUAUUCUCAUACUUAUCCCUUCAUGUUUUCUCUUUCCUACGUGGCUUAACGAGACGGCAAGUAGUUUCCUACGUGACUUGCUCCUUUUUGUUUAGAUAUAUAUCAAUUCUUAUUUCCUAUAAGAAUUCUUAAUAUUAUAUGAUUCUUAUUUCCUAGCCAAAAAAGGAACUGAAAAGUAAUGCAAUAUAAAUAAAAGAGACAUAAAUAUCUCUAUUAGAUAUAUCUCCAAAUUCAUGCCAAUAAUUUGUGUACUGCAUAGGGAACCGAAGUAAAUAAGAAUUGUUAUCACUACAAGAAGUAGAAAAGUAACUAAUUUCAAAAGGAACCAUUAAUAACAGAAGUCAAUAUCUGAUGUUGGAAAUAGGAUUCUUAAUAGAUUUUAUUAUUAGGUGCGUUGUCAAGACAUAGUGCAUAGUACAAAAUUUAUGGAAAAGAAAAAGUUAAUUGAAUCCAAUUAACUAUAUGUAUUUGACCCGUACGGUCAAAUAUAAAUUCCUAUUUGAGCACGGGUUUGUAAAUUCUUAUAAACCCGUUCGUUGUUAAUCAAAACAUGCAGGUUAUACUCAUUGCUAGAUUAUAGGAUUCACAAUACAUCUCUGCUCAGAUAGUGGGGGGUAUUUAGUGUGUGGACCCACACCAUAGGAGUCCAUGCACUUAAAGAACUCGAUAUAGUUGAGGUGGUCUUUUACGGUAGGUAAAAUCUGUCUUGAGAACGCACUUUUAUUUCCUAUAAGAAUUCUUAAUAUUAUAGGAUUCAUAUAUAUAUAUAUAUAUAUAUAUAUAUACAUAAAGUCGUAUUCUCAUCCUUAUCCUUUUAGUUUAUCUCUUUCCUACGUAGCUUAUUGAAAUAGCAAGUAGGUGCAACGCGCUCUAUGAGUUAACCCUCUAAUAACCUACGCUAUUCUAUCCCUCUUUUUUCUCUUGACUUUACAAUUCUAGAUAAUCCUUCCAUAAUUAUCUCUUCCAUUCUCUCACCCUUUUUUUCCUUAACCCUAAUCAUCAAGCCUAAAUUUCUUGGGAAUUAGUAUAAAUAAUUUUGAAUUAUGUUUUUAACUCUCUCUCAUCUUCAACUCAAAAGUUCGAAAUAUCAAUUCAAAUAUUAGAUUAUCUUUAUCAGAUUAUCGCUAUUGAAGAUGCUCUACAUUUUUACUCAUAUAUAUGGUUAUCGAUCUAUUACUCAUCACUUUAUCAAGCAGUGCACAUGUUUACACUUUUCCACAAUGUUUUUGGAAAGUUCUUUUUUUUUUACUUCAAUGCAAGGACCGGAUUUGGAACUUUGUUUUUAUUCCCUUCGCUGUAUGUGGUCUAUAAUUUCCUACACAUUCUUCAUAGCUAGGUCAUUGAAUUUGAAUUUUCUAAAUCUUCAAAAGUUACAGUUUGGUUUUUAUUUCUAACAAAGUUUUUGUAAUUAAUUUGUUAUUUCAAUUUAUAGAUUCACUCUUCAAUUCAAGUAUAACACAUAUUGCUUUUUUGGUUAGUGAUUUAAAAGUGGCCUUUUGAACUAUGUGUUUUCACAUGAUUUUUUAAUUGCCUUUGACAAUUUAUUAAUUGUCUUCAACAAUGUAUUAAUUUUUUUUUGUUUUCUAGGUUUCUGGGGUUAAAAAAAUUUUGUGCAGUUUUCAAUGUUUUUUUUUCAGACUUUGGUAGAAAUCUUCUAAAGAAUAAGAAGGUGUCACUGAUUACAUAAAUAGCAAGGCAUCAAGUUCAUUGUCAUACAGCAGUUCACGUCAUGCAAUAUACAUUAGACUAUUUAGAUUUUUUAUGUUUUUGACUUUAUAGCAAACUACAUCUUAUGUUUUCGUUUGGGUUUCUAUUAGCCAUGAAUAGAUUUAGAAGGUUGUUGUAUUCCUAUGACUUGAUUGAUUCUGAAUUCUUAUAUUUUAUUAAUAUUUCAUUCGGCUUCUUUUCUUUUCACAUUAACCUUUAAGCCAUUUAUAUUAAGUACCAAAAUUGAUGUUUUGGUAACGGGUUGGCCAUUAUUUUGUUUACAGAAGAUCAGCCAAGAUUUGAUCUUCCCUAUUUUCAAGUUUUUGAAUGUCAUCAUAUUGUCGAUUUUUUUCUGCAUUUUUUGAAUUAUUAAUCACUGAAUUAGAUGUUUAAAUUUACAUUAUACGACUAUUUUUGAAUAAUAAUGUAUUUAAGAAAGGUUAUAAUAGAUUAUACAAUAAGUUUGUAUUUUAUGCAAAUAUUUUUAUGAACUACACUAAAUAAUUUAUUAUUUUUAGACAAUUCCCAUUCAACGAAUGUGUACAAAACUAGUUUUGGGAUAUUUUCAGAAAAUAUUUUGGGAUAUUUAAGAGUAGAAGAGUUUCUAGAAUAUAUUUUGAAAUAUUUUUUAAAAUUUUUAAAAAAAUUUAAACUAAUUUUUAGAUUACCUUUUAGAGUACUUUUUAAAAAUUUUUAUUGUAUUUGAAAACUAGUUUUUGAAAAACACUCCCAUAGUCUUUAUAAAUUUAAUUUUUUAUUAUAUUAUUUCUUAUUACUUUCUUUUUCUAGUUGAUUUUGGAUCUUUUUUAUUACUUUUCUAACUAUUUUCUUUGACCUUUUCCUUUAGCUUUUGCGGACGCAUGUACUGGUUUCUCCUCAAACUGGAUGUCUCUCAAUCUCUCUUCUGGGAGUUCAACAUACUUUAAGAUGAAUUUCAUUUUGCCAUUAUCAAGUUUGCACUUAAAGAAUUAAAGUUCAUAUGGGGAUGAGUCAUACUAAUUUCAUAUUUUUGACAUUUAUUUAUCACAAACCUUAAUCCUUCUUUCCUCCAGUGUUUUUUUUCUAUAUCAACUCUCCUUAAUUCCAUUAUUGUUUCACAACAUAAUCUAGAAAGUGUCAGUAUAUAAGAAUUCUUUUGAAGUAAUUAUUACUAAUAUAGUUUCCAUUUCUUGUGGAAUGUUCUGAAUCUUUCCUAAAGCAACAUUUUCCAAUUUGAGUUCAAGAAUUGUUGCCAACUUUUUUGGUUUGCGCAUCACUUUGCAUGUAAGAAUUCAAAAUUUCACCACCAAUUAAAUAGUUUUCCUCGCAACUUGUCCCGUUUAAAUUGCUGUUUUAGGAAUUUUUGUAGAAAAAUAUACUGUAGAAAUUUGAUGUAUAUGAGUUAAAAAGGUGAUUGAGAAAUUUAUUUACAGAAAAAAUUUUAGUUUCCUUUUCUCUUCUAUUUCGAAUUUCUCCCAACUUAUGUUUCCUUGUUGCAAAUCUUGCCAAAUUUUAUAAGAUGUGUCUUAUCAAUUUCUUUGAUACCUGAAACACAAGAAAUUUCUCAUUCCUUAUAUGUAUUCUUGUUUAAUUAUUUAAUUUGGUUCCUGAAACACGAGAAAUUAGUAAAGAAUUUAGAUCCAAUUUGGUGCAACGCUUCUUUGACAAACUGAAUUGGAUGCUUCUGCAACGGAAGUUUUUUUUUUUUUUUUUAUAGGAACAAUAACUUUCCUACAACAUAAUCUAUCCUAUUCUACAGGAAAGGGGAGCCUAAUCUAUCUUAUUCUAUAGGGAGGAGAGGUUAAGAAGGCUGUAUAAGGGAGCCGGUAUACAGACCUGACUAGAUUAAAAGGGUAUUUUGACACCUUCUUUAAAUUUUUUCAUUACAUAUAGAGUUUGAAUUCCAGAUUUACAGUCCAAAAAAAAAUUUAGUUUCUUUUUUAUGGCUACACAGCCAAAGCUUAGUUGGCUCCGUGGUUGCAACGGCAGUUGCUUGGCAUUUUCAAUUCACCUUUCUUUGUAGUAUAGUAGUUGCCGGGAUUCUUCAUCUGCCUUUGAUCCACAUUACACAUGCUUUUGUGUGGGGGGGGGGGGUGGGAUGUGGAAAAUUCCACCCAAGAAGGACAAGAAACCGUGUUGAAUGAUGAAGAAAAGAAAAUGGCAAUCAUCAUUGAGACUCUAAUAAAUCUCACUCCUCAGUUCUUGGGACGUGAACGUACAAUUAAUAAUUCCAUCUAAAUUGCUGAUCCUUGGUGGAUCAGAUUUGAAGCAUAUUUGGUGGACUCCUUAUUUUGUUUGCUUUCUGCAGGGGAUUAUGCUAACACAUCGUUGCUUAAAAAAAAUCCUCCAAUUUCUUUAAAAUCCACAGACCCCCAAAGUUUUCCAUUUCCAUGCUAGCUAUCUAUUUUCCUCUUUGGCUAGUUCAGAAUAGCUAGAAAUUUACAGUGGAUGCUUAUGUUUGCUCUUUAACCACCGGUAAAAGUACUGCAGUAGUACAUCUUUGACAAACUUGGAUGCCAUUAAUUGCCAUGGAGAAGUUUGCUUGGCAAUUUCACUUGGCCUUUAUUGAUCAAUGCUUAGCUGGGUAUUUCAUCUUUUUCUGAUUGAAAGCUGGCUGGGACCUUUGGUUGUGCAAAAUAUCUCAAUGGUUUGUCGGAGUUGUGGUUUGACCCAAGACUGACCCCAGCAAAAAAAAAAAAAAAAAAAAAAAACUAUGUUCAAUGAUCAAAAUGUAAAGGAGAAAGAGGAAAUGACAACCAUAGCUGGUGACUUUGCAACAUUAAUUACCUCAGUCAUUAAUCCUUGGGAAAUAGACUAAAACGUUAUUUUGUGGGGGAAAAUCUUAAAAAAUAGUCCGUGGUUCACUUAUCAAAAACAUGAAAUGGAGUUAACAAUCAGGUUUGGCGUGUAACGACAUAAUUGGCCAAUGGUUGGGUUCUUUCUUCGCUUUUACACUUGUGAAAUCGCCAAAAUAUUCGCUCGUAAUUCCACAAGCUUUCUAGCACUUCAAAAUUUCAAACAUUUUGUUUCAAAAUGCCUUUUUUAUGUACAGCAUACAAAAUUUAAGUGGUGAAAGUUUAAGGAGUUUCUUUAUUACUAUUUUUUUUUUAGAGUACAAUAUACAAUCAACUGGAGUUGGAAGUGAAAAAGACCUUUAGCUCACACUACGAUUAUAAACUUUGACUGAAUUGGGAUGUUUUGGGAAGGGGGAAUGAGCAUGUUCUUGUGGGUUUCAAUUUUUACCAUUGAAUUAUUUACCUAUGAUAUGUUCACAAGUUUAACUUAAAUCGAGUUAUGAUAACAGAAGAUUGUCUAAACCCGAAAGAAAACUUCAAAAGAUCGAAAUUGAAAAUGAGUGAAAAUUAAUGGGGAAUUAACCAGUUAUUUGGAUACUUGAAUUUUACCUAUUUUUGUAUCCAACUCUUUCAUAAUUAGUUUUUCUUAUAGUUUUUCUCGCUCCUAACAAAUUUAUCUUUUCAGAUAAAUUUGAAUUAUUUGUUCUUAUGGUUCCUCUCUCUUCUAACAAUAUGAUAAAUUUGUAUAAAAUUUUUUUAUCCAUAUGGAUUAACUUAGUGUUAAAAAACUUUAACUGUUAGCUGAUAGAUUUAUCAAUAUUGCUGGAAAUUAAAUAUUUGUUGAUGUAGAAAACAAAUCGCAAAAUCUAUUGUACUUAGUUAGGUAGGAAAAUGUAACUAGGUUUAUGGUUAUUAUAAAAAUUGUAAUUAUCUAAAAAAUUCCAUACACUAAAAGGAAGAAUAUCUAUUGAUUUUUUUAUAUGUGUUAUAAUAUUUGAUGAAUAUUAUUAUAUUAUAGUAAAAGUAUGUAAAGAAGUUUUUAAAAAUUAGUAUGACAGUUAAGUAUAAUUAUUCCAUUAAUUUUCUAAAAUUAAUAUGAAUGAACUUGUAAGAUCAUCAUUAAUUUUUUAUUUAAAUUAUUCAUGCUUGCACGAAUUCAUAAUAAAAUAAAAAAAUAAACCAUGCCAAGGCACAUGCAAGAUGCUAGUUCAAAUUAAUGUUGUACACGUAUAGGAGUCACAAAACGGUUUGGUGCACUAGCAGGCGAAAGGGGACAUCUAAAGUAUUAGGACAAGUUUUACAUUAAAGUGGGAGAUUUGUAAAGCAAUUGAGCGAAAACAAAUGAGGUUGAGGAAAAUUUUAUAUCAGUUGCAAUACAAUCAUAAAAGCUAUGACACAUUCGUUAAAAUAAGAAAUAUUUAUUAAUUUGGUGCAGUGUAAUAGCAAACCAAGGAAAAAAAAUGUGAAUGAUCCGUAAGAGGGAAAGAUGUCAUUUGACUUAAAAUAAAAGUGUGAUUGGAUAGAGGUUUAGUUGAACAAAAAAAAUUAGAUUAAUAUCAUAAUACUUUUUGUGGCUUGAUAUAAUGUAUAUGAGAUAGGAUGAUGGCUAGUAAAAUAAAAAAAAAUGAUUCAGGUAAAACAGUGCAUGCAAAGAUGAAGGUUGAUAAUAAUAAUGAUGAUAAUAAUAGGGUGAAAACAGUGCAUGCAAAGACGAAGGUUGAUAAUAAUAAUGAUAACUCUGAUGAGAUGGAUAGCAAUUGCAAGUUGCAAACCAUGCAAUUAGUGUUUUAGAUUAGGUAAAUUUGCACACCAUUAUUGCAAAUAAUUCAGUCAAUAAGAGAGAGGAAAGCAUAAUGCACGAAAUCCAACUUUUAGAAUUGUGUUAUAGUUUAGUGAUGACUGUGUGGUGUUUUUGUAGGCAAAUAAACAGAAAAACAAAUAAAUAUACAAAUUUGAUAAAAUUUGGAUUGUAAAUUAUUUGAGAUAUUUUUACUGUAACAUUUUUUGUGAUGUGAUGUAUGUGAGAUAAAAAGAUAAUUGGGAAGAUAAAAAGGUGUGUUAGAAAUUGUAAUGAUGAUGUAAGCAAAUAAAUUUUGGCAAAUAAUCCUCUAUCCAAACAAACCUGCACUUCUACAGGACCGAAACUAAUUGCUCUUAGGUCCCAUUUUGUACAGGACCAAAACUAUUUUUUAACGUGAUCAUCUUCUCCAAUGGAGGGAGAUCUUCGCUAGCUCGGCUAAAGCAGGUGCUAGAUGAGUACAGCAGGGCUUCAGGGCAGCGGAUCAACUCCCAGAAAAGCUGUUUUUUGACCCACUCGGAGUUUCCGCCACGGCAGGCGGCAGCGGCAGGUCGGAUCCUGGGUUUCCAGAGACAAGCGUUCCCGGUACGGUAUCUUGGCUGUCCGUUAUAUGUGGGCAGGAGGAAAAAGGUCUAUUUUACGGAUAUGUAUAAUGCGGUGGUAGCUCGUAUUCUAUCUUGGAAGAACCAGCUAUUAUCUGUAGGAGGCCGUAUUGUGUUGAUCCAAAGUGUUUUAGCAUCAAUGCCGAUACAUUUACUUGUGGCUGCGUCCCCUCCUCAAGGGGUGAUGGGAGCCUUGGAGAGGUUGUUCGCUGAUUUCUUGUGGGGGCCAUCUGACUUUGGUUCACAAUUCCAUUGCAUUAGGUGGAAGGACAUUUGUUGCCCUCGGGAGGAGGGAGGGAUUGGGUUGCGGAGCCUGAAGGGGGUGCAUGAUUGAUAGGGUGUUAAUUAUUAGUAAUUUUAUUGUUAAUUUUCCCUUUUAUCCUUGCCAAAUAUUGCUUUAAUUAUUAAUAUUUACUUAUAUUUGGUAUUGGACCCAAUUUCAGGAAGUGGAGCAGAAAAGUACAAAAAGGAGGGACUCUCCGGAAUAAAAUGGAAGACUUCUAAACACUUCACAAGCCUAGCCCACGUUGCUGAGAAGAAACGGAUUCCCAUUUCCCUUUUGGCUGACUAGGAGUCCUGCCACCAAGAGAAAAAGGAAAUACAAGGAAUCUGGCAAAGUUUCCUCUUUGUACCUGGACUCCCAAUUCAUGGGGGACCACGGGAGCAUUAGACUUUCUUUUGGCUUUAAAAGUAGGAAAAAAGCGGACAGAGGCUGGACAGUUAGCUUUUUAGCAUAGUUUAGUUGUUCUUUUUUUCUUCUUUGCCGUCUCUUCUAGGAGGACGACGGAAACAUAUCUUUGUUUUAGAAUAAUUACUUCUGCAAUUUCGCAUGGGAUUUCCUCCAUGUAGAUGAACUAAGCCUCUGAUCUAGUCAAGGGACAACGGAUGUUUUGGGUCGCCUAAAAUUGUGAGAUCGAUUUAAUUUUAUCUUUUUCUUUUAUUUAUUGGUAUUCGCAUAUUCCCUGGUUACAGUGCUUAUGAUUGUUUAAUUAAUUGAUUGUCUUGGAUCCGGAUAAUUAGUUAAUUUGAUAAUCUAUUGUCAAUUGGGACGUUAAAUCCGUAAUUGUUUAAUUGUCUCAAAAUAGUGAUGACCGGCAUGAUUGGGUUUGUGUCAAAGGAAUAAGCGGGCUAACAUAAAAUAACCCUGGUAGUGUGUUAUUUGGUUAGAAUAUGGCUCUUCUAAUACGUAAGGCAAUUGGGGAAUUAAAUCUUACGGGCGUACCUAAGAUUAUUUCCUAAUUAGAGCAGUGAUUAAUGGGCGUACCUUAAUCACCGACACAGUAAGGAGGGGUUGACUGCCAUCGCUUGUUUGGUAAUUAUAAUCUAUUUAUUGAUAAAUAAUUGGAAUUGCCUUUGCUUCGAUGAUCAAUUAGGUGUACCAUUGCUGAAGUUAUUUCUUGGCUAGAUCCUUAAUUAUCACUCAUUUGAUUUUAGUAAAUUGUUAUUUAAUUUCUAGUUGGCUAUUUCAUUUUUAUUAUUUUACUUUUAGUUGAAUUGCUUAAAUUGUCGCCCCUGAUAUAAAACACCCCCCCUUUGUUACUGUGGAUUUGAAAAGAAACAGUUACACCCAGUCCCUGUGGAUUCGACCCUGCUUACCACUAUCUACAGAAAUUAACUUUAGUUGAGCAGGUUUUUAUUAUUGCACAGGCUGACAACCUGUCAAUGAUUCGCUCUUGGUUAAACUAUGGUGGAAGUUCAGACAGCAGCAAUUGCUUUGGGCGGAGUUCAUGACUAGGAAGUAUUGUGCGGGUCUGCACCCGUGUCUAGCGGAUGAUGGCCCGAUGUGUUCUUCUACGUGGAAACGGAUGGUAGCAGUUCCGCAGGUUGCGGAGGACAACAUCGGUUGGGUAGUACGCCAGGGUUCGAUGGACUUUUGGCAUGACAAUUGGUUGGGGACUGGAGCGCUUUGUGGUAAGGUUGAGGUUUUCUUCGAUCAUUUGGUUGCGGAUUUUGUGGAAGGGGGGGCAUGGAAUGUCGAUAUGCUUCGUCAGUACUUAGAUGCCGGGCUAGUUGGUCGGGUUCUGCAGGUGGCCCCCCUUCCUUUCGAGGCCCAGAUCGUAUGAUUUGGAGACCUACGACGGCUGGUGUUUUUUCCACAUCCUCAGGCUAUUCCCUCGUCCGCCAUGUUGAUAAUCGUUCUUGGAUCUAUGCCUCGGUCUGGCGGCAAGGUCUUCCGGUUAAAAUUUCUUUCUUCAUGUUGAGGCUGAUGCUGGGCAGGGUUCCUACCAUGGAUAAAUUGGCGAGGUUCGGCCUCUAUGGCCCGUCCCGAUGCUGGUGUUGUCAAGAACCACAGGAGGAGAGUCUGGAACAUGUGUUUUGUUCUGGAGAAGGGGCGCGGACACUUUGGCGGUACUUUGAGAUUCACAUAGGGCUACAAACGAGUCGAGCCGAGUCGAGCUUUGAGCUAAUCGAGCCGAGUCUCGACUAAAUUUUACCAAGCUCGAGCUCGAGCUCGAGCUCGACGAGCCGGCAAUUUUCAAGCUCGAGCUCGACUCGAAUCAAGUCGAGCCGAGCUCGAGUCGAGCUCGAGUCGGCUCGAGUCGAGCUCGAAAAAAAUAAAAAAUAAUUAUUUUAUUUUAAAAAAAAUAAAUAAAAUAAUUUUUUUUUCUUAAUAAAUAAUAAAAUAUUAAGGAUAUAUACGUAAUUUUACUAUGAAAAUAAAAAAUAAAAACAUAUAUAUAAUAUACGUAAUUUUAUUAUUAAAUAAAAAUAAAAAUAAAAAAUAUAUAUAUAUACUCAAACUCGCGAGCCGGCUCGCGAGCUAACGAGCUUAAUAUUCUGAGCUCGAGUUCGAGCUCGAGUUUGACUCGAGCAGGCUCGAGCCGCUCGCGAGCGGUUCGAUUCAUUUGCAGCCCUAGAUUCACCCGGGGGAAAUGGCGGGGGUGCAUACACUCCGACACAUGGUUGGAUUAUGGUGGUUAAGGAGAGGGAGCAAUGAGUUUUUGCAGUUCGUGUUUCAUAUACUACCGUUGGUGAUUUACUGGGAAUUAUGGAAGGUGAGGAAUCUGGGAAUGUUUGAAGGACAGCGGAUGAGGGGUCGGGAUAUGGUGAAUCGAGUCGUCCAGGUGCUAGUAGAGGUCUGUCAGGCACGCUUCCCGACGCUGAGGUGUGCGGAUGCUUCGUGGGAAGGGUUAGUGAGGGAGGUGACUUGUCGGCGAGAGAGGUGGAUUUUCCGGAUGGUCCAUUGGGUAAUGCAGCAGGGUGGGUGGAAGUUGAAUGCGGAUGGAUGUUCUCGGGGGAAUCCGGGUUUGAGUGGAGGGGGUGGACUGGUGAGGGAUUGCCUUGGGGACUUUGUUUUCGGUUACUCAGAGUGUUUUGGUCAUCUAACCAACCUACGGGCUGAAUUGCGCGCUCUACUAGUGGGGAUUAAGCAUUGUAUUGCCCGGGGAUUCCUGGAGAUACACUUGGAAUCAGACUCACUUACACUGAUUCGGAUGGUUAGAGGGGAGAGUACUUGCCCUUGGGAGAUGCAGGGGGAAUUGGAUGACUUGCUUCAGUUCAAGCAGCACUUUCAGACAGCAGCUCACUGCUACAAAGAGGCGAACGUUCCCGCGGAUCAGUUGGCUAAUUUAGGGGCAGAUCUAAAUGGCAAACAACUGUUUCAGUCAAUGUUGGAUUUACCUCAAUGGGUUCGGGGGGCGAUUAGGUUGGAUCAGUUGGGAAUUCCCUCGAUCCGUAGACAGAUGGUAGGAUAUGUAUGAUAGGGCACUUAGUGUACUCAAGAUUCCGUAUUAAUAAAAAACAAAAAUAAUUUUUAAAAAAAAGUUUUUUAUAGAGACUUUUUCGUUUGGAUUGCUAUUUUUUGAAGUUUUUAUAGAAAAAUGUGUUGUAGGAAUUUAAUAUCUAUGAGAUAAAAAAGUAAUUGAAAAAUGUGUUUAUGAAAAACGUUAAAAAUUUUCCGUAGUAAACUGCAAUCCUUGCAUGGCUUGCGAUUUGAUCAAUAUGAAAUAAAAAAGUAAUUAAAAAAUGUGUUUACAAAAAAUGUAAAAAUUUUGCCUUAGAAAACUACAAUCCAAACAAGUAGUCUUCUCCCCAUUCAAGAAACACAAUGAAAAUAUUUGUUGAAUAAUUAAACUUAUCCCUUCAUAAACCACUUAUACCGGGGGAAGUAUGGAGGGAGGCAAUGAAUAAAACGUCUCGGGUUCGAUUCCUCCCACUUACACAAAGAAAAAAGUACAAAAAAAAAAACCACUUAUACUAGCUAAGAGUAUUUUCUGGUUACGUCUCGUGUUAUAUAUUAUUAAUCCUAUCCUAUUAUCCAAAAGCAUUUGUUGGAAAUUGCAUGCUUAAUUUAGAUUAAAAAAACAAUAAUGAAAUAUUUGUUGGAAACGAAGGAAAAAUGACGCAACCUUUCCAAUUUGUAAAUUCAAUUAGGCUAACAUGUAAAACUAUUAAAGUGUAUCAGCAUGAGAGAAUUUAGUGCUUCAUCUGACGCUUGUAAAAUAGACAAAUGAAGUUUUGAAAUUCUAGCAAUUUUGGGCCAAUACCUUUUUUUUAAGGCAAAACCAAUACCUUAGGUAAUUACAAGAUCUCAUCUUGAUUUGCUGUUUUUCUUAUUAAAUGUUGAAUCUAGAAAAUCAUGUCUAAGAAAUAACUACAUAUACCUGGAAAAAAAAUUUAGUGCAAGGAUAAAUAUACGGUUAAGUUAUGGAAAUUCUCUUUUCCAUUUUAGCAAUUUGAUUCUUUGGAUGCAUGAUUUUAUCUGUUAUAUUUGGCUUCAAAAUAAGUUACUUUAGAAUGGUGUUUGGAUGUGGAUACAUAAUCUGUAAUUAUUCUCACCUACUAUUUAUUUUCUAAAGGCCUGUCCACUUUAUUCGGAUUUCUUACCUAUUUCACUCACAAAUGCAGAGGUAGCCAUUGGCGUUUUACGAGGAAGAGAAGCCAAAAAAACUACCAACCCCUUUAUUGCUCUCUUUCAUCUUAUUUCUCCAUCUUUCAUCCUUCUUUUUCAUUGUGACCUACAAUUAGGACUGCAAACCACUCAAGCGCUAGCGAGCCAACUCAAUCAAAAGUUAGCUCAAGUUCAGUUAACAUUGAAUUCGAGUUGAGCUCAAUCCAACCAAGUCGAGCUAUCGAAUUCGAGUCAAACAUAAAGAAAUUCAACUCGUUAACUCACGAGUCAGCUCGAAUAUAUAUUUAUAUAUAUUAUUUUAAUAAUAAAAUUACACAUAUAUAUGCCUAAUAUUUUUAUUAUUUAUUAAGCAAGAAAUGACUAUUUAUUCAUUUUUUAAAAGAAACAAAAUAAGUAUAUUUUACUUUUUAAGGUCGAGCAAGCUCAAACUCGAGUACUCGACUUUGAUUAGGCUCAAAUUUGAAGUCGAGAACGAACUCGAAUUUUACAUUGAAAACUCGUCGAAUUCGAAUUUGAUAAAAUUGAUUUGAGCUUGACUCUAUUAAGCCAAAAGUGGACUCAACUGGAUUCAUUUGUAACCCUACUGACAAUGCUUUGAUCUCCAUUUUAGAAAGGUUAGUUGUUGGCCUUGGUGAACUGUUAACGGGGAAGCAAUUUGAUCUACUUGUUGACAUGCAAUUGGCUAAUCAUUCAAGUGUUGCUACUGCUUUAUGCAGUUUUAACAAGGUGGUUGAAAUUGAUAAAAGGAAAAACUAUUAAAGCAUUAGCGAUUUAUUGGUUGUAAACACUUGCCACAAGAAAAUGUAUUUACUUAUCCGGACACUAUCGAUGAACCGUUCAAUAGGUGCUUGUCUUCAAUAAUUUCUGAAAGAUUAUAUAAUGUGUGAAUGUUUCGAAAAGACAAUACAAUAUGCAAAAACUAUUCACUGAUAGUUUCCAAAAGGAGUUUAAUUAAGCUUUACUUGUCGGUUUAUUGUUUGAGACUCUGACUUAGCAUCUAUAAAUGAAUGCAAUAACUGGUAGGGAAAAAGUCAUUCGAUUGUGAUGUAUUUGCUGAUUUUCUUGAAAUAAAAAAUACAUAGGAAAAAAAAUAUUAGAGAGUUAUCCUUUGCAUGGAGUUCAUAUCGUUACUACUUUUGCUACGUGGAAUACCUUGUCUGAUGGAUGUCUGCUUGAAAUAUGCAUUGACCUUUAUGGCUUCCACAUAUUGUAUGUUUAUCCUAAUAAAUCAUCUUAUAUUGUGCUAAAAUUUCAAACAAGUUUUGGAAUUUUGCUGCAAGUUUAUCUUCUCAAAAGAUAAGUCAAUCGAUUUGAUUUGCGUCAAAAAAUGUGGGUAGAGUUUUGUUUCUAAAUAAAUACUCGGAUAAAACCAAUCCAAACAAACAUUAUGCUUUGCUGAGGCCAACAGCUGACAGAUCUUAAAUGCUGGGGCCUUCAGUUGUGGUAAAAACCUCUCUGACCCAAGAUGCACAAGAGACUGCUGUCUUUAAGGAUAAAAAUGUACCAAAAUAAUAAUAAUAAAUAAAAGGAAAAUGACAAUCUACUUUGGCUACAUUGUUCAGCCAAUUUCCAGUUCUUGAGAAAUAAAAUAGACGUUCAACGCCCAUUUUCUAAUUCGAUUCAGUUCUGUGACCCCUUUUUUUAAUUUUCUAUAAUUUGAGGUAUAUAUAUAAAUAUAUAUGUAUGUAUAUGCCAAUCAUAUCCCAAUGCCAUUUGGUAGCUUUGCUUGGUCACUAUUCAACGCUUCCCUAUAAUUGUUCUAUUGUUCCCGUCAUUCAGAAACAAGGGAACAAAUCCUUAUACUACUGUAUAAGAAUAAAUUGUGAUCAAAUGGAAUUUGAAUUUCAGUCGUAUGAAUAGGGAUUUUUUUAAAAUAUGAAAUAUUGUGUAGUUUUUUAAAAUCUUUUGGUACAAUUGAUGGCAGCAUGUGUUUAGAUAGAUUUACUGAAAUACAGUCAUUUUGGUACAUUUAAAACUUUGAUUUAUGGGGACAUUCAGGUAUUUCUGAAAUAUAAAAUUAUUUUGCAACCAUUUUUGCAUCGAGUACAACUCAUAUAAACUUAUGUGUUGAUAUAAUUACUGAAAUGAUAUUAUUGACAUAUUUAAUUAAAGUGUGAUUUUUGUUGUACAAUUAACACAAAGAUAUAUUAACACGUUGUGCAAUUAAAAUAUUGCUAUAAUUAGCCGUUAGAGGAUAUUUCUUUGUUUGAAACAAUUUAUAUCUGCUCUUGGGCGAUUUUCAACUAACAUCUGUAGGGGCUUUUUAAGAAUGGUAAAAUUGUAAAAGCAUUAAUAAAGUAAAAUGUACAAGUGUGUGCUGCAAUUAAAAUGUACUAUUAUUAGUUUUAUUAUAUUUGAUGACUAUUUCUUUUCAGAAUAUACAAUUAUUUAUCCAAUAAAAAAUUCUCUCAAAUCACAUGCACCAAACAUCAGUACGAUGCACGGGCACUCCUAAUAAUCACAACAAAGAAAGGAAGGCAACCAAAUUGAUCAAGAAAGUGGAGCGAUUGAUUACAAAUGAAUAAUGUCAUAUUGUCGCAUAUUACUACUGCCUUAUUACCAUUAGAUAGGCAAAAUAUUUGUACUUUUCAAUUUUCUAUUUGGAGGUAAGGUCUAAUAUCCCCUUCCUUUCUUUGUAACUUUUUCGAUGAUUUUAUUAAUAAAAUGGGUAUAUAACCCCACCUGUCAGAUAUAAUUGGCGGUUUUUUUUUUGGUUAAAAAACUGUCAUACUGCAAUUAUUUGUUCCAAUCAUUGGGUGCAACACUCUGAGUAGGGAUGUACGCGAACUGAGCUACUUGUGAGCUACAAUGACUUGGCUUGAACUUGGUCAAAUCGAGUUCGAACCGAAUCUCGAAUUACUCGAAUAUACAUGUAAAUCGAGUUCAAGUCAGGACUUUGCAACUCGUGGCUCGAUGAGCUACUCGUCGAGUAGUAUAAUUUAAAUAAUAUAUAUGUAUGAUAAUUAUAAAAUGACCGUUAUGGGUAUAAUUUAUAUUGAAUUUACAAGUAGGGUGCCGAGUCAAAAAGUUCGAUUACUCGACUCGAUAAGAUUUGACUCAAUUGUCGAGCCUUAUCAAGUUGAGUCUCGAGCUUUUAAGGAUCUCCUCGAGUCAAAUUCAAGUUGAGAUUCUUUGACUCGAUCGAGUUUGAGCCGAACUCAAGCAUAAUUAUUAUAGGCCGAGUCGAGCUCGAGCAGUACAUCCCUAGCUCCAUAUGAAGAAAUGGGUGCGUUACUAGAACUAAAAGAAAGAAAAGAGACCUAAUGAAGUAGAGUUCACAAGGAGGUGCGACGUGUUAAAUUUUUUCACAGACAAAGGACCACAUGUGUCCCCAUUUUUAAAAUUCCUUUUUCAAUAAAUCAGCCUCAUGUAUUACGUUACGGGCAAAUGCAAACCCCAUAUUUGCAAAAGAGCAGAGGGGCUCUUUUUUUUUUUUUCUUUUUUUGGUGCGUCACAGAGGUGCUCUUUUGCAAAGUAGGGAGCUGCAUUUAGUUUUCAAUUUUUUUAAAAAAAUUAACAUUUCCAAAACAAAUUUAAAAUUACCAAAAAAGGGUUUGGAUGCGCAUGUAUGCAUGUUGCCAAUUGUGCCAAAAUCGACAUCCCUAAAUAAAGAAAAGGAUUAAUCACAUUUAAACCUCUUAAGGUAUACCUUAUUUCUCAGUUUACCCUCUAACCUUUAAUUUUGCUCACUUAACCCCCUAUAGGACAAAAUUGCCCUUGCAUUAUUUUGACUUUUCAUUUACCUUGUUUUCCUUUCUUUUAUUUCUUUUUCUCUUUCUUCUUUAUUUAAUUCUUCCUCUUUCCCACAAAAAUUUUCACCUUAAUGAUUGAAAUUAAAAAAGAGGAAUUGCAGAGAUCUAUUUUCUCCUUAAAUGAUUAAAAAAAAUAUUCAAAUCACUUUCCCAAAAUACAAUUUUUUUAGCCUUUCAAUUCUUUUAAUUUUGGGUUUUCCUCUUUCCUUUCUAGUUUCUCAUUUUAUUCCCAAGAAAAUAUCUUAAAAUGAAAUUGUGACUUGAUUAAUAAUCAUCAAUUGAAAUUUGUGACACGUGGCAUCAUACAAAAAAUAAAAAUUAGUUUUUGAUGCAUUUUAAACCUUCACCCAAAAAUAUGCAAUUACAAAUUCAAAACAAAAAUUUUCGUUGAAAUGAAAUUUUCUAUUGGGAAGGAUGAAAGAGAGAAGAAAGAGAAAAAAAAUAAAAGAAAGAAAAACAAUUUCAUCUCAUAACCCGGAACAUGCCAGGGGAAAUUGCAUAUUUUUGGGUGAUAUCCCGUAGGAUCAUAGUUCGAACCUUGUUGUGCGAAAUUCCUGUACAUCCAUGGGCGGGGCUUUGUACAGGCCAGGGGAUUAAUCCAGAAACCCCUGAAUUGACAAAAAAAAUAUAUAUAUAUGGUGGGAGAUUUUGUGUAUAGAGUCACAAAAUCGGUUUGGUGCACUAGCAAACAGAAGGGGACAUCUAAAGUACUAGGACAAGUUUGACAUUAAAGUGGGAGAUUUGUGGCAGUCUAAUAGCAAACCAAGGGGAAAAAAAUAUGAACGAUCCGUAAGGAGUCAUUUUACUUUAAAUAAAAGUAUGAUUGGAAAGGGGUUUAGUUGAACAAAAACAUUAGAAUAAUAUCGUAAUUUGGUGCAGUCUAAUAGCAAACCAAGGAAAAAAAAAAUACUGAGUACCUGGGUUUGGUGAAGCCAAGAAAUAAUGAGAAAGUAAUGGCUAGUCCACGCACAUUCCAUUGGUAUUAUCAUAUUUUUACUUUGUUGAUGUUAUAAAAUAAAAGUCAUCAUUUUAAAUUUAACAUAUGUUUUUUAAUUUUAUAAUUUAAAAGUAACUUUUUAAAAUCUCAAUAUACAUUAAUCAAGAGAAUAUUUUAAAUUCAAAAAUACAUUUGGACGGAGGAGGAAAUUUAUAAAUAUAAUAAUUGUCAUGUCUUUGUAAAAAGUUAAAUUCCCAAAAACGAUUCUAAUAUUUGGACGGAAGGGUAAUUCAUAAUUGCCAUGGAAGUUGCUUGGGAUUUUGACUUGACCUGUCGUAAUCAAUGCUUUGCUGAGGCCUACACCUUUUUCUGAUUGUUGGGCCCUUCAGUUGUGGAAAAAAUCCCAGAGGGUUGUGGGAAUAGUGAUCUGACCCAAGAGGCACAAGAAACUGUUGUCCUUAAGGAUAAAAAUGUACCCAAAAUAAUAAUAAUAAUAAAUAACAUUAUUUAAGUACUCCUUAUUUUGUUUGCUUUCUGCAAGCAUUAUGCUAGUGAGUUUGUUUGGAUAGAGUAUUAUUUGAAAUAAUUACUGUAGUAUUUUUUAUGAUAUAAUAUAUGUGAGAUAAAAAAAUAAUUAAAAAUAUAAAAAAUUAGAUUAGAAAACAUCUUUACGAUUCAAGAUUGGAUUCCAAUUUUUACAAUUGAAUUAUUUGCCUAUGAUAUGAUCACAAGUUUAACUUAAAUGGAGUUGCGAUAAUAGAAGAUUCUUGAAAGAAGACUUCAAAAGGUGGAAAUUGAAAAUGAGUGGAAAUUGAUGGGGAAUUAACCGGUUAUUUGGAUACUUAAGUUUUACCUAUUUUUGUAUCCGGCUCUUUUAUAAUUAGUUUUUCUAGUCCUAAAAAAUUUAUCUUUUUAGGUAAAAUUGAAUUAUUUUUUCUUAUGGUUCUUCUCUAUUCUAACAAUAAGAUAAAUUUGUAUAUUUUUUUUUAUCCACAUGGAUUCACUUAGUGUCAAAAAACUUUAACUAUUAACUGAUAGAUUUAUUAAUAUUGCUGGAAAUUGAACAUUUGUUGAUGCAUAAAUAAAUUGCUAAAUUUUUUGUACUUAAUUAAGUAGGAAUAUGUAACUAUGUUUAUGGUUAUUAUAAAAAUUGCAAUAAUGUAAAAACUAUACAUACACAAAUGGGUAGAAUAUCUAUUGAUUGUUUGAUAUGCGUUAUAAUAUUUGAUGAAUAUUAUUGUAUUAUAAUAAAAGUAUCUAAAGAAUUUUUUAAAAAUUAGUAUGACAGUUAUGUAUAAUUAUUACAUUAAUUUUAUAAAAUUAAUAUGAAUGAACUUGUACGAUCAUCAUUAAUUUUUUAGUAAAAUUAUUCAUGCUUGAACGAAUUCAUAAUAAAUUUUAAAAAAAUAAACAUGCCAAGGCACAAGCAAAAUAAUGCUACUUCAGAUUAAUGUUGUACAUGUAUAGAGUCACAAAAUGGGUUUGGUGCACUAGCAAACAGAAGGGGGCAUCCAAAGUAUUAGGACAAGUUUGACAUUAAAGUGGGAGAUUUGUAGAGCAAUUGAGCGUAAACAAAUGAGGUUGAGGAAAAAUUUAUAUCAAUUGCAAUACAAUCAUAAAGCCUGUGACACAUUCGUUAAAAUAAGAAAUAUUUAUUAAUAUGGGGCAGUCUAAUAGCAAACCAAGGGGGAAAAAAUUGAAUGAUCCAUAAGGAGGAAAAAUGUGAUUUUACUUUAAAUAAAAGUGUGAUUGGAUAGCGGUUUAGUUGAAUAAAAAUAUUAGACUAAUAUCAUAAUUUGGUGCAGUCUAAUAGCAAACCAAGGAAAAAAAAUACUGAGUUUUUAGCAUGCACACCAUAUAAUCAGACAUCUUGUGAUUUGAACGAAACUAAAAGAACGAUGGAAAUCAUCAAAACCAAUAUUUGUUUCCCUUUACUUGGUAUGAAUUAUGAAGCCAAUUGCUUAAUUAUUCACAAAGCUAAAUCAAUAGUUUUCUCUUGGAGAUUAAGAAAGAAAUUUUGCUACAUAAACAAAAAUUUUCUUACUUGGUAUGAAUUAUGAAGCCACUUGCUUCUUCCUCGAAGCUGGCUUGGUUUUAGUUAAUUAUGUUUACAGCAACUACUUAGUUUACUCUAAUGCUGGGGCCUUGGGAUGCUCAAAAAGUCCAAUCCUUGAUAUAUAAAAAAAUACUGAACAAAAAGGUAUUUCCACCUAAAAUAUUAGCAAUAACAAUAGUAGACAAAUUAUAGAAGUGGACGGCUCGGGUUUGGGUCCCAAACUCUCAAUUGCUAUAUUAGGGCGGCUUAGCUAUCUCAAUUAUUGCACCUAAAACACCAACAAGUGCGUGCAGAAAACAUCAAAAGAAAUUAUUGCCUCCGCAGCAAGAAGAGGUUUUCUCAGCUUAGUCGUAGAAGAAGAGAGUGCUUCUUUUGAUAAACUUGAAUGCAAUUUGUAGCAAAACUGAUUGGCGUUUUACUUGAAUGUUUCUAAAUCAAUGCUGGAAUUUUUUUUUUUGUUCUUUAUUACUUUUUUUUUUUUGGAAAAAUCAUUUAAAAUGUUCCUUACAUUUCGUCAGAUGAAUUUUUUCUUCCCUCACUUUUAAAAUAUUAAUUUUAUGUCUCUUAUAAAAUCAAAGCAACCAAAUUUAGUCCCAACUUGGGAUUUUGAUCACUAAAUAUGCAACGUGACCCACAUGUAAUCAUCUUUUCAAGUGCAAAAACUACAUUUUUUUCCAAAAAUUAAAAGCAACAUCAAAAAACUAGAAAAAAAAAAUAUGAGUGAGGAGUGAAAUGUAAGAAGCAUUUAAGAAGCAGGAGUUUUGAACGGAGGACCUCUAAUUCUUUUAGUUUCAAACUUAACUAAUUGACCAAGGUCUUUUCCCAAUAUAAAGGCUCAUCUCAUGAAGAAGAAUGCAAAUUAUUCGACAGGAUUCAAAUGUUACAAGAUGCUAAAUCCCCUAUUCCUUCAUGAUUAAAUGCCAAUACAAAUUUACUGAAAGAAAAGGAGCCAUGCACGAAAUUAUUGCAUCUGCUGCAAGAAGAGAUUUUCUCAGCGUAGAAGAAGAGAGUGCUUCUUUUGAUAAACUGGAAUGCAUUUUCCACCAAUACAGAUUGGCGUUUUACUUGAAUGUUUCUAAAUCAAUGCUGGGUUUUUCUUUUUUGUUCUUUAUUACUUUUUUUGAGAAAAUAAUUUAAAAUGUCCCUCAUAUUUCGUUAGAUGAAUUUAUUUGCCCCUCACUUUAAAAUAUUGAUUUUAUGUUCUUUAUAAAAUCAAGGCGGCCAAAUUUAGCUGCAAUUUGGGUUUUUGACCACCAAAUACAUGAAGAGAUUCACACGUGAUCAUUGUUUUGGGUGCAAAAACUGCAUUUUUUUCAAAAAUUAAAAGAAACUUCAAAAAAUCGGAAAAGAAUAUCAGUAAGGAGGAGUGAGAUGUAAAAAACAGGAAUUUUAAACCUAAGACCUCUAAUGCUAGUAUUCUCAACCUUAAUUAAUUGACCAAGGCCUCUUCCUUAUAUAAAAGGCUCAUCUCAUGAAGAAGAAUGCAAAUUAUUUGACAGGUUUCAAAUGUUACAAGAUGCUAAAUCCCCUAUUCUUUCAUGACUAAAUGCCAAUACAAAUUUACUGAAAGAAAGAGGAGGCGCGCAAGAUCGCUGGUGUAGUUGUCAAUUUUUGAACACUUUUUUAGGUUUUUUUGCCGUGAACUAUCACCCAAGUCCCUUAUUGAAUUUGCAUUUUCUUUUCAAUCAUGCGCGCCGAGCGUGCCAAUAGGCAGUCAAUAUUCCCGCCUGCCUGAAGGGAAAUGUCACCCAUAUAGCCAUCAUUUCUGGGCAUUAAUGUGAUUUCAUUAAAUUUUUGGACCGAAUCUUUGUGUUGUUAAACAUUUUAUUCAUCCAUCUUGGGGAAAAAAGUGUAUAGUAUAUCUUAAGUUCAGAGUGAUAAAGUGUUACUCAGGUCUCAUUCCCAAGUUCGUGAUGUAAUCAAAGUGUAAUCAACCCUUAAAUUCAUUCAUCACAUCACUCUCUAUAUUCACAACAACAAAUCACAAGUUUUGGCCGGCUGAGACGAAGAGAAUAAAAAGACUGUGCCGUGAUGCGGUUCAGCUAAGAAUCAAAUGAAUUCCAAAAGUAAAGGCAUUAUUUAGGGGCCAACAGGGUUUCCCAUCGAGCAUUUUAAUUAGCCAAAAUCACUGCAAAACAGACAAUCCAACUGACGACACCAUAUAUAUAGAAAACCCAUAAAGCUAACUGGAAACUGCAUGACACUUUUUUGUUCAGUCAAUUUUUCAGAAAUCUAAAUCAAUAUCUCUGAUGAACUAAUGUUUUUUUAUAUGUGUUGAAUGUUGUUUGGUUUAGUAAAUUAUCAUUCCAGCGAGUAGUUGCUUUACGCUAAUGCUGGGGGCCCUUGGGGUGUUUAAAAAGUCUACUCCUUGAUAUUUAAAAAAUACUGGGAAAAUGAUGGGCACAGCUAACAUUUCCAGCUAAAAUAUUAACAAUGUAUAAUACUAGCAGGAGAAAAUAAAAUAUAUAUAGAAAUGGAUGGGUGACGGUGGAGUCUCAAUUGUUAAUGUGUUAUUGUGUCAGGGCGGCGGCUUUGGCACCAACAAAUUAUCCAAAACAAAUCCUAAACAAAUCAUGAGUUUAGGAAAUGUAAGAAGCAUUUAAGAAGCAUGAGUUUUGAACGGAGGACCUCUAAUUUUUGUAGUUUCAAUCUUACCUAAUUGACCAAGGUCUUUUCCCCAUAUAAAGGCACAUCUCAUGAAGAGGAAUGCAAAUUAUUGGACAGGAUUCAAAUGUUACAAGAUGCUAAAUCCACUAUUCCUUCAUGAUUAAAUGCCAAUACAAAUUUACUGAAAGAAAAAGGUGCCACGCAAGAAAUUAUUGCAUCUGCUGCAAGAAGAGAUUUUCUCAGCAUAGAAGAAGAGAGUGCUUCUUUUGAUAAACUGGAAUGCAUUUUCCACCAAUACUGAUUGGCGUUUUACUUGAAUGUUUCUAAAUCAAUGCUGAGUUUUUCUUUUUUGUUCUUUAUUACUUUUUUUUUUAGAAAAUCAUUUAAAAUGUCUCUCAUAUUUCGUUAGAUGAAUUUUUUUGUCUCUCACUUUUAAAAUACUGAUUUUAUGUUCUUUAUAAAAUCAAGGCGGCCAAAUUUAGCUGCAAUUUGGGUUUUUGACAACUAAAUAUGCAACGUGGCCAUUGUUUUAGGUGCAAAAACUGCAUUUUUUUUUUCAAAAAUUAAAAGAAACUUCAAAAAAUUAGAAAAGAAUAUCAGUAAGGAGGAGUGAGACGUAAAAAGCGGGAACUUUAACCCUAAGACCUCUAAUGCUUGUAUUCUCAACCUUAGUCGACCAAGGCCUCUUCCUUAUAUAAAAGGCUCAUCAUCAUGAAGAAGAAUGCAAAUUAUUUGACAGGUUUCAAAUGUUGCAAGAUGCUAAAUCAAUAUCUCUGAUGAACCAAUGUUUUAACUGGAAACUGCAUGAGACUUUUUUGUUCAGUCAAUUGUUCAGAAAUCUAAAUCAAUUUCUCUGAUGAACCAAUGUUUUUUUAAUGUGUUGAAUGUUGUUUGGUUUAGGAAAUUAUCAUUCCAGCGAGUAGUUACUUUACGCUAAUGCUGGAGCCCCUUGGGUUGUUUAAAAAGUCUACUCCUUGAUAUUUAAAAAAUACUGGAAAAAUGGUAAAAUAUUAACAAUGUAUAAUACUAGCAGGAGAAAAAAAAUAUAUAUAUAUAUAUAUAUAUAGAAAUGGAUGGGUGACGGUGGAGUCUCAAUUGUUAAUUUGUUAUUAUAUUAGGGCGGCUUUGGCCAUCUCAAUUAUUACCGCUGCACCAGGGAAUGUAUGCAGAAAAAUCCUAAACAAAUCAGCCAAUGAGGGUUUCUCAGCUUAGAAAGAAGAGCGCUGCUUCUUUUGACAAACUUGCAAAUGCAUUCUCCACAGUACCAACUAACAUUUCCGUCUAAAAUAUUACCAACAACAAAACUACUUUUCCGUAUAUAGGACUCUCAAUUGUUAUUAUAUCAUAUUAGGGCGCUUGGCCAUCUCAACUAUUGCACCUCCAGACAAAAAAAAUCUAAAGAAAUUAUCCAAUGAUGAGAGUGAAACGAUGAGAGUGAGUGCUCGGAUCAGGAUGAGUUUUGCAGCAUGGAAGGUAUUAGUAGCAUCGCGGGGUUGAAAUGAUGAGUUAUGCGAAAAAUCCGAAGGAUAUUUCGUCAUGCCUUCUGCAAACAAAUAGCACCAGCAAGCGCUAGCAGUUUUGUGCUAGCGUAGUGAGAGCCUGCAGGGUCACGCUAAGCUCCAUUUUAAAUAUUUUUAAUAAUUUUUAUUUCGUGCAUUUCUCUAAUAUUUUUUUUUUACAUUUAUUAAAGCGAAAUGUUCAAUUUAUACAUUUUAAAUAGGGAUAGUUUCACAAACUUCCCUUGAAGUUUUUGACAAUUUUAUUGUGCUGCUUGAAGGUUUUAAAACUUACCUCCCUUAUCGACAUAAAACGACAACACUAAUGUUAACAUUUUAAUAAAACUCCCAUAUUGGGUGUGCAUAUAUAAAGAAUGGGAUUUAUAAUUAUUUUUUCUUUUUCUUUUCCAUUUCUCUUCUUAUUCUUUCUUUUUAUAUUUUUGCUAGUGAAAUGAUAGAAAACCGUAAUCACCAACUCUAAAUGUUGAAUUACCGACUUUUUUUUAACAACUUUGAAUGCCAUCCAAUUUUUAUUUGUCAAUAUUUUUUUUUCAAUCAAAAGGAACACUAACUCAAAAAGAAAUGCUCAAAACGACUACCAAAAUAUGGUAAUUCCAUCAAUCUAAAAUGCAGUAUGAUGAUGAUAAUUUCUUCUUCAAUUUAGAAAGAAAAUGUAUCCCUUGUAAAGCACCAUUCUAUCAUAAUGUGAAGCUAUUGGUCGUAAAUGCUUAUCAAACAAUAGAUUUGGUAAUGAAAACUUCACACUCUUUCCUUAUAUGUGUGCUAAGAAUUGCUUUGGAAAGUAAUUAAUCUUUAUAAUCUAAGGGUAUUUGUUGACAAAAUUUAAACCAAGCCAUUUAGAAGUUUGUAUCGUAGUUUUAGAAUUAGAUUUAUUAUAUAGUAACUAGAUUAAAAUUGAUAUCAAAGUUGGUUUAGAAAAUAGAGUUGAGUUAUAUUUUAGUGUUAGAAUUAGAAUAGAUUUAGUAAUAUAUGUAUCUAUAUAUGGAGUCCUCCAAGUCGUACAUUUAUAAUUGAGGAAAAUUAGCAUCAAGAGAAUAAAAUUCUAAAUCCUCGCCUGCCCAUUUGUUCGUUAUUCAUACUUUUUUUUUUUUUUUUUGUAGUUGCUAACAUUAUUGACAGUUUGAAGGCCCCAUAUUCACAGCAACAAAUCACAAGCUUAGGCUAGCGGAGACAGAGAGAGUCAAAGGAGAUUGCCAUGAUGAUGUAUUAUUUCAACAAGGAAUCCAAGGAUUUUCAAAUGUGAAAAAAAAAAUACUGGAAAAAAUGGAAGGUACAAGUACAACUGGCAUUUCCACAUAGAAUAUUAGCAAUUACACCGGUUGAAAAAUUACAGAAGUGCAUGGCUAUAUCGAUUAUUGCACCUAAAACACAACAAGUGUGUACAGAAAAAAUGUAAAGAAAUUAUUGCUUCUCAGCGAAGAAGAAGAUUGCUUCUCUUCACAAACUCGAAUACAUUUUCCACCGAAGUUGGUUGGAGUUUUACUUGAACGUUUCUAAAUAAAUGCAGGGUAUUUCUUGUUCUUUAUUUUUUUUUUUGGCCAAAUUUUUGUUUGUUUUGUGCUUAAAUGCUGGGCCUUUUGUUCCUCGAAUCUUGCUUGGUUUUAGUUAAUUAUGGUUACAGAGACUACUUAGUUUACGCUAAUUCUGGGGCCUUGGGAUGCUCAAAAAGUCUAGUUCUUGGUAUUUGAUAGGUUGCAAUUUUAUCAUUUAUUUUAUUAUUAAUUUUUCCUAUUACCUGACCUAAUGUGGAUUAAUUGCUAGAUUUUACUCACUUUUGAUAUUUUGCAUUUGUUUCAGGGAGUAGAACGAAAAAAUAAUAACAGGUGCUAAUUUGGCAAGAAAAGAGUUCAGAUGAUAGAGUUUGUCCUAGGGGCAUUUUUGGAACAACAAAACGUGAGCCCUUGUUGGGCAAAUUGGGCCGAAGUCUUCAUUUUUCCGCACAGGAGCCGCCGCAAGGAGCACUACUUUAUAUAGGAAAAUUGCGAAGGAAAAAAGGAGUCUUCUUCUUCCUCUCCGGAAGGAGGCCGCCGCACAAGGCAGAAGCAAUAGAGAGGACGGACGACUGGAUUGUUUCUUUAGCUUUGACUUUUCUUUUGGUUCUGGAGUAGCUUUUCCUUCUUCAUAAUUAGGACCUUUAGUCUAUAGCUUUGACUUCUCUUUUGGUUCUUAGUAGCUUAGCUCACGUAUGUGAGAGGCAAAUGAGAGCAAUUGAAAGAUUCCUUGUAGUUUUUUUCUUUUGACUUUUCGUUGUGGUCUGUGGUGGAUUCCUCCUGCCGCAUGAUGGCCGCGACUGAUGCUCCGAUUUUGCAUGGGUUUUCCUCAUCAAUAAUGAGCUAAACCCUUUUUCUAGUCAAGGAGCAACGAAUGCUUUGGGUCAUCUAAAAUUGUGAGAUCGAUUUAAUUUUAUCUUUUUCUUUAUUUAUUAGUAUUCGCAUAUUCCUUGGUUGCAGUGCUUAUGAUUGCUUAAUUAAUUGAUUGUUUUGGAUCCGGAUAAUUAGUUAAUUUGAUAAUCUAUUGUCAAUUGGGACAUUAAAUCCGUAAUUGUUUAAUUGUCUCAAAAUAGUGAUAACUGGCAUGAUUGGAUUCGUGUCAGGGGGAUACGCGGGCUAAUCUGAAAUAACCCUGGUAGUGCGUUAUUUGGUUAGAAUAGGGCUCCUCUAAUACGUAAGGCAAUUGGGGAAUUAAAUUCUAUGGGCGUACCUAGGAUUAUUUCUCAAUUAGAGCAGUGAUUAACGGACGUAACUUAAUCAUCGACACAGUAAGGAGGGGUUGACAGUCAUCGCUUGUUUGGCAGUUAUAACCUAUUUAUUGAUAAAUAAUUGGAAUUGCCUUUAUUUCAAUGAUCAAUUAGGUGAACCAUUGCUGAAGUUAUUUCUUGGUUAGAUCCUUAAUUAUCACUCAUUUGAUUUUAGUAAUUUGUUACUUAAUUUUUAGUAGUUUUUUUUAGAUUUUAUUUGAAUUUCUUCGAUUGUCACCCCUGAUAUAAAAACACCCCCCUUGUCACUGUGAAUUUGAAAAGGAACAAUUACUCCCAGUCCCUGUGGAUUCGACCCUGCUCACCGCUAUCUACAGAAAUUACUUUUAGUUUGAGCAGGUUUUAUUAUUGCACAAGUUUCGACAACCUGUCAGUAUUUAAAUAAAUAAAUAAAUAAAAAGCUGAAAACAAAGGUACGUACAGUACAAAUGUACAACUGUCAUUUCCACCUAAAAUAUUAGCAAUAACGAUAGUAGACAAAUUCUCAAUUGUAUAUUAGGGCGGCUUUGCUAUUUCAAUUAUUGCACCUAAAACAACAAGAAGUGGUCUUCUCAGCGUAGAAGAAGAGAGUGCUUCUUUUACUCUUAUGUUUCCAAAUCAAUGCUGGGUUUUUUUUUGUUCUUUAUUACUUUUUUUUUGGAAAAAUCAUUUAAAAUGUUCCACACAUUUCAUUAGAUGAAUUUUUUUCGUCUAUCAUUUUUAAAAGGGAAAAUUUCACUUUAUCUCCUGUGAUUUAGUGUUUUUUUUACAUAACCCCCCUAUGAUUUUAAAAACUAUACAUAACCCUCUCAUAAUUUGGAUGAAAGUGUCAAAGUAAUGGAAAUGGUCUUUCGUAAUAGAAUCAUUUAAAAUGUCAAAAUAGCCUUAUGUAAAGUUGAAAAUUUUUUAUUGAUCAAGGGGGGUUAUGUGUAUAUUCCUAAACCAUAAGGGGGUUAUAUGGUAAAAUAUUAAACCAUAAAGGAAUUAUAUAGUAAAAUAUAAAAAUCACACGGAAUUAGUGUGUCAUGUAUUUAUAAGGGUAAUUUCGAUAUUAUCAAAAGUUUCAUUAUGAAUGACUAUCUCCGUCAUUUUGACACUUUAAUUCAAACCAUAAGGAGGUUAUGUACAACUUUUGAAAGCACCAUUAAAAGCAUUCUAUCAUAAUGUGAAGCUAUUGGUCGUAAAUGCUUAUCAAACAAUAGAUUUGGUAAUGAAAACUUGACACUCUUUCCUUAUAUUUGUGCUAAGAAUUGCUUUAGAAAGUAAUUAAUCUUUAUAAUCUAAGGGUAUUUGUUGAUAAAAUUUAAACCAAGCUAUUUAGAAGUUUGUAUAGCAGUUUUAGAAUUAGAUUUAUUAUACAGUAACUAGAUUACAAGUGAUAUCAAAGUUGGUUUAGAAAAUAGAGUUGAGUUAUAUUUUAGUGUUAGAAUUAAAAUAGAUUUAGUACAACUGGCAUUUCCACAUAGAAUAUUAGCAAUUACACCAGUUGAAAAAUUACAGAAGUGCAUGGCUAUAUCGAUUAUUGCACCUAAAAUACAACAAGUGUGCACAGAAAAAAUGUAAAGAAAUUAUUGCUUCUCAGCAAAUCAUGAGGGGAUUAUGUAUAACUUUUGAAACUAUAAGGGGGUUAUGUAGAAAAACACUAAACCACAAGGGGAUAAAGUGUAAUUUGCCCUUUUUAAAAUAUUGAUUUCAUGUCGUUUACAAAAUCAAGGCAGCCAAAUUUAGUUGCAACUUGGGCUUUUGACCACUGAAUAAAUGAAGUGAUCCACUACGUGAUCAUUGUUUUAGGUGCGAAAACUGUAUUUUUUCUAGAAAUUAAAAGAAACUUCAAAAAAUUGAAAAAAAAAAUACUAGCAAGGAGGUGUGAGAUGUAAGAAACAUUUAAGUAGCAGGAGUUUUAAACCCAGGACCUUUAAUUCUUGUAGUUUCACCUUUAACUAAUUGACCAAGUCUCUUUCCCACAUAAAGGCUACCAUUUCUGGGCAUUAAUGUGAUUUCAUUAAAUUUUUGGACCGAAUCUGUGUUGUUAAACAUUUUAUACAUCCAUCUUGGGGACCAAAUCGUAUAUAUCUUUUUUUUUUUUAAAAAUAAAUUGUAUAUAUCUUAUGUUCAAAAGGAUAAAGUGUUGCUCAUGUGUAUAUCUUAAGUUCAAAGGGAUAAAGUGCUACUUAUGCCUCACUCCCAAGUUCGAUAUGUAAUCAAAGUGUAAGCAGCCCUAAAAUUCAUUCAUCAUUCUCUGUACUCACAACAGCAAGUCACAAGCUUUGGCCAGCUGAGAGCCUGAGACAGAGAGAAUAAAAAGACAGUGCUGUGAUGCGGUUCAGCUAAGAAUCAAAUGAAUUCCAAAAGUAAAGGCAUUAGUUAGGGGCCAACAAGGUUUCCCAUUGAGCUUUUUAAUCAGCCAAAAUCACUGCAAAACAGACAAUCCAACUUACGACACCAAAUAUAUAGAAAACCUAUAAAGCUAACUGGAAACUGCAUGACGCUUUGUUCAGUCAAUUGUUCAGAAAUCUAAAUCAAUAUCUGCGAUGAACCAAUGCUUUUUAUAUGUGUUGAAUGCUGCUCGGUUUAGUAAAUUAUCAUUCCAGCGAGUAGUUGCUUUACGCUAAUGCUCGGGUUGUUUAAAAAAGUUUACUCCUUGACAUUUAAAAAAUACUGGGAAAAUAUAGUGAGAACCGAUUGGUGAUUGCCAGGAUGCUUUGUUGAUCUCAGAUUGGUGAUUUCCUUGUAUGUAUGUCGCUUGCUAGGAUGCUUUUUGCUAUCACGUUAUAAAGAUGGAGAUGGACAGAAGGGUUGAGGCUUUCGUCAAAGUUUUGGUGAGAACCGAUUUAUUUAUUUAUUUUUCAAAUUUAGAAUGGGACUGUGGGUUGCCGGUGGUAUGAAAUGAAGUAUGGUGGAGCCACUAAGAGAGCUAUGUAAUUUACCCAAUUUAUAAAGGGUUAUAUGUAAUUUACCCAAUUCGGAAUGGGCUUCUUCCCCGGUUUUAGGUAAUUAUAUUGUUUAAACUAUAUUUGAAACAUGACAUUGAGUAAGUAGGAAUAGCAUGACAUUGAGUAUGGUCGCGCAAUCUGUUUUGUCACAAUGGAAGAGACCUCCUGCGGGCUAUGUUAAAGCUAACUUUGACGGGGCUAUCUUUGUUGAGGGUGACAUUUCAGGUAUUGGAGUUGUCAUUAGAGAUGCCGAGGGUAAUUUCAUGGCAGGAUUGGCAAAGCAAAUUCCAGGAAUUUUUGCACCAGAGGUUAUUGAAUCUUAUGCUGCAAAGGCCGCGGUUGAGUUGUUAUUGGAUCUACAUUUGCCCAUGAUUAUUCUUGAGGGUGAUUGUCUAAAAGUCGUUAAAAUGCUUCAAACUACAGAGACAGAUGCAUCAGCUUGUGGAAUGCUGGUAGAUGAUAUUCUCAGAGAUAUACAAAGCUUUGCAACAUGGGAAGCAUCAUGGGUGCCUAGACAGCUGAACAAUGUCAUGCGUCGUGUUGCUAAAUAUGCUUGUUCUAUUUCUAAUGGCUGUAUAUGGAGGGACUUCCCUCCAGAUUUUAUUGUUACCGCGCUUGCUGCGGACAUCAUCUCAGAUUAAUAAUAUUUUUGUCACUUUCUAUCCAAAAAAAAAAAAAACUAUAUAAGAUAUUUGUUAUCGAUUUCUUUGUUUCCUAAAACACAAGAAGUUUUUCAUUCCUAAUAUGUAUCUUGUUUAAUUAAUUGUUUCAGUGAUUUUUAAAAGAUAUUAGCAAAGAAUUUUAGAUCCAAUUUGGUGCAGUUCUCCUUUGACAAACUGAAUCGGAUGCUUUUGCUACGGAAGUCGAUUCGCAUUUUCAAUUCACCUUUCUUAAUGUUAUGGUCGUUGCUGGGAUUCUUCAUCUGCUUUUGAUCCGCACGCUUAAAGAAAAUGCCAAUCAUCAUUGAGACUCUUAAUAAAUCUCACGAUGAAUAAUUUCAUCUAAAUGGCUGGUCCCUGGUGGAUCAGAUUUCAAACAUAAUUUAAGUACGCCUUACUUUUUGUUUUCUUUCUGCAGAGGAUUAUACUGUGGCAGUGUGGCUUAAAAUCCUCCAAUUUCUUUAAAAUUCAGAGACACCCAGAGUUCUCCAUUUCCUUUUGUGCUUUUGCAACAUUAAUUACCUCAUUCUCUAAUCGUUGGGAAAUAGGCUAAAAACUGAAAAAAAAAAUAAUAAUAAUCGCUAGUUUAGUUAUCAAAAACAUGAAGUGGAGUUAGUAAUCGGGCUUGACACGCAGCUACAUAAUUGGUCAGUAAUUGCGUGCUUUCUUAGCUUUUACAAUUGCGAAAUUUUCAAAAUAGUCUCUUGUAUUUCCAAAAGUUCUCUAGUGAUAGGGUGCAAAAUUACUAUUCAAUUUAUGAUUAUUUCCCCUUGAUUGUAACCAAAUAUUGUUUUAAUUAAUGGAUUCUAUUUAUAUUUGGUUAAUUGUGCUAAUUGUAGGAAAAUGAGCAAAACGUGAUUAAAAGGGAUAAUUUUCAAGUAAAUUUGGUGAUAGCACGAUCAGGACCUGCUUUCAAAUCUAGAAGACUCAAGAAUUUUCUACGUGGAGGUUUCCUAAUUUGAGUCAACUAUGAACAGCUUUUGAAAGAUUUGGGAAGACGUUAAUUAUAUCCUUUCCUUAUACUAUAUAAGAAUGAGUUUAGGGUUUGAAUUUCAACCGCAAGGGUGGGGCUUUUUUGGAAAUGUGAGAGUGUUUGAAGUGCAAUUAGAGUAUUGAAUAUGAGUCAUUAUAACUAAUUUAGUUUUGUUGUAAUUACUUAGGUGUCCUUUUAAACAUUUAAAGUUAGGGAUAAGUUUGAUAUGUGACAUUGUUUGAUAUCCGAUUGAACAUUGGGUACAACUGAAUUCAGCUUGUGUUUUAGUGAAAUUACAUAAAAGCCCUUCUAAUCAUUUAAUUUUAUUAACAUCUAAGUCUUUUAAUUUCUUAAAGCCUUUCUCAUCAGUUAUUUGCAAAGAUAUGAUAUAUAGAUGUUAAGACACAAUUAAUGUCAAUUAGUAGAGAAGUCUGGUUUUUUGGCCGUUAUCAUAGUAACCUCCAUCUAUUCAAAUUCAUUUCAUUUGCUUAUAGGAUUUGUUCCACCACAGUCAUGCAGCAUAUUGAAUUCGGAUAUUGUUACAUUAGCUACUCUUCUUCCCUAUUUUGCAACACUUUUUUCAAUAGGUAUGUUUUCUUUAACCAAUCUACUUUUUGGUUGUAAAAAAUCUGUAAUAUUGCAAGUUGUAUGUGCAAUAAUUUUUCAGUAUUUUAAUUCAAUUGCUCAUGUUAGACAAGCUUGAUAAGGGAGAGACCACAUUUGUUAAUUGUUAUUUAUGGUUUUAAAUAAGUUUAUCAUCAUAAAUUUUCCCAUUUAUAGAUUGCAUCUACUUCUUUUGUUGUUUUAACUAUUAGUUGGGGUAAUUUUCAAAUCGUUUGCUACUUUAUUAACUAUUCCAUUUAGACAAUUUUUCACUUCAUCUGAUUUGCUAAUAUGUUUAACUAUCUACUUAAAACUAUUUGGCUACAAAUCUAAAGUAUGUACCUCAUUACUUUUAAUUGUUUUUCUUAAAUUGAGUGGAUUAAGAUGCUUUAGUACUUUUUUGAGGUAAUUAUUCCUCUAAAUUAGUAUGUUAGUUGUUGUAUAUCUUUGCAACUAACACAAAACUGAUAUUUCAUGAUUGUAACCCCUAUCGAGAAGGAGAUGUUUUGUUAUAUGUCCUAAAUCAUACAAUAAAUUAUAAUUAAUUACUUGCUCAAUGUGAAGGCCUCGUGAUGAUAUAUGUCCUUGGAAUCAAUAUAAAUUCAAGAAUUUUGCUUGCAAGAACCGAAAUUCUACUAGCAAUGAUAUCUUCAAGUAUGCUAAUUGUUCAAAUCUCACUUAUAUGAUAAGAUAAUGUGGUAGAUUGCCCUCAUAGUAAGAUCGAAUUCAAACUAAAUAACAAAUUUUAAUAUCCCUAAAGUGCAUGAGCCGAUAUAAAUAGGUCUUUUAUUAUACUAGGUUAGAUGCAAAGUAGUUGAUCAUAUCUUAUAAUUAUGUUUUAUUGCAAAUUAUAUUUUUUAACUCAAUAUGUAACUUAUGAUUUUUUUUAUUUAAUAUCACAGAAUAAAAUUGUCAUAUUUCAAUUCUUAUACUAGAAAAUGCCAAAUAAUAAUUAUUAACCAUCUUUAAUUAUAGGCACUAAACUCCCACGCAUUGUGUGGGCUUUUCCCCCUAGUUUAUUAGUAGUAGUAUUACAUUAGGAAACAUGAAAUAUUAUCUUUUGUAUUUUCUUUUUCUAAUUAGCCAAUGUGCUUUUAUUAUUAAUAGUAGAUAUCAAGUAGAAAAUUGAGGGAGAGAAAAAGCCGGCAUUUCGCGUGAUUAAUACUUCGGGAAGCUGUCACGAUCUCAAGGAUAAUUCUGGAAUUGUGGAAAUCAGGGUCAAUUGAUUGGGAAAGAUCAGGGAAUUGGGGAAGAACAGAAGAGAGGAAAUAAGAGAAAUGGAGAGAGAGAGAAAGAAGAAAGGAGUGAAGGAAAUCAGAAGAAUCAAAUGCAAUUUCGUAAUCCUUUCUUACACGCGGGCCCCAGUUAUAACCAACUCUAACAACCUGACAUUAGCUAAUAGCUGAUUUAACCGCCUAACUGUCUGACUAAGUGGAACGGUACCGUUUGGAAUGCUUAAUAAGCUCUGGAACGGCAUCGUUUAACUAAUCAACUGACUAAACUAACUAAUGCUCAAUUGAGCCCCUUAUUACGCCUGAGAACAUGAAUUUUGCAGCCUGACAAUCCCUUUCCCUUAAAAACAGACUUGUCCUCAAGUUUGGAAAGCAGUGAACUGGUUUUCAAUGAAGGAUUUAUCCUCCUAAGAAGCUUCUUCAGGUUCUAGCUGCUCCCAUUUAAUCAAGAACUGAAUGAUAGUCUGCCCAUUGCGCAAAAUGACUCUUCUGCUCAGUAUUGCUUCUGGCUACAGGGGGCAUUGAUCGUGUGUGUCCAAUUCUGGAAGCUUGGUAGAACUACCUUGCAUUGGCCUUAUUUUUCUCUUCAGCAGUGAAAUGUGAAACACAGGGUGUACUCUAGUACCUGCUGGCAGCUUCAAUCUGUAGACCACUGUGCCAACUUUCUCCUCCACCUGGAAGGGCCCAAAGUAUUUAGCAGACAGCUUGAGACAUUUUCUUACUGCCACAGUUUGUUGUCUAUAGGGUUGAAGCUUCAGAAAUACCCAAUCUCCCACGACAAAUUCUCUCUCAAUUCUGUGUUGGUCAGCAAAGUGUUUCAUCCUUUGUUGAGCCUUGGCCAAGUUGUCCUUUAUGCAGUUAGAGAUCCUGUUUCUUUCCUGGACCAUAUUGGAAGCUGCCGGGACUACCGAAUCUAAAUAAGGUCCUAAUGGUAGUGGCAAGGGUUUAUAUCCAAACAGAGCUUCGAAUGGUGUCAUAUUGAGGCUAGAGUGAUAGGUAGAAUUGUACCACCACUCAGCCAUGGACAGCCAUUUGCUCCAUUGUGAUGGCAUUUCUCCUGUCAUGCAUCUCAAGUAGUUCUCCACACAUUGAUUCAGCCUCUCGCUUUGACCAUCAGACUGAGGAUGGUAAGAAGAUGUAUAGCGUAGUUCUGUUCCUAGCACCUUGAAUAACUCCUUCCAAAAUCCACUGGUGAAAAUCAUAUCCCUGUCUGUGAUGAUGGAUUCAAGUAAACCAUGCAUUAUGUAUAUGUUGUCCAGAAACACUUGUGCGACCCCUUUGGCAGUGAAUGGGUGAGUGAGUCUAACAAAAUGUCCAAACUUAGUGAACCUAUCAAUCACCACCAGUAUAGUGUCAAAACCUUGUGACUUGGGUAGCUUCUCAAUAAAAUCCAUGGAAAUGUGAGUCCAGGCCUGGGUGGGAACUGGAAUUGGUUGCAACAGACCAGGAUAUGGUACAUUCUCAGACUUACUCCUUUGACAGGUAUCACAGCUACGAACAAAAGUUAUCACCUCCUGUUUCAUCCCUGGCCAAUAAAACAGUGACUUAAUCCUCUGCCAGCAGCCUUUUUGUCCUGAAUGCCCUCCCAGUGCUGAGGCAUGCAGCACCUGAAGGAUCUGGUUCCUGAUGUUAUUGGCACCUCCCACAUAAAUUUUUCCUUGGUAUCGUAGCACUCCAUCCACCAGAGUGAAGCCAUUAUGAGAAUUGGGAUCCAGUAGUAGCUGAGCCAUGAUGUUUUGACAGUGUUCAUCUAGUUCAUAGCUUUUCUGCAGUUCCUCAAUCCACCCUGGUCUCACUGCAGAGAUAGCUAAGCAUGUCUUGGGAAAAAGAUCUGAAACAGCUUCCUGCCUCCUAGAUAAAGCAUCUGCAACCUUAUUUUCAGCUCCCUUUUUAUACUGUAUCUCAUAAUCCAAUCCCAUGAGUUUUGUCAUCCACUUAUGUUGGAGAGCAGUGUUCAAUUUCUGAUCCAACAGAUACUUUAAUGACUGAUGAUCAGUUCUGAUAACAAAAUGACUCCCAACCAGAUAAUGCCUCCAUUUAGUGACUGCCAUCACUAGAGCAAGUAGCUCCUUUUCGUAUACUGACAGUCCCAAAUUCCUGGGUGACAAUGCCUUGCUCAGAAAAGCAAUGGGGUGUCCUUCCUGCAUCAGAACUGCCCCAAUACCACCCCCACUGGCAUCUGUUUCAACUACAAAUGCCUUGGUAAAAUAUGGUAAUGUAAGAACUGGGGCUGAGCACAUCAACUCCUUCAAGUGCUCAAAGGCUGCCUGUGCUUUUUCACUCCACCUGAAACUAUCUUUCCUGAGCAGUUCAGUCAGAGGCUUGAACACCUGGCCAUAAUGUUUUACAAACCUUCUGUAGUAGCCCGUUAAUCCCAAGAACCCCCUUAAUUCCUUUACAGUUUGAGGUACAGGCCACUGUAAUAUGCUACUGACCUUGGAGUCAUCCAUGCUAACUCCCUUGUCAGUAAUAGUAUGUCCCAGAUAGUCUACCCUCCUCUGAGCAAAUGCACACUUGGACUUCUUCACAAACAGUUGAUUAUCCCUCAGCAGAUUCAACACAAGUCUCAAAUGCUGGAUGUGAUCCUCUAAGGUGGGGCUGUAUAUUAAGAUAUCAUCAAAGAAGACCAAGACAAAUUUCCUCAAAUAAGGUUGAAAUAUCUGAUUCAUCAACGAUUGGAAGGUUGCAGGAGCAUUGGUAAGGCCAAAAGGCAUUACCAGAAAUUCAAAGUGACCACAAUGGGUCUGGAAGGCUGUUUUGAAAGAGUCCUGUGGUUUGACCUUGAUCUGAUGGUACCCUGCUGUCAAAUCCAGUUUGGUUUUGAAUACAGAUCCUGCUAAUUCAUCCAGUAAUUCAUCCACGUUGGGUAUUGGAAAUCUAUCCUUGACAGUGAGCUCAUUCAGCUUUCUGUAAUCUACACAGAAUCUCCAAGUGCCUUCUUUCUUCUUGACCAACAACAUAGGAGAGGCAAAGGGACUGUUGCUGUGUUUGACAAUGCCCUUCUGCAGCAUUUCAGUCACUUGCCUCUCUAUUUCCUCCUUGUGACAAUGAGGGUAUCUAUAAGGUUUGAGUUUGAAGGGUUGGGCAUCUGGUUUAAGGGGUAUUUCGUGGUCUACACUUCUGCUUGGGGGUAGUGACUGUGGUGAUUGGAAUACAUCCUCAAACUCCUGUAGCAGCUGGUGCACUUCCAGAGGGGUGGUAUCCAAUCUGCUCUCUUCACGCUGUUGAGAACUCAUGGCCAGACACAUCUGCCUUUUGUAUUCAAUAAAGGUCCUCAAGUCUUUGCCUCUGAUCAAGUCCAGGUCACAGUUAUCUGCUUGUCCAUGUAGAUGAAUUUCCCCUCCUUCAUGGUGCAAUGAAAUCUUAAGUUGUUGGAAAUCAAAAGUAAUGGGACUAAAGUGUGUCAUCCAAUCUACCCCCAAUAUGAUAUCCCAUCCUCCUAGUUCCAUCGCCUUAAGAUUAAACCUGAAGUGGUGCUGAUUGAUACUCCACUGCACACCUGGACAUACAGCAUUGCUGGUGACACAAGCUCCAUUACCCAUGAUAACAGAGAAGGGUUGAUCCACCCACUGGUAUUUGAUAUCCAUUCCAAAAACCAGCUCACUGUUGAUAAAACUAUCAGAACUCCCAGUGUCCACUAGGAUGGACACCUCUUCUCCAUUCAAGACCCAUGUGAGUGUGAUGGUUUUCCUCUUUAAUGCCUCAGAUAAAGCAUUCAAGGACAGUUCCAUUAUCUGUCCAGGAUUUCCUGUUUGCUCAUCCUGUUCCCCCAGAGCAUCUUUAAAGGUAGCUUCCUCCUCUUCUUCCAGUAUCAUGCAGUUCGUGUGGCCUACCUUACACUGAUGUCCUACCCCAUAUCUGUCCCCACACUUGAAACAGAGUCCAUUAGUUCUCCUAAACUGCAUUUCUUGUGCAGAAAGUCUCCUAGUAUCCUUAGUACUUUCCUGUAAAUUUCCCAGCUUAACAGGUUUAUGGCUGUUGUAGAAGGGAACCUUAUAUGAAGUAGCUCCUUGAUUUGUUGUAGUGCUUCGUGUCAACCCCAGUCUGUUUUCUCCUAGAGGUUUGACAUUCUCCUUGGUACUCUUAUGCUGCAAUUUCAAGGAGUAUUCUUGCCACUGAGACAGUUCAAAUGCUUGAGUCAGGGUCAGAGGUUUUAACAUUUUGAUCAUGGGCUUGAUUUCCUCCUUCAACCCACUAAUGAAACUAGAAAUGAAGUAAUUCUCAUCCAGAUUUUGAUUUUUAAUCAUCAUUAAGGCCUUCAACUCCUCAAACUUCUCCUGGUAAUCUUCAACAUUUCCUAACUGUUGCAGCUUAUUAAAUUUCUCCACUACAUCUUUACAAGUUCUAUCAUUAAAUCUGCGACAAAGCAGUUCUCCAAAUUCUUCCCAACUAAGCUUAGGUUUCUCAAUUUGUACUCCUUGAAACCACCGGUCAGCUUUGCCUUCUAGAUACAUCUCAAUUACAUCUACCUUGUGCUCAUCCGGCACUUGAUAAUUCAGGAAGUAUUUGUUACAUUUGCGCAACCAUUCUCUAGGAUUCUCUCCAGUAAACAUUUGCAGAUCAAUCUUAGGAGGAUUUGGAAGCUGGAACUUACCCCAAUCCUUCUUGAAGAUCCUUUGGCCCUCGCAAUCUACUGCCAACCUUUGAUGAGCUGGUGGAGUUGGUAGAAGUGGCAUUUGAUCUACCGUCCUGUUACCUCCUUCGGUCACCUUCUCCUUUCCAGGCGUCAUCUUCAGUAACAGCUCACUGAAUUUUUGCUCAAGAAGUUGGUUGACAUUCUGCUCCAUUCCCGAUAACAAGUUCUCCAUUCGUCUGUUGUUUUCUUCCAACUCCAUCUUCAAGUCUUUCCUAACCUGCUGGUGCUCAGCUUUGGACGCCUGCAGGGACUCUACAAGCUCCUGGAGCUUAGCUUCUUGCUUCCUUACCUGCUCUUCAAUGGUGCGGAAUCUGGUGCUCUCCGCCAUUGAUCGUGGUACAGUUUCCAAGGAUCGCUGCUCUGAUACCACUUUGUCACGAUCUCAAGGAUAAUUCUGGAAUUGUGGAAAUCAGGGUCAAUUGAUUGGGAAAGAUCAGGGAAUUGGGGAAGAACAGAAGAGAGGAAAUAAGAGAAAUAGAGAGAGAGAGAAAGAAGAAAGGAGUGAAAGAAAUCAGAAGAAUCAAAUGCAAUUUCGUAAUCCUUUCUUACACGCGGGUCCCAGUUAUAACCAACUCUAACAACCUGACAUUAGCUAACAGCUGAUUUAACCGCCUAACUGUCUGACUAAGUGGAACGGUACCGUUUGGAAUGCUUAAUAAGCUCUGGAACAGCAUCGUUUAACUAAUCAACUGACUAAACUAACUAAUGCUCAAUUGAGCCCCUUAUUACGCCUGAGAACAUGAAUUUUGCAGCCUGACAGAAGCAAGAAACGAGGGGGAGCCAUCGUGGCUAGUCCCGUGUCAAGGAGGGGAGCCGCUUGGCUUUUCUCUUAUUAUUCAGUUUCUUUAGUUUUUCUUUUUAUCAAAGACUUAUGCGGCUGGCUUUGAGAAAAAUCGUGUGAAUUGUUCGAAUUAGUCAUGUGCAACUAAGUUCUUUUUUUUAGUUAAGAAAUAACGAAAGAUUUGGUUCAUCUACAUCUGUGAGAUCUAACUAUUUUCAUCUAUUUCUCUUAUUUGUUAGUAUUCGUAUGUUUUUCGAUUUAAUUUCUCAUGGUUGUUUUGUUGUUUGGAUAUUAUGGGCACCUGAUAUUUAAUUCAACUUAACAAACUAAAGCCAAUUAACAUAGUUAAAUCUGUAAUUUUUUAAUUAUUUAAAUUAGUGGCGAUUAGCGUAAUUGGUGCCAUGUUAGGAAGACAUACGAUUUGAUUUAAAUAAAUCCCGGUAGUGUGUUUAUUGAUUAGAACAAGGGUUUUCUAGUUUCUAAUGCAAUCAAGAAAUUAAAUUUUAUGGGCGUACCUAGGGUUGUUUCUUGGUUAGAGAAGCAGUUAACGGACGUAUUUUAACUAUCGAGACACUAAGAAAAAACUGAUUGUUUAUCACGUGUAUGACAACUAUAACCUAAUUAUUAGCAAAUAAUUGAGAUAAUUAUUGCAUCGAUGAUCAGUUAUUUGAACCAUUUCCGGAGUUUUGUCUUUGGCUAGAGCUUGUCUAUUCUUAAGUUGAAUUUAAUUUGCUUUAGUUUAAUUAUUUUCAGUCACAUUGAUUAUUUACUUUAGUUUUAAUUCUCCAAACCCCCUCCCUCCCCCCCCCAACCUAUUAGCUUUUACUUAGAAAGAAAUAGAUUUUUUUUCUAAUCCCUGUGAAGACGACCAUUUUUGUCAUUAUACUCAUUUAUAUCUUUUUGUGAGUAGAAAUUUAUUAUUGCACAGGCAACACUCUUGUCAUCUAGCACUUUAAAACAUCAGUCAUUUUGAAGCAAAUGUCUUGUUUAUGUACAAUAUACAAAAAUUAAGUGGUGAAAAUUUGAGGAGUUUGUUUAUUAUGAAAAUUGGAGAUCCCUUGUAUUCAUCUUUGUUCCUCCAUUUCACAAUUAGUUUGCAUGCAUUUUAAUGGUGAAUUUGUCCACAAUUUAUAAUCAUUUAAUAAAGCGUUUUGUAAUGACAUCGAAAAUACACUUUGAUGGUAAUUGAGGCAACUCUCUUUUAAAUAGAUCAUGAAAAAGAAAAUGCUACAGCUGAUUGACAGUUUGAACUUUGGAGGCACCAUAUUCACAGCAACAAAUCACAAGCAUUGGUUUAUCCAGCUGAGACACGAAUAAAAAAGAUAGCGCCGAGAUGUGAUCCAGCUAAGAAUCAAAUGAAUUUCAAACGGCAGUAAUACUAAUUAGGGGCCAACAAGGUUUAUCCAAUAAGCUUUCUCGAUCGGCUUAGAAAAAAGAGUGCUGCUUCUUCUUUUGACAAACUUGCGCGCAAUUUCCUCCAAAGCUCCUACUCGGCGUUUCACUUGAAAGUUCCCAAGUCAGUGCUGGGCUUUUCUUACUGCUUUUUUUCCUUUUUCGAAUUGUUUGCUCCUUUUGCGCUCGAAUGCCGAGCCUUUUGAUUUGUGGAAAAAUAAUUUAGUGAGUAAAUUCCUGCACUUGGUUUUCAAUGUCAAAGACCUCGAAUGUUCUGGUGAUUCUUGGAGUAGAAUCAAAGAGGAAAACUAUUACUUCGAUCCUUAAUUAAUGAAGGAGUACAAUCAUCCUGUUUUGUGAGAAAUUUUAAGUGGUACGACACAAAUGUUACAAUCCCAUGUUUCACCUCAACUUCUAAUGACUAAUAACAUGUCACGUGCUUUGCACCGUGAUCAUAUUAACCUAACAUAUAACAUCAUUGACAUACUAAAUUCUUUGUUAAAUUUUAACUUUAAGCAUCAAAAUAGAGCAAUUCUUUUGGUUUUCAGUUUCUUUAACUAGUUCUUUGAAAAAUACUAGCUAGUUUAGGUGUAGUACAUGUAUUGCACGCUGCAUUUCUCCCCAGUUCAAUUGAACUUUAAGUAAAUGAAACAAACUGAAGUACUCAAAUUCAUAUAUAUAAAUCAAAAUACACUCUUCUAGUAACCACUCCAACACUAUAUAGCCUUGACAAAUAGAACAUAGAAUUCAAACAGAACAAUAAAAUAUAAUAAGAAAUAAAUGGGCUAAGGCGGUUCUGAUUUAAUGAUUAAAGUACUUCAAGAAUAAAAGGUCCUAGAUUCAAUUCUCUCAAUUUUUACUUCUCAUGUAUGAACAUAAAAAUGAGCUAACCUAAUGUUUCAAAAAAAAAAAAAAAAGAAACCACCUAAAAAUACAAAGGAUCCUCCGUUAAGAAUUUAUCUUCAUACCUUUUGCAAGGUCAUUGAAAACACACAUUGAAGAUACUUGACGUUAACCUGUUUUUAAAUAAAAUCAUUAGACAUUAGAAAAUAUAGAGGCAAGAAUUAUUAAAGCCGAAAAUUUAAGAAGUACUUUGAAGACAUCAAAAAUUUGCUUUGAAGGUACUUGAGGCAAACCCUUUUUGUUAAAUAAAUCAUUAGCAUUAGAAAAUUAAGAGGCAAGAAUUAUUAAAAAUAGAAAUAUUAAAAAUUCUACCUAAUAUUCCUUUUAGGAUAAAUUUUAUAUACACAGAUGAUGUACAUACAAGCAGGGCUGAAUGCAUGCUACCUUUAUUGUGGAAGCAAUAAGUACAUCAGCCAUUCUUUUUGUUCCUUGGAUACUUUUUGCAAUGGAAAGUUUUAGCUCUGGGUGGAAGCAGUAAGGAACUAUUCUUUUCUUCAGCAGAAGCAACAAGACUUUGACAAACUUGCAUGCUUUUGCAACAGGGAAGAGGUUGCUACUUGGAUCCAGGGCCUCACAAUUUAUGUUUCAUACAAUUUCGUGCAAAUUGAUCUUUGAUGUAAAUUAGUCAGAUUUUGGUCUGAAUCAGGUCCAGUUUAAUGUAAAUCAGGUACAGUUUAGUGUAUAUUAAUUUGUGAUUAUUCGGUAUAAAUCAGAUACACUUGGAUAUAAAUUGAUUAUUAUCAUUUAGUGCAUGUUAAGGUCAAUUUGGUGUAAAUUAAGAGUAAAUUGUUAAUUUACAUCAACUUAUACAUAAUGAAACUUGUGAGGCUUAUUUCCUGCAUAGAACUUGUGAGGCCUGUAAUCUUGGUAUCUAAAUUUUGACACGUGAGCAGUUUUAAUCCCCAAAUUUUGGACAAAAAUAAAUCUGGUACCCAAACUUUCAAUAUUUGAGCACAUUUAGUAGCCUUAGUGAUUUUUUCCAAAUUGUUACUUGAAAGAGUCGCGUGAUAGUCAUAUGUUCGAUAAUUAUUCUAUAAAAAAAUGUCACAAAAAUGUAAAAUAUCUUUCUAACUCUAAGAGGAAGAUGAAAUACAGUAAAAGAAGAAGAAAAGAAAUAAGAUGAGUAGAGUUGUGUAAGUGAUUAAAGUUUUUAAAAUAUCUUGGUACUUAGUGUUAGAAGGAUAUUUUACAUUUCACUGGUAUUUUUUUUUAUGCAAUAGUUGUUGGACAUGCGACUAUCACGUGAUUUUUUCCGAUAGCAUUUUGUAAAAAAAUUGUCAAGGGUGCUAAAUAUUCUCAAAUAUUAAAAAUUUGAGUAUAAGAUUUGUUUUUGUCCAAAAUUUGGGGAUUAAAACUGCUCAUGUGUUAAAAUUUGGGUACCAAAACUACAUUUUUCUCUACUGGUCGUUGCUCGGGCCUUCAUAUGCUUUUGAUCCACAUGCUGGAGCCUUGGAUUGUGUAAAAUAUGACAAUCAAGGAUUUAAAAUAUGACAAAACAGGAAAAAAGAAAGGGAAAAUGACAAUCAUAAUUGCAACUCCAGCAACCAUUUUCUUUUUGGGUUAAAUACAAAAAACCUCCUUAUGAUUAAUCGAAUGUUCAAGUUAACUCCCUAUACUUUGGAAACAUACAUAAAAUCCCCUUAUGCUUUUGAUUAAAAUAAAGGCAAAUUACACUUUACCCUCCUGUGGUAUAACUAAUUUUCACAUAACCCCCUGUAUUUUUAAAAGCUAUUUAUAACCUCUUUAUAAUUUGGACUACAUUGUCAAAGUGAUGGAAAUAAUCAUUUGUAAUGGAAUCUAUGAAAUGUCAAAAUUACCAAAAUAUAGAAGGGUAAAAAAUAAAAAAAAAACCCUAUGAUAAGCUUAAUACACAGAAAAACCCCCAUGGUUUUAAAUAUACAACACAAAUCAGCAUUUCAGCAAAAUAGAGAUUUCUCAUUUCUACAUCGCUGUGUAAUAGAACUUUCCAUAAAUUUCCAUAACUCUCAUUAAGGGGAAACAAAAUUUCAAAUGAGUGAUCAAUACUCGAAAAUUAUAAACGUCCAUGCACUAGUCUAAUGUUGGCAAAGUUUGGGACUUGCGCAUAAUAUUUACUGUAGUUUCUUAACCUAAUAAGUUUGCCAGUUUCAAGGGAAAGGGCGAAUAAUAUAUAAUUCGAACCAUCAAAUGCUACCACCAUGAGAUAGGCUGGCAAAAUUCUUUUGAAUGCAGUUCAAGAACUAAGUAGAAAAUGCUAAAACCAGUUACAUUGAUUGAAAAUUUAAAAAGAACAGAAAAAAAAAGAAGGGAAAAUGGAACUGCUUAGAAUCAAAGAGAGAAGAGCGACUUCUGAGAGCAGCACUAAUCGUAGGGGACAAUUCCGGCAAGUGUACGGCGAAGACAGCACUAAUCGGCGAGGACAGCGCUAAUUCCUUCCUUCUGUGUAGAAAUUAUUAUUAUUAUUACUACUACUACUACUACUUUCUGUACUGAUACGGAUAUGAGAUGAUUUACUUAUAUUGGCCGUCAAAGUCUUAAGAGGCAUAGAAAAGUAGAAAUGCUUUAAUUGUAACAUACCCUGAGCUACAAUGAAAAUGAUUUGAGGCCAAGAUGUGUAAGAUCAAUGUCACAUUAGUGCCUCAUGAGACAAGUUCACAUAGAAGUAAUUUUACAAAUAGAUGCUACGUUAAAUGUCAGUUUGAUGAACUAAGGUUGACCUUAUAUGUUCCUAUAUAAUCCUGUUCAAUUGAUUUCCAUAAUUUCAUCUCUCCAACGUUCCCAUCCACCAAGUGGGAUCCUUUCUUGAAUAGAAAUUGGUGCCUUGGCAAGUGGGAUUCUUUGUGCUCUGAGUCCCGUCUGAGCUUUACAGAUGCAAGGAGCAAUGGAAAGGUACCAUCGGACACAACCUGUAGUCAACUGCGGAACACUUGAGAAAAAAUACGUUGCCUGUUAUAGAGCUAAGAUACAACUUUCAAGAAGGAUGCAAGUUAUCUAGCAGGGUUAAGCUAAUCCACAUCUUUCUGCUGCAAAAUACUGGCUACUUUGAACUACAAGCAGCACGGAAGAUAUGGCAAAUUGAGUUCCAAAAGAAGUAAAAGAGCACCUCAUUAACAUGUCUACAAAUUGCUGAAUCGGUUGGACAGUUUAAAAUCACCAGCUGACAAGGAAGAUCUCAGGCUUUGGCCAUCCGAGGCAGAGAGCAAAAGGGAAUUCCAUCCCGGAUGUUUUCAUCUGAUCUGACUGAAUCAGGAUCUGGUUCAACAAGGGAUCACAGGACUUCAUUACAAAUGAUAGUAAGAGCGAGCUAUCAAGGUUAAUGUUGAUCUUCGAGUGUAAAAUCACUGCAAAACACAAAAACUCAAACUUAAGAAACUCAAGACAGCAUGUAGUCAAGAAUAAAGCCAGCACAUAGUUGCAUGACAUUUUUGUUGUAUUUGAAACACUAAAAUAAGAACUUACCAUGAAGAGAUGAGCAAUAUCAACAAGUAUAGGUGGUAGAAUGAGCUUAAUAGCCAUCAUCACAGCGGAUGAAAUAAUUGCAGCCAACAAGCAUGCUUGGCAGUCUCGACUAACCACAGCGAUAUGCUUCAAAACUUGCAGCUUAGACUUGAUUGUGUUAGAAGAUGCUCUGAAAAAACAUCUUCCAUUACGAGAAGAUUUCUCAAGUUUUAGUUGUAAUAUAUUCAGAAUCAAAGUAUUUAAAAGUCAAAAUUGCAUAGUAAAAGAAGAGUAGUAUAUCUGAACUCACUGGACUCUUAGAACCAAAAACCAAUUUGAUGACCAACAGCUCUGGAAACUCCUGAAAUCUUUCGGGCUAGAAAAUCACAACCAACGAAAAGUGAGACAGAAACCCAUCAUUUACAUGACUUAUCGAACAAAUCACUAAUCAAAUGGUUCAAGAAGCUUGAUAAAUGCGCCUUCAAGGGGCCAUUAAACUUUGGAGCCACUAUUUACUCCCUCUAGAAUCAUAAGGUAGGGAGCUGAUCACUUUAGCAAUCCAAAACUCCUAGUCACUUCAAAACAGAAAACUAGAAAUUGCAUGACAUUCUUGUUUAGUCAAUUAUUCAGAAAGCUAAAUCAAUAUUUGUUUUUGUUGUUCUUUUCUAACCUAAAUCAGCAAGAAGAUAUCAAAUCUUUCUGGUCAGUCUACAAGUACCAGAAGUAUCAUGGAAACCUUAUUAGUUUUUGUUCAAAACACUGAAAAAGGAGAAGUUCUAUAACAAUAAUGACAAUGAGUGGCACCACGAGCAUGAAAGGAAGAGAGCCUCAGAAUUGCCCUGAAGGCGAUCUCUUUGAGACUGCAAGAUGCAACAGGCAGAGCUAAUUACAACUAUUUUACUCUUAAAAUCUCAUAUGACAACUUCAAUAGAGGAAUACCAAUUAUCAGAUAAUUUGGAGCAAGAUGAUAAAUAUAUUUAAAAGAGAUCAGAGCAAGCAUUUCCAUCCCGGUAGAAUCUCAAGUUUAAAGAGAAAUAGCAGUCAUGAUGGAAAUACAAAAGUAAACUGGAAGUAGCAGACAUAUGAGAUGAGCAAAAGUAAACUGCUAGUUUUUAUUUAAAAAAAAAAAAGAAUUUUGUACCGUAGAUGUAAAUACAAAAAGUUUUUCAGCUUUGGCAUCGUGUUAAACUGUCCACACUCCACAUCAAAUAACUUGCUCUUGAAAAUCUGUUGAGUUUUCAGCUUUGACAAACUAAAGUUCUAAAAUUGCCAAUUUACUUCCAUAAUUCACAGCUUAUAAGGUAGUACAAUUAAUGAUUGAGAUCUCUAAUUGCAACCUGCAAUCAACUUGCAAAAUGAUAAUUCUUCAGUCCUUACUGUUACAUUACUAGACAACAUCUUGGAAACAGACGUUUUAAAAUGUCAGAUAUUUUGCAACAAAAUCAUCUUACCAUACAAUAUUUAUCACCUGAUAUUGGAUAGAUUUAAAAGAAUUUAGUAAUGAUUUUACUGGAGUAUGUUGUCCGGAAGAAACAAAAAAUUAGAAAUUGACUCCUAAAAUCUUUGUCCAUCAUUGCCUCUCUAUAAUUUUCUGUGUUCCAUCCAUGGUUCGCUAUCGCGGGUCGCGGUCGCGUCGCGGUCUCAGUUGUUCCACAUCCAUCGCGGCAUAUCGGUUGAAUAUCGGGUGAUAUGAACAUUAUAACAUAUUAAAGUUUCCAAAAAUUUUGAAAAAAUUACUAAAAUUAGAAAAUACUGAAAAAGGCACAAUUUAAAAAAAUAUCGGAGUCGACUCCGAGUUGACUCGGAUAUAUCGACCGAUAUCAUGUAUCACGGAUUCGAAUCGGUCAAUAUCGGCCGAGUCAGAGCGAGUCGUCGCGGAUAUGGUGAUAUCUGCGAUUCGAGAAUCGGUAUCGUACCGGUCCCUUCCGUUCCAGAUACGACUCGGCCGAUACGUAUCGGUAUAUAUGGCGAACCAUGGUUCCAUCAAACUUUGAUUUUGACAAUCUAUUUCAUGAAUGUAAACGCAUUAUCAUUCUUUUCUAGCAAAUUGAUAACCAAAUGAACUUUUAGACUACUUAGUUGGCUGAGGAGCUUUUAGAUUGAAAAUCUCAGGAAGACAUGUUUGCCUGCAUUACAAUAAAGAUAGAAGAGCAAAUUUCAUGUCAUUUUUGAGCUAGGAGUCUUAGAGAGAGAAAGGGUUUCUUUUUGUUGCCUUUGAUCUAAAUCUAAUGAGCAGGAAAUAAGGCUUGAUACUAAGUACAUCUACUAAUCCAUUUAAAACAAAUUCCCUAAUGUUACAGUACUUCUUGAAAAUUUGCAAGCUUCUCAUUGUCUAUCUGUUUCUCUAAUACAAGCUCUACCACCAACCAAACCCCCAUAAUCAUCAGCAGAAAUUCACGGCAAUGAUGGCUCUUGAUCUUGAAAGACAUUACAUAAGUUGGGGAAAGAAGCAGUUUGCAGAGGCCAGCUGACAAAGAUAGAGCAUUUUAUCAGGUUUUAGGCACUAGGAAGAAAGAAAAGUGUGCCUGUAGCGUGCCAUCCUAAUCAUUUCUGUCCAAUUGAAACAGGAUUUGAUUCAACAAAGUUUUCAAAAGUUACAAGCUGUGUAAUUCAAUCAGUAAGUAAGUGCAAUUGUAGAUUUCUGUUGACAUUUAAGCCUGAGAUCAUUGCAGAGCAGAAAACUUGAGCUGAGACAAUAUGUGAACAAGAAAGCUAAUCAGAAAGUUUAGAAAAUUCGACAAUAGUUUUGUUCUAUCAUUCUUACAGAAGGCUAAAAUAUGUCUUGUUUGUUAUGAAACUAAAUGGAUAAGCAAGUACUGAGUCGUGUUUACAAUUACAGUGGUUUGGUUCCAACCAAAAAGCAAGUAAGCACAAUCAUAAGCUUGAAAAUAAUGAUAGGCAAUUUGCAUUUUACAUUGAGACAUUGAGGAACAGUAGAGCUAUGGGCUGCUGAGGAACAGUAGAGCUAUGGGGAUCCACAUUUAACUGCUACCAAAACACCAGUUAGUUCUAACUUCUAACUGUGAGCAGUAUGCCACAGAUGACAAUUUGAAUCCUAAAACAUGUACAUCAGCCCCUCAUUAUCAUGACUAAAUAUCACUGAAUCGUUUGGACAGUUUAAAAGAACCUACCCCAAUGGAUAUCUCAGACUUUGGCCAUAGGCACAGAGCGAAUGCGAAUGCCAUCCUAGAUGUCACUAUUCAACUGAAGCAGGAUCUUGUUCAGUAAGGAAUUGCAGGACUUUCAAAAAGUAAAGACAGUAAGAGCCAUCGAUUAGGUUCCCCGUUAAGCUUUGUGCUAAAAUCACAGCAAAGCACAAAAACUCAAACUCAAGACGACUUUCAGGACAGAAUAAAGCUAAUGGAAAUUUUCAGAUAAUUGCAGGUUUUCUAUCAUUGUAACUGAAGCCCCAAAAGGAGAAACUUAGCAUAAAAAAAAGAAGCAACCAACAAUCAAAAAAGCAGAGAGAGCUUAACAGCCUUUAUCAAGGUGGAUUCAUUAAGAGCUGAAAGUACCAGAAUGCUUCAAAAAAGUUUUAUGCAAGAUUUCUUUUGUUUUAUAUGUGAUAUAUUACAUAUUAAAGUGGUUAAAAGUCAAAAUGGAGUAGUGAAAGAAGAGAAACAUAUCUAAAAUUACCAGAAUUUUUGAACCAAAACAUGAAAGUGAUGACCAACAGCUACGAAAACUCCUCAAUUGACCAUUGUCUUCGUGGCUCAAAAGUCAAAAUGAAGGAAAAGUGAGUCAGACAACCGUCAUAUAUGACUCUGAUAGAGCGAUUACUAAACAAAUAAUUCAGAUAAGUUUGCAAAUUCAUUAUCAAGAGGUCAAAGUUCAGAGAAACCAUUUCAUCCCCUUAGAAUCACAAUUUUAAAUAGAGUGAGCUGACUUUAGCAAUAAUAAAUUAAAAUCCAUAGAAACAGACACUUAAAAUAAACAAAACUAGACUGCUAGUUGUUUUAAACAUUAAUAGGAUAUUUGUAGGAAAUGCGGGCCAAAAGUUAUUGAGUUCCAGCCAUAUAGAUGUUACUGAAGAAGCUUCAAAAUUCUAACCUCUGUUUGUCUAAGCAAGAGACCACAAAAAUCAGCUUGGAAAGUUUUGAAGAAAGGAGUGUCAUCAGCAUUGCUGAUCUAAAGACAUAUAGAAAAUGUUUCACAAAUUUUCUGCAUAUGCUAUGAAUAUAAAAUGCAAAUGCAUUUUCCACGGACAAAAGUGCAGAGAACUCAUUUCAUCCUGAUGCAAAUCGUGAGUUUAAAGCGAGAGCUAAUCUUAGAAAUAAUCUUUUACAUUGUUACUUGAUUAGUUAAUUGGUUUCACUUCUCUUUUAUGCAGAACUUGCUUUGGUCACCCAAGAAAAUCUUGUGCCUUUGGUUAUUCAUGCACAAACAAGAUAUUAAGUCAAGCUUCCAUUGAAGUGUAAGUGUCCGGUGCAACCCAAUGAGUACAAACAAUUUCACAAUGAUGCACAAAGAUAUAUCAAAUUUAAGCACAAUAAAGAAAACUUAAUUAAAGAGAAAAGAUAAGAAAUGCAAACCAAAUAUCAAUCCAAUAGCCUCUUCAAUAGAUGGCGAUGCUAACCAAGAUGUACAAGUGAAGGCUCACUCCUUCCUCACCCCAAACACACUUUGGUUGAGCCAAGGAGUUUUACAACUAUUCUAGUUAACCCUCAACAACCUACACUUGAAAGAUCACUCACCCAAUUAAGAACUAUUUUAUACAAAUGAGGCAACCUUCACCAAGGUUUUACCACUUCAAGUGAUAGGUUCACCUUCACCAAGGUUUUACUCCUCCUAGAGAGUAACCUUCACUUGAGCAACCUCACAACCCAACUUUCCCAACCCCUUAUACAACCAACAAAGAAUCUUUCUACUCAAAAAUCUCACUUGUAAGCUUGUAUUUUGUGUUGGCAAAAGUCCCUUGUCUUCUUGUGCUUUGGGGUUUUAUAGAAGGUGAGAAAUGGCUCCAAAAGGCUCUCCAACGGUCAAAUAUUAAAUGCUGUCAAAACUAGCCGUUGGCCUGUCGGACGUCCGAACCACCUGUCGAACGUCCGAACCCUGCGUCCAAACCACCUGUCGGACGUCCGAACCCUGCGUCCGAACGUCGUCAGAGAGUCAUCAAAUCUUUGCGAAAUUUCUCGGACGUCCGAUGCGAUCGAUGUGCGUCCGAGGCGUGCGUCCGAUCCUUCCGGACGUCCGAUGCUUCCUCACGAGCGUCCGACAGAGUUUCCUUCUUGAUGUUCUUCAUCCUUUCGGACGUCCGAUAGCUUCCUUUCGGACGUCCCACAUGAGUGCCCUGUUUUUGCUUCUUCUUUUGUGCCACAAGAAUCUGUUCUAACAAAUUGCUCACAUAAAAACAUUAGCCCAAAUCUACAUUUUGGUUUGUUAAUCAUCAAAACCAAGGAUUGAUCGACCAAGGUCAACAAUCUCCCCCUUUUUGAUGAUGACAAACAAAAUGAAGAUUUCUUUUAUCAAAUAAGUUCAAAUAAAGCUCCCCCUUAGAAAGUGCCAACAUACAAAGAAAUUUCAAUAAAUCCUACUCCCCCUUUUGGCAUCAAUCAAAAACAAACUCCCCCUUUAUUUUUCAAAUCAAGACCAUAUUGAAUAUCAAAAUUUUCAAUUGUACUUACAACCAUAUAGCACUUCUUGGAUCAAAUCUUCAUGAUGUACCUAAAUAUGAGAAAUUUCAUUUGGUACCCUUUCUUUAUAGGGUCCUUGGGAGUUAAUACAACAUGAUCUAGCAAUCCACAUGGAUUUCAUACCUUUUCUCAUAUUUUUCUUUACAUAGCAAUCAUUUUGCAUAUGUCCAAAUUUGUAACAAAAGUGACACAUGAUAGAAGUAUUUUGCACAUAGGUGGAUUUAAUGCAACUAAUUUUCUUACUUCUUAUCAUAGCAAACUUAUUUGUGCCUUGAAAAGAUUUGCUUUCUUUUGUUUGAGAAAACUUUUGUUUUUCAUUUUGGAGAAACUCGUUCAAGUCAUUAAUUCUUUUCUUUAACAAAUUCUGUUCCUCCAACAUUUUUUCAUAAAACUUUGUUUUCUCUUCCAACUUCCUUUUCAAAACAUUUUUUUGAUUUUUUAAAUCAUCAUUUUCCAUUCUCAAACAUUUGUUUUCUUGAAAGAGUUUGGAGUUUUCUUCCAACAAAUCAUUUAUUUUUGUUUUCAAAUCUUUAUUUUUAGCAUAAGAUUUUCUCAAACUUUUAUGCAUUUUAAUCAUAAGAAUUUUCACAUCAUCAUCUUCAUUAUCUUCAUCACAAGAAGAGUGAUAAGAACUUACCUCAUCUUCUCCAACGGCCAUUAGUGCCAUUUGGGCCAACUCUUCUUUUUCUCUUUUUGAAUUGCAUUCAUCCCAUGUAAUUUUGCAAUCUCCUCUUGAACAUCUCUUGUUGAAGAUCUUCUUGAAAUUUUUGAUGUGAGGAGUUAUAUCAUUGUCCACUUCCAUGAUUUCAUUACCCAUGAAGGAUGGGUUAUCCCCCACUUGAGAUGCUUUAAAAGCUAUGCCUCUCUUAUACAUUCUUGCAUUUUCUUCCUCUUGCACUUUGAAUUUCAGCUUUAAUUCAUAAGAGGUUAGGGUAUCCACAAGAGAUUCAAUGGACAUAGAAUUUAAAUCCUUUGCCUCUUCUAUAGCAUUUAUUUUGUUUUCCCAUUCUUUUGGCAAGGCAUUCAAAAUCUUUCUAUUUUUCUCACCCAAAGAAUAUUCUUUUCCAAGCAAUUUAAGAUCUUGAAUAAUGUCACAAAAUCUACUACACAUCUUAUCAACAUUUUCAAGAGGAUGCAUUUUGAAAAAUUCAUAUUGAGAAACAAGCAAAGAUUUCUUUUGUUCUUUAAUAUCUUGGUUACCUUCAUGAAAUACACACAAUUUAUCCCAAAUAUCUUUAGCUGAUUUACAACCUUUAAUCCUACUAGAUUCAUUUACAUCUAAUGCAUUGUACAAUAUACACAUGGCCUUGGCAUUCAAAGAAAGGUAUCUCUUGUCUUUUUCAUUCAAUUCUUGUCUAGUCUUUAAUCUACUCAAAUUAGUGUAGAGUCAAUUAUUCUGGCUUCAUAAGGACCAUCUUCUACCACAUACCAUAAUUCAAUAUAAACGGAUUGUAAGAAAAUCAUCAUUCUUUGUUUCCACAUGCUAAAAUAAGAACCAUUAAACAUAGGUGGUCUAUCAAUAGAUUGCCCUUCUAAAAAAGAAACUUUUAUGGUUGCCAUGAUCUUUACUCUAAGCGGUUAAGCUUGAUCAAAAGAGACCAAGCUCUGAUACCAAUUGUAAGGCCCGGUGCAACCCAAUGAGUACAAACAAUUUCACAAUGAUGCACAAAGAUAUAUCAAAUUUAAGCACAAUAAAGAAAACUUAAUUAAAGAGAAAAGAUAAGAAAUGCAAACCAAAUAUCAAUCCAAUAGCCUCUUCAAUAGAUGGCGAUGCUAACCAAGAUGUACAAGUGAAGGCUCACUCCUUCCUCACCCCAAACACACUUUGGUUGAGCCAAGGAGUUUUACAACUAUUCUAGUUAACCCUCAACAACCUACACUUGAAAGAUCACUCACCCAAUUAAGAACUAUUUUAUACAAAUGAGGCAACCUUCACCAAGGUUUUACCACUUCAAGUGAUAGGUUCACCUUCACCAAGGUUUUACUCCUCCUAGAGAGUAACCUUCACUUCAGCAACCUCACAACCCAACUUUCCCAACCCCUUAUACAACCAACAAAGAAUCUUUCUAUUCAAAAAUCUCACUUGUAAGCUUGUAUUUUGUGUUGGCAAAAGUCCCUUGUCUUCUUGUGCUUUGGGGUAUUUAUAGAAGGUGAGAAAUGGCUUCAAAAGGCUCUCUAACGGUCAAAUAUUAAAUGCUGUCAAAACUAGCCGUUGGCCUGUCGGACGUCCGAACCACCUGUCGAACGUCCGAACCCUGCGUCCAAACCACCUGUCGGACGUCCGAACCCUGCGUCCGAACGUUGACAGAGAGUCAUCAAAUCUUUGCGAAAUUUCUCGGACGUCCGAUGCGAUCGAUGUGCGUCCGAGGCGUGCGUCCGAUGCUUCCGGACGUCCGAUGCUUCCUCACGAGCGUCCGACAGAGUUUCCUUCUUGAUGUUCUUCAUCCUUUCGGACGUCCGAUAGCUUCCUUUCGGACGUCCCACAUGAGUGCCCUGUUUUUGCUUCUUCUAACAAAUUGCUCACAUAAAAACAUUAGCCCAAAUCUACAGUUUGGUUUGUUAAUCAUCAAAACCAAGGAUUGAUCGACCAAGGUCAACAAUCUCCCCCUUUUUGAUGAUGACAAACAAAAUGAAGAUUUCUUUUAUCAAAUAAGUUCAAAUAAAGCUCCCCCUUAGAAAGUGCCAACAUACAAAGAAAUUUCAAUAAAUCCUACUCCCCCUUUUGGCAUCAAUCAAAAACAAACUCCCCCUUUAUUUUUCAAAUCAAGACCAUAUUGAAUAUCAAAAUUUUCAAUUGUACUUACAACCAUAUAGCACUUCUUGGAUCAAAUCUUCAUGAUGUACCUAAAUAUGAGAAAUUUCAUUUGGUACCCUUUCUUUAUAGGGUCCUUGGGAGUUAAUACAAUAUGAUCUAGCAAUCCACAUGGAUUUCAUACCUUUUCUCAUAUUUUUCUUUACAUAGCAAUCAUUUUGCAUAUGUCCAAAUUUGUAACAAAAGUGACACAUGAUUGAAGUAUUUUGCACAUAGGUGGAUUUAAUGCAACUAAUUUUCUUACUUCUUAUCAUAGCAAACUUAUUUGUGCCUUGAAAAGAUUUGCUUUCUUUUGUUUGAGAAAACUUUUGUUUUUCAUUUUGGAGAAACUCGUUCAAGUCAUUAAUUCUUUUCUUUAACAAAUUCUGUUCCUCCAACAUUUUUUCAUAAAACUUUGUUUUCUCUUCCAACUUCCUUUUCAAAACAUUUUUUUGAUUUUUUAAAUCAUCAUUUUCCAUUCUCAAACAUUUGUUUUCUUGAAAGAGUUUGGAGUUUUCUUCCAACAAAUCAUUUAUUUUUGUUUUCAAAUCUUUAUUUUUAGCAUAAGAUUUUCUCAAACUUUUAUGCAUUUUAAUCAUAAGAAUUUUCACAUCAUCAUCUUCAUUAUCUUCAUCACAAGAAGAGUGAUAAGAAUUUACCUCAUCUUCUCCAACGGCCAUUAGUGCCAUUUGGGCCAACUCUUCUUUUUCUCUUUUUGAAUUGCAUUCAUCCCAUGUAAUUUUACAAUCUCCUCUUGAACAUCUCUUGUUGAAGAUCUUCUUGAAAUUUUUGAUGUGAGGAGUUAUAUCAUUGUCCACUUCCAUGAUUUCAUUACCCAUGAAGGAUGGGUUAUCCCCCACUUGAGAUGCUUUAAAAGCUAUGCCUCUCUUAUACAUUCUUGCAUUUUCUUCCUCUUGCACUUUGAAUUUCAGCUUUAAUUCAUAAGAGGUUAGGGUAUCCACAAGAGAUUCAAUGGACAUAGAAUUUAAAUCCUUUGCCUCUUCUAUAGCAUUUAUUUUGUUUUCCCAUUCUUUUGGCAAGGCAUUCAAAAUCUUUCUAUUUUUCUCACCCAAAGAAUAUUCUUUUCCAAGCAAUUUAAGAUCUUGAAUAAUGUCACAAAAUCUACUACACAUCUUAUCAACAUUUUCAAGAGGAUGCAUUUUGAAAAAUUCAUAUUGAGAAACAAGCAAAGAUUUCUUUUGUUCUUUAAUAUCUUGGUUACCUUCAUGAAAUACACACAAUAUAUCCCAAAUAUCUUUAGCUGAUUUACAACCUUUAAUCCUACUAGAUUCAUUUACAUCUAAUGCAUUGUACAAUAUACACAUGGCCUUGGCAUUCAAAGAAAGGUAUCUCUUGUCUUUUUCAUUCAAUUCUUGUCUAGUCUUUAAUCUACUCAAAUUAGUGAUAGAGUCAAUUAUUCUGGCUUCAUAAGGACCAUCUUCUACCACAUACCAUAAUUCAAUAUAAACGGAUUGUAAGAAAAUCAUCAUUCUUUGUUUCCACAUGCUAAAAUAAGAACCAUUAAACAUAGGUGGUCUAUCAAUAGAUUGCCCUUCUAAAAAAGAAACUUUUAUGGUUGCCAUGAUCUUUACUCUAAGCGGUUAAGCUUGAUCAAAAGAGACCAAGCUCUGAUACCAAUUGUAAGUCCUGGUGCAACCCAAUGAGUACAAACAAUUUCACAAUGAUGCACAAAAAUAUAUCAAAUUUAAGCACAAUAAAGAAAACUUAAUUAAAGAGAAAAGAUAAGAAAUGCAAACCAAAUAUCAAUCCAAUAGCCUCUUCAAUAGAUGGCGAUGCUAACCAAGAUGUACAAGUGAAGGCUCACUCCUUCCUCACCCCAAACACACUUUGGUUGAGCCAAGGAGUUUUACAACUAUUAUAGUUAACCCUUAACAACCUACACUUGAAAGAUCACUCACCCAAUUAAGAACUAUUUUAUACAAAUGAGGCAACCUUCACCAAGGUUUUACCACUUCAAGUGAUAGGUUCACCUUCACCAAGGUUUUACUCCACCUAGAGAGUAACCUUCAUUUGAGCAACCUCACAACCCAACUUUCCCAACCCCUUAUACAACCAACAAAGAAUCUUUCUACUCAAAAAUCUCACUUGUAAGCUUGUAUUUUGUGUUGGCAAAAGUCCCUUGUCUUCUUGUGCUUUGGGGUAUUUAUAGAAGGUGAGAAAUGGCUUCAAAAGGCUCUCUAACGGUCAAAUAUUAAAUGCUGUCAAAACUAGCUGUUGGCCUGUCGGACGUCCGAACCACCUGUCGGACGUCUGCGUCCGAACGUUGACAGAGAGUCAUCAAAUCUUUGCGAAAUUUCUCGGACGUCCGAUGCGAUCGAUGUGCGUCCGAGGCGUGCGUCCGAUGCUUCCGGACGUCCGAUGCUUCCUCACGAGCGUCCGACAAAGUUUCCUUCUUGAUGUUCUUCAUCCUUUCGGACGUCCGAUAGCUUCCUUUCGGACGUCCCACAUGAGUGCCCUGUUUUUGCUUCUUCUAACAAAUUGCUCACAUAAAAACAUUAGCCCAAAUCUACAUUUUGGUUUGUUAAUUAUCAAAACCAAGGAUUGAUCGACCAAGGUCAACAUGAAGACAUGUAACCAUCACCUAUUUAUGGUAAUGUCUAUGGAGUACCUAUAACUUUCAAUCAAAAUACAGAAACCUAAGAAAGACGCCAGACAAAAUUGAAAAGAACAACUUCAUGCAAUUCUUCAUUUUUGGUCAAGCGACUACCAACAUAAGAUUUACUCAACAUCAUAUAGACCCAGUAAUUUUGGAAUAACUAUGAAUCUUAAAGUAAGAGCAUCAUUCUAGACAUACGAUUUUUAACUGCAAAAAGAGAACAGGCAAGCUCAUAAAAUCAUGUUGUAUCUAAUGGAGCUAAGAUACAACUUCCAGAAGGGUGGUGAGUAGCUUGCAGAGGCCAACUAACAGACAAUAAGCAGUCAUAAAGACAGACUGACAAUUUUCUACAACUAAAUUGCAGCUAAUUUGCGAGGCAAGCAGUAUGAGACAGAAUAGCAAAUGAGGUCCAUAAUUGAUGAAUUACUACCUCAUGUCAUGGCCAACAGGUUGAAGGCAUCACAUUCACACCGUAGAUCUCAGGCUUUGGCCAUCUCAGUCACUUAGAAGCGAAAGAGAGUGUCAUUCUAUAUGUUUGUCUCCAAUUUGAAAAUGAUGUGGUUGAAGAAGGAAUAAUGGGAUAUUGAUACGUAUGGCAGUAAUUAAGCCAUUGAGGUCUCCCGUGAGCUCUCAGCAUAACACCACUGCAAAAUAGAAUACUCAAAACUCAAGACAGUGUAUAGAAAAUCAUAAAGCUAACUAGAAAAUUCGGGUAAUUGCAGGACAUUUCUGUUCAACAAAUCUUACAGAAAGUUAGAGAGAGAGAGAGAGAGAGAGAGAGAUUUUGUCAUUGAUAUCAAACCUAAAUUAGUAAGCAGAUACAAAAUCCUUCUGGUCAGUCUACAAGAACCAAGUAUUGUCAUGAAAAUUGUUCCAGUUUGUGCCCAAAACUCCAAAAAAUGACCGGUUGAGUAAUUUAAAAAAAUUUGUUGCAACCAAAAAACAUGACAAGCAGAGACAGCUCAAGAAUCUUCAUGAAGCGAAUUCCUAGAGAGUAGCAACCAAUUGCUACCUCAAGAAUCUUCAUGAAGGCAAAUCUUCAUCAAAAAGUCCUGGUGAUGAUAGCUGUUCAAAAACAUCCAAUAAGCUGGGGCAAGGAAUUUUUUCCGAGCAGCUCGCACAGGCCAGCUGACAGUCUUGAGCAAUCAAAAACAUAGACUGAAAACUUUCUGCAAUUAGGUAACAACUAGUUUCAAGGACAAGAAGUCAGGAAAACAAGAGAAAAUUUGUAGUAACAUAGCAGGUAAAUUCUUAUUGCUAGACCUCGUGACUGAAAUGGCAGAUUGACAGUGUGCAAGCUUCGACAAUAAGGAUAUUUGGCUAUUUGAGGCAGCAAUAUGAAAGAAAAGAGGGCCAUCAUAAACAUUUCUAUCCAAGAUACUGGGUUUGCAAUUGAAUGAGCAAUUACUGCUAGUUGUUCUAAACGUUGAUAGGUCAUUUGUAGGAAAUGCAGGCCAAUAGUUAUGGUGUAAAGAAGCUUCAAAAUUCUAACCUCUGUUCGUGAAGCUAUUCUUCCAUCAAUCCUACAAAAACAAAGCGUAGAACAGAAUACAAACAGAGAUACAGUAAAACAUGAAAGCACGAAACAGGAUAGGUGCUUGAGGUCAUUCUAAUUGAUAGUUGCAAGAGUAUUAUGUUGUAAGGAGUAAAUGAGGAGCAACAAUAUUUUGGACCUGAUAAGAAAUGCUAAUGCUGUAGCUUUGAAAGAUAAUAAAUGGAAUGAUAAAAAGGGAGAAGAGAAAAUUGUGAAAAUAACCACGUGGACUUUUUAGGUUUUCUCACGAGAAGGUUCAUCAGAAGGGGAGGUGAAGAGAAGGGGAGAUUGAUUGUAAAGCAAAUUAAGAAAGUUGGUAAGAGGCAAUCUUACAUGAUUGAAUUUGAUCUGAAGAUGAGUUGGUUAUUAAUCAACUUAUGCGUAUGUCUAGGUCUUGAAUGUGAGAAACUUUGGACCACUGGGAGUCGGGGCCGCUGCUCUCAGGAGUGCAUCUUUCUUUUAACAGAGGAGAACCACGAACCCUUAGACGUUUUAGUUUGGUGAGACUUCUCAUGGCAUCCUCAGAGGGUAGAUGUCCAAGCUCUUUGAAAUUCCAUAAAUAUAGUUCUUCAAGAGCAGCGAAGUUUCCGAACCAAUCUGGCAGAGCUUCUACAGCUCCAAAGUCAUAUAGCAAUAGUGACGUGAGAGUGGUCAAGUGUUGGAUCUGAUGUGGCAGUGACUCAAUGUAAGGCAACCCAAAUAAUUCUAAUCCACGGAGUGCGGAUGACGAAGAGGAGGAGGAGGAGGAUAUCAAUCCAGACCAAUCAAACUCAUUGUAAAUUGAAGAAUUUUCAUGAUCAUCACCAUCAUCUGAGAAGGGACCAAUUUCAAGCUCCCUUAAGCUGGUUAGGAAACCAAAUCCUUUGGGCGUCAACCUUGUUUUCAGUUUGGGACACUCGCAUAAUUCCAGCUCCGAGAGAGAAGGCGUUUGUUGCAAAUCAAGCGGAAAGGAGAUAAGAUUGUCAUAAUUAAUCACCCGAAGCUCCUGGAGAGAGGCACAAGAGUGUAGCAUGUCACCGGGCAGAUUCGUCAACCCAUCGCACUCAUCAAUCACCAGCUUUUUAAGAGAUGUAAAGUUUUGCAGGGGAAGGAGGUCUUUGCAUCUGUCGCAGGAAUAAAACUUCAAACAGACUAACUUGGGGAGUGUUGUUGCUGACUCGGGGAUUGUUGUUGUUGUUGGCAAAUCCAUUAACCAUCGAGGAAAUUGAUCGCCCAUAAAAUCGCAAAUUACCAACUCCUCCAAAUUUGGGUGGGGUCGAAGGCCAUCUAACACAUCUUCGUCAUUGUAGGUGUCGCCUUCUCGAUCACGGGCCCACUCAAGUACCAGCCUAAAUAGAUUUGCCUUCUCAGAUAGUUUUGCUUCCUCAGCUCCUUCCUUAUUCUUUACCAGUUCCAGAUUGCGUAUCUCCAAUCUGCCUCUGAGGUUCUUUAAGUUUCCAAGCUCUCCAAUUCGUCGACCCUUCUCUCGACCCACUUUAAAGAACUCUAGCGUCUGAAGGCAAGUCAGUCGCCCCAUCUCUAGCGGCAUUUGAAAUUCUUUAUAAUUAUUAUCAUAAUGGAGAUGUCUCAAGCUAAUCAAAUCGCACAUUCCCUUUGGAAGAACUUUAACUUCUGAAUAACUUAGCAUCAAUGUCUGCAGAUUGUAAAGCUUGCAAAGAGAGUCCGGCAAAAUACUGAUUGCAGCCCACGAAAGGUUAACAUACCGCAAAUGUAUCAGUUUGCCAAUUGAGACUGGUAGCUCUUGAGUUCUUCUUGCACGAGACAAAUUCAAAACAUACAAGUUCUUCAACUUCAUUAACAUAUCACCAGAUAAGUCACCAUUUACGAUGAAUAAUGUAUGAAGCGAAGUUGAUAUAUUCUCAAAAAGUUUUUCUGUGUCUUCUCUGCCACCAGCUGAGUCUACUGCAAGGUAACGAAUCUGAUUACUAUUGUCAAUUAUCUGAGCAUCCCCAUUAUUAAUAACUUUAGUAGACUUUGACAUUGACUCUGCGAGGUCGUGCACCAAAUCAUGCAACUUAUAAUAAUGUGUUUCCUCAUAACUUCUGGUUUCUUCAAACAACAAACUCUGUAAUAAAAUUCUUAGACAAUUCAUUCCAAUUUCCUCCAUCAUCAUUUGGCUGUUGAUGUCUGCUUGGAGGAAACCUUCUGCCAUCCAAAGUUCGAUUAGCUUAUCUCCUCUCAUCUCAGUAUCCUUAGGAAAUAUAGACCAAUAUGCAAAACAUUUCUUAAUGUAUGGAGAUGGCAAAUUAUCAAAACUAAACUUAAGUAUUUGCAUCACACCAUCUCCAUCUCCACUCAAACUCGAAAGCCUAUUCUCCAAAAUUGAUCGCCACUCCUCUUUUCUCUUUAAAGAUAAUAGACCUCCAAUUACACUUGCAGCCAAUGGUAGACCAUCACAUCUUUUGAUCACUCUCUCUUUAAUUGCUUUUAGUUCAUCAGGUUCUUCUUCCCCUCCAACUACUUUUUCUUUUACGAUAGACCAACAAUGAUCAUCAGGUAGUUUUCCUAAUGGAUAGCGUUCAUUUUCCAUCAUCCUCAAAACUCUAGACACACUAUGUGCCACUGGACCUAGACGAGUAGUGACCAGACACCAGCUUACAUUAGUUGGAUUGAGCCCCUUCAAGGUGGUGAAAAAGUCAUCCCACAAUGCCUGAUUAUCAUCCCACACAUCAUCAAGGACAAGGAAAUAUCUUUUUCCCUCUAGUUGAUUCUGAAUUUCUCCAACGAUGACAUUCCUAUCAUCCACUUUAACCUUUUCUUUUGUCAAUUGCACUAGUAUGAGUUUGAAAAGCUCUUCUAUUGGAACUUUUUUCGAUACACAAACCCAAAUCUUUAUGUCAAAGUGCCCAUCAAUUUGCUUGUUGUUGUAUAUCAAUUUAGCCAAAGUUGUUUUGCCUAGACCUCCCAUACCAGUUAUGGAAAGACAGGAAACAACCUUCUCGGAUGGGCUCAACAGCAUCUUCACUAUCUUUGAUUCAUUAUCGGCUCUUCCAAUCAUUGGAGCAACAACAGAGUCGGUCUGCCGAUUUCUUUUGUCUCUAGCAUCAGCAGCAGCAGGGAGGGCAACUGUCAUGACUGCCAUGCCGACCAGUCCCAAAUCACUAGCUUCUUGAUUGAUCUCAUUCAGCUUAAGUUUGAUGCCUCUGACCUUAGAAGCCAUUCUCCAACGGAAAGCAAGAUUAAUAUUAGAGAAGGAGAAGAAGCAGCAUACCUUUCGCUUGUGCUGGUUUCGGGACUCCACCUGGUGACGAAGAGAUUCAUAGUUGAGCUCAUCCAACACAUUGCCAGCAUCAUAAGCCACUUCCUCCAGACUCUUCAACCCUUCUUGCACUCCCCGGUCCUGGUUUUGUUGCCUUUCCACAGCAUCAGCCAAGAGAGCAUUGAUAAAGCGAAGAGAUCGAGUCAUGCUGGCCACAUCCUUCUUGAACCCAACUAACAUACCAAUCCUAUCAG